GUGUUUCCAGAAAUAUGUUGUGUCGGGAACUUAAUUUAAUAAUAGUACGAAAGUGUUAAAUACUAUUAUGUUAUUUUAUAUUCCCAUAACUUGUAAACAUUAUUGUGAGUGCUUAAUAAGUUCUUCUUAUAUUCUUUCUCGACUUGCAGCUGCCACUCCUCUUCGCCUUAGCUCGUUCCAGCUCUCCGUGGUCGGUGCUCCUCACCUCUGUCUGGAGAGGGCUGUUCUGCUUUCUUUUGUUCGGUUAUGCUUCUCUGCUUAUUCAGUUUUCAGCAGGGAAGUUGAGGAGUCACCACUUUGGGAAAGAUUAUCUGGUGGUUGAGGUGACAGAUCUAUUCAUUGUAAUUGUGUGGCGUUUGGCAGUUCAUCGGCGAUCUGUCUACCUCUUCUUGUCUCGUCUUAAGUGAUCUUUCGAUCAAAAUGGUGUUUUGGCCUCUCUCUGGUUCGUCUGCUCUUUCUCAAUGGCAGGGAUUUGAGUACUGUCCCUGCUCCAGUCAAGUGCGGUGGUCAGGGUGCGACGUCUCAUUAGUGGCAUCUCUUUUCGGCGUGUGCAUAUUCUCCUUCGUGAGGUUAUGCCUAGGCGGAUGUCUUGGGUCUGGCGUGAGCACCUCUUCGGUGAUGGCUGGGGGUGGCGCUUCAAUGUGGUGGAGUUCAGAGUUUCCCCUUUGUUUGCUCUUCGGAUCUAUCCAGAUCUAUUAUGGUUUCCAGCGUGGCUUCGCUUCAAAGGUUAUGGACAUGGGAUUAUUCAAUUGAGUUUUGGUCUGCUGCAGUGUUGGUGGUGAUUAGGUGUUGAAUAGAGGCAUCGGUCUGACUUUGGCGGCUCUGUUGCAACCUUGGGAGAUGAUUCUUCAGGAUUUUAUAGCUUGAGGAUGCUGGCCGGAGGCAACUUCUCUGAUUGCUAGUAGAAGCUCCUAUGCCGCCGGGUGUAGCUUGAUCUUCUGAAGUUGGUUCGUUUUCAUAGUUCUUGGAGAAGCUAUAGGCUAUUCUCACUUGCGAGGUUUAAGGGCAGGUCUCGGAAAGAGGAGCUCUUGGCAACAAAGAUGAGGAUUCCAGUUCUUUGGAUCUGCGGCAACUUUGCAAAUGUUCGAGUUCUAUACUCGGAAUUGGUGCUUUAUCAUCCAUGAUCCCCUUAAUUUAUUUUUAGGUGUUUUUUGUUUGUUGCUUUUGCUUGUUUUUCUUUGUAGCUUUAGUCUUUAUUGUAGUUUUUAGUUUUUCUGUUUUUUUAUUUUCUCUGUAUUCUGUCAAAUAUUUAAAAUUUGUUAUAAAAUUUAAUAAUCUACCAAUUUUUUUUUUGUGCACCGAUUUUUUAAGUUCUCAUUUCUUUGAUUAUAUGUGGGAGUGCAUAUUGUGUUUUCUUUGGUGGACCUUUUAUUUCUCUGUCUAUUUUUGUGUAUCAUUUUAAGUUAUGAUUUUUUUUUUUUGACGUCAAAAGGCCAUUCUAUUACUCAAACUUGAGGUGGUCUGGGUAACCAAACCGGAAUAGAACAACCAACAAAAUGUAAUUCUCUAUGGAAAGAUCUAGCAGUCUUAGCUAAAAAAUCAGCAGUCCGAUUGUGCGUCCGUGGAACGUGAGAGAUGUUGAAAGCUGGGAAGCAUAUCUGUAGCGUUCCUAUCCUCUCCAAUUCUGUCGAAAAGCUUGGCCAUGCCUGAGGGUCCUUUACCAUUGCAAUCAGUUCCUUACAAUCUGUUCCAAAGCUCUGACAGGUCGAAUAUUGUAGCAUGUUCUCCAUCGCCCACCGUAGUGCUUCUACUUCCGAGUGUAAGGCUGAUUCACGUCGGGGAAGGUUCCUUGCUCCCAUAAGUUGAGUCUCCCCAGAGCUAUCCAUCCAUGCCCAUCCGCUUCCACUAAAGUUAGCAGAAGAUGUCCAAGAGCCAUCUAACAAGCAAAUAUUCCUCAAGCGUACGACUUGGGGUUCCUCACUUAUAUUAUCUUGUGCCUCAGUUUGUACCACAUCAUUCGCAUCAAACCAAGCUUGGCAUUCACUCUCUGCAUGUCUAACUAGUUCCAAUGGAUCUCUGUCUGUUCCCCUAAAGAGUUUUUCAUUCCUAGCCUUCCAAAUGUACCAUAUUAUCCAGGGAUAUGGAUCCCUAUCAUACUCUGGCCCAAUGAUACUAUUCUUCCUCCAGAAUAGAUAAUCCAUAUUUGUGUAGACGCUCGAAACCGGGAAAAUAUUUGGGCCUGUCGGAGUUGAUGAUAAAGACCAUGCUUGAAGAGCUGGUGGACAUUCAAAAAUUGCAUGUGUGACGGUCUCCUCCACUUCUCCACAUCUUGGGCAGUAAUUAUCACACCUCAUAUUGCGUCUAAUUAAGUUCCUCGUUACUGCCACGUGACCAGUUACCAACUGCCAUAUAAGAUGACAUAUCUUCGUAGGAGCCUUUAAUUUCCACGCAAAGGCUUGGAGCUUUGUAAUACUAGGCUCUAAAACAUCCUUUUCCUCUGUUAUCUUUAAUAGAUUCUGGGCCACCCAAUAUCCAGAUUUGACCGUGUAUUGUCCAUUCCUUGUAAAGUCCCAGCAGAAGGUAUCACGACGAUGAGUUGAACUUAUUGCCAAACUCCUUAUGAAUGGUAUAUCCGCAAGAUGAACAUAAUUCUCCAAUAGUCCCACAUCCCAAUCCUUUGAUUCCUGAUCAAUAAGAUCGCUUAUUCUCAUAUUAGGAUGCAUCACUGGAGCUAUGGGGACAGCAGGCCUCGCGGGGCUCAAUGGGAUCCAUGGAUCCACCCACACCUUAACUUCAUAGCCUGAAUGUUUCUUCUGCCUAAUACCCAGUAGUAGCAAUUUUCUUGCAGCAGAAAUGCUAGUCCACACAUAUGAUGGGCUAGUCACAGCGUUUACUCUCAAGGGAGAGCUCAAAUUAUAAUAUCUUCCCCGUAAAACUCUAGCGACCAGAGAAUUAGGGACCUGUACUAGUCUCCACAUUUGCUUAGCCAGAAGAGCCAGAUUGAACUCAUGGAUCAUUCGGAAACCAAUUCCACCCUCCUCUCUUGGUAGGCACACUUUUUCCCAUUUUGCCCAGUGUAUUCCUCUCUUAGGUGGAUUCGAGCUCCACCAGAACUGGGCGAUGGCACUAGCUAAAUUUUCACAUAUCUCCAAUGGGAGCAGGAAAGUCGACAUGACGUAUGUCGGAAGAGCAAGCAGGAUGGAUUUGAUCAACACCUCCUUUCCACCUUUUGAGAGCCAUCUACCUGUCCAUCCAUUCACUCUAUGCAUCAGCUUAUCUUUCAGGAAUGCAAAAAGCUUGCAUUUAGAUCCACUUAUGUCUUCGGGAAUGCCCAAGUAUGUUCCCAUUCCACCUUCAUUCUGUAUCCCAAGUGCAUCUUUAAUCUCUUGUCUAGUAGUUGCAUUAAUCCGCUUACCGAAGAGUAAGGACGAUUUGUCAAAGUUGAUACAUUGACCAGAUGCCUUGCCAUAUCUUCUGACUACUUUCAUAACUUCUUCACAUUCACGGGGCUCCGCCUUACAGAAGAAAAGGCUAUCAUCAGCAAAGAGAAGGUGGGAUACCGACGGACACGUGCGUGUAACACGCAUCCCUGUUAUCUUCCCUUGUAUCUCUGCAUGAUUAAGAAGGCUAGCGAGCGCUUCCGUGCAUAGAAUAAAAAUGAAAGGAGACAGAGGAUCUCCUUGGCGUAAACCUCUACCUGGAGUAAUAUUUCCUCUUGGUUCUCCAUUCAUGAGAACCUUAUAUUUCACCGAUGUAAUGCAUCGCAUGACCCAGCUGAUCCAAAUUUCUGAGAAACCCAUCUUACGCAGGACAACUUCAAUAAAAGACCACUCCAUCCUAUCAUAUGCUUUGCUCAUGUCUGUCUUGAUGGCCAUCCUUUUAUUCCGUCCACUUGGCUUCGUUCGCAAUGCGUGGAACAUUUCCUGAGCGAUCAUAACAUUAUCAGAAAUCUGUCUCCCAGCAACAAAGGCUGACUGGAUUUCUGAUAUCAAGCCUGGUAGUACUUUUUUUAACCUCUGGCAUAAGACUUUAGAGAUAAUCUUGUAGCUGACAUUGCACAUACUAAUGGGCCUAAACUGAGCCAUCGCAUUUGGCUUCAUUACCUUCGGGAUGAGACAUAUAUUUGUAUCAUUCAGUCCUUUCGCCACCACCCCCUCAAAGAGGAAAUUAUUAACCAUAAGAGUUAGAUCCUCUUUUACUAUGUCCCAGAAUUUCUGGUAAAAAAGUGCAGUCAUCCCAUCUGGUCCUGGAGCCUUCUCUGGAUGCAUGGCAAAAAGCGCUAAUUUGACUUCCCAUUCAGAGAUCGGGGCUGUAAGGUUAGCAUUCAUAUCACCAGUGAUCGUUGUUGGAACUUGAGCUAGCGCCUCCUCAAUUUCCUCCUGAUUCGAUGAUUCAAAAAUCUGCCUAAAAUAGCUAGUAGCAAUGGCUACUAGUCCUUCUUCAUCCUCAACAACAUUUCCAUUCUCAUCCAAGAGCUGUGUGAUCUUAUUCCUUGCUCUUCUUUGCUUCGUCAAAGCAUGGAAAAAUUUUGUAUUUCUAUCUCCUUCUCUCAACCAAAACACCCGACUCUUCUGUUUUCAGAACAUCUCUUCUGCUUUAAGGGCAUCUGAGAGUUCCUUUAAGGCUGCUGCAAUUUCCUCAGUUGUGGCACUAUCAUGUGCAUACAAACCUUCAACUUUUUCUUUAAGCUCCUCCACUAAUUUUGCCGAAUUGACAUUAUUUUGCCUUCGCCAUUCACUCAAUGCUCUCCUGCAGCUGGAAAUAUGUUCCAUGAUAGACGCAUUGGGGGGAGAUCAGGGGAUUUCCAUCCCUCAAGGAUAACUUGCCGUAGCUCUUCAUUAUCCAGCCAUCUUUUGUCAAACUUAAACUUUUUGGAUCUUCUCGUGGGCUUUAUGAGUAUGUCUGCAAGAAUCGGACGAUGGUCCGAUCCCCAUAGCCUCAUAUACUUUACAGCCGAGUGGGGAAACUUCUCAUGCCAGUCUGCAUUUCCUACAGCUCUGUCUAAACGACAUCGGACUGUUGAUCCUCCUGCCCUCUUCCCCACCCAAGAAAGCAUCUCACCUGUGAAAGGAAAUUCCAGCAUACCACAAUCAUUAAGCAUCUGCUUAAAAGGAAGAAAAGAACUAUCAGGGCGUUGUCGUCCUCCUGCUUUCUCAUCAUGACAUGUUAUUUCAUUAAAAUCUCCUAUCAUGAACCAAGGUCCAUUUCUUGUUGUUGAGAAACGCGUAAGACGUUCCCAAACUUGUUCUCUUCUUUCUAAUACAGGGUCUCCAUAAACAAACGUCAUAUAGACUUUUAUUCCAUCAAUGACUGCCUCAAUGUCAAUCAUACGAUUAUUUGAAAAUAAAACAUUAACUUGAAAUUCAUCCAUAAAAAAUAAAGCUAAACCUCCGCUGAGUCCAAGUGGCUCAACAGUAAACAAAUGAUCAAAUCCUAAGUCGGUCUGAAUGUUUUGCAACAACAGCCGUUUAUUCUUCGUCUCAGAAAGGAACACAAGUCCUGGGCGAUGCUUCUGACACAUCUCCUUAAGGCGUCGAACUGUGAGGUUGUUCCCAAUCCCUCGACAGUUCCAACUGAGUGUCUUCAUGGAUGAUGUCUGGAGGUGUUUUUGGACCCCUCCAAACCAGAAUCGCUGCAUGAACUGUCCCUAUGAAUCCUUUUCUGUCCAGAAUGAUGAGUUUCUGAGCGUUGUACGUCGCGAGAAGAUGAUCUACGCAGCUUCGGAGAUCCCCGACGGAGGAACUCUGCUUUCUUUUUUGGAAGGCCGAGAGGGAUGCCAGCCCUGCUUCCAAAUUUGCGUGAAGACGUAGCUUUAGGUUUCCCUAUCAUAGCCUCCACACCCUUGGCUCCAUCAGUUUCCGCGGCCUUUGUGGCUUCAGCAUCCAUGUCCAUGAGUUCAUCCCCCAGCAAGUCAUCAUCAUUAUCCACAACCAUCAAGGAAUCCUCACGAUCCCCUUCCUCCAUAUUACUUGUGCCAAUGAUCUCCAUGCCAUUCAAAGCUCCUAUUAUCUGAGAAUCAUCCAGCUGGUCUUUCUCCUUAGGAGAGAAAGACAGUAGGCGAACUGUUUCUCUAUCUCUUUUAGUAACAUUUCCAUCACUUCCCUGUCGAGACGGAGUUACAAUCGUACUUGCAAUCUUUUUCUGCUACUGCGAUCCUCCAUGUCUAUAUCCGCUGACCUUUGAGGAGGCGGGCUGGCCGUCAGCGUUGAGGUCAUUCCAUGAGCAUAAGGCUCACAGCUUAUCAUCUCCAGGCCCCGGCGUUUCUCCGUUUUCUCCUUAACCUCCCAUGCUUGAGUUUGUUGUUUCUGAUAAGGUGCGUACCUUUUGUUGCGACGUGAGAAGCUCGAGUUGUAUCUGUUCUCUUUGCCACCUUGCUUUCUCAAAAAGCUUUCAUUAUAAGCCUCAGAACGAUAAUAACCAGCCCUAGCAUCAUUCAUGAAGCCACCAUCAUGCAUAUGUUUCCUUAGAGGUGAUAUACUGCGACGGCUUCCCUUACCGUAACGAUCAGAACGUGAAUAGGACUCGUAUCUGACAUAAGGUUUCUGGUCUCGCGGCAACGGCUCUCGAGAUGUUUUGACAGUAGGUAGCUGAACCCUUUCAAAGACACCAGUUCGCUCACCACGAUCUCUUUCAACUGGAAACUUCAUCGGACAAUAAGCCACUUCAUGAGUCAACAUCCCACAAGAUGAACAAUGUUUGAAGAGCUUAUCGUAAUGAAUUUGAAUCGAGACCUCCUCUCCUCCAGGUGAUGCUAUCUUCCGUGUGAAUGUUAGCGGUUUCCUAGUGUCAACGUCAAUCAGCAUGCGUCCUGCCGAGAGUUCGACAGUGUCAAUAUGGCCAAGCCUGCCUCCAAUGUUCCUUAGGUUUUUGAUCGUCCAUAAAUGUAAUGGAAUGCCUGUAAUCUCAACCCAGAAAGGGAUGAUCCAAGGGUAAUCGUCGUGAACAACGGGUUCCCAACGAACAAGCACGAACAUUCAGAAAUUGUAGUGAAACGGCCCUUGACGAAGGACCGACUGAGGAUCAUCUUCACUCAUAAAGUUGAGGAGAAACUUCCCACUUCCAAGGUCAUUAGCUGUGAUCCUAUCGUGCAUCUUCCACUGCGCCGGCAUGGUUUGGAUCAGCUUGAUCACGGAUUGUUUCUUAGGGUUUAAGAUCUUCCCGAUCAGUGACAUACGAUAAUCCUUAAUGGUAGGAGAAUCAUCUUCAUCCGUUAGUUGGAUAGGUUCAUCGUCGUUGUCGUAACAUAUACGUUUCCCUUUUAUAUCAGCAAUAUGAGCUGAGAGUUGUCGAUUCAUCCUUUGGCUUGGUACGAGACUAUUUGCCGGCAGACCCACUCAAAAUCGAAAGAUGAUAUCGAGAUCGAAAGGUGAGAACGAAGGGUUGAUCACAACGAAGAUUAUAAUCAAAACUCCGGUACAUGAACGGUGAGGCUCUCGUCAGGUAAAGGAUGACUGAGAGGUAAUUUAUUGUCAAAGAACAACAGAUCUGUCAAUGGAUCAAAUCCCUAAGAGGAUCUGAUCAAGCCGCCAUGGAGUCGCCCUUGGAGUCGCCAAAGAGAAAACCCUAUUUGCUUUUAUUUUUAAGUUAUGAUUUAACGAUGGGGUUAUUAUAUAUAUUUUUUCUUAAUGAAAAACAUGUGAAGUUGUGAAUCUAGAGUUUAUAUAAACUAAUAUUGACGAUUUAUUUUAUUUAUAAAUUUUUUAAUAUUAUCAUUAUUAUUACUUUUAAAUAUAAUUACAAGAAAACUAAAAUUUUUUUUUUGAAACACAAGUAAACUAAAGAAUAUAAAACUAAAUUGUUACACAAACGUUUUUUUGGAACGCUACAUUUAAAUCAUCAAAGUUAUACCGGUAAACCAUCUGUUACAAGGCCUGUUUCCCAAUAAGUCAGCAUCAGAAUUCCUUCCAGGUUCGAAUGGUAUGCAGAUCAAGAAAAUGCAGAUCAAACCCAAAACGCAGAUCUAGCAGAACAAAUGCAGAUCAAGCAGAACAAACGCAGAUCAAGCAGAUCAUACAGAACAAAUACAGAUCUAACUCGUUAAGCUAAUUUAUCGAAUUAGUGUAUUUAACCAAAUGUUAAAAAUAAUUUUGUAAAUUAAAUAUCUAAAACAAAAAUACAAAUUCUUAUGAAUUAUUAUUUUGAUUAAUUUAAUAAAUAUAAAUAAAAUUUAAACAUUAUAUAAAAUGUGAACACAAUUACAAAAAAAAACCGAAAACAAAAAAAAGUAUUAUGAUUCUAAUAAAUAUAUUGAAACUUAAAAAAUAGAUAAAAUUCAUUAAAAUGACAAAGAGUAUUCCAUUUCCUUUUAAUUAUUUUUAUAGUCCAAAUUAAAAUCUAACUAUGAUCUAAAGACGUUAAUUAGGGCUGGACAUAAAAUUUUUAACCUGAAUUUUGUUCCAAACCCGAACCGAAAAAAUGACUUGUAUCAAGUCCAAAAUGUAAAAAAUACAUGAAUGGGUUUUGUAGGGUGUUAUAAAACAUAUCCGAACCGAAAGUGUUAUAAACUGUCCCAAACAGGUGAAAAAUCUAAAAAAUAUCUGAAAAAAUGAUCUGAAUAAAUGUAGGAGCAAAAAAUAUCUAAACAAAAUACAACUUACUAUAUAUAAGUAAUAAAAUCAGGUAUAACAUACAGAAACUAAAUUAUAAGAAAAUUAUGAAUAUACCAAAUAAAUAUAUAUUAUUUACUAUAGUCUGAUUUAUUUUAUUGAUUUAGUAUGUUUUCUUAGUAUAUGUGAAAAUACUAAUAAACGUUAUCUUUAACGAACAAAAAUAAUAUGUAAGAGAAAAAACAUGUUUGAUAUUUUUCAUUGUGCAUGCAUUCAUUAAAUUUCUAGUUUUAGUUUUAGUUGUUACAAGUUUUCCAAUAUAUGUAAUCAAUAUAUGAAUUAUCAAUAAAAUGCAUGAAUUCAUUUACUGAUUUAGUUUUUAUACACAACUAUUAAUUCAUUUAUUUAUUAAUUAUCAAAAAUAGAAAUAAAAAUAAUUAUAAGAUAUAUGUUUUAUAUUUUUCAAAACACUAUAUAUGAUUAAUUAGUGAAGUUAUAUAUUUUCUAUUAUACAAAAAAAAAUAACAGCAUAAAUAGUUAUUAUAUAAAAACUAUGAAUAUGUAAUGAGAAUAUAAAUAAUUGUAUAUGAAAAUAUUAUAGUAUAUAAUAUAUCUUUACAAAGUGAAAAGAUAAACUAUUAAACCAUAUUUGAGAAUCUUUAGUUUGAAAAAACAUAAUAAGUAGUUAAUUAAUUGUAGACAAAACAAAUAUUUAACUAAUUAAAAAAAAAAGUGAAAACAGGGAUUGGUCACCUUCAUCACCACCGCUAGUUUUUCCCUUGUACAUGCAGGAUUUGUAUUAAAAUGUUCUGGAUACAGUCCAUAAUUAUUUUAUUAUUUUUUCUUGUCCUCCUUUUAAAAUCGUGAAUGAGUACUAAUUGCAGAUUGGACUACAUAACAUUUUCUCCCGCUUUUGUUCUGCUUUUUCUCUGCGUCACAUUCAGACCUAGGAAUCAAAUAUUAGUUUUAAUUUUUUUUUGAUGAUCUGGACACUUUUAAUGGUGAGAAAAGUCUGUUAUUAAUUUAUUAUGUAAUAGACCGAAUGGUGGUAGAUACGUGGACUCUCGAGUCUGUUUGUGGCCACACAAGUUAAGAUAAUUUGGUUAGAAACUAAAAUGUCACAGACAAUUUAAUGCUAAUGGGUUGGUGGGCUCCUUGCUCUGGAAUAACCUAGACUACUGAAAAUCAGACAACUAUAAAGAAAAGUCUGAAAAUCGGACCUAAACGAAUCUUAUGUAAAGAAAUAUAUCAGGAAAAAAUUGUAGGCAAAUUAUUAAGGUCUUUUAAAUUUUAUACAAAGUAAGAAUUCAUUUUUCAAAUUUAGGUAAAUUUGAAACAACAAAAAGUGAUACUAAAAGAUAUAGUUUUGAGUAUUUUUAUUUAAAGAAAUAAAUGAUAUACAAGGUUAUAUAAUAUCAAGUUAUAACGUUAAAAAUGAAAUCAUAUAUAUAUAUAUGUAUAUAUAUAUAUAUAUUAUUUCUAUUAUAUGAUAUUGGUUCACUACAAACAAUACGUACUAUUUAAAGAAAUCGCAUAAUAUUGUUGAUUGAAUCAAACAAUUUAUAAUUUAAGCCAUUUCUCAAAAAAAAAAAAAACAAUUUAUAAUUUUACGAAAAUUAAGAUUUAUAAUUUAAAAUUUGUUGCUAAAUUAUUUAAUUUUGAUAGUAUAUUAUUAACUUGCUGCAAUUUUGAAACGCAUGUAAUUUGUUGGGGAAAAUUAAAAAAAUAAAACAAUACCGUCCUACGGUUAAUGCAUUUUCAAUACCUUUUUAUUCUGUCCAUGGAUCCUUUUCCGUGUAACAGCCGGUCCGUUAAUUUUACGUAGGUGCAAAAAUAUUAUUUAUUAACUCCACAAUCACUACAUAAACUUUUUACAUGCUUUGGUCUCAUUUACAUGAUAUCACUUAUCAUUUAAUGAUAAGUUAUUCCAUCUUUUCGCUAUUCCAGUUGAAACACAUUUAACUUUAGAGUUCUUUCUGGAUGUGUGACCGGAAAAGUAAGUGCAUUUUAAUGACAAAGAUAGCCAAAUCAAUCAUCUUAAGACUUUCAACAUAUACCACAAAUCACGAUGUUACAAUUCACCAUCUCUCAUAACGGAACAUCCUCGUUGUGCCUCAUGAUCGUAAUCCAUGUUAGGUAUGCUGAAAGGGCCUGGGUAUGAUGAUGUAACAGUUGUUGCAGGAUAUGCAGAUACAGGGAAGGCAUUGAAUCAGGUUUCUCAGACAUCAACACCAGGAUGGACAACAUGUUCACCGAGCUGAAUACAAAGUAUGAUAUUGUGAGCAAUCGCAUAAAGAUGAUUGAUGUACAACUUGCUCAAACAGCUGAGAGUGUUAAAAGGCAGCAAGGUAUGCUUCAUGGAAAGAGUGCGAUGAAUCCUAGGGUUGAGAACUGUAAUGCAACAGAGCUGAGAUGUGAAAAAGCUGAGGAAAAAGAUCCAGAGCAACUGUCUGCUAAGACUGCUCUAGGCGCAGAAGAAAGAAUAGAGCAGCUUGCUAGCUCUGAAGUGACUGCUCCCGACGAACCUAUUGAGAUUUCACCAGUGCGAGUCUAUGUUCCUAAGGUUCCAUAUCCAAUUCCACCUAGACAUUUGAUGGAUCCCAUUAGUGCAGAACAACUGGCCGGGUUUAUGAAGAUGGUGAGAAGGCUUCCUCAAAAUAUCUCAUUUGAACAUGCUUGGGAGAUUCGACCAUUGCAUUUGUUCUUCAAAAACUGCAGAGAAUCUCGGGAGAAAAUCAAGGCACUCUUUACUGAAGCACUGACACCAUCGCUGAAGGUACUGCCUAAGGUUGAUGACCCUGGAAAUUUGUUUUUCCUUGUUCCAUUGCUGGAGUGGAAUUCAAGGAAGCUCUUUGUGAGUAUGGGUCUAGUGUAAACCUUGUCUCAAAAGCGAUUGUAGACGAGCUGGGCAUUGUUGAUGUGUGUAAACCUUGUCUCAAAAGCGAUUGUAGACGAGCUGGGCAUUGUUGAUGUUGAGCCUUCUCAGGUGAAGCUGGCUUUUACCAACUCUUCCAUGGCAGUCCCUUAUAAAACUAUUCACAAUCUUCCUGUCCAGGUUGGGGACUGCAUGCUCCAUACCGAAUUUCAGGUUGUUGAUAUGAGCAAAGAUCAUGAGAUGCCUUUGAUCUUUGGGAGGUCAUUUAUGGCUACAGUUGGAGCAAAUCGAGCAAUAAUCGACCUGCCUAAUAAGAGAGUCUCCUUCUCCAACAUCAUCAAGAAGGUUUUCUACAAGGCUGUCCCAAUCAGAUCACAAAUUCGAUAUGCCUCUUGCAUCUCAAUGGUUAAUGGAGAACAGUUGAAAAGUGUUCCUAAAGUGUUUGGAAAAAAGGCUGAGAUCAAAGAAGUCCUGGAUGGAGAUCCUCACACUGAUACAAAGAAACUCAGUGGAAAUGCAAAGGUGGAUGAAAAAGUCCACAAGAAAAGGCUCAAGGGUGCCCUAUGAUGAGUUUGAUACCUCGCUUGUGUGAUGAGAAUGUAUUGAGUAUGAGGUAAAGUGCAAGGGAACCUCUAAACCUUUCUCUAAAGUCAGAGUAAUUCUCACACAUGAGCUGAAAGAGAAAGAAGAAGCUGUUAUGAAAGGGUUGUUGAGCAAAGUCUUGAAGCUGAAUAUGUCUAAUUGUGGAGCUUGUUUUGGAACAAGCCGUCAGGCUCAACCCGACUGAUCCAUGUCUCCAAGUCAAGCUAGUGACUUAAACCAAGCUCUUGGUGGGAGGUAACCCACUGGUAAGUGUAAAUAUAAGUUGGUUUUGUUUUUGUUUGUUUAUUUUUCAUUUUAGUUUAUUGAGUCUCAGGUCAAAAAACAGAAAAAUACGAAAUACUCAAAAAUUCUAGGUUGUUGAAGGAGCGACUGCUCCAGGCGGAGAUCUUGCAAUGGAACACCCAGAAUUUUCGUGGACCGCCUGCUCCACUCAGGUAAGUAUCUCACAAAAAAAAUAUAUUUAUUCUUGUUUUCACUUUCUCUCUGAUUUAUUUCACACCAGGGACGUUGUGAAGUAAGUCUGGGGAGUGUUUCGUCGUUUAUUAACUUGUUUCUUUAUUUUUUUUUUUUCUUUUGGGUCAGUUUGAGUCAGUUUUUAGGAUUGAGUCAGUCGAAAUUUUGUGGGAAUUAGAACCUUAUUUUGUGCUGAUCACUAACCACCUCGUUCUUUAGUUAUCUUAUUCAGUAACCUUAAUAGUGGCGAAAGACACACAUGUGGACCUGGAACACCCUGACAUAUCUCACUUGAUUCUCUAGAAGUUCUCAGCCGAUCAGUUUACACUGGGUAGACUUAACUCCACCUAACUUGAACCUAAUAUUGACUGAAAUUCUUCCUGUUAUGGGCAUUAGAUCAGGGAAACGAGAACUGAUAUCAUUCAAAUUACCCUAAGGAAUGAUUUUACUCUCUCAAAUAAAAGGUUCAAUUGUAGUACUUAGGGAUCGAAUCAACAAGGAGGUAGGGAACCUAAUAAAUCUAAUCAGACUAGUUAAGCUAGAUGGUUUAAUUGUUUAAAUGUAAAGUUGCAGUUGUUUGAGCACGCAAUUUCUCGAUUGAUUGGUUGAGGUUUUGGUGCUUAAAAGAAAAUAGUAGACCUAGGGUUUUAUUCAAGAAAUUUGGAGUUAUAAUCCUAUAGAUGCCUAACAAGUUGCAUGCAUGAUAUUGUAGAGCUCAACACUUAUAAAAGAACCACUAGGCUCUCGCUUUCUAGAUUCGUCUAUUGACCAGUAUCGAUCGAUGAUUCCAUACGAAUAUCGAUCGAUGCACUAUUCGAAACGUCGACUGAUUAAUCUAUUUGAACAACGAUCGACGUUGUUGGUCAAGCGUUAAUGCGCGGGUUGAAUGUGCUCACUAAGCUCACUAGAUCAGCUCUCGCCUUACUCUUAGCAAGAUCUUAGCUCAAUUAGAAUGGUUUCAGGAUGAGAUGAAAGCUUACGCUUAUACCUAACAAUCCUAGGGAAAGUUCUAGGUAGCUAAUCUAGAAUCAGGCAUUAUUGAUUAAUAUCACAACUUAGCAAUCUAUAGUUGGGGCUAAUCCCUUAUAACCUUUUUAAACUCUAAAAUCUAACAAGGGAACUACUCAGACAUGACUAAGCAAUUCAUAACAGCAAAUAGGUAUAAAAUCUGCAUUAGAAUAAUAGAUAAAUAUAAAUGGAGUUCCAAUCACAAAUAACUUUGGAUCUUCUCUUCAAUAUACUAAAAAUCCUAGAAAACCAUUGCUGUGAAAAUAGUAAAACAAGAAAAGCACACUUUGUCUCUAACAUGUUGACAAAGUUUAUAUAAUUAGGUUAAAACUCUUCAGGGGUAAUCUUAUAAAUUGGUGAAGACUUGGGCUCUAAGUCGGCUGUGACCAAACAUGCUUUCUGCGCGCUUCGCUAUCGAUCGAUGUCAAGAUGUGAGCAUCGAUCGAUUAUUCCUCUUCAAUAUCGACCAAUGGUCGAGCUCGAUGGUCAUCUCGGGUGCUUACUCGAAAUAUCUCCAAAAUGCUCCAAAAUCAUCACUUUCCUCCAAAUCACUCCUGAUCCUAUAAAUACUCUAAAUAGACUCUAUAAUAUAAUAAUUAGUAAUUAAGAAACUUAUAAACCACGGGUAAAAGUGGGUCAAAUCCAUGGUCUAUCAAGAACAUACUCAGAACUUCUUAUCCUUUUUAUCCAUCUUUCUGAUCCUGAGUGGCUAGCUCAUCUUUAGCUAGUGCCCACCCUGCACCUCAGUCUUUAUUCCACUUUCAUGCAUUUGUUUUUCAGUGUCAUAUGUGUAGAUAUGUCCAAAAAGGUCAGAGAGGAAAGCAUCAACGCAACUUCUUACUCGGUUCCAGGGACCGAACUCAGGGUUCCUUCUAGCAGGGACCUGGAGUGUUCCCUUAUCGGGGACCCGAGGGUCUUGGUCCUGCCUGGAGGCUGGAGGAAAUGAUAACGGGGUAUUUUUCCCCAAUAGUUUGCCCCUUAUUUCUAGAUUUUGUCAUCGAAGUCGGCGAAUAAUCUGUACACUCCAGUCAACCGGGGUUGCUCAUUCUCAGCAGGCUCCCCUUAGGCAGGACCCUGUUCCAUUGAUCUUGCUAUCCUGGGUUCCACUCAAGCCGGAACUCAAUCUGAACCCAGGUGAGGAUCGGUUCCUUCGUGUUUGACCGGAGUCUAGUAGUAGUUUCUCUUAUCUUCUAGAGAUAACAGUGUUGGAACUCUGAUGUUUAGGCUGCGUAUAGGCUGGAGAGAGUCGGAGAGAUGAUACUGGUAAUGGGUUCCUCAAGGUCCCGUUAGUUUUUUGGGUCCCUAGAAUUGACUGAUAUGUUCCCUCAUCGUGCUUCGAGACUCGUUUUCCCAUGCAGUCUCAUAUUUUUGACGCAUGUAAGUCAAUCCUAGGGGUUUUGAUUUUGUUUCCCCGUUUUUGCUGCAUGGACUUUUGGGUUUCUUUUUCUUUCUCACCAAAGUCUCGCGCGAUCUCUGUUGCUCAGGCCUAGGUCUUCACUCUCUCAGGUAACACCCUCUUUCUCCCCAUCCUUUAUUCCGAACUUUUUAGGAUGUCACAAACAGGCUAGAUCUCGUCCUCGGCUCUUCUUCGAUAAGUACUAGGGUUCAUUCAAGACGUAGGGUUGGAAAUGAGGCCUGCAAAUCCAUUGAUUUCUCAGAAUCUUCUCUGGAUCUGACCGCCGAAAUAGAGGAACUCAGGAAUGCUACCGUUGGAGAGGUUCUGCCAUCUCCGGGCGGAGACAGAUUUUCGCUGGUGUGUCUUCUAUCGGUAAUAGGAGUAGAGGAGGUUGCAAACUGGAUAAUGAGGUUUCGUCAUCCUGACGAAGUUACCAUUCGGAUCCCUGGUCCUUUUGAUAUGGUUUCGGAUUUUGAGCUGGGUGAGAUCCCUGUAUAUGCAGGUUUCUUCGAAUCGGGUUUCAAGGACCAGGUUCCUUCUUUGGUGGCCAAGAUCUCGAAAGUAGUGAGGAUCUCCCCUUCACAGCUGAAUCCUCCUUCCUGGAGGAUUUUGAUAGCUAUGCAUAAUCUCGGUGAUCUUGAGGGUUUUACCGUUGGAGUCGCUGAGGUUCUAUAUUGUUAUUCCAUCUCUCCUUUAAACGGUGGGGAGUUUAGGUAUCGUUUCCGCCCUCGUGGAAAAGCGCUUCCUGUGUGGGAGCUUUCGAAGGCUGAGAAAAAACAUUGCCUUGUCUUCGAGGGGUGUUGGACUUUGAAGUUUGCUUUGAUGCCUUUUCCUGGAUCUCCCCCACUUGGUGUGCAGCUGGUGGGUCAUAGAAACUGCCAUGACUUUCUUUAAAUGUCUGAUGCUGAUGUCUUUUGUUUUCUUACACAGUCAUAUCUCACUCGGAUUAUCCUUCAGGAAGGGAUACGGUCGAGCAGCUGUUGGAGCUUCCCCUUGAGCACCGCAAAGUCUCUUUCCUUGUAAGCGAUGAAGCACUAGAUCGGUGUAGCGUUAGAGGUAAGCUUUUCUAUCGUAGUUUUUCCCGUUUUCCUUCUACUAACUCAAGCCAGGUUGGUUCUGUCUUUCAGGCGUGAUGUCGGGUUCUAGAGGUGAUGAGGCCUUGGUGGAAUAUAAGAAAGCUCUUGAGGCGAUGUCCGCAAGGAAGGCUGCAGCCAAGCGAACUGCUCCCUUUGAAGAUGAAGAGGUCCAAUUUGUUGGUAGUACCAGGCGUCAGGCGACUACCGUCGCAGCUCCUUCGUCCUCCAAGAAAAAGUCUAAAGUCUCUGGCUCUGCUCUCAAAUCCUCCCCUCCCGUCUCUGAUAAUUGGUCCAAGGUCCUGGCCAAUUUGAAUGCAAAGGUGUUCCCUCUGACUCCUGCGUGUCUGGCAUCGGAUGGGGACUCUUCUAUGGUCAUCCGCUCUCUUCAGGGUGGCCUACUCCUAUCAUGUUCUUUGUCUUGCUUUCGCAACGUCUCUCUUUAUAGGUGUUGGGGUCAAAAUCGGUCACGACAAAAUCAAUGUCUGAAAGUCCGUAAAAAUCAGCAUGAACGUUUUUACGAAAACUAAUCUUCGUAAAGAUAUCUUUACGAAGAGCCUUGCGGUAAAAUCUUGUUCAAAACUCAAUCGAACCACUAAAUACCAAUUGUCCGAAGGCAACGGCCAUGUAUCCAAAUCGGCCGCGGACAAGCUCGGGUAUGAAAAUCGGACCGCGUACAAUCCAAGCUCGAUCGAUACGCGGCGACCAAGCAUGCACACAGCUCAGUCGCUACAUAGCGACCGAGCCCGAGCCUAGCUCGGUCGCUACGUAGCGACCGAGCCCGAGCCUAGCUCGGUCGCUACGUAGCGACCGAGAGUCCAUCCCGCUCGGUCGCUACGCAGCGACCGAGCUCGAGCCAAGCUCGGUCGCUACGUAGCGACCGAGCUCUUCCAAAACGUCGAUUCGACAUCAGUCCAUUCACUCUCGUUUAUCCUUCGAUGCUAUCUCCCGAAGACCGUAGCAAACUCAGUUCAUGUUUUUUGCCAUUCUAAAUCAUCGAUCAAACUUUGCGGAUAAAACCGCGGAAAGUUUGUUUUUUAUCGAAAGAAGUCGCAGUAAAUGCUUCGAGUCAGAAGACGGCCCAAAGGGACCUAAAACACGAUUCGAGGCCCAUCCUACGACUCCUAAACCAAAAGCUCGUAAACCGUAGCACGGUUUACGCUUGGCGCACAAGGAAGGAUAAAUGUCAAGUUUCCACGGAUAAAUACGAAAUUUUGAGGAUAAUUACGAAGAUCAGAAAAAAGGAAUAUCUCCAUUUUAUUCUAUGACGACUUAAGGGCAGAAGAGUAAAAGCGUAAACCGACCUUGGAGCUAGUAUAUAAGGAGUCCUAGUCGAGAGGCAUGGAGAGAGAGCUUUUUAGACUCGGAAUUCUCUGCACUUAGAAACUUUAGGCUUUAUUUUCGACAAGUUCGGUUUCUAUGACUGGCACUCAAUUACUAGACGAACUCGCCCAGGCAGUUCGAUCUCUUGUCCAGCUCUAUCAAUUGAACUAUGUUCGGCUUGAUCCUCGAAAGGGGGUACGUAGGCAGCCUUUAACAAGGUUCAGUCCGAAAUCAAUCAAAAACAUUUUCUGUAUCUAUUUCGUCUUUUGUUAUCGAGCUGCGACUCAACUAGGUUUGAGCUAUUAGGCUGCUAGAACUAAGUAACUCGCUGACAGCCUUUGCGGCCAAAGCUUUUAUGAUCUCUUGUAAUGAUCGCAACGCUCUUACGCGGAGUCGAAAUAAGAUCCACUGUUUUCUCUAAACUCGUUUGUUAUCUUUUCAUGAUUUCCGCAUAUAUUUGGUCACUUGUCAUUGGCUCUAGCAGAGAUCCGGGACCUCUGGGAAAUUAGGGUUUUCCUAUUUUUCCAAUUUAAACGGAAAUCGACAGUGCGAAUUUCGGUUCCCACAAUAGGUUGGAUUAUGUUGAUGCAGGUGGCGUCUCAACUAUUCCAUCUUGGGGAAAGGAUGGAAGAUAAGACUACUGUCCUGGCCAAAGUGGAUGCGUUGACCGCUCAGCUGCGUGAGGAGAAAGACGCUGUCUUGGCCAAAGAUAGUGAAAUUAAGGCCUUGAAGCUCGAGGCACAGAAUCAGGAAGAGGCACUGGAGCGUGUGGCAGCAGAGAACGCUUCUUUGCUGAAGCAGUUGGAGGACAAGGAGGAGGACAUAUGUGAGUUGAGAUACGCCGCGGAGGUCUUCGAUAAUGAGAAGGCAAUGGCCGUAAAUGGUGCCAAGGUUGUGGCCCGUUGGGAGCUGAUGCGAGAAUGGCUUCACCGUAAUACUGACAGUUGGGAGCCUGCGACAGCCCUGGAGCAAUACAAGACCGUGAAGACUACUGAGGCUGAGCUUUUUGGUCUUCAUGUUCCUUGUUUUGAUGAUGAGCCACAGGUUCCUGAGAGGGGUGAUACCACUCAAAUUACCCUAAGGAGUGUUACUCUCAUCAAAAGAGGUUCAGAUGUAGUAGUUAGGGAUCGAAUCCACAAGGAGCUAGGGAACAAUUAAAUCUAGUGUUUAUUAAUUCUAAAGGUUGUAAUGUUUUAAUGAAAUAGCAAUAGUAACAAGCGAGUAAAUGAUAAAUGUAACUUAGGUUGGAAAUGAUAUUAGAUGCAGGGCCACUAUUCAGGUGUUGGAGAUUAUAAUUCCUAUAGAUGCCUAACUGUUGCAUGCAUGAUAUAUUAGAGCUCAUUCGCUUAACUCAUUGAUCAGCUGUCGCAUGUACCACUGGUUAACAGACUAGAUCUUGUGUCUCACCGGUUAGAUGCAGACACAAGAGAGUGUCGAUCGAUAGUCUAUUAAGACGUCGACCGAUACACCUUUGCCAACAUCGAUCGAUUGUCAGUUGAGGACAUCGAUCGACGGGUUCUAGCCAGGCCUAUGCGCGAGUAUGAAAUGCCCUACUAAGAUUCUAAAUUGGCGGUUAGCCCACUCUAGCAAUCCUAAUAUGAUAGAUAUAUGUCAGGAUGGGAUAACAAGGGUGCUUGAAUAUGCAAUCCUAUGAUCAAGUUCUAGUUAGCAAGGCUAAAACAAGCAAUGAAUACAAAUCUAUCAUGAAUAUCACAACAAGGCAGAUCUAUAGUUUGGGGCUAAUCCCACAAACCUAUAUGAACCCUGGAUCUAACAGUUGAACUACUCAGACAUAGCAAAGCAAUUCAUAUCAAUAGAUAAAUAGAAACUCAUAGAAUAGAUGAAAAGAAAUAGAAACAAGGAGUUCCAAUCACAAGUGAUCUUCUCUCCAAAUGAAACUUGUAACAAAACUAGGUCUAGAAAAAAAAGCUCUCCUCUGCCGUCAAAACACUUGCAGUAUAUAUUCUACUAGGUUAAAAACUCAUCAGGGCAUUUUGGUAAUUUAGCUUGGCCUUGGUUUUUAAGUCUGCUGAAUCCAAAAUGUCGCGUCUGGUGUCUCGACAUCGAUCGAUGGUACUUGUGUACAUCGAUCGAUAUUAAUCUUCAUCUGUCGAGGCAUUUCUUGAUAUCGAUCGUCAGCACGGAUGCGCAUCGAUUGAUUAUUCUUCCUCUCGUCGACCUCUAAGUGGUCAGCUCGGGUGAAAUGUCUUUUAAGCUCCAAAAUGCUCCAAAGUCAUAGCUUUACUCCGAAAUGCACCUGAACCUGAAAACAUACCUAGAAGAGUAGAAAACAUAGAUAUAUAUAUAUAUAGUAAAGUACUUAUAUACCAUGGAUAAAAAUGGGUCAAAUCCAAGGUAUAUCAAGGGGCGGUGCGCCGGAGCCUGCUGACGAUCCUCCCACCAACUGACCUUCUUGUUCCAGAACUCUUACCCUCGUGAAGGGGUUUCUUUCAUUUUAUAGUUGCCUUUGAUAAGGGUUGAAAACUUUGAACCAGGCCUCUGUGCCUUUUGUUGUUUUAAGACUUUGGCUCUGUUGUGCCGUUUUGAAGUAUGCUUCUGGAUUCGCAUCUUUUCUCCUUUCGUAGAUGAUAUCCGUAUUGUUUCUGCAAUUUUCAAUCUUUCGAAAGUUUGCAGGUCAUUGAGUGACCUCGGGGCCUCGAGGCUUGACUCACGAGUCGUAAUCGAAGCAUUGUUGAGCUAAGCGUUGAUUGCUUGAGGGUCUCUUACAGGACCUGGGCCGCAUGGGCUCUAGAUGUCAUGAACGUCGGAGGACCCACGGAUCCUGGGUAUUGAGGUUCCUUGGAACCUCUAGAACCUAGAAUGAUUAGGUGACCCUAUGAAUCUCCCAUAAUUGGAUCUCCUCUGGGACCUUGUAGUUACUUGGAGAGUUUUGAUAAGCUUAGGACCCGGAGGUCAUUGUAGGGAACCGGUGGGUUCCGGACCUUGAGGUCUUGAGUUGGACACAUGAUCUUUGGACCCUGAAGUCUUUUUAGGGAACCAAUAAGUUCUUGGCCCUGAGGCCUGUCUGAGCCUGGAUUUCUUUCUCAGAACCCGAAUUUAAGGUUUUAAAGGGACCGCAUUCUUCCACCCUAGGUGAGGCCACUCUCGGUAUCUGUUGGGGUAUCGCAUUCUACCGCUCGGAAGCUGGUCACUAUCGAGUUCCCAUGCUGCAUUCUGUUUUCUGCAGAAAGCCACUAUCAGACUUAGAGGGUGCUGAUGUGGGUGAAAACCCAAGUUCCAGGCCUUGCUACUUUCCACAUCUGGGGAAGUAGGAUAUUAUGUGGUGCUCCUGGACUUUUGCACUUGCUCAAGGGGAAUUAUACCUCGUGUCCCAUGUAUUAUUCUAGCACGUAGCGUUUUAAUACAUGUACUUUCACAUUUUUGGUAUUUUUGUUUGGGACCCCGAUAUGUCUGAGGCUAUACAGGGGUUUUAGGUAGUAUUGAUGGCAUACUCGGGCUUGCGCAGACCCAUUCCUACCUUAUGUCUCAUACCCAUUUUGUUUUUUCGUGGUCGUACCACUUGUCAUUAAGGGUUGGCCAAGAUCGAAGGUCUCUUGGACCUGAUCCAGCUCGUUUACCCCUUUUAAGUAUUAUGGCAUUCCUACUACUCUUUUAUAGUAAGAACUAUUUUAUUAUAUAAGCUUUGUUCGGAGACGUUUCAGCGUAUAUAAGAGUAGGAAAACAUAAUGCUUAAAUAAUAGAUAAAAUAAUUAAUAGAAAUCAUGGUCCAGAGACCAUACAAGAUAUCAUCUUGUGAGGUACCCUGGUGGUUAGGCCAUGUUUUACCUCUUGCUGCUAGGCGAUCUGCAGGGUUUGACUUUCUUUUGGGACGAGCAUCCUUGCUAGAGGGUUCCUCCUUCUUCUGCAGGGUUUUGCCUCUUUCUUGGGUCUAGGGACCGUGGUCGAGACUCGUUUCAUGCCCCAGCCUUUAGUGUUCGGGGACCACUGUCUUCUGUAGAUGAAGGUUUUCAGUACUUCCACGAAACGUAUAGUUGUAUUCAUCCACUGGAGCGACCAGGUUUGGAGGUCUCCUGUCUGGCUAAGUGUCUCCCUCCUGCGUCUGUGGGGUGCUCUUUGCUUCGGAUCCGUCUGAUGUACCCUCUGAGGAGGUCUCCUUGAAGUACUCGUGCCCCAUUAUUUAUCUGCGAGACCACUGGCUGAUACCUGGUAAGGUUCUCGGUGAUCUUGUCUAUGUGAGGCGGGGGACGAGGGUCCUACGAGGACCAGGUCUUGUGAGUAGAUGCAACUUUGAAGGGCUUCGGGGGAGACCAUGCGGAGCGGUCAACAUAGGUUGUCUGAGGAUUCCUCGGGUUCUUGGAAUGAUUCAGGGUCCGCUUUCUCAAGAACGACCCCCAAUUACUUGUAUCAUUGACCUUUGAUCCCUGGGUUCGUGGGGUUCGAGGUCUUCUCUGUAAUUGCUAUAAGACCUUGGUCUUCCCCUUCAGGGUGGUCUGGUAGCAGGAUCGAGAGUUUUCUUGGUCUCUCCUAAUUACUCUGAUGCCCCAGGGUGUAGGAAACUUCACCAUCUGGUGAAGGGUUGAGGGGACUGCUCCCAUGUCGUGAAUCCAGGGUCGUCCCAAGAUCAUGUUAUAUGCUGAUUGGGAAUCUACGACCAGGAAUUUGGUAGACAUGUUGACCCCUUCAGCGUAUACUGGGACGAUAGCCUCUCCGGCGGUUCGCUUGACCUCGAUGCCGAACCCGAUGAGUGGGGUUACCUUGCGCGUCAGGGUGCUCUCCUCCAGCCCUAGAUCUUGGUACGCCAUCUAGAAGAUAAUGUUGCUGGAGAUGCCGUUAUCUACUAGUAUUCUUUUCACCAAGCAGUUCGCUACGGUGAGAGAGAUAACUAGAGCAUCAUGGUGGGGAGCUAGGAUCUUCUCUUGCUCCUUAGCUGUGAAGCUUAUCUCGUCCGUGCCUAGAAGUAGGAACUUCGGUUAGACCGUUUCCAGACCAUGCUUAGCGUUACGGGUGCUUUUCUUUACGGCUGCGUGGCUUACUCCGCUCACUUCUGAGCCUCCGGAUAUGACAUAGAUCACCCGAUCUUGGCGAGGUGGUGAGGCUGGUGCAGCUCCUUUGGAUCUUCCUACUGUUUCUUUGCUGAGGUGGGCCUGGGCUUUCUCUGAGAGGAAUUCUCAGAGAUGCCCCUUUUGGAGCAGUUCGUUGACCUCGAUCCUCAGGGCGAUGAAGUCUUCGGUUUUGUGGCCAUGAUCGCUGUGGAAGUCGCACAAGAGUUACGGGUUCUGGAACGAGUCAGGUGCUUUUAUCUUUGGAGGCACUUAACCUGUUGGCCCAUCUGUCUCAGUGCGUUGACCAGCUCUAGUGUUGAUAUUGAGAGAUGGGAGUGAUACACUAAAAAUGAAUUCUUGCUACUGUCAAGUUAUCAGUGGUAAUUGUAAUAUUUUAGAUUCAAUCCAGAUGACCAAUUUACUCUUUACUCUUAUGACUUCAAUAUUAAGCUGAGAAGCAAGUGGGUUUUUUUAAAAACAAUUGUAACGCAAGUAACUAGAAUACCUAGAGAUUCAAAUUCGAUUUAAAUGAAAGCCGGCUUAGGGUUAUUCAUCGGAUGUCAAUGCGGAACCGAACAACUAUUCAAGUGCAAUGAGGUGCAGUCUAGAACUCAGAUCACUCGGCUAGAACAAUCCACUAUCGUGGACUUGCUCACUUUGCUGAUCGGUCUUGAGUCCUAGGCACUCACUUUGAACAAGACCCGAUAGCAAGCCUUAGAGAUCAGGUCCGAUUAGUUCACUUAAUACCCUAAUAUCUACUCUCGCUGAUUAGGGAUAUAAAGCUCAUUUAAUAUAUGUCAAUAUAUCUCCUAAACGGUUAGCUAGGUGAUUAAACUAGAGGUCGAACAUUAAGUGAUCAAUUCAAUGCAAGCAGUAAGAAGAAUAUGAAUGAAGAACAGUUAAGGUCACUUAUUUGUGUUCAGCUCAUGCGAUUAACAUCCUACAACCCUAAGCAAGCUUAGCCUACUACUCAAUCAUAAAGCAGGAUGACAUAGACAUGGUUUCUGAAUAAUACUGCAUAUAAUAUAAAGUAGAAAAACAAGGGUUCAGGAUAAUCUUCUCGUGAGAAUGAGAGAUGAAGCCUUCUCCCUUACAAGUUGCUCAAUCCAAAAUAGUUCUAGGUCUCUUGUAAACCUAGCGUAAGAAAAAAAAAUAUAAAUGAUAGCAUAGGCCUUUUAUAUGGAGGCGCCGAUGGCAAAGAGAUAAGAGAAUGGAAUCUAGGGCAAACUUCCAGAAUGGGAAGUUUCCUUAAUGACCGGGAACAGUCAGACGCUUGUUCUUUUUGGGAACAACCUUCGGGUUGAUCUAACUGGCUGUUCCGCAUCGAAUUCUCCAAAAUGACAUCUGACUUCAUGAAGCUCUCUUCUUUGCUUUUUCACCUGCUCUAAACCUGGAAUAAUAUCAAUUAAGCACGAAUUCGGACUGAGAAUUAACUCAAAACACACAUAUAAUGGUAUUAAAAACACCAUAUAUCAAUUCCCCCAGACUUAGAUCCUUGUUUGUCCUCGAACAACGCCAAGUCUCAAGAACAGGGAGAAAGGUUUGAAAGAGUGGGAACUCGCUUGAUCUCAAUAACCAUACACUUACCACAAAUCUUUGAACCGUACAAGCUGUAGACUCAGACCACAAACCCUUACCAGAACACCCACGAUCGCUGUUUGAGAAUCAGCUCCUUACUAUGUAUCUCAUACCUGAAAAAGGGCACACUAUCGAGACAAAACUCCUUGAAUUCAAUUAUGGACAGCGUGAGCUUCUCAUCACAGGCACUAUUCAGGGUAGACGGCCUAGGUAAGGAACAGACUAUUUCAUGAUGGAGCUAGGAGGGUUUAGGGGCUACCAAAUUUAAGUGGAUGCAGGAUAUCGCGCAAAAUAGCAGGAGUGGACGGAUCCAUUGAUGUCCACAUCCCUUACUCGUUUCUGCUUCACGGACGCAGUUGUUCUUUCCUUCGGAUCAACUGUGGGACUGUUUUUAAGUUCUUGGCUUCCCUUUUCUACUCUUCAAAAUUUGGAACCAACUCCUUGCUCGACCUUCCCAGUGGCGAGUAUUUUUCGGAUUCACCUUCCCCAUCUCCAUCACCAUAAAGUAGAUAGAAACAAUAUAUAUAAAUUUGUUUUUUUUGGUUUUUUUUUACACGGUGAUGGGGUUGCGAGGGAGAGGCAACAUAAUGAAUGUUUUGCAGCCACUUGAAGGACCCUAAGAUUGGCUCACUCGAAUGGAUCAGAUGUGGAUAUGAACUCCGAAUGGAGAACUAGAUGGAUUGAAGGGUCGCAUGAAGGUUGCGGAAUGGCCUUCGAUAUUCCCGGGUUCAGUUGGUGCUUGAUAUGACUCACAUGAACACCAAAAGAAGAAUCUCGAACCGUUGCUUGAUAUGACUCACAAGACCAACGAGUUUGAGGGGUGUUUACUUGGAUAUGACUCAUCAAGAAACUAAGAACAAGUUCUAAACGAAGAACAAAGAGUUUAACUCAAACUUUAAACUAAAACGAUUUCUUAUUUAUUAUAAUGAAAGAGUUUCAUACUUAUAGAGUUUUGUAGAUCUAGGAAUUAAAUAGAAAAGUAGAUCUAGAUCUAGUCAUUAAACAAAAUAAAGACAGAUUAUUAAAUGUGACUGAUCGGCUUCUGUCCAGGUUCGUUGUAUCCUGAAGCAUGGACCGCGGUAAGGAGAAGGACGGAUGUGGGACUGUCCGUAUGAGCCACCAUGUCCGGAUCAUGAACCAGACUGGACCAAGUGCGUCAUAUGUCUUCAGAAAGGUGAAGGUUCCUUGCCUUAGUGAGAUUUGGCUGAUCAAAGUGCAUGAACUGAUCAAAAGGGUCGAUCAGUCCAUCAGUACGGUCGCCGGUACGUGCAGUAUGGGCCAAUCGAGCCAAAUGAGAGAAGUCUCGAUCAUUUUAUGAAACCUCAUGAUCCAAGUCAAGUCUGGCAUGAUCUUUCUCAAGUCUGGGAUGAUCUUUCUCAAGUCUGGCAUGAUCUUUCUCAAGUCUGGCAUGAUCCAAGUCAAGUCUGGCAUAGUGAAAAACAUGAACCUCGGUUGAAAUGUUCAGAACGUCCUGAACUCCAUGCUGAGAUGGUUCCAUGUACUGAUCCGUGGACUGCGGCACAUCAUUCCCUCCCUCUUCAAAAGGAUUUGUCCUCAAAUCCAUUAUACCUGUAUCAAAAGGGAAUAAAUCAGAUACAAAAGAUUUAAAAUUCAUGGAAAAUUCAAUGAAGGAAGAUUUUGGACAAAAACUUCCUUAGAGGUUUGAACUCGUUUCCCUCAAGUAUAUCCGGUUCCAUGUUCCAUGAACACAAGUCUUUAGGAAUUCACCUGUGCUUGCUCUCCUUGGAAACUUUGGUUCGUUGAGGAUCGGUUUUGGCUCAGGCCGCUUCUUUCUUGGUCUGGAAUCUCAUUUAGAAGUCGUGUACUUGCAGAUAGACGGACUGGAGAACCUCCGGUUUGGAAAAUUCAUAACUGCUUCCUCCAUUAAGCGUUUCACGUGAUUCGAAGCCUCCGUGAAUCCUUGGUCAGUUGGCUUUCCAGAAAAAUUAGAUUCAUGACAAAAGACCUUCUGAAUGUUUAGAUAUUCUUUUUGGACUGAACCCCUAUCUCUGACAUCUCCAAGGUAUCCGUUUUGGACAACAAAGCUUCUCCAAAUCUCAGGCUGUUGGGCACGGUCAAUGCUUUCAUUUCUUAGAGGCUGAACCUGUCUUUCCUGGAUACUCAAAACAAACACUAAAAGACAAAGAUCAAAUGUGCAAGACAAAUACUUGUUCAAAUCAAAAAUCAAGAUAUCUUUUUCGAGAACAAGUAGCACACAUUUCAGCUUGUCAAGAUGCACAUCAAAGUAGACAUUACAGACCAGAAUUUUAUCAAGAUAUGCAACAAUAGUAUUUAUUUUCAAGACGUGCAUAUCCUGCUCAACAUCUGAACACAAACUUAAGUUCAAAAUGAGAAUCAACUAUCAAAGACUCAAGAUGUUUUUCAAAGAGUGUUGUAAACCACAAUUUCACCAAGGCUCAAAACAACACAACUAUCAAGAAUUGAUCUCAGAGAAUGCCAUGUUUUAUCAGUUUCAGAACUCAAGAGAUCAAGCUGCAAAACAUAAUCACAAAAAUCAAGAUCACAAAAAUCAAUUUCAGUUUCAAGUGAUUUCUGUUCAAACAUCUUUUUAAUCAAGAAAUCAUCUAAUGCACAAGAGGAUGCAAUCAAAUUAUGAGUGAUCAUUGCAUGUUUAGAAGAACUCAGAUCAAAGCUAUUCUUUUUGAAAACAAACGAAUCAAAAGAUUUUCUAGCAUAAAAAUCAGUUUGUUUCAAAUCAAGCUCAAGAGAUUUUUCAAAACGAUCAAAGCCUUUGCUAUGCUUUAAGAACUGAUCAGAACUCAAAAUAAAUUCAGACUUGAUGCCAUUGCCUUUUUGAAAACAUUUUUGAUCAAGAAGUUUCUCAGGUUUAAACAAUUUUAAAGAAUUAAUCAUGUUUUAAAAAACAGAUUUUGAAACACAAAAAUCUUUCAUCUUGUCAAGACCAAAACGAAUCACAUCAAGAGAACUCAUCUUAACAAACAUAUCAGGCUGAGAAUUAAGCAAAUCAGAUUACUCACAGUGCGCCUGAAGUUCAAAAGACAAAGGGGUAGGAGUUGUGCCGGGAUCAAAGCAAAGAUGGCUCUCCAUAGCGAUGGAUGUGAUGUUGGUUGCUUCUUCAUCAAAGACUGGACCAGGUUCGUCCUCCUCAUCAAAGAUAGGAUCUAGAUCUUCACCAAAAGAUAUCCUAGUGUCAAGACAUGGUCUUUGAUGUGGUAAAUCUAGUGGCUCUUCCUCCAAUACCUGUGGAGAGAAAACAAGACUACUCGGAUGCUCCGGUUGCAAAAUGGUUAGUUCUACAAUAGCAUGUUCAAUAUCAGUUACAAACUCAGGUUCAAGAGAAGAAAGAUUAUAAUUUUUCUCACAAGAAAACAAGCUUUCAAUUGGCUCUUCAUCAUAUUCAUCAUAGAUGGGUAAAGAAUCUGAAAAAUCUUUCAACUCCUCAACAUGGGUUUCAGAUUUACCUUUGGAUUUCUUGCUGACGAAUAAGGAUGGCUCAGCUACAAGUGCACGUUUGGAUGUGCUCUUCUUUUGGUUCUUGCUGAUGUCCUUGAGGGCUUUCAUCAUUCCCUUCUCAAAAUUGUCACAUAUCUCUUGGACAUCAAACUGAAGGAAUCGCCUCUUUGGAUUAGCUUCACCUUGGGACGACUUGAAAGGUUCAUUGCACCUCCUGUUUGGCCUAUCCUGCACACUAACAAACUCAUCAAAAUUAUUCAAAGAAUAUUUAAAUGAAGAUUGAGAGAUAGUUUGUUGUGGGGAUUUCUCCUUACUACUUUUCCUUUGAAGACCAAACAUCAUAACCUGAAAAUCUCAACACAAAAGUUAGAAAAUAAAACCUCACACACUCAAGUGUUUAAUCUCACCCACUCAAGUGUUUCUCUCAGAAUUUGGAUGGUCACACAACAAGUUUUCACUCGAAAUUCUAAGAAGAACAAAUCAAAGAAACUCAAUGCACAAAAUCCAAGCAAACACAAGGGAAUUUUAAAAGAGAGAAAGAUAAGAGAUUUUUGGUUUUGGGAAUCCGUUUUAACCACCUCAAAGGCUGGAUUUCUCCUCAGCCAGCAGGCUUUCUCUUCCAUCACCAAUCCCCAAAUGAAAAAACUUUUCGAAUUUUUUUUUUGAUAGAUCUUUUUUUUUUGAUAGAUUGAGGAUGGUAAUGAGGGGCCCGGAUUCAAGAUAGAUAGAUGAAGAGUGUUUAUUAAGAAAAGGAAGAUGAUAAAAAUGAAUGAUUUAGAAGAUACCAAACGAGCGGCUCUGAUACCACUUGAAGGACCCUAAGAUCGGCUCACUCGAAUGGAUCAGAUUUGGAUAUGAACUCCGAAUGGAGAACUAGAUGGAUUGAAGGGUCGCACGAUGGUUGCGGAAUGGCCUUCGAUAUUUCCGGCUUCAGUUGGUGCUUGAUAUGACUCACAAGACCACCAAAAGAAGAAUCUCGAACCGUUGCUUGAUAUGAGUCACAAGACCAACGAGUUUGAGGGGUGUUUACUUGGAUAUGACUCACCAAGAAACUAAGAACAAGUUCUAAACGAAGAACAAAGAGUUUAACUCAAACUUUAGACAAAAACGAUUUCUUAUUUAUUAUAAUGAAAGAGUUUCAUACUUAUAGAGUUUUGUAGAUCUAGGAAUUAAAUAGAAAAGUAGAUCUAGAUCUAGUCAUUAAACAAAAUAAAGACAAAUUAUUAAAUGUGACUGAUCGGCUUCUGUCCAGGUUCGUUGUAUCCUGAAGCAUGGACCGCGAUAAGGAGAAGGACGGAUGUGGGACUGUCCGUAUGAGCCACCAUGUCUGGAUCAUGAACCAGACUUGUGACACCCCCGAUCUGGUAUAAGUAUAAGUUGACUCGACUAGCCGUGCAACAAUCAAACAAGAACAUGCACAGCCGAUCACUCGUAACUGAAACCAAACCGAGAAGCCACAAUGUAUACAUAAACGACAAACCCGAAGUUCCCGAAAUAAAUUCAGGUACCUUAGGCCAACCGCCUAAGUACACAUAUCCUAUUAGGUAAAACCCGAGGCUUUACAACCUUAAGAGUAAUACCCAAUAGUUGGUUCGUCCGGACAAGGACUAAUAUCGUUUGGAACCCGUACUUUAAAAACAUUCUUUAUACACUAUAUACUUAUUCAUUUAAAAGAAUCUUACAAAAUCUUAUAGAUUAACCUCGAGGUCUUCGGUCAACAAACCUUAUACAUAAAGUAUAUCAAAACGACUGGAAGGAUAAUAAAACUACCACUGGCUAAUGCCGUUCCUUCCCAUCCUAGAGUAAAGGUCUCCCAUCUACUGGCUACCUGCAUAUCAAAUGAGUCAUGAGUAACUAGUUUACUCAGUGAGUCUAAUCCCACACCCAAACACAUAUCAAUAGUAUCCCGAGCAAGCGACACCAUCUGAAUGCAGUAGAAUUAUAUUCCAUAAUUAAUAUAAUUAUAAGGUCUCUCAAUCCAUCCAUGUGAAUCUAUCUUAAACAUCACAUCCACGAUACCCGCCAAUCACUCAUACUCUUAAUAUAUAUAUAUGCUAAACCCGGAAAACCACCAAGGCUAACCGAGCCUAACGGAGAAUAAAUAUAACCAUCAUCUCCAUCAGAUAUUCCAAGAUAGAACAUCCAACGCUGCAUGCAGUUACACGGCCUCCAGGGUGCGACCCCAUCAUCGUGUCUUCAUGACCUUGAUCCAUAUCGCAGGACCAAUUCACGGCAAUGCGGGACUUUUGGGAGAGUGAUUAUACAAUAAGAAUUCACAUGAUUCACACUUAUUAAUAGAAUACUUAUAGAUUAGUACUUGAGAACAAGUACUAAGGCUCGGGAUAACCUCAAAGAAUUAUUCUUAUUAAUUCUUAAGUAUUUAAACUAGAUAAAUACUUCAUAUAUAAAUAUAGAUCAAGGGAUAAUACUUAAUCAAUCAACCAUAAUUACUCCUUAAUUAAUCCAUGAUUAAUCCUUAAUUAAGCAAUGAUUAUCCCUUAAUUAAUUCAUGAUUAAUUCUUAAUUAAUCAACCAUAUUCAAUAUGCAAUCAUGCAUACUCAUUCAUAAUUCAUUCAUCAUCUAUCUAGACUCACCUUUAAAUCCAUGGGAUUGGCUAAGGAAGACUAGACUCGAGCUCAAGCUAAUCACACUUCACUUCUGGAUCACUCUCGGUUCAGAACCAGCACAAGGAUCCGGCUGAUCCGAAUACUCUCCUUGGCCGUCUGAAUUCAAAACAUAACAGUUGGAACAUAAGGUUCACUAGUCUGGUUCAAGAAGAAACUCAACUCAGUUCAUAACAUUUCAGUUCAGUUCGGUUCAAGACAGAUUGAUACCAUGUUCAGCUCGGUUCAAGCUUUAACAAUUUAACUCGGUUCAUAUCAGCUUAGUUCAUGCUCAGCUAACUCCGGUUCUAAUCAGUUCCCAACAGUUUAACUCGGUUAUACUCAGACGACAUCAGUUCAAGACAAUUUCAGACCAUAGACAGCUCGGCUCAGAUCAUAUCAGAACAUACUCAGCUCAAUUCAGUUCUAAACAAGAUCAAAUCAGUUCAGUUUAAUUCCCAAAAUUCUUAUCAGUUCGUCUACUGGUUAUAUGAGACUGAUCAAAUCAUAAACCAACCAAGACUGAAGAGAACAAGACCUUAGACAACUGAUCCUGACAGGUUAACCAACAUACAGCAAUUGGUUCUCAUCAAAACAUGGCUGAAUCAAGAAGCUGACGAGACAUCGGAUAUCCGCGAUCUUCGCGACUACAUCACCAAGACUGUGGCAGAAGUGAGGGCCGUAAAGUCUCAAAUCCAUCAUGCUACUAGUGCUGCCCCCGAAAUCGAUCGACUGCUGGAAGGAGCUCGGAAGACCCCUUUUACCAGUCGCAUUUCGGACAUGAGGGUGUCCGAUCCGGGGAAAAUCAAAGUACCAAAGUACGAUGGUACGACCGAUCCAAAAGCGCACCUUCAGGCUUUCCACAUCGCGAUGGGAAGAGCUAGACUGAAGGACGGCGAAAAGGAUGCCGGCUACUGCCGCCUGUUCGUUGAAAACCUGGAAGGAGCAGCGCUUGAAUGGUUCGCACGCCUUCGUCGUAACACCAUCGGGAGUUUCCGACAGCUCGCAUCGGAAUUUCUCAAACAAUAUUCAUAGACAGAGAAACUUCCGAUGUUGAUCUCUGGAGUCUCUCCCAGAGGGAAUACGAACCCCUCCGCGAGUUUAUCGCCCGGUUCAAGCUGAUAAUGUCCAGGGUCAGCGGGAUAAGCGACAAAGUGGCCAUCGACGCGCUGAGGGGGACACUCUGGUACAAGUCGAAAUUCAGAAAGUGGAUAACUCUCGACAAACCGCGAACGAUCCAGGAUGCCCUCCCCAAAGCAACGGACUACAUCAUAGUCGAGGAAGAAACUAAGGUCUUAUCGCAAAAACAUAAGGCGGUAAGACCAUCUUCGAAGGACGUGGAUCCAAAAGGAAGAAAGAAGAACUCUCGUAACGACAAAUACGUCCAUCACGAGGGGGAAGAUCUCCAAGGGUCGCAUAAUUAUGCGAUCAAUUCGGAUCAAGGCCGAACCACGGGCAACACGUGGACUCGCAAUCAAGGGUGUGACGAAAACACCUUCUGCGAGUUCCACCAGUCCCGAGGACACUCCACCACCAACUGCAAAGUCUUGGGAGCAAGACUAGCCGCAAAGCUACUCGCUGGAGAGCUCUCGGAAGUAACUAGCGUCAAGGAUCUGAUCUUCGAUUCUGAUCGCCCUCCAAAGACGGACAGAAAUCCGCCCGCUGAAAAAUCCCCUCAACGAAACCAGCCUGGGGAUAAACGCGGUAGGAGGCCGGACGACAAGGGGAACGAUAACAAUCAUCGCUGAGUCAAUAUGAUCAUCGGAGAAUCACAAUACUGCGGCGAUACUGUGUCGGCGAUCAAGGCUUACCAACAGAAGGCAGAGUCGAGUGCAAAUUGGCCUACAUGGUCUCCUCCCCGAGAUGGCCAAAAUUGCUCGAUCACCUUCACAAAGGAGGAAGCCGGCGGCAUCGAUCAACCUCACUGCGAUCCGCUCGUCAUAGAUCUCGUCAUACGAGAAUUAGAAGUCGGAAGGGUACUCGUCGACACGGGAAGCACGGUCAACGUAAUCUUCCGCGACACUCUCAAGCGGAUGAGCAUCAAACUCGGAGAAGUAAUUCCGAUGCCAAAACCGCUCACGGGUUUUUCAGGCGAAGUAUCGAUGACUCUUGGAUCGAUCCAGUUGCCGAUCAUGGCCAAGGAGAUCACAAAAAUCGUCGAGUUCGCGGUAGUCAAAUUCCCAACCCCAAGUGGAGUCGUGGCUAUCUGGGGAUGCCAAAAACAGUCGCGACUAUGCUUCCUCGCAGAGCACAAGUUAAGACAAAUCACGACUUCUGCAGCUGCAAACGGCAAACGCACGAAGAUAGAUCGAUCUUCGGCCAAAAAUGCCCCAAGGAAAGACGAAUUAAAAUCGUCUGCCGACGCAAACGCAUCGGACGUCAAAACUCAACACGAAUCCGAAGCCCACGCUACAACUCAACCGGAACAUCCGGAAAAUAGCGAUGACCCAGCCACGAUCGACAUGGUCAAGGCGGACACCGCGACAUCUACCGCCGAGUAAAAACACUCGCGGCAUGAAACAGAACUACGAGAUGGCUUGAUCCUCGAAAGGGGUACGUAGGCAGCUCGUCAAAAGACGAGUUCAGCUAUCCCCCUCUCUAAAAAGGGGGGGGGGGGAGUGGGUGCGUAUACUCGUAUACUCCCACUUAGAAAAUCUUCAUUAUUGUAAUCGAGUUUUUAGAAAUUUCAAAAACGUUUACUACAAUCCUUUUUAUCAAAAACGUUUACGCUUCAGUUAAACACAAAAAACUUUCAGGACACGCCUGGAAACAUUAAGACUCUUGUCUGCGGCCUCAUCCGGCCCAAAAAUCGUAUAAUUAUCAUCUUUCAAACAUUGGAAGAUACACGUAUAAUCCUCGAAAUAACUGCGAGACGUCGCAAAGUUAAAAUUCAAAGAUAAUACGAACAAAUUGUCCGAAUGCGACCACCAAAAAAUCUUACACCCCGUUCGUCGAUUGGCCCCGACGAACACGCUAGCCGUCUUAAACAAACGCAAUUCGAUCACUCUUUUGAUCUUCAAAAACGUCCAACACUAGGACAAAAGCGUGCUACAACAAAAAUCCAAAAUUUUGGUUUAGCACUUCCAGUUGAUUCUGAGAAGAUGCUCGAUUCGUAUCAUACAAGUCAUCUAAGCCGAGAACUUAUCGUGGACUUUAAAUCGGUACGAGUCAGGAAGAAAUCGCAACAGGAAAAACGAUAGCCGGCUAGUAACCGCACAAACCUUAACCGAAAGUAAACCUAGGUCUUGCCCUAAACCCAACGCUCUGGUCUCAAACAUCUCAAGACAUGAUAUCUAAAAGAUACGAGAUCCUAAAACCAUGUCUCUCCGUUCAAAUCUCGAUGUUCCCGAAAAUCGUAAAGAUAGGUAAUUUUUUACGAAAAUCACGAACGAACUAACAGAUUGAACGUCUCAUCGGAGUUAAAUAUGAGACGACAACUUAUAUUUACUCCGAACCUACUCAGGAAAACUCGAAAUAAAACAUUCAUCAUAUAUAUAAAACCGCUUAAAAAGCGGUAAGGGAUUCAAAGCCACCAACGGCCAGUCCCGAUAAGCAAUAAAAAUGGCCAAAACAGGCCCAUACAAAUCUCUCGACCACACUCGGCCACAAACAUAAAACAGAAAGAGAAGCAUUUUUCUUUCAAUAACCACUCCACCUCUCAUAAUCCAAAGUCAAAAUCCCCGGAAAACGAAGCACCGAAUGCAUCCGCGGAACGAUCCACUUCCUCGCUACCGUCAGGAAACCCGGUCGGAACCUCCUCGGUAUCAGGAGAAACCGGGAUGGAAUCCCAGAAUCCUUGAAUCCGCUCGUCGAUCGAAGGGAUGAGCGCCUCAGCGUGGGCGCGUUCGUUCAUGCCACUCUUCAUCAAGGUCAUUUCCUUCUCUAACACAUAGUCAUCGGCUUGCGUCCUCCAAAGACUUCCGACUGAACCGCGGCACUCACGGAAAUCACCCACCGAGGUAAAGGCGUUCUUGAGGUUCCCAUACUCAACCUGGAAUUGAGAGGCACGAGUCUUCAUCACCUCGACGAUUUCUCUGUUGCCUUUCCUUUCCGCCUUACGGACAGCCCGCGCAUGAUCACAAGUAAGUUGCGCUUCUCGCUCCAACAUCUCGCCUUGCACGCGAGCGAGAUCUCGUUCCGCUUUCUCCGCUUUAAAACGAUAGACCAUAGCCUCCCUAUUGCUUGCUUCAAUGGCAGAGCCAAGCAAGUUGAGGCCCUGCGAAACCAAUUAACGCAUUGUAAGCAGAGAAAGAAAUACCCAGGCAAUCACAUAUAUUUUCGAAAAAAUCAUACCCCAUUGAUGAUUCGGGACCCUUCCGCGAUGACUUUCGGCCUCGCCGACUCUUUCGCAGGUGGAGGAGCAUCAAAACCCGGUGGCAGACCCGCAAAUAAAUCAUCGAAAUCCGGAAUAGGGACCUCGCUCGAGCCACUCCCAUCGCCAUAAGCAAGGUUCGGAUCCCAUCCUGGAAGCAUAGAGUCAUCCAUCGAAAAUUCUAUGUCGCCAAGGUCGAUAUCCUUUCCCUUCCAAAAGUUCGACUCCGGCACAGCUGCUGGGGCUACAACGGGAUUCUGGUCAUCAGGUUCGGAGUCGCUUCCCGUGUCUGCAACCGAGGCAGGACCAGGGUGCACGAACCUCAGUGCCUUCCGAAUCCUCUUCGACGUAAAGGAAGUCCAAAAGAAGGGACCAUUCCUAAGAAGAUCUCUCACCGCAAUGAUGUCCUCAGGGAACAGAGCAAGAGGAUUGAUUAAAGAACGAUAGUUCGGCAACCUCCAGAACAGGGGAAUGCAACUCUCUUCGACAGACGCAACGUCUAUACGAACAAAGAAGAAAAACUACCUCCACGAGUUGAAGUUCGAAAUGAACUUCUUAACCACUGACAUAAAGUUCCGAGGGACCAGCCUAUGCUUGUCCGUAUCUUUGACGAGUUGAAGCCUCAAAAGCGCUUCAAAAUGAUCGACGGAAAGGGAAAGGCCAUGCUCGUAGCUCAGGAUCAGGAUCCCAAUAAGAUGCUGAAUGGCGAGGGGAGUCAACUGGCUUAUCGCAACCUCGAAACGGUCCAACACUCAGACGAGGAUUUCGGGGAUUGGGAACCAUAAUGCGCAACCCACCAUGCCGUUUUUGACCCCAACAGUUAGCCCCCCAGCCCGUUAGAGUUGUGACUCUAGCUGGCGGAUAGAUGAUUUUGACAAGGUUAAGCGUAUUGGACGAAAUUCACAUUUUAAACUCCGCGGAAAAAAAGUUAUCGAAACAGUAUUCCGAACCCAUACUUCUAUAAGUAGUGAGCUCUUGUCAUUCAUUUUCUUCACACCUUCCCUUUUUCAUUCCUUCAAAAACCUCUCUAGUUUCAAAACCGUUCCUUUCAACAUGUCUUCCUCCCAAGGUGAUAAGAGAGAUUCCGACGUCGAGAUGGGCGAGGCCACUUCUCCGGCUGAAGCGCCGGCUACGUAGCGACCAAGCUUUGGCUCGAGCGCGGUCGAUACGUAGCGACCGAGCGGGACGAGCUCUCGGUCGCUACGUAGCGACCGAGCUUUGGCUCGAGCUCGGUCGCUACGUAGCGAUCGAGCGGAACGAUCGUUCGGUCGCUGCGUAACGACCUGUUUUGAGCUUUCGUCGGACGUCUCGAUUCUUUCUUCCAUAAAGCUUUUUUCGUAAGAAAGAAUCUAUUUCGAAAAGUAUUCAUCGGGAAAAUUCUUAUUCUUUUCCUCGGACGUUUUGAAUGCUAAAUUUGUCGUAACCAUUUUGGACCCCAACAAUUAGCCCCCUAGCCCAUUAGAGUCGUGACUCUAGCGGGCGGAUAGACGAUUUUGACAAGGUUAAGCGUAUUGGACGAAAUUCACAUUUUAAACUCCGCGGAAGAAAAGUUAUCGAGACAAUAUGUGUGUUUUGAAUUCCGAACCCAUACUUCUAUAAGUAGUGAGCUCUUGUCAUUCAUUUUCUUCACACCUUCCCUUCUUCAUUCCUUCAAAAACCUCUCUAGUUCCAAAACCUUUCCUUUCAACAUGUCUUCCUCCCAAGGUGAUAAGAGAGAUUCCGACGUCGAGAUGGGCGAGACCACCUCUCUGGCUCCGGUUCUGACUUCUCCGGCUGAAGCGCCGGCUUGUGUUGCCGGUCAUCUUUCCUUCCGAGAGAAACUAGUUCGUCGCCAAGCCGAGAAAGAACUGGCUCAAGCUGGCUCCGAGUUCCCGUCUUCUUCUGCGCAGGUCGUUGCCCCGGGUUAUGGAACCGAGGUCAUGGCUCCUCUUCCGCAAGCCCUACCUGCGGGUUCUUCUACGACUCCGAUCCUUGUCAAGGACAAGGAGAAGGCCGCUGACUCUAGGCCUCCUCCUCCAGCCAGGAAAGAAAUCGUUCUGGUGUUGCGUGCUCCUAGCGUUGUUCCGGUUGCUCAGCCUAAGAGUCGGAAGAGGAAACUUGCAACAAGGUGGAUCGAGCCUAGCAUCGGGACUUCGCGGAAAGGUUCGUCUCUUGCUUGAAUUCUCGAUCGUCUUAUGUACAUUCUUUCUCGGACUUAGUCUUAAGAAUUUUCACUGUUUGCAGUUCAUAUCGUUGAUCGAUGAGAUGAUCAGCGAGUGUGGUUCUGAGACCAGUCUCCUUUCCGGGGAGUUGGUGGAGCUUCAGGGCGUGAAAUCCGCGUGCUUCCUUCCGACGUGUUCAGAAGACCCAGAGGGGAAAGACCCGAUGGUCGGAGAAAACAGAGGCAACGCGGCUCCAGGCUCGGACGAGGCAGCGGGUGAAGAGGGGGCGUGAGUUCUGAGGAUGACUUGGGUUAGAUCUCUUGCGAGAGAUUUUUUUUAUGUUUUUAUGUUUCGGCCUUGAAUGGCCUUGUUUUGUAUUUCGGGACUGGCCGUGUGUGGCUUUAAAUCCCUGCCGCUCCGCGGCUUUUUUUUUAUGGUAAGAUAUUCAAAUGGCGCUUUUUAUGAGUUUGUGUAUAAUGGGGAGGAAGGUGAUGAGUUGUCGUCUCAUAUCCCUCUCCGAUUGUGAAAUGUUUCAUUCAAGAUCGGUUUCGAGAGUUCUUCCGCAAGAUGUGAACUCUGCGGGGGUGCUGAAGAUGUCGAAUAUAAACAUAGAGGCAUGGUUUAGGAAUCUCUUAUCUUUCGAUAUCAUGCCUUGAGAUGUUAGAGACCAGUGCGCUGGGUUUAGGGCAAGACCUAGGUUUACUUUCGGUUUUAAGGAUUGUGAGGUUACGAGCCGGCUAUCAUUUUUCCUGUUGCGAUUUCUUCCUGAUUCGUGUCGAUUUAAAGUCCGCGAUAGGUUCUCGGCUUAUACGACUUGUUUGAUACGAAUCGAGCAUCUCUCUGGAGACCGGAAGUGCUAGACCAAAAUUUCGGAUUUCUUUUAUAGCGCUAUUAUCCUUGUGUCGGAUGUAAGAGAGUCGUCUUCGUGAGAUGGCUAUGUCUGUUUAGGACGUUUGUGAGUUCGAUGUGAUCAGCAUCGGAGUUGGUGGCGCGUGCCGUUCUUUCGAAUUUUUGCGCAAAAUAAGUGUUAAUGUGUGCAUAUUUAUGUCUUUUUUGUGACGGAGGUUUCGUCUGUUCGGAAGAAAUAAACUUUGAGGCAUCUUUUGCGACGUCUCGCAAUGCUAAAGGAUGCUUCUUCUAAACGUCCGACUAAUUUCCGAAGACCUCGUACUGAUUUUACGGGUGAGGAUGUUUUGAUAAGUCGAAAACACCAAGAGCGUGGUAAGAAGUUUUUUUUUGAUUUUUGGGAGUAUACGUACCCACUCCCCCCCCCCUUUUUAAUGAGGGGGGACAGCUGAAUUUGCCUUUCGGCAAACUGCCUACGUACUCCUUGCGGAGAUCAAGCCGUCUCGUAGUUCAGUGAUUGCGAGUUGGUUUGUUUAGUGAUAGUAUUUUUUGAGAUGCAUCGCGUUCCAGGUUAUAGGAAUUUUCAUGCCUUGCAUAUUGACUAUUUCGUAAGAACCUGGUCGGACGACUUUUUCGAUUUUAUAGGGUCCUUUCUAGUUUGCUCCGAGUUUUCCUGCGUUUCGUUCAGCGGUGUUUUAGAAGACUUUGCGAAGGACCAGAUCUCCCUGAUUGAACCUACGAUUUCGUACGUUGGACUUAUAGUAUUUUGCAGCGGCGUGCUGGUAAUUUUGGAUUCGGAUGAGCGCUCGAUCUCGGCGCUCGUUAAUGAGGUCGAAAUCAUCCAAGAGCAUAGCAUCGUUGAGUUCCUCUCGUUCGGGUAAUAACCUUCUUCGAACGCCGGGGAACUCUACUUCUGCGGGAAUCAUGCAUUCUGUGCCGUAUAGCAAAGCGAAGGGAGUUUCUCCCGUUGCUCGCCUUGGGGUGGUACGGUGAGACCAGAGGACUCCCUCGAGUUCGUCGGCCCACCUGCCUUUUUUGGCCUCUAAGCGUUUCUUCAGUCCGUCAAGAAUGGUCUUGUUGAUUGUUUCAGCCUGUCCGACCAUUCGAAUUUUUUAUUUCCUCGCAGGAUGUCGUAGAAAGGUAGGCACUUGUCUGUUGAUCGUGAAAUAAAUCGGUUAAGCGCUGCGAUCCUGCCGGUCAACCUCUGGACUUCCCGCUUAUUCUUUGGAGAAGCCAUCUCGAUUAGUGCGUUGAUCUAUUUUGGAUUUGCUUCGAUGCCGCGAUAUGUGACCAAGUAGCCGAGGAAUUCCCCUGACGCCAGGGCGAAUCUACAUUUUGUCGGGUUGAGCUUCAUGUUAUGGGAAUUUAAUUGCGCAAAGCACUCUUCGAGAUGUGACACGUGAUCUUUUGCUUUGAGGGAUUUGACGAGCAUGUCGUCGAUAUAAACCUCCAUCGUUUUUCCGAGUUGUUUGGAGAACAUUCGGUUUACGAGUCAUUGGUAAGUUACGCCGGCGUUUAUGAGGCCGAAGGGCAUUACCUUAUAGCAAUAAGUUCCACGAUCGGUAAUGAACGCAGUCUUCUCGCAAUCGUCGGGAUUCAUCCUAAUUUGAUUAUAACCUGAGAAGACAUCCAUGAAGGAUAAAAGUUCGUUGCCCGCUGUUGCCUCUACCAAUCGAUCGAUAUGUGGUAGAGGGAAGCUAUCCUUUGGACAUGCUUUGUUUAGGUCGGUAAAAUCCACGCAAACUCGCCACUUCCCGUUCUUCAUUUUGACUACUACUGGGUUGGCGAGCCAGUCUGAGUAUCUUACUUCUGUUAUCGACCCAACCUUAAGCAAUUUUUUGACCUCAUCGUUUACUGCAGCAGCCGUUCGGGUCCUAGCUUCCGUCUUUUUUGUUUGACAGGUUUAAAUGUUGGAUCGAUAUUCACCUCGUGAUAUGUUAUGUUAAUGUCGAUUCCCGGCAUAUCUUCCGCAGCCCAUGCGAAAGUAUUGAGGUUCUUUUUAAGACAAGCUACGAGUUCUGUUCUUAAAGCCUCGCGGAGAUUGGCUCCAAUCUCGACGCAGCGUUCCAGGAAGGCUUCAUCGAGACAGAUCGUUACCACGGGCUCGCAAGUUGGCUAGUGUUUUUCGGCUAGUGCUGCGAUGCUGCGAGAUUGCCAGAAAAGUUCUGCUGAAUCCUGACCUCGCGUAUCUUUGCUGGAGGUCUUUUUCUCCACUUUUCUAGGAGUGAUCUCGAGGAUCGGUCUCUUUCGUUUUAGUUCUGUGGCGAAACAAACCUGUGAAACUCUCGGAUUUCCCCAUAUUACCUCGACUCCGUUAGGGGUCGGGAACUUGAGGCAAAGAUGGUACGUUGAUGGGAUUACGCGCAUGGCGUUCAGCCAUGGUGUUCCCAUGAUAACGUUGUAAGAUGCGGGACGGUCAACGACUAGAAACUCUGUGACAUUCGCCACGGUUCCGGCUUUGACAGCGAGAUUAAUCGAUCCAUAGACCAUGGUUGUUUCCCCCGAAAGUCCCAGCAGUGGGCUUGGGCAUUUCGUGACUUCGGAUUGAUUGAUCCCCAUCUUUUCGAGAGUGUCUUUGAAGAUGAUAUCGGCCGAACUUCCGGUAUCGAUUAGUACCCUAGCGACGUCGAUAUCUCGAAUCGUCAACUCGAUAACAAGGAGAUCGUUUCGAGGUUUGGCUCGAUCGAUCGUUGCUCCCCCCUUGAAUGAGAUGACGUUCGCGCACGUCGAAUCUUGCAUACCGUUCCUGAUCGUUGGGUGGCUUUUGCGGGUUAGAUUGAUCCGUAUGCCCCCCUCCUUCUAGCGCCAAACUGUGGGAACCGAAAUUCGCACUGUCGAUUUCCGUUUAAAUAAGGAAAAUAGGAAAAUCCUAAUUUCCCAGAGGACCCGGAUAUCUGCUAAUUACCACACGUCAAGCAAUCGGAACACGAGAAUAACAACGAUAAAGUAUAAGAAAUCGAAAAAGAGAGCAAAGAAGAUCUUAUUUCCAAAUUUGCGUAUGAGCGUUUACAACAAGGUAUAAGCCUGGGCUAGGGAGCUGUCGGCGAGAUUCCUAGUUCUAGCAACCCUAAGACGGCUAAACCUAAUUGAGUCGCAGCUCGAAAUAACAAAAACGGAAAAAUGCCUAAAUUGCUCUAAGUGCUAAGUUUGCUCUGAAAAAGUUCUCUCUAUGCUCCUCGCCUAGGACUCCUUAUAUACUAGCUCCAAGGUCGGUUUACGCUUUUACUCUUCUGCCCUUAAGCCGUUAUAGCAUAAAAAUGGAGAUAUUCCAUUUUUCUCGAUCUUCACAAUUAUCUUCAAAACUUCCGUAUUUAUCCGCGGAAACUUGACAUUAAUCCUUCCUUGUGGACCAAGCGUAAACCGUGCUGUGGUUUAUGGGCUUUUUGUUAAGAAAACGUAGGAUGGGCCUCGAGUCGUGUUUUUGGUCCCUUUGGGCCGUCUUCCGACUCGACACGUUUACUACGAGUUCUUUCGAUAAAGAACGAAAUUUCCGCGGUUUUUAAUUCGCAAAGUCUGAUCGAUGAUUUAGAAUAGCGGAAAGCAAGGACUGAGCUUGCUACGGUCUUCGGGAGAUAGCAUUUGAAGGUUUUGACGAGAAUGCAUAGACUGGGGUCGUAUCGAUGUUCGGAAGAGCUCGCUCGCUACGCAAUGACCAAACUUUGGCUCAAGCCCGGUCGCUAUGUAGCGACCGAGCGAGACGGACGCUCGGUCGCUACGUAGCGACCGAGCUUGGCUUGGGCUCGGUCGCUACGUAGCAACCGAGCGAGACGGACGCUCGGUCGCUACGUAGUGACCGAGUGGGACGGACGCUCGGAAGUGGUCACGACCUGUUUUGAGCUUUCGUCGGACUUCUCGAUUCUUUCUUCCGUAAAGCUUUUUCGUAAGAAAGAAUCUUUUUCGAAAAGUAUUCAUUGGGGAAAUUCUUAUUUUCUUCCUAGGACGUUUUCAAUGUUAAAUUUGUCGCAACCGUUUUUGACCCCAACACUAUGUUGUCAUAGGCGUAUGCUGAAAGAUCUGUCAGUUCCUUUUGCAUUGACUCUACUGUCUUUUGUAUCAGCUGCUCGCCGAUUGGUAUAGACUCGGCGUCGAUCGAUGCGAUUACGUGUUUGUUGGUCGAUCUCGGUGAGUUGCCGUCGAUUGAUUUUGCUUUUGUCCUGUUGGUCGAUGCUGAUAUCUGAUGUUGAGCUGCGAGUUGCCUCUGAAUGGCUUUGACUUCUUUCUGUAGCCAUUCUGCGUGGUUGUCUAGUCCACUGAUUUUGUUGUCGAAUGGAAAGUAGAUGUCAUCGCAGCGUUUGUCAAGUCGUUCCUCCAUGGUGUCUAGAGCAGUGUAGAUCUUGGAUGUGAUCUUGUUAACCUCUGCUGCUGCGUAAGGAAGUAACUCCACAGGUUUCUUGCCAUCGAUCCAGGAUCCUCUUAGCCUGUCGAUCGAUGCUGAUUUUUCCUGCAAAAAACUUUGAUUAGUAAUGUUCUCAAUAUCCAAUUGGGCAUCAAGUAAUUGACUAGACAAUUUGGUUAAAUCUAUCAUGACUGGUGAUAUAAAACGGUCAUGCAUAUCCUCGUAAGUCCUCAGCCUCUCAUUUAUUGCUGAGACUUUGGCGUCGUGCGAUGUGAAGGGGUACAUGUCGAUCGAUGUGGCUGGAUGUUGGUCCUUCUUGCGAAUGGUGUCCAGAUCUUGCUGUAGUAGCUCGAUUUUAGUGCUUAGCCAGUCCACGUUGUUGUUGAGAGGGCAGUAAACAUCGUUUAUCCUCGUGUUGAUGUAUGCGACUUCUCAUUCAUCCCUGUGUUGUGUUGAACAUCGCGGUUCUGCAAGGAUCUGAGUAGUAGGGAGACUGACGUCGAUCGAUGUUGGACGUGGUGCGUCGAUCGAUGCUGAGGUGGUAGCUUCCUUUGCAAGUUGCUGACGUAAACUUUCAAUUUUUGUCCUCAUUUCUGCCAUACAUCUGAAAAGUUCAUUGUAGCCUCUAUCCAAAGGCUGGUGUGUUUCAUCUACCAGUGUUUUGAGCUCCUCCCCCAGUUUCUCCUGAGCUCCACAAAUACCAAACACCAUUUCAUCGAUUUCUUCUUUGGUGUAGAGUUCUGGUGCCAGUCUUGUGAGUGUGAAGGAAGUGGCAUGUUCUGGAAGACAGAUGUAGCUCUCUUCAAAAAGAGAUGCUCUUUCCAGUAUUUUCCUGAUGUUGUCCUUUGUGACAGGUAUCAUCUCACCAGCUGUGCUUGGUGCGUGUCCACGUUCAUAUCUGUAGACUCCAUAUUUGUCCCUUUGUUCCCAAGUGAACUUUCUGGCUCCAUACAUGUCGAAAGCGCGGCUCCAACAUUCAUAGCGUCUCUCGAUCAACGUCGGAUAAUCCAUAUCGAUCGACGUUGCUGUUACCAUGGCGAUCGAUGUCUCUGUUGUACCGUCGAUCGAUGCUUGCCCUUUUGGUUGGCGUGAUAGAUCUGUGUUGAUCUCUGUUGUGGCGACUCCUGCGUGGUUGUUAGGAUUUGUUAGAAUGACGUCUGGAGUGCCACGUUGCUGUGAGAACAAGUUGUCAGGUACAUUCGCUACUUGAAGGAUGUCUGCUAUGUCCUCCUUGGACACUUGUAAAAUCCUUCCAUCCAUUGCACGUGCGUUGCCAUCUGGAUCCCUGAAAAUACCAAAUUCAUCAGGUGUUAGAAAACCGUAAUUAAUGUUUGCAUAAUUAUUCAUUUUAGAAAUAGAGAGAUUAGGGUUUAGAGUAGUAUCGAUCGAUGUAGAUACAGUUACAUCGAUCGAUGGCAGAGUAAUUUCUGCAGAACUUGUGUUCUUGAGAUGAUUGCUCUUCAUGGAUUUUUCUGUUGAUGUAGAAGGAAGAGUGUUCAUCUUAUUUGCUUGUGUGUUUGCUCUGAUAUGUGUAGGUGGUUUCGGAGGUGCAAAACGAUUUAUAUAGGUAUCUGUAAACCUAGUUAGGGAGGAAAUAUUCUCAUGCUCCUGAAUUUUCGCUGCGGCGCGAAUAUCGAUCGAUUUUCCUUUCGGUGUGUCGAUCGAUGUGAGCGGUUGUUUUGCUGGACGAGGGUGGGUAUCGACCGAUGUGGAGUGCCCAGCGUUGAACGAUGUUGUAAACGUGUUGGUGAACUUGUGUAUUUCAAGUCUUUCAUCCUGCAAAGACAUUUCUAUUGCAUGUUCUUUCCAGUAAUCCUCAUCGUACUCCUCGGUAUGUUCCUCAUGAGGUGAAGUAAUUACAGUGUCAACUGCAAAACUUUCAUGGAAACCAAUGUCUGCCCAACUGCCUAUGGAAUAAUCAUCAUGUCCUCUCCUGGUUGAAGGUUGGAAGGCAAAAUGUUGGUAACAAUGAUUAGGUGAAGCGAAAUGGUCAAGUGGGUGCAUUACCUCGAGUGACGUGUUGUUGUGGUCAUCGGUCACCAUUGACACAUUGGAAUCGAUAAAUGGAAAGGUUGGGGUAUCGAUCGAUUUCGAGUACUCUGUUUUGUACUCCGAUUCAUACUCUGCUCCACAAUGGCUUGCGCCAAUGAAGCCAAGUUCUUUCCCAUAAUCCACAUAAUUAAUUACCUUUCUCUUAGGUCGGAUGGGAUCGCAGUGGAUGUUUGGGUCUAUGAGCGUUACACACAAUUUGUUUUUGUUCAUGUCACAUACAGCUCCUACUGUAGCUAGGAAAGAUCUUCUAAGCAGAAGUCAAGAGUUCCAGUUAAGCUCGAUGUCUAAGACAUGAAAAUCUACAGGGACAAGGGCAUUACCAAUCAGUACCUCCAGAUCUCUUAUGAUGCCUCCGGAUCGUUUCUCUGAAAGAUCCACGAAGGUGAAGGAUUCUGUUGAGGGUUCGAUGGUCAAACCAAGCUGGUCUGCCAUAAUCCUAGGGAGGAUACUAACCGAUGCUCCUGUGUCACACAUUGAAUGGGGAAAUUCAACACCCUUGACUAUGCAUGGUAUUGCAAACUUCCCAGGAUCACUCUUCUUCGUCAAUGUGAUCCUGUGUUUCAUCUUUCCUCUGACUUGAUGAAACAUUAUACUAAUGCCCUCCUCAGUUACCUUUGUUUCUCUGAAGAACAUCCACAACCGGUGUGUGAAGUAAGCUUCAUCAAAAGGUUUUUCGAUUGGGAUUCUGAGGACUCGUUUAGUGAAACCAUCCAUCUCUUUAUCGUUAGCUUCCCUCUUAAGGUUUUUAGGAAUCUUCUCCUUUCUUUUCCUUAACCUUCAACCCUUGAACUAGUUAAAGGGUUGGGUUUUGGUUCGGGUGGGUUUGCUAAUGGUUUAGGUGGUGGUCUGAGUGCAUUGAUGUAAUCAUUAUCGAUUGAGGGUAACCGCACUCGGUAUGUCAGAGGUGCCUGUUGAUCGAUGGGAGGUGUGUUGUGACGAUCGACGUCGGACUCACUCUGUCGAUCGAUGGUUGCGUUAACCGAUCGAUCGAUUUUUUCACAGAAAGGGGAGGGUGGGUGAGGAUGCUUAGCUGCGAAUUCUUCAUGAGUUAGAAUUCGAACCGCAUUGCAUUCAGUCGAAUUGGCAGACAACGUCGAUCGAUGACUGGAGUAAUCCGUCCAUCGAUCUUCAUCAUGGUCUGUCGAUUGAUGCGAGUUCAUCGACAUCGGUCGACACCAUUGGGAUCCGCCGAAACUCAUGGAGCUUUCGAUUUCGAAAUCUCCUUCCUCAAGGUUUUCAUUUCUCACCACUUGCCAGAAUUCGUCAUCUAUGAUGGCAUUUACGUGGUGUUUCCCUUUGUCGGCUCCUGCUUCUCUAGCGAAAGCUUCUUGCCUCUUAAUAGUCUCGCCCGUCUGAAUUACUUGGGUUUCAAGUUUUCUCACCUGAGUCCCUAAGGUCUCGAUUUUGGUGUUCAGAUUGUUGUAGGCAGAGUCUAUCUUACCGUUGAAAUCCACGGUGAUUUGUUGUUGUCCCAACAGUACUCGAUCAAGCAUUUCUUCGAUCUUGCUUUCCUGAGUCUGGGGUGGUGGAUUUUGAUAGUAAGAGUUCGAGUAGCUCUUGCUGUUGUUGAAGGGUUUUUGAAAUUGUGAACUUUGGUUACUUCUUUGGCCAUUUCCAAAGAAGUUUCUGUUUCCGCCCUGGUUUCCAAAUUUCUGGAAUCCGGUACCUCCGAUGUAGUUCACAUCUUCUUCUCCUUCUGUAUCUGCUACUUCUCCUUCAGCUGAACAGACUUGCUUCCUAAGAAGCUCGUGCACCACAUCUAACUUAGCUCUUACUUCGUCCAUCUGUUCCUUCCCGAUAGAGGCUACAGACUUCUUCCGUUCAGAGUCAGUGUUUUUGGUGCUGCUGCUGUUAGCAAGGUUUUCGAUAAGUCUCACAGCUUCCAACGGAUUCCGAGUAGUGAAGUUUCCUUCACUCGCCGUAUCAAGAGCCAUUUGAUACUGUAAGGCGAGACCUCGAAGAAAGUGCUUAGCAGCUGCACUUCAUUAAAUCCGUGGUGUGGACAGUCUCGCUGGAAAAACCUAAAUCUAAUCCACGCAUCUUUGAAGGACUCUCCAGCCUUCUGCGAGAAUGUGGAAAUUUUGUUCCGAAGUUCUUCAGCGCGCGCCUCAUCGAAGAAGUUUCGUAAGAAAGCAUUCUUGAUGUCGCUCCAGGAUGUUAAAGAUCCUGUGGGUUGCUGCCUAAGCCAGUGCAUCGCUUCUCCAUUCAGCGUGUAUCUGAAGAGCUUGCACAGCAGGUAAUCUUCGGGGACUCCUUCCAUCCGAAUGGCAGCGAUUAGAUCCUCGAACCGUUCCAAAUGGUCCAUAGGAUGCUCGUGCGGUAACCCAGAGUAGGGUAUCUGCGACACGAGAGUGUAGUAUUGAGGCUUCAGCUCGAAAUUCUGCUUCUGGAUCUCCGGAAGUCGAAUCGCUGAUCUGUUGGAAUAGUACUCAUCUGGGCGAUUGUAGUCGGCCAGUGGUUUCGAUCGAGCGUCCUCAUCUACAGGUUGAGCAGCUCCUGUAGCAUCAGCAUCAGGGAUUACAGUUCCCUGAGCAUCUAUUUUCUGACCUGUUGCAUUAUGCAGAUGACCGGCCUGGUCAUACAGGUUUCCGUUCUCAUCCUGAGUUAGAAUAAUAAUGUUUACCAUUUUUGACGACACAGUAUCGAUCGACGUACGCGGUGUAGUAUCGAUCGAUUUCGAACGAUUGGGAUCAAUCGACGAUGACGGUCUGGUGUCGGUCGACGGUUGGUUGUGUGUAUCGAUCGACGACGAAGUGGUUGCGUCGAGCGAUGUGGAACGUUGACCUCUACGGAUGGUGCGUUCCAAAUGAGCAGGAUCGUCUGAGAACAGCAAGUCUUUCUCCUUGUUGCUUCUGGUACCGCUGGGCAUGCACCUGAAAAGACAAGAAAAAGAAAGAUUGUUAGAAAAGGGGGUAAAGAAAAGAAUAAGAAUUAAUAAAACUAAAUCUAAUGGCGAUCAAAGCUCCCCGGCAAUGGCGCCAAAUUUGAUACCACUCAAAUUACCCUAAGGAGUGUUACUCUCAUCAAAAGAGGUUCAGAUGUACUACUUAGGGAUCGAAUUCACAAGGAGCUAGGGAACAAUUAAAUCUAGUGUUUAUUAAUUCUAAAGGUUGUAAUGUUUUAAAUAAAAUAGCAAUAGUAACUAGCUAGUAAAUGAUAAAUGUAACUUAGGUUGGAAAUGAUAUUAGAUGCAGGGCCACUAUUCAGGUGUUGGAGAUUAUAAUUCCUAUAGAUGCCUAACUGUUGCAUGCAUGAUAUAUUAGAGCUCAUUCGCUUAACUCAGUGAUCAGCUGUCGCAUGUACCACUGGUUAACAGACUAGAUCUUGUGUCUCAUCGGUUAGAUGCAGACACAAGAGAGUGUCGAUCGAUAGUCUAUGAAGAUGUCGACCGAUACACUUUUGCCAACAUCGAUCGAUUGUCAGUUGAGGACAUCGAUCGACGGGUUCUAGCCUGGCCUACGCGCGAGUAUGAAAUGCUCUACUAAAAUUUUCAAUUGGCGGUUAGCCCUCUCUAGCAAUCCUAAUAUGAUAGAUAGAUGUCAGGAUGGGAUAACAAGGGUGCUUGAAUAUGCAAUCAUAUAAUCAAGUUCUAGUUAGCUAGGCUAAAACAAGCAAUGAAUACAAAUCUAUCAUGAAUAUCACAACAAGGCAGAUCUAUAGUUUGGGGCUAGUCCCACAAACCUAUCUGAACCCUGGAUCUAACAAUUGAACUACUCAGACAUAGCAAAGCAAUUCAUAUUAAUAGAUAAAUAGAAACUCAUAGAAUAGAUGAUAAGAAAAUGAAACAAGGAGUUCCAAUCACAAGUGAUCUUCUCUCCAAAUGAAACUUGUAACAAAACUAGGUCUAGAAAAGAAAAGCUCUCUCUGCCGUCAAAACUUAGGCAGUAUAUAUUCUACUAGGAUAAAAACUCGUCAGGGCAUUUUGGUAAUUUGGUUUGGCCUUGGUCUUUCAGUCUGCUGAAUCCAAAAUGUCGCGUCUGGUGUCUACAUCGAUCGUCAGCACUGAUGCGCAUCGAUCGAUUAUUCUUCCUCUCGUCGACCUCUAAGUGGUCAGCUCGGGUUAAAUGUCCUUUAUGCUCCAAAAUGCUCCAAAGUCAUAGCUUUACUCCGAAAUGCACCUGAACCUGAAAACAUACCUAGAAGAGUAGAAAACAUAGAUACACUAUAGUAAAAUAAUAAUAUACCAUGGAUAAAAAUGGGUCAAAUCCAAGGUAUAUCAAAGGUCCUUUUUCGCAAUUUUUUUCUUCCUCGACAUUUUACACUUCUCUUGAGAAAAUAGAGGAAAAGGGUGAAGAGAAAGAAAGAAAGUUUUUCUUAAGAAAGAUCUUAGAGAAAACAAGAAAGUGAAAAAAUUGUGAAACAAGUUACCUCCUUUCUUAUAGGCAUGAGAAUUUACUAUUCAAGCUCGGACUUUCGGAUAUUAAUUCCAUCCAACACGCCUAACUUGCCAAACAUGCCUAACCGCACGAUAGGACCCUGCGAUGCAUGGUCCUAACGGGCUGGGGGGCUAACUGUUGGGGUCAAAAACGGUCACGACGGAAUUACAACUUGAAAAUCCUCGGAGAUCAUAUUUCCGAAAGAGAUAGUAAAAAAAAGAUAGAAUUUUCGUAAAAAAUAAACAAUACGAAGUUUUUACGAAGAAGUAUCCCUGAAGAUUCAAACCAAACGAACAAAGCUCGGUCGUUGCGUAAUUACCGCGCAUACACGCUGUCCGGUCGCUACGUAGCAACCAAGCCCGGGCCGAUAUCAGUCGCUACGUAGCGACCGAACAUCCGACCCACUCGGUCGCUACGUAGCGACCGGGUUCGAGCCAAAGUUUGGUCGCUGUGUAGCUCUUCCGAACAUCGAUACGACACCAGUCCAUGCAUUCUCGUCAAAACCUUCAAAUGCUAUCUCCCGAAGACUGUAGCAAGCAUAGUCCAUGUUUUCCACUAUUCUAACUCAUCGUUCAAACUUCGCGGAUUAGAAGCCGCGGAAAGUUCGUUUUUUAUCAAAAGAAAUCGUAGUAAACGUGUCGAGUCGGAAGAUGGACCAAAGGGACCUAAAACAUGACUCGAGGCCCAUCCUACGAUUUCUUAACCAAAAGCCCGUAAACAACAGCACGGUUUACGCUUGGUCCACAAGGAAGGAUAAAUGUCAAGUUUCCGUGGAUAAAUACGGAAGUUUUGAAGAUAAUUGUGAAGAUCGGGAAAAAUGGAAUAUCUCCAUUUUUAUGCUAUGACGGCUUAAGGGCAGAAGAGUAAAAGCGUAAACCGACCUUGGAGCUAGUGUAUAAGGAGUCCUAGGCGAGGAACAUGAGGAGAGAACUUUUCAGAGCAAACUUAUCACUUAGAGCAAUUUAGGCAUUUAUCUGUUUUUGUUAUAUCGAGCUGCGACUCAAUUAGGUUUAGCCAUCUUAGGGUUGCUAGAACUAGGAAUCUCGCCGACAGCUCUCGAGCCUAGGCUUAUACCUUGUUGUAAACGCUCAUACGCAAAUUCGGAAUAAGAUCUUCUUUGCUCUCUUUUUCGAUUUCUUAUACUUUAUCGUUGUUAUUCUCGUGUCCUGAUUGCUUGACGUGUGGUAAUUAGCAGAUAUCUGGGUCCUCUGGGAAAUUAGGGUUUUCCUAGUUUCCUUAUUUAAACGGAAAUCGACAGUGGGAAUUUCGGUUCCCACACUGCACAUAGGACACUGAAAAACAGAGUGCAUGAGGGUGAAAAUAAAGGCAUAGGUGAUGUUAGGAGUUUUCAAGGCUCCUAAAACAAAUGUUGUAGUAUAAAAGAUUGUCGAACCAGUUCUGAGGGAUAUCAAAGCACUGAGAAUGCAAGUACUCACUUAAUCUAAGUGCAACCAAUGAUUUAGAUGAGUUUUAAACUACUACUAAUACUAGAAAGCAAUAACAGAAUGAUACUUUCUUAACUAAGGGAAAAGAGAACUCAUGGGCAUAGGGAUUAGACCUUGGGUGAUCAAGUAUCGAACUAAGGAUGGCAAAUGAUCAAUCAAACUAUCAACCUUAAGCCUAGACACAAUUCUAAGCAAGCUCUAUGUCUAGAUGAAUGCUCAUUUGCUAACAUAUCUCAAACAUCAAAUGUCUUUGGUUGAAUAAUAUGAAAGCAAUCAUUACUAACAAGUCUAUUAGCUAUCUUAGCAUCUUUAACAACAAAUGUCUUUGGCAAAGUAUACUAAAAGCCUAGGAGAGUUGUCUCAGGCAUUUCAUCAAACACCUUUUGGGUGGGAAAUGUCUAUUGAUCAACUUUUGAGUGGCCAACUCAGAAGAUGCAUUAUGAAUACUCUACUAGCAAGGAACAAGAAUGAUCUACACUAAAACAUCCUAGAACUAACCUAAUCACCCUUAAUCUCCCUAACCCAUGAAUUCAAAAGGUGAUUACUCACUAAUCUCCAUGAUUCCUCUUAAACCCAUAUUGGAUUUCAGAUUAAUCAUGUAGAGAAAUAGAUAAGAAAUCAACAAGAACACAAGAACAUAACAAUCAAAAUCCAAGAGAUGAACUUCUCCAGAGAGUUUUUGUGUAUUUCUCAAUAGAUCCAAAGAUAAUCUGCCCUGGUGGCUACAAAGGAUGUUUAAAACAUAGGUUUUAGAAAUGUAAAAAAACGUGCAUAAUGAAAUGACCAAAAGGCCCUUAAGUAAAAUAGAAAUCGAGCAGAUAAUAGACGCGGAGCGACCUCGGCAUGUCGCUCCGACAAGUCGCUCCGGCCUUCGGGAGCGACCUCAGUGGGUCGCUCUGAGAGGUCGCUCCAGGCUUCGCUUCGUCUCGUCUCGCCAUAGAGACGCGAGCGACCUCGGGGUGUCGCUUUGGGAGGUCGCUCCGAGAGGGGUGUGAGACGCGAGCGACCUCGGGGCGUCGCUCUGGGCAAGUCGCUCUGGGGGGUGCUUUGGAGCGACCUCAUGACGUCGCUGCGGAACCUCGCUCCCAUGCUAUGCUCAUCCAAUGAUCACCUAUUUCACGUCCUUUAAGCUCCAAAUGCAUCCAAAUGUCCCCAAGAACUCCAUGUGGCACUCCAACACCUAAUAAGGACAAUGAAUGCAAAAUGCAACCUAGACAUGGCUAAAUCCUAAUCUAUAUGAUGAAAAUGCUCAUGGAUGAAUGGAUAAAACAAUGUAAAUAUGCAAGAUAUCAACUCCCCCAAACUUGUUCUUUUACUUGUCCACAAGUGAACUUUCUAGAACUCAUAGGGAGAGAGGUAGAAGGUGGGAGCACAUAGCCAAAAGAAACACAACUAGCACACUCUCUUAUUACACUCUAGCUUCUCUAGGCCUAUCUUAACUCUUUUUGUUCUUACACUCAUCAUCAAGCAUCCACACAUUCAAAUCAACCAACUCUCACAUUCAUUAAGCACAAAUCAUCGGGUGAAUUCUUGCAAAUGGUCAGUUGGUCCAAGUCAUUUGGUUGGGUAAGGGAAGGCUUUUAUUCAAGUGAUUCAAGAGAUUCAAAACAUAUGAUCUUUAAGGUGGUUUACUCUCGAAACAAGUAGCCUUGACAUUGCACAUAAUAUAUCUAAGAAAGGGAUCAACUCAUGCAUACAAUGCUCAAUCUCCAUUGUUCUACCCUUUUCCCAAACAUACAAUUACACAAUCAUUCACAAAUGUCAAACCCAACUCACAUCUCUCACCAAAAGAUCCUAAGAACUUUAACUCUUUCUCUUUGAAAUCUACAAGGGAUUUUUCACAACCUCAAAACAUUUCUUAGCUCUUAACAACUUUGCUAGCCCCCCUUUUUUUUUCUUUUUCUUUUUUUUUUUCUUUUCUCUUUUUUUUUUUCGUUUUUCUUUUUCCUUUAUUUUUUUUUAUUUUUUAUUUUUUUUAGGCUGGGGGCCAAGACUUUUCAAAACUUGAGCUAGAGGCUUCUCUACUUAUCCCAAUAAAACAAUUCACUUAAGCACAAAGAGUCUAUUCUUUUCCUUUUCAUUCCUCCCAAAUCAUAAUCACAACACUCACCCCCCACCUAUAGCUAGACAAUAGAGUGCCCAAUCUAGCAAGAAUGAAGAUCAAGCAUUGUCGUUCCCGAUACUCUCAACAUUAUGCACAUGUAAGACUUUCCGAAAAAGGCCUCACUCAUCAAACAAUGAAAGCUUAAAAGGAGGAAAAGGUUUUGGGAGUGGUCUACCACUAGAGUUUGUCAAAAAAGAUCGGCAUAAAAGAUGUGACAACUCAAGUGUGUAUAGCCAUGACUCAGUACACAAGGGACCAUGAGCAAGAAGCAUUAAGUUCGUUCAGUUCAAAUAAGGUUGUAGUUGGCUUCAAAGACUGAGUUUCAGCAAUCAACAAGUUUCAGGAAGAGUUUUCAAGGCUCGAAACAUACAAGUCUUUUUGAGAGGUGCAAAAGCUACUCAGGUGCAACGUAGUGUUCUUUACAAGGCAUUUAAAAUCAUUGCUCCCAAUGCAAGUGAAUGCAACCUAUAUGCUCUAGACUCUCCUAGAAAUGCAAAUGAUGCAAACUAAAUGAUUGUUUUUUUUUUUUUUUUUUAAUAUGCAAAUAGGUAUGCAAUGCAUGACUCAAUGAAACAACAUCAAAGCAAACAUGAUCAAAUACUUGGUACCUCCCCCAAACUUGAGUUACACAGUCUCUGUGUUGUCAAGUAGAGAGAGAUACCGAAAAGAAGACUAAUAUGCAAAAAUGAAAUGGUAUAUACAAGGGAGUGUGGUGGUUUACCUUCUAUAGGGAAUGAGUAGAGGGAGAUGCUCCCUCCUCGUCGUCCUCAGGUGGUAACUCUUCAAGGUGCUCAUCAGCAGGAGUGGCCAUCUCUUCAAUGUAGAAGGCUUGCCCGAACACAGUUGGUUUCCUCAUUUUCUCCUUGAUGUCAAAGUGGAGGAUGUUCUCUUUACCCAAAUGGAGAUCAAUCGUGCCUUCCUUCACAUUAACAAUAGCUCCUGCUGUAGCUAAGAAUGGCCUUCCUAGAAUCAAUGGGUCUUGAGCCUCCUCACCCAUCUCAAGCACCACAAAAUCUGUAGGUAUCUCAUACCUUCCAAUCUUCACAGGGAGGUCCUCUAAGAUGCCCACAGGGUACUUCACUGAACGAUCAGCUAACACCAGAGAGAGUCUACACUUCUUGUACUGAGUGAAUCCAAGCUUCUUUGCAACAGACAAAGGCAUCAAGCUGACACUAGCUCCCAAAUCGCAGAGACUUUUCUCAAAUACCAUAGGUCCAAGAGCACAAGGUAGUGUGAAGCUUCCUGGAUCCUCUAAUUUCUCUGGAACAUCAAGCCUCUGGAUGAUGGCAUUGCACUCAUGGGUAAGAGUCAUCAUGCCUUCCAUCUCCUUCUUCUUUGCAGCUACAACAUCUUUCAGGAAAUUGUUGUAUUGAGGAAUCAACAUGAAAGCAUCGAUGAUGGGCAUUGCAACCUGAGCUUCACUCAUUUGCUUCUCAAACAGAGCCUUGUACUUCUCUAGCAGCUGCUUCUUGAAUCUACCAGGGAAUGGAAGUUUGGGUUCAUAGGGAGGAGGAACAAAAGAACUUUCACUUGCUGGAGUUACAACUUCACCAUCUUUUACUGUCUUCUUCUCUUCCCCAACCUUUCCUUUACCUUUGGCUUCCACUAUCUUCUCCAAGAUCUCGUCAUUGAUCUUCUCAUCAACAAUCACCACUUCAUCAUCUAUGUUGAUGGCAACCCCCUCACCUAGUUUCUCAGCAUCCUUGGUGAGGGUUCUAGGAGGUAACUGUUUACCACUCCUAAGGGUGAUAGCUUUGGCCUCCUUGGGGUUUUGGUCAGACUUUCCAGGUAGAGAUCCUUGCUGGCGAUUCUGGUGAGUGUUCAUGGAAGCAAACUGAUUCUCUAAAUUCCUGACUGUAGAAGCAAGGUGUGAGAAUUUGUUGUUGAGCUCAUUGUAGCUCCCAUCAAUCUUGGUAUGAAGGUUCUUCAACUCAUAACCAACAUGCUUCUCACUUCUAGUCUGAGACUCCAAGAUUUGUUUCAGUAAGGUAUCAGUGCUGCUCUCUUGAGGAGCAGAGGAACCAGACGAGGGAUUUUGCUGAGGCUGAUAGCUGCCUUGCUGGUUGUUCGAGGCUGAUAACCACUCUGCUGGUUGUUGGAAUAGGACUUCUGUUGGUAGUUGUUGUACUGAAAGUUGGGUUCUUUUUGUACCAGCUACCAUUGUUGUUGAUGAAACACAGCUCUUCCUGACCUUCCAAACCCUCAACUUCAUGGACAACAGCUGGUGUCUCUUGGCUUGGGUUGCCAACAAAGUGCAGCUGCUCUUGGGUAGCUUUAUCAGCAAGGAGGAUGUCUAUCUUAUCCUGUAGAACUUUCAACUCCUUCCUCGUUUGCUUAUCCUCAGUUCUACUGCUUCUGUCGUGGUCUCCACUGUAGACUGCAUCACUCUUAACCAUGUUGUCAACCAGCUCCUCUGCAUCCUCCUCAGUUCUCCCCAAGAAGAACCCAUUACUAGCUGUAUCCAGUCUGGCUCUGUACUUAGAGAGAGCACCACGGUAGAAUGUGCUCAGCAAGCUCUCCUUAGAGAAACCAUGGUGUGGGCAUUGAGCUUGAUAGCCCUUGAAUCUCUCCCAGGCUUCACUGAAACCUUCCAAGCCCUUCUGUUGAAAGCUGGAGAUCUCGUUUCUCAGCUUAGCAGUUCUUGAAGUAGAGAAGAACUUCUCCAAGAAUGCUUUCUUGCAGUCAUCCCAAGUGGUAAUGGAGUCGCUGGGUAGAGACUUCUCCCACUGACGUGCCUUAUCCCCCAAAGAGAAAGGGAAUAGCUUGAGCUUUAAGGCAUCUUCGGACACACCAUUGGUUUUUGACAACCCACAGUAGCUGUCGAACCUGUCCAAGUGAUCAAAUGGAUCCUCUAGAGCCAAGCCAUGAUACUUGUUGUUCUCAAUCACGUUGAGGAGUCCUGACUUGAUCUCAAAGUUGUUGGCUGCCACGGCGGGUGCUCGGAUUCCCAAUCUAUGACCAUGAAUGUUGGGACGGUCGUAAGUGCCAAUGGGCGAGCUGCUCGCUGUUGGUUAGGUGGACCAUUGUUGUUAGCGCCAUUGAUGCCUGCAUCUUCUUGAUGAACGUCUCCCAUGUCAGUGUUCAGUCUCUGCAAUUGAGCCUGAUGUUCUUCUUCUCUUCUCUUUCUAGCACACUCUCUCUCUAAAGCUCUGAUGUCUGCUGCUCUUGGAACUAGGUUUGAUGGACCCCUGCUCCUCAAGUUCAUACACCUGUAGAUUAAAGGGAGGUGAAGAAAGAGAAUCAGUAACAAAAGAAAAUAAAAAUGACUUAGUCUCAAGCAAGUGACUAAAUCUCAAUGUUUAAAUCUACUCAGAAUUUGGCAACGGCGCCAAUUUGAUGUUAGGAGUUUUCAAGGCUCCUAAGACAAAUGUUGUAGUAUAAAAGAUUGUCGAACCAGUUCUGAGGGAUAUCAAAGCACUGAGAAUGCAAGUACUCACUUAAUCUAAGUGCAACCAAUGAUUUAGAUGAGUUUUAAACUACUACUAAUACUAGAAAGCAAUAACAGAAUGAUACUUUCUUGACUAAGGGAAAAGAGAACUCAUGGGCAUAGGGAUUAGAUCUUGGGUGAUCAAGUAUCGAACUAAGGAUGGCAAAUGAUCAAUCAAACUAUCAGCCUUAAGCCUAGACACAAUUCUAAGCAAGCUCUAUGUCUAGAUGAAUGCUCAUUUGCUAACAUAUCUCAAACAUCAAAUGUCUUUGGUUGAAUAAUAUGAAAGCAAUCAUUACUAACAAGUCUAUUAGCUAUCUUAGCAUCUUUAACAACAAAUGUCUUUGGCAAAGUAUACUAAAAGCCUAGGAGAGUUGUCUCAGGCAUUUCAUCAAACACCUUUUGGGUGGGAAAUGUCUAUUGAUCAACUUUUGAGUGGCCAACUCAGAAGAUGCAUUAUGAAUACUCUACUAGCAAGGAACAAGAAUGAUCUACACUAAAACAUCCUAGAACUAACCUAAUCACCCUUAAUCUCCCUAACCCAUGAAUUCAAAAGGUGAUUACUCACUAAUCUCCAUGAUUCCUCUUAAACCCAUAUUGGAUUUCAGAUUAAUCAUGUAGAGAAAUAGAUAAGAAAUCAACAAGAACACAAGAACAUAACAAUCAAAAUCCAAGAGAUGAACUUCUCCAGAGAGUUUUUGUGUAUUUCUCAAUAGAUCCAAAGAUAAUCUGCCCUGGUGGCUACAAAGAUGUUUAAAACAUAGGUUUUAGAAAUGUAAAAAACGUGCAUAAUGAAAUGACCAAAAGGCCCUUAAGUAAAAUAGAAAUCGAGCAGAUAAUAGACGCGGAGCGACCUCGGCAUGUCGCUCCGACAAGUCGCUCCGGCCUUCGGGAGCGACCUCAGUGGGUCGCUCUGAGAGGUCGCUCCAGGCUUCGCUUCGUCUCGUCUCGCCAUAGAGACGCGAGCGACCUCGGGGUGUCGCUUUGGGAGGUCGCUCCGAGAGGGGUGUGAGACGCGAGCGACCUCGGGGCGUCGCUCUGGGCAAGUCGCUCUGGGGGGUGCUUUGGAGCGACCUCAUGACGUCGCUGCGGAACCUCGCUCCCAUGCUAUGCUCAUCCAAUGAUCACCUAUUUCACGUCCUUUAAGCUCCAAAUGCAUCCAAAUGUCCCCAAGAACUCCAUGUGGCACUCCAACACCUAAUAAGGACAAUGAAUGCAAAAUGCAACCUAGACAUGGCUAAAUCCUAAUCUAUAUGAUGAAAAUGCUCAUGGAUGAAUGGAUAAAACAAUGUAAAUAUGCAAGAUAUCAAUAGGCUCAAGGUGGGAACUAGGUAAAGAUAUAUUAGCCACUCAGGAUCAGCAAGAUUGGUCAAAGGAAUAAGAAGUCAUGAGUGUAAGUCUAGUUUCCCUGAUCUAGUGCCCACAACAAGAAGAAUUUCAGUCAAGAUUAGGUUAAAGUUAGGUGGAGUUGAGUCUACUCAGUGUAACCUGAUCGGUUGAGAGCUUCUGGAGAAUCAGAUGAGAUAAGUCAGAGGUGUUUCAGGUCCAAGUGUGGGUCUUUCAUCACUGCUAAGGUCACUUGAUAAGAAUGUUAGAGCACGAGGUGGCUAAAAAGAUUAUCACAACAGAAGGUCCUAAUUCCCACAAGAGUUUAAACUGACUCGAUCCUAAACUGACUCAAUAAAACAUCCAAAUGACACAAGGACUGACUCAGAAGUAAAGAAAUAGAGUUUCAGCACAGAACAAGUGCUUCCCCCAGACUUAAUUUACAUAAUACCUGGUGUGAAACGAAGUCGAGGUCAGCCAAAUAACAACACAAAGCAUAAAAAUAAAACCUAAAAAUAAAGAGUUCAGAUGGAUAGAACAAUGGAUAGAGAAUAGUCGUCGCGGACUCAGUCGGACUCGCCGCUCUCGGCCGGAUCAAAUGAACGUCUGUUGCGCGAGCGAACCUCCUUGGUUGAAGGGCCUGUUCCCUUAGGCGCCUUUCCUGGACGGUGUGAUCGUGGAGUCUGCUCUGCUGGUGGCUGUCGCUGGUUACUUCCGCCAAUGCAGCCGCCAGUGACGAGAUGGAGGAUCCUCCGCAUGAGGCUGUUGUUUUUCCGCUGCGAGUCAACCAUCCAGCCUCGGUAAGCCUGAUCAUCGGUCACAUCCGCCAGCUCUCCGAGGUCGUAUGAUGGGUCAGCCUCUGGGGUGAUGUCCUCAAGAUCCUCCAUGUCCGCGUCAGGUGCAGCAGCACGUGGAUCAGUGCAUAGGAGCUCGGGUGGUGGGAGGAAGCAUAUGUUGUCGAACACGCUGAACCUGGUGAUCUCGGGGUGAGGCAGUUUACUCAGCUGGGUACCAUCCUUAUCGAAGAAGCUGUAGGUAUCCUCAUCUCGCUUGAUGUGGCACGCCAUGAGGUACUUGAUGUCGAGGUACUGUAUCUAAGUGUUCACCUUGUAUUUGCUGAGAUCAAUGCCGAAAUGCUUGAAGAGUGGCGUGAGCAAGUUACCGCUUCUGUCCUUCUUAUUUGUGCCGUGCAUCAGACACAGCUUCCUCUCGCAGAACACGGUGAUGAAAUGAAAGCCUGGGUUCGUCUUGACCUUCUGAAUUGGAAUGCCAGACCCUGAAGCGCGGAUCUCAUCCUCAAUGCCUGCAUACAGGGUUUACAGCUCCCCGUUUGUCACUUUCGAAGUCUGAUCCUUAGCGAACAGGAGGUGUGAAAUGAUCUUUGCAAUUACUCUAAGUGUCCGGUUCCUGAUCUGCGACUGGUAGGACUUGCCCGGUGUGAAGUUCCCAUUCGCAAUGAAGUCCCAAAAGGUGUUUGAUGGGGAAAACUUCUUCGCUACUGCUACCCCUCUCAGCUCAUUCGCGAUCUCAUAGAUUUCAUUGAGUUUGUCGAGGGACAGGGAGCAAUACUCUCCAUCAGCCAUGAAUGAGAAGGAACAGUUAGCGUAGGAAGGAGCAGAGCAGUCCUCAUAAGUGAAUGAGGCGGUGGCGAGCACUUGGCGGACUAGAUCAGGGUAGAGCCCGUGCGUAGCGUAACAAAGGGGAGUGAUCCCCAUCGCUUGCAGUGUCUCGAACACAUCCUCGUCGAUACCAAGCUCAAAGAGAGUCUCGGCGUGGCAGAAACGUGUAGGUAGUAUCUCGACCUUGAGGAGAGCAUUGUACCGACUAGCUGUCUCCUUGUCCCACCCUUCGCAAUUAAAAUCCAGAAGCAUAGGAUCAUCGAGAUUGAUCGGCUCAUCCUCCUGUUCUCGCGGCCAUGGGUAAGAAGCGGAGAUAUGUUGUUGUGCUCACUGUGAUGGGGUGUUGUUAAUCCUCUUUGUUCUAUUGGCCGAUUGUUUGGUGCGUGGAGGCAUCUGCAAGGCAAAUAGAAGUUCUUUAUUAGUUCCAUUCUCGGUUGCAUAGAAGAAAAGGAAUCAAAGUAAGCCCCUUUUAGGAACUAUUCCUUUUUCUUUCCAAGCAACCCGCUUUCAACAAACUCAACCCGAUUUCAACAAACUCAACUCGCCGAAUCAGAACAUUUCAACUUAGCACAGUCACAAUUAAAAUGUUCAAUGCCUAUCAAAACCAUGAUUCUCUAGGGCUAAAAGACAAAAAGUUUGUGGGAACCGAAAUUCGCACUGUCGAUUUCCGUUUAAAUAAGGAAAGUAGGAGAACCCUAGUUUCCCAGAGGUCCCGGAUAUCUGCUAAUACCACACGCUAAGCAAUCAGAACACGAGAUAAUAACGACAAAGUAUAAAAUUCGUAAAAAGAGAGCAAAUAGAAGUCUUAUUCUGAAUUUGCGUUUCCUAGUUCUAGCAACCGUAAGACGGCUAAACAUAAUUGAGUCGCAGCUCGAAAUAACAAAAAACGGAAAGUUGCCUAAUUGCUCUAAGUGCUAAGUUUGCUGUGUAAAGGUUUUUCCUCAUGCCUCUCGCCUAGGACUCCUUAUAUACUCGCUCCUAGGUCGGUCUACGCUUUUCCCCUUCUGCCCUUAAGCCGUCAUAGCCUAAAAAUAGAGAUAUUUCAUUUUUCCCGAUCUUCGUAAUUAUCAUCAAAAACUUUAUAUUUAUCCGCGGAAACUUGACAUUUAUCUUUCCUUGCGAACCAAGCAUAAACCGUCAUACGGCUUAUGGGCUGUUGGUUAAGAAAUCGUAAGUGGGCUUCGAGUUACGUCUUAGGUCUCUUUGGGCCGUCUUUUGACUCAAAAUGUUUAUUACGGUUUCUUCGAUAAAAACGAACUUUUCGCGGUUUUUAUUGUAAAGUUUGAUCGAAGACCUCGAGUGACGAGCAACAUGAAAUGGCUCAGCUACGGUCUUCGGGAGAUAGCAUUAAAGAGUAGAUGAGAAUGCAUGGAUUCGCGUCGUAUCAAGGAUCUCUUCGUAACGAUCGAAACAUGCAUGUGCUCGGUCACUACGUAGUGGCCAAGCUUGGUUCCGAGCUCGGUCGCUGCGUAGCGACCGAGCUUGGUUCGAGCUUGGUUGCUACGUAGCGACCGAGUAGUACGCGUGCUCGGUCGCUACGUAGCGACCGUGCUUGGCUCGAGCUCGGUCGCUACGUAGCGACCGAGCAGUACGCGUGCUCGGUCGCUAGGGUAGCGACCGAGCUAGGCUCGGGCUCAGUCGCUAGGUAGCGAUCGAGCUAGGCUCGGGCUCAGUCGCUACGUAGUGAUCGAGCUAGGCUCGAGCUCGGUCGCUACGUAGCGACCGAGUUAGGCUCGGGCUCGGUCUCUACGUAGCGACCGAGCUGUGUGCAUGCUUGGUCGCUGCAUAUCGAUCGAGCUUGGCUUGUCUGCGGUCCGAUUGCCAUACUCGUGCUUGUCUGCGGCCGAUUUGGAUACAUGUCUGUUGCCUUCGGACCAUCGAUAUUUAGUGGUUCGAUUGAGAUUUGAACAAGAUUUUACCGCAAGGCUCUUUGUAAAGAUAUCUUUACGAAGAUUACUUUUCGUACAAACGUUCAUGCUUAUUUUUACGGAAUUUCAGACUUUGAUUCCGUCGUGACCGAUUUUGACCCCAACAUUUAGCCCCCCAGCUCGUUAAAACCAUGAGCUUCUAGCGAGUGGCUUGGCAAGUUAGGCAAGUGUGGGAACCGAAAUUCGCACUGUGAGAGCCCUAAUUUCCCAGAGGUCCCGGAUAUCUGCGAGAGCCAACAACAAGUGACCAAAUAUAUGCGGAAAUCAUGAAAAGAUAACAAACGAGUUUAGAGAAAACAGUGGAUCCUAUUUCGAGUCCGCGUAAGCGCGUUGCGAUCAUUACAAGAGAUCAUAAAAGCUUUGGCCGCAAAGGGUGUCAGCGAGUUACUUAGUUCUAGCGGCCUAAUAGCUCAAACCUAGUUGAGUCGCAGCUCGAUAACAAAAGACGAAAUAGAUACAGAAAUGGUUUUUGAUUGAUUUUGGACUGAACCUUGUUAAAGGCUGCCUACGCACCCCUUUCGAGGAUCAAGCUGAACGUAGUUCAAUUGAUAGAGCUGGACAAGAGAUCGAACUGCCUGGGCGAGUUCCUCUAGUAAUUGAGUGCCAGUCAUAGAAACCGAACUUGUCAAGAAUAAAGCCUAAAGUUUCUAAAUGCAGAGAAUUCUGAAUCUAAAAAGUUCUCUCUCCAUGCCUCUCGCCUAGGACUUCUUAUAUACUAGCUCCAAGGUCGGUUUACGCUUUUACUCUUCUGCCCUUAAGUUGUCAUAGCAUAAAAUGGAGAUAUUCCAUUUUUUCUGAUCUUCGUAAUUAUCCUCAAAAUUUCGUAUUUAUCCGCAGAAACUUGACAUUUAUCCUUCCUUGCACGCCAAGCGUAAACCGUGCUAUGGUUUACGAGCUUUUGGUUAAGGAGUCGUAAGAUGGCCCUCGAAUCGUGUUUAGGUCCCUUUGGGCCGUCUUCCGACUCGAAGCGUUUACUGCGACUUCUUUCGAUAAAAAAAGAACUUUCCACGGUUUAUCUUCAAAAAUUGAUCGAUGAUUUAGAAUGGCAGAAAACAUGAACUUAGUUUGCUACGGUCUUUGGGAGAUAGCAUCAAAGGAUAGACGAGAGUGAAUGGACUGGUGUCAAAUCGACGUUUUGGAAGAGCUCGGUCGCUACGUAGCGACCGAGCGGAACGGACGCUCGGUCACUACGUAGCGACCGAGUUUGGCUCGAGCUCAGUCGCUACGUAGCGAUCGAGCUAGGAUCGGGCUCAGUCGCUACGUAGCGAUCGAGCUAGGCUCGAGCUCGGUUGCUACGUAGCGACCGAGUUAGGCUAGGUCGCUACGUAGCGACCGAGCUGUGUGCAUGCUUGGUCGCUGCAUAUUGAUCGAGCUUGGCUUGUCUGCGGUCCGAUUUCCAUACUCGUGCUUGUCUGCGGCCGAUUUGGAUACAUGUCUGUUGCCUUCGGAUCAUCGGUAUUUAGUGGUUCGAUUGAGAUUUGAACAAGAUUUUACCGCAAGGCUCUUUGUAAAGAUAUCUUUACGAAGAUUACUUUUCGUACAAACGUUCAUGCUUAUUUUUACGGACUUUCAGACUUUGAUUCCGUCGUGACCGAUUUUGACCCCAACAUUUAGCCCCCCAGCUCGUUAAAACCAUGAGCUUCUAGCGAGUGGCUUGGCAAGUUAGGCAAGUGUGGGAACCGAAAUUCGCACUGUGAGAGCCCUAAUUUCCCAGAGGUCCCGGAUCUCUGCGAGAGCCAACAACAAGUGACUAAAUAUAUGCGGAAAUCAUGAAAAGAUAACAAACGAGUUUAGAGAAAACAGUGGAUCUUAUUUCGAGUCCGCGUAAGAGCGUUGCGAUCAUUACAAGAGAUAAGAAAAGCUUUGGCCGCAAAGGCUGUCAGCGAGUUACUUAGUUCUAGCGGCCUAAUAGCUCAAACCUAGUUAAGUCGCAGCUCGAUAACAAAAGACGAAAUAGAUACAGAAAUGGUUUUUGAUUGAUUUCGGACUGAACCUUGUUAAAGGCUGCCUACGUACCUCUUUCGAGGAUCAAGCCGAACGUAGUUCAAUUGAUAGAGCUGGACAAGAGAUCGAACUGCCUGGGCGAGUUCCUCUAGUAAUUGAGUGCCAGUCAUAGAAACCGAACUUGUCAAGAAUAAAGCCUAAAGUUUCUAAAUGCAGAGAAUUCUGAAUCUAAAAAGUUCUCUCUCCAUGCCUAUCGCCUAGGACUCCUUAUAUACUAGCUCCAAGGUCGGUUUACGCUUUUACUCUUCUGCCCUUAAGUUGACAUAGCAUAAAAUGGAGAUAUUCUAUUUUUUCUGAUCUUCGUAAUUAUCCUCAAAAUUUUGUAUUUAUCCGCGGAAACUUGACAUUUAUCCUUCCUUGCACGCCAAGCGUAAACCGUGCUAUGGUUUACGAGCUUUUGGUUAAGGAGUCGUAAGAUGGCCCUCGAAUCGUGUUUAGGUCCCUUUGGGCCGUCUUCCGACUCAAAGCGUUUACUGCGACUUCUUUCGAUAAAAAACGAACUUUCCACGGUUUUAUCUUCAAAGUUUGAUCGAUGAUUUAGAAUGGCAGAAAACAUGAACUUAGUUUGCUACGGUCUUUGGGAGAUAGCAUCAAAGGAUAGACGAGAGUGAAUGGACUGGUGUCGAAUCGACGUUUCAGAAGAGCUCAGUCGCUACGUAGCGACCGAGCGGAACGGACGCUCGGUCACUACGUAGCGACCGAGCGGGACGGAUGCUCGGUCGCUACGUAGCGACCGAGCUUGGCUCGAGCUCGGUUGCUACCGAGCUUGGCUCGAGCUCGGUCGCUACGUAGCGAUCGAGCGGAACGGAUGCUCGGUCGCUACUAAGCGAACGAGCUUGGCUCGGGCUCGGUCGCUGCAUAGCGACCGAGCGGGACGGACUCUCGGUCGCUACGUAGCGACCGAGCUAGGCUCGAGCUCGGGCUCGGUCGCUACGUAGUGACCGAGCUGUGUGCAUGCUUGGUCGCCGCGUAUCGAUCGAGCUUGGCUUGUCCGCGGUUCGAUUUCCAUACCCGAGCUUGUCCGCGGCCGAUUUGGAUACAUGUGUGUUGCCUUCGGAUAAUCGGUAUUUAGUGGUUCGAUUGAGAUUUGAACAAGAUUUUACCGCAAGGCUCUUCGUAACGAUAUCUUUACGAAGAUUAGUUUUCGUAAAAACGUUCAUGCUGAUUUUUACGGACUUUCACACAUUGAUUUUGUCGUUACCGAUUUUGACCUCAACAGUUAGCCCCCCAGCUCGUUAGAACCAUGAGCUUCUAGCGUGAGGUUCUAGCGAGUGGCUUGGCAAUUUAGGCAAGUAAGGUGAGUUAGGCGGAAUUAAUGGUUGAAAAGGUCAGUGAAAAGUGGUCUUCUCGCUCUUCUAAAAGUAGAACGCGAUAAGAUUGGGGCUGCUCCUUAUGACAGCUGCCUACGUACCCUUGUUGAAGGGAUCAAGCCUUUCGUAGUUCGUCUUGGAGUUAAGGUUCUUAAGACUAGUUUUCCAGCGAGACAUUUACGGUCUAGUAUUUGUGUAGCGGUUAUCAGGAGUGUUGCUGCCGAUGGCAUUUUGUAUGGGUGUAGAAGGAAGACUACGAGUUGUCAUCUCGUAUUCUAACUCUUUGUGAACUGCUAUAUUUGUAAUCUGUUUCAAGAGUUUUCCGCAGUGUGUAAACUUGCAGGAUUUCGGAAGAUUCUCGAAUAUUGGCAAAGAAACAAAAUUUUGGGAUCUCGUAUCAGGGUGUUUGAUACUAUGCCUAGAGAUGUUAAAAACCAGUGCGCUGGGUUUAGGGCAAGACCUAGGUUUGCUCCUGGUUUUAGAGGGUGCGAUGACUAAUUCGACUUACGUAUCCCGUUUCAGUUUCAUCCUGAUUCCAUACCGAUUUAAAGUCCGCGAUAGGUUCUCGGCUUAUACGACUUGUAUGGUUGAACCGAGCAUCUCUCCAAGGACAAUAAUUAUGCCUCCUGGAAGUGCUGACCAAAAAUUUUGGGUUUCUUUUAUAGCGCUAUUAUCAUUGUGUCGGAUGUACGAGAGUCAUCUCUACGAGAUGGCUAAGUCUGUUUAGGACGUUGAGAGUUUGUUGUGAUCAGCAACAAACUUAAUGGUAAAAAAUACCGUUUCGAGUCUUCGCGAAGGAUAUGUUUUGAGAAUAUGUUAGUGCGUAUGACUGUCUGGACUUCCAAGAAAACGUUUUUAUCGAGGAAGGAAAUUUCGUCGAAGAACGAAUCUUCAGGCGUCUGCGACGUCUCGCGAUGCUGAAGAUUUGUUAUUUUUUCGUAUGCCGCGUUUCGUGCAUGAAAUGUUUGCGGGCUUGAAGAUGUUUUGCGAUGUUGCAAGGGUUUAGUCUUAGCCCUGCGUUUGAGAAACGUUCUUGUUUGACUACGGAUGUUCACAGCAAAAAUUGUUGUUCCUGAGGUGUCGCGUGAAUUUUUCUAUGGGAAGAAGCGAUUUCCUUCAUAGUGCUUUGUGAAGUGUUGGCCUUCCGAGAUCUAUUUCAUGCAUUUUUGAGGAUGUUUUGUAUAGCUCUAGAAGCUUUCUUACGAAUUUUUCCUUACAUGCCGCGUAUUAUGGGUAAAACAUAGCGGGCUUAAAGUGAAUUGUGGAAUGUAUCGAACUUGGUCGAUUGUCGAAAAGUUUAGAUUUUAUUUUAACCGUUUGAUUGUUAGGACUUAGUUUUGUUACGAAGAAUUUAUCAUAUGCUUUCCGACUAUGGGCUAUACGAUAAUUUAUCAUAUCAUAUAACCGGUUUUACGAAGGUUGUAAAUCAGUGAUAUGUAUACAUAUGUCAAAGUAGCGUUGUUUCUGCGGGUUUUACGAGAAACGUUUCUGCUGUGAUUUUGAUCUUAGGCGAAAGUUGUUUGGAGUUACUCAUGGAGUGCUAUGAAGUUUAUUUCAAUACGAUCUAGUCGCAGAACGUUUUUCAUAGGUUUUUUGAGAGGAUUCUCAUGACACAUUCGUUUCUUGAACGAAUUGGUCAACCAGAGGUGGAUCUAGCUAACCAUCGGGAGGAAAGUGCUCCUUUUAAUGUGCACGAUGCUACAUCUAUUCUCGAGUUUUCUUCGUCCCAAAUGUUUUCGAUGCUUUUCCGUGACUUGCUCGGUUCAACGGAAACUGAAAGAAAUGCUUUGGUGAUUUUCUCGUAGAAAUUUUUAAACGAAGCUGGCUUUCUAAAGCCGGAAAGGGCUUCAAUAGUUUGGCUAAUCGUCGAGUUUCAGUUUGAUAUUGGUACAGGUUUUCUGUACGCAUGAUUGCGAUAAGAAAUGAUGUAUAGUCUUUGAGAUUUAUGUUCAUGAUCGUCUGAAUAUGUUGCUAGCGUUUAGACGAAUAUUAGAUUGUCGUUUGUCUAUUCUUGACGAUUUGUAGAAGUUUUUUGAAGUUUUGGGAGUAUACGAGUAUAGUAUACGUACCUACUCCCCCCCCCCUUUUUUUUUUACGAAAGAAAACGGUUGAACCGAUACGUUGAAGGGUUGUGUACGUUUCUUCUUCUUAUGUUUGGAAUGAUCGAUAAUUCGGGACGAUUUAUAGACGAUGCUUGGACUGUGAUUUGGUUGUUUCCACGUUGACGACUUGGAAUAUGUCGGUUCCGAGAAAAUUGCCAGAAACGAAUCGGUUUUAAGACGACAUUCAUGUCUCUAGUUUUUUCUAUCUUUAGGAAGCGAGCUUGAUAUGCGUGGCGAUCGUUUCUCGAUUUUCUGAGAGUUUAGAUCGGUUUGCAAGAUCUGAAUGAACAAUUAUGGAACAAUAUAUCGAGACAGGAAAAAUCGCUUAAGACUUAGUUCGCUAGACUAUCCGCCUAGGUUUUGCGUUCCCUAAAGUUCUAUGGCAGCCUCAAAGUAAUUUCCUACAAAAAUUCCAAGUCUGGUUUCAAAAAUUUCAAGUCGAAAAUACCUUAGUUCUCUCAAAGAUGCAGUUUUGUCUUUUCUCAGUUUUGCUUGCUCAUUUUCCUUUCCUCUUCUCGUGUAUAUUCGUCAUUUCCGAUAUUGGUGUUUGUCUUUUCUCGUGUAGUUCUCUCAAAGAUGCAGUUUUGUCUUUUCUCAGUUUUGAUACGUAGCGACCGAGCAGUACUCGUGCUCGGUCACUACGUAGUGACCGAGCGUUGUGCGUGCUCGGUCGCUACGUAGCAACCGAGCUGUGUGCGUGCUCGGUCGAGAAAUUGCGAGCUCGUUUCAUUGCGAGCUCGUUUCAUUGCACUUUCUGUGGCGGAAAGUCGCAGCAAGGUUUUUGAUUUUCUCAAGAACUGUGGCGUUUGCGUAAGCGUUGGCCAUAGGCGCAGUGGCGGCUGGGGUUUUCUUACCAGCGUUAUUGCGAACUGCGAUUUUGUUUUUCUUAUUGAUCGAGCAUUUUGUGGCUGAGAGUUAGAUUGAUCUGUACCCCCCCCCCCCCCCUCCGUCUAGCGCCAAACUGUGGGAACCGAAAUUCGCACUGUCGAUUUCCGUUUAAAUAAGGAAAGUAGGAGAACCCUAGUUUCCCAAAGGUCUCGGAUAUCUGCUAAUACCACACGCUAAGCAAUCAUAACACGAGAUAACAACGACAAAGUAUAAAAAUCGUAAAAAGAGAGCAAAGAGAAGUCUUAUUCCGAAUUUACGUAUGAGCGUUUACAACAAGGUAUAAGCCUAGGCUCGAGAGCUUUCGGCGAGAUUCCUAUUUCUAGCAACCCAAAGACGGCAGCUCGAAAUAACAAAUAACAAAAACUUGCCCAAUUGCUCUAAGUACUAAGUUUGCUGUGUAAAAGUUUUUCCUCAUGCCUCUCGCCUAGAACUCCUUAUAUACUCGCUUUUAGGUCGGUUUACGCUUUCUCCCUUCUGCCCUUAAGCCGUCAUAGCCUAAAAAUGGAGAUAUUCCAUUUUUCCUGAUCUUCGUAAUUAUCUUCAAAAACUUUAUAUUUAUUCGCGGAAACUUGACAUUUAUCUUUCCUUGCGAACCAAGCAUAAACCGUCAUACAGCUGAUGGGAUGUUGGUUAAGAAAUCGUAAGUGGGCUUCGAGUCAAGUCUUAGGUCUCUUUGGCCCAUCUUUUGACUCGAAACGUUUAUUACGGUUUCUUCGUAAUGUUUGAUCAGUGACCGAGAAGUACGAUGACCUCGAGUGACAAGCAACAUGAAAUGGUUCAGCUACGGUCUUCGGGAGAUAGCAUUAAAGAGUACACGAGAAUGCAUGGAUUUGCGUCGUAUCGACGUUUUGAGAAAGCUUGAUCGUUUCAUAACGAUCGAAACAUGCAUGUGCCCGGUCAUUACGUAGUGACCAAACUUGGUUCCGAGCUCGGCCGCUAUGUAGCGACCGAGCUUGGCUCAAGCUCGGUCGCUACGUAGCGACCGAGCAGUACGCGUGCUCAGUCGCAACGUAACGACCGAGCAGUAUGCGUGCUCGGUCGCUACGUAGCGACCGUGCAGUACACGUGCUCGGUCGCUACGUAGCAACCAAGCUUGGCUCGAGCUCGGUCGCUACGUAGUAUCCGAGCAGUAUGCGUGCUCGGUCGCUACGUAGCAACCGAGCUGUGUGCAUGCUUGGUCACCGCAUAUCGAUCGUGCUUGGCUUGUCUGCGGUCCGAUUGCCAUACUCGAGCUUGUCCGCGGCCGAUUUGGAUACAUGUCCGUUGUCUUCGGACAAUCGGUAUUUAGUGGUUCGAUUGAGAUUUGAACAAGAUUUUACUGCAAGGCUCUUCGUAAAGAUAUCUUUACGAAGAUUACUUUUCGUAAAAACGUUCAUGCUGAUUUUUACGGACUUUCAGACAUUGAUACCGUCGUGACCGAUUUUGACCCCAACAAAGUUCAACUUCUAAAUCCACCCUACAGCAAAAGGGGGGUUUGAGCCAAGCUAUUUCUAACAAGAAUCGAACUAUCCAAAUCGUUUAGAAGGGUGAGCUUUUCAAACCGAAAUCGCGACUGAAUGGUGAUUGUUGAGCCUCUUACCGUGAUGAACGGAGCAAAUGGUCUACAAAAACAGAGAGAACUCGAAAAUCCAAUAGGAUUAGAAGCAAGAAUCACUUGAAAAGAUUGAGAAUUUAUGAUGUGGUGAUUGCUUCAAAAUCACAUGAGAGGGAGAAGUGUACGGCGGAGUGAAAAUGGGAAACUGGAAGGGUGGAGCCUUAAAUAGGCGAAACCCUAAUCACUCUUCUUUAUUUCUCUGCUUUUUUUUUAGUUUUUUUUUUGUUCCGGAACACUUACCUGGAACAGGCAAUGGAUUGUUCCACCAGAAGAACAGUCCUUUGGUUGCUUUGACAGAAGUGUCCGGUUUUUCUUGUUUUUGACCUACAAACUAAAUCUGAAAAGAAAUAAAAUAGACUAUAGAAAAAAUAUAUACACUCACCAGUGGGUUUCCUCCCACCAAGCGCUUAGUUAAAGUCAUUAGCUUGACUUGGCUCAGCCGAUCAGGCUGAUGGAGGAUCGCUUAAGGGAAUUUCUUCACCUUCUGCGAUAGUGGAGUCAGCAAGGUAAUGCUUUAUGCGCUGACCAUUGGCUACAAACUCGUCUCCCUUUCUGUCUAGUAACACAACAGCUCCGUAAGGUCGAAAUUCCUUAUUGGAGAAGGGUCCCGACCAUCCAGACUUCAGCUUGCCUGGAAACAGCCUAAGUCUGGAAUUGAAGAGCAAGACCUUAUCAUUUGGUCCGAAACGUCUGGCAAUGAUUCGCUUGUCAUUGUAGGCCUUGGUCUUCUCCUUAUAAAUUUUGGAGCUCUCAUAAGUUCGGUGCCUUAUCUCUUCCAGCUCAUGGACUUGGAUCAUGCGCCUCUCUGUUGCUGGCUUGAUGUUGAAAUUCAGUAACUUGACCUCCCAUGCAGCCUUGUGUUCGAGUUCGACAGGAAGGUGAAAAGCCUUACCGUAGACCAGGCGAUAAGGGGUGGUUCCUAGCGGCGUUGUAUAGGCUGUUCUGUAGGCCCAUAGAGCAUCGUCCAGCUUAAGUGACCAGUCUACAUCUUCAGUCGAUUUGGCAGACGACGUCGAUCGAUGACUGGAGUAUUCCGUCCAUCGAUCUUCAUCAUGGUCCGUCGAUCGAUACGAGUUCAUCGACAUCGGUCGACACCAUUGGGAUCCGCCGAGACUCAUGGAGCUUUCGAUUUCGAAAUCUCCUUCCUCAAGCUUUUCAUUUGUCACCACUUGCCAGAAAUCAUCAUCUAUGAUGGCAUUUACGUGGUGUUUUCCUUUGUCGGCUCCUGCCUCUCUAGCGAAAGCUUCUUGUCUCUUUAUAGUCUCGUCCAUCUGAAUUGCUUGGGUUUCAAGUUUUCUCACCUGAGUUCCUAAGGUCUCGAUUUUAGUGUUCAGAUUGUUGUAGGCGUAGUCUAUCUUACCGUUGAAAUCCACAGUGAUUUGUUAUUAUCCCAACAGUACUCGAUCAAGCAUCUCUUCGAUCUUGCUUUCCUGAGUCUGGGGUGGUGGAUUUUGGUAGUAAGAGUUCGAGUAGCUCUUGCUGUUGUUGAAGGGUUUUUGAAAUUGUGAACUUUGGUUACUUCUUUGGCCAUUUCCAAAGAAGUUUCUGUUUCCGCCCUGGUUUUCAAAUUUCUGGAAUCCGGUACUUCCGAUGUAGUUCAUAUUUUCUUCUCCUUCCGUAUCUGCUACUUCUCCUUCAGCUGAACAGACUUGCUUCCCAAGAAGCUCGUGCACCACAUCUAACUUAGCUCUUACUUCGUCCAUCUGUUCCUUCCCGAUAGAGGCUACAGACUUCUUCCGUUCAGAGUCAGUGUUUUUGGUGUUGCUGCUGUUAGCAAGGUUUUCGAUAAGUAUCACAGCUUCCAACGGAUUCCGAGUAGUGAAGUUUCCUUCACUCGCCGUAUCAAGGGCCAUUUGAUACUGUAAGGCGAGACCUCGGAAGAAUGUGCUUAGCAGCUGCACUUCGUUAAAUGUGUGGUGUGGACAGUCUCGCUGGAAGAACCUAAAUCUAAUCCACGCAUCUUUGAAGGACUCUCCUGGCGGUUACUAUCGACCAGGGGAAGAUAUAUGCUCCCUUCAGCACGUCUACAACGCUACAUACUGGCCCAGACCACGAUCUCCAGCACACCUUUAUAUGUCGGCAGAAAAAUGCUUGAUAUCGUGUACUGUCUACGCAAUUGAUCAUUCAGACUGGGGAUGAUAUUACGUUGGUUGUAGCAUAAGCAACAAAAAAGUUUUUAAAGUGGAAACUAAUGUGAAGAAUCUUAAUGGACAUGAGAUUCCUUCACAUAUUUGGUGGUGUGAGGCGUGCAAGGAAAACUUUACUUUCGUGUCACCCAGGUAAACUAAAAUGUUUAUCAGUUAUACAAUAUACGGGUUUUAGAAUAUGCUUUAAAAUUACUAAUUGUUUAAUUUUUAGGUUUAAACUUCAUUUGAUGGUGAAGGAUGAUACAGGAGAAAGAAGCAAGAGUUAUGAUUCUUGACUUGGUGGCUAAGGGAUUUAUUAGUGAAACUGAUACAAAACUUUUGAAUGAAUCAUUUAAUGAGGUGCAUAUGACAAUCUACCUUUUAUUUUCCAAAUGACUUUAACUGAAUUGCUAGUCUGUACGUAUUAUUAAUCAUUAUUUCCAAUUUUUGGCAGCUUGAAGAUGCUACUGACUUGCCUGAAGCUAUUAAUCAAGUUGUUGGAAAGACUUUUACUUUUGGUGUCUUUGUUGGAAGGAGCACAUUGUUUAUAGAGCUGAGAUUUUCAAAGUGGGUAGGUUAUAUAAAUAGAGAAUGGAAUACUUACUCGAUGGAGUCACUCAAACAGAAUCUCUCUCAGAAAAGGGGUUGACAUUUACAAGUGGUCAAGAGGUAAUGUCUAUGUCUACGCCAUCCACAUAUACAAAUGGAAUGGUUAAACAAUGCUUAGUCUAUGUUUAUAAUAUCUUAGAGUUCUUUACAUCUCACUGAUGGUCAAGAUAACAAUAAGGUUAUAUGUCUACGCCAUUCACUAAGCACAAGGAAGGUGCACCUGACACAUCUUCAUUGACCAAGAAAGUGUGCUUAAAACAUGUUCUAUUUGGAGAAGAUGAACUAGCUGGAGUCUUAGUCAAGUAAAAUUUCUUCAUUUUUUCAUAUUUUGGUUUUGGUUUUGAACUUUUGGUUAUUAUAUGUGUUUUGGGAUUAAUAUUUUCUUCGUUGAAUCCGCUUUGGAGAAAUGAGUUUUUGAAUUUAAUUGCUUGCGAUAUGAUGCUUCUUCGUUGAUUCAGGAUUAUAAGUUCAAAUAAAUGAAUUCUUGAUCUAGAAUUGUCCCAAAACAACACAUAUAUUCCAAGUGUGCUAAUUACAAUUUAAAUGUGAUGGAAAUGUUCUGACUAUUAAAGCAUUACAAGAGGACUUCAAAAAAUAAAUUUCUAAAUUUAAUAAUAUUGAUCUAAAAUACAUAUUGUCAUGGAAAUAUAAAUAUAACACCCUUUUAAGUUAAAUUAUUUAUUAUAUAUUGGAAAAUUUAUGUAAUAUGUUACUUUCACAGACUUUUUAAAAAUAUUGUCGUUGGGUGUCUUAAACAAAUAUACAAAUAUAUUGUGGCCCAAAUUAAAUAUACGAGUAGUAAGAGUCUUUAGUGUUCAACUGAAACCACAUAAUUCUAUAAAAAAAAUUUGACUCUUCAGUUAUAAUUUUUAUACAAACCCUAAUAUCUAUCUUCUUCUUCAUUUCGGUCUCUCCAAAUACCGGUUGUGUAGUUUUUUUGUUUUCUUUUGUAUUUUCUUGAACAAUACAAGUAGAUCAUGAAGAAUAUGGUUAGAUCUUAUUUAGACGGAAGUUUAUUUUCUAUGCUUAUAUUUUCUAGAACAUUAGGUCUAAUAGAUUUGUGAGAUUGUAGAUGAUCUACCUAAGGCAGACUUAUUUUAUUGUUAAAAAUUAUUUUAUUAGAUCUAAACAUUAACUAUGGAGGUAAUAUUAUCACGUGUAGUUUAUACAUCACUAGUGUAAAUCCGCGCUUCGCGCGGGAAUUUGUUCCAUUAUAUUUUCAUUUAACAUUUGUUGUUAAAUGAUUUUGUUUAAUAUUUUGUGUGGAUCAUUAUUUUUGAAAUUAUCAUCUUUAUCCGUUAAACUUUGUCGUCAAUUUCAUUACUAUUAGAAAAUUUCUAAUAAAAUUACUGUGAUUAUUAAUAAAAUUGUGAGGUAUUUCUAUUAUGCCAUAUAAAUAUUUUAAUUUGUUUGUUUAAUAUAAAUUAUCCAUUUUUACUUCUGAUUUCUUUGUUUUUUUUCAGGAAAUUUUAUAUUGCGUCUUUGUUGGAUUAUGUAAAGACAUUUUUUUUUUAAUUUUCAUGUCAAUUUAAAAUUAGGUUAAAUUAUGUUAUUUUAUUACAGAAUAUUUAUUUUGCACAAUUAUUUGAAUAAAUAACCCUACAUUUCACAUUCACAAUAGUUACAAAAUCUUUAUUUUAUAAUAUAAAAAAAUGAAAAUUUAGUAAAUAUAUAAUAUAUUUUAUAUGUAAUAUUUAUUCUUACUAUUUUCUAUAACAACUUUCACUUUUUGUUUUAUUAUUGCAUUUAUAGUUACAUAUUUGUUUGACUAUUAAAAUAAUUAAUGAAUAUGUAACUAUUUUAUUUUAUUCAUUAUUUUUGUUAUAGUUUAAUUAUGAAAGCAAGGAGAAUAUAACUUUAAAAAAUUUAAAUUUGGAUUUAACAUAUAAACAUAAAUAAUUGUUGCACAAAAAAACAAAACAUAGAGAAUUUUUUUUGGAACCUCUCUCCUGUCUCCGUUCUCUCUCCAAAAACCUUUCAAAGAUGUGACGUUGACAGAGGUUCACGAUUACGCCGGUUCCUUUUCCAGCUCUGACUCCCGGUGAUCGGGCUUCGACUCUGGCAAGCGGCGGCUUCUUCAGCAACGACUUGGCCGGCUUCUCUUUCAGCAGGCAAUGGUUCCGUCAGUGUUGCUUGGCUGGCUCUGCCUCUGGCGUCACACCUUUCCUUCCGGUGGCGGCGGCUGGCUUCUUGUCGGUUUAUCCAGCUUUUAUAUUUUGUUUUAUCAUCUUAAUGAUUUUUUUCUCCUUUGUUUUCCUUCUAUGUUCCUCGCCUCUAUGCCCUUUCACAGAUUCAGUUGAGUUUCGAUCUUCAUCGGAGUGGCCCUUCCUUCCCCUGUUAUGGGUUUGGUUCAUCUUCGGUCUUAUCAGAAUCAAUAAAGAUGAUCGGUUGUGGAUUAGGAGUUUCUGAUGACCUAGAUCGAUUUCCUUCAACUAAAUCACCUUCAUCUUUGAUGUGAUGGCAACCUUGCCCUUUUCUGCUUGUGUCGUUGUUAAAUGUGUCGUCCGUGCAUCCUGUUCCGGUGGAUACCGAUUUGACUUCCGACGACGACUUCAAUGACGGUGUAAGGAGCUGACGUAAUCCUCUCUCGGCUGGUGUCUCUUCUUCGUUUUCGUGAGUACACGUGCUGUCGAUCAGGAUCAGUUGUUGGGCUCCCUUGUUGGGCUUUUUCAGCUGGGACUUUAGUUAUUUGUUUAUCUUGCCCUUCUAAUGGACUUUUUGUAAAUUUGGUCUUUGUUAAUAAAAUACCGGUGAUAAAAAAAAUUAGUUUAUAUGUUUAUUUCUUGAAUUCAGUAUCAGCCAUAAUACGACAACGGCAUAUAAGGCAUUUUUCUGCUGACAAUCAAUAAAUCAAACAUGCUUUAGUACAAAUGCGCUUAAAUAAAAACUAUAUUCUCAAGAUUUUUUUUGUAAAAAGAAUAAUAACCAACACUUGCCUACUACGAAAGCUUGAGUCUGCCGUUUGAACGGAGUUUUAUCUGUUAGGAAGCAUAACACCAAGAUGUACCUUUCAAACCUAAAGGAUUUUUUUCAGGAAUCCUGGUUUGGAAGACUCAUUUUCCUUCAUCAAUCUAGCCAAAGUUCACAUGGAUAAUAUCUUUCAACAAUAAAACCACAUACAACAACUUAGUCGUUCUCUUUUUACAAAAUAAAUGCUACUUGAUUCCAAUCCAAUCCAAUCCAAUCCUAGGAGUUUCGUGUUACAAAUUUUGAUUCGGCCACGGCUAGUUUGUCCUCUUUGCAUUCGAGUUUCAUUUUUUUCUUAAAGAAAACCUUCUUGGAGUUUGUUCAAAUUGUGCAUCGUAUCCAUCAUCUGUAAGCCAUAAGCAAAUAAGCGUAGGAAGUAAUUAGCAAAUCUGCUAUAAUCAACCGAAAAAACCUAUGUGUAGGUAGUAGAUGUCUCCCAACAGCUCUAGAUUCUUAUUUCAGCCACUAAUACAUGAAAAAAAAACAGUCUUGUAAGGACCUAAAGAAACUGCUGCAUCAAAAAAUUAUAUGAGUACCCAAAUAUUUAUUUAUUUUGAUAAAGAGAAUUUCUAGCUUAAAGUUUGACGGAGUUGGUCGUCCAGAAGUGUGGUGAUUUGUUUGUAGGUGUUGUUCACUAUAACAAAUGAGAGGGUGAAUUGGAUGAUCAAUCAAAAUGCUUUACAUGGAACCCAAAUUUCAAUUACUUCCCUUACAUUAUUAACAAAGAUAUCUUUGUAUUAUACCAUUUUUAUGUGUUACAUUAUUCACAUACGUACAUAAACUUAUAAUAAUUCUUACAAGUGUCUUUCUUGCACGCCGUUUGUUUCUUUUGUAGGUCUGUAGCCUUUACGUUUUUGUUUGAAAAUGUGGAAGCAAGUUUUGUUAACUUUUAAAAGGCAUUGAUGUACGUCGAGGCAACCGGUUUGCUUCAUCAUUUCUGCUUUGCCAUACCGUAAGUGUUUCUAUCUUCUGGAGUUGUGGUGUUUUAGAACUUGUCGGAGGGGCAUGGUGGCUGUCACGCCCAUAUCUCGCUUAACCGAGACGGCAUGAAUUCACAUUGCCUUCACCAAUAAAAAUAUUUAAAUAGGCCAAUGCAAAUCUCAUUCCCUAGGAUCGAAUUCAAAUGUUUUACAAACACGUACUAAAACGAAUAGGAAACACUAAAAACCAAAUCACCAAGUCUUAAAGUAAAACAACUUAAAGAAAACCAAACACCUGAAAACCAGCACCACACUGAGACGAUCACUCCUGCACUUCCUUGAACUCACCUGAAAAAGAAAGGAGGGCUGAGUAUUUCGACAAAUACUCAGUGAGGAAAGCUCUAGGAGCCCCGAAAUCAAUCACCAACAAUCAUCACACAACAUAGCAUAAGCAUCUAACUUUAAUAUUCAGUAAAUUGAAAGCAAUCAACAAGAAACGAGGAUAAACCCCGGCGGUGCCAACAAUGAGACCAGGCCACCUAAAUCUAUGCCCGUGUUCCUCAUGUUGUCGCGCGAGAACUUUCAUUUUGUGUUGUCUCCAUGACAUCACGCUGUCUCACGCCUUCACGCAAUCAAGUUACCGACACCGGUUCUCGCUUGAUCCGCCACCAUGUUCAUACGUUCCACGUUGUCUCCACGACAUCACGCUUCUACGUUACUUCAUUUACAGGCACCGCAUGCCCGCUCCGGCGCUGAAUCAUGCCAACUCAACGAUUGCCACAUGACCCAACAAGAAACGAUGUAACGCCCGAGACAUGCAUAUAUGUCAUUCCACCACGCUACACCGGCACACAUAGGCCUUAAAGCCUUUCUCCAACUCAUUUACAUUUCCCAAUUAUAUAGAUAUCAUCCUCUUAUACAAUAAACCCAAUCAAUACAAUCAUCACAUUCAAUCCUCAAAUCUCAUUCAACCAUAUUUUAACAACCUUAGAAUAGAUCUAUGUUUUUCACACAUCAAGCAUCAAGAUAUUUAUAUAUAUCAUAUGUAUAAUUAUUUAUAUUAGUAGAUCUAUAGAAAGUAACAAGUAAGGAUGAAUGAUCAAUCUAGACACUUCUACCAUGAUGAGAUAAUGAUAGAAGGAGAUAGAGAUUGCAACAAGCCUUCACCUGAGCCUAGAUCUGUGAGAUGAGAUGAGAGUUGAUGUAGAUCUGAGUUCUACGGGUCCUUACUAACCAGAUCUACAAGAACAAGGGUUGGUUUCCACCCAAACCCUAGAUCAGAGAUCAAGAAGAAGAAAGAGAUAGGAGAGAUCAAAAACAAAGUGUUUAGGGUUUCCUUACCCUCACUAGUUGCUGGAUCUAGAAGAAAAAGAGUAGAAGACUCAAGGAAACGGCGAGAAGAAAUAGAAACACGGCGAGAUCUCCUCUCCGGUGAGAUUACACGGUCGCCGGCAGUUCUCCGGUGACUCGCGGUGGCUGCGGUAGUGGUGUGGUGGCCGGCGGCUGCUCUCUCUCCAACUGGGCAGGGAUUCGCUAGGUUUUGAGUCUCUGGAGAAAACCUAAGGGGCUGCCUCCUUUUUAUAGAAGAGGAAGGGGGAAAACCCUAGGGUUUUCUCUACAUGGGCCAAAUCAUCACGGGCCUUGUCACUAAAAAUUGGGCUCGGGUCCGGGAUGUGAACUAUUCCCCGCUAAACAAGAAUUCGCCCCCGAAUUCACGUCAACCUCCGCUGGUAACUCAACACUCGGAAACAACUCUGGGUAAAACGAUCUCAUCUGUGACUCUGGCUCCCAAGUCUCCUCACAUAUUCCAUCUCUUUCCCAGCUCACACGGAUCAUCUUGGUCACUUCCCCUUGGACAUCCAUGUCUUUCAUCUCUGAAACUUUAACUGGUUUGCUUUGAGCUGUUAAAUUGCGACUAACAUCUUCUGGUGGUUGCUGUAAAAUCAACUCUGGUUCUCGAACAACUUUUAUUAGAACUGACACAUGAAACACAUUGUGGAUAUCCGAUACGCUACUGCUCCAAUCCUCUCAAUGAUGUGAUACGGUCCUAAAAAUCUUGGCUUCAACUUUUUCAACUUGCGGUACUCGGCUGUUCCUCGGUAGGUUCUCAUUUUCAAGUAUACUUCAUCUCCUACUUCAAACUCCAAAGCUUUUCUCCUCUGGUCAGCAUAACUCUUGUGUCGAUCGUGAGCCUCUUUCAGUCUAGACUUGAGCAGUUCCACCUGCUCUAUGGUUUCCUUAACCAUGUCCGGCUCUAAAUCUCGUCUCUCCCCCACUUCUGUCCAACAUAGUGGAGUUCGACAUGGUCUCCCAUAUAGAGCCUCAUAUGGAGACAUCCCAAUGCUCGAAUGGUAACUAUUGUUGUAAGCAAACUCUGCCAAUGGUAGAAAUUGGCCCCAUUUUCCUGCCCAAUCAAGUACACAUGCUCUUAGCAUGUCCUCAAGCGUAUGUAUCGUCCGCUCAGACUGUCCAUUGAUCUAUGGAUGAUAAGCCGUGCUAAGAUGUACCUUUGUACCUAGUGCCUUCUGAAAUGCCUGCCAGAAUGCCGAAGUAAACUUUGGAUCACGGUCUGAUACGAUACUUACUGGCACUCCGUGCAAUCGUACCACAGUUUCCAGAUACUUUUGCGCUAAACGAUCUUCUCCAUCAGUUUUCUUGAUAGCUAGGAAAUGUGCAGAUUUGGUGAGUCUAUCCACAAUCACCCAAAUCGCGUCCUUAUUCCCAGUUGUUAUUGGUAGCCCAAUAACAAAAUCCAUUGUCACCAUAUCCCACUUCCAUUCGGGUAAUGGUAACUCUUGUAAAAGCCCGCUUGGUAACUGCCAUUCUUCUUUAACCAUCUGGCAAGUCUGACACUGCGAAUUCCAAGUGGCAACAUCCCGCUUCAUACCUUCCCAAUGGUAAUAGUGUUUCAAGUCCUGAUACAUCUUGGUGCUUCCUGGAUGGAUAGAAAACUGAGAGUUGUGCGGCUGACUCAAGAUCUCGUCCUUCAGAUCCUUACUAUUUGGCGCACACACCCUAUUUUUGAAUAUAUAAGUUCCAUUUGUAGUGGUGCGAUAUCCAACAACCUCCUUUGAAAUCAUUCUCUGCAAUGACUCAUCUCCUUGUUGAGCUUUACUGAUCCUUUCUAGCAAGUCUGCUUGAUCUAAGGCAUCCAAUGCAGCUGUCCUAUCCUGCAAUGGAAACAGACUUUGACUCAAGAGAGAAAUUUAGAGAGAGAGAAACUAGGAACUAACUUUUACCUGCAGCUCCAGAUACCUGUCUGAAAUCCUUGCAUCCUGUGAUCGAUACUCCCAAGGUAAAGCAUUCACUUUAUAUUUAUGCUAAGAAAUGAAAUCAGUAGAGGGGAUGUCAGACGUUAAUUGAUGAGUUGUGUUAUGUUAGAAAUGGUUGCUAAGCUAGGAUAUUGCAUAGUGUGCUUUUGUGAUUAGGACUUUUUAAAUGUGGUUGCAAAAUUGUUGAGGAAAGAUUUCUAUGUUUUAAAAUCUUAAAUCCCCAAAUAUUUUCAAACCUCUUUCAGAGAGACGGCCUGUAUAUUUUGCUUGAGGACAAGCAAAAGGGUAAGUCUGGGGGAGUUGAUAUACCUUAGAUUUGAUCCAUUUUUAUCCAUGGUAGAUAAGUAUUUUACUAUAUAUAUAUAUCUUUCGUCCAAAAAAAAAAAUAUAUAUCUAUGUUUUCUACACUUCUAGGUAUGUUUUCAGGUUCAGGUGCAUUUCGGAGUAAAGCUAUGACUUUGGAGAAUUUUGGAGCUUAAAGGACAUUUGACUCGAGCUGACCACUUUGAGGUCGACGAGAGGAAGAAUAAUCGAUCGAUGUGCAUCAGUGCUGACGAUCGAUAUCAGGAAAUGCUUCGACAGAUGAAGAAUAAUAUCGAUCGAUGUACACAAGUACCAUCGAUCAAUGUCGAGAUACCAGACGUGACAUUUUGGAUUCAGCAGACUUAAAAACCAAGGCCAAGCCAAAUUACCAAAAUGCCCUGACGAGUUUUUAACUUAGUAGAAUAUAUAUUGCCUAAGUGUUUUGACGGCAGAAAAAGGAGAGCUUUUCUAGACCUUGUUUUGUUACAAGUUUCAUUUGGGAGAGAAGAUCACUUGUGAUUGGAACUCCUUGUUUCUAUUUCUUUUCAUCUAUUCUAUGAGUUUCUAUUUAUCUAUUGAUAUGAAUUGCUUUGCUAUAUCUGAGUAGUUCAACUGUUAGAUCCAGGGUUCAGGUAGGUUUGUGGGAUUAGCCCCAAACUAUAGAUCUGCCUUGUUGUGAUAUUCAUGAUAGAUUUGUAUUCAUUGCUUGUUUUAGCCUAGCUAACUAGAACUUGAUCAUAGGAUUGCAUAUUCCAGCACCCUUGUUAUCCCAUCAUGACAUCUAUCUAUCAUAUUAGGAUUGCUAGAGAGGGCUAACCGCCUAUUUAGAAUCUUAGUAGGGCAUUUCAUACUCGCGCAUAGGCCUGGCUAGAACCCUUCGAUCGAUGUCCUUAACUGACAAUCGAUCGACGUUGGCAAAGGUGUAUCGGUCGACGUCUUAAUAGACUAUCGAUCGACACUCUCUUGUUGUCUGCAUACUAACCGGUGAGACACGAGAUCUAGUCUGUUAACCAGUGGUACAUGCGACAGCUGAUCACUGAGUUAAGCGAAUGAGCUCUAAUAUAUCAUGCAUGCAACAGUUAGGCAUCUAUAGGUAUUAUAAUCUCCAACACCUCAAUAGUGGCCCUGCAUCUAAUAUCAUUUCCAACCAAGUUACAUUUAUAUUUACUCGCUUGUUACUAUUGCUAUUUCAUUUAAACAUUUACAACCUUUAGAAUUAAUAAACACUAGAUUUAAUUGUUCCCUAGCUCCGUGUGGAUUUGAUCCCUAAGUACUACAUCUGAACCUCUUUUGAUGAGAGUAACACUCCUUAGGGUAAUUUGAGUGGUAUCAGUGCUAAAGAAUGGUUAGAUAACAAGAAAAAAUAAAUAAGUUCAUUGUCCUCUUCUUGACUCAAUAAAAAUUCUUUUUUGAAAACAUUUUAAUAAGACUCAUGAAUAAACUAAUAUCAGUAAACCUCCUGCAAUGGAAACAGACUUUGACUCAAGAAAGAAAUUUCGAGAGAGAGAAACUAGGAACUAACUUUUACCUGCAGCUCCAGAUACCUGUCUGAAAUCCUUGCAUCCUGUGAUCGAUACUCCCAAGGUAAAGCAUUCACUUUAUAUUUAUGCUAAGAAAUGAAAUCAGUAGAGGGGAUGUCAGACGUUAAUUGAUGAGUUGUGUUAUGUUAGAAAUGGUUGCUAAGCUAGGAUAUUGCAUAGUGUGCUUUUGUGAUUAGGACUUUUUAAAUGUGGUUGCAAAAUUGUUGAGGAAAGAUUUCUAUGUUUUAAAAUCUUAAAUCCCCAAAUAUUUUCAAACCUCUUUCAGAGAGACUGCCUGUAUAUUUUGCUUGAGGACAAGCAAAAGGGUAAGUCUGGGGGAGUUGAUAUACCUUAGAUUUGAUCCAUUUUUAUCCAUGGUAGAUAAGUAUUUUACUAUAUAUAUAUAUAUAUAUAUAUAUAUAUAUAUAUAUAUAUAUAUAUAUAUAUAUAUAUAUAUAUCUAUGUUUUCUACACUUCUAGGUAUGUUUUCAGGUUCAGGUGCAUUUCGGAGUAAAACUAUGACUUUGGAGCAUUUUGGAGCUUAAAGGACAUUUGACUCGAGCUGACCACUUUGAGGUCGACGAGAGGAAGAAUAAUCGAUCGAUGUGCAUCAGUGCUGACGAUCGAUAUCAGGAAAUGCUUCGACAGAUGAAGAAUAAUAUCGAUCGAUGUUCACAAGUACCAUCGAUCGAUGUCGAGACACCAGACGCGACAUUUUGGAUUCAGCAGACUUAAAAACCAAGGCCAAGCCAAAUUACCAAAUUGCCCUGACGAGUUUUUAACUUAGUAGAAUAUAUAUUGUCUAAGUGUUUUGACGGCAGAAAAAGGAGAGCUUUUCUAGACCUAGUUUUGUUACAAGUUUCAUUUGGGAGAGAAGAUCACUUGUGAUUGGAACUCCUUGUUUCUAUUUCUUUUCAUCUAUUCUAUGAGUUUCUAUUUAUCUAUUGAUAUGAAUUGCUUUGCUAUAUCUGAGUAGUUCAACUGUUAGAUCCAGGGUUCAGAUAGGUUUGUGGGAUUAGCCCCAAACUAUAGAUCUGCCUUGUUGUGAUAUUCAUGAUAGAUUUGUAUUCAUUACUUGUUUUAGCCUAGCUAACUAGAACUUGAUCAUAGGAUUGCAUAUUCCAGCACCCUUGUUAUCCCAUCCUGACAUCUAUCUAUCAUAUUAGGAUUGCUAGAGAGGGCUAACCGCCUAUUUAGAAUCUUAGUAGGGCAUUUCAUACUCGCGCAUAGGCCUGACUAGAACCCUUCGAUCGAUGUCCUUAACUGACAAUCGAUCGACGUUGGCAAAGGUGUAUCGGUCGACGUCUUAAUAGACUAUCGAUCGACACUCUCUUGUUGUCUGCAUACUAACCGGUGAGACACGAGAUCUAGUCUGUUAACCAGUGGUACAUGCGACAGCUGAUCACUGAGUUAAGCGAAUGAGCUCUAAUAUAUCAUGCAUGCAACAGUUAGGCAUCUAUAGGUAUUAUAAUCUCCAACACCUCAAUAGUGGCCCUGCAUCUAAUAUCAUUUCCAACCAAGUUACAUUUAUAUUUACUCGCUUGUUACUAUUGCUAUUUCAUUUAAACAUUUACAACCUUUAGAAUUAAUAAACACUAGAUUUAAUUGUUCCCUAGCUCCUUGUGGAUUUGAUCCCUAAGUACUACAUCUGAACCUCUUUUGAUGAGAGUAACACUCCUUAGGGUAAUUUGAGUGGUAUCAGUGCUAAAGAAUGGUUAGAUAACAAGAAAAAAUAAAUAAGUUCAUUGUCCUCUUCUUGACUCAAUAAAAAUUCUUUUUUGAAAACAUUUUAAUAAGACUCAUGAAUAAACUAAUAUCAGUAAACCUCCCCCCCCCCCCCCCCCCCUCAUACUUAAGUUACAUUGUCCCCAGUGUAUAUCUAGUCGGAGUUAAGGUGAUACCUAAAUCAUAAGGACUCAGUUUAACAAGUAAGAACGAUAUACCUGACCGGUUUAAGUGUCGAUCGAUGGUAUGGAGUUGCCAUCGGUCGCUGCAGCUGAUGAACUGUCGAUCGAUAUUGACAUGCUCUCGGUGGUCGAUAUUCGUGGCAAUCGUCUACUCGGAUUGUUUUUAUAACCUGCGGAAAAUUAAAAACGAAAAUAUGUACUAAACUUAAAGAAAACCAAUUAAAGUUACCUACUAGUGGGUUGCCUCCCACUCAGCGCUUUGUUAUAGCUCUUUAUUUUGACUUUGGAAGUGUUUGGGCUAGUAAUGUUGGAAGCAGCUACUUGCUGGGAAGAAAGUAUCCAAAUCUUCUAUGCUCUUAUUGAACCAUGUACCAAUGAGACUUCUCAUGGCCUCAUCUUCUCUUUGCCACUUGUCCUUCAUUGUUGCAGUAGUGUUUCCCAGGUUUUGCAACCUCUCUUCAAGACACUCAAUGCUGAACUGAUGCCUCACAAGUUUGGCAUAUGUGUGAUCUGAGAUAUCCUCUCCAUGGUUGAUUGUAUCAGACUUAUCUUCUGAUGUCACCUUUGUAACUAGCUCUCCUCGGUAUUUUGCUGGGACUUCGUCGAUCAUUUUUUUUCUGAACCUGUAUUGUGGUGCGCCUGUCUAUCGAUGUCGAUGCUUCUGGACGACUCAUGAUGUAUCUCUUAAUCUUAACUAUUUCCUUCUGCAUUGCUUUUGUUUGUGAAGUCAAAGAAAUAACGGUGAUGUUGAAUGGGAAGUAGAUAUCAUCGCAUAUCUUAUCAAGUCUGUCUUCUAUUGUUCCCAGGGUUUUGUAGAUCUAUUCUACCAACUCAUCAAUUUCUUGCUCUGGUGUAAGUAGUUGGUUCAGACUUUAUCGGAUUUGAUUGUGUAAGCUCUUCGUCAAUCGAUGGUGGAAUGUUUUUGUCAAUCGAUGCUGGUGUUAUUACUUCGGCCGCAUGAUGUGUCUGCAUCCUGGCUAUGUCUUGCUUCAUCUCUUCCAUACAAGUAGUCAACCAAUUGAUGUUGUCAUUCAGUGGGUAGUAGACACCAUCGAGUUUCAUCUUGAAAUCAUAUUUUGUUCUUCCUUGAGCUUCACAGAUUCCAUAUAUUUCAUCUCAUUAAUCUCAUUUUUGGCAUGUAUUUCUGGCUCUGGCCUGGCCUGGUCUGGGUGAAUAGCUCGGUGUGUUCUGGAAGACAUAUGUAGGUGCGCUCAUCCAUUAAUGCUCUUUCCAGAAGAUUUCUGAUGUCAUUCCUUGAUACAUUGAUGAAGUUGUCAUCUAUGCCUCGUGCGUGUCCAUACUCAUCUAUGUAGAUGCCAUACUCAUCCCUCUGUUCCUAGUGGAAUCUCCUUAUUCCAUAAUGGUUGUAGGCUCUCCUUCCAAACUCAGGAUGCAUGUCGAUCGACGGUCGAGCUAGUGGUUGAUUCUGAUGCUCGAAACGAUUGGCUGCUCCAUCAGUGUGUGGCAAAGAACUCAUCUAUAACCCUCUGCUGGUACUUUGGAGUGUUGCAUUGUUGCAUGAAGAGGUUUCCUGCUCCAUUAACAAUCUGAAGGAUUUCUACAAUGUCCUCUCUGAAUACUUGUAGAAUUUGUCCAUCCAUUGCUCGUGCAUAGCCGUCUGGAUUUCUGAAAAUAUCAAACUCAUAUCGUUAUAGAUAAUUAUUAAUAGUUUUAGCUUUCACUCUUACAUCGGAUCGUGGUGGCUGAUAAUUGUCGAUUGAUGGUGAAUGUGUGUUCUCGAUCGAUGGGUGCUUGUCUCUUGUGUGACGAAGAAAACGAGUUCCUACUCCACAAGCCAUUGCAAAAAAGUGGAUCAAUUUCUGCUCUUGCCUGGUCUUCUGGACGAAGUAGACGGAAUGGGUAUUCGAUGACUUCUUCCUCAGUGCAACCUUCAUUAUGCUUGUCUGCAUUUGUACCAUGUAAUGUGGUUUCGACAGCAUAGCUCUCCUGAUAGUGAUCAUCUGCCCAAUUGCCGAUUGAGUAGUUUUCGUAUUGCACAUUGUCGACUCCAUUGUCGAUCAAUAUGUUGUUGGUAUAUCGGUCGAUGCUCGUGCACAGUCUGUCUAAUGAUGAUGAGCGUCGAUCGAUGUUGUGUAGCUUCUGUCGAUCAAUGUUGCAUUCCUUAUCCCAUAGGAAUAGUGGAAAACUAUAUCUUCUUCUGUAAGAAGACCAUGAUACUCAAUUGCUCUUACCUCCUUGUAGUCCGCAUCAUACUCAUAUGUAUGUUGUGAUGGUAUAGCAGCUAUUAGUGCAAAACCCGAAUAGCAAUGUGCUGGCCGAUCGUCAUGUUCUGCUGCAGGUGAACUGUCGAUCGAUUCUUCGAGGUGAUUGUCGAUCGAUUUGUUGAAUGUUUAUCAUUGUCGAUCGAUGUUGGAGUGUAAGUGUCGAUCGAAGUUGAAUACUCUGUCUCGUACUCAGCUCCACAGUGGCAGGCUCCUAUGAAUCAUGGAUCAUCUCCAAUCUCUAUGUAGGACGUAUGUGGCUUGACAACUCAAAUUGGAUCGUAGUAGACGUUCGGAUCAAAGAGUGUCAAGCACAACUGGUUGGUCUGCAUGUUGCACACUGCUCCUACUGUAGUCAAGAAAGCUCUCCCAACUAGUAGAGAAGAAUUUCAGUUCAGCUUGAUAUCAAGAACAUGAAAAUCAAGCGGAACUAGGGCAUUAGCAAUUUGCACCUCAAGGUCUCUGAUUAUUCCUCCUGAGUUCCUCUGAGAACAAUCCACAAAAGUUAAUGAAUCCUAUGAAGGCUCUAUCUUCAGACCUAUUUGGUCUGCCAUAACCUGCGGUAGUAUGCUGACUGAAGCUCUUGUGUCACAUAGUACACAUGGGAACUCAAUGACUUUCACCAAGCAUUGUAUUGCAAAUUUCCCAGGAUCGCUCUUCUUCUUCAGUGUAAUCCUUUUCUUCAUCUUCUCUCUGAUCUGAUGGAACAUUCUCCAAUGUCCUCCUAAGUCUCUGUGGUCUCUCUGAAGAACAUCCACAACCUGUGGGAAAGUAAGCCUCCUCAAAUGGUUUAUCCAGUGGAAUCCUAAGGAUUUUCUUAGUAAAGCUAUCCAUCUCCUUCUCAUUAGCUCCCCUCUCCAUAUGCUUAGCAACCUUUUCCUUCCUUCUCCUCAAGGUUCUACCCUCAUAAGCCUUAUCAAAUUGCAUAGGCUCUGGUGCAUCUUCUGAAUAUAUGUUGGUCGUGUCUGGGUGGUUAUUAGAAGAUUUAGAUGAAUGCAUGUGUGCAUUAAGUUGUGCUACCUCCAACUUCGGUAACUGCACGCGGUAUGUGAGAGGUGGUCGUCGAUCGAUGGUUGCUGGAGGUUGUUUAUCGUUUGUGGUCUCUCUCUGUUGAUCGAUGGCAGGCUCACGAUGCGGAUCGAUGUUAAAAUGAAAGGGUUCAUGUGGAUGUGGUCUCUUGCUGUGAACUCCUUGUGAGUCAUGAUUCUCACCGCAUUACACGAUGCAACUGAAUCUGCUGGUGUCGUGGAUCGAUGUUCCUUGAAGUGUGUUGGUCGAUGUUUGUAAUUCGGCAUCGAUCGACACUAAUGCAAACUGCCGAAACUCAUGGAACUUUCGACUUCGAAAUAUCCUUCUUGCAGCUUCUCAUGCUUAGCCACUUGCCAAAAAUCAUCAUCUAUAAUGGCAUUCACGUGGUGCUACAUUGCUUCAUCUCAUAUCCCCCUUGUUAAGACUUCAUGCCUCUUAACACCUCCGCAUGUCUGAACUACCUACAUCUCCAGCUUCUGCACAUGGAUGUUCAAAGUAUCAAACUUUGUGUUCGGAUUGUUGUACACAGAAUCAAUCUUCCCAUUGAAAUCCAUUGUCAGUUUCUGCUGGCCUUCAAGAACCUGAUCAAGCAUUGGUUCUAUCUUGCUCUCAUGAGUCUGUGGUGGUGGAUUCUGGUAAGAUGAGUUUCCAUAGCUCUUGAUGUUGUUGUAGUUGUUGCUGUAGUUGCUGUAGGGUUUCUGGUACUGCGAACACUGGUUCAAAUUACUCAUCUGUCCAUUGCCAUAGAAAUUCAUGUUUCCACUCUGGUUUCCAGACUUCUGAAAUCCAGUGCCACUGAUGAAGUUCACCUUUGUUAUCCUUUGUGUCUACAGCAUCCGCAUCAUCUGCUAAGCAAACCUGCUUCUUAAGAAGCUUGUGAACACUGUCCAACUUUGCUUUCACCUUAUCCAUCUGCUUCUUCCCAAGGAUGACUGCAUAUCUCCUUCUCUCAAAGUCAGUGUUCUUGGUGCUAUUACUGGAUGCCAAGUUCUCAAUGAGUCUCACAACCUCUUUUGGAUUCCUAAUGUUGAAGUUACCUUCACUAGAUGUAUCGAGAGCCAUCUGAUAAUGCAAGGUGAUGCCUUUGAAGAAAGUGAUGAGCAGUUUCACUUCGUUGAAUCCAUGGUGUGGAUAAUCCUCUGAUAAGACUGAAUCUAAUCCAGGAGCUUCAGAAUGAUUCUAUAGGCUCCUCUAUGAAUGUAGCAAUCUUGCUCAUCAAGUCUUCUGCAUGUGCCUCAUCAAAGAAGUUACGCCAGAAAGCGUUCUUGAUGUUGGCCCAGGAUGUAAGAGAUCAUGGUGGUAACUUCUUAAGCCAAUACAAAGCCUUUCCAGCAAGUGAGUACUUGAAGAGCUUGUAGAAUAGGUAUUCCUCAUGGACUCUAUUGCCUUUGAUAGCAGAUAGAAGAUCUUAGAACCUCUCCAGAUGGUCCAUAGGAUGCUCGUGAGAUAACCCACAGUAGGGUGUCUGUCCCACGAGUGUGUAGUAUUGUGACGUCAACUCGAAAUCGCCUCUCUGGAUAGCUAGAAGAGAAAUAGCUGAUUUGUUGGCAUAGAACUGAUCUGAACGGUUAUUAUCAGCCAACGUUCUGGGUCGAAUAUCCUCAUCUACAGGUUGAGCAACUCAUGUAGCUUCAGUAUCAGGCUCAGGGAUUGCAGCAUUACGCAGAUGACGUUCUAGAUCAUGCAAGAUUCCAUUCUUGUCAUGUCUAAGAAUCAGUGUCGCAACCAUAUCUUGCAGCUGAGUAUCGAUUGAUGUUCGAGAUGAAAUAUCGAUCGAUGUCAGAUGGAAGAUGUCGGUCGACGGAAGAGUAGCCUCGGUCGAUGGUGAUGGGCGAGUGUCGGUCGGCGAAAUCGAAGUCUCGAUUGACUGUGGUAUGCGAAUGUCGGUCGACGAACUAAUGAUGUUGUCGAUCGAUGCGGAGCAUCUUUCUUUGCGGAUCGAACGUUCCAAGAUUGCAGGAUCUUCUCAGAAUAGUAGUGAUGUUUCCUUGUUGCUUCUAGUACUGUUGGGCAUGCACUUGAAAAGACAAAAAAAAAUAUGUCGGGAAGUGGUUUAAAGAAGUAACCUCGGUUGAUUAAGUUUAAUUGUAAAUUGUAGGUUUUAAUAAGGUAGUUGUCCGGUUGGGUUGAUUGAGUUUUUGACAUUUAACUGGAAGUAGCUAGACUUAGGGUUUCUAUUUAGGUAAAUAGGAUUCUAGAGAUAUAGAUUCAAAUCAGUUGUUUGCAUGAUAUUAAACAACUUUAGAUUCGUCUAUUGUUUAGAUCUAAUGACCUUAACAUUCGUAUGUUGAUCAAUUUGAAAGUGUAGAUCGAUGAUUCUAGAGGAAUGUCGAUCGAUACACCUUUCACGACGUCGCUCAAUUAUUCUAUAGGAAUAUCCAUCGACGAGCUUUUAGCAAGCUUUGCGCACGGUUGAUAAAGUAUUCACUAAGGUUUCCUAGAUCGGCUAUCGCUUUUCUCUAGAAAUCCUAUUUCAAUCAGGAUCUAUUUAGGAUGAGACCAAGCAGGAGCUUGUACCUACAAACCCUAAAAUCAAGGUUCUAGUUAGCUAUUCUAGAACACAAGCAUUAAGAACAUCCUAUUGAUGAAUAUCAAAACUUAGCAAUUCUAUAGUUGGUGCUAAUCCUUCAUAACGUAUUUAAACCCAAAAGCUAACAAUAGAACUACUCAGACAUGGCUAAGCAAUUCAUAAUAACAAGGUAUAAAGAAAGCUGCAUAGAUAGAUAAGUAAUAAUAAUGGAGUUCCAAUCACACUUCUUACUCAUAUGAUUUUAUUAACAUUUUUAUAUUUGUUGUAACAAUAAUUUAAAUCAUUAAUCAGAAAACUUUUAAUGUGAGAUUUUUCAACAUAAUUUUCAAAAUUAAAAUCUUAAGAUCUCAUUAAGUUUUUAAUGCAAAUUUUAAAAACUAAAUUUUUAUAUAUUAUUAUAUAGUAUAUAAUUUAAUUUAAAUGAUAUUAAUAUAUAUAUAUAUAUAUAUGAUAUGAAUAUCUAUUAAUGAGACUUUAUAUUCAUAUGAUACCACUCAAAUUACCCUAAGGAGUGUUACUCUCAUCAAAAGAGGUUCAUAUGUAGUACUUAGGGAUCGAAUCCACAAGGAGCUAGGGAACAAUUAAAUCUAGUGUUUAUUAAUUCUAAAGGUUGUAAUGUUUUAAAUAAAAUAGCAAUAGUGACUAGCGAGUAAAUGAUAAAUGUAACUUAGGUUGGAAAUGAUAUUAGAUGCAGGGCCAUUAUUCAGGUGUUGGAGAUUAUAAUUCCUAUAGAUGCCUAACUGUUGCAUGCAUGAUAUAUUAGAGCUCAUUCGCUUAACUCAGUGAUCAGCUGUCGCAUGUACCACUGGUUAACAGACUAGAUCUUGAGUCUCACCGGUUAGAUGCAGACACAAGAGAGUGUCGAUCGAUAGUCUAUUAAGACGUCGAUCGAUAGUCUAUUAAGACGUCGACCGAUACACUUUUGCCAACAUCGAUCGAUUGUCAGUUGAGGACAUCGAUCGAUGGGUUCUAGCCAUGCCUAUGCGCGAGUAUGAAAAUGCUCUACUAAGAUUCUAAAUUGGCGGUUAGCCCUCUCUAGCAAUCCUAAUAUGAUAGAUAGAUGUCAGGAUGGGAUAACAAGGGUGCUUGAAUAUGCAAUCCUAUGAUCAUGUUUUAGUUAGCUAGGCUAAAACAAGCAAUGAGUACAAAUCUAUCAUGAAUAUCACAACAAGGCAGAUCUAUAGUUUGGGGCUAAUCCCACAAACCUAUCUGAACUCUGGAUCUAACAGUUGAACUACUCAGACAUAGCAAAGCAAUUCAUAUCAAUGGAUAAAUAGAAACUCAUGGAAUAGAUGAUAGGGAAAAUGAAACAAGGAGUUCCAAUCACAAGUGAUCUUCUCUCCCAAAUGAAACUCGUAACAAAACUAGGUCAAGAAAAGAAAAAGCUCUCUCUGCCGUCAAACACUUAGGCAGUAUAUAUUCUACUAGGUUAAAAACUCGUCAGGGCAUUUUGGUAAUUUGGCUUGGCCUUGGUUUUUAAGUCUGCUGAAUCCAAAAUGUCGCGUCUGGUGUCUCGACAUCGAUCGACGGUAUAUGUGUACAUCGAUCGAUAUUAAUCUUCAUCUGUCGAGGCAUUUCCUGAUAUCGAUCGUCAGCACUGAUGCAUAUCGAUCGAUUAUUCUUCCUCUCGUCGACCUCUAAGUGGUCAGCUCGGGUGAAAUGUCCUUUAUGCUCCAAAAUGCUCCAAAGUCAUAGCUUUACUCCGAAAUGCACCUGAACCUGAAAACAUACCUAGAAGAGUAGAAAACAUAGAUAUAUAUAUAGUAAAAUAGUAAUAUACCAUGGAUAAAAAUAGGUCAAAUCUAGGGUAUAUCAACUCCCCCAGACUUACCCUUUUGCUUGUCCUCAAGCAAAACAUACAGGCAGUCUCUCUGAAAGAGGUUUAAAAAUGUUUGGGAACUUAAGAUUUUAAAAACAUAGAAAUCUUUCUUCAACAAUUUUGCAACCACAUUUAAACAGUCCUAAUCACAAAAGCACACUAUGCAAUAUCCUAGCUUAACAACCAUUUCUAACAUAACACAACUCAUCAAUUCACGUCUGACAUCUCCUCUACUGAUUUCAUUUCUUAGCAUAAAUAUAAAGUGAAUGCUUUACCUUGGGAGUAUCGAUCACAGGAUGCAAGGAUUUCAGACAGAUUUCUGGAGCUGCAGGUAAAAGUUAGUAAUUUAUAGUAUUUUUAAAAAAAUUCCAAACAUAACAUAUAGGAAAAAAUCUAAUUUUUUAUUAUAUGCUUAAUGUGAUUUUUCAAUUUCUAUUAAUAAUAUAAAAUUAAACAAAAAAAGGAAAGGAUACAAAAUUGUAAUCAAAUAUGUAUUAAUCAUUAAUUGUCAUAUAUAUGUUAACCAAAUUAGGUAAUUAUGUAGCUUUUAUUUAAGGAAAGAAUUGAGAAUAUUCUUUUGUACACUAAUAAUCAAUUUGAUAGUUAGUUUAAUAAAAAAAUAUAAUAUAUAUUUGUAUGGAUAGUUAGUUCAAGAAGUCGCUUAGAGAUUCGUCGUCCUUCAGGGCUAGGCUCCAGAGAUCGACAUCAAAAGUUUUUUUGUCUAUCAACAUAGAGUAUUGUUUGAGAAAUUUCGAAGCGAUUUGGUGGAAACUUUCGAUGGAAUUUCGCCUGAGGCGGGAGAACCAUUCGAGCGUUGCUCCCUGGAGAUUUUUGAUGAAGAGACGGCAAUGGCCAGCGUCUUUUUCUUUUUCCUGUAGCUUGGCCCUUCCAAUGGUGAUCUGAAAAAUCUGCAGAUGUGCUUUAGGAUCGGUGGUGGCGUCAUAGGUAGGGAUCUUAAUUUUUUCAGGGUCUGAGACCUUCGUCUCGGUGAUACGAGCAGUGAAGGGAGUCUUUCGAGCCUCUUCGAGAAGCCUGUCAAUCUCGGGGGAAGCACUGGUAGCGUGGUGAAUCUGAGAUUUCACCGCUUUAACUUCCGCGGCCGUUUUUGUGAUGUAGUCACGGAGAUCGCAGAUUUUGUCGAGAUCGUCAUCAGCAAUUUUCUGAGUUUGUCGGCGUUUGCUGCGAUUGACUCGAGCUUGUUCAUCGGCCAGUUUUUCUUGUUUGACCCAGAACAUGGUUUCUUCCUCUUCGGUCAUGGGUUUCUCGAACGAAGAAUCUAGCCGAUUUGCGUGGCUCCUAGUCCUUCUUGGAUGUAUAUCUGCGUCCUCGUCUGAGUGAUCGGACUAGUCGCUGGAAUCCAAGUUUACUCGUUCGGCUUCGUUAUCCUACGUAGCAACCGAGUGUCCGUCCCGCUCGGUCGCUACGUAGCGACCGAGCAUCCGUCCCGCUCGAUCGCUAUGCAGCGACCGAACACUUCCGAAACGUCGAUACGACACCAGUCCAUGCAUUCUUGUCUAUCCUACAAUGCUAUCUCCCGAAGACCGUAGCAAAUUCGGUUCAUGCCUUCCGACCAUUGUUGGGGUCAAAAACAGUCACGACGGAAUUACCACCCAAAAAUCCUCGGAGGUCAUAUUUCCGAAAGAGAUAGUAAAAAGAAAGAUAUAAUUUUCGUAAAGAAAUAACGAUACAAAGUUUUUACGAAGAAGUAUCCUUGAAGAUUCAAAAGCAAACGAAUCAAGCUCGGUCGUUGCGUAACUACCACACAUACACGCUGUCCGGUCGCUACGUAGCAACCAAGUCCGAGCCGAUGCCGGUCGCUACGAAGCGACCGAACAUCCGACCCGCUCGGUCGCUACGUAGCGACCAAGCUCGAGCCAAAGCUUGGUCGCUACGUAGCGACCAAGAAAUCGUCCCGCUCGGUCGCUACGUAGCGACCGAGCUCACACCAAAGCUCAGUCGCUACGUAGCGACCGAGCGCGCGUACCGCCGUAGUGACCGAGCGCUCGUCCCGCUCGGUUGCUACGUAGCGACCGAGCGCUCGUCCCGCUCGGUCGCUACGUAGCAACCGGGCUUGAGCCAAAGUUCGGUCGUUGCGUAGCGAUCGAGCUCUUCCGAACGUCGGUACGACACCAGUCCAUGCAUUCUCGUCAAAACCUUCAAAUGCUAUCUCCCGAAGAUCGUAGCAGGCUUAGUUCAUGCUUUCCGCUAUUCUAAAUCAUAGAUCAGACUUUGCGAAUUAAAAACCGCAGAAAGUUUGUUCUUUAUCGAAAGAACUCGUAGUAAACGUGUCGAGUCGGAAGACGGCCCAAAGGGACCUAAAACACGACUCGAAGCCCAUCCUACGAUUUCUUAACCAAAAGCCCGUAAACUCCAGCACUGUUUACGCUUGGUCCCCAAGGAAGGAUAAAUGUCAAGUUUCCGCGGAUAAAUACGGAAGUUUUGAAGAUAAUUGUGAAGAUCGGGAAAAAUGGAAUAUCUCCAUUUUUAUGCUAUGACGGCUUAAGGGCAGAAGAGUAAAAAUGUAAACCGACCUUGGAGCUAGUAUAUAAGGAGUCCUAGGCGAGGAGCAUAGGAGAGAACUUUUUUAGAGCAAACUUAGCACUUAGAGCAAUUUAGGCAUUUUUCCGUUUUUGUUAUUUCGAGCUGCGACUCAAUUAGGUUUAGCCGUCUUAGGGUUGCUAGAACUAGGAAUCUCGCCGACAGCUCUCGAGCCCAGGCUUAUACCUUGUUGUAAACGCUCAUUCGCAAAUUCGGAAAUAAGAUCUUCUUUGCUCUCUUUUUCGAUUUCUUAUACUUUAUCGUUGUUAUUCUCGUGUUUUGAUUGCUUGACGUGUGGUAAUUAGCAGAUAUCCGAGUCCUCUGGAAAAUUAGGAUUUUCCUAGUUUCCUUAUUUAAACGGAAAUCGACAGUGCGAAUUUCGGUUCCCACAGUUUGGGGCUAGAAAGAAGGGGGAUACGGAUCAAUCUAACCCGCAAAAGCCACAACACUCUCAAUCAGACAUGUCAACUAACGACGCGGAUAACGUGCAGACUCCUCUUAACGGAGGUAGCGGCACCGAUCUCCACACUCCAGCAGCGGACGUAUCCGCGGCCAACGCACAAGCCAACGCCGCAACGCUCGAGGAGUUUAAAAAGAUGUUCGCCACCUAUGAGAAAAGGUCGGAAGAAUAGGAUAAGCUCGUGAAUACCUUGACCAAACAGGUUGAAACCUUAACGGCAAGGACCCAAGCAAUCCCUCCCCGGGGAACCACCAAAAUCCGCGGGAAGAGUCUCGACUUCGCUACCCCACUCGACAGAUCAGGAGUCACGCAGGAACGAGCUUCCGGUCAAAACCCUAGCGAGAAUUCUCCCAUCAAAAGGGGGAACCCUGAAAGUCUUCCGCCCCCUGCAAAGGACUUGGAGGAUAACGAAGCCAAACGCAUUGACCUGGAUCCUAGCGAUGUCUCCAACGACACCGACGAGGACGUCAACAUACAUCCAAGAAGGACCAGGAGCCGAUCUGCUCGGGAAGGCUCCCCGUUCGAAAAACCAAUGACGGAAGGAGAAGAAAUUACCUAUUGGAACGAACAAGACGAGCUGGCUUAAAGGCAAACCGAGCUCACUCGCAGUAAACACCGACAAGCUUGGACAUCUACUGACGAGACAUCGGAUAUCCGCGAUCUUCGCGACUACAUCACCAAGACUGCGGCAGAAGUGAGGGCCGUAAAGUCUCAAAUCCAUCAUGCUAUAAGUGCUGCCCCCGAAAUCGAUCGACUGCUGGAAGGAGAUCGGAUGACCCCUUUUACCAGUCGCAUUUCGGACAUGAGGGUGUCCAAUCCGGAAAAAAUAAAAAAACCGAAGUACGACGGUACGGCCGAUCCAAAAGCGCACCUUCAGGCUUUCCACAUCGCGAUGGGAAGAGCUAGACUGAAGGACGGCGAAAAGGAUGCCGGCUACUGCCGCCUGUUCGUUGAAAACCUGGAAGGAGCAGCACUUGAAUGGUUCGCACGCCUUCGUCGUAACACCAUCGGGAGUUUCCGACAGCUCGCAUCGGAAUUUCUCAAAGAAUACUCUGUAUUCAUCGACAGAGAAACUUCUGAUGUUGACCUCUGGAGUCUCUCCCAGAGGGAGGACGAACCCCUCCGCGAGUUUAUCAGUCGGUUCAAGCUGAUAAUGUCAAGGGUCAGCGGGAUAAGCGACAAAGUGGCCAUCGACGCGCUGAGAAAGACGCUCUGGUACAAGUCGAAAUUCAGAAAGUGGAUAACUCUCGACAAACCGCGAACGAUCCAGGAUGCCCUCCACAAAGCGACGGACUACCUCAUAGUCGAGGAAGAAACUAAAGUCUUAUCGCAAAAACAUAAGUCGGCAAGACCAUCCUCGAAGGACGUGGAUCCAAAAGGGAGAAAGAAGAACUCUCGUAACGACAAAUACGUCCAUCACGAGGGGGAAGAUCUCCAAGGGGCGCAUAAUUACGCGAUCAAUUCGGAUCAAAGCCGAACCACGGGCAACACGUGGACUCGCAAUCAAGGGUAUGACGAAAACACCUUCUGCGAGUUCCACCAGUCCCGAGGACACUCCACGACCAACUGCAAAGUCUUGGGAGCAAGACUGGCCGCAAAGCUACUCGCUGGAGAGCUCUCGGAAGUAACUAGCGUCAAGGAUCUCAUCCUCGAUUCUGAUCGCCCUCCAAAGACGGACAGAAAUCCGCCCGCUGAAAAAUCCCCUCAACGAAACCAGCCUGGGGAUAAACACGGUAGGAGGCCGGAUGAUAAGGGGAAUACUGCGGCGAUACUGUGUCGGCCAUCAAGGCUUACCAACGGAAGGCAGAGUCGAGUGCAAAUUGGCCUACAUGGUCUCCUCCCCGAGAUGACCAAAAUUGCUCGAUCACCUUCACAAAGGAGGAAGCCGGCGGCAUCGAUCAACCUCACUGCGAUCCGCUCGUCAUAGAUCUCGUCAUUCGAGACUUAGAAGUCAGAAGGGUACUCGUCGACACGGGAAGCACGGUCAACGUAAUCUUCUGCGACACUCUCAAACGGAUGAGCAUCGAACUCGGAGAAGUAAUUCCGACGCCAAAACCGCUCACGGGUUUUUCAGGCGAAGUAUCGAUGACUCUUGGAUCGAUCCAGUUGCCAGUCAUGGCCAAGGAGAUCACAAAAAUCGUCGAGUUCGCGGUAGUCGAUCAUCCCACUAUCUACAACGUGAUCAUGGGAACCCCAUGGUUCAACGCCAUGCAGGCAGUUCCGUCGACCUACCACCUGGGUCUCAAAUUCCCAACCCCAAGCGGAGUCGCGGCUAUCUGGGGAUGCCAAAAACAGUCGCGGCUAUGCUUCCUCGCAGAGCACAAGUUAAGGCAAAUCACGACUUCUGCAAAAACGCCCCGUGGAAAGACGAAUUAAAAUCGUCUGCCGACACAAACGCAUCGGACGUCGAAACUCAACACGAGUCUUAAGCCCACACUACAACUCAACCGGAACAUCCGGAAAAUAGCGUUGACCCAGCCACGAUCGACAUGGUCAAGGCGGACAUCGCGACAUCUACCGCCGAGUAAAAACACUCGCGGCAUGAAACAGAACUACGAGAUGGCUUGAUCCUCGAAAAGGGUACGUAGGCAGCCCGUCAAAAGACGAGUUCAGAUAUGCCCCUCUCUAAAAAAGGGGGGGGGAGUGGGUGCGUAUACUCAGAUACUCCCACUUAGAAAAAUCUUCAUUAUUGUAAUCGAGUUUUCAGAAACUUCAAAAACUUUUACUACAAUCUACGUUGCUUCUUUUUAUCGAAAACGUUUACGCUUCAGUUAAAACACAAAAAAAACUGUCGGGACACGCCUGGAAACAUUAAGACUCUUGUCAGCGGCCUCAUCCGGCCCAAAAAAAUCGUAAAGUUAUCAUCUUUCAAAACAUUUGAAAAUACACGUAUAAUCCUCGAAACAACUCCGAGACGUCGCAAAGUUAAAAUUCGAAGAUAAUACGAACAAAUUGUUCGAACGCGACCACCAAAAACCUUACACCCCGUUCGUCGAUUGGCCCCGACGAACACGCCAGCCGUCUUAAACAAACGCAAUUCGAUCACUCUUUUGAUCUUCAAAAACGUCCAACACAAGGACAAAAGCGCACUACAACAAAAAUCUGAAAUUUUGGUCUAGCACUAUCAGUUGACUCUGAGAAGAUGCUCGAUUCGUACCAUACAAGUCAUAUAAGCCGAGAGCCUAUAGCGGACUUUAAAUCGGUACGAGUCAGGAAGAAAUCGCAACAGGAAAAACGAUAGCCGGCUAGUCACCGCACAAACCUUAACCGAAAGUAAACCUAGGUCUUGCCCUAAACCCAACGCUCUGGUCUCAAACAUCUCAAGACAUGAUAUCUAAAAGUUACGUGAUCCUAAACCAUGUCUCUCCGUUCGUAUCUCGAUUUUCCCAAAAAUCGUAAAGAUUGGUAAUUUUUUACGAGAAUCACGAACUAACUAACAGAUUGAACGUCUAAUCGGAAUUAAAUAUAAGAUGACAACUCAUAUUUACUUCGGCCCUAUUCAGGAAAACUCGAAAUGAAACGUUCAUCAUAUAUAUAAAACUGCUUAAAAAGCGGUAAGGGAUUCAAAGCCACCAACGGCCAGUCCCGAUAAGCAAUAAAAACGGCCAAAACAGGCCCAUACAAAUCUCUCGGCCACACUCGGCCAAACACAUAGAAAAAGAAAGACGAGCAUCUUUCUUUCGAUAACCACUCCACCUCUCAUAAUCCAAAGUCAAAAUCCCUGGACAACGAAGCACCGAACGCAUCUGCGGGACGAUCCACUUCCUCUCCACCGUCAGGAAACCCGGUUUGAACCUCCUCGGUAUCAGGGGAAACCGGGAUGGAAUCCCAGAAUCCUUGAAUCCACUCGUCGAUCGAAGGGAUGAGCGCCUCAGCAUGGGCAGGAUCGUUCAUGCCACUCUUCAUCAAGCUCAUUUCCUUCUCGAACACAUAGUCAUCGGCCUGCGUCCUCCAAAGACUUCCGACUGAACCGCGGCACUCACGGAAAUCACCCACCGAGGUAAAGGCGUUCUUGAAGUUCCUAUACUCAACCUGGAAUUGAGAGGCACGAGUCUUUAUCACCUCGACGAUUUCUCUUUUGCCUUUCCUUUCCGCCUUACGGACAGCCCGCGCAUGAUCACGAGUAAGUUGCGCUUCUCGGUCCAACAUCUCGCCUUGCAUGCGAGCGAGAUCUCGUUCCGCUUUCUCCGCUUUAAAACGAUAGACCAUAGCCUCCCUAUGGCUCGCUUCAAUGGCCGAGCCAAGCAAGUUGAGGCCCUGCGAAACCAAUUAACGCAUUGUGAGCAGAAAAAGAAAUACCCAGGCAAUCACAAAUAUUUUCGAAAAAAUCAUAGCCCACUGAUGAUUCGGGACCCUUCCGCGACGACUUUCGGCCUCGCCGACUCUUUCGCAGGUGGAGGAGCAUCAUAACCCGGUGGCAGACCAGCAAAGAAAUCAUCAAAAUCCAGAAUAUGGACCUCGCUCGAGCCACUCCCAUCGCCAUAAGCAAGGUUCGGAUCCCAUCCUGGAAGCAUAGAGUCAUCCAUCGAAAAUUCUAUGUCGCCAAGGUCGAUAUCCUUUCCCUUCCAAGAGCUCGACUCCGGCAUAGUGGCUGGGGCUAUAACGGGAUUCUGGUCAUCAGGUUCGGAGUCGCUUCCCGUGUCCGCAACCGAGGCAGGACCAGGGUGCACAAACCUCAGUGCCUUCAGAAUCCCUCACCGCAAUGAUGUCCUCGGGGAACGGAGCAAGAGGAUUGAUGAAAGGAUGAUCGUUCGGCAACCUCCGGAACAGUGGAAUGCAACUCUCUUCGACAGACGCAGCGUCUAUACGAACAAAGAAGAAAAACUUCUUCCACGAGUUGAAGUUCAAAAUGAACUUCUUAACCACUGACAUAAAGUUCCGAGGGACCAGCCUAUGCUUGUCCGUAUCUUUGACGAGUUGAAGCAUCAAAAGCGCUUCAAAAUGAUCGACGGAAAGGGAAAGGCCAUGCUCGUAGCUCAGGAUCAGGAUCCCAAUAAGAUGAUGAUUGGCGAGAGGAGUCAACUGGCUUAUCGCAACCUCGAAACGGUCCAACACUCGGACGAGGAUUUCGGGGAUUGGGAACCAUAAGCGACAACGUACCACGAACGCCUCGUAGCAAGUGAAGUAACCCUCUGGGGGGCUGUUAGCACACUCUCCGGGAUAGGGAACCAGGAACUCCACAGCAUCCGGGAUAUGGUAGAACGAUCGGACCCUGUGAUGCAUGGUCCUAACGGGCUGGGGGGCUAACUGUUGGGGUCAAAAAUGGUCACGGCGGAAUUACCAUCCGAAAAUCCUCGGAGGUCAUAUUUCCGAAAGAGAUAGUAAAAAGAAAGAUAUAAUUUUCGUAAAGAAAUAACCGAUACGAAGUUUUUACGAAGAAGUAUCCUUGAAGAUUCAAAAGCAAACGAAUCAAGCUCGGUCGUUGCGUAACUACCACACAUACACGCUGUCCGGUCGCUACGUAGCAACCAAGUCCAAUCCGAUGCCGGUCGCUACGUAACGACCGAGCAGGACGAGCGCUACGUAGCGACCGAGCUUCGGCUCGAGCUCGGUCGUUACGUAGCGAUCAAGCGGGACGAGCGCUCGGUCGCUACGUAGCGACCGAGCUACGUAGCGACCAAGCACUCGUCCCGCUCGGUCGCUACGUAACGACCGAGCUCGAGCCAAAGCUCGGUCGCUACGUAGCGACCGAGCGCUCGUCCCGCUUGAUCGCUACGUAACGACCGAGCUCGAGCCGAAGCUCGGUCGCUACGUAGCGCUCGUCUUGCUCGGUCGUUACGUAGCGACCGAGCUCGAGCCAAAGCUCGGUUGCUACGUAGCGACCAGGCUUGAGCCAAAGUUCGGUCGUUGCGUAGCGAUCGAGCUCUUCCGAACGUCGGUACGACACCAGUUCAUGCAUUCCCGUCAAAACCUUCAAAUGCUAUCUCCCGAAGACCGUAGCAGGCUCAGUCCAUGCUUUCCGCUAUUCUAAAUCAUCGAUCAGACUUUGAGAAUUAACAACCGCGGAAAGUUCGUUCUUUAUCGAAAGAACUCGUAGUAAACGUGUCGAGUCGGAAGACGGCCCAAAGGGACCUAAAACACGACUCGAGGCCCAUCCUACGAUUUCUUAACCAAAAGCCCGUAAACCCCAGCACGGUUUACGCUUGGUCCCCAAGGAAAGAUAAAUGUCAAGUUUCCGCGGAUAAAUACGGAAGUUUUAUGUUAUGACGGCUAAAGGGCAGAAGAGUAAAAGUGUAAACCGACCUUUGAGCUAGUAUAUAAGGAGUCCUAGGCGAGGAGCAUAGGAGAGAACUUUUUCAGAGCAAACUUAGCACUUAGAGCAAUUUAGGCAUUUUUCCGUUUUUGUUAUUUCGAGCUGCGACUCAAUUAGGUUUAGCCGUCUUAGGGUUGCUAGAACUAGGAAUCCCGCCGACAGCUCUCGAGCCCAAGCUUAUACGUUGUUGUAAACGCUCAUACUUAAAUUCGGAAAUAAGAUCUUCUUUGCUCUCUUUUUAAAUUUCUUAUACUUUAUCGUUGUUAUUCUCGUGUUCUGAUUGCUUGACGUGUGGUAAUUAGCAGAUAUCCGGGUUCUCUGGGAAAUUAGGGUUUUCCUAGUUUCCUUAUUUAAACGGAAAUCGACAGUGCGAAUUUUGGUUCCCACAACCAUUCUGAGACAUCAACUAAACUUCGCGGUAAAAACCGCGGAAAGUUCGUUCUUUAUCGAAAGAAAUCGUAAUAAAUGUGUCGAGUCGGAAGACAGCCCAUAGGGACCUAAGACGACUCGAGGCCCAACUUGCGAUUUCUUAACCAAAGCUCGUAAACCGUAGGACGGUUUACGCUUGGUCCACAAGAAAAGAUAAAUGUCAAGUUUCCGCGGAUAAAUACGGAAGUUUGAAGAUAAUUGCGAAGAUCGGAGAAAAAUGGAAUAUCUUCAUUUUAUGCUAUGACGGCUUAAGGGCAGAAGAGUAAAAGCGUAAACCGACCUUCGAGCUAGUAUAUAAGGAGUCCUAGGCGAGGAGCGUGGAGAGACUUUUUCAGAGCAAACUUAGCACUUAGAGCAGUUAGGCAAUUUUCCUUUUUUGUUAUUCCGAGCUGCGACUCAAUUAGGUUUAGCCGUCUUAGGGUUGUUAGAACUAGGAAUCUCGCCGACAGCUGAUAUACCUUGGAUUUGACCCAUUUUUAUCCAUGGUAUAUAAGUAUUUUACUAUAUAUAUAUAUAUAUAUAUAUAUAUAUAUAUAUAUCUAUGUUUUCUACUCUUCUAGGUAUGUUUUCAGGUUCAGGUGCAUUUCGGAGUAAAGCUAUGACUUUGGAGCAGUUUGGAGCUUAAAGGACAUUUCACCCGAGCUGACCACUUAGAGGUUGACGAGAGGAAGAAUAAUCGAUCGAUGCGCAUCAGGGCUGACGAUCGAUAUCAGAAAAUGCCUCGACAGAUGAAGAUUAAUAUCGAUCGAUGUACACAAGUACCAUUGAUCGAUGUCGAGACACCAGACGCGACAUUUUGGAUUCAGCAGACUUAAAAACCAAGGCCAAGCCAAAUUACCAAAAUGCCCUGACGAGUUUUUAACCUAGUAGAAUAUAUACUGUCUAGUGUUUUGACGGCAGAAGAACAGAGACACGGGAUCUAGUAUGUUAACCAGUGGUACAUGCGACACCUGAUCACUGAGUUAAGCGAAUGCGCUCUAAUAUAUCAUGCAUGCAACAGUUAGGCAUCUAUAGGUAUUAUAAUCUCUAACAUCUGAAUAGUGGCCCUGCAUCUAAUAUCAUUUCCAACCAAGUUACAUUUAUAUUUACUCGCUUGUUACAAUUGCUAUUUCAUUUAAACAUUUACAACCUUUAGAAUUAAUAAACACUAGAUUUAAUUGUUCCCUAGCUCCUUGUGGAUUCGAUCCCUAAGUACUACAUCUGAACCUCUUUUGAUGAGAGUAACACUCCUUAGGGUAAUUUGAGUGGAAUCAAAUUUGGCGCCGUUGCCGGGGAGCUUUGAUCGCCAUUAGAUUUAGUUUUAUUAAUUUUUUUUCUUUUCCUAACCCCAUUUCUAAUAAUCUUUUUCUUGUCUUUUCAGGUGCAUGCCUAGCGGUACCACCAGCAACAAGGAGAAAGACUUGCGGUUCUCAGACGAUCCUGCUCAUUUGGAAUGCACCAUCCGUAGAGGUCAACGUUCCACAUCGCUCGACGCAACCACUUCGUCGUCGAUCGAUACGCACAACCUACCGUCGACCGACACCAGACCAUCAUCGUCGAUCGAUCCCAAUCGUUCGACAACGAUCGAUACUACACCGCGUACGUCGAUCGAUACCGUGUCGUAAAAAAUGGUAAACAUUAUUAUUCUAACUCAGGACGAGAACGGAAACCUGUAUGACCAGGCCGGUCAUCUAUGUAAUGCAACAGGUCAGAAAAUAGAUGCUCAGGGAACUGUAAUCCCUGAUGCUGAUGCUAGGAGCUGCUCAACCUGUAGAUGAGGACGCUCGAUCGAAACCACUGGCCGACUACAACCGCCCAGAUGAGUACUAUUCCAACAGAUCAGCUAUUCGACUUCCGGAGAUCCAGAAGCAGAAUUUCGAGCUGAAGCCUCAAUACUAGAGUCUCGUGUCGCAGAAACCCUACUCUGGGUUACUGCACGAGCAUCCUAUGGACCAUUUGGAACGGUUUGAGGAUCUAAUCGCUGCUAUUCGAAUGGAAGGAGUCCCCAAAGAUUACCUGCUGUGCAAGCUCUUCAGAUACACGCUGAAUGGAGAAGCGAUGCACUGGCUUAGGCAGCAACCCACAGGAUCUUUAACAUCCUGGAGCGACAUCAAGAAUGCUUUGUUACGAAACUUCUUCGAUGAGGCGCGCGCUGAAGAACUUCGAAACAAAAUUUCCACAUUCUCGCAGAAGGCUGGAGAGUCCUUCAAAGAUGUGUGGAUUAGAUUUAGGUUCUUCCAGCGAGACUGUCCACACCACGGAUUUAACGAAGUGCAGCUGCUAAGCACUUUCUUCCGAGGUGUCGCCUUACAGUAUCAAAUGGCCCUUGAUACGGCGAGUGAAGGAAACUUCCCUACACGGAAUCUGUUGGAAGCUGUGAGAUUUAUCGAAAACCUUGCUAACAGCAGCAGCACCAAAAACACUGACUCUGAACGGAAGAAGUCUGUAGCCUCUAUCGGGAAGGAACAUAUGGACGAAGUAAGAGCGAAGUUAGAUGUGGUGCACUUGCUUCUUAGGAAGCAAGUCUGUUCAGCUGAACGAGAAGUAGCAGGUACGGAAGGAGAAGAAAAUGUGAACUACAUCGGAGGUACCGGAUUCCAGAAAUUUGGAAACCAGGGCGGAAACAGAAACUUCUUUGGAAAUGGCCAAAGAAGUAACCAAAAUUUACAAUUUCAAAAACCCUUCAACAACAGCAAGAGCUACUCGAACUCUUACUACCAAAAUCCACCACCCCAGACUCAGGAAAGCAAGAUCGAAGAGAUGCUUGAUCGAGUACUGUUGGGACAACAACAAAUCACCGUGGAUUUCAACGGUAAGAUAGACUCUGCUUACAACAAUCUGAACACCAAAAUCGAGACCUUAGGGACUCAGGUGAGAAAACUUGAAACCCAAGUAAUUCAGACGGGCGAGACUAUAAAGAGGCAAGAAGCCUUCGCUAGAGAGGCAUGAGCCAACAAAGGAAAACACCACGUAAAUGAUGAUUUCUGGCAAGUGGUGAGAAAUGAAAAGCUCGAGGAAGGAGAUUUCGAAAUCGAAAGCUCCAUGAGUCUCGGCGGAUCCCAAUGGUGUCGACCGAUAUCGAUGAACUCGCAUCGAUCAACAGACCAUGAUGAAGAUCGAUGCACGGAUUACUCCAGUCAUCGAUCGACGUCGUCUGCCAAAUCGACUGAAUGCAAUGCGGUUCGGAUUCUAACUCAUGAAGAAUUCGCAGCUAAGCAUCCUCACCCACCCUCCCCUUUCUAUGAUAAAAUCGAUCGAUCGGUUGAGCCAACCAUCGAUCGACAGAGUGAGUCCGGCAUCGAUCGUCACAACACACCUCCCAUCGAUCGACAGGCACCUCUGACAUACCGAGUACGGUUACCCUCAAUCGAUAAUGAUUACAUCAACGCACUCAGACCACCACCUAAACAUUAGCAAACCCACCCGAACCAAAACCCAACCCUUUAAAUAGUUCACCAGAAUCAGUUCAAGAAGAACAAGAAUCUGAAGGGAGAAGGUUAAGGAAAAGAAAGGAGAAGAUUCCUAAAACCUUAAGAGGAAAGCUAACGAUAAGGAGAUGGAUGGUUUCACUAAACGAGUCCUCAGAAUCCCAAUCGAAAAACCUUUUGAUGAAGCUUACUUCACACACCGGUUGUGAAUGUUCUUCAGAGAAACAAAGGUAACUGAGGAGGACAUUAGGAGAAUGUUUCAUCAAGUCAGAGAGAAGAUGAAACACAGGAUCACAUUGACGAAGAAGAGUGAUCCUGGGAAGUUUGCAAUACCAUGCGUAGUCAAGGGUGUUGAAUUUCCCCAUUCAAUGUGUGACACAGGAGCAUCAGUUAGUAUCCUCCCUAGGAUCAUGGCAGACCAGCUUGGUUUGACCAUCGAACCCUCAACGGAAUCCUUCACCUUCGUGGAUCUUUCAGAGAAACGAUCAGGAGGUAUCAUAAGAGAUCUGGAGGUACAGAUUGGUAAUGCCCUUGUCCCUGUAGAUUUUCAUGUCCUAGACAUCGAGCUUAACUGGAACUCUUCACUUCUGCUUGGAAGAUCUUUCCUAGCUAUAGUAGGAGCCGUAUGUGACAUGAACAAAAACAAAUUGUGUCUAACGCUCAUAGACCCAAACAUCCACUACGACCCCAUCCGACCAAAGAGAAAGGUCAUUAAUUCUGUGGAUUAUGGGAAAGAACUCGGCUUCACUGGCGCAUGCCAUUGUGGAGCAGAGUAUGAAUCGGAGUACGAAACAGAGUACUCGGAAUCGAUCGACACCCCAACCUUUCCAUCGAUCGAUUCCAAUGUGUCAACGGUGACCGAUGACCGCAACAUACGCAAAUUCGGAAUAAGAUCUUCUUUGCUCUCUUUUCGAUUUCAUAUACCUUAUCGUUGUUAUUCUCGUGUUCUGAUUGCUUGACAUGUGGUAAUUAGCAGAUAUCCGGGUCAUCUGGGAAAUUAAGGUUUUCCUAGUUUCCUUAUUUAAACGGAAAUCGACAGUGCGAAUUUUUCGGUUCCCACACAGUGUUCGCAUUAGCGUUAACUGCGGAUACGUUCACUGCUGGAGUGGUGCCAACGUUGUCAUUGAUGUCUCCAUCAACACUAGUUUGUUGGUCGUCCGUUGCCAUGUCUGAUCGAGCGUUUGUGGCUGAGAGUUAGAUUGAUCUGUACCCCCCCCCCUCUUUUUCUAGCGCCAAAACGUGAGAACCGAAAUUCACACCGUCGAGUUCCAUAAAAUAAGGAAAGAUAGGAAACCCUAAAUUUCUCAGAGGUCCCGAAUAUCUGCUAAACCACACGCCAAGCAAUCAGAACACGAAAAACAGACUAAGUAUAAAAUCUAUAAAAAGUAAAGAAAGCAAAGAAGAUCUUAUUCAAAUCUGCGUAUGAGCGUUUUACGACAAGAAAUAGCCUUGGCCACAAGCGUUGUCGGCGAGUUCCCUAGUUUUAACGGCCUAAGACUGUGCAACCUAGUUGAGUGGCAGCUCGAUAACAAAAACGAAAAUAGACUAAAUUGCUCUAAGUGAUUUUUUUGUUGUGUGUAAAAAAAUCUAUCUUUGCAUCUCUCGCCUUUGCAUCCCUUAUAUAAUCCUCCUAGGUCGGUUUGGGCCUUUUUUCCGCUCAUGGGUCGAGUUUAUCCUCCUGCAGACAUAUUCCAUUCUCCUGAUCUUCGUCAUUAUCCCUUGAAACUUUAACAUUUAUCCUCAAACUUGACAUUUAUCUUCGAACUUGACAUUUAUCUCUUCUCGUGAAUAUUCGAUAAACCGUCAUAGUGAAUUUGGGCCGAUAUUCAUUAAAAAUCGUAAGUGGGCUUUCGCCGCGUGUUUGACCCUCUGGGCCAUUUUCGGCGAAAACGUUUUCACGAUUUCUUUUGAAAGAAUAACCUUCAGUACAACGCCGGUUUUACAAAAUACUCCAAAUCAAUCGUAUGUUUAACCUUUAUCGUCUUAUACGAUCGACCUGAACUUGUACCGGAAAAUAAGUCUUUGUCGUUUUUUACGUAAAGUUUCAACGGUAACACUGAUUGUGACUAAACAACAGACAGCUUGACCGAGACCCGAAGGGGGGUGUUUCGGAGACGAGAAUGCAUGAUUCUGGACUGAUCCAACUCGCCUUUGGGCGAAUUGGAUAAGACUGAUCCAACUCGCCGUUGGAUAAGACUGAUCCAACUCGCCCAACGGCGAGUUGGAAUGGUCGAUCCAACUCGUCGUUGGGCGAGUUGGAUAUGGUUAGUCCAACUCGCCGUUGGGCGAGUUGGAUAUGGUUAGUCCAACUCGCCGUUGGGCGAGUUGGUCUCGGCCUAUCUAACUUCUCCGAUGGGUCGGACGAUGCUGGCUUAGUUGUUCCAAUGCUAGGGCAUUGUUCGUUCGAUGGGUUGAGUGGUCCCUUGCGAGGAGCUUGUCGUGCAAUAAUCUUAAAAAUACGAAGUUUUAGUUUUUCAUAUUCUUAUUUUCUUUUUAGAAAGGUUUCUUGGAAGCUUUACGACAUUGAUUUCGUCGUUGCCGAUUUUGACCCCUACACUCUACAUAUUCAGUAUUUAAAUUAGAGGCUGCUCUUUAAGUAUUGUAAAUAUGUAAGCUCUGCAUGUUCCGUAUUUAAAUUAGAGGCUGCUCUUUCAGUAUUGUAAAUACGUAAUCUGUUAUGAAUAAAAAAGUAAGGAAUCUAUUUUCUUCUUCUUAACUCUCUCUCUCAGUUUCAAAUCUCUAUUUCUCUUUCUCUAAAGAAUUCACUAUCUAUCUCCUUUGUUCUUCAUUUUCUAACAUGGAACUUGGGUGAUGUAUCUUAUAUAUUAAAAUAGAAGUCAUGACUUCUUUCAUGUGUGAUUUUUUUUUAAUUUGGACCAUCACUUAGAAAUCUUAUUAAAUGUAUUUUAUUAAGACUAAUAAUACAUAGAAUCUUUAAAAUAUUUUAAUCAUAAUAUCUUUUGAUAUCUUUUCAUUUUAAAUAUAAAUAUAUUUAUUUCAAAAUUCUAACAAAAUCUGUUUUAAAAGAUAUUUACAAGAUCUUCAUUUUCAAAAUUAUAUUUAAAUAUUUUCACUAAUUUCAAAAGUAGUUUGAAAUAUUAUUAUGCAUUAAUAAAUUCAGUAAUCGUUUAUAAAAUGAAAAAUAAAAAAUUUAGUAAUAUUUUAUAUAUUAUAUAAUCAUAAUCAAUCAUAUUAAAGUUAUGAAAGGAUGUUUUUCAUUAUGCCAAAGCGUUAAACGGACCGUCGUGUUGACAAAGUCUUAUUGACAAAUGAGGGUAUGGUAAUUUCCAAGUAUUGGGAGCAAUCUGGGCACUACUCUAGCCAAGCUCAACCACUGUUAGGACCGCUUAUGCUUUAAUUAAUGCAACGGACAGAAUCGGGACUUGCGAUUGAAGAUAGAAAUCAAAGCUUAUCAAAGAUGAGAUAAGUUCUGGAAAACUUGGGAAUUUAGAAGAACAUUGGAGAGAGAAAAUAUAGAGAGAGGUUUUUUAUGAAAUUAUUAGAUGAUAUUUCACAAAGGGGGUACACACAUAUUUAUAGUACAAGACAGGGCGCUGACAUGAGCGCUUACUUCAGCGAUUACAAUUCGCUUACAUAACACUUUAUCAGCGAUUACAUCAUCGCUUACAUCAUUAUUCAUUAUACUUAUUUUACAUAAUAAAACACACUUAUCUUACAUAAUUAAACAUUGCAGAUGACUUCCUUAGUGGUCUAUUUCGAACUCGAUGAUGUGUUUCUCACAACAUCCGUAGUGAUCAUCUGGACAUUCGAACACAUCUCAUGGAUAUUCGUACACAUUCUUUGGCUCUUUCUCCUGAGGCUGCUGUGAGUCGUCGUUGAUAUCAAUGUUGAACAUUCUUCCAACCUCAUCGAUGUUCAUAGAGUCGUCUGGGAGCUGGGCGUCUUGAAAGUAUUCUGGCGGGCAUUCUUGGGACUCAGAGUUACAUUUCUCUUUCUUCUGCGCACGUUUAACCACUUGUGGUUCGUCACUCUUAUCCAAGUAGAAUUGCAGAUCUUCGUCGAGACUCAUUUGGUAGUCUAUUGGGUAAUAGAACCAGUUCGGGACGAAGGGAAUGGGAAAUGAUUGUGUGGCACUGUUGAGGCGGAACGCAUGAGUUUGAAAGUCUUCAAAUGGCUUGUUGUCGUUGAGGUUGAAAUCUGGUCUGACUCCUCGUUGAUAGUCAUUGUGGUGAAUGAGAGUAGGCAGUGCGUGGACUUUGCCGGUUUUUUUGUUGACUUGAACAGGCCGAUGGAAGAAGUAUAUCGUGUGAGGGUUGAAGAAAGGGUUGAGACCGCCUUGACUUUUUAACUUCUUAAAUGAUAAGCCUGUUGCUUUCGCUGAUUUCCUUAACUUACCGUUCCAGGCAGAUAAUGGCGCGAACCAGGUCAGAAAUGUCGCAAGACAUUCCCUGUGACCUCGUUGGGAGGUGGUGAGUUGCAUGUUGAUAUACUGAUAUAACCAUUGAAUAUCAAAGGUUAUUCCAAUAGUGUGGAUUGAGCAGAGGUACCAGAGAAAACAGAGAACUUCUUCUGGUAAGUAAGCGUUUUCGAUUCUGUAGAGAUGAGCGAACGGGUAAUCCGGGUGAAUUCCCAUAGGUGAGAUAAAAUGAUUAUGGGAUCCGUAUCUUGACAUGAUGAUGGAUUGAUAGGCAAAAAUCUUGUUGUGGAGGUGCUCCUGUAGGGUUUCUUUGUCGAUAAGCAAAUGAGCGUCGUCGGGUAUGUUUGAGGCGAAGUCAUAGUAGCUUUUUGUGGAAGAGCUCUCCAUUAUUUGUAUUUCUUUUACUGGACUCCUGCUGAGCAUAUCUGCGAGAGUAUUCUUUGAGCCCUUUAAAUAGACGGAUUCGAAAUCGUACUUUAAGAACCAUUCGCUCCAUCGUAAUAAUUGCUGAUGUGGGACCAUCUUCUGCUUGAAUUGUAACAUCUUCGGAAAAGAUGACAUGUCCAUUUCGAUGCGAAAUCGGUGUCCUAUCAGAUGGAACUCGAACUUCUCGAUGGCCUUUUUGACGGCCAGUAUUUCUUUGAAAGUAGAGUGAUAAUGCAUCUCGGAAUCUUUAAAGCGUCCACUUUUAUAUCCACAAAUUUGACGUUUUCCAUUUAUUUCUUCGAAUAAAAUGGCUCCCCAAUAUUUGUCACUCGCGUCAGUCUGUAAAAUGCGUGUUCCAGUGGAGGGAAUCUUCAAAGGCAGUAGCUUCUGCACCUCUAUUUUUAGGCUUCUGACAGCUUCAGUUUGUCGGUUUGUCCAUUGUGGUGGAUUCUUCGUUAGCAUUUUCUGUAGGGGUCUUGUCAGCUGCGAAAGUUGCGGGAUAAAGUCGCUAACAUAAUUGAUUACACCGAGGAAUUGUUGGACUUGUCGUUUAGUGAGAUUUUCGUCGGGAAAAUCUAAGAGCGUUGUAGCCAGAUGGGCCUGAGGCGUAAAGUUGCCAUCUGUGAUUUGCAUUCCAAAGAAGUCUAUUUUGGGCUGGGCUAUGACCAUUUUUCGGGCCGAAAGCAUGAUUCCAUAUUGAAUGACAAUGCUUUGAAAUUGCUGAAGAAGCUGAAUGUGCUCGGUUUCGGUAGACGAGAACAGCAGUAUGUCAUCAAUAUAAAUUAAGGCCGUAUGAAAUAGAGGCUUCAAUAUACGAAGCAUUGCUUGUUGGAAUAAUGAUGGUGCGGUCUUGAGUCCGAAAGGUAAGACGUUCCACUGCAGAUAACGAUUAGGAAGACAGAACGCAGUUUUGUAUCUUUCUUCAGGAUGAACACCAAGUUGCCAGAAUGCUGACUUAAGAUCAAAUUUUGAGAAAAUAGUUGCCCCUUGAAGAUGUUGAAGAAGCGCCAUUUUGUUUGGUAGCGGAAAUUUGAUGUCUUGUAGAUACUGAUUCAGUGGUUUGUAGUCGAUGACUAGUCUUAGCUUUCCUCUUGCUUGUUCUGCACGAUUGUUAACGUAAAAGGCUUUGCAUGCCCAUGGCGAGUUGGUUGCAGAGACUACUCCUUGUUGUACUAGCUGGUCGCAUUCUUCAUUCGCUUGUUGCAGUAGGGUUGGUGGCAUUCCUGCAUGACUCGCUUUAGUCAGAGUUGUUUGUAUGUUUUCUUUGAAUGGCAAAGAAACAAAGAACUCCGAAUUUAACCACAGCGGGUUAUUGCAUUUCUGUAGGAAUUCUGUAUGAGAGUCUGCACAAGAAAUCUCCGUCAACUUCUCCUUGAUCUUUGUAAAUUCUUGAGAAAUUAAUCCUUUAAUUGCGAAAAGUCGUGGAAUGGACGUGAAUGCUUUGAAGAGACUUCUCCAUUUUAAUCCGUGCGGUUCGAUAGAGAUAUCGAAUUUUUUCUUGAAGGCAUAAUAUGAAUCCCAUCCCAGUAUUAGAUCUUUCCCAGGUGCCGUAGAGCCAAGGACUUCCGUAGUAAUAUGACAACCGGGGAAAAGCUCGAUUUUGAUAGGUUUUGAUUUGAGCUUUAUUGUCAAUGAACCUGAGUUAGCGACUCGAAAUUCUUGCUGGUGAGGUAGCCACAUCGACGGAGAAAGAAUCUUGGGAUUAAUGAUCAUUGUGUGGGCUCCGGUGUCUAUGAAUGCAAUGGCGCGAACCGGGUCUUCUUGACCAGAUGGGUCUAAAAUCAUCACUGGUAGAUGAGGAGUUUGUAUGUCGUCAUGUCGCGGCAUUUUUGUAAUUUUGAAGCAGCAAUCAUUUUCUUCUUCGGCAGAUGAAUCAGAAGAGUUGUCAUAAUCUGAGUAACCACAAAUAGCAUCGUUGUCGUCACUAUCAUAAGAUAGAACUGAUUCUAAAUCGUGGCCUUCGAGAUCAAUAUCUGGUGCUAUUUCAGAUAUUGAGUUGAUUAAGUACUGCUUCUUUUUGGCUGACUUGUUCGGACAGUUUUUUGCAAAAUGUCCUUCCUUUCAACAUAGAAAGCAUUUUGUUGAUUUCCUUAAGCCUCGUUUCUUCCGAAAGAAUCUCUUGCGUCUGAAUCUGUCGGGACGCCUAGAGAAUUGUUUUUUGAAUCUUCGAUGUUUUUCUUGUGGGUCGCACGAACAAGAUUUCAUGGACUUAGAACACUUGAUUGAUAGAUCCGGUUGGGAGCAUAUCUUCGAUAGUUGCUUUGAUCUAUCCAUAAACUUUGACCAGAAUUCUUUUUGUUUGCAGAGUUUAUCCAACGUUCUGAAGACAUAUUGCUGUAUUUGUCCAAUGGAAAUGUCUUCUAUUGUUUGACCUUGAUCUCUGAUGUAUAGCUUAGUCUGCUGACUAAGAUAAUCGUCGAUGGUGGAGAGGUAUACGUGCUUCAGGCUUGGAUUGUUAAGGCCAUUUAGCGCGUAGUAUCUUCGUGUCUGUCUUUCAAAGUGUUUUGAAAGAUCUUUCUUUCUUAACGAACAGCACUUUGCUGAGAAGAAUUCUUCUUGUAGUUGCUCUUUCUGGUGUGUGGGUGUACCAAUGAAUUCUCUAUGGAUUUCUCCAAGAAGCAAUGUUAUUGUUGUUUGAUAUACUUGCUGCUGUCUAUAUUCGCCAAGUGAAUUCCACCAUUGUUUAAGGGCUCCAGAUAGUCUUGCUGUGAAUUGCUGGAUCACCAAGUGCAAAGGGGAUGUGAUAGCUUCAGAAUUCAUCCAUGCAUGAAACUCGUCGAGACGAUCAUUCCACUUUUCAAAUGGUAUAUCAUCAAAAGUGAAAACCAUAAUUUUUGAAGAAAAUUGCUUCGUUGGAAUCUCUUGAUUUGGAGGUUGAUUUGGAGGUUGAUUUGGAGGCGCAUAGUUCAUCUCUUCGUCGCUUGAAUAGACUUCGUUGAUAUCUGGCUCUUUCUUUGGAGUACUUGACCCUUCUCCGAUUGAAAAUUUUCUUGGUAGGGAACUAUCAUUUGAUUCGGUUUCAUAGUCACUGGAAUUUGUGUCUGAAUAGUGACUAAUUCUCGUAAUCUGUCCGGAAGACAAGGGUUGCUGAUCCUUUUGAACAGGCAAUUCUGGAAUUUCACUAAGGUUAUUGAACAGAUUGGCCAUUGAAAAUUCGAUUAUUCCAAUGUCCUUUUCUUUCUUUUUGCUGUCUUCUACUGACUCAUGACUGGAGGAAGAUGUAAGAGUCGGUUUCUUACUAGGAUUGACUUGAAAUUCCGAUUCUUUUGAGCGUCGAGGCUUGGAUUGAGUCGUCUUGGUAUGAUAGUUGGUUGAAGUCGAACCAUAGUGAGAUGUAAAGACUUCAUCAGAGGAUAGAAAGCUCGGAACUGGGGAUCUUGUUUUUUGAGUUUGUUGACCAAAAAGGAAGCCAGGUGAGUAGGAUCCUUGGUACAUUGGUAUGCUUGAAGGUGUGCCGCCAAGGGGAUCAAAGUACGCAUUAGCUUGCUGGUUUUAAACCAUGCUUUCUAGACAUCUUUGGAGAUCUCGUAACUGAUAUUUAAGACUAGUUGUCUCUGCUUCUUUGUUGCGAAAUUGAGUUAUGUUUCCCAUCAUUUGUUUUGCCAUGGUCAUCAUUUCUUGAUGUAGAUUUUCUAGUCGUCCGUGUAUAUCAGUGAUCAAUUUUUGGAGGCUGAGUAAUCUGCUAUUGUAUUCUUCCACCAGUUGAUCAACCUUAUGAUUUAUGGUCGAUAAGAGUUGAUUUUGUGCCAGUGAAUUUUCUGUUUGCCAGUUGAGAACCUUCUCCGCUUGACUUAACUGGCUAGGACCAGAAGAGUCCACGGUUUGAGAAAGAAUUUUUGGGCAAUGCGCAACAUUGUUCUUUAAAAAUUCUUCUUGUGGCGGGAAGUCUUUGGGGUUGAUCAUCAUGAUCUGCUGCCUUGGUUCUUCCUUCUCUUCAGAGUAUUGAACUAUAAAGUCGUACUUUCCUUCACCAAGUGGACCAACAGAAGUGUCUCCUUCGAGAUAUCUUUUAUAGAGUGGGUCCUUCUUUUUUCUUCGACGUAUGCGAAUAUCUUCAUCAGAUUCGUAGCUGUAGCUUGCUUCAUCACAAGCAGCAUAUGAACAAACAUCGAAGUAGCAAUGUCCGUCUUUGUCUUUGAAAGGAUAGAUCACAGUUCCAUCUUUUUCAAAAGAACUUGGUUUUGGAUUUUGUUCUUUUGCUGGACCGUGGAAGCUUCGUUCAUCAAUCUGUAUUGCGAACUGACUGAACAACUGCUUUCGGAAAGAUGAUCGGGGUUUUUCGAAUUUGAUCUCGGUUGUUCCAUCAUUUCGAGAGUGAAAGCUGACUUCAGAUGAUUGAAUGGGUGACUGGGUAGCUUGAUGAAGCUUCUCGUAACUUGUUACCCAUGACUCCGGUAGUCGGCGCAACAGUUCUUCACGAGAAAUUUGUCUAGGGAUUUGUAUCGAGUUUGGCGCUUGAGAUGCCGAAGUGACUUCGAGGUAUAGUGCUUCGUCUGACGAGGGAAGUACAAGAUCAAGUGCGUGGUCUUGAAUUCGGUAGACUAUUUGAUGAUGCAAGGUAGCUGCUACACUUUUUUCUUGCAUAGGUGCUCCGACCAGUUGAAGUUGAACUUUAAGCGUCUUUAAGAGAUUUGGGUCUUGUAAAGAAACAUUAAAGUUUGGAAACAGUGUUAUAAAUAAUGUUCCUGCGUUUAAUGUUGUCUGAACCGUUCCAAUGCACGCUUGCUGGUAGGACUUUAAUCGAGAGUCGAUUAAAGCUAUACGAGCAAUGACAGGUAAACAUUUUCUCGCAUGUAAGGUUAACCCAAUUCGUACUACACCAAAGUGAAGAUGAGUAUAGCCUUGUUGCUGCCAUAACCUAGGUAGGUUUUUUGGGAUGUUUAGAGAAAUGAAUUGCUCUUCUUCUGUAGCUGGAACUUGACAAGACGAGAAUUUGCUGGACUGGACAUAUUCCAUGACUUUUCGACUUGAUGAAGGUUUUAUGAGAUCUCGAACACCUUUAACAGAAAAGGCGCUAGGCUUUUUUGUAAAAUAUUCAUAUGGGUUUAGAAGGGGAAGGGUUGUUUCGGGUAGUUGAUCGCCCGGAACAUAUUCGAUUUCAUAUAGGGAAUCUAUUUUUGAAGAGGAAGAACGGCUUUUACUUCGAGGGAAAGUAGAAAUUGCAAACUGAGAAUCAAUGGAUGUAGGGUUUGAGGUAGACAUUAUGAAAGGAUGUUUUUCAGAUUUCUUAAAACAAUCAGUGAUAAACAAGGAUUCGAUCUAUCAUAACGCAAGUCUGAGAAUUAGGCUCUGAUACCAUUAUGCCUAAUCAAUCAUAUUAAGCUAAAUAUAAUAUGAUCUAUCAUAAUCAAUCAUAUUAAGCUAAAUAUAAUAAAAUUUGUAUUAAAUUUAUAAAUUUUAUAUAUUUUAUUUUCGUAAGUAUAAAAUAUUUAUGUUCAAAAAUAAAAUCUAAUACAUUGGUAAGAUGGAUUAACAUUAGCAAACUAUAUAAUACAUGUAUAAAAAUUAACAUGUAUUUCUCUAAAGCUUAUAAUAUAAAAUAUUUGUAACUACUUUAAUCAUAAAAUAUUUGUAACUACUUUAACAAUAAUUUAAUGUAUUUUAAGUUAUCGUUUAUAAAAUGAAAAAUAACUAAAUUAUAUCCUAUUUUAUCUACUUUAUAGUCAUGAUCAUGUUAAAAUACAAUUAUUAUAAUUAAAUAAAUAUGAUAAAAGUAUAUUCAAUUGAUAAAUUUAUUUAAAAAAAAAAAUUCAUAAAUAUAAAUUAUUUAUUUUAAAAAUAUAAUAUGAUGAUAGAACGGCUUAAAAUUAGCAAACCAUAUAAUACAUGUCUAAAAAUUAAUAUAUCUUAGACUUUUGUAUAUACAAUAAUAUAUUAUCUAAAAUACAUAAGCAUAAAAAAUAUUAGUAAAUGAGUAUAUAUUAAUUUGCAUAAAUUAAAUACAAAAUAAUUUUCAAAUAUAUUUUCUAAUGAAUAUAUUAAUUUGCUUAAUAACUAAAUGCAAAUACAAUAAGAUAAAUAUAUAGUAAGAAGUGAAAAUACAUAUGGUUUUAACCAAUUGAUUAAUUAUAACAUGUAAAUUAUAAAAUUAAUGUAUUUGAAAUAGUUAUAUAAACAUUUAAGUAUAUGAUUAACGUUAAAAAUAUAUACCACUAAUGUUUAAAAACAAUAAUUUAUGUAUAGAAAUAUGAAACAAACACUCGCGCGGUUGCACGGGUCAAAAUCUAGUUACUAUUAUUUUUUUCUAGAUCUGAACUGCUUGCCAAUGUUUCUGAAUAUUAUCUUUGAUGCUUAAGCUUAAUCAAAUAUUAUCCGAGAAUUAACCAUUAUUAUGUGCAUGGAACUCUCCAUGUUCAAAUCUGCAGUUGCUUCUAAAAAGUAGAGUUUGAUUGAUAACAGAAGUUAUGAAACACAUGUGAUUUCAAAACUUUAUUAAAUUUUAUUUCAGUAAUAUAUUUAACCAAUUUUUGAUUAACGUUUAGGAUUAAUAUGUCAAGAAAUUUUUUUUGUUUUUUUGGAAUAAAAUGCCACGUAUUAUUUUAAAUUAGGGGGCUUUAUUGGAAUAGGGGUUUGAGAAGGUUUUGAAGAUUUAAGUUUUGGUGGAAUUCAUAGAGGUUUUAGUUGAAUUCAAGGAUUCUGUUGGGGAUUUAGUAGGAUAAUUUGGUAGGAUUGGGUAAGAUCUGUUUUUAAGAUUUUAAUAAUAAAAUUAACCAUUCAGACUAUUUUUCAACACCAAUUUAUUUCUUGAGUAUUUGUACUCCCUACACACAACUUCCACCCUAUUUGCACUCCAUACACUAUUUCCCUUCAAUUUUUUUUCCCCCAUUACUACCAUUUUCCCCCAAUUCAAUGGUAUCCCACCCUUUUUGGUAUAUUCAGCAAAUUAGCUCUUAUUUCUUCUUUCUCGAUGCCUACCUUUGUACACAGAAAGAAGAGCUUUGACUGUUUAUUUCAGUUUUGCAAAGAUGAAGACUCAAGACGGAGGAGAUGAAACAUUUUCAUCUUGAAGAGCUUUCCACUGGAAGUAUAAGAACAAAUGGUAUGUCGAGAGGUUUUGUUCUCUGUUACAGUCAAUUUCAAUCCUUUUGUAUUGUUACUGUAGCCAUGCUCAGACCAAACAAAAAACUCAAGCUUCGUCUUCCACGCAAGGAUAGAACGAAGAAGAAUACAGGUUUCUGAAUAAUCCAAACUAUCUCUUCUCGUUGAUUUUUUUUUUUAAAUACCAUCUAUGUAAAUGGUAUUCUUUCUUAUUGAAUUUAAGGGGUAAAUGACGUUUUCUAAUAACCCAAAAGAACUUUUUAUGAAUCCCAUUGAUGAAAUCCAUAUUUUCCAAUAAGAAGAGAUUUGAUAGGAUUUCUACAAAUGAUAUAUCCAAUAACCAUAGAUUUGUAAAGGUUUUUAUAAAUACCAUAUUCAAUAAGGAAGAAUUUGACAAAAUCCUAAUUUUUUAUGAAAUCCCUAAUCCAAUAAGCCCCACUUAAAGUACUUUUUUUACACCGAAUAAAGUACAAUUGGUUAAACAACAACAACAACCCUUACGAAUUGAUUACAAUUAUUCACCUUCUUGACACUAAUCAAUCACCACAAUCUUGAAAAUAAAAAAAUAACCAUCAACGGUAAACCAUACUACACACAUUAAUAAAGAAAACCAUUGAGAACAAAGAAGCUUCUUAGGUUUGUGGUUUUCACAAGGACGAGAUGAAACUUCUUUCGUAACAUUUUUAAUCUAUUUGUGGAGCUCAAUAAUACAAUAUGAGUAGGCAUGACAUUUGAUUUCACAACGAACAAAACCCGAAUCACAGGCUAGAUUCUUGAUCUGGGAGAAAGACCUCUCCUUACCACCCGAGCAUUGGGUUAACAUAAACAUGUCCAUGGCAUACACAAUGUUCGAACAGAAGUCGUUGAUCUUUGUAUUUUCGGGAGUAGUCAUUUCGACUAUUAUCACUUUUCCUCCCUCAGAAAGACUUUGCCAGCAAUUUUUUAGAAUUUUUAUACAAUCUUCAUCUGUCCAAUCAUGUAGUAUCCACUGUCAAAUUAUCCAUUUUAUUUCAUAGUCAAUAUCUAUCUUAAACAUUGAAACUAAUGAUUUGUUAUUAAAAACUAAGCGUAUAUUUGAAGUUACUUUCAAGAAGAUGGCAUCUCUGUUUGGAAUUUCUUUAAACAUAUCUCCUGAAACAUUCUCCACUCCUAUAUAAAUUAAAUAAAGUUAUCAAACCUCGCAAUUCAAUAUAAUUAAUUUUAAUAAAAUCACUUAUAUAUUGUUAUACCUGGAUAAACAGAAGGAUGGGCUAAUACUGAGGGUAGGUCAAAAUUGAUGCCUUUGAUGUGAGGAUACUUGGAAAGCACUAGAUUUAUAACAGUUCCAAUUCCUCCUCCAACAUCCACUAAAGUAUUUACAUCUUCAAAUCCUCUAUAAACUUCUAAAACUUUCUUCAUGGUGAGGGUAGAAGAUUCUGACAUUGCUCGGUUAAACAGCUCACCGAACGGUUCCUUUGAACCAAUGUAUUCAAAGAGUUUCAUGCCAUGAGCAGAGGUGAAUGCAUCUUUUCCUUCUAAAACCAUAUCUUUGAGAUGAGUCCUGUUAUGAAUUAAUAAUUAACUUUUGACUGACCAGUAUAUUAGAAGGUUUAGUAGAACGGGCAUGGGUUUAUUAUAAUUUGGUUUGUUUGUGAAAAAAAUAAAGAACUUGGUACUUUUUUUGUAUGAAUGUUAAGAAAGUCGUAGUUACUAACCAACUCUUAAAAUAGACUUCGCUUAGGGCAACCAUAAACAGAGAUGCGAGAGAACCUGAGCCUUCUCCACGGUUUAAGAAAAACAUGCAAACCGGUUCAGCAGCAUAUAGCCUCUCACCAUUUCCGGUUUGACCGUUCUCUCCGGCUUCAACCAUACAGGAAGUCAAGAUCGAAUGACUGGCUAGGAAAACCAGCAUCCGGUCCAACAAAACCGGUGCCUUCGGGUUGGUGGUUUUUGUUGGGAGACGAAGUGCAAUAUCAGAAGCCGAGAGCCAUACACCUUGUGCAGCUACGAUCGUGUCAAUAACACCAAGUUCCAAGGCGGUUUUGAAAACCAUAGGGAAUGUAACGGAGUACAAGAUCCGCUCUGCUUGUAAGCUCAAUGUUUCUUCAUCAAAUCGUUCUUCUUCUUUAAUAAGACUGGGUUUAGUGGAAGUGGUUAAGGGAUCUGGGAGAUAGUUUGUCAUUCUUGAAAAGUUGAGGAUUUAUGUGGAUCGUUAGAGAAAGUUGGUUUCAACAUUCACAGUUGAUGUCAUUUUAUACACAUGAGUGGUCUACUGGUAGGCAGGCUUUGAGAAGCUAAGCGAUCUGGGUUCAAAACAACCCCACCACACUAACUAAAAAUAUGUGGUCAUACGGAUAUGGGAUAAUAUUUUGGAUUUCACUUGAAUAUCAUAAAAAAUAAUAUAUUUGUAGGUUACACCUCCGUUUAGAAAUUAGUCUAACAUCUUCCAUAAGUUCAUUGUAUCCCAUGUUUAUAAAAUAAAUUCAAACCCCUAAAUUUACUCUAGAUUAUGUGUUUCAAAAUGAUGUAUAUUUUUUUAUUUUCGCAUAUACUAAUAAACCAUAUUAAAUGAUAGUAUUAAAAUGAAUAAUACUUUUUAUUUUUUAUAUCUCAUAACUCUAAACCAAUAAAAAUUUAACUAAUGCAAUUAAAUUUUUUGAAGUUCAUAAUUAAUCAUUAUUGGUUGAUAAAAAUGUAUUGAAAAAAAAAAUACCUUUGAAACAAUUUUUUUUUUAUAAAAAACAUUUAUCUUUAUGAAAUGGAGGAAAUCUAAUAUAAGGGUGUAUAAUUAAAUCGAUGUCUGGAUUUGUUUAUGUCAGCCAUUCAAUAGUUAAGUUUGCCAAGCAAAAAUUAUCCCAAAAAUUUAGUCCAUGUAAAUAAACAUUACUGAAAAUCUGGUACGAUGGGUGUAGGGGUGGGCACAGAGCGAAUAAUACUAUAAUUUUAUUUGUGAUUUUGUUCAUACAAGGAAUAUUCAUUUUCCAAUUUGCUUUACUUCGAAAAUAUGUAUCUAAUUUUCGGAUAUCCAAAAAAACAUAAUGAAUAUUUGAAAAUAUUUACAGAUAACUCAGGUACUUUAUUUAGUACAAGUAAAUCUAGAAAAAAUUAUACAAGUUUAUUUUCAAAGUAUAUCUUGCAUAAAAUAAAUUAAAAAGUAACAAUUAGGGAAAGUAUAUGUUCCGUAAAUUUUUAUAAGACGAAUUUUUACAAAAAAAAAUUAGUGGGGCUUAUUGGAUUAGGGAUUUCAUAAAAAAUUAGGAUUCUGUCAAAUUCUCCCUUAUUGAAUAUGGUAUUUAUAAAAACCUUUACAAAUCUAUGGUUAUUGGAUAUAGCAUUUGUAGAAAUCCUAUCAAAUCUCUUCUUAUUGGAAAAUAUGGAUUUCAUCAAUGGGAUUCAUAAAAAGUUCUUUUGGGUUAUUAGAAAACGUCAUUUACCCCUUAAAUUCAAUAAGAAAGAAUACCAUCUACAUAGAUGGUAUUUAAAAAAAAAUCAACGAGAAGAGAUAGUUUGGAUUAUUCAGAAACCUGUAUUCUUCUUCGUUCUAUCCUUGCGUGGAAGACGAAACUUGAGUUUUUUGUUUGGUCUGAGCAUGGCUACAGUAACAAUACAAAAGGAUUGAAAUUGACUGUAACAGAGAACAAAACCUCUCGACAUACCAUUUGUUCCUAUACUUCCAGUAGAAAACUCUUCAAGAUGAAAAUGUUUCAUCUCCUCCGUCUUGAGUCUUCAUCAUUGAAAAACUGAAAUAAACAGUCAAAGCUCUUCUUUCUGUGUACAAAGGUGGGCAUCGAGAAAGAAGAUAUAAAUUGGUGUUGAAAAAUAGUCUGAAUGGUUAAUUUUAUUAUUAGAAUAUUAAAAACAGAUCUUACCAAAUCCUACCAAAUUAUCCUACUAAAUCCCCAACAGAAUCCUUGAAUUCAACUCAAACCUCUAUGAAUUCCACCAAAACUUAAAUCUUCAAAACCUUCUCAAACCCCUAUUCCAAUAAAGCCCCCUUAGUUUUUUGUAAAAAUGUUAUAGUCCUUUCUUAAUUUAAAAAUUUUAUAAGUAAUUUUUUUACCACACAAUUAAUAAAAUUAUAUGUUAAAAUAAUAACUAUAUAAAAUUAUAUAUUUGAAACUUUAUAUUUAAUUGUAGAUAAAAAUCUAUCUGUAUAAAAGUGGAGUGGAUUUUUGCCGCUAAAUUUUUUAGUAUUUGUGAUUUGAUACAUUUUUAAACAAAUAUUGAUUUUUAAUAUAUGUUUUAUUCCGAAGAAUUUUGGAUAUACGGAUUUUUUGGAUCGAAUCAAAAUAAAUAACGAAUCAAAUAAAAUUUAAUAGAUAAAAUGUUAGCCUAAUAAGGAGAUAUGAAGACCUUAAAGCGGGUCAUGAGCUGUUAACAUUUAUAGAUGCUUUCUCGGGAUAUAAUCAUAUCAUGAUGCAUCCCGGCGAUAGAGAAAAAACUGCAUUCAUCAGUGAUCGUGAAACUUAUUAUUACAAGAUGAUGCCUUUCAGACUAAAGAAUGCAAAAGCAACUUAUUAGAGAUUGGUCAAUAAAAUGUUAGCCACCAAGCUUGGUGUCACUAUGGAAGUGUAUAUCUACGACAUGCUCGUAAAAUCAUUAAUUGUUGCCGAUCACAUUACUCAUAUGAACGAAUGUUUCCACAUCCUCAACGAGUACAACACGAAGCUCAGUCCGGCCAAAUGUACUUUUGGAUUUGUCUCCUGCGAGUUCCUAGGGUACAUUACCACUCAGAGAGGCAUCAAGGCAAAUCUAAAGUAGAUCUCAGCAAUCCUCAAUCUUAAUUGAUUAAUCUCACGCUCCACCUACAAAUACCUACAUUUUUAUGACUUCCUUUGAGGAAACAAGAAACUUAUCUAGAAUGACGAGUGUGAGGAAGGAUUUAGACACCUGAAGAAAUAUCUGACAACUCCACAUGUACUAGCCAAACCCAAAGAAGGAGAUACACUCUAUCUUUACAUUGCAGUUUCCUCCCUUGCGACUAGUAGCGUCCGCAUCAAAGAAUAUCGGGGUAGGGGGGAGAAGAAGCCCAUUUUCUACACUAGUAAACGAAUGACUGAUGCCGAAACACGACACUCGAAAAAAGGCUCUAGCAGUCAUUACUUCGGAAAUAAAACUUAUGCCGUAUUUCCAGUCUAAUUCUAUUAUCAUCCUUACUAAUCAACCUCUUUCAAAUUAUUAUGCAUAAUACUAACCAAUCCGCCAAGUUGACGAAGUGGGCUAUCGAGCUUAGCGAACGUGAUAUCAACUAAAAAUCCAAUCAGCAGAAAAGCCACAAGUCCUCGCAGACGUCAUUAUCAAGUUAGCUCAUAAACUAGAAUAUAAUCUGAUCCUUCCUAGGAAGAACUGGAUCUUACAUGUUGAUGGAUACUCAUCCAAUAAAGGAUUUGGGGUCAAGAGUUCAUCUUCAGUCUCCAACUAGGCAACUCAUCUAGUAGUCAUUAUUCAUGGGGUUUGCGGCAUUAAAAAAUGAACCUGAGUAUAAGGCCAUUAUUGCCGAACCUUAGUUACAAAUAGCGGUACAAGCAAAACAUAUACAUGCUUAUUGAAACUUUGAACUCUUUAUCAAUCAAUACAGUGGAUAUUACAAUACUAAGAACAAACGUAUGGACGUCUACCUCAAAUUCAUCCAAGAUCUCGCAAAGGAAUUCAAGUUUUCGAACUAACAAAGGUUCCCCGAGAAGAAAACAUACACGCAGAUCCACUUGCUGCAUUGGGGAGUAAUCCCAAAGAUCAGAUACAUGGGACCAUUUUGGUAGAAAGAAUCGAGAAGCCGAGCAUCACAUUGUCCGACGAGAAAUCUGAAAUCGUUGCUCCCACCGUGGAAGAAACUAACAUGGAUAUUGAUAUGGACACUUUUAAUGAAGACGUCAAUGACGCCACUGUAGUAGAGUGGAGGCUUCCGAUCUUAUGAUACCUCACUGACUGUACAUUUCCUCACGAUAAAUGGGAAUCUUGUAGACUCAAAACGCCAAGUGCCCACUACGUCGAGCUUUGACUUUAUGGUUAAAGUACUAAUUCAUUUAUGGCCAGCAAUAGUAGCAGAUUGCAAAGAUUAUGCUUCUAAAGGUCAUAAACGUUAGAGGCAUGGUCCAUUCACUUUCCAAACGAAGUGUUAGGUAUGAUGGCAACACUUUACCCAUUCAUACGCUAGGGAAUGGAAAUAGUUGGCCCCUUUUCGAGCUCAAGCCAACGACAUUUCCUACUCGUGAUGACUGACUACUUCACAAAAUGGUUGGAGGCAAAAGAUUUCGUUCAGGUCACAUACAAAGAAGUGCAGAACAUCGUCUAGAAGUACAUCAUCUGCAUGUACGAACUUCCGAACGAUUUCGUCACUGAUAAUGGAUCCCAGUUCACUUCCAACAAAUUCCGAGGAUUCUGUGAAAAAAUGAAGGAUUCGCCUGAGCACAUCCACGUUGAUAUACCCUUAAGGUAGUGGUCAAGACAAAGCAACCAACAAGAUCAUCAUCGAUGGAAUUUGACGAUCUUCUCCUUUAUAUCUAUGGCUAAGUACGCAAUCAUUCCUACCACUCAAUCUCGAUUGUCUUUCUCGAUGUCGAUCACGAUGAUUUCAUCCUUUUGUGGAUAAAUUUUCUCAAUAGGUUUGGCAGCUAUUUAGACAACAAAAUUUGCCUUCUAUAGAUUCAUCUCUGUGUUCAAGAGGUUUCUAGCAGCUUUCUGAUCUUCCUUAAGGGUGAAUGUUCUCCGGUUUGCAGUUGGGAAUUUGACACAUUGGUGGUAGUUAUAGGCAAUGACUCUCACUGAAUGACCCCAUAGAGUUCCAAGGAUUUUGUUCCAUGGUGCUGGAGUGCCGAUGACAGAGAAAUUGACAAUUUUUUUGUAUUCCUCUGGCGAAAACAUUCAGGCAGAUUAUCCGUGCCUGAAUGACUCCAUAGAGUUUCAAGGAUUAUGUUCCAUGGUGCUGGAGUGCCGAUGACAUAGAAAUUAACAUUUUUUUUUGUAUUCCUCUUUAUCUGUAGACUGAUCAUUCGUGCUGAGCUUUCGGCGAAGGUCAACUGUGUUAAGAUGCGACAUGUCGUUGCCACGAUUCUCCGUGCCAAUAUUUGGCAAAGAUCGAACAUGCCAGGUUGGGAAACCGUAAUUUUUUUAUUGUUUGUGCCAAUUUUUUGGCGAACAUUAUCAGUUUGCUGAGUAGCAGAUGUUGCUGAGCUUUCGUCGAUAUGCUUUGAAUUUUGCUUGAGCUUUGAUACCACUCAAAUUACCAUAAGGAGUGUUACUCUCAUCAAAAGAGGUUCAGAUGUAGUACUUAGGGAUCGAAUCCACAAGGAGCCAGGGAACAAUCAAAUCUAGUGUUUAUUAAUUCUAAAGGUUGUAAAUGUUUAAAUGGAAUAGCAAUAGUAACAAGCGAGUAAAUAUAAAUGUAACUUGGUUGGAAAUGAUAUUAGAUGCAGGGCCACUAUUCAAGUGUUGGAGAUUAUAAUACCUAUAGAUGCCUAACUGUUGCAUGCAUGAUAUAUUAGAGCUCAUUUGCUUAACUCAGUGAUCAGCUGUCGCAUGUACUACUGGUUAACAGACUAGAUCUCGUGUCUCACCGGUUAGUAUGCAGACACGAGAGAGUGUCGAUCGAUAGUCUAUUAAGACGUCGACUGAUACACCUUUGCCAACAUCGAUCGAUUGUCAGUUGAGGACAUCGAUCGACGGGUUCUAGCCAGGCCUAUGCGCGAGUAUGAAAUGCCCUACUAAGAUUCUAAAUUGGCGGUUAGCCCUCUCUAGCAAUCCUAAUAUGAUAGAUAGAUGUCAGGAUGGGAUAACAAGGGUGCUUGAAUAUGCAAUCCUAUGAUCAAGUUCUAGUUAGCAAGGCUAAAACAAGCAAUGAAUACAAAUCUAUCAUGAAUAACAACAAGGUAGAUCUAUAGUUUGGGGCUAAUCCCACAAACCUAUAUGAACCCUGGAUCUAACAGUUGAACUACUCAGACAUAGUAAAGCAAUUCAUAUCAAUAGAUAAAUAGAAACUCAUAGAAUAGAUGAAAAGAAAUAGAAACAAGGAGUUCCAAUCACAAGUGAUCUUCUCUCCCAAAAUGAAACUUGUAACAAAACUGGGUCUAGAAAAAGCUCUCUUCUCUUUGCCGUCAAAAACACUAGGCAGUAUAUAUUCUACUAGGUUAAAAACUCGUCAGAGCAUUUUGGUAAUUUGGCUUGGCCUUGGUUUUUAAGUCUGAUGAAUCCAAAAUGUCGCGUCUGGUGUCUCGACAUCGAUCGACGGUACUUGUGUACAUCGAUCGAUAUUAAUCUUCAUCUGUCGAGGCAUUUACUGAUAUCAAUCGUCAUGACUGAUGCGCAUCGAUUGAUUAUUCUUCCUCUCGUCGACCUCUAAGUGGUCAGCUCGGGUGAAAUGUCUUUUAAGCUCCAAAAUGCUCCAAAGUCAUAGCUUUACUCCGAAAUGCACCUUAACCUAAAAACAUACCUAGAAGAGUAGAAAACAUAGAUAUAUAUAGUAAAAUACUUAUAUACCAUGGAUAAAAAUGGGUCAAAUCCAAGGUAUAUCAACUCCCCCAGACUUACCCUUUUGCUUGUCCUCAAGCAAAACAUACGGGCAGUCUCUCUGAAAGAGGUUUGAAAAUAUUUAGGGAUUUAAGAUUUUAAAACAUAGAAAUCUUUCCUCAACAAUUUUGCAACCACAUUUAAAAAGUCCUAAUCACAAAAGCACACUAUACAAUAUCCUAGCUUAGCAACCAUUUCUAACAUAACACAACUCAUCAAUUCACGUCUGACAUCCCCUCUACUGAUUUCAUUUCUUAGCAUAAAUAUAAAGUGAAUGAUUUACCUUGGGAGUAUCGAUCACAGGAUGCAAGGAUUUUAGACAGGUAUCUGGAGCUGCAGGUAAAAGUUAGUUCAUAGUUUCUCUCUCUCUAAAUUUCUCUCUUGAGUCAAAGUCUGCUUCCAUUGCAGGAUCAGUGACCAAGAUUGGACAGGCUUCCAUGAAUCAAAACUUAAUGGUGGUUGCCACCAAGUUUUGUUCACUUCUUUUUGACCUAUAUCCAAGAGUUUUUUCCGAAAGCGAGCCUUGAAGAUUGCCGCCUCCAAGUCCCGUUUCGAACUCUUUUAUUUAAGUAUUUAUGAAUCAAGCCUUAAUGGUUUUAGCCACCAAGUCAUGUUCAGACUCAUCCUAAUUAAACAAUAGAUCUUAUUUAUAUUUUAUUUAUAUUUUUUUUAUUUUUUUAUACUCACUAACCAAUCUAGGGUCGAAAUUGAGAGAGAGAAAAUGUGAUAAAUAAUCUAAACCAGGCGUUACCUUCCAGACUUGUCUGAAGAAUCCGAUCCAUGUAUACCAAGCCCCAAGACAAGCGGUUAUGUCAGGUUUAGUGUUGGAAAUCAGCUUUGGUUACUUCAUACGGUUCAAGGUAAGUGUGUAGUUGAUAGGUUGAUCCGCUUUAGCAUCUUUAGUGCUAUCUGCAAUCAGUAAAUCUAAAAUGGUGCUAAAGAUUGGUUAGAUAUUCAUGUUUAAAUCAAUAUAGGAUUAUAGUCCCUAUUUUUAAUAGCUAAGCAUAAUUUAUUUGAAAUUCCCUUUUACAUAAAAAUAAAAUAAAUUAUAUCAGUAAAUCUCCCCCAGACUUAAAUUACACUGUCCCAGUGUAACUCAGCCGGAGUUAUGAUGAAUAGUUUAUGAUGUACGAAAUGUAACAAGUAAGGAAGAUACAUCUGACCGGAUUAGAUAUCGAUCGAUGUGUAAGUAUUACAUCGAUCGUCGUGUGGUUGCCUGUGUCGAACGAUGUCGACGUCUCGUCGUCGGUCGAUAUUCAGGUCCUCCUACUUGGAUCUCCUAAAUCUGAAAGAAAUAAAACGAAAGAAAUUAAAUGCUAGCUAAUAAAACCAAAGUAAAAUACCUAAUAGUGGGUUGCCUCCCACUCAGCGCUUGGUUAUAGUCAUUUAGCUUGACUGUGGUAGUGAUUGGCUAUUGGGUGGAGAAACAGCUGAUUGUUGGAAAGCAAGCAUCCACGUCAUCUCUGCGCAUUCUGGACCAAGAUGCAAUGAAACUUCUUGUGGCCUCAUCAUUUCUUGUCCAUUUGUCAUCCAUCUUCUCAAGUACUUUGGAGAUGUUCUGUAGCCUUUCUUGAAUGCUGUCAAUGCUGACCUGGUGCCAGCCUAUGUUGUCAUAGGCGUAUGCUGAAAGAUCUGUCAGUUACUUUUGCAUUGACUCUACCGUCUUGUGUAUCAGCUGCUCGCUGAUUGGUGUAGACUCGGCAUCGAUCGAUGUGAUUAUGUGUUCAUUGUCGAUCUCGGCGAGUUGCCAUCGAUCGAUUUCGCUAGCGUCCUGUCGAUCGAUGCUGAUAUCUGAUGUUGAGCUGCGAGUUGCCUCUGAAUGGCUUUGACUUCUUUCUGUAGCCAUUCUGCGUGGUUGUCUAGUCCACUGAUUUUGUUGUCGAAUGGAAAGUAGAUGUCAUCGCAGCGUUUGUCAAGUUGUUCCUCCAUGGUGUCUAGAGCAGUGUAGAUCUUGGAUGUAAUCUUGUCAACCUCUGCUGCUGUGUAAGGAAGUAACUCCAUAGGUUUCUUGCCAUCGAUCCAAGGCCCUCGUAGCCUGUCGAUCGAUGCCAAUUUUGCCUGCAAAAAACUUUGAUUAGUAAUGUUCUCAAUAUCUUUUUGGGCAUGAAGUAAUUGACUAGACAAUUUAUUUAAAUAUGUCAUGACUGGUGAUAUAAAGCGGUCAUGCAUAUCCUCGUAAGUCCUCAGCCUCUUGUUCAUGGCUGAGACUUUGGCGUCGAGCGAUGUGAAGAUACACAUGUCGAUCGAUGUGGCUGGUUGUUGGUCCUUCUUGCGAAUGGUGUCCAGAUCUUGCUGUAGUAGCUCGAUUUUAGUGCUUAGCCAGUCCACGUUGUUGUUGAGAGGGCAGUAAACAUCGUUUAUCCUUGUGUCGAUGUAUGAGACUUCCCAUUCAUCCCUGUGUUGUGUUGAACAUUGCGGUUCUGCAGGGAUCUGAGCUGUAGAAAGAUUGACGUCAAUCGAUGUUGCACGGGGUGCGUCGAUCGAUGCUGAGGUCGUAGCUUCCUUCUCAAGUGGAUGACAUAAACUCUCAAUUUCUGUCCUCAUUUCUGCCAUACAUCUGAAAAGCUCAUUGUAGCCUCUAUACAAAGGCUGAUGUGUGUCUUCUACCAAUGUUUUGAGCUCCUCUCCCAGUUUCUCCUGAGCUCCACAAAUACCAAACACCAUCUCAUCGAUUUCUUCUUUGGUGUAGAGUUCUGGUGCCAGUCUUGUGAGUGUGAAGGAAAUGGCAUGUUCUGGAAGACAGAUGUGGCUCUCCUCAAAAAGAGAUGCUCUUUCCAGUAUUUUUUUGAUGUUAUCCUUUGUGACAAGUAUCAUCUCACCAGCUACGUCUCGUGCGUGUCCACGCUCAUCUCUGUAGACUCCAUACUCAUCCUUUUGUUCCCAAGUGAACUUUCUGGCUCCGUACAUGUCGAAAGCGCGGUUCCCACAUUCAUACCGUCUGUCGAUCGACGUCGGUUCAUCCCUAUCGAUCGACGUUGGUGUUACCCUGUCGAUCGAUGUCUCCGUUGUACCGUCAAUCGAUGAUUGCCCUUUUGGUUGGCGUGAUAGAUCUGGGUUGAUCUCUAUUGUGGCGACUCCUGCGUGGUUGUUAGGAUCUGUUUGAAUGACGUCUGGAGUGCCACGUUGCUGUGAGAAUAGGUUGUCAGGUCCAUUGGCUACUUGAAGGAUGUCUGCUAUGUCCUCUCUGGACACUUGUAAAAUCCUUCCAUCCAUUGCACGUGCGUUGCCAUCUGGGUCCCUGAAAAUACCAAAUUCAUCAGGUGUUAGAAAACUGUAAUCAAUGUUUGCAUAAUCACUCAAUUUAGAAAUAGAAAGAUUAGGGUUUAGAGUAGUAUCGAUCGAUGUAGAUACAGUUACAUCGAUCGAUGGCAGUGUAAUUUGUGCAGAACUUGUGUUCUUGAGAUGUUUGCUCUUCAUAGAUUUUUCUGUUGAUGUAGAAGGAAGAGUGUUCAUCUUUUUUGCUUGUGUGUUUGCUCUGAUGUGUGUAGGUGGUUUCGGAGGUGCAAAACGAUUUAUAUAGGUAUCUAUAAACCUAGUUGGGGAGAGAAUAUUCUCCUGCUCCUGAAUUUUCACUGCGGCGCGAAUAUCGAUCGAUGUACCUUUACGGGUGUCGAUCGAUGAAAAUGUUGGGUUGGGUAUCGAUCGAUGUGGAGUUCACAGCGUCGAACGAUGUUGGAAACGUGUUGGUGAACUUAUGUGUUUCAAGUCUUUCAUCUUGCAAAGACAUUUCUAUUGCACGUUCUUUCCAGUAAUCCUCAUCGUAUUCCUCGGUAUGUUCCUCAUUAGGUGAAGUAAUUACAGUGUCAACUGCAAAACUUUCAUGGAAACCACUGUCUGCCCAACUGCCUAUGGAAUAAUCAUCAUAUCCUCUCUUGCUUGGAGGUUGGAAGGCAAAAUGUUGGUAACAAUGAUUUGGGGAAGCGAAAUGGUCAACUGGGUGCAUUACGUCGAGGGACGUGUUGUUGCGGUCAUCGGUCAUCAUUGACACAUUGGAAUCGAUCGAUGAAAAUGUUGGGGUGUCGAUCGAUUCCGAGUACUCUUUUUCGUACUCCGAUUCAUACUCUGCUCCACAAUGGCAUGCACCAAUGAAGUCGAGUUCUUUCCCAUAAUCCACAGAAUUAAUGACCUUUCUCUUAGGUCGGAUGGGGCCAUAGUGGAUGUUUGGGUCUAUGAGCGUUAGACACAAUUUGUUCUUGUUCAUGUCACAUACGGCUCCUACUGUAGCUAGGAAUGAUCUUCCAAGCAGAAGUGAAGAGUUCCAGUUAAGCUCGAUGUCUAGGACAUGAAAAUCUACAGGGACAAGGGCAUUACCAAUCUGUACCUCCAUAUCUCUUAUGAUACCUCCUGAUCGUUUCUUUGAAAGAUCCACGAAGGUGAAGGAUUCCGUUGAGUGUUCGAUGGUCAAACCAAGCUGGUCUGCCAUGAUCCUAGGGAGGAUACUAACUGAUGCUCAUGUGUCACACAUUGAAUUGGGAAAUUCAACACCCUUGACUACGCAUGGUAUUGCUAACUUCCCAGGAUCACUCUUCUUCGUUAAUGUGAUCAUGUGUUUCAUCUUCUCUCUGACUUGAUGAAACAUUCUCCUAAUGUCCUCCUCGGUUACCUUUGUUUCUCUGAAGAACAUCCACAACCGGUGUGUGAAGUAAGCUUCAUCAAAAGGGUUUUCGAUUGGGAUUCUGAGGACUCGUUUAGUGAAACCAUCCAUCUCCUUAUCGUUAGCUUCCCUCUUAAGGUUUUUAGGAAUCUUCUCCUUUCUCUUCCUUAAACUUCUCCUUUCAGAUUCUUGUUCUUCUUGAACUGAUUCUGGCGAACUAUUUAAAAGGUUGGGUUUUGGUUCAGGCGGGUUUGCUAAUGGUUUAGGUGGUGGUCUGAGUGCGUUGAUGUAAUCAUUAUCGAUUGAGGGUAACCGCACUCGGUAUGUCAGAGGUGCUUGUCGAUCUAUGGGAGGUGCAUUGUGAUGAUCGACGUCGGACUCACUCUGUCGAUCGAUUGUUGGCUCAACCGAUCGAUCGAUUUUAUCAUAGAAAGGGGAGGGUGGGUGAGGAUGCUUAGCUGCGAAUUCUUCAUGAGUUAGAAUUCGAACCGCAUUGCAUUCAGUCGAUUUGGCAGACGACGUCGAUCGAUGACUGGAGUAAUCUGUCCAUCCAUCUUCAUCUUGGUCUGUCGAUCGAUGCGAGUUCAUCGACAUCGGUCGACACCAUUGGGAUUCGCCGAGACUGAUGGAGCUUUCGAUUUCGAAAUCUCCUUCCUCAAGCUUUUCAUUUCUCACCUCUUGCCAGAAAUCAUCAUCUGUGAUGGCAUUUACGUGGUGUUUUCCUUUGUCGGCUCCUGCUUCUCUAGCGAAAGCUUCUUGCCUCUUUAUAGUCUCGCCCGUCUGAAUUACUUGGGUUUCAAGUUUUCUCAACUGAGUCCCUAAGGUCUUGAUUUUGGUGUUCAGAUUGUUGUAGGCAGAGUCUAUCUUACCGUUGAAAUCCACGGUGAUUUGUUGUUGUCCCAACAGUACUCGAUCAAGCAUCUCUUCGAUCUUGCUUUCCUGAGUCUGGGGUGGUGGAUUUUGGUAGUAAGAGUUCGAGUAGCUCUUGCUGUUGUUGAAGGGUUUUUGAAAUUGUGAAUUUUGGUUACUUAUUUGGCCAUUUCCAAAGAAGUUUUUGUUUCCGCCCUGGUUUCCAAAUUUCUGGAAUCCGGUACCUCCGAUAUAAUUCACAUUUUCUUCUCCUUCCGUAUCUGCUACUUCUCCUUCAGCUGAACAGAUUUGCUUCCUAAGAAGCUCGUGCACCACAUCUAACUUAGCUCUGACUUCGUCCAUCUGUUCCUUCCCGAUAGAGGCUACAGACUUUUUCCGUUCAGAGUCAGUGUUUUUGGUGCUGCUGUUGUUAGCAAGGUUUUCGAUAAGUCUCACAGCUUCCAACGGAUUCCGAGUAGUGAAGUUUCCUUCACUCGCCGUAUCAAGGGCCAUUUGAUACUGUAAGGCGAGACCUCGGAAGAAAGUGCUUAGCAGCUGCACUUUGUUAAAUCCGUGGUGUGGACAGUCUCACUGGAAGAACCUAAAUCUAAUCCUCGCAUCUUUGAAGGACUCUCCAGCCUUCUGCGAGAAUGUGGAAAUUUUGUUCCGAAGUUCUUCAGCACGCGCCUCAUCGAAGAAGUUUCGUAAGAAAGCAUUCUUGAUGUCGCUCCAGGAUGUUAAAGAUCCUGUGGGUUGCUGCCUAAGCCAGUGCAUCACUUCUCCAUUCAGUGUGUAUCUGAAGAGUUUGCACAGCAGGUAAUCUUCGGGGACUCCUUACAUCCGAAUAGCAGCGAUUAGAUCCUCGAACCGUUCCAAAUGGUCCAUAGGAUGCUCGUGCGGUAACCCAGAGUAGGGUAUCUACGACACGAGAGUGUAGUAUUGAGGCUUCAGCUCGAAAUUCUGCUUCUGGAUCUCCGGAAGUCGAAUAGCUGAUAUGUUGGAAUAGUACUCAUCUGGGCGAUUGUUGUCGGCCAGUGGUUUCGAUCGAGCGUCCUCAUCUACAGGUUGAGCAGCUCCUGUAGCAUCAACAUCAGGGAUUACAUUUCCCUGAGCAUCUAUUUUCUGACCUGUUGCAUUACGCAGAUGACCGGCCUGGUCAUAUAGGUUUUCGUUUUCGUCCUGAGUUAGAAUAAUAAUGUUUACCAUUUUUGACGACACAGUAUCGAUCGACGUACGCGGUGUAGUAUCAAUCGUUGUCGAACGAUUGGGAUCGAUCGACGAUGAUGGUCUGGUGUUGGUCGACGGUUGGUUGUGCGUAUCGAUCGACGACGAAGUGGUUGCGUCGAGCGAUGUGGAACGUUGACCUCUACGGAUGGUGCGUUCCAAAUGAGCAGGAUCGACUGAGAACAGCAAGUCUUUCUCCUUGUUGUUUCUGGUACCGCUGGGCAUGCAUCUGAAAAGACAAGAAAAAGAUAAUUAGAAAGGGGGUAAAGAAAAGAAAAAGAAUUAAUAAAACUAAAUCUAAUGGCGAUCAAAGCUCCCCGGCAACAGCGCCAAAUUUGAUACCACUCAAAUUACCCUAAGGAGUGUUACUCUCAUCAAAAGAGGUUCAGAUGUAGUACUUAGGGAUUGAAUCCACAAGGAGCUAGGAAACAAUUAAAUCUAGUGUUUAUUAAUUCUAAAGGUUGUAAGUGUUUAAAUGGAAUAGCAAUAGUAACAAGCGAGUAAAUAUAAAUGUAACUUGGUUGGAAAUGAUAUUAGAUGCAGGGCCACUAUUCAGGUGUUGGAGACUAUAAUACAUAUAGAUGCCUAACUGUUGCAUGCAUGAUAUAUUAGAGCUCAUUCGCUUAACUCAGUAAUCAGCUGUCGCAUGUACCACUGGUUAACAGACUAGAUCUUGUGUCUCACCGGUUAGUAUGCAGACACGAGAGAGUGUCGAUCGAUAGUCUAUUAAGACGUCGACCGAUACACCUUUGCCAACAUCGAUCGAUUGUCAGUUGAAGACAUCGAUCGACGGGUUCUAGCCAGGCCUAUGCGCGAGUAUGAAAUGGCCUACUAAGAUUCUAAAUUGGCGGUUAGCCCUCUCUAGCAAUCCUAAUAUGAUAGAUAGAUGUCAGGAUGGGAUAACAAGGAUGCUUGAAUGUGCAAUCCUAUGAUCAAGUUCUAGUUAGCAAGGCUAAAACAAGCAAUGAAUACAAAUCUAUCAUGAAUAUCACAACAAGGCAGAUCUAUAGUUUGAGGCUAAUCCCACAAACCUAUCUGAACCCUGGAUCUAACAGUUGAACUACUCAGACAUAGCAAAGCAAUUCAUCUCAAUAGAUAAAUAGAAACUCAUAGAAUAGAUGAAAAGAAAUAGCAACAAGGAGUUCCAAUCACAAGUGAUCUUCUCUCCCAAAAUGAAACUUGUAACAAAACUAGGUCUAGAAAAAGCUUUCUUCUCUUUGCCGUCAAAAACACUAGGCAGUAUAUAUUCUACUAGGUUAAAAACUCGUCAGGGCAUUUUGGUAAUUUGGCUUAGCCUUGGUUUUUAAGUCUGCUGAAUCCAAAAUGUCACGUCUGGUAUCUCGACAUCGAUCGACGGUACUUGUGUACAUCGAUCGAUAUUAAUCUUCAUCUGUCGAGGCAUUUCCUGAUAUCGAUCGUCAGCCCUGAUGCGCAUCGAUCGAUUAUUCUUCCUCUCGUCGACCUCUAAGUGGUCAGCUUGGGUGAAAUGUCUUUUAAGCUCCAAAAUGCUCCAAAGUCAUAGCUUUACUCCGAAAUGCACCUGAACCUAAAAACAUACGUAGAAGAGGAGAAAACAUAGAUAUAUAUACCAUGGAUAAAAAUGGAUCAAAUCCAAGGUAUAUCAAGCUUAUCAUGUAAAUCUCGGAUCUGUGAGCCAUCUUUGGAUGACGAAGAAAGUCAUAUGAUGGUGUUGAUACGUCGAUUAAUAUAUGGUCUCUCUUCUUCGGAGAUCUAGACAUCUUGAUGGCGACGUGUAACUUGCUUGUGUUCUACAUGGAGCUCUUCUUGUGUCAUGUCCUAAGACUUUUGAUUUCUCUUCUCUUGCUUUUGGUCCAAAUCCUAUUGUUCUUUGUAGGUCGAGCUUUCAGUGUUUUUGGAUUUACAUAUUCAUUGGUGAACGCUGCCUUUAAGGCUUCCUUGAAUUGUUUGCAUUCCUUAGUGAUGUGUCCUUAUGAUCUAUGAUAAUAAUAGAACUUGGUUCCAUCAAAGGCCUGAGGAUAUGAUCCUUAGGAAGUUGUACCAUGAGGAAUUCUGAAUGCUUGAGGAGGUAACCCAUCUAUCUCAUUCUUCCAAACAUUCCAUGGGCUCACCGGUGCUAUAGCAGCCGAGUCAAAACCCGCAUUCUCGAUGAGAAAAGAGAUGAUGUUUUUAUUUUUAUCCAACUUGUUGUUAGAAUGUUGUAUGGGUUCUUAGUAGGUGUUCACCGAUUUUGUGGCUACUUGUUUCAUUUCUGAUUGCUUGCGCAGGUUAUUCUGCUUAACUUCUUCCAUCAUUAUAAAGCUAUUAGCGCGAUGGAGGGUGUCUUGCAGGCAUAUGGUCUUGUUUACAUACAUGUCAUCUUGAAAUCUGAAUUGAUCUAGAGUGCCUUGUGCUGAGCUUUCACUGUUGUGUAGUUUGGAAAGUGCACUAUGGAGACUACUGCCUUGAAUUUUCCAUGAACUCCACGAAUCCUUCUACGGAACCUUGAGACAUCUUCUAUAGAUCGGAUGCAGAUGCUCCUUGACGAGUAAACAUUAUGUAAUGCUUUAAGGAACUGGUUGAAAGAUCAGGGAAGUUGCUGAUAUAAUCUCCGACCAGUCUAGAGAACUAGGUUAAGGCAGGUCCGUUGAGACUUUCUGUGAAAAAUUGACAAUAUCCAGUGUAUAUCUCUUCUUCGGUGAAUUAUGCUCGCCUCAUGGCAAUGUUGGAUGCAAACAUAGCUUGUCUGUCUGGCGAAACUUGACGUCAUGAUUUCCUAGUAAAAGGGGUUUUUAGGGUUGCAACAAGAACAUGUUUGAUCUCAUGAGAAGAACUAGUGACUCUAUGAACCUUGAAUUGAUAUUUUGCAUCAAACUCUUGAUCUUGAUUUUCUGAGCUUUUGUUUGAUCGGUUCCUUGAGUCAUAGGUUUCUGGUACGUAAGAUAUGUUUCUUAUGUGUCGUAGGAUCGGCGGCUGGUGGUUUGAUGGUGGACGUUAUUUCGGCGAGAUACUUUUUGGUUAUCUUUUUUGCUUUGUCAUUACAAGUGAUACGAUCCAUUAUGUUCUUCAUCAUCUCCAUUAUGACUGCGGUAUGUAGAACCUGUUGAUUUGUAUCCAUGCCGGUGACGUUACUUAUAGGCAUGUUGAUCUUUUCUUACCGUUACUUUCUAAUUCCCCACAAAUAGUGCUAAUUUUUGAAUCGGAAUCGACACGUUGAUAUUCUUAAAUUUACUCCAGAGCUACUCUGCAAUUUCAUAGUGUGAUGUAGUAUAUAGGUAGAUCAAUAGCCGAAAGUAGUAAAUAAACCAAUGAAUUUCUUUGUAAAAUAAAUGUAGAAAAUACUAGAUCCAUGAAAAUCAAACAGGUACGUCAGAAUUGAAAAUAAUAGAAUGCUACAGGUUAAUCAAGAAUAGUUAUGAACUCAGAUCACAAUUAUCAAAUAAACUAGCUCUCGCUGCAGAGAAAAUCCAUGUCUAGAUCCUAGAAUACUAAAUCUCUUUGUGGAUUCAUAAAGUUAAGACAAGCAUUAAGAACAAUAUCAUAAGUUCACUAAAUCCUAAACAAAUAUCUUUACAAAUAAUAAUUUUUCUCAUCAAAGAUAAUUUCAUGUAAUCAAUCAUGAAAUCACAUCUAAUCAAUUAUCCUACAAUCAGGAUUCUAGUUAAUUACUCUAGAACUCAACUUUAUAGAAAAUCUGUGAUGACGAAAUCAAUGGAUAACCCUAGCACUUCUAUCAAUUUAGCAAUUCAUCAUAAACCUUAGAAUUCCCUAAAUCUAACAUGGUGAUUACUCUGAGAUAAUCAAAGGAAGCAUAAUCAAAGUAUGAAGAAAUUGCAUUAAGAUAAUUAGAAAUAAUGGAGUUCCAAAUUAAUCUAUGAAUGAGUGUUGAUAUUUCUCUCAAAACCCUCUAUAAGUAAAUUAAGCAUAGCUUAAAUAAUGCCUUAAAAACAUAUAUAAUAUAGAUCUAAAACACGUUCAGAGACUUCUUUGCAAAUAAGAAAAACCUAUGAGCCAAGAUACCAUUUCUUAAACAUCAUUAAAUUUGUGUCGGUUGCUUGAUCCCAACGGGUGUCGACCAACACAAAGGGUGUGUUGGUCGACACCAUCUUCAAUAAUCGACUCUGACUUGUAGUUUUAAUGUCACAUCUCUCAAAGCUCCAAAUCUCCAAAGUGUUCUAAAAUGCAUCUUAACCUGCGGAGAUUGUAAAACAAACUCGAAACAUAUUAUAUAGACUCUAAAUCAGAAUUGUUUAAUGGUUUAAACCCACAAAAAACAUGAUAAUCAACUCGCUCAGGCUUAUCAUUUACGUACCCUCACGCAAAAUAGUCUAAACCUAUGGAAGAGAUCUGCAAACGCAGGAACUCACUUACUCUUUAAAACCACUAAUGUCACAUCUAUAAUGUUGCAAGCCACAACAGAUAAUAUCAAACGGAAAAAGUACUUUCAUGUAUUCGACAUCUGCUUAGCAAACUAACCAUCCAGUCCACAGCUCACCAUAUAUCAUCUGAUAUGUCCUCCACUGACCUCGUUUUAGAGUUUAAAGUACAGUCUCAUCUUGGCCGUAUUGAUUAAAAGACAUAUGGUCUCUUACACAUGGAAUCUAUGUUCUUAAGGUUAUAGUAGAUUGCAUCUUGCCAUGCUUUAGAAACAUAGCCACUUUAAGUGAACUUUGGGUAAAUAAUUGCGUUGUAUCUAUUUUCUAGUAUUUUUGAUAUUUUUCUUAUCAUGUUUUUAAUUCUACAAAUUUAUGUUCUCUGAUUUACAUGGACGAGUUCGUUAGAAAGUGUGUGGAUAAGUUUGGGUGUCUAAUUUUGUUCUGUCAUAUCAGCCACCAACUCUCAACACACGUUUUAAAUAGGUAUAACGUAUAUAUCUGACAUAUCCCUUUCUAAUAUACGUGUAACCUCGUGGACCUUACCAAUUUAUCUUUCGUGUGAUUCAUAAUAAAGGUCCUAGUUUCUCUAUGCAUAUAGAGACCAAAAACACCACAAAUCUUAUAUAUUAGUUAAGGAGAAUUACAAUCUUUUAACUAUGUCAUCUGACAUGACUAUAAUGAUUUUAGAAUAUUAAAAAAAAGGUUUGUCCACGUAAAUAUAUAUUAUACUUUUCUUAAAACGAAUUAUAUAAUUAAAUAUUAGUAUAUAAAACAAUUUUCUUUCUUUCAUUAUAUAAUAGCUAUGAAAUUACCGAAUAUAACUAAAAAAUAUAUAUGAUAAUUAGUAGUUCUAGAUAAUAAAUAUUUAAUAAUGAUUUAUGUAUCUUGUAUCAAUUUGUUUAACUUUCUAUUAUUAAAUUAAAUUAAACAAUCACGUCAACCAUAAAAUAAAAAUUUAGAUUUUCUUGUAUAUGUUAUAUUUUAAAUUUUUAAAAGAGAAAAAGACCAAAAUAGCAUUAAAUCAAGUUUUUGUUCCCAAACUAGCACUCAAGGCCAAAAGUCACAGAAAUAGCACUCAAGGGGUGGGGUUUAGGGUUUAGAGUUUAGGGUUUAGAGUUUAGGUUUUAGGGUUUAGAGUUGAGAAGUGAUGUUUUGGGAUAAGAUUUCAAAUUUUGAAAAGUAAAAAAAUUUAAAUUUUUCAAAAGAUAAAAUGCUAUUUUGGUCAUUUUAGUGUUUGAGUGCUAUUUUUGUGAUAUAAACUUAGAAAUGUGCUAUUUUGGAGAUUUGCCCAUUUUAAAAACUGUUAUAAAUUAAUAAAACUAUUAAAAAUCCCAGAAUAAAAAAUUGGGAUCAAUGGUUUUAAUAUUUUUAUAACAAAAUUCCAAUUAUCAUAAAACCAUAUAAGUAGAAAGUCUCCUUAAUAUUUAUUGAGAUUAAAAAUAAUAUAUAUGUUUUAAUAUUGUUUAAAUUAACUAUAUACAAUAUCAAAAUACAUUAAUAUUUAAGUUUCCAAAUUUGUAUUAAUAAAGUAUUGAGAAUUUAAUAAUUUAAUUUCAGAAUUUGCAUUGACUUUUUAAAUUUUUUUGAUAAAUUACGAAAAUAUUAAAAAUUAUAUACUGAAAAUUUUGGUAUCAAUGAUUUAAUUUUUUCUGUUAUAAAAAUAUACAAAUGAUCAUAAAACCAUAUGAGUAAGAAGCUUCAUUUAAGUCAUAAUAAAAAAUAUUAUAUAUCUAUGUUAAUAUUAUUUAAAUUUAAUUAUUUAUCAUAUAAAAUAGGUAAAAGUGAUUAUUUGGAUUUAUUUACCAAAACAUAUUGUCAAUAACGAUUAUUUUUUUAUUUCUAUAUUGAUAUCUCAUAUUUUUAUAAGUUUUUACUAUCUCAUUUUAGUUUAUACAAGUAAUUUUAGGAUGCAUUUAGAUGUAUAUAUUGCAUUUGUGUAUUCAUUUGCAUUUUACCGGGCUAAAAUGGACUUUUGAGAAGUUUUGGACAGGAUCAUGAGGUUAUGCUGCAAUUUACAAAGUAUGGGGUCAGAAACGGAGUUAUCAAAAGUUCAGGGACCAUUCUGCAAAUAUUAAGGGCCUGGGCGGCACAAUUGGAAGCUUUGGGGCUGAUUCGGGUGGACGUUUCUCUAUUUAUGAAACUUUGGGGUCUAAUUGCAGAGAUGCAGAACUCUGGGGACCAGACUUGCAAAUAAUGAAGAAUCCACCAUUUGAGAGCACGAGCUUUCUCUUGGCCGAUCCGGAGCCGACUGCGAAGCUUGAUCCCGACCCCGAGAUUGAUUCCGACGACGAGCCUAACCGGAGCAGAGCACAACGGGGAUCUGAGCUGACUUGGACGAGAGAUCCCGUGGCGGAGCAAGCGCGCGUCCACGACGUGGAGAUGGAGAAAUUGACGCCAUGGAGGUUUGGUCGCGGUGAAGAGGCUUGAAGCGACGACGACGAGUGGAUCUAUGGGACGCUACGGAGGAGCUGGGCACGAGAACAACCAUGGCUUGGAGUCAGCGCGUGUCCACGACGUGAGGCUGAAGAUGAGCUCGCAGAGACGAAGCCGGUACUGAUCAAACCACGACUAUGAAGACGAGUAUGCAGCGGUCUGGAGUUGCGGGUUUCAGUCACCGCUCGGGAACUUAGUGGGCUCGGACGCGACCACUGGUUGCGGGUUUGUGAUACCGCGCGGCAUGGAAGCGGACACGAGACAUAGCUCGCAACACGUCGAGCUUGCAGCGGUCACGGGCAGCGGGCUGAAGUUGUAACUCUCCUCCCCCGGCCUUCCCGGCCCGGCAUGGGGUGGUGUCGCCGACAAAACGUUUCACCUCAAGCUCGUAUGUCCGAUUUUUCUUUCUCACCAAGCUUGUUGUGCGAGGCGACUGAUCCUUUUGUAUAUUUGUCUUAUAACUCCUUGUUAUCAUUUUCUGAACCUCUGAAACUCCACCACACCGUGGUACGAGGACUUUUUGUUGACCUGAUCUUGGCCGGAGACUCUGAACUGUUCGUAUUCUCCUUCAACAUUAACUACGAUGGUCUAUCAGAACCAUAAGAGAAAUGAGCAAUAGCGGAAAUGUUGAUCCUUUGAGUUAGUAUUAAGGGAUUUUAACCUGGCUUUGAUACCAAUUGUAACGCCCGCCCCUUCCCCAUUUCUGACUGGGGUUCAUGGGUGCGGGGUUGAGGACACACAUGUCUACUUUCCCGACAUCUCUGUGUGUCCCGUUACUGGUCCCAUGAGUUUCAGGUGCAUUUUCGUCCUUACCAUCGAUAUUUCCUCUUAUAGUUCUGCAAAAGGGGAAGUGAAAAGAGGGGUGAGUAUGAAUACUCAAUGAAGCGAUUCUAGACCAGUGUUCCCCAUGAGCCUCUAUACGGCUCAAUGCGAAACGAGAACCGUCUAGUCACUACACCCAGUUCGACGCAUCUUAAUAGCUAGUUACUAAAGUUUUAUUUCACGAAAACAAGCAAUGUGAUGAACUCAGUCAUCACUCAAUUCACAUAAUUCGGUUUAUUAUUUAAGACUCCAAUCAUCCUAGAACUUUAGGACCUACACAGCUCAAGCGGACCAUUCCUCCCCUUUUCAUGCUGCUUCCUGUGAAGUCACCUGCCCUGGUAGGCCCGUCACCCAGUUCCUCGGGUGCGGACCGCCUUUGCAGUGUAUUACGACCCCUUUCCGCCAAGACUCGGCGUGACUCAAUCUUACCGACGCUCUAUUCUUACCCUGCCAUUUUUAUCGGAUGCUAUGGCCUCGCAUCUCCGCCGCUUUUGAACGCUAUGGCCGCUGCGUUUUCUUUCUUUCCACCCUCCCCUGGUACUUUACUAUUCAUUCAAUCAAUCUUUCCUUUUCUUAUCAUUUCCUUUUCCUAUCUUUUCCUUUUUCUUUAGACUCGUUCAUACGUUCCUUUUUAGACGCCACCCGUUCUCGGUGUCACACUCAAUUCAGUAAACAACCAAUCACAGAUAUCCUACCAUUCAUCUAAUCAGACCGGUUAACAUUUACUAUUAUCAUACUUUUAAUUCCUUCUAAGCAUCCUAGCUUUCAACCACAAUCAAGCAUAAAUCAUCGACCAAUCAAUCAUUCAUCAUUCAAUCAACACAAGCAGUCCAUUUACUGUCCUUAAUCAGUAUGAGCGUUCUUAUGCAGUGUGAUCUAUCAACCUAACAUCAAUCAGGAUCUAAACAAUCCUAAUUCCUCAUUCAACAAUAUAGAAGUACAUGAACAAGAUCUGGAUAGAACACCUCACCUUAGCCUAGAUCUGAAUCUGGAUCUGGAUAAGAGACAAGAGAGAUGAGGGUUGAGAUCAAGGAAACCACACGACCACCCCACCACUCACGGCUGCUCACGGCGAGGAGAGAGAGAGAGACGGCCGAGAGAGAGAGGAGAGAGAAGCAGCGCAGGGAGAGAGAGAAGAAGUCGACGGCUAGGGCUUCCGGUCUCCGGGAAUUCUCUGCAGGGCUUCGCUUCUAAACAUUCUGAUGGGAGACUAAGGGGUGGAGGCUUUGUAUUUAUAGGAGAGGGCAAGGAAACCCUAGGGUUUUAAACAAAAUGGGCCACAGAGCGGGCCUUUCCACAAAAACUUUUUGGACUUAGGUUUUGGGGUGUUACGGAAUUUGUCGUUGUGCCUCACACGAUCCAUGGAGCGGGUGUUCGGAACGGGACGACGAAGCCGCUCCCAUACGUUGAUUGGUCAAGUUUUAUUUAUUUUAUGGGCCUUUUGAGAUUUGUUAAUUGGCCCAGUCGUUUUUAGAAGUCUUAUAUAUAUAUUUUAGGGUCUAACAGGUAACCAUGACAAGAACAUUAGGAAUGGAUAUGAAAAGAACGGAAAGAAACAAAAUUAUAGGAAUGAUGAAGAAUAAUGAUUCCUUAUCAUAUUUAGUGAGGAAUAAAUUUAUUUUAUAUUUCCCUGCAACAAAAGGAAUGAGAAUGAAUGGAAAGGAAAGGAAAAAUUAUUCCUUGUAAAUGGUAAAAAAAUUCAGGAAUGUUAAGGAAUGCAUUAUUCCUCUUCGUUCUUUGGUCACCAUUUAUACCCUUAAACUUAAAAAUGAGAUAUCUUGUUUUCUAUCUAAUCAAAAAGCUACUUUUAGGUUAAAGAUCUAAUCUUGAUCAUUAUCUUUUGUGAUUGCUUGAUUGCUUUGAUCAUUAAUCACGUUUAGACUUAGGUCAACUAAUGAUUUAGUGUCUACCAUGAUAAUGAGUGAGAGUAGUCAUCUUUGGAUUUAUGGAUUAGGAUGAUUAGGAUGAUUAAGUGAUGAUCUAGAAUGUUUAAAAUAGAUUAAUAUGUUUUCUUGCUUGAUUGAGUGAUCUUAAAGUUAAUCUAGAGUUGGCCAUUUUAGAUUAGAAAUCUAGAUAUUUCAUUGCCCGGAAAUAGUUCGAUUAAAUGUGUGAGACAACUCAACAUGCUCUUAGCUUACCCUAAUCUUAAUGAUUGCUUGAUUGACACAAACCAAAGGAAUUUGAUGUUUGAUCAAUGAGAGUAAAUGAGUUUUUGUCUUGACAAAGAACUUGCUUAGAAUUGUUAUCUAGACUUAGAGAAAUGAGUUGAUUGAAACUUUGCAAUUUUAGAUUAAAUCUUAGUCAUCUGAAAUCAAAUUCCUAUACCCAUGACUCCUUAUUUAUCCAUUUGCUUGGAAGUUGCUAGUAAAUUGUGUUAGAGUCUUGUUAGCUUAAUCAAAUCAUUUCAUUACAUUGAAUGCACUUAGCUUAAGUAUGAACAUGUAUUCUCAUUGAAUUGAAACACUUAGAAAUGGAUUGACAUCUAAAAUACUACAUUGAUUUGAACUUUGGAUUGAAAAGUUCAUAUCAAAUUUGACGCCGUUGCCAAUUCUAAGUUGAUUUUGACAUUUAGAUUUGGUCAUUGCUUGAGACUAAGUCUUAUUUUCUUGUACCUAGUUACUGAUUAUCUCUCCUAACUCUUUUGAAUGUCAGGUGCAAGAACUUGAGGAGUUGAAGACAUUGGAGCUUUUGAAAGGGAGAUUGCAAAGAAGAGAAGAGAAAAAGAAAGGAAAGUUCAUUUGGACAGAGUUGAGCUUGAGAUGGAGGGGAAUCAGCGCCAAGCUAGAGUUAUUGGCACCUAUGAUCAGCCUCAUAUCCAUGGGAAUAGGAUGGGCAUUAGACACCAGCUGUGGAGAACAACAACUUUAAGAUCAAAUCCAGCUUGAUCAACAUGAUAGAGAACAACAAGUAUCAUGGUCUUCCUUUGGGGGAUCCACUUGAUCACCUUGAUCAAUUUGACAAGUACUGUGGCUUGUCAAAAAUAAAUGGCGUCUCUGAAGAUGCCUUCAAGCUGAGAUUGUUUCCAUUCUCUUUGAGAGACAAAGCUCACACAUGGGAAAAGAACCUUCCAAGUGACUCUAUCACCACUUGAAAUGAAUGCAAGAAAGCCUUCAUCAACAAGUUAUUCUCUAACUCAAUGACUGCGAAGCUUAGGAAUGAGAUCUCUCGAUUUCAACAGAGGAAUUUUGAAGGUUUUAGUGAAGCAUGGGAAAGGUUCAGAAACUACUGGUCUCAAUGCCCACAUCAUGAUUUCACCAAGGAAAAUCUGAUCAGUACCUUCUAUAGAGGAGUUUUACCUAAGUUCAGAAGCCAGCUGGAUACUGCUAGCAAUGGUUUCUUUUUGGGGAUGAAUAAAGUAGAUGCUGAGGAGCUUGUAGAGAAUAUGGCUCAGAGUGAGUCACUCUACAGUGAUGACCAUGACAGGAGCAAUAGAAACAGUGGAGGAGAUAAUCAAAACACAAGGAGAGAGUUGAAACCUCUACAAGAUAAGAUGGAUUUGCUUCUUUCAGACAGAACCAAACAAGAGAAAGUACACUUUGUUGGUGAACAUAAACAAGAGGAGAUAGUUGUGGUUAAUGAAGUUGAUGGUAUAGAAGGUCAAGAAGAGCUAUGUUUCGUUAAUGCUAAUGGGACAUGGUACAAGAAGGAGCCUCACUUUCAAUACCAAAACAACUACCAGCAAAAGCCCUUCUACAAUAACCAACAAGGAAGUUACCAAACUAGCAAAAACUACUCUCAAGGUUUUUCCUCCAAAGGAAAUCAGUCUACACAAGGCCAAGCCGAAUCUUCUACUUCUGCUCCACAAGAAAGUAGCACUGAUGUAAUGCUGAAACAGAUCUUGGAGUCUCAAACUAAAAGUGAGAAGCACAUUGGAUAUGAGUUGAAGAACCUUCACACCAAAGUUGAUGGAAACUACAAUGAUCUCAACAACAAAUUUUCAAACCUUGCCUCUCACUUCAAGGCUUUGGAGAAUCAGUUUGCCUCUAUGACUUCAACCUCCAAGCGUCCAAUGGGAUCUCUACCAGACAAAUCAGAGCAGAAUCCCAAAGAGUAUUGCAAUGUUAUCCUCUCUACUACUUCUUCUGAGAUUGAGUUGAGUGAUCAUGAGAAAGAGGUGGAUCAGAUUUAAAGCUUCUUAUAUGGAACAGGAUUUGUUUCCCCGACUGCAUCACAGAUUGUGGACAAGACUGAACACAAGGCUAUGGAGAGGGUUAAGGCACAAGCUGAACUGAAGGUUGUAGCAGAGAUUUAGAAGAGAGAUGAGCACAAGGCUGAGAAACAAGUUGAAAGAGAAGUUUUGCAGAGGCCAAAGGAAGUUAAGUUGGAAGGAACCACUGAGGUUGAGCAAUCACCUUAUGAUAAGCUCUCAUUUUAACAAAGGGUCCUCACCAAAGCUCAAAAGAGGGUGAUCUCCAAAUUCAUAUAGAAUAUGAGUGUUGUAGGAGUCAAGCUUCCAGAGAUCUCACAUAUGUGUGAUGCUCAUGUACAAAUGAUGCUCAUCAAGGACAUUCUAUCUCACAAAGAAGAAGUAGCAGAGCUUCUUGACAUCUCUACUUUGCAGCUUGAUCCACCAGUCACACCAAAAUCUAUUCCAAAACUAGAAACCCAAGGAAAAUUCACCUUGUCUUACUCCCUUGGUAAGUUCACACUUGAUGAUGCUCUUGUUGAUUCUGGUGCAAGUGUGAAUAUGAUCUCAAUAGAGAUGGUAAAGAGUCUUGGGAUUGAGAAUAUGGAGUCAAACACAUCUUCACUCAUGUUUGAAGACUCUUCUUCAACAACUCCAUUAGGCUUAAUCAAGGACUACCCUAUGAAGAUUGGAAACUGCACAAUCCCUGUUGAUCUCACUGUUUUGAAGAUGACAAUUGAGAAGAGAGUCCCAUUGAUCCUUGGCACACCAUUUCUCACAACAGUAGGAGCUUGCAUUGAUUUUGCCAACGAGAAGGUCACACUCCUCAAUGUGAACAAAGCUGUCUCCUAUCCAAUCAAGUCUGCAAUGAUGAAUGUUGAGUAUUGUGGAACCAUCACUUGUGGGGAACCUUCCAUUGAAAAGAUCAAGGAUGAAAUGGUUGUUAGUGGAAAAGAAGGUCUUGAUGGAGAGUCAUCUAAAGAGAUGUGUGAUGAUCACUUGGAAAGUGCUACAAAGGAGAAGGUGAGUAGAGCCACAAAGGUUGCUCAUGACAAGAAGAAGAUGAUGAAAAAACCUCACCCUUCACCUCUUGAUAUGCUGCCACACACUCUCACUCUUCACCCAAUGAAGUUUAAGGAUGGAGCUAUUGAGUACAAUAUAAAAUGCAAAGGAAAGUCUACACCAUUGUCAAGUGCAAAGGCCAUCAUCGCUCCUCAGAUCCAAGAUGAUCCAAUCAAGCUCCAAGAGCUCCUCUCUCAAGUCCUCACCAUCACCUUCGAAGGUGGGAAAGAUCCUCCUCUUCACUAGCCAAUUGGAAGGAAAGUCAAGCUAGAGACUUAAAACAAGCUCACUUGGGAGGAAAUCCCAUGGUAUACUUUGUAUAUAUUUAUAUAUAUCUUUUUUCUUGCUUUAGUGUGUUUAAAUAAGCUUAGGGCCAAGUUUGGGGGAAUUCUCAAAAAUUCCCAAAGGUCAUGUUGAAAAUUCCAAGGUGACAACAAGCCCUCCCUCCUCAUUUCCCUUCUCUCAUCAAAGCCAACUUCAAGUAAGUGCAUUCUACCUUUGUCAAUACUUAGUUAUCAUGUUUAUGUCUUUCCCUUAGAUCUCUUCUUUGAGCUUACUCUCACACAAGGGACUGUGUGAAGUAAGUUUGGGGGAGAGUCUACUAUUUCACAUUGUGUUUUGUUUUGUCUACUUUUCAUUGAGUCCCAUGCAUUCCAUUGUGCAUAUUUAUUUGCAUAGAAAACCCACAAAAAUUGAAAAUUUUCGAAAAUCACAAAAAGAAGCAUUUAGUUGCAUCAUUUACAUCUUUAGGAUUGAGUCUAGAGGCAUUUAGAUUUCACUUAUGCAUAGGGAGAAACCUUGUAAAGAACUCAUGUCUAGAACUCAAUUUGACAUCCUAACUAAGCAUAUCAAGUAGCUUAACCAUCUCUUGAAAAAGCUAGUAAGCUUCGAGCCUUGAAAAGUCUUGUUGAAACUUGUUGCUUGCUUGACGAUUGGCAUUGUUCUUGAAACCAACUACAAAUGAACUAAGGCUUAAUGAACUUUAUCUCUCUUGCAUAUGGGCAUUUGCAUACUUGAUCAUGGAUAUUAUACACAUUUGGGUUAUCUUUUUCUCUUUGUUAACCCAAAUGGCACUCUCAUACCCACUAACCCUAACCAUUCUUUGAAGCCAACAUUAAUUUGCUUGAGUGAGGCCUUUUACUAAUAGCAUGUCAUGUGCAAAACCUUGAGAGUAUUAAGAGCGACAAUGGGUUGUUCUCGCCUUUGGCUAACAUUAGGACCUCAUUUAGGCUAGCCUCUAGGAUGGUUGUUGGGUUUGUGAGUUUAAAUUAUUUUGAUCUUGGAAAUGAGAGAGAUUGAGUGAGAAAAAUGAACCAAAAAGAGUUCUUAAAGUAAAGAAAUCCACAGGAACAAAAAAAGUUAGAAAAGAGAAGCUCUAGAGUAUAAAUAGAACCCCUUUCCAAAGAAAAACAAAAGAGCUGAGCCAAAAAGAUCUAAAGUCAAAAAAAAAAAAAAAGAUCCCUAGUUGGUUUAAAUCAAAUGAGAGAAAAGAGUGUUCAUUGGGUGAGAGAUGAAAGUGAGAGUAUUUUGGGUUUGUGAAUGAAGGAAAAGAAAGGUAGAACUUAAAGCUACUUAGGAAAGGGGUAGAAUGAUGAGAACAAGCAUUGUGUGCAUGAAUUGCUCAUUUUCUUAGAUAAAUUUUGCAUAAUGAUCUUGCUCCUAUUCAUGAGUGUGAGUCACUAUAAAUAAUGCAAUUGAAACCCAUUUUUCUUCACAUUAGACCAUCUUCUCUCACCAAGCCAAAUGAUUGAGAUCAAUUUGCAAGAAUUCACCUUGUGUGUGUGUGUGAAUAAAUGUGAGAGUUGGCUAAGUAACUUGUUGGUUGAAUGACAAUGUAAUUUGUGUAGAGAUAAAUGAGUCUUGAUAGGCCUUGAGAAGCUAUAGUGCAAUAAGAAAGUGGCUCAUGCUAUUUGCUAUGUUUCUCUUAGGAUGUCACAUUGAAGGUUAGAAAGUGUGUCUUUUGGUUCUAAGCUCCCAAUUUUAAAUAUCUCUCUCUUAAUUGAUAUUGAAAGUUUGCAACACGUCGAGCUUGCACUGGUCACGGGCAGCGGGCUGAAGUGGUCGCUGUGCCUCACACGAUCAAUGGAGCGGGUGUUCGGAGCGGGAUGAUGAAGCCGCUCCCACACUUUGAUUGGUUGAGUUUUAUUUAUUUUAUGGGCCUUUUGAGAUUUUUUAAUUGGCCCACUCGUUUUUAGAAUUUCUAUAUAUAUAUUUUAGACUUAAAAUGAGGGAUAUCUUGUUUUCUAUCUAAUCAAAAAGCCACUUUUAGGUGAAAGAUCUAAUCUUGAUCAUUAUCUUUUGAGAUUGCUUGAUUGCUUUGAUCAUUAAUCAUGUUUUAACUUAGAUCAACUAAUGAUUUAGUGUCUACCAUGAUAAUGAGUGAGAGUAGUCAUUUUUGGAUUCAUGGGUUAGGAUGAUUAGGAUGAUCAAGUGAUGAUCUAGAAUGUUUAAAAUAGAUUAAUAUGUUUCCUUGCUUGAUUGAGUGAUCUUAAAGUUAAUCUAGAGUUGGCCAUUUUAGAUUAGAAAUCUAGACAUUUCAUUGCCCGGAAAGUGUUCGAUGAAAUGUCUGAGAUAACUCAACGUGCUCUUAGCUUACCCUAAUCUUAAUGAUUGAUUGAUUGACACAAAUCAAAGGAAUUUGAUGUUUGAUCAAUGAGAGUAAAUGAGCUUUUGUCUUGACAAAGAACUUGCUUAGAAUUGUUAUCUAGACUUAGAAAAAUGUGUUGAUUGAAACUUUGCCAUUUUAGAUUAAAUCUUAGUCAUCUGAAAUCAAUUCCUAUACCCAUGACUCCUUCUUUAUCUAUUUGCUUAAAAGUUGCUAGUAAAUUGUGUUAGAGUCAUGUUAGCUUAAUCAUAUCAUUUCAUUACAUUGAAUACACUUAGCUUAAGUAUGAACAUGUAUUCUCAUUGAAUUGAAACACUUAGAAAUGGAUUGAUAUCUAAAAUACUACAUUGAUUUGAACCUUGGACCCUUGAGAAGUCCAUAUAAUAUAUCCGCGCUAAUUUAGUUAUAUACCGAAUAGUUACUGACUAUUGAAUUAUUCAAUAUAUUUGAUAUUUCAUAAUUUUGUAAUUUGUUAAAAAUUCAAAAAUGAUAGCACGUAAAAAUACUUGUAUAUACAAUAUUCAUUUACUCUCAAGACCAUCACACCAUCAUUUUUAAAGCAUAGCUAAGGAUGUAAGUGUAAUAUUUCUCACGAGCAUUAAUUUUUUCUUGAUAAUUAUGCAAUUAAUCUGAUUUUCAUUACUUGAGAGUAAAUGACUAUAUAACCAUUAGUGACAACCUGUGGCUUAGUCUUAAAAUGAGGGGCAACUUUAGCAAUAUACACAUGAAUAAAAGAUUUAUUUCUAAACGUACUUUUUAAUAGAGAUGAUAUUUAAUUAAAGUUUUAUAAAAAACUGAAAAAAAUCACAUAAAUUUUUCAUUAAAAUUAUUUGGGUAGACGAGAUAUUUCUCCAUGAAAACUAUCAUAUAGCAUCAAAUGUCUCCCAAACUAUGAUGUCGUUCUAUUUAUCCCCAGAAACAAAGUUGUAGUUUUAUUUCCCAAUAAAUCUUGGUUUUGUCAAACCCAAUUCAAAAUCUUGAUUUACCAAUUGUAAACCAAAAAUCCCGAAAUCUAACCAAACAUAAAACCAAUCAAACUAAAUUAACAUAAUCUUAACCAUCUAAAUCAAAACAUAUCAAAUCACUUCAUUUCUCUCCUUCCCCAAAAGCCACGGCAAUUCCAGAACAUAAGCUUUUUCCCUUGCCCCAUAGAAUUUCUUCUUCUCUCACAAUCAAACAAUAGAUUCAAAAAAAAAUGUAACAAUCUUGUAACACCCGUAUUUUCUAAAAUAACUUAAAUAAAUAAAAAGUCUGAAAUCUCCAUUUAUUACUUCUCAAAAGUCAACUCCAAACCAGAAAUCCAAUAAAUAGCCAUAAAUCCAAAUAACAUAAUAAAUAUCGAAAAUAUCGGUAAAAGCAUAAAACCACAAGUCUGAAAAAGAAAGUAAAUAAAACUCCCAAAGUACCAGUCUGAUAGCAAUCACUUAUGCUCGUCAGUCUCACCUGAAAUGGGAAGGAAUAGAAGGGGUGAGUAACAGGGGAGUUACUCCGUGAGGUAUGAGAUGCUAAAUACGCAAACCACUGACUUGAGUAAAUAGAACUCCCACUAUGGAAGUUUAGCUCUAACAUGAACACACACGACGCUUAGAGCAUCACACAAACACAAACAAUGCGAUGAUAGCAUAUAGCUAGUCCAUACACCCCCAUCUCCUCAUAUGGAUAUAUAAUACGUAGCAUCGCUAGUACAAUAAGUCUCUGUACCCCCGCCCUCUCAAGUAGCAUCCAUGGUACAAACGUCUCUGCACCACACACCCGCACAAGUAGCAUCGCAAGUCCAGACGUCUCUGAACCCCUGCCCGCACAAGUAAAGUAGCGUCGCUAGCCCAUACAUCUUUGAACCCCCGCCCGCACACAUAGUCCCUACUCAUAACUAUGUGUACAUACAUAUAUAUACCGCAUUUCUUAACAUCACAAAAUCCAAUCAAAGGUUGAAUCCUCUAGACCCUUAGUUCCAGUUUACAAUAAAUGAACUAACUAACAAUCAAGACUCAAUUGAAACAGACGGAUCAUGAUUUGAAAUCAAAAUGACGAUAGAGAGAAUUCUACACUGGUACAUGAUUUACGGAAUAGACUCUGACCUUAGCAAUGUAGAAAAGUGAUAGCUAUGAACUUCAGCUGCUGAAACAAACUCCAAAUCUGAAAUCAGGGCGAAAAAUUGAAUGAGAACGUCUUUCGAACGGUCCAAAACGGAUAACCGGCGAUCUGGUCAAAAAGUAAACCCGCUGGUCAAAGGUCAGCCUGGUCAACUCUGACCCAAGCCGGUCAACCCUUGACCAAAUUGAAAUCGAAUUGAACCACCCGGUUUUCCUUAACCGAAUUCAAUUUCAACUGGACCAGAUUCAAAUCGAUUUCAAAUCGGUUUAAUACUAACCGAAAAUCAAUCCAAUAACCGAUCAGUUUAAUCAAUAACCAAAAUCAAUUGACCAACCGAACCGGCUUGACUGGUCAACGGCUUGACUCGCUGAGUCGACUCGGCCGAGUCACCGAGUUACCAGCGUGUCGACCGGCGAGUCGCGGCCAACAACGGUGGUGGUUUACCGGAAAAUCACCGGCGGCGGCGGAGACGCGGCGGCGAUGCAGCAGCGGCUUACUGACAGCAAAAGGGAUGGUGGCCGGCUGCGGUGGCUCCGGCGAACGUCUGGCGGAGAUGGUGGCGCGUGAGAUUCACGCGCGAAUCUUUCUCCUGCGCAUGUAGGCGCGUCGCGGCGGAUCUCCGGCUGAAACUCUUGCCCCGGACUCGUCUCGACGUCACAAACACACUGGUAGCCUUGAAAUCGCGAGAAACCCAAUGGUUAGAGAGAUAUCGACGAUUUACUAAACGGCCAACACUUAACCAAUCGGAAAAGGCGGUUCACGGAUUACCUAGGGUGUGAGACGGCGGCGACGUGAUGGAUCAGAUCUCAGUCGACGGUGGCUGAGACAGUUCACCAAUAUCUCUCUCUGACGGCUCAAACUCUGCAGAGGUUCGACACCUUAGACUUUUCUGAAUAAAAUAAUGUGUGGGGAUAGAAUUUAUAAGGAAGUACCUAGGGUUCUCUGCAAAUUAAUUGGGCCUUGUUGGGCCUGCGGAUUUGGGUCACUACAAUUCUCCCCCACUAAUAAAGAAUUUGUCCCUGAAUUCGGCUACUGAACCGACUGUCCAAUACCGUCCUGAAAAAGCUAUGGAUAAUCAAUCCUCAUCUGAUUCUCGCCUCCCAUGUUCCUCCUGGAUCCCGUCUCUCUCCCAACGAACUUUAACUAAACUGGUCAUCAUCCCCUGAACAGCUUUCACUUGCCGAUCUAAAAUCUCAACUGGCUGACAAGGUGCAUACAAAAUUUUCUCAAGAUCACUGGGUGGCUGCUGCAAAAUGAGCUCUGGUUCUCUCACAACUUUCCUUAAAACUGAUACAUGGAACACAUCGUGGAAAUCUGACAACUCUGCUGAUAACCGCAAUCUGUAAGCCACUGCUCCAAUCUGCUCCACAAUAGGGUAUGGUCCUAUAUAUCUCGGUUUAAGCUUCUUUAGCUUUCUAGUCUUAGAUCCUCCUUGGAAUGUCCUCAUUUUCAGGUAUACUAAGUCUCCUACCUGAAACUCCAACUCCUUAUGACGCUUAUCUGCAUAGCUCUUCUGGCGGUCAUGGGCUUCCUUAAGCCGAGUCUUAAGCAUCUCUACGUGCUCUACUGUUGAUGCGCUCUUGAGUAGCGCAUCGGGCAAAACAGACAUGCAUGGCUUGAUCAUGGAAAGCACUAAUGAUAUAUGUUCAUUGUUUGACUCAUAUCUUCCAAACCACGAGUGCUCUACGCAUGAAAUCCCUUGGAGAAUGUGUUCAACUCAAUUACGGAGCUCCUCGAAGAAGAAUCAAAUCAAACGGAGUUCACAUGUGAAAGUUAUGCAAUUUGCAAAUCAGGAAAAUCUUCAGUUCUCGCGAAUUUGGGCCGUACGGAUCGUCCAGCCCACAUCUUGAUCCUUACCGCAAAGGAACCACUUGGUUCAGAUGAACCUGGACGUUAGCCGAAGAGCCUCUUUGACCAGAUCUGAGAUCCAAGAGUUUUAGUACAUUGUCUUUAAAUUUCUCAUCUAGAUUCGAUUUACUAAGUUUGUCAUUAAUACAUUUUUAAGUCUUUUUCUAUUCCUCAAGUAGUAUAAAUAUGUAAACAUUUCUCAUAAUAAAAUCAGUCUAAGUUUGAGUUUAUUUUUGUUUUCUUCUUUUCUCUGAGUGAGAGAGAGAGUUCUAUAGCUAGUUCAUUGGUCUGAACCGGCUUGUUGAUUUGGUGGUCAACCAAUUCAUCUUUGUGUGUUGUUUGGUGGUUAGCCAGCACAUUCAUUCUUUCUUAGGUCGCUAGCCUUAGAUCAUGGGUAUAUCAAGAGCCAUUCCACAUCUCUUGACGAUCCUUUCAAUCCAUAUCAGUUCCAGAAAUGCCAUUUGCCUUCUCAGAUCAUAUCCAACACCCAGCUAACGUGAUCCUUCCCGAUGUAGGGCGUAUCAAGUGGUAUCAGAGCCACUUUGGCUGGUUUGUUUUCAUUUCAUCUUUUCAUCUACUCAUCUCUCCACGAUUUUCUUUUCUUAUUUCUUGUUGGAUCCGGGCUGUUCCUUUACUCCCUUGUGAUCGCCAGUUAUUAAAAAAAAAAGAGAAAAAAAAAUCGAUAAAAAAAAAAGAGUAAAAGUUUUGGCUUGAAUCACUUCUGAAGAGAAAUCCAGGGGGAGUGGUAAAAGAGAAACCCUGCUGGCUGAAGAGAAACCCAGCCUUAGGACAGUUAAGGAAGAUUCACACAAAAAUCUCUUCAUUUUUCUUUCUCUUUUCUUUUUCCCACAAAGUUUGUUUUGGGUUUUGACUGCUGAUUUUUUACUGCCUAUCAUCCUUUGAACCAGUGAAAAAACUCUGAGUGACCAUCUAAAAAUCGUGAGCUAAACACUUCAGAGUGUGAGGAUUUUUAUUUGCUAACUUUGUUAAGUGUUUUCAGGAUGUUUGGACUUCUCAAGAAAUCAAAAUCACAACAAGACGUCUACUUUCCUUUUAAAACUGGUUUUGAAAAGGAGCAAUUGAUUUUUGAUAAGAAACAGUUUGCUUCUAAUGGGUUUGACUUUGUGCAGAAACAAAAGAAUAGACAAAACAGGUGCGAUGAUGAGAAGUGGGUCAGAAGUGGUGAUCGUCCCUUCACCAAAGCCAAGAGAAGCAACCGUGAUGUGCCUGCUCAGAACGAGCUUCAGACUUAUGCCAGCUUGGAAAAGAUGUUGCAUAAGGCAAUUUUUGCUAUUCAGCAACUCAAAAAGAAGGGAAACACCAACACUUCUUCUGCACCAAAACAGCAAUGUAAGUUCUCUUCUCUUUCAAAUUCCGAUUUGAAAACUAAUGUGUUUUCUUUUGAUAAAAGCGAAGCUGUGAAACACACAAUCAAAGCUCAUUCUACCAGGUGCUUCAAAUGCCAGAUGAUCGGUCAUUAUGCGAACAAGUGCAAAAACCAGAAACCGUUGGUGACUUUGGAGAAUGAGAGCGUUGAAACCGAGCCAGAAAAGGAAGAAUUUUCAGACCCAUUGCCAAUUUUCGAUGACUACACACAUGAGCCAAUGGCAGGUUUGAAAUCUUGUGAACAUAAGAACUUAUUUUCUUCUCAAUCUGAAUCAAUUCCUGAUGAAUCUUGCUUGCAAUUAACUGUUUUACAACCAGAGAAUCCAAGUAGUUUUGAAUUAAUUUCUUAGUUUGAAAAGAAUUCUGAAAACGUUUUGAACAAGGAUGAAUUUUCUGGUCCUUUGAAUGCUCUUGAUAUUGGUGCAUAUGACCUUGGUCUUGGAAGUUUUGUGUCAAUGCAGGAAGGGCCAUACGAAGAACAAAACUGUGGUCAUCAAGGAAACCAAGAAAGCUCUUCUUCCAUUCAAAAACCGGACCAAACUCAAGGUUAGCAAUGUUCUGAUUAUGAUUUCUUUGCUUAUAAACCUUUUUCGUUUAAUGUUACAGAUUUGAGGACAAAUCUUUUUGAAGAGGAAGGGAAUGAUGCACCCUUGAGUAGCGCAUCGGGCAAAACAGACAUGCAUGGCUUGAUCAUGGAAAGCAGUAAUGAUAUAUGUUCAUUGUUUGACUCAUAUCUUCCAAACCACGAGUCCUAUAUGCAUAAAAUUCAUUGGAGAAUGUGCUCAACUCAAUUACAGAGCUCCUCGAAGAAGAAUCAGAUCAAACGGAGUUCACAUGUGAGAGUUAUGCAAUUUGCAAAUCAGGAGAUCUUCAGUUCUCGCGAAUUUGGGCCGUGCGGAUUGUCCAGCCCACAUCUUGAUCCUUACCGCAAAGGAACCACUUGGUUCAGAUGAACCUGGACGUUAGCCGAAGAGUCCCUUUGACCAGAUCUGAGAUCCAAGAGUUUUAAUUCAUUGUCUUUAAAUUUCUCAUCUAGAUUCGAUUUACUAAGUUUGUCUUUAAUACAUUCUUAAGUCUUUUUCUAUUCCUCGAGUAGUAUAAAUAUGUAAACAUUUCUCAUUAAAAUCAAUCUAAGUUUAAGUUUAUUUGUGUUUUCUUCUUUUCUCUGAGUGAGAGAGAGAGUCUAUAGCUAGUUCAUUGGUGUGAACUGGCUUGUUGAUUUGGUGGUCAGCCAAUUCAUUUUUGUGUGUUGUUUGGUGGUGAGCCAACACAUUCAUUCUUUCUUAGGUGGCUAGCCUUAGAUCGUGGGUAUAUCAAGACCAAUUCCGCAUCUCUUGACGAUCUUUUAAAUCCAUAUCAGUUCCAGAAGUGCCAUUUGCCUUCUCCGAUCAUAUCCAACACCCAGCUAAAGUGAUGCUUCCCGAUUUAGGGCGUAUCAACUGUCUCCUGAACCAUUGUUGGUUCUAAAUCCCUGCAGCACGUCUACAACGCUACAUACUAUGCAGUCAGUUCGGAAAAAGGCAGAGCCUCGGGCAAUACAUAGACUCUCAAUUCAAGAUACGACAAAGAUGCACCAGACUCGAGGACACUCGACUACUAACUGCAAAGUCUUGGGAGCGAGACUGGCCGCAAAGCUACUAGCCGGAGAGCUCUCCGAAGCAGCCAGCAUUAAAUAUCUCAUCCUUGAGACCGAUCGUCCUCCAAAAACCGACAAACAUUCACCUGCAGAAAAUUCUCCUCGGAGAAAUCAAGCAGGGGAUAAACGCGGAAGGAGAUCAGACGACAAAGGACACGAUAACAAUCGUCGUAGAGUAAACAUGAUCAUCGGAGGAUCACAGUACUGUAACGACACGGUCUCGGCCAUCAAGGCCUACCAGAAAAAAGCCGAGUCAAGUGCAAAUUGGCCAACAUGGUCUCCUCCCUGAGAUGGUCGAAGCGAAUCGAUAACUUUCACGUAAGAGGAAGCCGGCGGAAUCGAUCAGCCUCACUGCGAUCCACUCGUCAUAGAUCUCGUCAUAUGAGAUCUGGAAGUCGCAAGAGUCUCGUCAGACAAAACGUCAAUGAGUCUCAGAUCAAUCCGCCCCGACGAACACAUCAACCGUCUUAAACAAACGCACCAUGAUCAUUCUGAUCCUCAAACAUCCGACACAAGGAUAAAAGUGCGCUAUAUAAAAAAUCAGAAAUUUUGGUCAAGCACUUCCAGUUGGCUUAAAAAUUAUCGCUGGAGAGAUGCUCGAUUCACACCAUACAAGUCGUAUAAGCCGAGAACCUAUCGCAGACUUUAAAUCGGUAUGAAUCAGGUUGAAAUCACAAUAGAAAAAUUGAUAGCCAGCCAGUCACCGCAUAAACCUUAAAAACGAAUGUAAACCUAGGUCUUGCCCUAAACCCAACACACUGGUCUCUAAAAUCUCAAGACAUGGUAUCUAAAAAAUGAUACGAGAUCUUAAAACAUGUCUCUCCGUCCAUAUCUUAACGUUCAUGAAACUUCGUAAAAAUAAAUAAACAAUUUUUGCGAAAAUUCACAUCUCGAGCAAACCAACAGAUUGAAUGUCUUGCUAGAACUAAAUAAGAGACGACAACUCAUAUUUAUUCCAGACAUAUUCAGAACAAAGUAGUUCGAUAAAUAUUCAUCAUAUAUAAAACUGCAGAGUGGUAGGGAUUCGAAGACACCAACGGCCAGUCCUGAUAAAAACAAAGCGGCCAAACAGGCCCACACAAAGUUUCAGCAUAAAGGCCCCACUCGGCCAUAAACACAAGAUAGGGGGAAAUUUCUUCCCGUCAAAUGCUAACUUCGAUUCUCACAGAUCAAAGUUAAAACCCCCAGACAUGGAAGCUCCAAAUGCUUCUGCGGGACAGUCCACCUCCUCAUCAUCGCCAGUAACCCGGUCUUGACCUCCCCCGUAUAAGGAGAAACUGGGAUGGGAUCCCAGAAUCCCUGAAUCCUCCCAUCGAUCAGCAGAAAUAAGCGCCUCGGCAUGGGCAUGAUCAUUCAUGCCAUCUUUCAUGAUAUCCAUAUCAUCCUUGAAAACAAAGUCGUCCGCAUGCGUCUUCCAGAGGGUACCAACUUAACCACGACACUCGCCAAAAUCGCCCACCAAGGAAUAAGCCUCCUUAAGGUUUCCAUACUCGGUCUUGAACUGAGUAGCACGGUUUCUCAUCAUCUCGACAAUCUCUGUCCUACCUCUCCUUUCUGCUUGAUGGACGGCCUUGGCAUGAUCCUUGGCAAGUUUCGAAUAUCGCUCUAAAAUUUUGUUUUGAAUACGUGCAAGAUCUUCUUCCGCUUUCUCUGCCUUGAAGCGAUAAACUAUGGCCUCCCUGUGGCUUGUCACAAGGGCUGAGCCAAGCAUGUUCAGACCCUGCAAAAACGACUAACGUGUUUAAAAAAGGGGGCGCAUGAUUCUAUCCGUGAAGUUUCUAAAGAAGAAAGAAACAAACCGCGUUGAUUAUGCGAGAUCCUUCUGCAACUACUGAUGUGCCCCUGUCCGAGGAUCAGUCCAUGGAAUCAGAUCAGAACGAGGAUCAGAACGUCCGGAACAAUGCAACUGAGGUUCAGUCCAUCGAUCGGGCGAAACAGACUGCUCGGGCCGUGUAUCGUCUCGACCCGCACUCGUCCGGAUUGGAGCUUCAGCAUAACCCGUGACCAGAUGGCCAAAUCAACCGUACUGAAGUUCGCCUUUCCUGUCCUGUUUGUCAUGCUAAGUCCAUCGGUCAAGUCAGAAGUGAAGUUGAUCGAGUGGAAUCCAAAUCCGACCAUGGUCUUUCUCUCUUAAGCCAUCUCGGCCGAACCAGUGAUCGUUCUGAUGAACUGAUCCGACACUUCGAUCAGUUCAUGAACUCUUGAGGUUGUCCGAAGACUUAGCCACCUUUUGGCCCGUAACAGUCCAUGAAAAUCACCCGUCCGUACAUGAAGACCGUAACGGCCGUGUACUGCUCCUUAUCGAGGGAAGUGCUAUCAGUUACACCGAACCUGGACAAAAGUAGCCGAAGAGUUCAAAUCGACCAGUGAACAUUAUUUUCUGUGCUUUGACUAGAUUUGGUCUUCUAUCUAUUUUCUAUGUCUCUUUUUCAUACAUUUUUAUUUAUUAUCUUUGACUACAAGUUGUAUAAGUAUGAGAACACAUCCCUGAAAUAAGAUAAUCGAUUUUCCUUAUUCAUUUUUGUGUUUUCUUUCUUUGUUCUUUGAUUAGAACAUUCUUGUUCCCUUGGUGAGGCUAUCUCCAAGUGAAUCCCCUUUCUUUGAGCCGGACUUGUGUGUCAAAUCAAGCGGCCAUUGAGAGUUCUAGUAGUAUCACUGGGUCUUCCGCAUCCCUUUGUGUCACUAAACAAUCCAUCAGUUAUCUAUCUCUUCAGAUCGAGUUCAUAUCAACAGAUCUGGUUGAGUGUUCGUUCCUUAGGAUUCUUUAAGUGGAAUCAGAGCCACUCUUCCGGUAUCUCUUUUCAUUCCAUCUUUCUCAUCUAUCAUUUUCUUCAUAAAAAAAAAAAUUCUUCUUCUAUCCAUCUUUGAAUCUGGGCCCCUCUUUACCAUCCAUAUAUUAAAAAGAAAAAAGAAAGAUCUAAUCAAAAAAAAAAAAAGAAAGAAAAGAUAUCAAAAGUUUUCAAUUGUGGUUUGGUGGUGGAAGAGUUAGCCUGCUGGCCGAGGAGAAAUCUGGCCUUGGAGGUGGUUAAUACGGAUUCCCCUUGUUAAAUCACUUAUCUUUCUAUCUUGUCUCUUGGGUGUUUCACUUGGGAUUCUCAUUUUGGGUUAUCUAGUUUGUUCUCUUAGAACUUUGAGGGAAACUCUCUUGUGUGACUACCAAAUUGAGUGAAACACGUGUGUGAGGUUUUUAAUCGAACUUUACCUUGUUUAAGUUUUCAGGUAGCCAUGGAUAGUGAAGAAGGAGGAAACCGACCCAGAAAUUCACAUGCCGGAUUAUCUAACUUGCAAAUGCGUGCUCUCAAUGACUCUAUGUCUAACUUGUUGAAUACAGGUUUGAAGGCAAUCCAUUAGAGGCUAGAUGAACUUCAGGGCCAUCCAACUCAGCCACGAACCAGAACCAGACGUGACCAUCCAAGGAGGAACAGCCGGUCCGACCUAGAAAUCCGAGAAGAGUCUUAUGAUGAUGAUCGAUCCAUCAACCGUCCAAGGAGAGUUCCUAGGCAUCAAACCGAGGUGAUGUCAAUCCUUUUGGUAGAAAUGAAAGAAUCAAUGAUGGCUUGGGUGGUUUGAAAUUGAAAAUUCCAAGUUUUGAGGGCAAAAAUGAUCCGGAUGCUUUUCUUGAAUGGGAAAGAAAAAUUGAACUUGUGUUUGAUUGUCAAAAUUUUUCUGAUAUUAAAAAGGUUAAACUUGCUGCUGCUGAGUUUACUGGCUAUGCUAUUAACUGGUAUGAUCGAGUUGUGACUAGCAGGAGGAGAGCAUGUGAGGCGCCAGUUGAUACAUGGGAUGAGCUUUCCAUGCUGAUGCGGAGACGCUUUGUUCCCGACCAUUACCACAGAGACCUACACCAUAAACUCAGGCGUUUGCUUCAAGGUUCUAAGUCAGUUGAGGACUAUCACCAGGAGAUGGAGACCUUGAUGAUCAAAGCUUAUGUAGAAGAGCCCUUAGACGCCACCAUGGCCAGAUUUCUUACCGGGCUCAACUGGGACAUACAAGAUCGCAUGGAGCUGGAAGACUAUGACAGCAUGGAGCAGAUGUUACACAAGGCCGUGUUGAUCGAGCAACAAGUCAAGAGAAAGGGUCUAACUAAACUGACCUUUGCUUCUAAACCGACCUUUGCUUCCAAGCCAAACUAUCAAGACAAGGGUAAGUCUUCUUCCACAACGAAUACAGCUUUUCAGACUAAUGUCCCUGCUCGUGUUGAUAGAGAAAAGAAAGAAGAGGCUACCAAACGAACCAGAGACAUCCAAUGCUUUAGGUGUCAUUGCCUUGGCCACUAUGCCAACCGAUGUCCAAACCAAAAGGUGAUGGUGCUCUUGGAGAAUGGAGAAGUUGAAUCUGAAGAAGACAAGAAGGAUCUCGGACCAGUGUAUGAUGAUGAUGAUGAGGAAGAAGCACUUGACUUCCCGGUUCAUGGUCCCCUUCUUGUUACUAGGAAGGUCUUGGACGACACCACUGAUCCCAUCUUUGAUGAGGAAGUCGAUGGAGUGAUCGAUGAGUUUUGCUCGACCUUUGUGGAGAGUUCUGAUCCGAUCUAUGAUGUGGAUGUUCUUGAUGAGCCGAGCCAUGGUUCACUACUGGUUACUAGGCGUGCCUUGAGUGUCCAACCAAAAUCCAAUGACAAAGAUCAAAGGGAGAAUCUCUUUCACUCUAGAUGUCUCAUUUCUGGUAAAGUUUGUUCUUUAAUUGUUGAUGGAGGAAGUUGCACUAAUGUGGCUAGUGACACUCUUGUAAAGAAACUUGGGCUUGUUACUCGGCCUCUUUCUCGUGCUUUCAGGUUGGAGUGGAUCAAUGAGUCCAAAGAACAGUAUGUGAAGGAGCAAGUCACGGUUCCACUCUCCAUUGGCCAAUAUGACGAUGAGGUUGUUUGCAAUGUGCUUCCCAUGGAUGCUUGCCAUGUUCUCUUGGGCCGGCCUUGGGAAUUUGACAAGAAGGCAGUGCAUGAUGGUUUCACAAACCGUCAUUCAUUUGAUCAUAAAGGAAAGAAGAUCACCUUGGUGCCUUUGUCGCCUUCGGAAGUCCAUCAAGAACAGGUCCAACUUAAGAAGAACCAAGACCAAGACUCUAAAGCUGAUAAACCUGAGACCAGUACCAGAAACUCCAACUUCUUUGUCAAAGAAAGUCAGGUAAGGAAGUCUCUUUGCUCUCAAAAGCCAUUUCUCUUACUGAUUUAUAAAGAGUCUCUCUUGGCCUCAUCUUCUUCUGACCUUGCACUGGAGAUUCCGAGUGAGUUAUUAGGUAUCUUGUAGGAUUAUUCUGAUGUGUUUCCAGAAGAAAAUCCCAAAGGAUUGCCACUGGUGAGAGGCAUUGAGCAUCAGAUCGAUCUCGUCCCGGGCGCCUCUCUACCGAACUGACCAGCGUACCGCACCAAUCCGGUCGAGACCAAGGAACUGCAGAAACAGAUCAACGACUUGCUUGAGAAGGGAUACAUCAGAGAGAGUCUCAGUCCCUGUGCUGUGCCUGUUCUACUUGUACCAAAGAAGGAUGGCUCCUGGAGGAUGUGUCUGGACUGCCGAGCCAUAAACAACAUCACGGUAAUCGACAUCCUAUCCCUCGUCUUGAUGAUAUGCUUGAUGAACUCCAUGGUUCUAAGUACUUUUCUAAGAUAGAUUUGAGAAGUGGCUAUCAUUAGAUUAUGAUGAAAGAAGGUGAUGAAUGGAAAACGGCCUUUAAAACAAAACUAGGUUUGUAUGAGUGGCUUGUCAUGCCCUUUGGUCUCACUAAUGAACCUAGUACUUUCAUGCGCUAAUGAAUCAUGUCUUGAGCUCUUUUAUUGGUCAUUUUGUUGUAGUUUACUUUGAUGACAUAAGCCUUGAUGAGCACAAACAGCACUUGAAAUCUGUUCUUGAAGUCCUUAGAAAGGAACGUUUGUUUGCUAACCUUGGAAAGUGUUCUUUUAGCACAGAUCAUGUGGUCUUUCUAGGUUUUGUUGUAGGUGCAGAUGGCUUGAGAGUGGACGAGCAGAAGGUCUGAUGCACCUCAGAUCAUGGAGCAGUCCGUUGGACAAGUCCAACAUGAAGAUCAGAACAGUCCGAGAUUUUCAACAGAGGUUCAUCCGGACGACCGUACCGAACGCACUGACCGGGCCGUGUACCGGAUCGACCCGCGUACGUCCGGAAUGGAGCUUCGUUUGGAUCCACGUCCAGACGAUCGAUCUGACCGUACUGAAGCUCGGCUACCCCGACCAACUCGUCAAGUUAGGAAGAUCGAUCAAGCCAAACUCUCAUCCGAACGCACCGAUUUCGAAUCAGACCGCAGCUUCUCAUUUCUGACCCGACUGGCUCUUACCGCGGGCACUGCCGAACGUACCGCCGAACGUUCUGAAAAUCCGACUUACCAGUUUGAUCCGAUUCUUCAGUUUGAUCAUCUGAGCUUCUCAAGGGGAAGGAUACUUAAGCUCUCUGAAGAUAUUGGACACAUUUGGAACACAUCAGUUCAUGAGUUUCCUUCAUCCGAUCAUGCAGACCGUCCGGACCAUGUACUGCUCCUUACCGCGGGACAUGCAUCCAGAUUCAUCGAAUCUGGACAAGAGUAGGCAAAGGGUUCACUUUGGCCAGUCAACAUAAUUUUCUGUGUAUUGACCAGAUCUGGUCUUUGUUAUAUUUUCUAUGUCUUAUUUUCACACAAAAUGAUUUAUUUCAUUUUGACUAAAACUUGUAUAAGUACUCCAUCAUUUCUGAAUAAAGAUGAUCGAUUUUUCCCUUCAAAACUUCUUAAGUUUUCUCUCUUUGUUCAUUGCAAAGAACUUGUUCUUAGUUUACUUUGGUGUGGUUAGCAUCCGAGCAAACACCUUGUCUAAUCGGACCGGUGAGUCACAUCCGGCGAUCUAGUCAAGUCAGUCUCCACAACGGACCUGUGAGUCACAUCAGGCGUUGUUCAGACUUGGAAAUAUCGAAGGCCUUCCGCAUCCUUCGUGAGAUCCCUCGAUCCAUCACUUCUCCAUCCGGAGAUCCUAUCAAAUACCGUACCGGCUGAGUGUUCCGAUCUAAGGGUCUAUCAAAGUGGUAUCAGAGCCACUCAACCGGUAUCAUCUUCUCAUUCCAUCUUCUCAUCUACCAUCUUCUUCAUCUAAAAAGUUCUUCUUCUAUCUAUCUUGAACCCGGGCCACUCAUUACCACCAUAUAAAAAAAAAAAAAAAAAAAACAGUAUAAAAAAAAAAAAAAUAAGAAAGAUUGUGGUGGUGGUGGAAGAGAAAGCCUGCUGGCUGAAGAGUAAUCCGGCCUUUGAGUUGGUUAAGGCGGGUUCCCCUUGUAAUCUCUUAUCUACCUUCUCUUGUGACCCUUGUUUGAUUGGAUCUGACCCACUGAGUAUCUUUGGACUUGUCUUUCUCUGAACUUUGAGAACAAACCAAAAUCUUGUGUGAACCACUUCAAAUCUUUGAGAGAAACACGUGAGUGGGAAAGGAAACAAACACUUGAGAGUGUGAGGUAUUUGUUACCCUAACGUUUAUUGUUGAGAAUUUCAGGAAGAACCAUGAGCAGUGAGGAAGAACGGAACCGUCCCGGAAAUUCUGUAGCCGGACUCUCAAACCUCCAAAUGAGGGCUUUAAACGAUACUUUUACUAACCUUAUGAAUGCAGGACUUGAGCAGAUCCAUCAAAGGUUAGAUGAGAUUCAGGAGAGCCAACAAACCAGAUCUAGAACCGGAACCAGACGAGCUCAACCUAGACGGAACAGCCAAUCCGAUCUAGAAAUCUUUGACGAAGAUACCAACGAUGAUCAAUCCAUCAACCGACCCAGGAGAGGACAUAGAAACCGAAACCCAGGUGAAGUCAAUCCUUUUGCUAGAGCUGAACGAAAUGAAAAUGGGUUGGGUGCUUUGAAAUUGAAAAUUCCAAGCUUUGAAGGAAAGAAUGAUCCUGAUGUCUUUUUAGAAUGGGAAAGGAAAAUUGAACUGGUUUUUGAUUGUCAAAACUUGUCUGAUAUUAGGAAGGUUAGGUUAGCAGCUUCUGAAUUUUCUGGCUAUGCUAUUAACUGGUAUGACCGAGUUGUGACUCACAGGAGGAGAACAGGUGAAGCACCAGUGGAGACUUGGUUGGGGCUUAUUACGCUUAUGCGGAAACGCUUCGUACCGGACCAUUACCAACGCGACCUACACCACAAACUCAGGAGGCUACUUCAGGGAACAAAGUCGGUUGAGGACUACCAUCAGGAAAUGGAGACUUUGAUGCUUAAGGCUGAUGUGGAUGAACCUGUAGACGCAACCAUGGCUAGAUUCCUCACUGGACUCAACCGGGACAUCCAAGACCGCAUGGAACUUCAGGAUUAUAGUGACAUGGAACAGAUGCUACACAAGGCUAUCCUGAUUGAGCAGCAAGUCAAAAGGAAAGGACUCUCCAAAUCCACCUUCCCUUCAAAAUCACCUUUUCCAUCUAAGCCUAGCUACCAAGACAAAGGUAAGUAUCCUGCCACAACAAAUACUGCUUUGAAAACUGAUGUUCCUACUCGUGUGGAUAAAGGAAAAGCAGUGGAAAACCCCAGCAGAACAAGAGACAUAAGGUGUUUCAAGUGUCAGGGCCUCGGACACUAUGCCAACAAAUGUCCAAACCAGCGGGUGAUGGUUCUUUUGGAAAAUGGUGAUGUAGAAUCCGAGGAGGACAAAGAGGAAAAAGAGGACCUUGGUCCCAUUUUUGAUGAGGAAGAAGAGCCCUUUGAUUACCCAGCCAGUGGACCACUUCUUGUUACAAGAAAGCUCUUGGAGGAACCGAUCUUAGAGGACGAAAUUGAGGAAGUAAUUGAUGAGUUCUGUUCCUCGUUUGUUAAAGAAACAGGACCGGUCUACGACGAGGACAAUCUCAGCUUUCCAGCUACUGGUCCUCUUCUUGUCACUAGACGAUCCUUAAGUGUUCAGCCUAAAACCGACGAGAAGGAACAAAGGGAGAAUCUCUUUCACUCUAGAUGUUUUGUUUCUUCUAAAGUUUGCUCUUUGAUUAUAGAUGGUGGCAGCUGUACCAACGUGGCUAGUGAUACCUUGGUGAAGAAACUUGGACUUGUUACACGUCCACUUGCCAAACCUUUCAGGUUGGAAUGGUUGAAUGAGGACGGAGAGCAAUACGUCAAGGAACAGGUGACUGUUCCGAUCACUAUCGGACGGUACGAGGAUGAGGUCGUGUGUAACGUCCUUCCCAUGGACGCUUGUCACAUUCUUUUGGGUCGACCUUGGCAGUUCGACAAGAGGGCUGUCCAUGAUGGCUACACAAACCGCCACUCCUUUGAACACAAUGGAAAGAAAAUCACCUUGGUUCCCCUUUCUCCCUUAGAAGUUCACCAAGAUCAAAUCCAACUUAAGAAGGGACGAGAACAAGACUCCAAACCUGAGGCAUCAGCAAGAAAUUCCAACUUCUACAUCAAACAAGGUCAGGUAAGAAAAACCCUUGCCACCAAAAAGCCAUUCCUUUUGCUUGUUUAUAAGGAAUCUCUUAUGGCCUCAUCUUCUUCUCACCUUGCACCGGACAUUCCGAGUGAUUUGAAAGGAUUAUUGCAGGAGUUUUCUGAUGUAUUUCCUGAAGAAAAUCCAAAAGGAUUGCCUCCAAUCCGUGGCAUUGAACAUCAGAUCGAUCUCGUUCCAGGCGCGUCCUUGCCAAACCGACCAGCGUACCGCACUAACCCCGUCGAGACCAAGGAACUCCAAAAGCAGAUUGAUGAUCUUCUUGACAAAGGAUACAUCCGAGAAAGCCUCAGCCCAUGUGCUGUACCUGUCCUACUCGUGCCAAAGAAAGAUGGGUCGUGGAGGAUGUGUGUGGACUGUCGGGCCAUAAACAACAUCACGGUAAAGUAUCGCCAUCCCAUCCCUCGUCUUGAUGACAUGCUUGAUGAACUUCAUGGUGCUUGUGUCUUUUCUAAGAUAGACUUGAAAAGUGGAUACCACCAGAUUAGAAUGAAAGAGGGAGAUGAAUGGAAAACGGCCUUUAAAACAAAACUAGGAUUGUAUGAAUGGUUAGUUAUGCCUUUUGGUUUGACUAAUGCACCUAGUACUUUCAUGCGUCUGAUGAACCAUGUGUUGAGAUCCUUUAUUGGUCAUUUGUUGUUGUGUAUUUUGAUGAUAUUCUUGUUUAUAGCAAAAACCAUGAGGAACAUCAAAGGCAUUUGAGAGCCGUUCUUGAAGUCCUUAGGGACGAACGUUUGUUUGCUAACCUUGGAAAGUGUUCUUUUGGUACAGAUCAAGUUGUUUUCCUAGGUUUUGUUGUAGGAAAAGAUGGCCUGAAGGUUGAUGAAGAAAAGGUCAAAGCCAUCCGCGACUGGCCCAUUCCUAAGUCCGUAAGUGAGGUUCGAAGCUUCCAUGGCCUUGCUGGUUUCUAUCGACGGUUCGUCCAAGACUUCAGUUCUAUAGCCGCUCCUCUCACUGAGGUUAUCAAGAAGAAUGUGGGUUUCAAGUGGGAACAACCUCAGCAGGAAGCUUUCCAAAUCCUAAAAGAGAAGUUAACUCAAGCCCCUCUUCUUGCUUUACCCGAUUUUUCUAAAACUUUUGAGAUUGAGUGUGAUGCUUCCGGAGUGGGUAUUGGUGCUGUUCUUAUGCAGGAUAGGAAACCCAUCGCAUACUUUAGUGAAAAACUUGGAGGAGCUACCUUGAAUUACCCAACCUACGACCAGGAGCUUUAUGCUUUGGUGAGAGCACUUCAAACUUGGCAGCACUACCUUUGGCCCAAGGAAUUCGUCAUUCAUACCGACCAUCAGUCCCUGAAACAUUUGAAGGGACAACAGAAGCUUAACAAGCGCCAUGCUCGUUGGGUUGAAUUCAUUGAGACAUUUCCAUACGUGAUCAAGUAUAAACAAGGUAAGGAAAAUGUUGUGGCCGAUGCCUUGUCACGCAGGUAUGUUCUCCUUUCAGCUCUUGAGACCAAACUUCUUGGAUUUGAAUUUAUCAAAGAGAUUUAUGCAUCUGAUCCGGAUUUCAAAGAGGUUUUCAAAAAGAGUUCCAAAACUGCUUAUGGGAAGUAUUAUCAGGUUGCUGGUUUCUUGUUUUAUGAUAACCGCUUGUGUGUUCCCCAAUGUUCUUUGAGGGAGUUGUUUGUCAGGGAAGCACACGGAGGUGGCUUGAUGGGACACUUUGGUGUGAAGAAAACCUACAAGGUUGUGUUCGAUCAUUUCUAUUGGCCGGGUCUCAUGAAAGAUGUUGAGAGGAUUUGCAGUCGAUGUGUUGUGUGCAAAAAGUCUAAAUCCAAAGUCUUGAACCAAGGUUUGUAUACAGCUCUACCCAUCCCUUCUCAUCCAUGGGUAGACAUUUCUAUGGACUUUGUACUUGGAUUGCCGCGAUCCAAGUCAGGUAAGGAUUCCAUCUUUGUUGUGGUUGAUAGAUUUUCAAAGAUGUCUCAUUUCAUUGCAUGCCAUAAGACUGAUGAUGCUACUCACAUUGCUGAACUGUUCUUUAGAGAAGUGGUUAGGUUGCAUGGAAUGCCUAAGACUAUCGUUUCAGAUAGAGAUGCUAAGUUCCUUAGCUACUUUUGGAAAACUUUGUGGUCUAAAUUAGGCACUAAAUUGAUGUUCUCUACUACUUGUCAUCCUCAAACUGAUGGACAAACUGAGGUUGUGAACCGUUCACUAUCUGCCUUGCUUAGGUCUUUGAUAAAGAAAAACUUGAAAACUUGGGAAGAAUGUUUGCCGCAUGUGGAAUUUGCUUAUAACCAUUCUAUGCAUUCAGCUACUCAGUUUUCACCUUUUGAGGUUGUGUAUGGGUUUAAUCCUCUUUCUCCACUUGAUCUUUUACCUCUUCCUUUGAGUGAACGUGUUAGCACAGAUGGCAAGAAGAAGGCGGACACAAUAAAGAAGAUGCAUGAACGGGUCCGAGCUAACAUCAUGGCCAGAACAGAAAGGUACACUCGACAAGCCAACAAGAAACGUAAGGAGGUCGUUUUUGAAGAAGGAGAUUUGGUUUGGGUUCACUUGAGGAAGGAACGUUUUCCGGAAGAAAGAAAAUCUAAGCUCAUGCCCCGUGUGGACGGACCAUUUCAGAUCAUCAGAAAAAUCAGUGACAAUGCGUAUCAAUUGGAUCUGAAAGGUAAUUAUGAUAUCUCUUCAAGCUUCAACGUUUCUGAUUUAUCUCCUUUUCUUGUAGAUGUUCCGGAUUUGUGGACAAAUCCUCUUAAAGGAGGAGGGAAUGAUGCACCUCAGAUCAUGGAGCAGUCCGUUGGACAAGUCCAACAUGAAGAUCAGAACAGUCCGAGAUUUUCAACAGAGGUUCAUCCGGACGACCGUACCGAACGCACUGACCGGGCCGUGUACCGGAUCGACCCGCGUACGUCCGGAAUGGAGCUUCGUUUGGAUCCACGUCCAGACGAUCGAUCUGACCGUACUGAAGCUCGGCUACCCCGACCAACUCGUCAAGUUAGGAAGAUCGAUCAAGCCAAACUCUCAUCCGAACGCACCGAUUUCGAAUCAGACCGCAGCUUCUCAUUUCUGACCCGACUGGCUCUUACCGCGGGCACUGCCGAACGUACCGCCGAACGUUCUGAAAAUCCGACUUACCAGUUUGAUCCGAUUCUUCAGUUUGAUCAUCUGAGCUUCUCAAGGGGAAGGAUACUUAAGCUCUCUGAAGAUAUUGGACACAUUUGGAACACAUCAGUUCAUGAGUUUCCUUCAUCCGAUCAUGCAGACCGUCCGGACCAUGUACUGCUCCUUACCGCGGGACAUGCAUCCAGAUUCAUCGAAUCUGGACAAGAGUAGGCAAAGGGUUCACUUUGGCCAGUCAACAUAAUUUUCUGUGUAUUGACCAGAUCUGGUCUUUGUUAUAUUUUCUAUGUCUUAUUUUCACACAAAAUGAUUUAUUUCAUUUUGACUAAAACUUGUAUAAGUACUCCAUCAUUUCUGAAUAAAGAUGAUCGAUUUUUCCCUUCAAAACUUCUUAAGUUUUCUCUCUUUGUUCAUUGCAAAGAACUUGUUCUUAGUUUACUUUGGUGUGGUUAGCAUCCGAGCAAACACCUUGUCUAAUCGGACCGGUGAGUCACAUCCGGCGAUCUAGUCAAGUCAGUCUCCACAACGGACCUGUGAGUCACAUCAGGCGUUGUUCAGACUUGGAAAUAUCGAAGGCCUUCCGCAUCCUUCGUGAGAUCCCUCGAUCCAUCACUUCUCCAUCCGGAGAUCCUAUCAAAUACCGUACCGGCUGAGUGUUCCGAUCUAAGGGUCUAUCAAGGUCCAAGCAAUCCGGGACUGGCCGAUUCCGACCACCAUUGGUGAAGUGAGAAGCUUCCAUGGCCUUGCCGGCUUCUAUAGGCGAUUUGUUCAGAACUUCAGUACCUUGGCCGCUCCUCUUUCUGAAGUAAUCAAGAAGAACGUGGGGUUCAAAUGGGGACCAGCUCAGGAAGAAGCAUUCGAAAUCCUUAAAGGGAAGUUGACUCACGCCCCUUUACUUGUACUUCCAGAUUUUUCUAAAGCUUUUGAAAAUCGAAUGUGAUGCUUCUGGUGUUGGUAUUGGUGCUGUGUUGAUGCAUGAUGGAAAACCAGUGGCUUAUUUCAGUGAGAAGCUUGGAGGAGCCAUGCUCAACUACCCCACAUACGACCAAGAACUCUAUGACUUGGUGAGGGCCCUUCAAACGUGGCAGCAUUAUGUUUGGCCUAAGGAGUUCAUCAUCCACACUGAUCAUCAGUCUCUAAGACACCUUAAGGGUCAGCAUAAGCUCAACAAGAGGCAUGCUCGUUGGAUGGAGUUCAUUGAGACAUUCCCUUAUGUGAUCAAGUACAAACAAGGUAAGGAGAAUGUUGUGGCCGAUGCAUUGUCUCGAAGGUAUACUCUUCUCUCAGCCCUUGAAACAAAAUUGCUUGGUUUUGAGUUUAUCAAAGAUUUAUACAAAUUGUGGGAACCGAAAUUCGCACUGUCGAUUUCCGUUUAAAUAAGGAAACUAGGAAAACCCUAAUUUUCCAGAGGACCCAGAUAUCUGCUAAUAACCACACGUCAAGCAAUCAGAACACGAGAAUAACAACGACAAAGUAUAAUAAAUCGAGAAAGAGAGCAAAGAAGAUCUUAUUCCGAAUUUGCGUAUGAGCGUUUACAACAAGGUAUAAGCCUGAGCUCGAGAGCUGUCGGCGAGAUUCUUAGUUCUAGUAACCCUAAGACGGCUAAACCUAAUUGAGUCGCAGCUCAAAAUAACAAAAACGGAAAAUUGCCUAAAUUUCUCUAAGUGCUAAGUUUGCUCUGAAAAGUUCUCUCUCAUGCUCCUCGCCUAGGACUCCUUAUAUACUAGCUCCAAGGUCGGUUUACGCUUUUACUCUUCUGCCCUUAAGCCGUCAUAAAAAUGGAGAUAUUCCAUUUUUCCCGAUUUUCACAAUUAUCUUCAAAACUUCCGUAUUUAUCCGCGGAAACUUGACAUUUAUCCUUCCUUGUGGACCAAGCGUAAACCGUGCUGUGGUUUACGGGCUUUUGGUUAAGAAAUCGCAGGAUGGGCCUCAAGUCGUGUUUUAGGUCCCUUUGGGCCGUCUUCCAACUCGAAGCGUUUACUACGAUUUCUUUCGACAAAGAAAGAACUUUCCGCGGUUUCUAAUCCGCGAAGUUUGAUCGAUGAUUUAGAAUAGCGGAAAACAUAGACUGAGCUCGUUACGGUCUUCGGGAGAUAACAUUUGAAGGUUUGACGAGAAUGCAUGUACUGAUGUCAUACUGAUGUUCGGAAGAGCUUGGUCACUACGCAGCGACCGAACUUUGGCUCGAGCCCGGUCGCUACGUAGCGACCGAGCGAGACGGACGCUCGGUCGCUACGUAGCGACCGAGCGAGAUGGACGCUCGGUCGCUACAUAGCGACCGAGCGAGACGGACAUGUUCAUGAUCGUCUGGAUAUGUUGCUAGCGUUUAGACGAAUAUUAAGAUUGUCGUUUGCCUAUUCUUGACGAUUUGCAGAAGUUUUUUGAAGUUUGGGAGUAUACGAGUAUAGUAUACGUACCUACUCCCACUUUUUUUUUUUUUACGAAAGAAAACGGUUGAACCGAUACUUUGAAGGGUUGUGUACGUUUCCUCCUUUGAUGUUUGGAAUGAUCGAUAAUUCGGGGCGAUUUAUAGACGACGCUUGGACUGUGAUUUGGUUGUUUCCACGUUGACGACUUGGGAUAUGUCGGUUCCGAGAAAAUUGCCAGAAACGAAUCGGUUUUAAGACAACGUUCAUGUCUCUAACUUUUUCUCUCUUUAGGAAGCGAGCAUGAUAUACGUGGCGAUCGUUUCUCGACUUUCGGAGAGUUUAGAUCGGUUUGCAAGAUCUGGAUGAACAAUUAUGGAACAAUAUACCGAGACAGGAAAAAUCGCCUAAGACUUAUUUCGCUAGACUAUCCACCUAGGUUUUAAGUUCCCUAAAGUUCUACGGCAGUCUCUUAGGCGUUUCUAUUUCUUAGUAAUUUUCUACGAAAUUCCAAGCCUGAUUUCAAGUCGGGAAUACCUUAGUUCUCUCGUAAAUCUGGGUUAGCGUCUUCUCUGUUUUGCUUGCUCAUUUGCCCUUACUUUUUUCGUGUCUGUCUGCUCAUUUUGAAUAGCAAGAAUAUUGAUUAUUCCUGGAUAUCUAUGCUUUCCUGGCCGCUUUUAGGCAGCUACCAAUUUUCUCGAUUUUCGUGAUCCAUGUUUCGAUCUUAAUAUCAUUGGAUUUACGAAAAUGAAUGAGCAUAUCGUCGAAAAAAUCGAGUUGUGAGAGGAAGGAUUGGGAGAUCAUGGAGAGAGGCGGAUGGGCGAAUUCUGAUUCUCGGAUUUUGCUCCAUCGCUUCCCUUAUCAGAGAUUCUUUUUCUACGAUUGUUGUUAGAAUUUUGAAGGUUGUCAAAUGUUGCUUAUUUUAGUUUUACGAAAGUUUUUCCGAAAAAAUAAUAGCGAUCGACUCGUUCGCAGGUUGGUCACUACGAAGCGACCGACCGAGUGGCUAGGUCGCUCGAUACGUAGUGACCGACCGAGUGGCUUGGUUGCUCAAUACGUAGCGACUGACAGAGUGGCUUGGUCGCUCAAUACGUAGCGAUCGACCGAGUGGCUAGGUCGCUAAAUACGUAGAGACCGAUCGAGUGGCUAGGUCGCUCAAUACGUAGCGACCGACCGAGUGUCUUGACCGACCGAGUGUCUUGGUCGCUCAAUACGUAGCGACCGACUGAGAGUCUUCGUCACUCAAUACGUAGUGACCGACGGAGUGUCUUGGUCGCUCAAUACGUAGCGACCGACUGAGUGUCUUGGUCGCUCAAUACGUAGCGACCGACUGAGAGUCAUCACUCAAUACAUAGCGACCGACGGAGUGUCUUCCUCGCUCAAUACGUAGCGACCGAUCGAGUGGCUAGGUCGCUCAAUACGUAGCGACCGACCAAGUGUCUUGGUCGCUCAAUACGUAGCGACCGACUGAGAGUCUUCGUCACUCAAUACGUAGUGACCGACGAAGUGUCUUGGUCGCUCAAUACGUAGCGACCGAUCGAGUGGCUAGGUCACUCAAUACGUAGCGACCGAUCGAGUGGCUAGGUCACUCAAUACGUAGCGACCGACGGAGUGUCUUGGUCGCUCAAUACGUAGCGACCGACUGAGUGUCUUGGUCGCUCAAUACGUAGCGACCGACUGAGAGUCAUCACUCAAUACAUAGCGACCGACGGAGUGUCUUCCUCGCUCAAUACGUAGCGACCGAUCGAGUGGCUAGGUUGCUCAAUACGUAGCGACCGACCGAGUGUCUUGGUCGCUCAAUAUGUAGCGACCGACUGAGAGUCUUCGUCACUCAAUACGUAGUGACCGACGGAGUGUCUUGGUCACUCAAUACGUAGCGACCGAUCGAGUGGCUAGGUCACUCAAUACGUAGCGACCGACCGAAUGUCUUGUCACUCAAUACGUAGCGACCGACGGAGUGUCUUGGUCGCUCAAUACGUAGCGACCGACUGAGUAUCUUGGUCGCUCAAUACGUAGCGACCGACUGAGAGUCAUCACUCAAUACAUAGCGACCGACGGAGUGUCUUCCUCGUUCAAUACGUAACGACCGAUCGAGUGGCUAGGUCGCUCAAUACGUAGCGACCGACUGAGUGUCUUGGUCGCUCAAUACGUAGCGACCGACUGAGAGUCUUCGUCACUCAAUACAUAGUGACCGACGGAGUGUCUUGGUCGCUCAAUAUGUAGCGACCGACGGAGUGUCUUGGUCGCUCAAUAUGUAGCGACCGACUGAGUGUCUUGGUCGCUCAAUACGUAACGACCGACUGAGAGUCAUCACUCAAUACAUAGCGACCGACGGAGUGUCUUCCUCGCUCAAUACGUAGCGACCGAUCGAGUGGCUAGGUCGCUCAAUACGUAGUGACCGACCGAGUGUCUUGGUCGCUCAAUACGUAGCGACCGACUGAGUGUCUUCGUCACUCAAUACGUAGUGACCGACGGAGUGUCUUGGUCGCUCAAUACGUAGCGACCGAUCGAGUGGCUAGGUCACUCAAUACGUAGCGACCGACUGAGAGUCUUCGUCACUCAAUACGUAGCGACCGACGGAAUGGCUAGGUCGCUCAAUACAUAGUGAGUGACCGAGUGCCUUCGUCGCUCAAUAUGUAGCGACCGACCGAUUGGCUUGGUCGCUCAAUACGUAGCGAAUGGUCGGACCAAGGCCGAUCUACCCCCAGUUUUAUCUGUACUUCCACAGUUUGGUCGUUACCGCGCGGUUCCAGGCCUAUCGAGUGGUGUUGCGAAGUCGAGUCUUUUCCCGCGAGCUUUAGUGGUUCCGCGGGGAUGGAUUGCUCGAGUCCUUGCCGUUAAGGUUUCAACCUGUUUGGUCAAGGUAUUCACGAGCUUAUCCUGUUCUUCCGACCUUUUCUCAUAGGUGGCGAACAUCUUUUUAAACUCCUCGAGCAUCGCGGCGUUGGCUUGUGCAUUGGCCGCGGAUAAGUCCGCUGCUGGAGAAUGGAGAUCGGUGCCGCUGCCUCCGUUAAGAGGGAUUUGCACGUUAUCCGCGUCGUUAGUUGACAUGUCUGAUUGAGAGUGUUGUGGCUUUUGCGGGUUAGAUUGAUCCGUAAGUCCCCCUCCUUCUAGCGCCAAACUGUGGGAACCGAAAUUCGCACUGUCGAUUUCCGUUUAAAUAAGGAAACUAGGAAAACCCUAAUUUUCCAGAGGACCCGGCUAAACCUAAUUGAGUCGCAGCUCGAAAUAACAAAAACGGAAAAUUGCCUAAAUUUCUCUAAGUGCUAAGUUUGCUCUGAAAAGUUCUCCCUCAUGCUCCUCGCCUAGGACUCCUUAUAUACUAGCUCCAAGGUCGGUUUACGCUUUUACUCUUCUGCCCUUAAGCCGUCAUAAAAAUGGAGAUAUUCCAUUUUUCCCGAUUUUCACAAUUAUCUUCAAAACUUCCGUAUUUAUCCGCGGAAACUUGACAUUUAUCCUUCCUUGUGGACCAAGCGUAAACCGUGCUGUGGUUUACGGGCUUUUGGUUAAGAAAUCGCAGGAUGGGCCUCGAGUCGUGUUUUAGGUCCCUUUGGGCCGUCUUCCGACUCGAAGCGUUUACUACGAUUUCUUUCGACAAAGAAAUAAUUUUCCGCGGUUUCUAAUCCGCGAAGUUUGAUCGAUGAUUUAGAAUAGCGGAAAACAUAGACUGAGCUUGCUACGGUCUUCGGGAGAUAACAUUUGAAGGUUUGACGAGAAUGCAUGUACUGAUGUCGUACUGAUGUUCGGAAGAGCUCGGUCACUACGCAGCGACCGAACUUUGGCUCGAGCCCGGUCGCUACGUAGCGACCGUGCUUGGCUCGGGCUCGGUCGCUACGUAGCGACCGAGCUUGGCUCAGGCUCGGUCGCUACGUAGCGACCGAGCGAGACGGACGCUCGGUCACUACGUAGCGACCGAGCUUGGCUCCAGCUCGGUUGCUACGUAGCAACCGAGCGGGACGGACGCUCGGUCGCUACGUAGCGACCGAGCUGUGUGCAUGCUUGGUCGCCGCAUAUCGAGCGAGCUUAGCUUGUCCGCGGUCUGAUUUCCAUACUCGAGUUUGUACGCGGCCGAUUUGGAUACAUGUCCGUUGCCUUCGGACAAUCGGUAUUUAGUGGUUCGAUUGAGAUUUGGACGAUAUUUUACUGCAAGGCUCUUCGUAAAGAUAUCUUUACGAAGAUUACUUUUCGUAAAAACGUUUAUGCUGAUUUUUACGGACUUUCAGACAUUGAUUCCGUCGUGACCGAUUUUGACCCCAACACGAAUCUGAUCAAGAUUUCAAAGAGGUUUUCCGAAAAUGUUCCAAGGUCGCUUAUGGAAAGUAUUUUCAAAACUAUGGAUUCCUAUUCUUUGAUAACCACUUGUGUGUGCCCCAAUGUUCUUUGAGGGAGUUGUUUCUCAGGGAAGCUCAUGGAGGAGGUCUUAUGGGAGACUUUGGUGUUAAAAAAACUUACAAGGCGGUUCAUGAUCACUUCUAUUGGCCAAUCAGAAAAGAAAGGAGGUUAUUUUAAAAGAAGGUGAUCUUGCUACGGUCCCGCUCGGUCGCUACGUAGCGACCGAGCACUCGUGUCACUCGGUCGCUACGUAGCAACCGGGCGCGAGCCAAAGUUCGGUCGCUGUGUAGCGAUUGAACCUUUCCGAACAUCGAUACGACACCAGUCCAUGCAUUCUCGUCAAACCUUCGAAUGCUAUCUCCCGAAGACCGUAGCAAGCUCAGUCCAUGUUUCCCGCUAUUCUAAUUCAUCGAUCAAACUUCGCGGAUUAGAAACCGCGGAAAAUUCGUAGUAAACGUGUCGAGUCGGAAGACGGCCCAAAGGGACCUAAAACACGAUUCGAAGCCCAUCCUACGAUUUUCCUAACCAAAAGCCCGUAAACCACAGCAUGGUUUACGCUUGGCCCACGAGGAAGGAUAAAUGUCAAGUUUCCGCGGAUAAAUACGGAAGUUUUGAAGAUAAUUAUGAAGAUCGGGAAAAAUGGAAUAUCUCCAUUUUAUGCUAUGACGGCUUAAGGGCAGAAGAGUAAAAGCGUAAACCGACCUUGGAGCUAGUAUAUAAGGAGUCCUAGGGGAGGAGCAGAGAGAGAACUUUUUCAGAGCAAACUUAGCACUUAGAGCAAUUUAGGCAAUUUUCCGUUUUUGUUAUUUCGAGCUGCGACUCAAUUAGGUUUAGCCGUCUUAGGGUUGCUAGAACUAGGAAUCUCGCCGACAGCUCUCGAGCCCAGGCUUAUACCUUGUUGUAACGCUCAUACGCAGAUUCGGAAUAAGAUCUACUUUGCUCUCUUUUCGAUUUCUUAUUUUUAUCGUUGUUGUUCUCGUGUUCUGAUUGCUUGACGUGUGGUAAUUAACAGAUAUCCGGGUCCUCUGGGAAAUUAGGGUUUUCCUAGUUUCCUUAUUUAAACGGAAAUCGACAGUGUGAAUUUCGGUUCCCACAGCCGCCUGUUAGACUAUAUUAUUAGGGUUUUGUAUCAUUUUAGAGGCAGACUUGCCUAGAGACCUUUUAGGCCUAGUCUGGAGAGAAGCAACCAACCACCAUUUGAGGGAGAGAGAGCUUAUGAUUGGAGAGAUAGAUGUGAACAACAAAACAUAGAAGAUCUUGAACUCCCUUGUUUUCAUUUUCUCUAUUGUUUUCAUUUAUUUAAGUAUUAUUCAGACAAUCGUACUGCUGAUUAUUUGGCUAAGCAAACCCUAAUGAGCCAUCGUACUGCCCCUCUGGGCUAGACUACUCGGCCUGAGGCCAAGACUUUUUUCACAUUAGCUUUAAAUAUAAAAACAGUUUGACAAAAAAAAAGUAUUAUUCCGACCAUCAUAACCAUGUUUCUUAUGAAUAAGAUACCACUCAAAUUAUCCUAAGGAGGGAUUUAUACUCUCUCAAAUAAGAGGUCGAGUUGUAGUACUUAGGGAUCGAAUUCACAAGGAGUUAGGGAACCUAGAGUUUAUAAUAUGUUUUGUUAAGCAGGUGGUUUUAAGAGUUUUUAAAAGUAAAUUGCAGAUUAUAUAUUGAACAAAUAAUUGUUCAAUAGCAAGUUUCGGGUUUUGGUGCUUUAAAAAGGAAAUAGCUACUUAGGGUUUUUACUCAGGAGAGUUGGAAUUAUAAUCCUACAGAUGCCUAAUGAGUUGCAUGCAUGAUAAUGUAAAGCUCAACUAUUUGAUCAACAAGUCUUUCGGCCUUUGCGAGCAUUGACUUAUUGACUAUUAACUAGAUCUAUGAUCUCAACUCUUGUUAUAUUGAUCUAUAGAAAGUGUCGACCGAUAUUCCAAUGGGCGCAUCGAUCGAUACACCUUUUGCACCGUCGAUCGAUUAUUCAAGUAUGAUAUCGAUCGACGCGCUCUAGUCAAGCUUUAUGCGCAGGUUGAAUAAAUGUUUACUAAGCUUAGUAGAUCAGCUCUCGCCUUGCUCAUAGUAAGAAACAAAGUUCAGUUAGAAUGUUUUCAGGAUGAGAAUUAGCAAUGGCUUUUAUCAAUCAAUCCUAGGACAAGUUUUAGGUAGCUAAUCUAGAGACAAACAUUAAUGAACAAUUCUAGUGAUGAUUAUCACAACUCAGCUAUCCAUAGUUGGAGCUAAUCCCUCCUAACCUAUUUAAACCCUAAAAUCUAACAAGAGAACUACUCAGACAUGGCUAAACAAUUCAUAACAAUAGUUAGAUAUAAAAACUGCAUAGAAUAGAUAAGAUAAAUAUCAAUGAAGUUCCAGUCACAAAUUAUAACUUUGGAUCUUCUCUCCUAUAUAUCAGUAAACAAUAAAACACAAAGAAGAACACAAAACAAAAGCACGCUCUGCCUAUAACAGGGAUGCAAAGCUUAUAUAAUUAGGGUAAAACUCGUCACGGGCAAUCUUGUAAAAUAGUGAAAUCUUGGGCUUCAAGUCGGCUGUGACCAAACGGGCUUCUGCACGCUUCGAUAUCGAUCGACACCAUAACUUGUGUAUCGAUCGAUUCUAGCUCUCCAAUAUCGACUGAUUCUCGAUCUCGAUGGUCAUCUCAGUUGCUUGCUCCAAAUAUCUCCAAAAUGCUCCAAAAUCAUCACUUAUCUCCAAAACCUUCCUGGUCUUAUAGGUAUAAUAAAUAAGCUCUAUAAUAAUAUAAAUAUUAGUAAAAACACUUAUCAACUAGGGAUAAAAAUGGGUCAAAUCCAUAGUCUACCAAUCAGACAUCUCCCUUAGCUAUUGCAAUCUGGUGAUAUCCCGAUGCCAAGUCAAUCUUAGAGAAUAAUGAAUCUCCCUGCAACUGGUCCAACAACUCGUCGAUACGCGGAAGAGGAUACUUAUUCUUGAUGGUCACUUUGUUCAUACCUUUGUAGUCGAUAGAAAGCAUGAAACUCCCAUCUUUCUUCUUCACAAAUAAUAUCGGUGCUACCCACGACGAAGUACUCGGCCUGAUAAAACCCUUAUCUGAAAGUUCCUCAAACUGUUUCUUUAACUCAACCAUCUCUGCUGGCGCUAAACGGUAUGGAGCUCGUGAAACUGGUGCUGCUCCUGACUCCACCUUUAUCUUAAGAACACGUCUGCCCUAGGUGAUGGUGGUCUUUUUAAAGCCUCAAAAAUGUCCUCGUACUCUGCAACAACUGGAAUGUCAUGCAGCUCCUGCUGGCCAUCCUCCUUAACCAUCGAAAUGGUCACCAAAAACCCCUUUGCUCCUCUCUCCAAUAACUCCUCUGCGUGCCACAUGGAGAAAAUGGAAAUUCCCUGGUGCUCGUAAAGCUUUCUGGGAGAAGCAUCGAUUGACGCGACGACCGUUUAAGCGAUCGAUAUUUUGAAAGGUGUAUCAGUCAAUAUUCUUUACAAAUCAUGGAUCCACACUUUCUUGUGAUUAACAUACGAAAGUUGAAUUCCGAGAUCUAGAUUAGAUAAUCUUAUUGAUUUUACCUAAGUUUGAGUUCGAUAACAAUUAAUAUCAAUAAACCCCUAAAAACCAAAAUUAAGUUGUUUACUUAUCAUACCCGAGAAUAUACCUGAAUUAGCUAUUUCCCCAACUAUCAACAACCUCAAAUCAAACCAAUCGAGCAACUGCCUUGCUCACCAUUUCAUUUACUGCUUAAAACCUAUUAAUCUAAAUUUAUUUCGAAGACUAUAAAUUUACUGUGUAAUCAUAUAGUCUCUGUGGAUUCAAUUCCUAUCUACAUCUGAACCUCUUAUUUGAGAGAGUAAUUCACUCCUAAUGGUAAUUUAAGUGAUAUCAAAUUUGGUGCCAUUGCCGGGGACUCUUUCUUAUAACCAUUAGAUUAAGUUUAGAAUAUACUCUUGAUUUUGUUACUGAAUUUGCUAAAGUUUUCCUUCUUUCCCUGCUGACACAGGCACUUAAGACGGAGAACAUGGAUUUCGGCUGGACAUUGAUCGACGUAAUAGCAACAAUGUCGAGCGAAGAGUCGAUGGAAACAUCGAUCGACGUUGCACUACAAACAUCGAUCGACGCUGCACUACAGACAUCGAUCGACGAGUCAACGGAAACAUCGAUCGACGCUUCACUACAAAUAUCGAUCGACCACACUCCGCCGGAAGCAGGUAAGUUUUCUCUUACCAAUCAUGCUAAUGAAGAAGUAGUCCUAGGUGAACCCAAAUUUCAACUAAGCCAUGCAAUUAACCAAAUUAUAAAUAAACAGGGGACUGAAAUCCCUGUUAAAAUUAAUUCAAUCUCAAAUGGAGAUGAAGAAACAAAAUUGCCUUUGCAAGACUACUUAAAUCCUGGCAGGACCUAUUCCAAUAGGCCGGCCAUUAGAUUACCAAAUGACGAUACCAAGAAAUCCGGUCUUAACCUCGAAUACCUAAUCUUUGUACGUCAAAAUCCCUUCGGUGGAACCGUCUCAGAACACCCACACGAUCAUAUCAAAUACCUAGAAGACAUGAUGAUGGACAAAUACAACCGUUGUAAACUCUUCUCAUUUUCCUUAGAGGGCGACACAAGAAAAUGGCUAAAUCAACUACCAGCAGGAUCUCUGACCUGGUGGAAGGAAAUUAGGAGUGUCUUCAUUAAUCAUUUAUUCGAUGAGACGCGUUAUUGUGAUGUGAUGAAGAAAAUCUCCACAUCCUGCCAACGUCCACAGGAAUCAUUCAAAAACGCCUGGGGAAGAUUCAAGGGUUAUCAACUUAAAUAUCCCCAUCAUGGUUAUUCAGAACGACAGCUUAUUAACACCUUUUACGGGGGUGUUAACCUAUAUUACCAAACCACGCUUGACACAGCAAGUGAAGGGAGCUUCAGCACCAAGAGCCCUGAAGAAGCAAAGGUUUGAUUAAGAAUGUAGCAACAGGUAGAUCCUACGAGAUGAUGGACAUAGAACGAGGAAGAUGAGUUGAUUCCAUAAAUGGGCCACAUUUUUCUGAAAUUAAAGAGUCUCUGGACUCACUUCAUUCAGUUCUAGAGGAGCAAAAUAAAUUUGGAAUUUACCAAAUUGAUGAUGAUGUCAUUUCUGAUCUAGAACAACAUGUAGAUUUCGUAGAUAUCCCAAACCUGAAAGAUCGGUAUCCCAAUCCUGACACCGACAGCUUUACUCGAAAUUAUGAUGCUACCGUUGGAUCACGUUGAGGCAGAGAAAAAUUUAGGUUAAACCAAGCCUUCACGGGAAAUUUUCAAAUAGCCACUGACCUGAACGAAAAGAUAAAUAAAAUCUACAAUAAGCUAAUGAGGAAAUUCGACGCUCUGAGUGAACACAUUAAGAGACUGGACAGUCAGGUAGCGGAAAAUGCGACUGCCAUCAAAAGAGAAACAUGACGUCUCCCUGGGAGAACAGACGCAAACCCAAGACGUCAACUUAAUGUUGUGUUACUAAGAAGCGGAAAACGCCUUACCCCGAGUACUGUAGAAAUCACCUCUGCGGAAAAACCCGUUGAGGCUGAGAAAAUCCUGAUCGAGGAUCAGAACCUUCUCAGGAGAAAGAACCGUCCAACACUAAAAAAACUGAGAAGGCAACGAUCAGCCUCGAUGAAGAAGAGGAGGAGUCGGAAGAAUAUGUGGAAAUCGAUCGACAAGAGGGAAAUAAUAUCGAUUGACCGACUACGGUAAAUAUCGAUCGACAAACAGGAAAGAAUGUCGAUCGACACUCGACUCCAGCCAAACCGGCAGUAGAGAGAGUGUAUAGGACUUUGCCGCCCUUUCCUCCCAAAAAAUUGCAAACCAAGCGAGAAUUGGACAAAGCGAUUUACAAGAAAGUAUUCAAUAAAAUCACGUUAGAAAUGACACUAAGGGAUGCCAUGACAGUAUUGCCCUCAAUAAAGAAAUAUGUAUCCAACAGCUUCCCAGCUCCUAAACACAGCGUCAUGAUGGUUUCAGAGGAAGUAAGUGCAAUAAUCCAAGGCGAAACCCCGAUCAGGAGACCUGAUCCUGGCAGCUUUGUUCUAGAUUGCAACAUACGAAAUAAAAGUUUUCCUCGAUCCCUUUGUGACCUACGUUCCAAUGUUAAUCUCAUGCCGCACUAUAUUGGGAUAUCCCUGUGAUAUAACGAGUUCAAACCAACAAAACUAACUUUGGUUCUUGCUGAUAGAUCUGUUAGAGUACCUGACGGAGUACUAGAUGACGUGCCGAUAAUGAUUAACGACUGUCACGUACCAACGGACUUCGUUGUGUUGAAAUACCAGAAUGAACCAAAACAUCCCCUCAUUUUAGGUAGACGAUUUCUAGCUACAGCUGGAUCGAUCAUCGACGUCAAGGAAGGUCGGAUAUGUCUAAACAUUGGAAACAUUCCAAUGACCUUUGAUAUGUAAAAACUGAUAAGACGACCUCUAAUCGAUAAACAAGCUUUAUAUGUGGAUGAUAUCUCUGAGUUGGCUGAAGAAUCUUUCAUAGACCUAUGCUUAGACGAACCCCUGGAAAAAGUGCUUACAUUUACCGAAAAAGAAAUGUUCAGCAUCGACAGCAGGGCCGAUGAAUACGCACGAUUAAUGGACGCAAGUGUAGAGAUAUGAAAUGUCGAUGAUGUGGAGGAUGACAAUUCGGAAAUCAAUGUCGAUCGAUAUUUAAAGGGCACCGUCGAUUGACAACCAUCCACUCUAGAAAAUUGGAGCACCGCAAAAGCACCUAAAAUUGAAGCAACUACCUGCCGGACUUAAAUAUGCUUUUCUUUAUAAUAAUUCCUACCCCAUAAUCGUAAACGCCAACCUAACUAACAGAGAACUUACGUUGUUAUUGAAUAAACUGCACAAGUAUAGGAAAGCUCUUGGGUACUCUCUCGAGGAUAUUCCUUGUAUAUCUCCAGAUUUGUGCAUGCACCAAAUUCAAUUAGAAGACGAUUCCAAAUCGUCAGUGGAAAAUCAAAGAAAGCUAAACGCGAAAAUGAAUGAAGUUGUUAAAAAGGAAAUUAUCAAACUUCUAGAUGCUGGAGUCUUCUACCCAAUUUCAGAUAGUAAUUAGGUGAGCCAUGUGCAUGUUGUACCUAAGAGAGGCGGUAUUACAGUGGUGGAGAACGAUAGAAACGAAAUCAUUCCUACGCAAAUGUGUAUCAAUUAUAGGAAACUAAACGCUGCCACCAGAAAAGAUCACUUUCCUUUACCAUUCAUUGAUCAAAUGUUGGAAAGACUGGUGAAUCACCAAUAUUAUUAUUUUCUUGACGGAUAUUCUGGAUUUUCCCAAAACCAUAUACAUCCUGACGAUCAAGAAAAUGCCACAUUUACAUGCCUUUAUGUUACAUACCGCAGAAUGCCAUUCGGUCUUUGUAAUUCCAAGCCACUUUCUAAUGAUGCAUGAUGUCAAUCUUUACGGAUAUGAAAGAAGAUUUCAUGGAAGUUUUUAAGGACGAUUUCUCAGUCUAUGGAUCCAGUUUCAAAAACUGCCUCGAUAACAUGUGUAAAGUUUUGGCAAGAUGUGAAGAACAUAACCUUGUUCAAAAUUGGGAAAAAUGCCAUUACAUGGUUAACGAUGGAAUCUUCUUGGGACAUAAAGUAUCUGCUGCCGGUAUAAAAGUAGAUCGAGCAAAAAUUGAGUUAAUGAUCGGUUUGCCUGCGCCCACAAACGUAAAAUAAGUGAGAAAUUUCUCGGGCAUGCCGGAUUUUACAGGAUGUUUGUUUAUACAAGAUUUCAGCAAAAUCGCUAGACUAAUCACAGCCCUCCUAUGCAAAGAAGUAAAAUAUGACUUCACACCAGAAUGAAUAAAAGCUUUCGAAGAAAUUAAGAGAGCCUUAAUAACUGCCCCAAUCGUACAAGCACCUGACUGGAACCUUCCUUUCGAAAUUAUGUGUGAUGCGAGCGAUUUCGCUGUAGGAGCAGUUCUAGGCCAAAAGAAAGAAAAAAAAGCUACAUGUUCUCUACUAUGCCAUUCGAACUCUCGAUGAGGCACAAAGGAACUAUGCAACAACAGAAAAAAAACUACUUGCUGUGGUUUAUGCAUUUCAAAAUUCCGCCAAUACGUAGUCGGUUCGCGAGUUAUUGUUCAUACCGACCUUGCUGCAAUAAAAUAUUUAAUGCAGAAGAAAUACGCGAAACCACGACUCUUGCGAUGGAUCCUUCUACUCCAGGAAUUUAACAUCAAGAUUAAAGACAAACAAGGAGUAGAAAACAGAGUCGCAGUCACCUUUCUUGGAUACUAGUAGAGGAUGACGUCCCUAUCGAUGAUUUCUUGCCAACAGAGAACGUUUACCAAACGUCUUCAUCAUUUGUUGGUAACAUAUGUCUCACAUCCGAGGAGCCAUCAAUCGACACCAGAGAUGCUAUGCCGAUCGACAUUCUCGAUGAUUAAAACCAAGACACUUCCCCCAUAACCAUCACUUUUGAUAUUAAAGUCAGUGUCGCCUCCAACACCUUGCACCCUGAACAUGUUUCUCUUGGACACAGAAGCUUAAAUCAGGGGAUGCACGCAAUCGAAAGAAGUUUAAGGGAUAGACCUUGGUACGCUGACAUAGUAAACUAUCUAGAUGCUGACAUAGAACCCGAAGAGCUAAAAGGUUAUACAAGAAAGAAAUUUUUAAGAGAAGUCAGGAGAUAGCACUGGGAUGAACUAUACCUCUACAAACAUUGCUGUGAUAGACGAUGUGUCGCUGAAACUGAAAUUCCAGAUAUUUUAUUCUAAUGCUAUGGAUCUGACUACCCUGGAUUUUCUGCAAUCUUUAAAACAGUAUUAAAAAUUGUCCAAGCGGGAUUCUGGUGGCCAACCAUGUUUCGCGAUGCUCAUGCAUUCAUAGCACAAUGCGACAUAUGCCAAUGAAGAAGAAAAAUCAGUAAAGGACAUGAAAUGAAACAAAAAUCUAUUCUAGAGGUAGAAGUCUUUGAUUGUUGGAGAAUAGACUUCAUGUGUCCUUCCCGUCCUCAUACGGGAACAAAUAUAUCCUAUCCUAUUCGCUGUUGAUUAUGUAUCCAAAUGGGUUGAAGCAAUAGCUUCCCCAAAUGGGUUGAAGCAGUAGCUUCCCCAACAUUUGUAGUUAUAAAGCUUUUCAAAAGCAUUAUUUUCCCAAGAUUUGGAGUUCCUCGAGUAGUCAUAAGUGACGGUGGAUCCCAUUUCAUCAACAAAGUUUUUCACGGAUUACUCCAGAAGAACGGAGUGCACCAUAGAGUUGCUACACCUUACCCUCAGACAAGUGGAAAAAUAGAAGUUUCAAAUCGGCAGAUCAAAGAAAUCUUAGAAAAGACUGUAGGAACCUCUAGGAGAGAUUGGUCUAGGAAACUGGACAAUGCACUCUGGGCUUACCGGACUGCAUUCAAAACCCCAUUAGGAACAACCCCGUUUCACCUACUCUAUAGAAAAUCCUGUCACUUACCGGUUGAGCUAGAACACAAGGUAGCAUGGGCUUUAAAACUAAAUUUCAACAUCAAACCAGCUGCCGAAAUGAGACUUAAGAAGCUUAACUAGUUGGAUGAAAUAAGACACUUAGCCUAUGAGAGCUCGACAAUCUAUAAAGAGAAGAUGGAAGCAUAUCAUGAUAAAAAGAUCAUCUCCAGGCACUUCAAACCAAAUGAUCAAGUGUUGUUAUAUAAAUCUCGGCUCAUGCUAUUUCCCAGAAAACUCUGAUCUCGUUGGUCAGGUCCUUUCACUGUUGUGGAUGUCAAACCAUAUGGAGCCAUUACACUCAUAAACGAUAAAGAAGAAGAACUUAUAGUGAAUGGUCAAUGAGUGGAACAUUGUUGGGCUAGACCGCUGAUUAGCAGGCUUUUAAACUUAGGCCUUCUUCCUGAUAGUUACACAGAUCGGACCUCGAUUGAAGCUCAGGACUUAAAAUAAGCGCUGGAUAGGAUGCAACCCAUUUCUAGUUUUAGGAUAUUAAGAAUUUAGUUUAAAAAAAACUUAAUUAUCAGAAAACAUAGCGGCUGUCGAUCGACGAAGAUAUUUCUUCAUCGAUCGACGGGAAAUGAAAAAACACGGACUCACUUAAGUCGACAUUAAGUCGACAAUAAGCCUAACCCAAAAACCCUUCGAAACAGCCUCCACUCUCUUUCUCUCUCGUUUCUCAUCCAAAUCGGACGAUUUGUGCGCCUAAUCCACUUGAUUUUCAACUCUCUAUCCGUUUAGAUCACUUAAUCCAUGAAUCAACAUGGUAUGAAAAAGAAAUUUUCUAAAUUUUCGUUCGUGUUAGGGUUAAGAUAAAAGAUGAACUAGAACAGGGAUUUUAUGGCAUGUAUAGAUCGAUUUGUGUUGAUGGAAUGAUAGAAUAGGGAUUAAAGAUCGAUUCUACUGAUAAUUAUGCUAUGCAAACCGAAUUGCAUCGAAUGGCUUUUUGCAGGUUCUCACGAUGGAGAUAUCGAUCGAUGAUAGCCCAUUUACAUCGAUCGAUUAUAACACUGAUAUAUCAAUCGAUAUCGACACAGACCUGUCGAUCGAUAUCGGCCACUAAACCAUCGAGAUUCACUGAUUUCGUAUAUUCAUUUGUAAACUUUGGUUGCAGAUGAACGAAAGGAGAACGAAGAGGAGAUUCGACAGCAGCGGCACCAGCACAGCUCCACCCCCACCACCGGUUCGCAACCAGCACCCUUGGCCAAUAGAGCGCGAGGAAGACCCCAUCCCACUCUUUGCACACUUCACUGCGGCUAAAAGCUUGGAAUGCAAAAACCGUGCGAUAAGGGACGAGUGGAACGACUAAGACAUCAUAUUCUACAAUGUGUGGCUGAAGGUUACCAUUGAGCCGACGCGAUUCGUCGACGCGGAUGUGAUUAGACAGCUGGGCAUCAGAGACGACCUGGAGGACAUGUUCGUGGAGCUGGGAAUGGGCAACAUGUGCACCAAACAACACGUCCUCUACACGGAGCUGGUCCAACAGUUCAUAGCCACUGUGCAGGUCUAGUACACCCGCGAGAGAGGGAGGAGAGCCAGCGAGGGUACCUUGACUUUCUUCGUCCGCGGCAUCCGCUACGAAGUCCCUCUCAUGACUCUUUGCACCAUCUACGGGUUUCAGAACUCAGAGCUUCAGCACGCUUCAGUUCCUGGCUUCCCUGGGAGAUCGACGUUCUGGGGGCAUAUAGCUACUGGCAUCUUCGACUCAGGCUCGGCCACUCAGACGGACAUCCGUCACCUUACUUGGCGAUACGUCAUGAAGGUCCUUGCCAACACUCUUUUGUUCAAGAUGGAACCUAGUAAGGUUCGGGUGCAGGAGCUCACAUUGGUCUACUAUGCAGUGAGGAGCCUGGUUCACAUGGAGGAUAUUGAGGAGCCAGAUGACUGUGAGAACCGAAAUUCACACUGUAAAUUUCCGUUUAAAUUAGGAACCUAGGAAAACUCUAAUUUCCCAGAGGUCUCGGAUAUCUGCUAAUACUACACGCCAAGCAUUCAAAACACGAGAUAACAACGAUAAAGUAUAUGGAAUCAUAAAAAGAGAGCAAAGGGAAGUCUUACUCCGAAUUUGCAUAUGAGCGUUUACAACAAGGUAAUAAGCCUGGGCUCGAGAGCUGUCAGCGAGAUUCCUAUUUUAACAACCCUAAGACAGCUAAACCUAAUUGAGUCAUAGCUCGAAAUAACAAAAACGGAAAGUUGCCUAAUUGCUCUAAGUGCUAAGUUUUCUCUGCAAAAGCUCCUCCUCAUGCCUCUCGCCUAGGACUCUUUAUAUACUCGCUCCUAGGUCGGUUUACGCUUUUCCCCUUCUGCCCUUAAGCCGUCAUAGCCAAAAAAUGGAGAUAUUCCAUUUUCCCGAUCUUCGUAAUUAUCUUCCAAAACUUCGUAUUUAUCCGCGGAAACUUGACAUUAAUCUUUCCAAUCAAACCAAGCGUAAACCGUCCUACGGUUUACAGGCUUUUGGUUAAGAAAUCGUAAAUUGGGCUUCGAGUCAUUCUUAGGUCCCUUUGGGCCGUCUUUUGGCUCGAAGCGUUUAUUACGGCUUCUUUCGAUAAAAACAAAAUUUCUGGGGUUUUUAUCAUAAAGUUCGAUUGAUGACUUCAAAUGUCGAGAAACAUGAAAUGGGUUUGCUACGGUCUUCGGGAGAUAGCAUCAAAGAGUAGACGAGAAUGCAUGGACUCAUGUCGUAUUCGACGUUUCGGGAAAGCUCGGUCGCUAUGUAGUGACCGAGUGGGAUGUGCGCUUGGUCGCUACGUAGCGACCGAGCUUGGCUCGAGCCCGCUCCCUACGUAGCGACCGGGCAGUGCGCAUGUUCGGUCGUUGCGUAGUGACCGAGCUUGGCUUGUCCGUGUUCCGUUCGUCACACUCGAACUUAUCUGUGGCUGGUUUAGAUACGUUUCCAUUACCUUAGGACAACUUGUGUUUGAUCCAACCGAGACUCGAACAAGGUUUUAUCUCGAGAUCCUGUGUCGUGACAUUUUUUACCAAGCAUAAUUGUCGUAACCGUUUUCGACCCCACAGUUAGCCCCCAAGCCCGUUAGAAUCAUGGAUUCCCGAUGAGAUUCUAGCGUACGGUAUGGCGAGUUUGGACGAGAUUCGCGUAUUUGGGCCUAAUCAUAUCCAAAAGUCUGCAGGUAAAUAGUAAUUUCUCAUGCCUAUAAGAAGCAAGGUAACUUCUUCAUAAUUUUUCACUUGCUUGCUUUCAUAAGGAGCUUUCUUGAAAGAAUUUCUCCCUCCUCUCCAUCUUUUUCUUCUUAUUUUCACUUAAAAAUUACGAAAUGUCAAGUUGGAAAAAGACUUCGAAGAAAGGCACACCUUGUGCCGAAGAUCGAGUUUGUGCCUCAUUCGGUAGAUCCGGCUGAGAACGAGGCAUGGUGGGUUGCGAGGUAUGGUUCGAUCACACCUCCCAACGAGAAGUCGUUCCUAGUCAUGAACCAUCGUUUGGUCGAAGAAGGUGCACCGAGUAGGAACACUAGCGACUUUCUUCGGACCGUGUGGUCGUUCUACCGAAUUCCGGAUACGGUAGAAUUCCAGGUUCCUCGUCAAGGAGAGCGUGCUAGUAGUCCCCCAGAGGGUUACUUUACUUGUUACGAAGCAUUCAUAGUGCGCUGCCGCUUGUGGUUUUCGAUUCCCGAAAUCAUCGUCCGCGUGUUGGAUCGUUUUUGAGGUGUCGAUAAGUAUCCAGCACCUUGUUGGAGUUUUGAUCUUGAGCUACGAGCACGGUCUCUCCUAUACCGUCGACCACUUCGAAGCGCUUUUCAAGUUGCAGAUCGUUAGGAAUACGGACAAGUACCGACUGGUCCCUCGGAACUUCAUGUCGGUGGUCAAGGGUUUCUUUCCAACUUCAACUCGUGGAAGAAAUUUUUCUUCUUUGUUCGUAUAAACGCCGCGUCUGUCGAAGAGAGUUGCAUCCCAUUGUUCCGGAGUCUGCCGAACGAUCGUCCCUUCAUCAAUCUGAUUGCUCUGUUUCCUGAAGAUACGAUCGCAGUGAGGGAUCUUCUCAGGAACAGUCCGUUUUUCUGGACCUCCUUCACGCCGAAGAGAGUUCGAAAGGCGUUGAGGCUCGCGCAUCCCGGUCCUGCUUCGGGCGCGGAAACAGACAGCGACUCCGAGCCUGAUGCUCCGCGUUUUGAUGUUGCUCCCACUGGCACAAUGGGGUUGAGCUCCUCGAAGGGGAAAUAUAUCACCCUUGGCGACAUAGAGUGUUCAGUGGAUGAUUCUAUGCUCCCAGGAUGGGACCCGGACCUUGCUUACGGCGAUGGAAGUGGUACGAGCGAGAUCCCUAUCCAGAAUUUUGAUGAUUUCUUCGCCGGUCUACCCUCGAGUUUUGAUCCUCCCCCGCCUGUGGAUGAAUCGGGAAGGUCGAGAGUCGUUGCAGAGGAAUCUCGUAUCAUCAAUGGGGUUAGUUUUCAAGAAUUUUGCCGAUAGUUCUAUAUAUUCCUUUUCCCGCCUAAAACAUGUUAAUUGGUUUUGCAGGGUCUGAACUUGCUUGGCUCGGCCCUUGAGGCGAGCCAUAGAGAUGCCAUGGUCUAUCGCUUCAAAGCGGAGAAGGCAGAGAGGGAUCUUGCUCGUAUGCAAGGCGAGAUGUUGGAGCGAGACUCGAAACGUGCUCGUGAUCACGCGAGGGCCGUUCGAAAGGCGGAACGGAAGGGUAAGAGGGAGAUCAUCGAGGUGAUGAAGAGUCUUGUUUUUUAGUUCCAGAUUGAGUACGGGAACCUCAAGGAUGCUUACACUUUGGAGGGUGAUUACCGUGAGUGCCACGGUUCAGUCUUUGGAGGACGCAGGCGGAAGACUAUGUUUUAGAGAAGGAGAUGAGGUUCAUGAAAGAUGGCAUGAAAAACCAUGCCCAUUCUGAGACGCUCAUUCCCCCGAUCGACGGGAGGAUCCAGGGAUUCUGGGAUCCCGUCCCGGUUUCUCCUGAUACUGUAGAGGCCACGACCGAGUUCGCUGGUGACGACGAGGAAGUGAACUAUCCCGCGGAUGCAUUCGGAGCUUCCUUGUCCGGGAACUUUGAUAUGUGAGAGGUGAGGGUUUGACGGUGAAGGACCCUAAGAUCGGCUCACUCGAAUGGAUCAGAUCUGGAUAUGAACUCCGAAUGGAGAACUAGAUGGAUUGAAGGGUCGCACGAAGGUUGCGGAAUGGCCAUCGAUAUUCCCGGCUUCAGUUGGUGCUUGAUAUGACUCACAAGACCACCAAAAGAAGAAUCUCGAACCGUUGCUUGAUAUGACUCACAAGACCAACGAGUUUGAGGGGUGUUUACUUGGAUAUAACUCACCAAGAAACUAAAAACAAGUUCUAAACGAAGAACAAAGAGUUUAACUCAAACUUUAGACAAAAUCGAUUUUCUCUAUUCUAAAUGAAGAGUUUACAUACUUAUAGAGUUUUGUAGAUCUAGGAAUUAAAUAUAAAAGUAGAUCUAGAUCUAGAUCUAGAUCUUGAUCUAGUCAUUAAACAAAAAUAAAGACAAGAAUAAUUAAUGUGACAGAUCGGCUUCCAUCAAGAUGCAUCUGGACCGGCUAAGUCCAAGGCGGUAAGGACAGUCACAUAAGCGGGACGAUCAGCAUGGGUCGCGGGACGUUCUGCUAAGACCGCAGGCGUUCUGAUCAGACAAGUUGCGUUCCAACAAAACCCAACUCUUCUGAUAGCUUAAGGACUUUUUCCUUAGAGAAAUGUCCAAAGGAAAAGUCCAUGAUUGGAUCGAACAAGGAAGAGAGAUCAUCAGCACGGUCGUCGGUACAUGCGGUACGAGCCAAUCGAGCCAAAAGAGAGAAGUCUCGAUCAUUUUGUGAAACCUCAUGAUCCAAGUCAAGUCUGGCAUGAUCUUUCUCAAGUCUGGGAUGAUCUUUCUCAAGUCUGGCAUGAUCUUUCUCAAGUCUGGCAUGAUCUUUCUCAAGUCUGGCAUGAUCCAAGUCAAGUCUGGCACGGUGAAAAACAUGAACCUCGGUUGAAAUGUUCAGAACGUCCUGAACUCCAUGCUGAGCUGGCUCCAUGUAAUGAUCCGUGGACUGCGGCACAUCAGACGGGAAUAAGUUUUUUCCCUUAUCUAGUAUUUUGCGGCCGAGUGUGGCUUUCGUUCGUCUAAGUCCGGCCGAAUGUGGCCUUUGAACUUUGUAUUGGCCUGUUUUGGCCGUUUUUAUCUUUAUCGGGACUGGCCGUUGGUGGCUUCGAAUCCCUACCGCUAUGCGGUUUAUAUAUAUAACGGAGGUUUGUUUGAGUUACUUUGUUUCAAAUGGGUUUGAAGUAAACAUAAGUUGUCGUCUCAUAUUUAAUUCCGUUGAGACGUUCCAUCUGUUGGUUUGUUCGAGACGUGAGUUUUCGUAAAAAAUAUUUAUUCUUACGAACUUUCGGGAACGUUGAGACAUGAACGGGGAAACAUGGUUUAGGAUCUCGUAUCAUUUUUAGAUAUCAUGUCUUGAGAUGUCUCGGGGAAACUGGAAGUGCUAGACCCAAAUUUUGGAUUUUUUUUGUAGCGCGCUUUCGUCCUUGUGUUGGAUGUUCGAGGAUCAAAAGAGUGAUCGAGUUGCAUUUGUUUAACACGGCUGGCGUGUUCGUCGGGGCCAAUCGACGAACGGGGUGUAAAUAUUUGUUGGGUUUUUAUGAUCGCGUUCGAACAAUUGUUUGCAGAGUUUUCGAUUUUUAACUUGGCGACGUCUCGCAGUUGUUUCGAAGACUGUACGUAUAUUUUAGGUGCUGAAGAAUGACUGCUUUGUGAUUUGGACAGGAUAAGGCCGUUGAUAAGAGUCUAAUGUUUGUAGAUUUUCUAAGUGUGUCAUGAGACUUUUUGCGUUAAAUGGAGCGUAAAUGUUUAAUAAAAGAAAAUAUGUGUAUUGUAGUAAUGUUUUAAGAAACUCGAUUACAAUGACGCAUCUUUUAAAACUCGGUGGUUGUCGCCAUGCUGACCGCCUUGAUCGUGGUGACUGUGGCAGGGUCAAUGUUUUUAUCCGGGUUUUCCGGUUGAGUCGUAGUGUCGGCUUUGGAAUCGUGCUGAGUUUCAGUGUCUGAAGCAUUCGCGUCAGCAGACGAUAUCAAAUCGUCUUUCUUUGAAGUGUUUUCGGCCGAAGGUUGAGCUAACUUCGUGUGCUUGCGAGUUGUCCUUGCGGAAGUCGCGAUUUACCUUAACUUAUGCUCCGCGAGGAAGCAUAGCCGCGACUGUUUCUGACAACCCCAGAUGGCUGCGACUCCGUUCUGAGUUGGGAAUUUGACGCCGAGGUGGUAUGUAGAUGGAACGACUUUCAUGGCGUUGAGCCAUGGGGUUCCCCUGAUCACAUUGUAGAUGGCAGGAUGAUCGACCACCGCGAAAUCGACAAUUUUUGUGAUUUCCUUGGCCAUCAGCUGGAUCGAUCCGAGAGUCAUUGACACUUUGCCCGAAAAACCCGUAAGUGGUUUUGGCGUUGGAGGUACUUCUCCGAGUUUGAUGUUCAUCCGAUUGAGAGUGUCGCAGAAGAUAACAUUGACCGUGAUUCCCGUGUCAAUGAGGACUCUCCCGACUUCCAGAUCUCGUAUGACAAGAUCUAUGAAGAGUGGAUCGCAGUGAGGUUGAUCGAUCCCUCCGGCUGCAUCCAUCGUAAAAGUUAUCGAGUUUCUUUGACCAUCUCGGGGAGGGGACCAUGUAGGCCAGUUUUCACUUGAUUGGGCCUUCUGUUGGUAAGCCUUGAUGGCCAAAACCGUAUCGUUGCAGUAUUGCGAUCCUCCGAAGAUCAUGUUGACUCUGCGACGAUUGUUGUCAUUUCCUUUGUCGUCCGGCCUUCUUCCGUGUUUAUCCCCGGAUUGGUUUCUUUGAGAGGACUUAUCCGCGGGCGGAUUUCUGUCCAUCUUUGGGGGGGGGCGAUCAGUCUCGAGGAUGAGAUCUUUUACGCUGGUUACUUCCGAGAGCUCAUUGCGGCCAAUCUCGCUCCUAAGACUUUGCAGUUGGUCGUGGAGUCUCCUCGGGACUGGUGGAACUCGCAGAAGGUGUUUUCGUCGUAUUCUUGAUUGCGAAUCCAUGUAUUCCCCGUGGUUUGACCUUGAUCUGAACUGAUCGCAUAGUUGUGCGCCCCUUGGAGUUCUUCCCCCUCGUGAUGGACGUACUUGUCGUUACGAGAGUUGUUCUUCUCGUUUUUGGGUCUACAUCUUUCGAGGAUGGCCUUGUCGGCUUAUGCUUUUGCGACAAAAAUUUUGUUUGCUCUUCGAUUAUGAUGUAGUCCGUCGCAUUGUGGAGGGCGUCCUGGAUCGUCUGCGGUUUGUCGAGGGUUAUCCACUUUCUGAAUUUCGACUUGUACCAUAGUGUCUUUCUGAGCGCGUCAAUAGCCACUUUGUCGUUUAUCCCGCUGACCCUGGACAUCAUCAGCUUAAACCGGCUGAUGAACUCGCAGAGGGGUUCGUCUUCCCUCUGGGACAGACUCCAGAGAUCAACAUCGGAAGUUUCUCUAUCUAUAAACAUAGAGUAUUGCUUGAGAAAUUCUGAUGCGAGCUGUCAGUAACUUCCGAUAGAGUUUCGCUCAAGGCGUACGAACCACUUGAGCGCCGCUCCUUCCAGAUUCUUGAAGAAUAGACGGCAGUAGCGGGCGUCUUUUUCGCCGUCCUUCAGUCUGGCCCUUCCCAUCGUGAUGUGUGUUAGGGGAUUUUUGUGUGGGCUCUUUUAGAGUACCACGGAACGAUGGAUAAGCUGGUAAACCUCGAGUGUUUGUGGUUAUUUAGUAAGGGUUUUAGGAUGUUUAAAGAGAAUAAUAAUAAAAUAAGCUUGAAGAAACUUAUUAUUAGAUGAAUAGGCAAGAACAAGGUAUCGUUACAAGAUGUUUUAUAAGAACCCUAAUUCUAGCCGUCUAACCCUAGUCUCUAAGCCUUGGAGAAGUCGAUCCCUUGCUUGAGGGCUGUUGUCGCUCUUAUAUAAUCGUCUAGAAGUCGGUUUCAUUAGGUUAAACACUUCCAUAUUCGGAAAUAUGGAAGGCUUUCCUUGUCGGAAGUUUUCCAUUUCUAGGAAGGGAGUAGGGUCCAGGGAUCGAGCCCAGGGUUCCCUCUGGUGGGGACCCGGGGAACCCAUUUACCAGGGAUCCGGGGAUCCGAGUCCUGCCUGGAGGCUGGGGGAAAUAAUACUGGGAUAUUUUUCCCCAACAGUUUGCCCCUUAUUUCUCGACUUUUUCAUUGAAGUCGGGGAAUAACCUGUGCACUCAAGUCAACCGGGGUUACUCAUUGUUAGCCUAGGUUCCACUCAAGUCGGAACUCAUUCUGAACCUAGGUAAGGACCGGUCCCUUCGUGUUCAGUCGAUAUCUGAUAGUAAUUUCUUCUAUCUUCUUGGAGAUGACAAGGCUGGAGCUUUGUCAUGCAGUUCACGCACGGGUCCAAAAAGAUAGGAGUCUUUUCCGUUCCCGGAUGAUUUCUUCUUUUAAUAUCAGAGAUUCGGCUGAUAUUUUUCUUCCUUUCUUUUGCGAAGGAAUCUUUUUGAAUUUUGAAUCCCGCGGCCCGAUAUCUGGUGAGAUGCGCGUCUUUCCAGGGAAGAAUUUCAACGGCUUCUUCUUUUUUGUAUAUAUUUCUGCACGCUCUUCUUUUGUUCCUCGCCUUUCUUCGUCUUCGGCUCAGGUACUUCUCUCAUCCUUCUUUCUUUAGCUUGUCUGGUGUGAUUAGUUUGCUUAUUCUGCUGUGGUCGCCAUCUAUCGAUUAGGAACCGAUCAAUCAUGUCCAAACGAUCCGCUUCUCUGACGUCCCCGAUGACCGAUUGAGCUGGCUCGAGGAGAAGAAUGGAUUCUCCGGCUUCACGAUCCGACAGCUCUCCUAACCCAGGCGCGGGGUCAGAACAAGACGUAGCAGCUCCUUCCCCGAUAGGUCCUCCAUCUUGGAGAUUACUCCUAGCCAUUCAGAACCUAGGCGAUCUAGAAAACCUAUCCUUCAGAGUUAACGAGGUUUUGUACUCCUACCAUCUGGCCCCUCUUAAUGGGAAUGAAGGCCAGCUCCAUCUUCGUCCUCAUAGUGGAUUGUCUAUCGUGGAGGAGCUGUCGAGAAGUGAUCGUAAGGGGUCUGCUUUUAUUUAAAAGUGGCAGGAACGAUACGUUUUUAUGGCGCUCCCUGGGCACUCCUAUCAUUGGAACUUUAUAGGUGGGUCUAGGGGAUACGCAUGAUUCUGCUCUGUCUGAUCUCUGACCCUCUUUGUUGUGUUUGCAGCUGGAAUGCAUCCUGACAUUCCGGAGGGAGAGGAUAUUGUGGUUCGAGCACGCCAACUUCCUCUUGAUCGUCGCCAAAUAUCUUUCUUGCUUAGUGAUAGCACCUUGCGACGUAGCAGCCUCUGGGUAAGCGUUUUCACAUUUGAUUGCUUUGCUCUACAUACUCGUGAGGAUUGACAUUCUUUGGCUCAAGAAGCAUGUCUGGAGAUACUAGCAAUGAUCCUUUCGUAGCUUAUCAAAAGGCAGCAAAGAGUAUGUCCGCAAAAAAGGGGUCUGCGAGCAGAACCGUAUCCGGCGAUGAUUUGAUGAUUACUGGAAGUCGUCAGGCGACGAUGGUGAAAAUCGAACCCUCUGUUUUGACUCGUGCUAAGAAGGCCAGGGCUGGAGGUGUGGCGACACGGGCAUCAUACCAGUCGGCUGAAGUUGUGUGUUCUGUGGGGAAUCUUGCCGCGGCUUUAUCUAACUUAAAUCUUCAAGUGUUUCCUCAUGAUGGUACCACUCUCCCUUUGGGAAAGCCCCUGGAAGUUAUCCAGGUUUUUCAAGGAGGACUUCUUCGGGUAUGUUGUUAUGAUUUUGAUUUCUUUCCGUUCCGGAUCUUUGAUAGGUUGAUGUGGUUUUGUGUAGAACAUCUCCCAGGUAUAUCACCUUGGGGAGCAGCUGUCUCUUGAGAGCUCGUCGAUCAGCUGAGAGGAGCUGGAAAAACUGAAGAAUCAACUUUCGGAGGAGAAGACCCAGCGCCUAGCCCGUGAAUUAGAGAUUCGUGAUCUUAAGGAUAAGAUCAAUUAUGUGGAGAGGUCGGCCGAGAUAUCCUCAGCGGAUACAUUGAGCAUUGGCAAGAAGAACCAGGAGCUAGAAGAGGCCAUGGAAAAUCUGAGGCUUGAGACGGUGAUGGCUGUAAGCGGGGCAAUAAUUACCGCUCGGUGGGAGUUGAUGAGAGAAUGGUUGCAGAGAAAGAACGACCAAUAGGAUCUGGCCAAAGCUUUGGUGCAAUACAAGAUAGUGGUCUUGGAGGAGGCCAAGAAUAAAGUUUCCCGGUUCCUACAUUUGAGAACAAGCCCACCAUUCCUCCGGAUUCUGGGAUGGAUAUCGAUUCAAGGCCUGGGGGAUCUUCCUUCUAAAUUUAUGUUCUUUCCAUUGUUGUAGUAGCGGCCUUUCUUGGCUUGCUCUGAAUUUGUUUGAAUGAUGGCACUGUUGGGGCUUUAAAUAAGAUUUUCUGGAUUUUCUUUUUCCUUCUUUUGAGAUCUUUAUAUGAUGCUUGCUUCUGCGAUUGUCUCUCUUUUGGAAAAAAUGCAGGUCGUCUAAAGAUCUUAGGAUCUUGGAUCGUCUUCGAAGAACUGGAGGGUCAAGCGUUGAUCCAAUCGUUUGGUAACCUUGAGCCUUUCUGGGCUUUUUAGAUUUGGAUUCAGGGAUCUUGAAAGUCUAGAUUCCUUAGAACCUCUGGAUUUUACGACGAUCGGACCUCAUAGGUCUCAUAGGGUUGAAUCUCUUUCGAGGCCCCUGGGACCGCUUAGAGAUUUUAAAUGACGUUGGGACCCGGAGGUCCCUUUUUAAGAACCCGUAGAUUCUGGACCCUGAGGUCUUGAAUUGGACUCAUAGUCCUUGGACCCUGAGGUUCUUUUUAGGGAACCCGUAGGUUCCUGACCUUUAAAGCCUAUAUGAGCCCGGAAUUCUCAGAAUCCGAAAUUAAGUUAUAAAGAGAACCGAUAGGUUCCUGACCCUGAGGUCUUGUUUUAGCCUCAUGGUCUUUGGACCCUGAGGUCCUUUUAAGGAACCCGUAGGUUCUUGGCCCUAAGGCCUAUCUGAGCCCGGAGUUCUCUCUCAGAACCCGAAAUUAAAUUAUAAAGAGAACCGAUAGGUUCCUGACCCUGAGGUUUUGUUUUAGACUCAUGGUCUUUGGACCCUGAGGUCCUUUUAAGGAACCCAUAGGUUCUUGGCCCUAAGGCCUAUCUGAGCCCGGAGUUCUCUCAUAACCCGAAAUUAAAUUAUAAAGAGAACCGAUAGGUUCCUGACCCUGAGGUAUUUUUUUAGACUCAUGGUCUUUGGACCCUGAGGUCAUUUUAAGGAACCCGUAGAUUCUUGGCCCUAAGCAUCUGAGCCCAGAGUUCUUUCUCAGAACCCAGAAUUAAGUUAUAAAGAGAACCAAUAGGUUCCUGACCCUGAGGUCUUGUUUUAGACUCAUGGUCUUUGGACCAUGAGGUCCUUCUAAGGAACCCGUAGGUUCUUGGCCCUAAGGCCUAUCUGAGCCCGGAGUUCUUUCUCAGAACCUGGAAUUAAAUUUUGAAGGGACCGCAUUCUGCCACCCUAGGUGUGGCCACUCUCAGAUCCUGUUGGGUAUCGCUUUCUACCGCUCGUGGCUGGUCACUAUCGAGUUCCCGUGCUGCACUCUGCUUUCUGCAGAAAGCCACUAUCAGUCUUAGAGGGUGCUGGUUUGGGUGAAAACCCAAGUGCCAGACUUACGCUGUUUUUCAUGGCUGGAGAAACAUGAUAUUAUUAAGGUGCUCCCUAACUUUUGCACUUUCUCAGUUAGCACGUAGCGUUUUAAUAUAUGUACCUUUCUCUUUUUUGGUAUUUUAGUUUGGGACCCCGAUAUGCCUGAGGCUAUACAGGGGUUUUAGGUAGUAGUGACGGCAUACGCAGGCUUGCGCAGACCCAUUCCUACCUUAUGUCUCAUACCCAUUUUGUUUUUGUGUGGUCGUGCCACUUCUAACUGACGGUUGGCCAGGAUCGGAAGUCUCUUUGACCUGAUCCAGCUUGUUUGCCCCUUUAAGUAUUAUGGUAUUCGUACUCUCUCUUAUAAUCGGAACUAUUUUAUUAUAUAGGCUAUGUCCGUAGACUUUCAGCGUACAUAUGAGUAGAAAAACAUAAUGCUUAAAUAAAAGAUUAAAUAAUUAUAAAAAUCAUGGUCCGGAGACCGUACAAGAUAUCAGCUUGCGAGAUACCCUAGUGGUUAUACCAUGUUUUACGUCUUAUUGCUGCGUGACCCGUGGGAUUCAACUUGCUUUUGAGACGAAUGUCUUCGCUGGAGGGUUCCGUCAUCCUCUGUAGGGUUCUGCAUCUUUUUUAAUCUAGGGACAUCAUUUGGGAGUUGUUUCAUGCCCCAGCCCUUGCGGAUCUCUGUGUUGUUGACGUUCGGGGGCCACUGUCUUCUAUCGAUGCAGGUUUUCAGCGCUUCCAUGAAGCAUGUAGUUGCAUUCAUCCACUGGAGCAAAUGUGUUCGGAGGUCUCCUAUCUCUCUCUGGUGCCAGCUGGGAGCUCUCUUCCGAGGGGGUUUUUUCGAGGUGUUUGUGCCCCACUCGUUUAUCUGUGAGAUUGCCGGUUGAUAACUGUUGAAGCUUCUGGCUAUCUUAUCUAUGUGAGGCGGAGGACGAGGGUCCUGUGGGGACCAGAUUUUGCGAGCAGGUGCAGCCUUGCAGGUUCUUAGGGGAGACCAUGGGAAGCGGUUGACGUAAGCUGUCUGGAAACUUUUUGGAUGUAGGGUCCGGACUAUGCAGAGGGUUCCUGAAUUACCCCUAUUGUUGACCCCUGAUUACCGAUUCUGCGGGAUCUGAGGUCUCCUCUGUAAUUGCUAUAAGACCUUGGUCUUCCCUUUUAAGGUUGUCUGGUAGCAGGACCUAGAAUUCUCCUGAUCUCCUCGGAUUGCUUUUAUGCCCAGGGUGUAGGGAACUUCACUAUUUGAUGGAGGGCUGAGGGGACUGCUCCCAUGUCGUGAAUCCAUGGUCAUCCUAAGAUCAUGUUGUAUCCCUUCAGCAUAUACUGGCAGAACAACCUCCCCAGCGGUUUGCUUGAGCUCGCCGCUGAACCCGAUGAGUGGAGUUACUUUGCCCGUCAGGGUAUUCUCCUCUAACCCUAGGUCCUGGUACGCCAUCAGGAAGAUGAUAUUGCUGGAGGACCCGUUGUCUACUAGUAUUCUUUUCACCAAAGAGUUCACUAUGGUGAGGGAGACAACUAGAGCGUCAUGGUGGGGAGCUAAUAUCUUCUCUUGCUCCUUGGCUGUGAAGCUUAUCUCGUCAGUACCUAGAAGUAGGCGUUUAGGUUGAGCAGUCUCCAGGCCGUGUUUAGCAUUACGGGUGCUCUUCUUCGCAGCUGCAUGACUCACGCCACUUACUUCCGAGCCUCCUGAGAUGACAUGAAUCACCCGGUCCUGGCGAGGUGGUGAGCUUGGUGCGUCUCCUUUGGAUUUCCCUGAUGCUUCUUUGCUAAGAUGAGCCUUGGCUUUCUCUGAAAGGAAUUCUCGGAGAUGCCCCUUUUGGAGCAGUUCGUUGACCUCGAUCUUCAGGGCGACACAGUCUUCAGUUUUGUGGCCGUGAUCGCGAUGGAAGUCGCACCAGAGUCUCGGGUUCUGGAAUGAGUCAGGUGCUUUCAUCUUUGGGGGCCACUUGACCUGUUGGCCUAUCUGCCUCAGCGUGUUGACCAGCUCUGGUGUGGAUGUUGAGAGAUGGGUGAUAUCUGGCCAGGUAGACACAAACAUCCCCGCUUCUUUUUCUAAUGGUCGAUAUUGGAACCUGUCCCGGUUCCUGCUUUCGGAGUCCUUGGAUCCCUUUUGGGAGGAUCUUUCUUCUCGGUCUCCCCGGUCUGAUCAGGUGGACCUCUGAUCCUGUUUGGGUUGAGUCUUGGCACGGCUAGCGACGUCCUCUUCCCACUUCACAUGUGCCCACGUUCGGGAUAGCACAUCCUCCAUGGUUUUGCAAGGGUACAUGGUUAGCUCUUUGUAGAUCCCUCCGUAUGGAAGUAAGCCUCUCUUGAAGGCAGAGAUUACGGUAGGGAUGCUGCAUUCAGGGACAGCUACCUUCUCUUGAUUGAAACGGGCUAUGUAGUCCCGCAGGGGUUCUACUCGAUGCUAGAGGAUCUCGUAGAGACUGUCUGAAGUCUUCUCCAGGCUCCUGCUACUCGCGAAUUGUUCUACGAACUUGUCGCUCAGGCCGACAAAGGAAGAUAUGGACCUGGUAGGGAGAUUGAUAUACCAUUGCAAGGCGGGUGUAAUUAGAGUGGAGCCGAACCCUUUACACAUGGUAGCUUCACGGGACUCCUUGGGGAGCACAACCGCUAGCAUCCUCUAAUUAUAUUGUGCGAUAUGAUUGUCGGGGUCUCUGGUGCCAUCGCACAUCUUGAUGCUGGCGAAGGAGAAUUUCCGAGGAUCUCGACUGAGGUGAUCUCCUCUGCGAAGUGAGUAUCUGUGUACGAGUCGGGGUUGCUCCUCCGGAUUGAGGGAGCUACUCCUGGUAGACGUUCCACUAUGGAUUGCAUGGCGUCGAACCUCUUAGAAAACAUCUGCUCCAGAUAGUCGGUUAUGGAAGACUCGGCUGCCGUCUUCUCGGGUUCUUUUUUCUCGGGUUCAGGUUUGGAAUAACUUUCCUCUAGGUCAUGGAUCUGGUGAUCCUCGAUCCCUCUCGUGUUGCCCCGGCCGCUCCGGAUGCAGGAGUCGCGUUAGUUGUGCCUUCUCCGGUGUUGGGAGUGCUCAGGCUUCCCAUAGGUCAAACUCGAGUGUUGAAGCGACGCUUCUUGUUGCUCGCCGUGUUGGGAGCUUUGUUUUUGUCUCGGAGUGCAGCGUUCUCCGUCUGUGGUUGGUUGAGUUUCUCGGUGCUUAACUCCAGCUGUUUGGAGUGUUCACCAAGUUUUUCCUUCAGGCUCUGAACCUUGGAGGAAAGCUCUGGAUUUUCGGUUGUUUCCCGAGCCUUGUGCAUGUCGGUCACUUGGCUCCGCAGUCCGUCGAACUGUCGUUGAAGCUUGGCUUCUCUUGGGGUAAAUUCUGAUGUAUUGUCUUGCUCAUCCACCGCCAUCGUCACGUAGCUUAGAUUACUCCCCUCCUUCUUGUGCCAAACUGUUAGGGGAUUUUUGUGUAGGCUAUUUUAGAGUACCACAGAACGAUGGAUAAGCUGGUAAACCUCGAGUGUUUGUGGUUAUUUAGUAAGGGUUUUAGGAUGUUUAAAGAGAAUAAUAAUAGAAUAGGCUUGAGAGACGUAUUAUUAGAUGAAUAGGCAAGAACAAGGUAUCGUUACAAGAUGUUUUAUAAGAACCCUAAUUCUAGCCGUCUAACCCUAGUCUCUAAGCCUUAGAGAACUCGAUCCCUUGCUUGAGGGCUGUUGUCGCUCUUAUAUAGUCGUCUAGAAGUCGGUUUCAUUAGGUUAAACUCUUCCAUAUUCGGAAAUAUGGAAGGUUCUCCUUGUCGGAAGUUUUCCAUUUCUUGGAAGGGAGUACGGUCCAGGGAUCGAGCCCAGGGUUCCCCCUGGUGGGGACCCGGGGAACCCAUUUACCAGGGAUCCGAGGAUCCGAGUCCUGCCUGGAGGCUGGGGGAAAUAAUACAGGGAUAUUUUUCCCCAACAAUGUGGAAAGCCUGAAGGUGCGCUUUAGGAUCCGUCGUACCAUCAAACUUUGGUGAUGCGAGCGGUGAAGGGCGUCUUCCAAGCCCCUUCUGGCAGUCUGUUCAUCUUGGGGGCAGCACUGGUAGCGUGAUAGAUCUGGGAUUUCACGGCCCUUACUUCCGCCGCAGUUUUGGUGAUGUAAUCGCGAAGAUCGCGGAUGUCCAACGUCUCGUCAGCAGAUUUCCAAGCUUGUCGGCGUUUACUGCGAGUGAUCUCGGUUUGCUUUUCAGCCAGCUCUUCUUGUUCGUUCCAAUAGAGGAUUUUCUCCUCUUCCGUCAUUGGCUUAUCGAACGGAGAGCUUUCCCGAGCAAAUCAGCUUCUGGUCCUUCUUGGAUGUUUGUCGGCGUCCUCCUCAGUAUCGUUGGAGACGUCGAUGGGAUCCAAGUCGACGUGCUCAACUUCAUUAACCUUCGAGUCCUUCACGGUAGGUGGAUGACUCUCAGAGUUUCUUUUCUCGGAUGGGGAUUUUUCGCUAGGGUUUUGGCCCGAGGGUCGUUCCCACGUCGUUCCAGGCCUGUCGAGUGGGGUUGCAAAGUCGAGUCUUUUCCCGCAAACAUUCGUGGUUCCAUGGGGAUGGAUUGCUCGAGUCCUUGCCGUUAAGGUUUCGACCUGUUUGGUCAAGGUGUUUACGAGCUUAUCCUGUUCUUCCAACCUUUUUUCAUAGGUGGUGAACAUCUUUUUAAACUCCUCGAGCGUUGCGGCGUUGGCUGGUGCGUUGGCCGCGGAUAUGUCCGCUGCUGGAGUGUGGAGUCAGUGCCGCUUCCUCUGUUGAGAGGAGUUUCCAUGUUGUCCGCGUCGUCAGUUGACAUGUCUGGUUGAGUGUGAUGUGGUUGAGGGUUAGAUUGAUCCGUACCCCCCCCCCCUCCUUCUAGUGCCAAAUUGUGAGAACCGACAUUCACACUGUCGAUUUCCGUUUAAAUUAGGAAACUAGGAAAAUCCUAAUUUCCUAGAGGUCCCGGAUAUCUGCUAAUACCAAACGCCAAGCAAUCAGAACACGAGAUAACAACGAUAAAGUAUAUGGAAUCGUAAAAAGAGAGCAAAGAGAAGUCUUAUUCCGAAUUUGCGUAUGUGCGUUUACAACAAGGUAAUAAGCCUGGGCUCGAGAGCUGUCGGCGAGAUUCCUAGUUCUAACAACCCUAAGACGGCUAAACCUAAUUAAGUCGCAGCUCGAAAUAACAAAAACGGAAAGUUGUCUCAUUGCUCUAAGUGCAAAGUUUUCUCUGAAAAAGGUCCUCCUCAUGCCUUUCGCCGAGGACUCUGUAUAUACUUGCUCCUAGGUUGGUUUACGUUUUUCCCCUUCUGCCCUUAAGCCGUCAUAGCCACAAAAUGGAGAUAUUCCAUUUUGUAAUUAUCUUCCAAAACUUCGUAUUUAUCCGGGAAAACUUGACAUUUAUCUUUCCUUGCGAAACAAGCGUAAACCGUCCUACGGUUUACGGGUUUUUGGUUAAGAAAUCGUAAAGUGGGCUUCGAGUCAUGUCUUAGGUCCCAUUGGCCCGUCUUUUGGCUCGAAGCGUUUAUUACGGCUUCUUUCGAUAAAAACAAAAUUUUUGCGGUUUUUAUCGUAAAGUUAGAUUGAUGACUUCAAAUGUCGAGAAACAUGAAAUGGGUUUGCUACGGUCUUCGGGAGAUAGCAUCAAAGAGUAGACGAGAAUGCAUGGAUUCGUGUCGUAUUCGACAUUUCGGGAAAGCUCGGUCGCUACGUAGCGACCGAGCGGGACGUGCGAUCGGUUGCUACGUAGCGACAGAGCGGGGCGUGCGCUCGGUCGCUAUGUAACGACCGAGCGGGAUGUGCGCACGGUUGAUACAUAGCGACCAAGCGGGACGUGCGCUCGUUCGCUACAUAGUGACCGAGCUUGGCUCGAGCUGGGUGGCUACGUAGCGGCCCAGCAGUGCGCAUGUUCGGUCGUUCCGUGGUGACAGGGCUUGGCUUCCAUGUUCCGUUCGUCACACUCGAACCUAUCUGUGGCUGGUUUAAAUACGUUUAUGUUACCUUGGAACAGUUUGUGUUUGAUCCAACCGAGACUCGAACAAGGUUUUAUCUCGAGAUCCUGUGUCAUGACAUUUUUUACCAAGCAUAAUUGUCGCCGAAAGAAACUCACACUUGUUUUUGCGGAGGUUUGAACAUUAACUUCGUUGUAACCGUUUUCGACCCCAACAAUGACGACACGUUGCUUAACCUGGGAGCCCUCUUUGCCGAGCACUUCAUCAAUCUCAAGAUGAAGCCGUUCCAGACAUCGGGAAUGAAGAAGGAGACGGUUGAGAGUCUGCUUACACUGAUCGUCAUGCACUGUAGGAUACCAUUAGACGGGGCUGCAAUGGAUGAUCAGCUCGUCUAAAUGGACGCAGCACACCUCACGAGCGCACACUGGCUCAAGGACGACCACUUCUGGACUUUCAAAGACGCGGAUGGCACACACUUGAUAGAUCUACCCAGCCGUUCGGUCAAGGAAUUCUCAGGGGGCCUCGCUAGCAUCCAGUUUCACCCCGAUUAACGCCUCCUCCAUGGCCCAUCAACCAUGCCGUGCCACUACACCGUACAGCGAGCUAGAGGACAUCAGCAGGAGCAGACAGGGCCAGCACUUCCACCAUUCUCGCCUAUGCCAGACAUGUCUACACGUCCUGAAGGAGAUUUCCAGUGCGUCGUCGUUGAUGCUCUCACCGCCAUCUCGGCUAGAGUAUCGAGAUGCUGCUGUUUGAGCAGGAGGAAUCUGCUAGUGAAACAAUACCAAGUUUGCUGCUAGUGAAACUGUUUGGAAACAUAUAGUAAAUAGAGGAUUUACUCUAUAUUACUAUAUCUAGUUUAACCACGGAGAAGGUGAUAAUAGGAAUGAAGCUAGUAGUAGUAAUCAGGUUGAAAAUGUUCGUAACAGAUCAGAUGAACUACAUUUUCCUUUUGAAAGUUAUAACCUUCAAGAGGAUCAUAUGGUAGAUCAUGAUAGGAUGCAUGAUAUGGUUACAGAUGCAUUUCGUGAAACAAGAUCAGUAAUAGAGGAGGUAGAAAAUGUAGAGGGGCCUAACUUGGAUGCAAAAAGAUUUUAUGAAAUGCUAGCAGCAACUAAUUAGCCAAUUUAGGAAGGUUAUAGAGAAGGUCUUUCUAAAUUAUCAUUGGCAGCUAGGAUGAUGAAUAUCAAAACUGAUCAUAGUUUUCCUGAAGUUUGUACGGAUGCAUGGGUUCAGUUGUUUAAAGAAUAUUUGCAUGAAGAUAAUCUGUGUGCUGAAUCUUAUUAUGAGAUUCUGAAAUUGGUUAAUAGCCUUGGCUUACCAUCGGAGAUGAUUGUUGUGUGUAUAGACAACUGUAUGAUAUACUGGGGAGAAAAUGCAGAAUUGUUAGAGUGUAAAUUUUGCAAGAAGCCACGAUAUAAACCGCAAGGACGUGGGUGGAAUAGGGUGACGUACCAGCGGAUGUGGUACUUACCUAUUAAGGAUAGUCUGAAGAAAAUAUAUCAAUCUGAAAAGACGGGAGCAGACAAUACUCGCUUUCGCCAGUCUUCUUGACGCCACAUAACCUUCCACCAGAGAUGUGUAUGGAAAAGGAAUUGCUUUUCAUGAGUAUAUUGAUACAUGGGCCAAAGCAUCCGAAGAGGUCCCUUGAUGUUUUUCUACAGCCUUUGAUAGAAGAAUUGAAGGAAUUAUGGUCAACAGGCGUGCAGACAUAUGAUUGUUCAACGAGAACAAACUUUACAAUGCGAGCAGUUCUUUUGUGGACCAUUAGUGACUUUCCUGCAUACGGGAUGUUGUCAGGUUGGAGGAGGCUAUCUUGUCCUUAUUGUAUGGAAAGCACAGACGCAUUUCAGCUGAAGAAUGGUAGGAAGACGUCCUGGUUUGACUGUCAUUGGAGAUUUCUUCCCAUUAACCAUCCGUACCGAAGGAAUAGAAAAUUGUUUCUGUCAAAAAGGGUUGUACAAGACACCACUCCACCAUAUCUAUCUGGAAAGGAAAUCAUGAAGGAGAUUGAUUACUAUGGUGGACAAGACACAAUCAAGAAAGGGGUAAUUGUCAUACUAUUGCAAAUAUGUCUGUUGGUUACGGGACACAGCAUAAUUGGCAUAAGAAGAGUAUAUUUUGGGAACUUCCAUAUUGGAAGUAUCUACUUCUAUGCCACAAUCUUGAUGUGAUGCAUGUAGAGAAGAACUUCUUUGACAACAUCAUCAAUACAUUGCUGAACGUCCCCGGGAAGACAAAAGAUAACAAGAACUCAAUGUUGGAUUUGCCUGUAUUAUGUUAUAGGAUUGAGCUGCAUAUUAAAAACAAUGGGAAAAUUCCAGUUCCCAUUUUCAGAUUGUCAGCAGAAGCAAAAGGAGCGUUGUUCAAGUGGGUGGCAUCAGAUGUGAAGUUUUCUGAUGGAUAUGUUUUAACUCUAUCAAGAUGUGUUGAUCAGCAGGGACAUAAGUUUUUAGGGAUGAAGAGUCAUGACUGUCAUGUGUUUAUGCAACAACUUCUACCAUUUGCAUUUGCAGAGUUACUUCCAAAAAAUGUUCAUGAGGCACUUGCAGGUAACAAAUAAAGUUAUUAUUACUUCUUGAUAGAAAAAAAGUUAUAAAAGUAUCUUACAUUGGCUUGUACAAUUGUAGGCAUCGGAAAUUUUUUCUCACCUGUGAUUCUAGUAUCUUUCUUCUCUUUUUUUCAAAUAUAACAACGGUAGUCCCUAAUUGGUAGUAAAGGACUUCAUCCCACAUUGGUCAUAAAUUUACGUUUCUUUAACGACUGCUAGUCUCUCAUUGGUCGUAAAUAAAAAUAAUAAUUUAGUCCCUUAUUGGUCGUAACACUAUUUGGUCUCCCAUUGGUUGUAAAUUUACACCUCCUAUACGACCCUUAGUCACUCAUUGGUCGUAAUAUUACAACCCAUUUACGACUAACACCAAAACUCUAUAUAUACGCGGACCUCGCGAAGCCAUUUGGUUGCUCAUUCCCUUCUCUCUAACAACGAUUUCCUUUCUCUCUCUAGGUAAUUUUUUAUUUUUAUUUUGUUUUAGUUUUAGGUGGUUAGUUAGGUGAUUAGAUUAGAUUUGGAAUUAGUUUAGGAUGGAUGUAGAUUAGGAUGGAGAUAGAUUAUGAUGGAAUUAGAAUAGGUUUAGAUUAUUUUUAUAUAAAAAAUUUGAAUUGUUUCUAAACGUCAAUUUUUUUUUGGUCAGAUUGGCGAUAUAUAUUGCUAUGGCUAGCGGUAGACAGAGACUUAGGAACCUUACGCCUAGAAACUCUUACGCGAAUACCUUUCUCGGACAGGUGGAUCCAUCAGCUUCUUCGUCCGGCACAUCAUCUGGCCAAGAGAAUGUCCCUGAGAGCCAAGUUCCUACUGCUCCAUAUGUGCCUCCACAGGCAUAUGACCCUGCAGCUUACUAUCCGCAGUUUGAUGACCCUGCUCCAUUCUAUCCCCAGUACGAUGAAACUCCACAGCAGCCUCGGCAUGAUCAGCAUCAUUCUCCACACCAUCCUCAGCAGCAGUUUACUGCUCCCGAAGCUGCUCCGGCUCCUGCAGCUGUUCAUCCAGAUUUGAUGGUGCCAUCGAAUGCGCCAUAUGCAAGAUAUACAGUGGAAGACCUUCUCCAGAUGCCGGGACGAGAAGGUUUACCAAUCAUCAAUCAAGAUCGACCACCCAACACUUACUGGUAAUUUUUAAUAUUUUAAAUCAACUAAUUAUAUAUAUUGGUCUAAAUAUAUGUAUUCUUUCAAAUUUUGUAGGUUUUUGACGGACAAUUGUGUCGGACAGAGCGUUGGAGAUAUCAUCAGGACAAACUUCCGGGAAGCGCAUCCGAAUUGGUCUCUUACACCGGACCAUGUCCGGAGGACUUCGUUCAAGUGCUUCACGGUUAGUUUUAAAUAUAAUUUUAUUUAUUUUUAAUUUAGAAAAUAAUAAUUUAAUUAAUUAAUUUUUUUUAUUAAUUUUUUUAUUAAUUUUUUUUUGAAGCAAAAAUGGAAUUGGUCCAUUGCUGUCAACGAAACGUUGAAGGAAGCGUUCUACAAAAAGGCGAUGGCUCGCCUAAAGAACAUUGUUGGUGAUUGGAAGGAGAAGUGGAGGGUUCUGGGGGAUGACGCAAAAGAAGCAAACCUCAGCAAUGACGUUUGGAAGGGCUUGAAGGCUUAUUGGAAUUUGCCUAAGUCAAUUCAAAGGUCUCUCACUUGCUCAACUGCCCGGUUGACCCGUGAUGAAGAUGGUAACCUGCCAAUACCUCAUACUUCCGAACAGAUUCCACACGCUGGGAGGACACUACAAAUUGUAAGUCUUUGAUCUUUUUAAUAUUUAUUAAAUAUGUAUUAAUUAAGUAUUUAUUGAAUGCGUGAGUUUAAUUAAAAAAAAUUUUAAUACAGGCUGCCCAAGAAGGAGCACCACCAUCUCUGGCCCGAGUUUACAGGACGACACACCAGCUUUCUGAUGGCACCUUUUCGCAUCCUCAAGCAGAGAGGAUCUGAAACAAUGUUGUGGCUCAGAUCCAGGAGGUCUAGACUCAGUUGUCGCCUAUGAUGCACGGGGAAGUGAGUUUGGGUGACGUCCCGGUACCGGAAACGUAGCCUGUCGAUCGAAGAUGAGUUUGCCUGCAAAAAAUUUUGAUUAGUAAUUUUAUCAAUAUCCCUUUGGGCAUGAAGUAUUUGACUAGACAAUUUGUUUAAAUCUAGCAUGACUGGUGAUACGAACCGGUCAUGCAUGUCCUCGUAAGUUUGCAGCCUAUCAUCCAUGGCUGAGAUCUUAGUGUCGAGCGAUGUGAUGGUACACACAUCGAUCGAUGUGGCUGGUUGUUGGUCCUUCUUGCGAAUGGUGUCCAAAUCUUGCUGUAGUAGCUCGAUUUUAGUGCUCAGCCAGUCCACGUUGUUGUUGAGAGGGUAGUACAUGUCGUUUAUCCUCGUGUUGAUGUAUGAGACUUCCCAUUCAUCCUUGUGUUCUACUGAACAUUGCGGUUCUGCAGGGAUCUGGGCUGUAGGAAGACUGACGUCGAUCGAUGGUGCAUGUGGCGCGUCGAUCGAUGUUGAGGUCGUGGCUUCCUUCUCAAGUUGCUGACGUAAACUCUCAAUUUCUGUCCUGAUUUCUACCAUACUUCUGAAAAGCUCAUUGUAGCCUCUAUCAAAAGGUUGAUGUGUAUCUUCUACCAAUGAUUUGAGUUCCUCUCCCAGUUUUUCCUGAGCUCCACAAAUACCAGUCACCAUCUCGUUGAUUUCAUCUUUGGUGUUGAGUUCUGGUGCCAGUCUUGUGAGUGUGAAGGAAGUGGCGUGUUCUGGAAGACAAAUGUGGCCCUCUUCAAAAAGAAAUGCUCUUUCCAGUAAUUUCCUGAUGUCGUCCUUUGUGACAGGUAUCAUCUCACUAGCUACGCCUCGUGCGUGUCCACACUCAUCUCUGUAGACUCCAUACUCGUCCCUUCGUUCCCAAGUGAACUUUCUUGCUCCAUACAUGUCAAAAGCGCGGUAUCCAAAUUCAUAACGUCUGUCGAUCAACGUCGGGUCAUCCUUACCGAUCGACGUUGGUGUUAUCCUGUCGAUCGAUUUCUGAGUUGUCCCGUCGAUCGAUGCAUGGCCUUUUGGUUGGCAUGAUAGAUCUGGAUUGAUUUUUGUUGCGGCGACUCCUACGUGUUUGUUAGGAUUGGUUUGAAUGACGUCUGGAGUGCCACGUUGCUGUGAGAAUAGGUUGUCAGGUCCAUUGGCCACUUGAAGGAUAUCUGCUAUGUCCUCUCUAGACACUUGUAAGAUCCUUCCAUCUAUUGCACGUGCGUUGCCAUCUAGGUCCCUGAAAAUACCAAAUUCAUCAGGAGUUAGAAAACCGUAAUCAAUUUUUGCAUUAUCAUUCAAUUUAGAAAUAGAAAGAUUAGGUUUAAGAGUAGUAUCGAUCGAUGUUGAUACAGAUGCAUCAAUCGAGGACAGAAUAGUUUCUGCUGAACUUGUGUUCUUGAGAUGAUUGCUCUUCAUGAAUUUUCAUGUUGAUGUAGAUGGAAGAGUGUUCAUCUUUUCUGCUUGUGUGUCUGCUCUGGUGUGUGGAGGUGGUUUCAGGGGUGCAAAACGUUUUAAAUAGGUAUCUAUAAGCCUAGUUUGAGAGGGAAUAUUCUCCUGUUCCUGGAUUUUCGCUGCAGUGCGAAUAUCGAUCGAUGUUCCUCUGUGGGUGUCGAUCGAUGUGAGCGGUUGUUUUGCUGGAAGAGGGUGGGUAUCGACCGAUGUGGAGUGCACUUCGUCGAGCGUUGUUGGGAACGUGUUGGUGAACUUAUGCGUUUCAAAUAUUUCAUCCUGCAAAGACAUUUCUAUUGCACGUUCCUUCCAAUAAUCCUCAUCGUAUUCUUCUGUGUGUUCCUCGUUAGGUAAAGCAAUUAUAGUGUCAACUGCAAAAAUUUCAUGGAAACCACUGUCUGCCCAAAUGCCUAUGAAAUAAUCAUCACGUCCUCUCUUGCUUGGAGGUUGGAAGACAAAGUGUAGGUAACAAUGAUUAGGUGAAGCGAAAUGGUCAACCGGCUGAUCAACGUCGAGCGACGUGUUGUUCCGGUCAUCAAUCACUGUUGACUCAUUGGAAUCGAUCGAUGGAAAAGUGGGGGUGUCGAUCGAUUCCGAGUACUCUGAUUCGUACUCUGCUCCACAAUGGCAUGCGCCAAUGAAGCCAAGUUCUUUCCCGUAAUCCACAGAAUUAAUAACCUUUCUCUUAGGUUGGAUAGGGUCGUAGUGGAUGUUGGGGUCUAUCAGCGUCAUCACAAUUUGUUUUUGUUCAUGUCACAUACAACUCCUACUGUAGCUAGGAAAGAUCUUCCAAGCAAAACUGAAGAGUUCCAGUUAAACUCUAUGUCUAGGACAUGAAAAUCUACCGGGACAAGAGCAUUACCAAUCUGUACCUCCAGAUCUCUUAUGAUACCUCCUGAUCGUUUUUAUGAAAGAUCCACGAAGGUGAAGGAUUCUGUUGAAGGUUUGAUGGUCAAACCAAGCUGGUCUGCCAUGAUCCUAGGGAGGAUACUAACUGAUGCUCAUGUGUCACACAUAGAAUGGGGAAAUUCAACACCCUUGACUACGCAUGGUAUUGCAAACUUCCCAGGAUCACUCUUCUUCGUCAAUGUGAUCCUGUGCUUCAUAUUCUCUCUGACUUGAUGAAACAUUCUCCUAAUGUCCUCCUCAGUUACCUUUGUUUCUCUGAAGAACAUCCACAACCGGUGUGUGAAAUAAGCUUCAUCAAAAGCUUUUUUGAUUGAGAUUCUGAGGACUCUCUUAGUGAAACCAUCCAUCUCCUUAUCAUUAGCUUCCCUCUUAAGGUUCUUAGGAAUUUUUUCCUUUCUUUUCCUUAACCUUCUCCCUUCAUUUUCCUGAUCUUCUUGAACUGGUUCUGGUGAACUAUUUAAAGGGUUGGGUUUUGGUUCGAGCUGGUUAGCUAAUUGUUUCGGUGGUGGUUUGAGUGCGUUGAUAUAGUCAUUAUCGAUUGAGGGAAACCGCACUCGGUAUUUCGGAGGUGCAUGUCGAUCGAUGGGAGGUGUGUUGUGACGAUCGACGUCGGACUCACUCUGUCGAUCGAUGGUUGGCUCGGCCGAUCGAUCGAUCUUAUCAUAGAAAGGGGAGGGUGGGUGAGGAUGCUUAGCUGCGAAUUCCUCAUGAGUUAGAAUUCGAACUGCAUUGCAUUUAGUCGAUUUAGCGGACGACGUCAAUCGAUGACUAGAGUAAUCCGUCCAUCAAUCUUCGUUAUGGUCUAUCGAUCGAUGCGAGUUCAUCGACAUCGGUCGACACCAUUGGGAUCCGCCGAGACUCAUGGAUCUUUCGAUUUUGAAAUCUCCUUCCUCAAGCUUUUCAUGUCUCACCACUUGCCAGAAAUCAUCAUCUAUGAUGGCAUUUACGUGGUGUUUUCCUUUAUCAGCUCAUGCCUCUCUAGCGAAAGCUUCUUGCCUCUUUAUAGUCUCGCCAGUCUGAAUCACUUGCGUUUCAAGUUUUCUCACCUGAGUCCCUAAGGUCUCGAUUUUAGUGUUCAGAUUGUUGUAGGCGGAGUCUAUUUUACCGUUGAAAUCCACAGUGAUUUGUUGUUGUCCCAACAGUACUCGAUCAAGCAUUUCUUCGAUCUUACUUUCCUGAGUCUGGGGUGGUGGAUUCUGGUAGUAGGAGUUCGAGUAGCUUUUGCUGUUGUUGAAGGGUUUUUGAAAUUGUGAACUCUGGUUACUUCUUUGACCAUUUCCAAAGAAGCUUUUGUUUCCGCCCUGGUUUCCAAAUUUCUGGAAUCCGGUACCUCCGAUGUAGUUCACAUUUUCUUCUCCUUCCGUAUCUACUACUUCUCCUUCAGCUAAACAGACUUGCUUCCUAAGAAGCUCAUGAACCACAUCUAACUUAGCUCUUACUUCGUCCAUCUGUUCCUUCCCGAUAGAGGCUACAUACUUCUUCCGUUCAGAGUCAGUGUUUUUGGUGCUGCUACUGUUAGCAAGGUUUUCGAUAAGUCUCACAGCUUCUAACGGAUUCCGAGUAGUGAAGUUUCCUUCACUCGCUGUAAGGCGAGACCUCGGAAGAAAGUGCUUAGCAGCUGCACGUCGUUAAAUCUGUGGUGUGGACAGUCUCGCUGGAAGAACCUAAAUCUAAUCCACGCAUCUUUGAAGGACUCUCCAGUCUCUUACGAGAAUGUGGAAAUUUUGUUUCGAAGUUCUUCAGCGCGCGCCUCAUCGAAGAAGUUUCGUAAGAAAGCAUUCUUGAUGUCGGCCCAGGAUGUUAAGGAUCCUGUGGGUUGCUGCCUAAGCCAGUGCAUCGCUUCUCCAUUCAGCAUGUAUCUGAAGAGCUUGCACAGCAGGUAAUCUUCGGGGACUCCUUCCAUCCGAAUUGCAGCGAUUAAAUCCUCGAACCGUUCUAGAUGGUCCAUAGGAUGCUUGUGCGGUAAACUAGAGUAGGGUAUCUGCGACACGAGAGUGCAGUAUUGAGGCUUCAGCUCAAAAUUCUGCUUCUGGAUCUCUGGAAGUCGAAUAGCUGAUCUGUUGGAAUAGUACUCAUCCGGGCGAUUGUAGUCGGCCAGUGGUUUCGAUCGAGCGUCCUCAUCUACAGGUUGAGCCUGUAGUAUCAGCAUCAGGGAUUACAGUCUCCUGAGUGUCUACUUUCUGACAUGUUGCAUUACGCAGAUGACAGUCAUGGUCAUACAGGUUUCCGUUCUCAUACUUUUUUAAAAUAAUAAUGUUUACCAUUUUUUACGACACGAUAUCAAUCGACGUACGCGGUGUAGUAUCGAUCGUUGUCGAACGAUUAGGAUCGAUCGACGAUGAAUGUCUGGUGUCGGUCGACGGUUGGUUGUGAGUAUCGAUCGAUGACAAAGUUGUAGCGUCGAGCGAUGUGUAACGUUGACCUCUACGGAGGGUGCAUUCCAAGUGAGCAGGAUCGUCUGAGAACAGCAAGUCUUUCUCCUUGUUGCUUCUGGUACCGCUGGGCAUGCACCUAAAAAGACAAGAAAAAGAUUAUGUUAGAAAGGGGGGUAGAGAAGAGAAUAAGAAUCAAUAAAACUAAAUCUAAUGGCGAUCAAAGCUCCCCGACAACGGCGCCAAAUUUGAUACCACUCAAAUUACCCUAAUGAGUGUUACUCUCAUCAAAAGAGGUUCAGAUGUAGUACUUAGGGAUCGAAUCCACAAGGAGCUAGGGAACAAUUAAAUCUAGUGUUUAUUAAUUCUAAGAGUUGUAAAUGUUUAAAUGAAAUAACAAUAGUAACAAGCGAAGCAAAUAGUAAAUGUAACUUGUUUGGAAAUGAUAUUAGAUGCAGGACCACUAUUCAGGUGUUGGAGAUUAUAAUAUCUAUAGAUGCCUAUUUGUUGCAUGCAUGAUAUGUUAGAGCUCAACCGCUUAAGUCAGUGAUCAGCUGUUGCAUGUUUCACUGGUUAACAGGCUAGAUCUCGUGUCUCAAUGGUUAGUAUGUUGACAACGAAAGAGUGUCGAUCGACGGUCCUAUUGGGAUAUCGACCGAUACACCUUUGCCUAAGUCGACCGAUAGUCAGUUGAGGACAUCGAUCGACGGGUUCUAGCCAGGCCUAUGCGCGAGUAUGAUAUGCCCUAUUAAGAUACUAAAUUGGCGGUUAGCCCUCUCUAGCAGUCCUAAUAUGAUAGAUAGAUGUCAGGAUGGGAUAACAAGGGUGCAUGAGUAUGCAAUCCUAUAAUCAUGUUCUAGUUAGCAAGGCUAAAACAAGCAAUGAAUACAAAUCUAUCAUGAAUAUCACAACAAGGCAGAUCUAUAGUUUGGGGCUAAUCCCACAAACCUAUCUGAACCCUGGAUCUAAUAAAUGAACUACUCAGACAUAGCAAAGCAAUUCAUAACAAUGAAGAAAUGGGAAUUCAUAGUAUAGAUGAAAAGAAAUGAAAACAAGGAGUUCCAAUCACAAGUGAUCUUCUAUCCAAAACUCUCUCUCUCUCUCAAAGUAAAACUCUAACAAAAAGCUCUCCCUGCCGUCAAAACACUUAGGCAGUAUAUAAUCUACUAGGUUAAAAACUCUUCAGGGCAUUUUUGUAAUUUGGCUUGGACUUGGGCUUCAAGUCUGCUGGAUCCAAAAUGUCGCAUGUCCAAUGUCUCGACAUCGAUCGAUGGUACUUGUGUACAUCGAUCGAUAUUAAUCUUCAUUUGUCGAGGCAUCUCAUGGUGUCAAUCGACAGCACUGGAUGUGCAUCGAUCGAUUGUUCUUCCUCUCGUCGACCUCUACAUGGUCAGCUCGGGUGAAAUGUCUUUUAACCUCCAAAAUGCUCCAAAGUCAUAGCUUUACUCCGAAUGCACAUGAACAUGAAAACAUACCUAGAAGAGUAGAAAACAUGGAUAUAUAUAUAGUAAAACACCUAUAUACCAUGGAUGAAAACGGGUCAAAUCCAAGGUAUAUCAAUCCCCCUUUAAACCUAGAUCUUAGGAUUAAUUGGGAUCAAGCCAUUGCUUGACUCAAUACCUGAAAAUUAACUAGUAUGAUCUAACUGACUAGAUACAGACGAGAGUUGAUCUAGUGAGUUUGAAAAUAUAAAUUAAACCUGUCCGUAAAAUUUUCUGGAAGAAGUAUCGAUCGACACAUCGAUAGCCCUGUCGAUCGAUAUUUUGAAAGGUGUAUCGAUCGAUAUUCAUAUAGAAUUAUCGAUCGACAAUUUCUCGUGAUUAACAUACGAGAGUUGAAAUCCGAGAUCCAGAUUAGAUAAUCAGAUUGAUUAUAUCUAAAGUUUAAAUUCAAGAAUAAUUAAUAAAACCUCUACAAACCCAAAUUAAGUUUACUUAUCAUACCUGGGAAUAUACCUGAAUCUAGCUAUUUCUCCAAACUGUAAACAACCUCAAAACAAAUCAAUCGAGCAAUAAAAUUGCUCACCACUCCAUUUACUGCUUUAAAACUUAUAAACCAUUUAAUCUAGAUUUAUUUCAAGGCCAUAAUCUAUUGUGUAAUCCUAGAGUCUCUAUGGAUUCGAUCCCUAAGUACUACAUCUAAACCUCUUAUUUGAGAGAGUAAUUCACUCCUUAGGGUAAUUUGAGUGAUAUCCGUUAGCUUACGACUAAUAAACAUCGACAUUAAAGGUAAAUUGGUCAUAAGGUUAUGACCAGUGUACGACUAAUAUAUGAGACGUAAAUGUACGUCACCUUUACGACAAAUGUAUUUACUUUUAACUUACGACCAACUUAUUGAGCCGUAAAGCUACGUCUGAUAUAUGACUAAUUUUUCUAGACGCAAUAUUACGACCAAUGUGCCUCUAAUUAUUAAUUACGAUCAUCUUAUAACGACCAAUCGAUUUUCGAAGUUAAUUGGUCCUAAAGCCCAUAUUACGACCAACUAGCUACUAAUACUGUAGUCGUUAAGGUCAUGUUUUCUUGUAGUGAAAAGUCCCCAGAAAAUAUUUCUCGCAAUAUAAAUUCCGUAUAAUUUUUAUCCACAAUAAGAAGCAAACAUUGUUGGGAUCAAAAACGGUAAUCCAAAACCUGUGUUUCUGUAUGAAAGCUUUCUCGACACACUCUCGACAAAAUUUCCUGAGCAAAAAACUCGAGAGAAAUGGAUCACAGAACCAAACAAGCAGUCCAACUCGUUUGUUCGUACGUUUUGAGGUGCAGAACUGCACAGACGAGUCAGAUGUUUAGCUAUGGAUGAAGACCUUCCCGUGGUAUGAUUGAGCUUUGAGUUAGCUUUCCAAUGCCACCGGUCAGAGGUUAAUCAGCAUUCUGUAUCAUAAGUUAUGUCUAUUUUAUUGAAGGGUGGAAAGAGCACACCGUCCAGCUCGGUGGAUGGCCGAGCUGGAUCGACCACGCGGCCAGCUUGGCCAUCCGCCGAGGUGAACCAAACCAGCUCGGCCAUCUGCCGAGGUGAACCAGUCCAGCUCGGCGGAUGGCCGAGCUGGAUCGACAACACGACUAGCUCGUCCAUCCGCCAAGCUGAACCAGUCAAGCUCUGCGGAUGGCCGAGCUGGAUCGAACACGCGACUAGCUCGGCCAUCCGCCGAGCUGGAUCGACAACACAACCAACUCGGCCAUCCGCCCAGUCCAGCUCGGUGGAUGGCCGAACUAGAUCAACACACGACCAGUUCGGCCAUCCGCCGAGUUGGAACGAUCGUGUUGUCAUAGUCCCGUCCUCGUAGCUCCCUCCUUCGGGAUUGGAUCGAACAUGCUCUUGUUUCAUUUCGAUCAGAGUCACCGAUGGAACUUUACGAUUUAAAACCGCAGUAACUCGUUGUUGGGGAAAAAUAUUCCAUGAAGAGAUUACUCCAGCUUCCGUUUUCCAGGUCUCUGCCCCCAGGGUCUAGGUUCCUGCAUUUGGGUCCCGGGUCCCUGUCCCCGAGUCUGGGACCUUCCUCCGUCUUCCAGGCCAAGUGAUUUCUCCUGCCUUAAGAUAAAUGAAAAUCUUCCAUUUAUCAGGUAAUCAGCUUAGAGAAGAAGGGAUCUUCCUAAAUCCAAGAGAAAGAGGAAGUAUUCCAAUAUAUAGGCUGCCCUUAAAGAAGAGUGGAAAUAUUCUAUUAUCUAAGGAUUUAUGGAAUAUUUCCAAACCCUAAAGAGGAGGCAUGACCUCCACUAUAAAGAGAGGUUUCUAAAUCUAAAGAGGAGGUCCAUAACACAGAGAGAGAGACACGAGCUCAUCAUCUCCAUAGCCGGCAAGGCAAGAUUCGAGACCUAGAAGGCCAUCGUCAUCAACAUGCUUAUAACCGAUGAAUCCCUGCGAUUAAUACCAACAAGAUGAAGUUCUCCAUUCAUGGGAACACGUCCAUCUAUGAGGAAAACACGUCAAUCUAUGAGGGGGAGACUUCCAUUACCAGAGCUCACCAAUUCUACAGCCGCCAAGGCAAGAUGCUACACAUAGAAGAUCUUCUUCUCGGACAAGCCUAGGAGAGGCUGAUCCCGGCGGUUACUAUCGACCAGGGGAAGAUAUAUGCUCCCUGCAACACGUCUACAACGCUACAUACUGGCCCAGGCCACGAUCUCCAGCACACCGACAGGGACACUCCAUGCUCAACAAAGCAUAUCGAAGCUCCAUGCUCCCUGCAGCAUAUCGCCUACUCCACCAUCUGUUCCGACCAUGUGCCCCAUCGAACAGAUGACUCCUAUCACCUUGAUAUACCUUGGAUUUGGCCCAUUUUUAUCCAUGGUAUAUAGGUGUUUUACUAUAUAUAUAUCUAUGUUUUCUACUCUUCUAGGUAUGUUUUCAUGUUCAGGUGCAUUUCGGAGUAAAGCUAUGACUUUGGAGCAUUUUGGAGCUUAAAGGACAUUUCACCCGAGCUGACCACUUAGAGGUCGACGAGAGGAAGAACAAUCGAUCGAUGCGCAUCAGUGCUGACGAUCGAUAUCAGGAAAUACCUCGAUAGAUGAAGAUUAAUAUCGAUCGAUGUACACAAGUACCAUCGAUUGAUGUCGAGACACCAGACGCGACAUUUUGGAUUCAGCAGACUUAAAAACAAAGGCCAAGCCAAAUUACCAAAAUGCCAUGACGAGUUUUCAACCUAGUAGAAUAUAUACUGGCUACGUGUUUUGACGGCAAAAAGAACAGAGCUUUUUCUAGACCUAGUUUUGUUACAAGUUUCAUUUAGGAGAGAAGAUCACUUGUGAUUGGAACUCCUUGUUUCUAUUUCUUUUCAUCUAUACUAUGAGUUUCUAUUCUUUUAUUGUGAUGAAUUGCUUUGCUAUGUCUGAGUAGUUCAACUGUUACAUCCAGGGUUCAGAUAGGUUUGUGGGAUUAGCCCCAAACUAUAGAUCUGCCUUGUUGUGAUAUUCAUGAUAGAUUUGUAUUCAUUGCUUGUUUUAGCCUUGCUAACUAGAACUUGAUCAUAGGAUUGCAUAUUCAAGCACCCUUGUUAUCCCAUCCUGACAUCUAUCUAUCAUAUUAGGAUUGCUAGAGAGGGCUAACCACCAAUUUAGAAUCUUAGUAGGGAAUUUCAUACUCGCGCAUAGGCCUGGCUAGAACCCGUCGAUCGAUGUCCUCAACUGACAAUCGAUCGAUGUUGGCAAAGGUGUAUCGGUCGACGUCUUACUAGACCAUCGAUCGACACUCUCUCGUUGUCUGCAUACUAACCGUUGAGACACGAGAUCUAGUCUGUUAACCAGUGGUACAUGCGACAGCUGAUCACUAAGUUAAGCGAAUGAGCUCUAUUAUAUCAUGCAUGCAACAGUUAGGCAUCUAUAGGUAUUAUAAUCUCCAACACCUGAAGAGUGGCCCUGCAUCUAAUAUCAUUUCCAACCAAGUUACAUUUAUUAUUUACUCGCUUGUUACUAUUGCUAUUUCAUUUAGACAUUUACAACCUUUAGAAUUAAUAAACACUAGAUUUAAUUGUUCCCUAGCUCCUUGUGGAUUCGAUCCAUAAGUACUACAUCUGAACCUCUUUUGAUGAGAGUAACACUCCUUAGGGUAAUUUGAGUGGUAUCAAAUUUGGCACCGUUGCCGGGGAGCUUUGAUCGCCAUUAGAUUUAGUUUUAUUGAUUCUUAUUCUUUUCUUUACCCCCCUUUACGAAUAUGGAGUCUACAGAGAUGAGUGUGGACACACACGAGACGUAGCUGGUGAGAUGAUACCUGUCACAAAGGACAACAUCAGGAAUUUACUGGAAAGAGCAUCUCUUUUUGAAGAGAGCCACAUCUGUCUUCCAGAACAUGCCACCUCUUUCUUCCAGAACAUGCCACCUCUUUCACAAUCAGAAUACUGGCACCAGAACUCUACACCAAGGAUGAAAUAGAUGAGAUGGUGUUUGGUAUUUGUGGAGCUCAAGAGAAACUGGGAGAGGAGCUCAAAUCAUUGGUAGAAGAUACACAUCAGCCUUUGGAUAGAGGCUACAAUGAGCUUUUCAGAUGUAUGGCAGAAAUGAGGACAAAAAUUAAGAGUUUACGUCAGCAACUUAAGAAGGAAGCUACGACCUCAACAUAGAUCGGCGCAACACCCGCAACAUCGAUCGACGUCAGUCUUCCUACAACUCAGAUCCCUGCAGAACCGUAAUGUUCAACACAACACAGGGAUGAAUGGGAAGUCUCAUACAUCGACACAAGGAUAAAAGACAUUUACUGCCCUCUCAACAACAACGUGGACUGGCUAAGCACUAAAACCGAGCUACUACAGCAAGAUCUGGACACCAUUCGCAAGAAGGACCAACAACCAGCCACAUCGAUCGACAUGUGUACCUUCACAUCGCUCGACGCCAAAGUCUCAGCCAUGAAUGAGAGGCUGAGGACUUACGAUGACAUGCAUGACCGCUUUAUAUCACCAGUCAUGACAUAUUUAAACAAAAUGUCUAGUCAAUUACUUUAUGCCCAAAAGGAUAUUGAGAACAUUACUAAUCAAAAUUUUUUGCAGGUAAAAUCAGCAUCGAUCGACAGGCUACGAGGGCCUUGGAUCGAUGGCAAGAAACAUGUGGAGCUACUUCCUUACACAGCAGCAGAGGUUGACAAGAUCACAUCCAAGAUCUACACUGCUCUAGACAACAUGGAGGAACGACUUGACAAACGCUGCGAUGACAUCUACUUUCCAUUCGAAAACAAAAUCAGUGGACUAGACAACCACGCAGAAUGGCUACAGAAAGAAGUCAAAGCCAUUCAGAGGCAACUCGCAGCCCAACACCAGAUAUCAGCAUCGAUCGACAGGACACUAGCGAAAUCGAUCGAUGGAAACUCGCCAAGAUCGACCAACGAACACAUAAUCGCAUCGAUCGACGCCGAGUCUACACCAAUCGGCGAGCAGCUGAUACACAAGACAGUAGAGUCAAUGCAAAAGGAACUGACAGAUCUUUCAGCAUACGCCUAUGACAACAUAGGCUGGCACCAGGUCAGCAUUGACAACGUUCAAGAAAGGCUACAAAACAUCUCCAAUGUACUUGAGAAAAUGGAUGACAAAUGGACAAGAAAUGAUGAGGCCAUAAGAAGUUUCAUUGCAUCUUGGUCCAGAAUGCGCAGAGAUGACGUGGAUGCUUGCUUUCCAACAAGCAGCUGUUUCUCCACACAAUAGCCAAUCACCACCACAGUCAAGCUAAAUGACUAUAACCAAGCGCUGAGUGGGAGGCAACCCACUAUUAGGUAUUUUAUUUAGGUUUUAUUAGCUAGCAUUUAUUUCCUUUCGUUUUAUAUCUUUCAGAUUUAGGAGACCCAAGUAGGAGGACCUGAAUAUCGACCGACGACGAGACGUCGACAUUGCUCGACAUAGACAACCACACGACGAUCGAUGUAACACUUACACAUCGAUCGAUAUCUAAUCCGGUCAGAUGUAUCUUCCUUACUUGUUACAUUUUGUACAUUGUAAACUAUUCAUCAUAACUCCGGCUGAGUUACACUGGGACAGUGUAAUUUAAGUCUGGGGGGAGAUUUACUGAUAUAAUUUAUUUUAUUCUUAUGUAAAAAGAAAUUUUAAAUAAAUUAUGCUUAGCUAUUGAAAAUAGGGACUAUAAUCUUAUAUUGAUUUAAACAUGAAUAUCUAACCAAUCUUUAGCACCAUUUUAGAUUUACUGAUUGCAGAUAACACUAAAUAUGCUAAAUCGGAUUAACCUAUCAACUACACACUUGCCUUGAACCGUAUGAAGUAACCAAAGCUGAUUUCCAACACUAAACCUGACAUAACCGCUUGUCUUGGGGCUUGGUAUACAUGGGAUCGGAUUCUUCAGAAAGGUCUGGAAGGUAACGCCUGGUUUAGAUUAUUUAUCACAUUUUCUCUCUCUAAAUUUCGACCCUAGAUUAGUUAGUGAGUAUUUAAAAAAAAAAAAAUAUAUAUAUAUAUAUAUAUAUAAAAUAAUAAAUAAGAUCUAUUGUUUAAUUAGGAUGAGUCUGAACAGGACUUGGUGGCUAAAACCAUUAAGGCUUGAUUCAUAAAGACUCAAAUAAAAGAGUUCGAAACGGGACUUGGAGGCGGCAAUCUUCAAGGCUCGCUUUCGCAAAGAACUCUUGGAUAUAGGUCAAAAAGAAGUGAACAGAACUUGGUGGCAACCACCAUUAAGUUUUGAUUCAUAGAAGCCUGUCCAAUCUUGGUCACUGAUCCUGCAAUGGAAGCAUACUUUGACUCAAGAGAGAAAAUUAGAGAGAGAGAAACUAGGAACUAACUUUUACCUGCAGCUCCAGAUACCUGUCUGAAAUCCUUGCAUCAUGUGAUCGAUACUCCAAAGGUAAAGCAUUCACUUUAUAUUUAUGCUAAGAAAUGAAAUCAUUAGAGGAGAUGUCAGACGUGAAUUGAUGAGUUGUGUUAUGUUAGAAAUGGUUGCUAAGCUAGGAUAUUGCAUAGUGUGCUUUUGUGAUUAGGACUUUUUAAAUGUGGUUGCAAAAUUGUUUAGGAAAGAUUUCAAUGUUUUAAAAUCUUAAAUCCCCAAAUAUUUUCAAACCUCUUUCAGAGAGACGGCAUGUAUGUUUUUCUUGAGGACAAGCAAAAGGAUAAGUCUGGGGGAGUUGAUAUACCUUGGAUUUGACCUAUUUUUAUCCAUGGUAUAUAGGUGUUUUACUAUAUAUAUAUAUCUAUGUUUUCUACUCUUCUAGGUAUGUUUUUAGGUUCAGGUGCAUUUUAGAGUAAAGCUAUGACUUUGGAGCAUUUUGGAGCUUAAAGGACAUUUCACCCGAGCUGACCACUUAGAGGUCGACGAGAGGAAGAACAAUCGAUUGAUGCACAUCAGUGCUGACGAUCGAUAUCAGGAAAUGCCUCGACAGAUGAAGAUUAAUAUCGAUCGCUGUACACAAGUACCAUCGAUCGAUGUCGAGACACCAGACGCGACAUUUUGGAUUCAGCAGACUUAAAAACCAAGGCCAAGCCAAAUUACCAAAAUGCCCUGACGAGUUUUUAACCUAGUAGAAUAUAUACUGCCUAAGUGUUUUGACGGCAAAAAGAACAGAGCUUUUUCUAGACCUUGUUUUGUUACAAGUUUCAUUUGGGAGAGAAGAUCACUUGUGAUUGGAACUCCUUGUUUCUAUUUCUUUUCAUCUAUACUAUGAGUUUCUAUUCUUUUAUUGUGAUGAAUUGCUUUGCUAUGUCUGAGUAGUUCAACUGUUAGAUCCAGGGUUCAUAUAGGUUUGUGGGAUUAGCCCCAAACUAUAGAUCUGCCUUGUUGUGAUAUUCAUGAUAGAUUUAUAUUGAUUGCUUGUUUUAGCCUUGCUAACUAGAACUUGAUCAUAGGAUUGCAUAUUCAAGCACCCUUGUUAUCCCAUCCUGACAUCUAUCUAUCAUAUUAGGAUUGCUAGAGAGGGCUAACCGCCAAUUUAGAACUUAGUAGGGCAUUUCAUACUCGCGCAUAGGCCUGGCUAGAACCCGUCGAUCGAUGUCCUCAACUGACAAUCGAUCGAUGUUGGCAAAGGUGUAUCGGUCGAUGUCUUACUAGACCAUCGAUCGACACUCUCUCGUUGUCUGCAUACUAACCGUUGAGACACGAGAUCUAGUCUGUUAACCAGUGGUACAUGCGACAGCUGAUCACUGAGUUAAGCGAAUGAGCUCUAAUAUAUCAUGCAUGCAACAGUUAGGCAUCUAUAGGUAUUAUAAUCUCCAACACCUGAAUAGUGGCCCUGCAUCUAAUAUCAUUUCCAACCAAGUUACAUUUAUUAUUUACUCGCUUGUUACUAUUGCUAUUUCAUUUAGACAUUUACAACCUUUAGAAUUAAUAAACACUAGAUUUAAUUGUUCCCUAGCUCUUUGUGGAUUCGAUCCAUAAGUACUACAUCUGAACCUCUUUUGAUGAGAGUAACACGCCUUAGGGUAAUUUGAGUGGUAUCACACCUACAAGGCCACGUGCCUCCAUCAGAGCUACGUGCUCCUUAGGCCAUGUGCCCAUUAGGCUAUGCGCCCACUUAGGCUCCAUGCCUCCACCAAUACAUGAACUACGAACGGCUUGAUCCCUCACUGAAGGGUACGUAGGCAAUCCCCCCUAAAGGAUGCUGCUAUAUAUCCCAAACACCUUCCAUGGUUCCACCCCUAGAAGCUCAAAGACCGCCCCUGGUGGUCGGAACCAUCAAUUACAGAUCAGGAGGCAUCCAAGGACCGACCCUGGAGUCAGGACCAUCAAUUGCAGACCCAGAAGACCCUGCGAUCUUCACGACAAACAGACGGUUCCUGCCUAACAACCGACCUUUCUUACUGCUACUAAGGCACUGAUGACAUAUACCAGCCCAUACCCGUAUGGCACUACCCUCAGAGUAGGAUCUACUGACUUAUCCACGACCGAAGCAGGAGAAAGUACCACGACGACCAGUCUACUUCUUCCUAUCAUUCCGUAGUGCUGAGCACGAAUCACUUGUACGCAAAAAUUCCCUAACAGUUUUGCGCUAGAAGGAGGGGCAGUCAUAUGCUACGUGAUGAUGAUGAUAGGUGGAAGAGACAUUACAUCCAUUACUUCAGAAUAUUUCAACCACAGCCAUCUAGGGGCAAGAAACGACGUAUUCUCACGAGAUCUAAACCUCAUUAAGCUGGAAACACCUCUUCAAAGGAGGAUAACACAACGCUAAACAGAAGUAACAAGACCCAACACAGGAAUUACCAACUGGUUCCUAUUGGUUCCUGCUGGUUCUGGGUCCUAUCCUCAGAUUAAACUUUCUGCAGUCCCUGGUUCCUGCUGGUUUCGGGUCCUAUCCUCAUAUCAGAUCCCCGCAGUCUUCGGAUCUGCCGGUUCCGGGUCCCAACCCAAAGCCGAUGUCUACAAUUAUUGACUCAUGCUGGUUCUGGAUCUUCACUACACAACAAGUCUCACCAACCUUCGGACCCAAUGGGGGCAGCCAUCACCAAGCAAGCCCUAGACGACAUCCAUAUUUCCAGACUCACAACUCCGCCUCAUAUGAGAAAGAUGCAAGGUUCUCAAACAGGACACAACAUUUUCCGCCCGGGUUUACAACUUAGACGAAUUCUAAAGACAGGAAGAGUCACACGAAGAGCUCCUGGAAAUACCACGGGCCUACCAGGCAACCACUAAGAGGUAACCAGAGAACCACCUUUCUCUUUAGGCUUUACAAUGUAAGUGGUAGUGGAAUCCUAGAUAAGCCUAAUAGCUGGGUGGAUAGAAUGCCUUUUAGUACUCAUCAACUUCCAUUGGAGUUGUUCCGCGAAAGGAUCCCUGCCCAAGCGACUGGAACACUGCUUCUUUGCAUCCUGCAAAGGAGCCGAAGAAAAAUGAGAACUCUACAUCAAGACAUGCUGGCCUUCUGAUUCUUGGGUCCAAUUAGAGCAAAGGAGAGUAAAAGAAGCCGGAGAACACACGUUCCAGCUACUAAUCAUCUAUGGGUUCCAGGUUCCAGCUUCCAGGUCCCAAAUCCCAGGGCCUGGAUCCCAGGUCCCAAAUCCAGGUUCCGGGUCUCCAGCUAUCCACCUUACAUGGAGGGAAAUCCAAUGGCUCCACGAAAAAGCAAGCUCCGACCACCUUACUACUGCUUUUUCCGGCAACAAACCCUGAUAUACCUCUAAAGGAAAUUAAGGCCUUUUACCCCCUACAAACUCCCGGGGAAACUCAGGAUCCGUGCCUCUCCAAGUUUCCAAGGCUGCACCCCUCGACAAGUUGUAAGAAACGGGAAUUCCCAGUGAAGGAGUCAAGAAUACGCCAGUCUACAAGGAAGUAGGUCCAAGGUACAUACCUUCCUGAACUUCUACGAAAGAGAUAACUAAGAGAAAAGAGGGGGCAAACGAGUUAACACUCAACACAAGGGGCAAAUAUGCGUCAACAAAUCUUGUUGGCUUGCCCACUAAAGGGAGGAUUCAAGACAAAGCGACGGUUCAUUUAGUGACAUCCAAGAAACGCUGAGAGUGGCUCACCCAAGAGGGAGCAGAGAGCAGCCAGAAAAAGUUAGUAAACGACAUCGACAAAAAGAGAAUAUCUACAGAUCCUCAUUUGCCAGGGCACUAGUUCCAAGGAGCCUCCAGGCUCUCAAAGAUAAAUCUACUGGUCCUCCAAGAGAAGUAGCCCCCACGCCUCAAAAAAAAAUCUAUGUUCCUCCAAGGUCCUGUUACAGGUCUAAGGACCCUUUAUCCAGCUAAUGAAUGUCAAACUCACUGAAGCAUCAACAAGUCCAUCUCCGUAGAGCCCUACAUCACUGGGAGAAACCUACGUGAGUUACAAGACCAGAAAUCAAAUCUUGUCAUCCACUGAAAUACAAGACCAAGGUCUUGAAUCCUACAAGAUCACCUUCGAACAGGUCCAGAACCUGGAAGUUCUCAUCAAGACCCUGGUCUACCAUGUGGAAAACCAAUUCUCCUCCAGGUUUUAACACGGUCCACGCAUAAGAAGAAAUCAGAAAAAGGGAAGCAGCGUCCUGUCCACUAUAAGCAUGCUGAGAUGGAACGACUCCGGUUGGCCAAACUACACAUGUUAUCUCCCGACUUCACCCAUGAAACCGAAAGAUAAGGGGCAAACUAUUGGGAGUGAAUAAUUUUGGAAAAUACUACGCUUGUUUCCGGGCAGGACCCUGGUCUCCAUAAACCCGCAUGAAGAAGUUCCGAGUCCGACUUCGACUACGAAGCUCCGGCUCUGACCUCUGCUCCUAUCCUUAACACCAGGUAAAAAUGAAAGGUAAAAACUUUCCAAAUUUCUAACGCAAAUGCAAUGUACUGUAUUCAAACUCAGAGUUUGUACAGGGAGCGACAAUAACAAUGGGUAUGAGACUUAAGGCAGGAAUAGGUCUGAUUAACCUGAGUAUGCUAGUCAAGACUACCUAUAACCCCGGUAUAGGCCUAGAGCCAUAUCGGGCCACCAUAAGCUACAGUACUGUGACACCUCCUGGUUUAUUCAUGGAGUUUGCAUAUUGCAUAAGUACUGCCACGUGUAGGGAGCAAUAUAUAAAUUCCUGCUUCUCCAGACGUGGAAAGCAGCGUAAGCCUGACACUUGGGUUUCCGAAUCCAUAACCAGCACCCCUAAGUCUGAUAGUGGCUUUCUGCAGAAAGCAGCAUGCAGCACGGGAACUCGAUAGUGACCAGCUUCCGAGAGGUAAAAUGUGAAUUCCCAACAGGUACCGGUAGUGGCCUCACCUAGGAUGGCAGAAUACGGUCCCUUAAAAUACAAAUCAAAUACCCCUGGGUUAUUAAGAACUUUCGGGUCCCCAUGCAGUCUCCGGGUCCUGAACAAAUUUCUUCAGGACCUGUAAAAGGUAAACCUCCAGGUUCUUUAUAACCCUCGGGCCCAACAACGACCUCAGGGUCUGAAGGAACCUCCGGGUUCCCAAAAGACCUCCGAGUCAAGAAGCAACCUCCGGGUUCAAAACGACUUCAGGGUCCUAAAUACGACCUUAGGGUCUAUAGGAACUUCCAGGUUCCCAAUCGACCUCCGGGUCCCAAAACAACCUCAGGGUCCUAAAAACGACCUCGGGGUCUAGAGGAACCUCCGGGUUCCCCAUCGACCUCUGGGUCCUCACUCAACCUCCGGGUUCUAAAGGUGAUCUCCGGGUCUAGGGCAACUGAUAUACCAUGAUUUUCACCCGUUUUUUUUACAUGGUAUAUAAGAGUUUUAAGAUGUAUUAAUCAUGUUUUAGAGUCUUUUCAAAGCAAUUACAGGUUUAUUCACCUGAUGGAAGGAAAUGAUACUUUUGGGACAUUUUGGAAUGCUUUUACCCAAGGAGAAUCGAUCGACGCUUGAAGAGCAACAUCGGUCGAUCAUAAUCACAUACCAUCGAUCGACAAACAUACAUGUGCAUCGAUCGAUGCCCAGUCACACGAGUUUGGAGAAGGAGCAUUUUGGCUACCAUUAGAAGAGCUUAGGAUUGGAGAGAUAGAUCUGAGACUGCAAAACAGAGAAGAUCUUGAACUACUUUACUUCUAUUACUCUAUCUAUUUGCGUUCUAUGUUUCAUUUGAGUUUAUUUCACACCAUCAUGACUUUGUCUCUCAUGAAUAUGUUUGAGUAAACCAACUGUUAGAUUUAGGUUUCUCGCCAUGGUUGAAAUUAUGUACUGCUAAUAUGACUAUUUAAAAAGGUGUUUUAAUUGAUCUUUCAUUGCUUGUGAACUUAAUGCUAAAAUUGAGAUUGAUCACCUUCAUUUUAGAUCUUAGGAUUAAUGGAGUCCAACUAACUUUUUCCCCUCAAUACCUGAACCCACUUGCGUGAUCUAACUAACUCAGGCGCAACGACAGUUGGUCUGAGAAGGUUAGACAACAAGUUAAACCCGUUUGCAAAGCUCGCUAGAAUAACCAUCGAUCGACGCAACUAUCGUUAUGUCGGUCGAUCGUUACAAAGGUGUAUAGGUCGAUGUACAUCAAGUCACAUCGAUCGACACUCUCUCGAGAUCAAAAUACGACAGUUGAGAUCCGAGAUCUAGUGAAGAUAACCUAUCCAGUUAAAUCAAUGUUUAGUUCAAGAACCAUUAAACCCUUUAGUCUAAACUAAGUGCAUACAUUUUAUACCUGAGAAUGGCCUGAAUCUAGCUGCUUUCCCAAUCUUGAAACCACUUCAAUUCAAUCUAUUGAUUCACUGUUGUUUUCGAUUUAUCAUUUACUGCUUUUAAAACUAUUAAAACCUUUUAGUCUAUCUUCAUUUCUAAUUAUUUAAGUCUCUUGAGUAAUCCUAGAGUCUCUGUGGAUUUGAUCCCUAAGUACUACAUCUGAACCUCUUUUGAUGAGAGUAACACUCUUUAGGGUAAUUUGAGUGAUAUCAAAUUUAGCGCCGUUGCCGGGGACUCUUUCUUAUUACCAUUAGAUUUAAUUUAGAAUUUAGUAUAGACUUGUUAUGAAAAUCUUGCUAAAGUUUUAUUUCUUAAUCUGUUACGCAGACACAAAGAAUGGAGAACACAGAGCGCGACCAACCAUCGAUCGACGGAGACAUGUUUCCAUCGAGCCAUGUUGAGUCAGAAAAAUCGACCGAUACGGAGCUGCCAACAUCGAUCGAUACCGCCCAGCCGGAAGCAGGUAAGCUUUCUCUUACCAAGCCCGCUAAUGAGAAAGUAGUCCAAACUGAAGUAAAUGGUCAAACGAGCAAUGAAGCUAGCCAAACUGAACAGGGGACUGAAAUCCCUGUUAAGGAAAAUUCCACCUUAACUAAAGGUGAAGAUAUAAAUUUGUCCAUGCAAGACUACCUUGAUCCUGGUAGGACCUAUUCCAAUAGGUCCGCUAUCAAAAUACCUGGAGACGAUACCAAGAAAUCUAAGUUUAACGCAGAUUACUACCGUAUGGUUCGUCAAAACCCAUUUCGUGGAUCCCUCCCAGAGCACCCACAAGAUCACAUUGAAACUUUGGAAGUAUUAAUACCAGAUGAAUAUGAUCGUUGCAAACUAUUCUCAUUCUCCCUAGAAGGAGAAGCCCUCAGGUGGUUAAACUGUUUAGCAGCAGGAUCACUCACUUGUUGGGAAGAGAUUAGAAGUGCCUUCCUUAGAGAAUUUUUCACUGAUGAACGCUACUGGGAAGUAAGAAAGCAAAUUUCUACAUUUCGCCAAGGUCCACGCGAAUCGUUUAAAAACGUCUGGGGAAGAUUCAGAGGCUAUGAACUUGAAUGUCCCCAUCAUGGUUAUUCAGAACCACAACUUCUUAACAUCUUUUAUGGAGGUGUUAACUUGAGCUAUAAAACCACACUCGCUACAGCGAGUAAUGGAAAUUUCAUCACUAGGAAUCCCGAAGAAGCUAGACGCCUUAUCAAGAAUAUGACAACGGGAAGAUCCUAUGAAAGGAUGGAUGAAGAGAUAGAAAAUUUCACAAGUCCAAAAGACAAUUCUAAUUUGAUAGAAAUUAAGAAUUCCCUUAAGUCCCUUCAUUCCUUUUUUCAAAACAAACACCGAUCUGAUAUAGCCCAGAUCGAUGACGACGCUUUGUCUGACACCAAUGAUAAUUUGGAUGAAGGAACGAACUGUUCCGAUCCCUACUCUGUGCUUAAUGUCGAUAGCUUUACCCAAGCUUAUGACACUGCUGUAAAAUCACGUACCGGAAGAGAGAGAUUCAAUAUCAGACAAGCUCUUACUGGCAACCGAAACUUCUUCGAUGAGGCGCACGCUGAAGAACUUCGAAACAAAAUUUCCACAUUCUUGCAGGAGGCUGGAGAGUCCUUCAAAGAUGCGUGGAUUAGAUUUAGGUUCUUCCAGCGAGACUGUCCACACCACAGAUUUAACGAAGUGCAGCUACUCAGCACUUUCUUCCGAGGUCUCGCCUUACAGUAUCAAAUGGCUCUUGAUACGGCGAGUGAAGGAAACUUCACUACUCGGAAUCUGUUAGAAGCUGUGAGACUUAUCGAAAACCUUGCUAACAGCAGCAGCACCAAAAACACUGACUCUGAACGGAAGAAGUCUGUAGCCUCUAUCGGGAAGGAACAUAUGGACGAAGUAAGAGCUAAGUUAGAUGUGGUGCACGAGCUUCUUAGGAAGCAAGUCUGUUUAGCUGAAGGAGAAGUAGUAGAUAUGGAAGGAGAGGAAAAUGUGAACUACAUCGGAGGUACCGGAUUCCAGAAAUUUAUAAACCAAGGCGGAAACAGAAACUUCGUUGGAAAUGGUCAAAGAAGUAACCAGAGUUCACAAUUUCAAAAACCCUUCAACUACAACAAAAGUUACUCGAACUCCUACUACCAGAAUCCACCACCCUAGACUCAGGAAAGCAAGAUCGAAGAAAUGCUUGAUCGAGUACUGUUGGGACAACAACAAAUCACUGUGGAUUUCAACGGUAAAAUAGACUCCGCCUACAACAAUCUGAACACCAAAAUCGAGACCUUAGGGACUCAGGUGAGAAAAAUUGAAACCCAAGUAAUUCAGACGGGCGAGACUAUAAAGAGGCAAGAAGCUUUCGCUAGAGAGGCAGGAGCCGACAAAGGAAAACACCACGUAAAUGCCAUCAUAGAUGAUGAUUUCUGGCAAGUGGUGAGAAAUGAAAAGCUUGAGGAAGGAGAUUUCGAAAUCGAAAGCUCCAUGAGUCUCGGCGGAUCCCAAUGGUGUCGACCGAUGUCGAUGAACUCGCAUCGAUCGAGCUCGAUCGCUAUGUAGCGACCGAGCUGUGUGCAUGCUUGGUCGCCGCGUAUCGAUCGAGCAUGGCUUGUCCGCGGUCUGAUUUCCAUACUUGAGCUUGUCCGCGGCCGAUUUGGAUACAUGUCCGUUGCCUUCGGACAAUCGGUAUUUAGUGGUUCAAUUGAGAUUUGGACGAGAUUUUUACUGCAAGGCUCUUCGUAAAGAUAUCUUUACGAAGAUUACUUUUGGUAAAAACGUUUAUGCUGAUUUUUACGGACUUUCAGACAUUGAUUCCGUCGUGACCGAUUUUGACCCCAACAGUUAGCCCCCCAGCUCGUUAGAACCAUGAGUUUCUAGCGUGAGGUUCUAGCGAGUGGCUUGGCAAGUUAGGCAAGUUAGGUGAGUUAGGCGGAAUUAAUGGUUGAAAAGGUCUGUGGUAAGUGAUCUUCUCGCUCUCCUAAAAGUAGAAAACGCGAUAAGAUUGGGGCUGCGCCUUAUGACGGCUGCCUACGUACCCUUGUUGAAGGGAUCAAGCCUUUCGUAGUUCGUCUUGGAGUUAAGGUUCUUAUGACUAGUUUUCCAGUAGGACCUUUAUGGUCUAGUUUUUAUGUAGCGGUUAUAAGGCGUGUUGCUGCCGAUGGCAUUUUGUAUGGGUGUAGAGGGAAGACUACGAGUUCUCGUCUCGUUAUCUAACUCUGUGUGAAUUGUCAUAUCCAUAAUCUGUUUCGAGAGUUUUCCGCAGUGUGUAAACUUGCGGGAAUUUCUGAAGACGUUCGAAUAUUGGCAAAGAGACAAAUUUUGGGAUCUCGUAUCAGGGUGUUUGAUACUAUGCCUAGAGAUUUUAGAGACCAGUGCGCUGGGUUUAGGGCAAGACCUAGGUUUACUUUCGGUUUAAGGAUUGUGCGGUGACUGGCCGGCUAUCGUUUUUCCUGUUGCGAUUUCUUCCUGAUUCGUAUCGAUUUAAAGUCCGCGAUAGGUUCUCGGCUUAUACGACUUGUUUGAUACGAAUCGAGCAUCUCUCCGGAGACCGGAAGUGCUGGACCAAAAUUUCGGAUUUCUUUUAUAGUGCUAUUAUCCUUGUGUCGGAUGUAAGAGAGUCAUCUUCGUGAGAUGGCUAUGUCUGUUUAGGACGUUGAGAGUUUGUUGUGAUCAGCAACAAACUUAAUGGUAAAAAAUACCGUUUCGAGUCUUCGCGAAGAAUAUUUUUUGAGAAGAUGUUAGUGCGUAUGACUGUUUGGUCUUCCAUGAAGGUGUUUAUAUCGAGGAAGGAAAUUUCGUCAAAGAACUAAUCUUCAAGCGUCUGCGACGUCUCGCGAUGCUGAAGAUUUGUUAUUCUUUCGUAUGCCACGUUUCGUGCUUGAAAUGUUCGCGGGCUUGAAGAUAUUUCGCGAUGUUGCAAGGGUUUAGUCUUAGCCAUGCGUUUGAAAAACAUUCUAGUUUGACUACGAAUGUUCGCAGCCAAAAUUGUUGUUCAUGUUUGGAUGCUAAUAGUUUUAUUUGCGAUCGAUGAAUUAUGACUGAGGUGUCGUGUAAAUUUGUCCAUGGGAACAAGCGUUUUCCUUCAUAGUGCUUUGUGAAGUGUUGGCCUUCCGAGAUGUAUUUCGUGCAUUUUUUAGGAUGUUUCAUAUAGCUCUAGAAGCUUUGUUAUGAAUUUUUCCUUACAUGCCGCGUAUUAUGGUUAAAACGUUGCGGGCUUAAAGUGAAUUGUGGAGCGUAUUGAACUUGGUCAAUUUUCGAAAAGUUUAGAUUUUUCGUUAACCGUUUGGUUGUUAGGACUUAGUUUCGUUACGAAGAAUUUAUCAUAUGAUUUCCGACUGUGGGCUAUACGAUAAUUUAUCAUCUCAUAUAACCGAUUUUACGAAGGUCGUAAAUCAGUGAUAUGUAUACAUAUGUCAAAGUAGCAUUGUUUCUGCGGGUUCUACGAGAAACGUUCCCGCUGUGAUUUUGAUCUUAGGUGAAAGUUGCUUGGAGUUACCCAUGGAGUAUUACCAAAGUUAAUUUCAAUACGAUCUAGUCGCGGAACGUUUUUCAUAGGUUUUUCGAGAGGAUUCUCAUGACACAUUCGUUUCUUGAAAGAAUUGGUCAACCAGAAGUGGAUCUAGCUAACCAUCGGGAGGAAAGUACUCCUUUUAAUGUGCACGAUGCUACAUAUAUUCUCGAGUUUUCUUCGUCGCAAAUGUUUUCGAUGCUUUUCCGUGACUUACUUGGUACAACGGAAACUGAAAAAAAAAAUGCUUUGGUGAUUGAAGAUUUCUCGUAGAAAUUUUUAAAACGAAACUGGCUUUCUGAAGCCGGAAAAGGCUUCAAUACUUUGGCUAAUCGUCGAGUUUCAGUUUGAUAUUGGUACAAGUUUUCUGUACGCAUGAUUGCGACAAGAAAUGAUGUAUAGUUUUUGAGAUUAUGUUCAUGAUCGUCUGGAUAUGUUGCUAGCGUUUAGACGAAUAUUAAGAUUGUCGUUUGCCUAUUCUUGACGAUUUGCAGAAGUUUUUUGAAGUUUGGGAGUAUACGAGUAUAAUAUACGUACCUACUCCCCCCCUUUUUUUACGAAAGAAAACGGUUGAACCGAUACUUUGAAGGGGUGUGUACGUUUUCUCUUCUGAUGUUUGGAAUGAUCGAUAAUUCGGGACGAUUUAUAGACGACGCUUGGACUGUGAUUUGGUUGUUUUCCACGUUGACGACUUGGGAUAUGUCGGUUCCGAGAAAAUUGCCAGAAACGAAUCGGUUUUAAGACGACGUUCAUGUCUCUAACUUUUUCUCUCUUUAGGAAGCGAGCUUGAUAUGCGUGGCGAUUGUUUCUCGACUUUCGGAGAGUUCAGAUCGGUUUGCAAGAUCUGGAUGAAUAAUUAUGGAACAAUAUAUCGAGACAGGAAAAAUCGCUUAAAACUUAGUUCGCUAGACUAUCCGCCUAGGUUUUACGUUCCCUAAAGUUCUAUGGCAGCCUCAAAGUAAUUUCCUACGAAAAUUCCAAGUCUGAUUUCAAAAAUUUCAAGUCGGAAAUACCUUAGUUCUCUCGAAAAUGCAGUUUUGUCCCUUCUCAGUUUUGCGUGCUCAUUUCCGUUUCCUAUUCUCGUGUAUGUUCGCCAUUUCCGAUAUUGGUGUUUAUCCUUUGAAACUUGACAUUUAUCUUCCGAACUAGACUGUUAUCUUCUCCUUAGAUAAGACGUCAAUUUUUGUAAAAAGGUUCAACGUAAUUGUAUAGUUAAGGCGGCUAAGGUGUUAAGUUAACCGUUGCCGUUUUAUACGAUUAAUCUGAAUCCAUGCGAGAAAAUAGGUCUUUGCGGCUUUUUUUUUUUUUAUAUCAUAAAGUCUCAAUGGUAACUUCAAUCGAGGCGAAACAAGAGACGUUUCGAUCGAGAUUCGAAAGUGAACGCAAAGAUGGAGGUAGGGUGAGCAGAAACAAGCCAAGGAGUUUAAGAUGAGUUUCACUUGUUUUUGUCGUAAAAUCUCAACGGAAGCUCCGAUUGAGACGAAACAAAACGCGUUUCGAUGAGAAUUCAAAGGAGAACGCAAAGGAGGACCCCUUUGAGGCCUGACAGGUCGCUAUAACGAGUGAGGAUGUCAUCUCGGUCGCUAUAACGAGUGGAAGGGAGCCGAGACGAAUCCCACUUGUUUUCGUCGUAAAAUCUCAACGGAAAUUCCGAUUGAGACGAAACGAAAAGCGUUUCAAUGAGGAUUCAAAGGAGAACGCAAAGGAGGAACCCUUUGAGGCCUGACAGGUCGCUAUAACGAGUGAGGAUGUCAUCUCGGUCGCUAUAGCGAGUGAAAGGGAGCCGAGACGAGUCCCACUUGUUUUCGUCUAAAAAUCUCAACGGAAACUCCGAUUGAGACGAAACGAAAAUCGUUUCGAUGAGGAUUCAAAGGAGAACGCAAAGCAGGACCCCUUUGAGGCCUGACAGGUCGCUAUAGCGAGUGAGGAUGUCAUCUCGGUCGCUAUAGCGAGUGGAAGGGAGCCAAGACGAGUCCCACUUGUUUUCGUCGUAAAAUCUCAACGGAAACUCCGAUUGAGACGAAACAAAAAGCGUUUCGAUGAGGAUUCAAAGGAGAACGCAAAAGAGGACCCCUUUGAGGCCUUACAGGUCGCUACGUAGCGACUGACGGUCUGACAGGUCGCUACGUAGCGAGUGGAAGCAAGCCAAGAAGAGUCCUACUUGUUUUCGUCGUAAAAUCUCAACGGAAACUUUGAUUGAGACGAAACGAAAAGCGUUUCGAUGAGGAUUCAAAAGAGAACCCAAAAGAGGACCUUUCUGAGGCUUUACAGGUCGCUACGUAGCGAGUGGAGAGUUGGCUUGAGCUUGGUCGCUACGUAGCGACCGAGCGGUGUGCGUGCUCGGUCGCUACGUAGCGACCGAGCAGUGUGUGCGUGCUCGGUCGCUACGUAGCGACCAAGCAACGUGUGCGUGCUCGGUCGCUACGUAGCGACCGAGCAGUGUGCGUGCUCGGUCGCUACGUAGCGACCGAGCAGCGUGCGUGCUCGGUCGCUACGUAGCGACCGAGCAGCGUGUGUGCUCGAUCGCCACGUAGCGACCGAGCAGCGUGUGUGCUCGGUCGCUACGUAGCGACCAAGCAGAGUGUGUGCUCGGUCGCUACGUAGCGACCGAGCCGUGUGCGUGUUCGGUUGCUACGUAGCGACCAAGCAGCGUGUGUGCUCGGUCGCUACGUAGCGACCGAGCAGCGUGAGUGCUCGGUCUCUACGUAGCGACCGAGCAGCGUGUGUGCUCGGUCGCUACGUAGCGACCGAGCAGCGUGUGUGCUCGGUCUCUACGUAGCGACCGAGCAGCGUGUGUGCUCGGUCUCUACGUAGCGACCGAGCCGUGUGCGUGCUCGGUCGCUACGUAGCGACCGAGCCGCGUGUGUGCUCGGUCGCUACGUAGCGACUGAGCCGCGUGUGUGCUCGGUCGCUACGUAGCGACCGAGCCGUGUGCGUGCUCGGUCGCUACGUAGCGACUGAGCAGCGUGUGUGCUCGGUCGCUACGUAGCGACCGAGCAGCGUGCGUGCUCGGUCGCUACGUAGCGACCGAGCAGCGUGUGUGCUCGGUCGCUACGUAGCGACCGAGCCGUGUGCGUGCUCGGUCGCUACGUAGCGACCGAGCUGUGUAAUCGUUUUGUUGUGUUUUCUUUUUCCGCGAUUAACGUAGGGGUUUUUCAGCGGUUUUUUUGGGAGAACAAGUUUUAUCCUUCCGAAAUGUUUUCGGAAAACGUGUUUUGGUAAAACCCUUACGCAUCGAGAUUUCUUUACGGGGUUUUGAUAAGAUUUAUCGUUUCCCUUCGUGUUUACAGGGAGAAAUCGCGAGCUUGUUUUUGUGCUCUUCCUGUGGCGGAAGGUCGCGACUAAGUUAUCGAUUUUGUUGAAAACUACGGUGUUUGCGUAAGCGUUGGCCAUAGGAGCAGUCAGUGCAGCGAGUUUGUCUUUCAUAUAUCCAAACAUCGUUUCGAUCAAGCGUUUUGUGGCCAUGAGUAAGAAUAAUCCGUUACCCCCCCCCCCCUCCUUCUAGCGCCAAACUGUGGGAACCGAAAUUCGCACUGUCGAUUUCCGUUUAAAUAAGGAAACUAGGAAAACCCUAAUUUUCCAGAUGUCCCGGAUCUCGGCGAGAGCCAACGACAAGUGACCGAGUAUAUGCGGAAAUCAUGAAAAGAUAACAAACGAGUUUAGAGAAAACAGUAGAUCUUAUUUCGAGUCCGCGUAAGAGCGUUGCGAUCAUUACAAGAGAUCAUAAAAGCUUUGGCCGCAAAGGCUGUCAGCGAGUUACUUAGUUCUAGCGGUCUAAAAGCUCAAACCUAGUUGAGUCGCAGCUCGAUAACAAAAGACGAAAAAGAUACAUAAAAGGUUUUUGAUUGAUUUCGGACUGAACCUUGUUAAAGGCUGCCUACGUACCCCUUUCGAGGAUCAAGCCGAACGUAGUUCAAUUGAUAGAGUUGGACAAGAGAUCGAACUGCCUGGGCGAGUUCGUCUAGUAAUUGAGUGCCAGUCAUAGAAACCGAACUUGUCGAGAAUAAGCCUAAAGUUUCUAAGUGCAGAGAAUUCCGAAUCUAAAAAGUUCUCCCCCAUGCUCCUCGCCUAGGACUCCUUAUAUACUAGCUCCAAGGUCGGUUUACGCUUUUACUCUUCUGCCCUAAAGCCGUCAUAGCGUAAAAAUGGAGAUAUUCCAUUUUUCCCGAUUUUCACAACUAUCUUCAAAAAUUCCGUAUUUAUCCGCGGAAACUUGACAUUUAUCCUUCCUUGUGGACCAAGGGUAAACCAGGCUGUGGUUUACGGGCCUUUGGUUAAGAAAUCGCAGGAUGGGCCUCGAGUCGUGUUUUAGGUCCCUUUGGGCCGUCUUCCGACUCGAAGAUUUUACUACGAUUUCUUUCGACAAAGAAAGAACUUUCCGCAGUUUCUAAUCCGCGAAGUUUGAUCGAUGAUUUAGAAUAGCGGAAAACAUAGACUGAGCUCGCUACGGUCUUCGGGAGAUAGCAUUUUAAGGUUUGACGAGAAUGCAUGGACUGGUGUCAUACCGAUGUUCGGAAGAGCUCGGUCGCUACGCAGCGACCGAACUUUGGCUCGAGCCCGAUCGCUACGUAGCGACCGAGCGAGACGGACGCUCGGUCGCUACGUAGCGACCGAGCUUGGCUCGAGCUCGAUCGCUAUGUAGCGACCGAGCUGUGUGCAUGCUUGGUCGCCGCGUAUCGAUCGAGCUUGGCUUGUCCGCGGUCUGAUUUCCAUACUUGAGCUUGUCCGCGGCCGAUUUGGAUACAUGUCCGUUGCCUUCGGACAAUCGGUAUUUAGUGGUUCGAUUGAGAUUUGGACGAGAUUUUUACUGCAAGGCUCUUCGUAAAGAUAUCUUUACGAAGAUUACUUUUCGUAAAAACGUUUAUGCUGAUUUUUACGGACUUUCAGACAUUGAUUCCGUCGUGACCGAUUUUGACCCCAACAAGGCACAAAGGAGAGGACUUUUUCAGAGCGAACUUAGAACUUAGAGCAUUUAGGCAACUUUUUAUUUUUGUUAUUUCGAGCUGCGACUUAACUAGGUUUUGCUGUCUUAGGUUGUUAGAACUAGGAAUCUCGCCGACAGCUCUCAUAGCCGAGGCUUCUACCUUGUUGUAACGCUCAUACGCGAAUCCGGAACUAGGAAUCUUUUCUACGAUUUCUUUUUUUUUUUCGUCUUUACUUUCGUAUUCUGAUUGCUUGGCGUGUGGUUUAGCAGAUAUUCGGGACCUCUGGGAAAUUAGGGUUUUCCUAACUUUCUUAAUUUAAACGGAAAUCGAUGGUGUGAAUUUCAGUUCCCACAGUUUGGCGCUAGAAGGAGGGGGGGGGGGGUUACGGAUCAAUCUAACUCACAGCCACAACACGCUUGAUCAGACAUAGCAGGCGACGACUCAAACGCCAUGCUAACUCCUCUCAACGAAGGAGGCAACAAUGGUCAGAACACUCCAGCAGCAGACGUUUAUGCGGCAAACGAAGCAGCCAACGCCGCGACUCUCGAGGAGUUUAAAAAGAUGUUCUCCGCCUAUGAAAAAAGGUCGGAAGAACAAGAUAAGCUCGUGGACACCUUGACUAAACAGGUCAACACCUUAACAGCAAGGCCAUAAGCGGUCGUUCCCCGCGUAUCAACAAAGAUUCGUGGAGGAAGACUCGACUUCACGCCCCACACGACAUGGCUGAAACUUUGCGGGAACAUCCCACAGGGCAAAACCCUAGCGAAACAUCUCCUGCCAAAGGAAGGGACCCCGAAAACCCCUUUUGUCUCCAAUAAAGGAUACAUGGAUCGACGAAGUCGAACAUGUCAACUUGGAUCCCAGAGAUCCAUCCGAUGAUACGGAAGAAGAUGCAGACGGCUCGGGAAGAUUCUCCGUUCAGAAAGCCCAUGACCGAAGAAGAAGAACAUAUCUUCUAGGUUAAGCAGGAGAAGUUGGCUGAAGAGCAGGCCGAAAUUACUCACAGCAGACGCCGAUAGGCUCGAAAGGCAUGGGGUGGGGAUCCAGAUAUUCGCGAUCUUCGCGAUUACAUAAAAAAGACUGCUGCAAAAGUAAAGGCCAUGAAAUCCCAUAUCCAUCAUGCUACUAACACCGCCCCUGAAAUCGACCAGUUGCUGGAGGAAGCGUGAAAAACGCCCUUCACGGCUCGCAUCGCCGAAACCAAGGUUUCUGAUCCGGGGAAGAUCAAAGUGCCAACGUACAACGGCACAACCGAUCCUAAUGCGCAUCUGCAAGCCUUCCAGAUCACCAUGGGGUGCGCCAGACUCAGAGAAAGCAAGAGAGACGCUGGCUAUUGUCGCCUUUUCGUCAAAAACUUGGAAGGGGCAGCUCUCGAGUGGUUUUCCUGCCUUAAGCGGAACUCUAUCGGAAGUUUUUUCCAGCUCACAUCGGAGUUUCUCAAUUACUACUCUAUGUUCAUAGAUAGAGAAACCUCUGACGUCGACCUAUGGCGCCUUUCCCAAAGGGAAGACAAGCCUCUCCGAGAUUUCAUAAGCAAGUUCAAGCUGGUUAUGUCCAAAAUAAAUGUAUUCGCUCUGUAGCGGAUCUUUUACUAGACCAGCUCGGGUUCGCCGCUCGGAAUAAUCCCCCUUUUGCUGAAUUAUUACCAAUAUAAUCAUAAAAAUUUAAUUUUUCUCAGCGAAAUAAGCGACAAGGUAGCCACUGAAGCGCCCCGAAAGACGCUCUGGUACAAGUCGAAAUUCAAAAAGUAGAUAACCCACGACAAGCCGUCUAUGAUCCAGGAUGCUCUUCACAGGGCAACCGACUACAUUAUCAUCGAAGUAGAGACGAGAGUCCUGUCGUAAAAGCAUAAGCCGACGAAAUCGUCUUCGAAGGACGCAGACCAAAAGCCCAAGAAGAAAAGCUCUCAUAACGACUAGUACGUCCAUCAUGAGGGGAAAGAACUCCAGGGAGCGCAUAAUUACGCGAUCAACUCGGAGAAGGGUAAGACUUCGGGCAAUACAUGGACCCAAAAUCCCAACUACGACGAAAACACCUACUGCGAGUUCCAUCAGACCCAAGGGCACUCCACAAUCAACUAUAAAGUCCGGGGAAUUCUCCGAAAUCACUAGCGUCAAGGAGACGGAUCAUCCCCCAAAGACUGACAAAAGUUCACCCCUGAAAGCUCCUCCUUAAGGAAACCAAUCGGGAGAUAAGCGCGGAAGGAGGCAAGACGACAAGCGUAACGUCAGCAAUCGCCACAGGGUAAACAUGAUCAUCGGAGGAUCACAGUACUGCAACUAUACGGACUCGGCCAUCAAGGCUUACCAGCGUGAAGUUGAAACAAGUGCGAACUGGCCGACCUGGUCCCCACCCCGAGACAUUCAGAACAGUGCAAUCAUCUUCGAGGAAGAAGAAACUGGCAGGAUAGAGCAGCCUCACUGUGAUCCACUCAUCAUAGACCUUGUCAUCCGAGACCUGGAAGUCAAUGGAAUCCCUGUGGACACCAGAAGCACGGUCAAUGUCAUCUUCCGCGACACCCUUAAGAGGAUGAACAUCAAUCUCGGCGAAGUCGUACCGAAACCACUAACUGGUUUCUCAGGCACAACAUCAAUGACCCUCGGGUCCAGUCAUGGCGAAAGAGGUAACGAAGAUAGUCGACUUUGCAGUGGUUGAUCAUCAAGCCAUCUACAAUGUCAUCGUGGGAACUCAUUGGCUCAACGCUAUGAAGGCAUUCCCAUCUACCCUCACCUGCGCGUCAAAUUCCCAGCCCAAAACGGAAUUGCUGCAAUCUGGGGAUGCCAGAAGCAGUCACGGCUUUGUUUUCUCGCUGAACAUAAGCUGAGACAAAUCACAGAGACAGCAAAACUGAAACGAGCGAAGAUAACUCAGCAGCUGGCUGAAAACGCUUCAAAAAAGGAUGAUGCAACAUCAUCCCCGGUGACGGACCUAAAACAGCAGCAUGCUAGUCCUGAUGCCUUCACCAACCGGAGGAGACAAACCUGGAAAAGGCUGUAAACCCAUCUAAAGUUAGAAUGACUGAAACAAUCGACGCGACCGCCGAAAACAAGUAAACCUUUUCGCGGCCAAAACAGAACUACGAGAUGGCUUGAUUCUCAAAAGAGGUACGUAGGCAGCUCGCCAAAAUGCGAGUUCAGCUAUCCCCCUCUCGAAAAAGGGGGGGGGAGUGGGUACGUAUACACAGACGUGUAUACUCCCAUAUUCUUAAAAUAUGCAUUGUUGUACUUCAUAUUUUUAAAAACUUUUACAAUAAUACAAAAACUUCUCUAUCUUGCAUAAACAAUCCUAAUCAUACCAGACUCUAAACUGCGAGAAAUUUGCAGCACUUAGUAAAAAUCAACACACCUCUUUAAGACGAAAUGUCGAGAUAUAGCGAGAUGUCGCGGAAAAAUCUCAGGACAAUGCGUCUAAAAAGACAAAAGAACAGUCCAAACGCGGCUAUAAAAUUUUAAACCACCAUUACAUCAUGUUCAUCGAUUGGCCCCGUCGAACAUAUCAGCCGUCUUAAACAAACGCAUCCUGACCUCUGUCUCAAGAAGAAUUGGUCCUCGAACAUCCGACAAAAGGAUUAUAGGGCUAUAAAAGAAAUCCGAAAUCUUGGUCAGCAUUUCCAGGAGGCUUGGAAAUUUCCUUUGGAGAGAUGCUCGGUUCCAACCAAACAAGUCGUAUAAGCCGAGAAUAUAUCACGGACUUUACAUCUGUUUGGAACCAGGAUGAAACUGAAACGGGAUACGUAAGUCGAACUAGUCAUCGCACCCCCUAAAUCCAGGAGUAAACCUAGGUCUUGCCCUAAACUCAGCACUCUGGUCUCUAAUAUCUCAAGACAUGAUAUCUAAAAUUGAUACGAGAUCUUAAACCAUGUUUCACCGUUCGUUUCUAAAUGUUCACAAGACUCUACACUUUUACGUACGAACUAACAAAAACAACGAUUCACUAGAUUUAGGUAUGAGAUGACAACUCAUAUUUUUUUUCUCGACAAUCAAAAACGCGCAUGCAAAGAAAACUCUUAAACACUCAUAAUAUAUAUAUAUAACCGCAUAACGGUAAAGGAUACAAAGCCACUGAUAUCACUCAAAUUACCCUAAGGAGUGUUACUCUCAUCAAAAGAGGUUCAGAUGUAGUACUUAGGGAUCGAAUCCACAGAGACUCUAGGAUUACUCAACAGACAUAAAUAAUUAGAAAAGAAGAUAGACUAAGAGGUUUUAAUAGUUUUAAAAGCAUUAAAUGAUAAAUCGAAAACAAUAGUGAAACGAUAGAUUGAAUUGAAGUGAUUUCAAGAAUGGGAAAACAGCUAGAUUCAGGUAAAUCUCGGGUAUGAAAUGCAUGCACUUAGUUUAGACUAAAGGGUUUGAUGGUUUUUGAACUAAACAAUGAUUUAACCGGAUAGGUUAUGUUCGCUAGAUCUCGGAUCUCAACUGUCGUAUUUUAAUCUCGAGAGAGUGUCGGUCGAUGUGACUUGAUGUAUAUCGACCGAUACACCUUUGUAACGAUCGACCGACAGAACGAUAGUUGCGUCGAUCGAUGGUUAUUCUAGCGAGCUUUGCGAACGGGUUUAACUUGUUCUCUAACCUUCUCAGACCAACUGUCGUUGCGCCUGAGUUAGUUAGAUCACGCAAGUGGGCUCUGGUAUUGAGGGGAAACGGUUAGUUGGACUCAAUAAAUCCUAAGAUCUAUAAUGAAGGUGAUCAAUAUCAAUUUUAGCAUUAAGUUCACAAGCAAUGAAAGAUCAAUCAAAACACCUUUUUAAAUAGUCAUAUUAGCAGUACAUAAUUUCAACCAUGGCGAGAAACCUAAAUCUAACAGUUGGCUUACUCAAACAUAUUCAUUAGAGACAAAGUCAUGAUGGUGUGAAAUAAACUCAAAUGAAACAUAGAACGCAAAUAGAUAGAGUAAUAGAAGUAAAGGAGUUCAAGAUCUUCUAUGUUUUGCAGUCUCAGAUCUAUCUCUCCAAUCCUAAGCUUUUCUAAUAAUGGUAGCCAAAAUGCUCCUUCUCCAAAACUAGGUCUUUUUGCAAGUGUCUCCUAAAAUGAUACAAAACCCUAGUACAUAUAGCCUAACAACCGGUUAGAGACUUAAGUUGCAAAUAAUAGAUCUUCUGGGAAAUGAAAUCUUUUAAUUCGCGAUCACACUCGUGUGACUGGGCAUCGAUCGAUGCACAUGUAUGUUUGUCGAUCGAUGGUAUGUGAUUAUGAUCGACCGAUGUUGCUCUUCAAACGUCGAUCGAUUCUCCUUGCGUAAAAACACUCCAAAAUGUCCCAAAAGUAUCAUUUCCUUCCAUCAUGUGAAUAAACCUGUAAUUGCUUUGAAAAGACUCUAAAACAUGAUUAAUACAUCUUAAAACUCUUAUAUACCAUGUAUAAAUAACGGGUGAAAAUCAUGGUAUAUUAACUCCCCCAGACUUAUCAUUUUACUUGUCCUCAAGUUAAAUCAGCGGACAGUCUCUCUGGAAAAGGGUUGAAAUCAUCAGGGACUCACAGAUUUGAAACAUGGAAAUCAUCACCUCCAUAAUAUUGUAUUCCACAUCUAAAAGUUCCUCAUUACAGAAAUACAUUAUGCAAUAUCCUAGCUUAGCAACCAAAGUCAUCUAGCCAACAAUCUUAACUAAUCUUCUUAUCAAUCUCCUCAAUCAACCUCAUUUCUCAAUGUAAAAAGUGUAAGCUUUACCUUGGGAGUAUCGAUCAUAGGAUGCGAGGAUUUCAGACAAGUAUCUGGAACUGCAGGUAAAAAUUAGUUCCUAAUUUCUCUCUCUCUCUCUCUAAUUUCUCUCUUGAGUCAAAGUCUGCUUCCAUUGCAGGAUCAGUGACCAAGAUUGGACAGGCUUCCAUGAAUCAAAACUUAAUGGUGGUUGCCACCAAACUCUGUUCACUUCUUUUUGACCUAUAUCCAAGAAUUCUUUGUGAAAGCGAGCCUUGAAGAUUGCCGCCUCCAAGUCAUGUUUCGAACUCUUUCAUUGGAGUCUUUAUGAAUCAAGCCUUAAUGGUUUUAGCCACCAAGUCCUGUUCAGACUCAUCCUAAGUAAACAAUAGAUCUUAUUAUUUUAAUAUUAUUAUUUUUUAUUUUUAGAAUAGAAAUAUUAAUUACUGACUAAUCUAGGGUCAAAAUUAGAGAGAGAAAUGUGUUAUAUAAUUCUACACAAGGCUUUACCUUCCAGACUUGUCUGAAGAAUCCGAUCCCAUGUAUACCAAACCCCAAGACAAGCAGUGAAGUCAGGUUAGUGUUGGAGGUUAGCUUUGGUUCUUUCUAACAAGCUAGCAAGUGUGUAUAGUUGAUUGGUUGAUCCACUUUAGCAUCUAUAGUACUAUCUGCAAUCAAUAAAUCUAGAGUGGUGCUAGAAAGUGGUUAGACAUUCAAGUAGAAAUCAUUAGUUCAUAAUCCCCUUCUCGACUCAAUAAAAUUAUUUUUGAAAAGAUUUUUGACAAAAACUCAAGAAAGUGGUGUUAGUAACUACCUCCCCCAGACUUAAAUUGCACCGUCUCGGUGCAAAGUGCCCAAGGGUAGGUUAAAAAAAAAGAAACAAGUUAGAUGUGUGAGAAUGUUAGAGUAAAAUGAAGUACCUAUCCGCACUAUGCAUCGAUCGAUGUAAUCCUCUCCAUAUCGAUCGAUGUUACUUGCCGAGAAUCGAUCGAUGUAAUCCUCUCCAUAUCGAUCGAUGGCGAAGCACAGAAAUUUUGCAUGUGCUUGGAUUCGAACUUGAAGUUCCUGCCUAAUGUUAGCUCGGUUAGACAACCAAGCAUAAGAAUAAUAAGCAUUCACAAACAUAAGAUAUAAGUAUAAAAACUUAAAUCCUACAAGUUCAGAAAAUAAAGAGACAAGUCCAUAAUAGGAGGAUAAUAGAUAGAGAUAUUAGGACUAGUCGGUGUCCUUGUCAGUCGCCUCAUCGUCCUCCGGGGAAGGGUCCCUGUACGCUGCUGGUGGUGCUGGCGCCUGCGCUCCUAUAGCUCUCCCGCUCCGAAAAGACACUCUAGCCCAGAUGGCCCGAAGAGCGUCCACCACGAACCUCUGAAAGUCUCCCUGGUCGUGCAUGGGGAUGUCUGGUAUGUUCGGGAAGUCGGGGAGCGGCGGUGCCUGUGCGUCCUGAGCUCUGGCGCGGCGAAUGCUGGGAGGUCUGUUCGACAUGUUCCGGGGGUUGCGGAGAAAUGCCUCGUCUGGCAUGCAUCAAAGCUGCUCCACGCUGUUCCCAAAAUCAGUGAUCCUCCUGUCCGGUAGGGGUAGAAGGCGAUUCUCACUGCGGAUCCUGAAACGCCAAAGUUUCCCUUCCUCGAGCCAUAGCGAGUGCACCAAGUGCUGCUCGUUGAGGAAGGCGUGGUCGCGGUCGGCAGAGCGAGGGUCGAGGCGGAUGCCGAGGUACUGGAAAAUCUGGGUCAGAAGACUCCCAACUGUCUCCUUCAUCUUACCCUUUCUGUUGAAAGGCUUCUUCUUCAACUCCACCAAGUGCGCGGCAAAGACCAGUCCGAGGUUUGGCGGGUUCACUUCGCCGUCCUCAUCCAACUCAACCAUAUCCACCACGCCAUUCACUGCACAGAAAAGUAAUGUGAGCUCCUUUAUCCUGACCUUGUUGGGCUCCAUCUUGCAAACCAGUGUGUUUGCAAAGAGCCGUAGGAAGUAGCGAAGUGCAGGAUGGCGGAUGUCUGAUAGCACGGCCCUGUUUGUGUCCCAAACUCCUGUGCCGACGAUGUCCCAGAAUCUCUCGAGGUGUAGGAAUGGUGGGACCGUGUGGGAGGCGACGUUCUCCUCGAAACCGUAGAUGCGGCAGAGCUCGGGGAUUGUGAUCCUGUAGCGUGUCCCUCUGGCAAAGAAGGUCAAAGUACCAUCUCGCGCUACCCUCGCUGAUGAAGUCCUGUAGGUGACCUCGACGGUGGCCAUGAACUGGCGGACGAGAUCGGGGUAGAGGUCGUAAGCGCGAGAGGGCAUGGUGCCGAGUCCGAGCUGUGUGAUCAUAUCGUGAACAUCUCUCUCGAUCCCGAGCUUCUUUAGGAUGGGCCGGUCGAGGAAUUUGGUGGGCUCGAUAGAGACUCCCAGUCAAGCAUUGUAGAAGAGGCUGUCGAAGUCGUCCCAGUUGCCGGACAGGGGACGGUGGCGACACUCGUUACUGUUGAUCGCUGCUCUAGGAUCAUCAUAGCCUGCGACAUCGAAGGGUGUGUUUUCGGUGCGAGGCCAUGGAGGGCGCUAUGGGUUGUUGGAGCUGCUGGUCUCGUCGAAUCUCCUUUUCGACCUGAUUUCUCUGUUUCGAGCAUUUGUGUGUGAACUGCUCAUCUGAAACCAAGAAUAAAAGAAAGUUAGUAUUGUCGAUAAAAGUUAAUAUCGAUCGGUGGGUUAUACUGCAUAUCGAUCGAUAUUGUCGAGUCGGAACAAUCGAACAAGAGAGAGCAUCGGUCGAUGCGAACGAGUUCAUAUCGACCGAUGUCGAAUCGCGAAACCUGUAACAUCACUCAACUCCAAAUCGCGUUUAUAGGAGUUAAAAGGCAAAGAAAUCACAAACGGAACUCUAGAUAAGCAAUAUGAACUACAAAAACAUCUCUCAAUCACACCAAAUCAAGCGUUCUAGUCCAACUCAAAACGAAAACUCUAAUUUUUCAAAAAAUUGAAAAUUUCGAGUGCAUACCUUGAAUGUUGGUUUCGAGAGUGGAUUUAACAGUUCCAGAGUGAAAAAUCGAGUAGAUUAAGGCGAAGAACGGACGAAAUCCGUUAAGAAAUCAGAGAGAAAAGGGUUGUUUUUGUUUUCGGUUUCGGUUGCGAAUGAGGAAGAGGAACAGACUGAUAUCUUAUGAAAUAAGGGUUUUCACCGUCGAUAUGCCUGCAUCGAAUGAUGGCAGUGAUGCCUCGUCGAUUGAUGUCAUUUUCAAAGACAAAUCCUAAUUUCUAAAUCUCCUAAAUAAUGCUAAUAAUAAAAAGAAAUACGAAAAUUACUAUUAAAUAUAAAAAUUACUAUUAGAUAUAUAUUUUUAAUUUUUUUUUAAAUAAAAUGGGUUGCCUCCCAUUCAGCGCUUAAUUUUUAAGUCUUUACCUCGACUUCGUGAUUAAGCUAAUUAUCAGGUUCAUACAGCACCAUGGGCGUUUUUGCUGGUGGUUUUGCCCAAUAAUGCUUAACUCGUUGGCCGUUCACUGUAAAUUCCUGGCCUUUAUCAUUUUGUAAGGUGAUAGCUCCGGAGGGUUGAACGUUUGUUACGGUGAAGGGUCCAGACCAACGGGAUUUUAGCUUUCCAGGAAAUAAAGUUAAUCUAGAGUUAUAAAGGAAGACUUGAUCAUCCGGUUCGAUGUGCCGGGAUAUGAUCUUUUUAUCGUGAUAAGCUUUAGUCCUUUCUUUAUAAAUUUUCGAAUUUUCGAAAGCUAAAUGUCUGAUUUCAUCAAGCUCGUUAAGCUGGAUGAGUCUCCUUUCUGCAGGUGGUUUGAUAUCAAAGUUCAAAAGUUUGGUAGCCCAAGCUGCUUUGUGUUCCAGUUCGACUGGUAAAUGACAUGAUUUGCCAUAAAGGAGGUUGAAUGGUGUUGUUCCUAACGGCGUUUUGUAGGCGGUCCUGUAGGCCCAAAGUGCAUUAUCUAGUUUCCUAGACCAAUCUUUUCUGGAGGUUCCUACGGUUUUCUCUAAGAUUUCCUUAAUUUGCCGGUUAGAGACUUCUACUUGUCCACUGGUUUGUGGGUGGUAAGGUGUGGCUACUCUAUGAUGAACACCAUUCUUUUUAAGCAAUCUAUCAAAGAUUUUGUUAAUGAAAUGAGUUCCACCGUCACUAAUGACUACUCUUGGAACUCCAAAUCUUGGAAAGAUUAUACUCUUGAAGAGUUUAAUAACCACAGAUGCGUCAUUGGUAGGAGAAGCUACUGCUUCGACCCAUUUGGAUACGUAGUCUACAGCGACUAGUAUAUAUUUGUUUCCAUAUGAAGACGGGAAGGGUCCCAUAAAAUCGAUACCCCAGCAAUCAAAGACUUCAACUUCAAGAAUGAACUUCUGUUCCAUUUCGUGUCUUUUUCUGAUUUUUCCACGUCUUUGGCAUCAGUCACAUUGGGUUAUAAAUGCGUGGGCAUCGCGAAAAGUGGUCGGCCACCAAAAUCCUGCUUGGAGGAUUUUCGAAACCGUUUUAAAGGUAGCGAAAUGUCCUGCAUAAUCAGCUCCGUGACAUUGGUAAAUAAUGUCCGAAACUUCAGCUUCGGAUACGCAUCAUCUGUAUAUGCCAUCAGAACAAUGCUUAUAGAGGUAAGGUUCAUCCCAAUGAUAGCGUCUUACUUCUCUGAAAAAUUUCUUCCUCAUAUAUCCCUUGAGUUCGUCUGGCUCAACCUCAGCUGCCAAAUAGUUAACUAUGUCGGCAUACCAGGGUCGGUUAUUCGAGUUUCUACCAAUCACGUCUACCUCCCGUUGUGAUAAUUCCUCAGGUGUAUGAUUAAUCUCAUCACCGGAAACAUUAACUUGUAAAUUGAAAUUGAUUUUAAUAGACGAGGGUUCGUGAUCUUUGUUAUUCGAGAGUUGAGAAGUUACAUCAUUUUCGUCAUCGAUCGAUGUAUCACUACGUAAAUUGACCGAUAUACCAUCUCUCUCAUCGAUCGAUAGAUCUUCAGAUGUGAGAGAUAUUUGACCGACGAAAGAUGUAUCUAUGUGUGCAACAUUCUCUGUGGGGAAGAAAUCGUCUAUAGGGACAUCAUCCUCUAUUCUUAUCCGGGAAAGAUGGUCAGCGACUCCAUUAUCUACUCCUCUCUUAUUCUUAAUCUCAAUGUCAAACUCUUGGAGUAGUAGAAUCCAGCGUAUGAGUCGAGGUUUAGUGAUAUACCAUGAUUUUCACCUGUUUUUAUACAUGGUAUAUAAAGGUUUUAAAAUGUAUUAAUCAUGUUUUAGAGUCUUUUUAAAGCAAAUACAGGUUUAUUCACCUGAUGGAAGGAAAUGAUACUUUUGGGACAUUUUGGAAUGCUUUUACGCAAGGAAAAUCGAUCGACGCUUGAAGAGCAACAUCGGUCGAUCAUAAUCACUUACCAUCGAUCGACAUACAUUUAUGUGCAUCGAUCGAUACCCAGUCACACGGAUGAAAUCGCAAAUUAAAAGAUUUCAUUUCCCAGAAGAUCUAUUAUUUACAACUUAAGUCCCUAGCCGCCUGUUAGGCUAUAUGUACUAGGGUUUUGUAUCAUUUCUAGCAGACACUUGCAAAAAGACCUAGGUUUGGAGAAGGAGCAUUUUGGCUACCAUUAGGAGAGCUUAGGAAUGGAGAGAUAGAUCUGAAACUGCAAAACAGAGAAGAUCUUGAACUCCUUUAUUUCUAUUACUCUUUCUAUUUGUGUUCUAUGUUUCAUUUGAGUUUAUUUCACACCAUCGUGACUUUGUCUCUCAUGAAUAUGUUUGAGUAAACCAAUUGUUAGAUUUAGGUUUCUCACCAUGGUUGAAAUUAUGUACUGCUAAUAUGACUGUUAAAAAGGUGUUUUGAUUGUUCUUUCAUUGCUUAUGGACUUAAUGCUAAAAUUGAGAUUGAUCACCUUCAAUUUAGAUCUUAGGAUUAAUUGAGUCCAACUAACCGUUUCUCCUCAAUACCUGAACCCAUUUGCGUGAUCUAACUAACUCAGGCGCAACGACAGUUGGUCUGAGAAGGUUAGAGAACAAGUUAAACCUGUUCGCAAAGCUCGCUAGAAUAACCGUCGAUCGACGCAACUAUCGUUCUGUCGGUCGAUCGUUACAAAGGUGUAUCAGUCGAUGUACAUCAAGUCACAUCGAUCGACACUCUCUCGAGAUCAAAGUACGACAGUUGAGAUCCGAGAUCUAGUGAAGAUAACCUAUCCGGUUAAAUCAAUGUUUAGUUCAAGAACCAUUAAACCCUUUAGUCUAAACUAAGUGCAUAUAUUUUAUACCUGAGAAUUGCCUGAAUCUAGCUGCUUUCCGAAUCUUGAAACCACUUCAAUUCAAUCUAUUGAAUCACUGUUGUUUUUGAUUUAUCAUUUACUGCUUUUAAGACUAUUAAAACCUUUUAGUCUAUCUUCAUUUCUAAUUAUUUAAGUCUGCUGAGUAAUCCUAGAAUCUCUGUGGAUUCGAUCCCUAAGUACUACAUCUGAACCUCUUUUGAUAAGAGUAACACUCUUUAGGGUAAUUUGAGUGAUAUCAAAUUUGGCGCCGUUGUCGGGGACUCUUUCUUAUUACCAUUAGAUUUAAUUUAGAAUUUAGUAUAGACUUGUUACAAAAAUCUUGCUAAAGUUUUCUUUCUUAAUCUGUUACUCAGACACAAAGAAUGGAGAACAAAGAGCGCGACCAACCAUCGCUCGACGGUGACACGUUUCCAUCGAGCGACGAUGAGUCAGAAGAAUCGACCGAUACGGAGUCGCCAACAUCGAUCGAUACCGCCCAGCCGGAAGCAGGUAAGUUUUCUCUUACCAAGCAUGCCAAUGAGAAAGUAGUCCAAACUGAACUAUAUGGUCAAACGAGCAAUGAAACUGCCAAACUGAACAGGGGACUGAAAUCCCUGUUAAGGAAAAUUCCACCUUAACUAAAGGUGAAGAUAUAAAAUUGUCCAUACAAGACUACCUUGAUCCUGGUAGGACCUAUUCCAAUAGGUCCGCUAUUAAAAUACCAGGAGACGAUACCAAUAAAUCUAAGUUUAACGGAGAUUACUACCGUAUGGUUCGUCAAAACCCAUUUCGUGGAUCUCUCCCAGAACACCCACAAGAUCACAUUGAAACUUUGGAAGAAUUAAUACCAGAUGAAUAUGAUCGUUGCAAACUAUUCUCAUUCUCCCUAGAAGGAGAAGCCCUCAGGUGGCUAAACUGUUUAGCAACAGGAUCACUCACUUGUUGGGAAGAGAUUAGAAGAGCUUUCCUUAGAGAAUUUUUCACUGAUGAACGCUACUGGGAAGUAAGAAAACAAAUUUCUACAUUUCGCCAAGGUCCACGCGAAUCAUUUAAAAACGCUUGGGGAAGAUUCAGAGGCUAUGAACUUGAAUGUCCCCAUCAUGGUUAUUCAGAACCACAACUUCUUAACAUCUUUUAUGGAGGUGUUAAUUUGAGCUAUAAAACCACACUCCAUACAGCGAGUGAUGGAAAUUUCAUCACUAGGAAUCCCGAAGGAGCUAGACGCCUUAUCAAGAAUAUGACAACGGGAAGAUCCUAUGAAAAGAUGGAUGAAGAGAUAGAAAAAACUACAAGUCCAAAAGACAAUUCUGAUUUAAUAGAAAUUAAAAAUUUCCUUAAAUCCCUUCAUUCCUUUCUUCAAAACAAACACCGAUCUGAUAUAGCCCAGAUCGACGACAACGCUUUGUCUGACACCGAUGAUUAUUCGGAUGAAGCAACGAACUGCUCUGAUCCCGACUCUGUGCUUCAUGUCGAGAGCUUUACCCAAGCUUAUGACACUGCUUUAAAAUCACGUACCGGAAGAGAAAGGUUCAAUAUCUGACAAGCUCUUACUGGCAACCGUAAGACAAGAUCGGAGUUUUACGGAAAGAUAAAUAUGGUUUACGGAGAAUUGAUGGAGAAAGCAGAUUCUUUAGGAGAACUAAUCCGAUAAUUAGAAGGUCAAGUAGCUGAGAUUGCAACUGCCAUAAAGAGAGACGCUGGAUGUCUUCCCGGAAGAACUGAUCUAAACCCAAGACGUCAAGUCAGUGCCGUAAUGCUGCGCAGCGGGAAAAACCUCGCAGCAGAUACGAGGAAUAAUUCAGAUGUUGGAAAGCCUGACGACGCCGACAAGACCGGGAAAAGCAACUUUCAUCCUAUUCUUCUUAAUGAUCUUGACCCAAAUCCAUCUCAAGAGAACCGGAAAACCACCACUGAAACGGCUAAGGAAAAGACAAUAGACUUAGAACUAGAAGAAGAUAUGGAGAUUGAGAAUGAAAUCGAUCGACAGUACGGAACUGUCGUCGAUCGAUCCAAAACACCUACCAUCGAUCGACAACCUGAAAAACCCGUCGAUCGACAACCUGAAAAACCCGUCGAUCGACGGUCUACUCAACCCGAGCCCAUAAUUGAAAGAGUCUAUAGAACUUUACCACCUUUUCCUCCUAAAACGCAAACUAAGAAAUCAUUAGAAAAUGCAAUCUGCAAGAAAGCCUUAGAUAAGAUUACUGUCGAGAUGUCCCUUAGUGAUGCUAUAAAAAUAGCACCUUCAAUUAAGAAGUAUAUAAAGGAUAUGACAUCUCCAAACUAUCCGAUUGCAGAACAUAGCGUGAUGAUGAUUUCAGAAGAAGUAAGUGCUAUGAUUAAAGGAGAAACUCCAACGAAGAGAUCAGAUCCUGGUAGUUUCGUCCUAGAUUGUAAAAUAGAAGACACGCGCUUCCUUAGAUCAUUAUGUGACCUCGGCUCUAGCGUGAACCUUAUGCCUUACUAUGUUGCAGUGACGUUAGGAUAUAAAGAGUUUAUGCCAACUCCGAUCACCCUGGUUUUAGCUGAUAGAUCUAUUAGGGUACCCGAAGGAAUUCUCAAAGAUGUUCCCAUAAAGAUUAACGAUUGCAUCGUGCCUACGGAUUUUGUUGUGUUGAAAUACAGACAAGGAUCCAAAGACCCCCUCAUUCUGGGUCGGCCAUUCCUAGCUACAGCUGGAGCAAUCAUUGACGUCAAAGAAGGACGAAUUAAUUUGAACAUAGGGGAUAUCUUGAUGACUUUUGAUAUGGAAAAACUGAUUAAGCGACCCCUAAUAGAUGACCAGGCCUUCUACGUGGAAAAAGUUUCUGAGGAUGAAAGAGACUCUUUCAUAAACAUGUGUUCAGACAACCCCUUAGAAGACACCCUUAACCACGUGGAAAAUGAAGUUUUUGGCAUAUCAGAUAGGACAGACGAUUACAUGCAACUAAUGGACGCUAGCAUCGACGUUGCAAACGUAGAAGAAAAUGACGAUUCCGAAGUUGUCAUCGAUCGAUACCUUCAAGAUACCGUCGAUCGACAACCUCCCUCGCAAUCAAAUUAGUCUAAAGAUAAAGCACCAAAGGUAGAAUUAAAACCUCUACCCAGCGGUCUUAAGUACGCUUACCUUUAUGACCAGUCCUACCCUGUUAUUGUCAACGCCAAUCUCACUAGUGGAGAACUUGCUUUAUUGCUGAAUAAAUUACGCAAGUACAGGAAAGCGAUCGGGUAUUCUCUCGAUGACAUUCCUGGAAUCUCUCCCGAUCAUUGCAUGCAUCGGAUUAACUUGGAAGAUGACGCUAAAACGUCAAUAGAACAGCAAAGGAGAUUGAAUCCGAAUCUAAAGGAAGUAGUUAAAAAGGAAAUUAUAAAACUCCUUGAUGCUGGAGUUAUUUACCCUAUUUCGGAUAGUAAAUGGGUAAGCCCCAUACAUGUUGUACCCAAAAAGGGAAGUAUCAUUGUAGUGAAGAAUGAAAAGGACGAACUCAUUCCGACUCGUACCAUUACUGGUCAUCGGAUGUGCAUUGAUUAUAGGAAAUUGAAUGCCGCUACUAGGAAAGACCAUUUUCCCCUUCCCUUUAUUGAUCAGAUGCUGGAGAGAUUAGCUAAUCACCAGUAUUACUGUUUUCUUGAUGAAUAUUCCGGAUUUUUCCAAAUUCCUAUACACCCGAAUGAUCAAGAAAAGACAACGUUUACAUGCCCCUAUGGAACUUUCGCAUAUCGCAGAAUGCCAUUUGGUCUAUGUAAUGCCCCCGCUACUUUCUGAUACCACUCAAAUUACCCUAAGGAGUGUUACUCUCAUCAAAAGAGGUUCAGAUGUAGUACUUAGAGAUCGAAUCCACAAGGAGCUAGGGAACAAUUGAAUCUAGUGUUUAUUAAUUUUAAAGGUUGUAAAUGUUUAAAUGGAAUAGCAAUAGUAACAAGCGAGUAAAUAAUAAAUGUAACUUGGUUGGAAAUGGUAUUAGAUGCAGAGCCACUAUUCAGGUGUUGGAGAUUAUAAUACCUAUAGAUGCCUAACUGUUGCAUGCAUGAUAUAUUAGAGCUCAUUCGCUUAACUCAGUGAUCAGCUGUCGCAUGUACCACUGGUUAACAGACUAGAUCUCGUGUCUCACCGGUUAGUAUGCAGACACAAGGCCUAUACGCGAGUAUGAAAUGCUGUACUAAGAUUCUAAAUUGGCGGUUAGCCCUCUCUAGCAAUCCUAAUAUGAUAGAUAGAUGUCAGGAUGGGAUAAAAAGGGUGCUUGAAUAUGCAAUCCUAUGAUCAAAUUCUAGUUAGCUAGGCUAAAACAAGCAAUGAAUACAAAUCUAUCAUGAAUAUUACAACAAGGCAGAUCUAUAGUUUGGGGCUAAUCCCACAAACCUAUCUGAACCCUGGAUCUAACAGUUGAACUACUCAGACAUAGCAAAUAAAUUCAUAUCAAUAGAUAAAUAAAAACUCAUAGAAUAGACGAAAAGAAAUAGAAACAAGGAGUUCCAAUCACAAGUGAUCUUCUCUCCCAAAUGAAACUUGUAACAAAACUAGGUCUAGAAAAAGCUCUGUUCUUCUGCUGUCAAAAACACUAGGCAGUAUAUAUUCUACUAGGUUAAAAACUCGUCAGGACAUUUUUGUAAUUUGGCUUGGCCUUGGUUUUUAAGUCUUCUGAAUCCAAAAUGUCGCGUCUGGUGUCUCGACAUCGAUCGAUGGUACUUGUGUACAUCGAUCGAUAUUAAUCUUCAUCUGUCGAGGCAUUUCCUGAUAUCGAUCGUCAGCACUGAUGCGCAUCGAUCGAUUAUUCUUCCUCUCGUCGACCUCUAAGUGGUCAUCUCGGGUGAAAUGUCCUUUAACCUCCAAAAUGCUCCAAAGUCAUAGCUUUACUCCGAAAUGCACCUGAACCUGAAAACAUACCUAGAAGAGUAGAAAACAUAUAUAUAUAUAUAUAGUAAAACACUUAUAUACCAUGGAUAAAAAUGGGUCAAAUCCAAGGUAUAUCAACUCCCCCAGACUUACCCUUUUGCUUGUCCUCAAGCAAAACAUACAGGCAGUCUCUCUGAAAGAGGUUUGAAAAUAUUUAGGGAUUUAAGAUUUUAAAACAUUGAAAUCUUUCCUAAACAAUUUUGCAACCACAUUUAAAAAGUCCUAAUCACAAAAGCACACUAUGCAAUAUCCUAGCUUAGCAACCUUUUCUAACAUAACACAACUCAUCAAUUCAUGUCUGACAUCCCCUCUCAUGAUUUCAUUUCUUAGCAUAAAUAUAAAGUGAAUGCUUUACCUUGGGAGUAUCGAUCACAUGAUGCAAGGAUUUCAGACAGAUAUCUGGAGCUGCAGGUAAAAGUUAGUUCCUAUUUUCUCUCUCUCUAAAUUUCUCUCUUGAGUCAAAGUCUGCUUCCAUUGCAGGAUCAGUGACCAAGAUUGGACAGGCUUCCAUGAAUCAAAACUUAAUGGUGGUUGCCACCAAGUUAUGUUCACUUCUUUUUGACCUAUAUCCAAGAGUUCUUUGUGAAAGCGAGCCUUAAAGAUUGCCGCCUCCAAGUUCCAUUUCGAACUCUUUUAUUUGAGUCCUUAUGAAUCAAGCCUUAAUGGUUUUAGCCACCAAGUCCUGUUCAGACUCAUCCUAAUUAAACAAUAGGUCUUAUUUAUAUUUUUUUAUUUAUUUUAUUUUUAUUACAUAUAUAUAUAUACAUAUUUUAAUACUCACUAACUAAUCUAGGGUCGAAAUUUAGAGAGAGAAAAUGUGAUAAAUAAUCUAAACCUGGCGUUACCUUCCAGACCUAAUGAACUCCUAGGAUGUUUCUUUGGAUUGAACUGGAUAGAUCCCUUGUAUAAACGAAUCAGAGACUCAAGUUUAUCAAGGAGAUGGAUCGUAUGGUGACACAAAGAGUUGCGGAAAGACUCCUUGAUACUCCUAGAUGACUAGCUUGGAUAUUACACACCAAAAUAGACACCCUUAGUUGUUGGAUAUGACACACCAACGGAAUUCACUCAAGACUUGAUGAGAAGUAAAGAGAGAACAAAGAAAUCUGAUAGAUUUUUGUAGGAAAAGAUUGUGUCUAAAAGAGAGAGCGCAUACAAGCUUAUAUAGAGAAGUAUGGAACAGGCUCCAUAUUCUCGAGAUCAUUAAAGGGAACAGGCUCCCUUGGAACUACAACAAAGACUAAAGACUUAUUCAAAUUUGAAAAGAGUUUAAAACAUGAAAUAAAAAACCAUAGUUUAAAAAUAACAUAAGGUGGAACCAUGAUACAUCAUCUAAGGUUUAUGUAAGUAACUUGUGGCCUCAUUAAAAAUCUGCCUUUGGAAAACCCAAUGGGACAAAACCAAAGGUUAGGAAAAGAGCACACACAAGCACUUGCUUAGAUGAUGAUCAGUUUGAAACAAUUGCUUGAAUGGUGAUAAGAGUGUCUUGAUUGAUCAAACGUCCUUCAAGGCUGUCUUCUUGCUUCCAUGAGAUCAUAAGUAUACUUCCAACAGCUUCUUUGAGUCUUCUAGCUUUGGCACGAGUGAUGGGACCUGGUGGAAUGACUAAGGCAUCCUCUUCUUCACUUGAUUUGUCUUUGAGCUCUUCAUCUCCAUCCUUGUGCUGGUCCAUGAUCAUAUCAUCCCCUCCCUCUUGAAAAGGAUUUGUCCUCAAAUCUGGCUCAUCAGCAAAAUAAGGAAUCAAGUCAGUGAUAUUAAAACUAUUGCUCACAUCAUACCUUCCUUGGAGAUCCAGCUUGUAAGCAUUGUUGCCGAUUUUCUUUAUGAUCUCAAAUGGUCCAUCAAUUCUUGGCAUGAGCUUGGAUUUCCUCUCAUUAGGAAAUCUUUCUUUCCUUAGGUGAAUCCAGACUUGAUCACCCACUUCAAUGACUCUUUCACGCCUUCCCUUGUUUGCUUGUUUGGCAUAUUGCUUAGUCUUCUCUUCUAUGUUGCGCCUUGCUUGUUCAUGAAGCUGUUGUACCUUCUCUGCCUUUUUCUUGCCAUCAAGACUAACUCUUUCACACUCAGGUAAAGGUAUUAGAUCCAAAGGAGAGAUGGGAUUGAACCCAUAAACAAUUUCAAAUGGAGAAAACUUAGUAGCAGAAUGCACAGCAUGAUUAUAUGCAAAUUCACAAUGAGGCAAACAAUCUUCCCAUGAUUUCAAGUUCUUCUUUAUGAUUGCACGCAAGAGUGUACCAAGAGUUCUAUUAACUACUUCAGUCUGACCAUCAGUUUGUGGAUGACAAGUAGUAGAAAACAAUAGCUUAGUGCCUAGUUUAGACCAAAGAGUUUUCCAAAAGUAGCUUAGAAACUUAGUAUCUCUAUCAGAUACAAUAGUCUUAGGCAUGCCAUGUAAGCGCACAAUCUCCUUAAAGAACAAGUUAGCUAUAUGCAAUGCAUCAUCAGUUUUAUGACAAGCAAUGAAGUGUGCCAUCUUAGAAAAUCUAUCAACUACCACAAAGAUUGAAUCUUUACCAGUACGAGUUCUAGGCAAUCCAACAAUGAAGUCCAUAGAGAUAUCAUUCCAAGGAUGAUAAGGGAUGGGUAAAGGAGUAUACAAACCAUGGUUUUGGACUUUGGACUUAGCUUGUUUACAAGUUGCACACCUUUCACAAAGUCUUUCCACAUCUCUUUUCAUCAGCGGCCAGUAGAAGUGAUCCUGCAAGGUCUUGAGAGUUUUUGCAACACCAAAAUGUCCCAUGAGACUUCCUCCAUGAGAUUCCCUAACAAAUAAAUCUCUCAAAGAACAAUUAGGCACACAAAGUCUAUUAUCAUAGAAAAGAAAUCCAUCCUGCCUAAAGUAAUGUCCAGCAGCAAAUUUCUCACAAGACUUGUAAGCAUCUUUAAAAUCAGGAUCAGUUUCAUACAUACCUUUAAUCUGCUCAAAACCCAACAGUUUGACAUCAAGAGUGUUUAAGAGAGCAUACCUUCUAGAUAGUGCAUCAGCAACUAUAUUCUCUUUACCUUGUUUGUACUUGAUCACAUAAGGGAAAGUUUCUAUGAAUUUAACCCACCUUGCGUGUCUCUUACUGAGCUUGUUCUGUCCUUUUAGAUACUUGAGGGACUCGUGGUCUGUGUGUAUGACAAAUUCUUUGGGCCAUAGAUAAUGCUGCCAAGUCUGCAAAGCCCUUACUAAAGCAUAUAGCUCUUUGUCAUAAGUUGCAUAGUUGAGAGUAGCUCCUCCACGCUUCUCACUAAAGUAUGCAAUAGGUCUUUUCUCCUGCAUCAACACAGCACCCACACCUAUACCAGAAGCAUCACAUUCUAUCUCGAAAGUUUUAUUAAAGUCAGGUAAAAUAAGGAGAGGAGAAUGAGUGAGCUUCUCUUUAAGGCAUUGGAAAGCAGUUUCCUGUGGCUCUCCCCAUUUGAAUCCCACAUCUUUCUUGAUUAUCUCGGUCAGUGGAGCUGCAAUGGUGCUAAAAUCCUUGACAAAGCGCCUGUAGAAGCCAGCCAACCCAUGAAAGCUUCUUACUUCACUCACAGUAGCAGGAAUUGGCCACUCCUUGAUUGCUUUGAUUUUCUCCUGAUCCACCUUAACUCCCUCUGCACUUACAACAAAACCUAGAAAGACCAAGUUAUCCGUUCCAAAAGUACACUUCUUAAGGUUAGCAAAAAGAGAUUCCUUUCUAAGCGCAUCAAGAACAGCUCUAAGAUGUCCUAUAUGAUCAUUAAAGCUCUUACUGUAUACCAGGAUGUCAUCAAAGUAUACCACAACAAAUUUGCCAAUGAAUGAUCUAAGAACAUGAUUCAUUAAUCUCAUGAAUGUACUAGGUGCAUUGGUUAAUCCAAAUGGCAUGACUAACCACUCAUAUAAACCAUGUUUAGUUUUGAAUGCAGUUUUCCAUUCAUCUCCUUCUUUCAUCCUAAUCUGAUGGUAACCACUUUUCAAAUCAAUCUUAGAAAAUAUGCAAGAACCAUGCAAUUCAUCAAGCAUAUCAUCUAAUCUAGGAAUAGGAUGGCGAUACUUUACAGUGAUAUUGUUGAUGGCUCUACAAUCAACACACAUGCGCCAGCUUCCAUCCUUCUUAGGCACAAGAAGUACUGGUACUGCACAUGGGCUCAUGCUUUCACGGAUAUGCCCCUUUGCCAUCAGAUUGAUUUUGUCCCUGGUUCUACACUUCCAAAUAGGCCAGCUUAUAGGACUAAUCCCGUGGAGACUACAAUCCCUCUAAGAGGUGGAAGACCUUGAGGAGUUUCUUCUGGAAACACAUCUAUAUAUUCCUGUAAAAGAUACUCAAUUUCACUCGGAUAUACCGGUGUUGGGUUAGUAACAUUCAAAUGAGACUCUUUAAAGAUAAGUAAAAGAAUGGAUUGAUGAGCAUUGAGAGUUCUUUUGAUAUCACCCGAGUUGGCAUAGAAACUAUGCUGCUUCUUUGAAUCAGGUUUGAGGUCUAUUUCUUUCUUCUUUUGUAGCUGCAGUUGAUCUUGGUGAACCUCCUUUGGUGUUAGAGGAACCAGCACAGUCUUCUUCCCUUUGAACUCAAACGUGUGCUUGUUGGUGUAGCCAUCAUGUAUCACUCGUCUAUCUGAUUGCCAUGGCCGACCAAGAAGGAUAUGUCCAGCUUCCAUAGGCAGUACAUCACAGAGAACCUCAUCCUCAUACCUUCCAAUUGCAAUGGGAACCGAAACCUGACUAGAAACCCUCAUUUCUCCUUCUUCAUUCAACCAUUGAAGCCGGUAGGGCUUUGGAUGUUUCUGUACUUGGAGGCCAAGCUUCUUUACCAUAGUUUCACUAGCUACAUUCACACAACUUCCUCCAUCAAUGAUAAGACUACAGACCUUUCCUUGCACAAGGCACCGAGUGUAGAAUAGAUUCUCUCUCUGUUCUUGCUCUUCAGCUUUACUUUGCAAACUCAAAGUUCUUCUAGCCACCAAUAGCUUUCCUCUCACGGGUUCUUCUUCAUAUUCUUCUUCAGUAAGCGCCUUAUACUCAGACUCUGAAAGCUCAUCCUCAGAUUCAUACUCUCCAUUCUCAAGAAGAAUCAUGAUUCUUUUAUUGGUGCACUCAUUUGCAUAAUGGCCUCUACCCUGACACUUAAAGCACUUAACAUCUCUAGCUCUUGCACUUGAAACCUCAGCCUUUCCUUUAUCCUUACUGUAAAUGGGAUUUGGCUUUGAAUCUUCUUUCAGUUGCGGUUUGCUUUCCUUUUGAUAGCUAGACUUUUCUUCUUUAGUUCCCUGAAGUCUGGUGUUGUAACGAGAGUGAGAAUGGCCCUUCCUUUUAACUUGUUGCUCAACUAGUAUAGCUUUGUGAAGCAUCUCCUCUAUCUCCACAUAGUGCUGCAUCUCCACGUUAUCUUGUAUCUCUCGGUUGAGACCUCCUAAGAACCUAGCCAUAGUAGCUUCUUUAUCUUCAGAAACACGAGCUCUCAGCAUCAACAACUCCAUGUCUUGAUAGUAUUCUUCAACAGACCGAGAUCCUUGGGUGAGUCUUCUUAACUUCUGGUGCAAGUCGCGAUGAUAGUGAUUUGGCACAAAUCUUUUACGCAUGAGAGCCUUCAUCUCGUGCCAUGUUUCAACGGGAUACUCUUGGUUAAGUCUUCUGGAAGUCACAAGCUGAUCCCACCAACUCAACGCAUAGUCAUGAAACUCGGUUGCUGCUAUCUGAAUUCUUUGGGCAUUGGUGUAGUGCUUACAGUUAAACACCAACUCCAUCUUCUUUUCCCAUUCCAAGUAAGCAUCCGGAUCAACUUUGCCAUAGAAAGGAGGUAUCUUCAGCUUUAAACCAGCAAGAUCAUCUCUGUAAGUUCUCCUUUCAUCAUGAUCUCUUCUAUAUCUCCUUCUACUAUCUCUAGAAGAGGAACUGCUGCGCGUGGCUCGGUUGCGCUCAUAGUAGGGGUCUGUUUCUUGUGAUUCAGCAUGCUCUCGUGGGGUUUCAUCACGUCUUUCUCGUCUAGACUCAUUGCUAUGACCUUGGCCAGUAGCUUGCCUUAUCUCUUGCCUUAUUUCAUCGCGAAGUUCCUUCAUACUGCUCUUGAUCAUAUUAGCAACGGUAGUGAUCAUCGUUUGGUUUAAUUGCUCAGUCAUCUGAUCUCUCAAUAACCUGUUCUGUCUCACGAGUUCUGCUUCUUCUUCCGACUCAUUCACCAUGGUACCUGAUUCAGAAAACACUCAAACAAGUAAGAUGUUCACAAGAAUCAAUUCAGAACAAUUAGUCGACGCGGAAACAACUUUCAAAAGAUUCAAAAGAUAGAAAACUUGUAGAUCACGGAUUAGAGAAUUCAAAUCGACAAGACUAAGAUCAGUUCUAUCAAUUUUGGAUUUAUGCAGAUCAGAUUCAAGAUAAAUAAGAACAGAUUUAUCACAGAAACUUCACAAAUCAAAUUAUUCAGCAAGUGAUUCAACAGAUCAAGUGAUUCGAUUACUUCCUUCACACGGAUCGGAUGAGUUUGAUUCAAAAUAUGAUAAGAACACUUAGAUCUAACAGGAUUCAACACAGAUGAUUAGUAAUCAGGUGAUAUGCUACUUAGAUAAUACGAGAAACAACAACAGAUCUCAGAUCUAUCAAUGGUAAUCAAAGGAGUUGAAGAGUUUAUUUGAAACCAAAGAGAAAUCGAAAACUUCCCAAUCCAAAGCAGCUCUGAUACCACUUAAUGAACUCCUAGGAUGUUUCUUUGGAUUGAACUGGAUAGAUCCCUUGUAUAAACGAAUCAGAGACUCAAGUUUAUCAAGGAGAUGGAUCGUAUGGUGACACAAAGAGUUGCGGAAAGACUCCUUGAUACUCCUAGAUGACUAGCUUGGAUAUUACACACCAAAAUAGACACCCUUAGUUGUUGGAUAUGACACACCAACGGAAUUCACUCAAGACUUGAUGAGAAGUAAAGAGAGAACAAAGAAAUCUGAUAGAUUUUUGUAGGAAAAAGAUUGUGUCUAAAAGAGAGAGCGCAUACAAGCUUAUAUAGAGAAGUAUGGAACAGGCUCCAUAUUCUCGAGAUCAUUAAAGGGAACAGGCUCCCUUGGAACUACAACAAAGACUAAAGACUUAUUCAAAUUUGAAAAGAGUUUAAAACAUGAAAUAAAAAACCAUAGUUUAAAAAUAACAUAAGGUGGAACCAUGAUACAUCAUCUAAGGUUUAUGUAAGUAACUUGUGGCCUCAUUAAAAACCUGCCUUUGGAAAACCAAAUGGGACAAAACCAAAGGUUAGGAAAAGAGCACACACAAGCACUUGCUUAGAUGAUGAUCAGUUUGAAACAAUUGCUUGAAUGGUGAUAAGAGUGUCUUGAUUGAUCAAACGUCCUUCAAGGCUGUCUUCUUGCUUCCAUGAGAUCAUAAGUAUACUUCCAACAGCUUCUUUGAGUCCUCUAGCUUUGGCACGAGUGAUGGGACCUGGUGGAAUGACAAAGGCAUCCUCUUCUUCACUUGAUUUGUCUUUGAGCUCUUCAUCUCCAUCCUUGUGCUGGUCCAUGAUCAUAUCAAGACCUGUCUGAAGAAUCCAAUCCCAUGUAUACCAAGCCCCAGGACAAGCGGUUAUGUCAGGUUUAGUGUUGGAAAUCAGCUUUGGUUACUUCAUACGGUUCAAGGUAAGUGUGUAGUUGAUAGGUUGAUCCGCUUUAGCAUCUUUAGUGCUAUCUGCAAUCAACAAAUCUAAAAUGGUGCUAAAGAUUGGUUAGAUAUUUAUGUUUAAAUCAAUAUAGGAUUAUAGUCCAUAUUUUCAAUAGCUAAGCAUAAUUUAUUUGAAAUUCCUUUUUACAUAAGAAUAAAAUAAAUUAUAUCAGUAAAUCUCCCCCCAUACUUAAAUUACACUGUCCCAGUGUAACUCAGCCGGAGUUAUGAUGAAUAGUUUAUGAUGUACGAAAUGUAACAAGUUGGGAAGAUACAUCUGACCGGAUUAGAUAUCGAUCGAUGUGUAAGUGUCACAUCGACCGUCGUGUGGUUGCCUAUGUCGAACGAUGUCGACGUCUCGUCGUCGGUCGAUAUUCAGGUCCUCCUACUUGGGUCCCCUAAAUCUGAAAUAAAUAAAACGAAAGAAAUUAAAUGCUAGCUAAUAAAACCAAAGUAAAAUACCUAAUAGUGGGUUGCCUCCCACUCAGCGCUUGGUUAUAGUCAUUUAGCUUGACUGUGGUAGUAAUUGGCUAUUGGGUGGAGAAGCAGAUGCUUGUUGGAAAGCAAGCAUCCACGUCAUCUCUGCGCAUUCUGGACCAAGAUGCAAUGAAACUUCUUGUGGCCUCAUCAUUUAUUGUCCAUUUGUCAUCCAUCUUCUCAAGUACUUUGGAGAUGUUCGGUAGCCUUUCUUGAAUGUUGUCAAUGCUGACCUGGUGCCAGCCUAUGUGUCAUAGGCGUAUGCUGAAAGUUCUGUCAGUUCCUUUUGCAUUGACUCUACCGUCUUGUGUAUCAGCUGCUCGCCGAUUGGUGUAGACUCGGUGUCGAUCGAUGCGAUUAUGUGUUCGUUGGUCGAUCUCGGCGAGUUGCCAUCGAUCGAUUUCGCUAGCGUCCUGUCGAUCGAUGCUGAUAUCUGAUGUUGAGCUGCGAGUUGCCUCUGAAUGGCUUUGACUUCUUUUUGUAGCCAUUCUGCGUGGUUGUCUACUCCACUGAUUUUGUUGUCGAAUGGAAAGUAGAUGUCAUCGCAGCGUUUGUCAAGUCGUUCCGCCAUGGUGUCUAGAGCAGUGUAGAUCUUGGAUGUGAUCUUGUCAACCUCUGCUGCUGUGUAAGGAAGUAACUCCACAGGUUUCUUGCCAUCGAUCCAAGGUCCUCGUAACCUGUCAAUCGAUGUUGAUUUUGCCUGCAAAAAACUUUGACUAGUAAUGUUCUAAAUAUCCUUUUGGGCAUCAAGUAAUUGAUUAGACAAUUUGUUUAAAUAUGUCAUGAUUGGUGAUAUAAAACGGUCAUGCAUAUCCUCGUAAGUCCUCAGCCUCUCAUUCAUGGCUGAGACUUUGGCGUCGAGCGAUGUGAAGGUACACAUGUCGAUCGAUGUGGCUGGUUGUUGGUCCUUCUUGCGAAUGGUGUCCAGAUCUUGCUGUAGUAGCUCGAUUUUAGUGCUUAGCCAGUCCACGUUGUUGUUGAGAGGGCAAUAAACGUCGCUUAUCCUUGUGUCGAUGUAUGAUACUUCCCAUUCAUCCCUGUGUUGUGUUGAACAUUGCGGUUCUACAGGGAUCUGAGCUGUAGGAAGACUAACGUCGAUCGAUGUUUCACGUGGUGCGUCGAUCGAUGCUGAGGUCGUAGCUUCCUUCUCAAGUUGCUGACGUAAACUCUCAAUUUCUGUCCUCAUUUCUGCCAUACAUCUGAAAAGCUCAUUGUAGCCUCUAUCCAAAGGCUGAUGUGUAUCAUCUACCAAUGUUUUGAGCUCCUCUCCCAAUUUCUCCUGAGCUCCACAAAUACCAAACACCAUUUCAUCGAUUUCUUCUCUGGUGUAGAGUUCUGGUGCCAGUCUUGUGGGUGUGAAGGAAGUGGCUGGUUCUGGAAGACAGAUGUGGCUCUCCUCAAAAAGAGAUGCUCUUUCCAGUAUUUUCCUGAUGUUGUCCUUUGUGACAGGUAUCAUCUCACCAAUUACGCCUCGUGCGUGUCCACACUCAUCUCUGUAGACUCCAUACUCGUCCCUUUGUUCCCAAGUGAACUUUCUGGCUUCGUACAUGUCAAAAGCGCAGUUCCCAAAUUCAUACCGUCUGUCGAUCGACGUCGGGUCAUCCUUAUCGAUCGACAUUGGUGUUACCCUGUCAAUCGAUGUCUCCGUUGUACCGUCGAUCGAUGCUUGCACUUUUGGUUGGCGUGAUAGAUCUGGGUUGAUCUCUGUUGUGGCGACUCAUGCGUGGUUGUUAGGAUCUGUUUGAAUGACGUCUGGAGUGCCACGUUGCUGUGAGAAUAGGUUGUCAGGUCCAUUGGCUAUUUGAAGGAUGUUUGCUAUGUCCUCUCUGGACACUUGUAAAAUCCUUCCAUCCAUUGCACGUGCGUUGCCAUCUGGGUCCCUGAAAAUACCAAAUUCAUCAGGUGUUAGAAAACCGUAAUCAAUGUUCGCAUAAUCAUUCAAUUUAAAAAUAAAAAGAUUAGGGUUUAGAGUAGUAUCGAUCGAUGUAGAUACAGUCACAUCGAUCGAUGGCAGUGUAAUUUCUGCAGAACUUUUGUUCUUGAGAUGAUUACUCUUCAUGGAUUUUUCUGUUGAUGUAGAAGGAAGAGUGUUCAUCUUUUUUACUUGUGUGUUCGCUCUGAUGUGUGUAGGUGAUUUCGGGGGUGCAAAAUGAUUUAUAUAGGUAUCUAUAAACCUAGUUGGGGAGAUAAUAUUCUCAUGCUCCUGGAUUUUCGCUGCGACGCGAAUAUCAAUCGAUGUUCCUUUCGGGGUGUCGAUCGAUUUGAGCGGUUGUUUUGCUGGACGAGGGUGGGUAUCGACCGAUGUGGAGUUCACAGCGUCGAACGAUGUUGGAAACGUGUUGGUGAACUUAUGUGUUUCAAGUCUUUCAUCCUGCAAAGAUAUUUCUAUUGCACGUUCUUUCCAGUAAUCCUCAUUAGGUGAAGUAAUUACAGUGUCAACUGUAAAACUUUCAUGGAAACCACUGUCUGCCCAACUGCCUAUGGAAUAAUCAUCAUGUCCUCUCUCGCUUGGAGGUUGGAAGGCAAAAUGUUGGUAACAAUGAUUUGGUGAAGCGAAAUGGUCAAGUGGGUGCAUUACGUUGAGUGACGUGUUGUUGCGGUCAUCGGUCACCAUUGACACAUUGAAAUCGAUCGAUGGAAAGAUUGGGGUGUCGAUCGAUUCCGAGUACUUCUCUGAUCCCUACUCUGUGCUUCAUGUCGAGAGCUUUACCCAAGCUUAUGACACUGCUUUAAAAUCAAGUACCGGAAGAGAAAGGUUCAAUAUCUGACAAGCUCUUACUGGCAACCGUAAGACAAGAUCGGAGUUUUACGGAAAGAUUAAUAUGGUUUACGGAGAAUUGAUGGAGAAAGCAGAUUCUUUAGGAGAACUAAUCCGAAAAUUAGAAGGUCAAGUAGCUGAGAUUGCAACUGCCAUAAAGAGAGACGCUGGAUGUCUUCCCGGAAGAACUGAUCUAAACCCAAGACGUCAAGUCAGUGCCGUAAUGCUGCGCAGCGGGAAAAACCUCGCAGCAGAUACGAGGAAUAAUUCAGAUGUUGGAAAGCCUGACGACGCCGACAAGACCGGGAAAAGCAACUUUCAUCCUAUUCUUCUUAAUGAUCUUGACCCAAAUCCAUCUCAAGAGAACCGGAAAACCACCACUGAAACGGCUAAGGAAAAGGCAAUAGACUUAGAACUAGAAGAAGAUAUGGAGAUUGAGGAUGAAAUCGAUCGACAGUACGGAACUGUCGUCGAUCGAUCCAAAACACCUACCAUCGAUCGACAACCUGAAAAACCCGUCGAUCGAAAACCUGAAAAACCCGUCGAUCGACGGUCUACUCAACCCGAGCCCAUAAUUGAAAGAGUCUAUAGAACUUUACCCCCUUUUCCUCCUAAAACGCAAACUAAGAAAUCAUUAGAAAAUGCAAUCUGCAAGAAAGCCUUAGAUAAGAUUACUGUCGAGAUGUCCCUUAGUGAUGCUAUAAAAAUAGCACCUUCAAUUAAGAAGUAUAUAAAGGAUAUGACAUCUCCAAACUAUCCGAUUGCAGAACAUAGCGUGAUGAUGAUUUCAGAAGAAGUAAGUGCUAUGAUUAAAGGAGAAACUCCAACGAAGAGAUCAGAUCCUGGUAGUUUCGUCCUAGAUUGUAAAAUAGAAGACACACGCUUCCUUAGAUCAUUAUGUGACCUCGGCUCUAGCGUGAACCUUAUGCCUUACUAUGUUGCAGUGACGUUAGGAUAUAAAGAGUUUAUGCCAACUCCGAUCACCCUGGUUUUAGCUGAUAGAUCUAUUAGGGUACCCGAAGGAAUUCUCGAAGAUGUUCCCAUAAAGAUUAACGAUUGCAUCGUGCCUACGGAUUUUGUUGUGUUGAAAUACAGACAAGAACCCAAAGACCCCCUCAUUCUGGGUCGGCCAUUCCUAGCUACAGCUGGAGCAAUCAUUGACGUCAAAGAAGGACGAAUUAAUUUGAACAUAGGGGAUAUCUCGAUGACUUUUGAUAUGGAAAAACUGAUUAAGCGACCCCUAAUAGAUGACCAGGCCUUCUACGUGGAAAAAGUUUCUGAGGAUGAAAGAGACUCUUUCAUAAACAUGUGUUCAGACAACCCCUUAGAAGACACCCUUAACCACGUGCAAAAUGAAGUUUUCGGCAUAUCAGAUAGGACAGACGAUUACAUGCAACUAAUGGACGCUAGCAUCGACGUUGCAAACGUAGAAGAAAAUGACGAUUUCAAAGUUGUCAUCGAUCGAUACCUUCAAGAUACCGUCGAUCGACAACCUCCCUCGCAAUCAAAUUAGUCUAAAGAUAAAGCACCAAAGGUAGAAUUAAAACCUCUACCCAGCGGUCUUAAGUACGCUUACCUUUAUGACCAGUCCUACCCUGUUAUUGUCAACGCCAAUCUCACUAGUGGAGAACUUGCUUUAUUGCUGAAUAAAUUACGCAAGUACAGGAAAGCGAUCGGGUAUUCUCUCGAUGACAUUCCUGGAAUCUCUCCCGAUCAUUGCAUGCAUCGGAUUAACUUGGAAGAUGACGCUAAAACGUCAAUAGAACAGCAAAGGAGAUUGAAUCCGAAUCUUAAGGAAGUAGUUAAAAAGGAAAUUAUAAAACUCCUUGAUGCUGGAGUUAUUUACCCUAUUUCGGAUAGUAAAUGGGUAAGCCCCAUACAUGUUGUACCCAAAAAGGGAAGUAUCACUGUAGUGAAGAAUGAAAAGGACGAACUCAUUCUGACUCGUACCAUUACUGGUCAUCGGAUGUGCAUUGAUUAUAGGAAAUUGAAUGCCGCUACUAGGAAAGACCAUUUUCCCCUUCCCUUUAUUGAUCAGAUGCUGGAGAGAUUAGCUAAUCACCAGUAUUACUGUUUUCUUGAUGAAUAUUCCGGAUUUUUCCAAAUUCCUAUACACCCGAAUGAUCAAGAAAAGACAACGUUUACAUUCCCCUAUGGAACUUUCGCAUAUCGCAGAAUGCCAUUUGGUCAAUGUAACGCCCCCGCUACUUUCUGAUACCACUCAAAUUACCCUAAGGAGUGUUACUCUCAUCAAAAGAGGUUCAGAUGUAGUACUUAGGGAUCGAAUCCACAAGGAGCUAGGGAACAAUUAAAUCUAGUGUUUAUUAAUUCUAAAGGUUGUAAAUGUUUAAAUGGAAUAGCAAUAGUAACAAGCGAGUAAAUAAUAAAUGUAACUUGGCUGGAAAUGGUAUUAGAUGCAGGGCCACUAUUCAGGUGUUGGAGAUUAUAAUACCUAUAGAUGCCUAACUGUUGCAUGCAUGAUAUAUUAGAGCUCAUUCGCUUAACUCAGUGAUCAGCUGUCGCAUGUACCACUGGUUAACAGACUAGAUCUCGUGUCUCACUGGUUAGUAUGCAGACACAAGAGAGUGUCGAUCGAUAGUCUAUUAAGACAUCGACAGAUACACCUUUGCCAACAUCGAUUGAUUGUCAGUUGAGGACAUCGAUCGACGGGUUCUAGCAAGGCCUAUGCGCGAGUAUGAAAUGCUGUACUAAGAUUCUAAAUUGGCGGUUAGCCCUCUCUAGCAAUCCUAAUAUGAUAGAUAGAUGUCAGGAUGGGAUAACAAGGGUGCUUGAAUAUGCAAUCCUAUGAUCAAAUUCUAGUUAGCUAGGCUAAAACAAGCAAUGAAUACAAAUCUAUCAUGAAUAUUACAACAAGGCAGAUCUAUAGUUUGGGGCUAAUCCCACAAACCUAUCUGAACUCUGGAUCUAACAGUUGAACUACUCAGACAUAGCAAAUAAAUUCAUAUCAAUAGAUAAAUAGAAACUCAUAGAAUAGACAAAAAGAAAUAGAAACAAAGAGUUCCAAUCACAAGUGAUCUUCUCUCCCAAAUGAAACUUGUAACAAAACUAGGUCUAGAAAAAGCUCUGUUCUUCUGCUGUCAAAAACACUAGGCAGUAUAUAUUCUACUAGGUUAAAAACUCGUCAGGACAUUUUGGUAAUUUGGCUUGGCCUUGGUUUUUAAGUCUGCUGAAUCCAAAAUGUCGCGUCUGGUGUCUCGACAUCGAUCGAUGGUACUUGUGUACAUCGAUCGAUAUCAAUCUUCAUCUGUCGAGGCAUUUCCUGAUAUCGAUCGUCAGCACUGAUGCGCAUCGAUCGAUUAUUCUUCCUCUCGUCGACCUCUAAGUGGUCAGCUCGGGUGAAAUGUCCUUUAAGCUCCAAAAUGCUCCAAAGUCAUAGCUUUACUCCGAAAUGCACCUGAACCUGAAAACAUACCUAGAAGAGUAGAAAACAUAGAUAUAUAUAUAUAUAUAUAUAUAUAUAUAUAUAUAUAUAUAUAGUAAAACUAUAUACCAUGGAUAAAAAUGGGUCAAAUCCAAGGUAUAUCAACUCCCCCAGACUUACCCUUUUGCUUGUCCUCAAGCAAAACAUACAGGCAGUCUCUCUGAAAGCGGUUUGAAAAUAUUUAGGGAUUUAAGAUUUUAAAACAUAGAAAUCUUUCCUCAACAAUUUUGCAACCACAUUUAAAAAGUCCUAAUCACAAAAGCACAAUAUGCAAUAUCCUAGCUUAGCAACCUUUUCUAACAUAACACAACUCAUCAAUUCACGUCUGACAUCCCCUCUCAUGAUUUCAUUUCUUAGCAUAAAUAUAAAGUGAAUGCUUUACCUUGGGAGUAUCGAUCACAUGAUGCAAGGAUUUCACACAGGUAUCUGGAGCUGCAGGUAAAAGUUAGUUCCUAUUUUCUCUCUCUCUCUAAAUUUCUCUCUUGAGUCAAAGUCUGCUUCCAUUGCAGGAUCAGUGACCAAGAUUGGACAGGCUUCCAUUAAUCAAAACUUAAUGGUGGUUGCCACCAAGUUAUGUUCACUUCUUUUUGACCUAUAUCCAAGAGUUCUUUGUGAAAGCGAGCCUUAAAGAUUGCCGCCUCCAAGUCCCAUUUCGAACUCUUUUAUUUGAGUCCUUAUGAAUCAAGCCUUAAUGGUUUUAGCCACCAAGUCCUGUUCAGACUCAUCCUAAUUAAACAAUAGUCUUAUUUAUAUUUUUUUAUUUAUUUUAUUUUUAUUAUAUAUAUAUAUAUACAUAUUUUAAUACUCACUAACUAAUCUAGGGUCGAAAUUUAGAGAGAGAAAAUGUGAUAAAUAAUCUAAACCAGGCGUUACCUUCCAGACCUGUCUGAAGAAUCCAAUCCCAUGUAUACCAAGCCCCAGGACAAGCGGUUAUGUCAGGUUUAGUGUUGGAAAUCAGCUUUGGCUACUUCAUACGGUUCAAGGUAAGUGUGUAGUUGAUAGGUUGAUCCGCUUUAGCAUCUUUAGUGCUAUCUGCAAUCAGUAAAUCUAAAAUGGUGCUAAAGAUUGGUUAGAUAUUUAUGUUUAAAUCAAUAUAGGAUUAUAGUCCCUAUUUUCAAUAGCUAAGGAUAAUUUAUUUGAAAUUCCUUUUUACAUAAGAAUAAAAUAAAUUAUAUCAGUAAAUCUCCCCCCAUACUUAAAUUACACUGUCCCAGUGUAACUCAGCCGGAGUUAUGAUGAAUAGUUUAUGAUGUACGAAAUGUAACAAGUUGGGAAGAUACAUCUGACCGGAUUAGAUAUCGAUCGAUGUGUAAGUGUCACAUCGAUCGUCGUGUGGUUGCCUGUGUCGAACGAUGUCGACGUCUCGUCGUCGGUCGAUAUUCAGGUCCUCCUACUUGGGUCUCCUAAAUCUGAAAGAAAUAAAACAAAAGAAAUUAAAUGCUAGCAAAUAAAACCAAAGUAAAAUACCUAAUAGUGGGUUGCCUCCCACUCAGCGCUUGGUUAUAGUCAUUUAGCUUGACUGUGGUAGUAAUUGGCUAUUGGGUGGAGAAGCAGAUGCUUGUUGGAAAGCAAGCAUCCACGUCAUCUCUGCGCAUUCUGGACCAAGAUGCAAUGAAACUUCUUGUGGCCUUAUCAUUUCUUGUCCAUUUGUCAUCCAUCUUCUCAAGUACUUUGGAGAUGUUCGGUAGCCUUUCUUGAAUGUUGUCAAUGCUGACCUGGUGCCAGCCUAUGUGUCAUAGGCGUAUGCUGAAAGUUCUGUCAGUUCCUUUUGCAUUGACUCUACCGUCUUGUGUAUCAGCUGCUCGCCGAUUGGUGUAGACUCGGUGUCGAUCGAUGCGAUUAUGUGUUCGUUGGUCGAUCUCGGCGAGUUGCCAUCGAUCGAUUUCGCUAGCGUCCUGUCGAUCGAUGCUGAUAUCUGAUGUUGAGCUGCGAGUUGCCUCUGAAUGGCUUUGACUUCUUUUUGUAGCCAUUCUGCGUGGUUGUCUACUCCACUGAUUUUGUUGUCGAAUGGAAAGUAGAUGUCAUCGCAGCGUUUGUCAAGUCGUUCCGCCAUGGUGUCUAGAGCAGUGUAGAUCUUGGAUGUGAUCUUGUCAACCUCUGCUGCUGUGCAAGGAAGUAACUCCACAGGUUUCUUGCCAUCGAUCCAAGGUCCUCGUAACCUGUCAAUCAAUGUUGAUUUUGCCUGCAAAAAACUUUGAUUAGUAAUGUUCUCAAUAUCCUUUUGGGCAUCAAGUAAUUGAUUAGACAAUUUGUUUAAAUAUGUCAUGAUUGGUGAUAUAAAACGGUCAUGCAUAUCCUCGUAAGUCCUCAGCCUCUCAUUCAUGGCUGAGACUUUGGCGUCGAGCGAUGUGAAGGUACACAAGUCGAUCGAUGUGGCUGGUUGUUGGUCCUUCUUGCGAAUGGUAAGCAGAUCUUGCUGUAGUAGCUCGAUUUUAGUGCUUAGCCAGUCCACGUUUUUGUUGAGAGGGCAAUAAACGUCACUUAUCCUUGUGUCGAUGUAUGAGACUUCCCAUUCAUCCCUGUGUUGUGUUGUGUUGAACAUUGCGGUUCUACAGGGAUCUGAGCUGUAGGAAGACUAACGUCGAUCGAUGUUUCACGUGGUGCGUCGAUCGAUGCUGAGGUCGUAGCUUCCUUCUCAAGUUGCUGGCGUAAACUCUCAAUUUCUGUCCUCAUUUCUACCAUACAUCUGAAAAGCUCAUUGUAGCCUCUAUCCAAAGGCUGAUGUGUAUCAUCUACCAAUGUUUUGACCUCCUCUCCCAGUUUCUCCUGAUCUCCACAAAUACCAAACACCAUUUCAUCGAUUUCUUCUCUGGUGUUGAGUUCUGGUGCCAGUCUUGUGGGUGUGAAGGAAGUGGCAUGUUCUGGAAGACAGAUGUGGCUCUCCUCAAAAAGAGAUGCUCUUUCCAGUAUUUUCCUGAUGUUGUCCUUUGUGACAGGUAUCAUCUCACCAAUUACGCCUCGUGCGUGUCCACACUCAUCUCUGUAGACUCCAUACUCGUCCCUUUGUUCCCAAGUGAACUUUCUGGCUUCGUACAUGUCAAAAGCACGGUUCCCCAAUUCAUACCGUCUGUCGAUCGACGUCGGGUCAUCCUUAUCGAUCGACAUUGGUGUUACCCUGUCAAUCGAUGUCUCCGUUGUACCGUCGAUCGAUGCUUGCACUUUUGGUUGGCGUGAUAGAUCUGGGUUGAUCUCUGUUGUGGCGACUCAUGCGUGGUUGUUAGGAUCUGUUUGAAUGACGUCUUGAGUGCCACGUUGCUGUGAGAAUAGGUUGUCAGGUCCAUUGGCUAUUUGAAGGAUGUCUGCUAUGUCCUCUCUGGACACUUGUAAAAUCCUUCCAUCCAUUGCACGUGCGUUGCCAUCUGGGUCCCUGAAAAUACCAAAUUCAUCAGGUGUUAGAAAACCGUAAUCAAUGUUUGCAUAAUCAUUCAAUUUAGAAAUAAAAAGAUUAGGGUUUAGAGUAGUAUCGAUCGAUGUAGAUACAGUCACAUCGAUCGAUGGCUGUGUAAUUUCUGCAGAACUUUUGUUCUUGAGAUGAUUACUCUUCAUGGAUUUUUCUGUUGAUGUAGAAGGAAGAGUGUUCAUCUUUUUUACUUGUGUGUUCGCUCUGAUGUGUGUAGGUGAUUUCGGGGGUGCAAAAUGAUUUAUAUAGGUAUCUAUAAACCUAGUUGGGGAGAUAAUAUUCUCAUGCUCUUGGAUUUUCGCUGCGGCGCGAAUAUCGAUCGAUGUUCCUUUCGGGGUGUCGAUCGAUUUGAGCGGUUGUUUUGCUGGACAAGGGUGGGUAUCGACCGAUGUGGAGUUCACAGCGUCGAACGAUGUUGGAAACGUGUUGGUGAACUUAUGUGUUUCAAGUCUUUCAUCCUGCAAAGAUAUUUCUAUUGCACGUUCUUUCCAGUAAUCCUCAUUAGGUGAAGUAAUUACAGUGUCAACUGCAAAACUUUCAUGGAAACCACUGUCUGCCCAACUGCCUAUGGAAUAAUCAUCAUGUCCUCUCUCGCUUGGAGGUUGGAAGGCAAAAUGUUGGUAACAAUGAUUUGGUGAAGCAAAAUGGUCAAGUGGGUGCAUUACGUCGAGUGACGUGUUGUUGCGGUCAUCGGUCACCAUUGACACAUUGAAAUCGAUCGAUGGAAAGAUUGGGGUGUCGAUCGAUUCCGAGUACUGCCCUGAUCCCUACUCUGUGCUUCAUGUCGAGAGCUUUACCCAAGCUUAUGACACUGCUUUAAAAUCACGUAUCGGAAGAGAAAGGUUCAAUAUCUGACAAGCUCUUACUGGCAACCGUAAGACAAGAUCGGAGUUUUACGGAAAGAUAAAUAUGGUUUACGGAGAAUUGAUGGAGAAAGCAGAUUCUUUAGGAGAACUAAUCCGAAAAUUAGAAGGUCAAGUAGCUGAGAUUGCAACUGCCAUAAAGAGAGACGCUGGAUGUCUUCCCGGAAGAACUGAUCUAAACCCAAGACGUCAAGUCAGUGCCGUAAUGCUGCGCAGCGGGAAAAACCUCGCAGCAGAUACGAGGAAUAAUUCAGAUGUUGGAAAGCCUGACGACGCCGACAAGACCGGGAAAAGCAACUUUCAUCCUAUUCUUCUUAAUGAUCUUGACCCAAAUCCAUCUCAAGAGAACCGGAAAACCACCACUGAAACGGCUAAGGAAAAGACAAUAGACUUAGAACUAGAAGAAGAUAUGGAGAUUGAGGAUGAAAUCGAUCGACAGUACGGAACUGUCGUCGAUCGAUCCAAAACACCUACCAUCGAUCGACAACCUGAAAAACCCGUCGAUCGACAACCUGAAAAACCCAUCAAUCGACGGUCUACUCAACCCGAGCCCAUAAUUGAAAGAGUCUAUAGAACUUUACCACCUUUUCCUCCUAAAACGCAAACUAAGAAAUCAUUAGAAAAUGCAAUCUGCAAGAAAGCCUUAGAUAAGAUUACUGUCGAGAUGUCCCUUAGUGAUGCUAUAAAAAUAGCACCUUCAAUUAAGAAGUAUAUAAAGGAUAUGACAUCUCCAAACUAUCCGAUUGCAGAACAUAGCGUGAUGAUGAUUUCAGAAGAAGUAAGUGCUAUGAUUAAAGGAGAAACUCCAACGAAGAGAUCAGAUCCUGGUAGUUUCGUCCUAGAUUGUAAAACACGACUCGAGGCCCAUCCUGGUAGCUACGUAGCGACCGGGCUCGAGCCAAAGUUCGGUCGCUGCAUAGCGACCGAGCUCUUCCGAACAUCGGUACGACACCAGUCCAUGCAUUCUCGUCAAACCUUCAAAUGCUAUCUCCCGAAGACAGUAGCGAGCUCAGUCUAUGCUUUCCGCUAUUCUAAAUCAACAAUCAAACUUUGCGGAUUAGAAACACUUCGAGUUGGAAGACGGCCCAAAGGGACCUAAAACACGACUCGAGGCCCAUCCUGCGAUUUCUUAACCAAAAGCCCGUAAACCACAGCACGGUUUACGCUUGGUCCACAAGGAAGGAUAAAUGUCAAGUUUCCGCGGAUGAAUACGGAAGUUUUGAAGAAAAUUGUGAAAAUCGGGAAAAAUGGAAUAUCUCCAUUUUUAUGCUAUGACGGCUUAAGGGCAGAAGAGUAAAAGCGUAAACCGACCUUGGAGCUAGUAUAUAAGGAGUCCUAGGCGAGGAGCAUAAGAGAGAUCUUUUUAGACUCGGAAUUCUCUGCACUUAGAAACUUUAGGCUUAUUCUCGACAAGUUCGGUUUCUAUGACUCGCACUCGAUUACUAGACGAACUCGCCCAGGCAGUUCGAUCUCUUGUCCAGCUCUAUCAAUUGAACUACGUUCGGCUUGAUCCUCGAAAGGGGUACGUAGGCAGCCUUUAACAAGGUUCAGUCCGAAAUCAAUCAAAAACCUUUUCUUUAUCUAUUUUGUCUUUCGUUAUCGAGCUGCGACUCAACUAGGUUUGAGCUAUUAGGCCGCUAGAACUAGGUAACUCGCUGACAGCCUUUGCGGCCAAAGCUUUCAUGAUCUCUUGUAAUGAUCGCAACGCUCUUACGCGGACUCGAAAUAAGAUCAACAGUUUUCCCUAAACUCGUUUGUUAUCUUUUCAUAAUUUCCGCAUGUAUUUGGUCACUUGUCGUUGGCUCCCGCAGAGAUCCGGGACCUCUAGAAAAUUAGGGUUUUCCUAGUUUCCUUAUUUAAACGGAAAUCGACAGUGCGAAUUUCGGUUCCCACAGUUUGGCGCUAGAAGGAGGGGGGGGGUAACGGAUUACUCUUACUUAUGGCCACAAAACGCUUGAUCGAAACGAUGUUUGGAUAUAUGAAAGACAAACUCGCAGCACUGACUGCUCCUAUGGCCAACGCUUACGCAAAUGCCGUAGUUUUCAACAAAUCGAAAACUUAGUUGCGACCUUCCGCCACAGGAAGAGCACUAAAACAAGCUCGCGAUUUCUCCCUGUAAACACGAAGGGAAAUGAUAAAUCUUAUCAAAACCCCGUAAAGAAAUCUCGAUGCGUAAGGGUUUUACCAAAACACGUUUUCCGAAAACAUUUCGGAAGGAUAAAACUUGUUCUCCCAAAAUAACCGCUGAAAAACCCCUACGUUAAUCGCGGAAAAAGGAAACACAACAAAACGAUUACACAACUCAGUCGCUACGUAACGACCGAGCACGCAGACGGCUCGGUCGCUACGUAGCGACCGAGCACGCACACGGCUCGGUCGCUACGUAGCGACCGAGCACACACGCUGCUCGGUCGCUAUGUAGAGACCGAGCACACACGCUCCUCGGUCACUACGUAGCGACCGAGCACGCACACGGCUCGGUCGCUACGUAGCGACCGAGCACACACGCACACGCUGCUCGGUUGCUACGUAGCGACCGAGCACACACGCUGCUCGGUCGCUACGUAGCGACCGAGCACGCACACGGCUCGGUCGCUACGUAGCGACCGAGCACACACGCUGCUCGGUCGCUACGUAGCGACCAAAUACGCACACGGCUCGGUCACUACGUAGCGACCGAGCACACACGCUGCUCGGUCGCUACGUAGCGACCGAGCACACACGCUGCUCGGUCGCUACGUAGCGACCGAGCACGCACACGGCUCGGUCACUACGUAGCAACCGAGCACACACGCUGCUCGGUCGCUACGUAGCGACCGAGCCCGCUCACGCUACUUGGUCGCUACGUAGCGACCGAGCCCGCACACGAUGCUCGGUCGCUACGUAGCGACCGAGCACGCACACACUGCUCGGUCGCUGCGUAGCGACCGAGCACGCACACCGCUCGGUCGCUACGUAGCGACUGAGCUCAAGCCAACUCUCCACUCGCUACGUAGCGACCUGUAAAGCCUCAGAAAGAUCCUCCUUUGGGUUCUCUUUUGAAUCCUCAUCGAAACGCUUUUCGUUUCGUUUCAAUCGGAGUUUCCGUUAAGAUUUUACGACGAAAACAAGUAGGACUCUUCUUGGCCUUCUUCCACUCGCUACGUAGCGAUCUGUCAGACCGUCAGUCGCUACGUAGCGACCUGUAAGGCCUCAAAGGGGUCCUCCUUUGCGUUCUCCUUUGAAUCCUCAUCGAAACGCUUUUCGUUUCGUCUCAAUCGGAGUUUCCGUUGAGAUUUUACGACGAAAACAAGUGGGACUCGUCUUGGCUUCCUUCCACUCGCUAUAGCGACCGAGAUGACAUCCUCACUCGCUAUAGCGACCUUUCAGGCCUCAAAGGAGUCCUACUUUGCGUUCUCCUUUGAAUUCUCAUCGAAACGCUUUUUGUUUCGUCUCAAUCGGAGUUUCCGUUGAGAUUUUACGACGAAACCAAGUGGGACUCAUCUCGGCUCCCUUCCACUCGCUAUAGCGACCGAGAUGACAUCCUCACUCGUUAUAGCGACCUGUCAGGCCUCAAUCCUUUGCGUUCUCCUUUGAAUUCUCAUCGAAACGCUUUUCGUUUCGUCUCAAUCGGAGUUUCCGUUGAGAUUUUACGACAAAAACAAGUAAAACUCAUCUUAAACUCCUUGGCUUGUUUCUGCUCACCCUACCUCCAUCUUUGCGUUCACUUUCGAAUCUCGAUCGAAACGUCUCUUGUUUCGCCUCGAUUGAAGUUACCAUUGAGACUUUAUGAUAUAAAAAAAAAACCGCAAAGACCUAUUUUCUCGCAUGGAUUCAGAUUAAUCGUAUAAAACGGCAACGGUUAACUUAACACCUUAGCCGCCUUAACUAUACGAUUACGUUGAACCUUUUUACAAAAAUUGACGUCUUAUCUAAGGAGAAGAUAACAAUAUAGUUCGGAAGAUAAAUGUCAAGUUUCAAAGGAUAAACACCAAUAUCGGAAAUGGCGAACAUACACGAGAAUAGGAAACAGAAAUGAGCACGCAAAACUGAGAAGGGACAAAACUGCAUCUUCGAGAGAACUAAGGUAUUUCCGACUUAAAAUUUUUGAAAUCAGACUUGGAAUUUUCGUAGGAAAUUACUUUGAGGCUGCCAUAGAACUUUAGGGAACGUAAAACCUAGGCGGAUAGUCUAGCGAACUAAGUUUUAAGCGAUUUUUCCUGUCUCGAUAUAUUGUUCCAUAAUUGUUCAUCCAGAUCUUGCAAACCGAUCUGAACUCUCCGAAAGUCGAGAAACGAUCGCCACGCAUAUCAAGCUCGCUUCCUAAAGAGAGAAAAAGUUAGAGACAUGAACGUCGUCUUAAAACCGAUUCGUUUCUGGCAAUUUUCUCGGAACCGACAUAUCCCAAGUCGUCAACGUGGAAAACAACCAAAUCACAGUCCAAGCGUCGUCUAUAAAUCGUCCCGAAUUAUCGAUCAUUCCAAACAUCAGAAGAGGAAACGUACACAACCCUUCAAAGUAUCGGUUCAACCGUUUUCUUUUGUAAAAUAAAAAAGGAGAGUAGGUACGUAUACUAUACUCGUAUACUCCCAAACUUCAAAAAACUUCUGCAAAUCGUCAAGAAUAGGCAAACGACAAUCUUAAUAUUCGUCUAAACGCUAGCAACAUAUCCAGACGAUCAUGAACAUAAUCUCAAAAACUAUACAUCAUUUCUUGUCGCAAUCAUGCGUACAGAAAACUUGUACCAAUAUCAAACUGAAACUCGACGAUUAGCCAAAGUAUUGAAGCCUUUUCUGGCUUCAGAAAGCCAGUUUCGCUUUAAAAAUUUCUACGAGAAAUCUUCAAUCGCCAAAGCAUUUUUUUAGUUUCCGUUGUACCAAGUAAGUCACGGAAAAGCAUCGAAAACAUUUGCGACAAAGAAAACUCGCGAAUAUAUGUAGCAUCGUGCACAUUAAAAGGAGCACUUUCCUCCCGAUGGUUAGCUAGAUCCACUUCUGGUUGACCAAUUCGUUCAAGAAACGAAUGUGUCAUGAGAAUCCUCUCGAAAAACCUAUGAAAAACGUUCCGCGACUAGAUCGUAUUGAAAUAAACUUCGGUAAUACUCCAUGGGUAACUCCAAGCAACUUUCACCUAAGAUCAAAAUCACAGCGGGAACGUUUGUCGUAGAACCCGCAGAAACAAUGCUACUUUGACAUAUGUAUACAUAUCACUGAUUUACGACCUUCAUAAAAUCGGUUAUAUGAUAUGAUAAAUUAUCGUAUAGCCCAUAGUCGGAAAUCAUAUGAUAAAUUCUUCGUAACGAAACUAAGUCCUAACAACCAAACGGUUAACGGAAAAUCUAAACUUUUCGAAAAUUGACCAAGUUCAAUACGCUCCACAAUUCACUUUAAGCCCGCAACGUUUUAACCAUAAUACGCGGCAUGUAAGGAAAAAUUUGUAACAAAGCUUCUAGAGCUAUACGAAACAUCCUAAAAAAUGCACGAAAUACAUCUCGGAAGGCCAACACUUCACAAAGCACUAUGAAGGAAAACGCUUGUUCCCAUGGACAAAUUUACACGACACCUCAGUCAUAAUUCUUCGAUCGCAAAUAAAACUAUUAGCAUCCAAACAUGAACAACAAUUUUGGCUGCGAACAUUCGUAGUCAAACUAGAAUGUUUUUCAAACGCAUGGCUAAGACUAAACCCUUGCAACAUCGCGAAAUAUCUUCAAGCCCGCGAACAUUUCAAGCACGAAACGUGGCAUACGAAAGAAUAACAAAUCUUCAGCAUCGCGAGACGUCGCAGACGCCUGAAGAUUAGUUCUUCGACGAAAUUUCCUUCCUCGAUAAAAACACCUUCAUGGAAAACCAAACAGUCAUACGCACUAACAUCUUCUCAAAAAAUAUUCUUCGCGAAGACACGAAACGGUAUUUCUUACCAUUAAGUUUGUUGCUGAUCACAACAAACUCUCAACGUCCUAAACAGACAUAGCCAUCUCACGAAGAUGACUCUCUUACAUCCGACACAAGGAUAAUAGCGCUAUAAAAGAAAUCCGAAAUUUUGGUCCAGCACUUCCGGUCUCCGGAGAGAUGCUCGAUUCGUAUCAAACAAGUCGUAUAAGCCGAGAACCUAUCGCGGACUUUAAAUCGAUACGAAUCAGGAAGAAAUCGCAACAGGAAAAACGAUAGCCGACCAGUCACCGCACAAUCCUUAAACCGAAAGUAAACCUAGGUCUUGCCCUAAACCCAGCGCACUGGUCUCUAACAUCUCUAGGCAUAGUAUCAAACACCCUGAUACGAGAUCCCAAAAUUUGUCUCUUUGCCAAUAUUCGAACGUCUUCAGAAAAUCCCGCAAGUUUACACACUGCGGAAAACUCUCGAAACAGAUUAUUGAUAUGGCAAUUCACACAGAGUUAGAUUACGAGACGACAACUCGUAGUCUUCCCUCUACACCCAUACAAAAUGCCAUCGGCAGCAACACGCCUUAUAACCGCUACAUAAAAACUAGACCAUAAAGGUCCUACUGGAAAACUAGUCAUAAGAACCUUAACUCCAAGACGAACUACGAAAGGCUUGAUCCCUUCAACAAGGGUACGUAGGCAGCCGUCAUAAGGCGCAGCCCCAAUCUUAUCGCGUUUUCUACUUUUAGGAGAGCGAGAAGAUCACUUACCACAGACCUUUUCAACCGUUAAUUCCGCCUAACUCACCUAACUUGCCUAACUUGCCAAGCCACUCGCUAGAACCUCACGCUAGAAACUCAUGGUUCUAACGAGCUGGGGGGCUAACUGUUGGAGUCAAAAUCGGUCACGACGGAAUCAAUGUCUGAAAGUCCGUAAAAAUCAGCAUAAACGUUUUUACGAAAAGUAAUCUUCGUAAAGAUAUCUAUAAGAAGAGCCUUGUAGUAAAAAUCUCGUCCAAAUCUCAAUCGAACCACUAAAUACCGAUUGUCCGAAGGCAACGGACAUGUAUCCAAAUCGGCCGCGGACAAGCUCGAGUAUGGAAAUCAGACCGCGGACAAGCCAAGCUCGAUCGAUACGCGGCGACCAAGCAUGCACACAGCUCGGUCGCUACAUAGCGAUCGAGCUCGAGCCAAGCUCGGUCGCUACGUAGCGACCGAGCGUCCGUCUCGCUCGGUCGCUACAUAGAGACCGAGCCCAAGCCAAGCUCGGUCGCUACGUAGCGACCGGGCUCGAGCCAAAGUUCGGUCGCUGCGUAGCGACCGAGCUCUUCUAAACAUCGGUACGACACCAGUCCAUGCAUUCUCGUCAAACCUUCAAAUGCUAUCUCCCAAAGACAGUAGCGAGCUCAGUCUAUGCUUUCCGCUAUUCUAAAUCAUCGAUCAAACUUCGCGGAUUAGAAACUGUGGAAAGUUCUUUCUUUGUCAAAAGAAAUCGUAGUAAACGCUUCGAGUUGGAAGACGGCCCAAAGGGACCUAAAACACGACUCGAGGCCCAUCCUGCGAUUUCUUAACCAAAAGCCCGUAAACCACAGCACGGUUUACGCUUGGUCGACAAGGAAGGAUAAAUGUCAAGUUUCCGCGGAUAAAUACGGAAGUUUUGAAGAUAAUUGUGAAAAUCGGGAAAAAUGAAAUAUCUCCAUUUUUAUGCUAUGACGGCUUAAGGGCAGAAGAGUAAAAGCCUAAACCGACCUUGGAGCUAGUAUAUAAGGAGUCCUAGGCGAGGAGCAUAAGAGAGAGCUUUUUAGACUCGGAAUUCUCUGCACUUAGAAACUUUAGGCUUAUUCUCGACAAGUUUGGUUUCUAUGACUGGCACUCGAUUACUAGACGAACUCGCCCAGGCAGUUCGAUCUCUUGUCCAGCUCUAUCAAUUGAACUACGUUCGGCUUGAUCCUCGAAAGGGGUACGUAGGCAGCCUUUAACAAGGUUCAGUCCGAAAUCAAUCAAAAACCUUUUCUUUAUCUAUUUCGUCUUUCGUUAUCGAGCUGCGACUCAACUAGGUUUGAGCUAUUAGGCCGCUAGAACUAAGUAACUCGCUGACAGCCUUUGCGGCCAAAGCUUUCAUGAUCUCUUGUAAUGAUCGCAACGCUCUUACGCGGACUCGAAAUAAGAUCAACAGUUUUCCCUAAACUCGUUUGUUAUCUUUUCAUAAUUUCCGCAUAUAUUUGGUCACUUGUCGUUGGCUCCCGCAGAGAUCCGGGACCUCUGGGAAAUUAGGGUUUUCCUAGUUUCCUUAUUUAAACGGAAAUCGACAGUGCAAAAUUCGGUUCCCACAGAUGUCAGGAUGGGAUAACAAGGGUGCUUGAAUAUGCAAUCCUAUGAUCAAAUUCUAGUUAGCUAGGCUAAAACAAGCAAUGAAUACAAAUCUAUCAUUAAUAUCACAACAAGGCAGAUCUAUAGUUUGGGGCUAAUCCCACAAACCUAUCUGAACCCUGGAUCUAACAGUUGAACUACUCAGACAUAGCAAAGCAAUUCAUAUCAAUAGAUAAAUAGAAACUCAUAGAAUAGAUGAAAAGAAAUAGAAACAAGAGUUUCAAUCACAAGUGAUCUUCUCUCCCAAAUGAAACUUGUAACAGAACUAGGUCUAGAAAAAGCUAUGUUCUUCUGCCGUCAAAAACACUAGGCAGUAUAUAUUCUACUAGGUUAAAAACUCGUCAGGGCAUUUUGAUAAUUUGGCUUGGCCUUGGUGUCUCGACAUCGAUCGAUGGUACUUGUGUACAUCGAUCGAUAUUAAUCUUCAUAUGUCGAGGCAUUUCCUGAUAUCGAUCGUCAGCACUGAUGCGCAUCGAUCGAUUAUUCUUCCUCUCGUCGACCUUUAAGUGGUCAGCUCGGGUGAAAUGUCCUUUAAGCUCCCAAAUGCUCCAAAGUCAUAACUUUACUCCAAAAUGCACCUGAACCUGAAAACAUACUUAGAAGAGUAGAAAACAUAGAUAUAUAUAUAGUAAAACACUUAUAUACCAUGGAUAAAAAUGGGUCAAAUCCAAGGUAUAUCACUUUCCAACGUUGUGUGAUGUCAAUCUUUACGGAUAUGAUCGAGGAAUUCAUGGAGGUAUUCAUGGAUGAUUUUUCAGUCUAUGGAUCAGAUUUUAAGAGUUGCCUCGACAAUUUAUGCAAAGUAUUGGAAAUAUGCGAAGAAAAGAACCUUGUCCUAAACUGGGAAAAAUGCCAUUUCAUGGUAAACGAUGGAAUAGUGUUAGGACAUAGGGUUUCCGCUGCUGGAAUAGAGGUCGAUAGAGCUAAUAUUGAAGUAAUGACCAGUUUACCUCCACCUAAAACCGUUAAGGACGUGCGAAGUUUUCUUGGACACGCCGGAUUUUACAGGAGAUUUAUACUGGACUUCAGCAAAAUCGCUAGACCUUUAAAUAACCUACUAUGCAAGGAUAUUAAAUUCGAUUUUACCCCCGAAUGCAUGAAAGCUUUUGAAGAUUUAAGGAAAUCCCUUAUCACUGCCUCCGUCGUACAAGUCCCCGACUGGAAUCUUCCUUUCGAAAUCAUGUGCGAUGCGAGUGAUUUCGCAAUUGGAGCAGUUCUAGGCCAAAGGAAGAUAAAAAGCUACAUGCCAUUUACUACGCCAGCCGCACGCUUGAUGAAGCACAACGGAAUUACGCAACAAAAGAAAAAGAACUAUUAGCUGUAGUUUACGCUUUUGAAAAAUUCCGUCAAUACUUGAUUGGCUCACGAGUGAUAGUUCACACUGAUCACGCUGCCAUCAAAUAUUUAAUGCAAAAGAAAGAUGCUAAACCUAGACUCAUACGCUGGAUUCUACUCCUCCAAGAGUUUGACAUUGAGAUUAAGGAUAAGAGAGGAGUAGAUAAUGGAGUCGCUGACCAUCUUUCUAGGAUAAGGAUAGAGGAUGAUGUCCCUAUAGACGAUUUCUUUCCCACAGAGAAUGUUGCACACAUAGAUACAUCUUUCGUCGGUCAAAUAUCUCUCACAUCUGAAGAUCUAUCGGUCGAUUCACGUAGGGAUACAUCGAUCGAUGACGAGACUGAUGUAAUUUCUCAUCUCUCCGAUAACCAAAAUCACGAACCCCCGUUUAUGAAGAUCAACUUCGGUUUACAAGUUCAUGUUUUUGGUAAUGAGAUUAAUCUCACAUCUGAGGAAUUAUCACAACGGGAGGUAAACGCGAUUGGUAGAAACCCGGAUAACCGACCCUGGUAUGCCGACAUAGUUAACUAUUUGGCAGCUGAGGUUGAGCCAGACGAACUCAAGGGAUAUAUGAGGAAGAAAUUUUUCAGAGAAGUAAGACGCUAUCAUUGGGAUGAACCUUACCUCUAUAAGCAUUGUUCUGAUGGCAUAUACAGACGAUGCGUAUCCAAAGCUGAAAUUCCAGACAUGAUUUACCAAUGUCACGGAGCUGAUUAUGCAGGACAUUUCACUACCUUUAAAACGGUUUCGAAAAUUUUCCAAGCAGGAUUUUGGUGGCCAACCAUUUUUCGCGAUGUCCAUGCAUUUAUAACCCAAUGUGACAGAUGCCAAAGACGUGGAAAAAUCAGCAAAAGACAAGAAAUGAAACAUAAGUUCAUUCUUGAAGUUGAAGUCUUUGAUUGCUGGGGUAUCGAUUUUAUGGGACCUUUCCCGUCUUCAUAUGGAAACAAAUAUAUACUAGUCGCUGUAGACUACGUAUCCAAAUGGGUCGAAGCAGUAGCUUCCCCUACCAAUGACGCAUCUGUGGUUAUUAAACUCUUCAAGAGUAUAAUCUUUCCAAGAUUUGGAGUUCCAAGAGUAGUCAUUAGUGACGGUGGAACUCAUUUCAUUAAGAAAAUCUUUGAUAGAAUGCUUAAAAAGAAUGGUGUUCAUCAUAGAGUAGCUACACCUUACCAUCCACAAACUAGUGGACAAGUAGAAGUCUCUAACCGGCAAAUUAAGGAAAUCUUAGGGAAAACCGUAGGAACCUCCAGAAAAGAUUGGUCUAGAAAACUAGAUAAUGCACUUUGGGCCUACAGGACUGAUAUCACUCAAAUUACCUUAAAGAGUGUUACUCUCAUCAAAAGAGGUCGAGUUAUAGUACUUAGGGAUCGAAUCCACAAGGAGCUAGAGAAACUAUUAGAUCUAAUAGUUAUAUGAUUAAGCUAGGCUAAUAGGUUUUAAAACAGUAAAUAAAGCAAGUAAUAAAUAAAACAAUAAACAAGAUGAACAAGGUAAUUGUUCAGCUUGGCAAGGAGUAGUUUGAUGGAGGGAUGAUUGAUAGAUCUAGGGUUUCUAUUCAGAUGUUGGAGAUUAUAAUUCCUAUAGGUACCUAUUUGUUGCAUGCAUGAUAUGUUGAGCUCAACCGCUUAACUCAGUGAUCAGCUGUCGCAUGUUUCACUGGUUAACAAGCUAGAUCUCGUGUCUCAACGGUUAGUAUGUUGACAACAAAAGAAUGUCGAUCGAUGGUCCUAUUGAGACAUCGACCGAUACACCUUUGCCUACGUCGGCCGAUAGUCAGUUGAGGACAUCGAUCGACGGGUUCUAGCCAGGCCUAUGCGCGAGUAUGAAAUGCCCUAUUAAGAUACUAAAUUGGCGGUUAGCCCUCUCUAGCAGUCCUAAUAUGAUAGAUAUAUGUCAGGAUGGGAUAACAAGGGUGCUUGAGUAUGCAAUCCUAUGAUCAAGUUCUAGUUAAUUACUCUAAAACAAGCAAUGAAUACAAAUCUAUCAUGAAUAUCACAACAAGGCGGAUCUAUAAUUUGGGGCUAAUCCAACAAACCUAUCUGAACCCUAAACCUAACAAGUGGAUCUACUCAGAAAUAAAAACAUAAAUCAUAGAUGAAUAGAUAUAAAACUGAAAUAGAAUAGAUAAGAAAACCAAUGGAGUUCCAGGAGGACUCUGAUAGGAGUUCCUCCCUUUUAUACUAAGAGAAACAAUGGAAAUGAAAGUGUGUAGAAAGCGUAGAAAGCGUAGCCGUCAACAAUGGCUUAGAAAUAACAUAAAUAGGGUUUCUGGUCGUCCAAGGGCAUUUUGGUAAUUUGUGGCUUCUAGGGCAUCACGCAGUCAUAAAAUAUACAAGGCCCAUGAUCUGGAAUCUCCAUCGAUCGACGUGCAGAAUGCUGCAUCGAUCGACGCGGCUUCCUCUUCUCGGCAGCUUCCUCUCGCGAGGCAGACUGACCACUCUUCAGUAAAACGGGCAUAACUUCUGCUACAGAAUGCUGAUUGACCUGAGACCGGUGGCAUUGGAAAGCUAACUCAAUGCUCUUUCUUGUGUCAAAAUAUGAGCUCAAUCUAACGGUCGGAAAGUCUCUAUCCAUAGCUAAACAUCUGACGCGUCUGUGCAACUCUUCACCUCCAAAGGCUUCAAAAGACUCCAAAAUCACCAUAUUUCCCUAAACGUCCCUGAACCUGUAAAUACUCUAAAUAGACUCCAAAAUAUAAUAAUUGUAUCUUAAAACACUUUAAACACUUAUAGACCAUGAUUAAAAAUGGAUAAAAUAUAUGGUCUAUCAACUCCCCCAGACUUACCAUUUUGCUUGUCCUCAAGCAAAACAGACGGGCAGUCUCUCUGAAAGAGGUUUUGAAAACAUCAGGGACUCACAUGAUUUAAAACUUAGAAUCAUCACCUCUACAAUAUUGCAAUCCACAUCUAAGAAUUCCUAAUCACAUAACCACAUUAUACAAUAUCCUAGCUUAGUAACCAAAUUUCACCUAGCCAACAUCUUAGCAAAUCAUGUAUGACAUUCCCCUCUACCAACCUCAUUUUUUAACAUAAAUAAAUUUGUAUGCUUUACCUUGGGAGUAUCGAUCACAAGACACAUAGACUCUUGCCCCAACAGGUAUCUGAGUAAACAGGUAGUCUUGUUCUGGUUUCUUUUACUCUAUAUCUCCCUUCUCUGAAUACUUUUUAUCUCAAUUCCAAUGAACAAAGAUGCUGAUGCAAUCCAUCUUAUUCACCUUCUUUUCGAUUUUUUUUUUUUUUUUUUUUUUCUUUCUUUUUCUUUUCUUGACAAAGUGUAGGCGAAUAGUGGGGUCAUCGGUAAUGUACCUACCCUUCGCUUCCAACAAUGUGUGAUCAUUCUAUUAGAGUAGAAUAAUGGGGUCAUCGGUAAUGUACCUACCCCUCUAAACCGCAAGAAAUCAUCUCAACCUUUUAUUUUAUUUUAUUAGGAUGCCAAAGGGAGGAGAUAAGGAAACCAAAAUCACUCAGACUUUUACCUUUCAGACCUGAAGGAGGAAUCCGAUCCAGUGUAUACCAAGCCCCAAGACAAGCAGUUAAGUCAAAUUAGGUUGGAGGUCAGCUUCGGUUCCUUCAAACAAUCUCAGCAAGUGUGAACAUAGUUGACAGGUUGAUCCACUUUAGUAUCUUUAGUACUAUCUGCAAUCAGUAAGUCUAGAAUGGCGCUAAAGAGUGGUUAGAUAACAAGCAUGAAUCUAAUAAGUUCAUUAUCCCCUUCUUGACUCAAUAAACACAGAUUUUGAAAAUAUUUUAAAUAAGACUCAUAAAAGUAGAUAAACGUAUAUCAAUAAACAUCCCCCCAGACUUAAAUUACACUCUCCCCAGUGUAUAUCUAGUCGGAGUUAUGGUUAGAACAUAAAUAAUAAGUAAACAAUUUAACAAGUAAGAACGAUAACCUGCUCGACAUCAGUGUCGAUCGACACAAUGAAUAGACAAUCGAUCGAUGUUGAUGAAGUGCUGUCGAUUGAUAGUGACAUGGUCUCAUCGGUCGAUGGCUAGAGCAAUCAUUCGACACAAUGAAGAGACAAUCGAUUGUUGGAUAUGAAGCGCUGUCGAUCGAUAUCGAGCUGGUGUCAUCGGUCGAUGUGCUGAGCAAUCGUCUACUCGAAUCUGUUUUUUUUUUAUCUAUGAAUAACUAAGUAAAACACAAUAUUAGCAGAACCUCCCCCAGACUUAAACAACACUAUCACUAGCGCUAUCCAGUCUAAGAUUGGUGGGAAAAUAAAUCAUAAGGACAAUAUUUAACAAGGAAAAACGGUAUACAUGCUUGGAUGUGAGUGUCGAGCAACACAGUUAAGUGGCGAUCGAUACUCUUGAUGCUCUGUCGAUCGAUGCUACGUAGCCAUCAAAGAUUCUCCUGCAAUCUCGUCUUCCUCGGAUCUUGUCCUUUUACUUAACAUAAACAAAACAUUUAAUACAAUUAAUAAAUAAAUAAUAAAACCAAUAAUCAAUAAAAAUAAUAAUAAUAAUAUUUUUUUAUUUUUUCUAUGAAAAGUGCUUUGCUAUAGUGUCCCUUGGUGUUGCUGCUACAGUGUCUCUGCUACAGUACGUCGUUACUGUUCAUUUUUUUUUUGUUUUUUUUUAACCUGAAAUCUUUAGAAAACAAAGAAUCAGUAAUAAAUGAAAGAUAAACCAUAUCUAAAACAAACCGAACAGUGGGUUGCCUCCCACUCAGCUUUAUUUUUAGUCUUUAGCUUAACUUCUGGAGAUCUGAUUAAGUCCGCAUAAGAAUGAGAACUUGCUCCAAACCAAGUUUCAAUGUCUACUCUUUGAAGCUUUAUCAUUCUUGUGUGAAAGCCUCCUCCAUAUACCCUUCUCCUUUGUCUAUCAUUUCAGCAAUAAGGAAUCCUUUAAGUUUUGCAUAUGGAUGUGGGAAGCAUUUGCUGCGCACUCUUGAUUUUCUGAUACUAUCUGAGAAGUAAGGAGUCAAUGGUAAUUGAGAACCUCCUUUGGUUCGUUUCCGCUUCUUCCAAUUUCUCCCCUUCUUUCCCACGGACUUGUGUAAUCUCACUAUGGACUUCCUGGCAUCAUCUGAGAAGUGAUGAAUCAAUGAUAACUGAGAACCUUCAUUGAUUCUCUUUUUCUUUUUCCAGUUCCUCCACUUCUUUCCCUCAGACUUGUCUGAAUGCGUGGUUGUAUCUCCAUAAAUAAUAUUUCCACACAAUUCAUACUCAUUCUACUCUGAUUCGCAUCUGGUGUCGAUCGAUGGUAUCUGAUCGGUGUCGAUCGAUGAUGAAGUGUUAGUGUCGAUCAAUUUUUUUCUGUUGAUGUUGCUCGAUGGUACUUCUGUUGGGCAGUUAUCUACUUCAUCUCUAAAUCGCAGCCCUCUCUGAGAAGCUUCUACAUGAUGUUGAUCAUUCAAUACCUCAAUGUAAGUACUCAGAUACACACCUUUAUCUGGUGGGAUAGGAGAUUCAACUUCAAACACUGCACAUGGAACCAUAAUCUUCACAGGAUCAUGUAUCAUCUUCACUCUUUUACAAAUCCCUACAGCUUCUUCUGCGCAUAUAGGUGGUCUUAGAUGUUCGGGGACAUCAGUGUGUGAUGUCUUAGACAUGUGCAUUAUCUCCUCAAUCGGUCCUGGUUCAAUUGGGUAUCCAGAUAGUUCAUCCAAACAUGGGUGUCGAUCGAUGCAAUCGGGUGGGUAUCCAGCGAUACAGUCGGGUGUAUAUAGAUUCAUGAUGUGUGGCGACUGUCGAUCGAUGGCGUAGGGUGGGUGUUGAUCGAUUAUGCAUGGAGUGUAUCGAUCGAUCUCAUCAGGUUGAUGUCGAUCGAUGUCGUCAGCCUUUUGUGAAAUUUUCAGACCUCUUCCCGAAGGGUGCUGAUCAUCAAACUUCUGCUUCGGGUUCUGGUCUAAAUCCUCAAGCCAUUCCUCCAUCUCCAAGAAGUCUUCCAUAGUUACUUCUUCACUCGAAUCCAAAUCUCCAAGCUGUUGCCCAUCCUCUAACUCCAAGAAUUCUUCUAGUUCCAAGAAAUCUUCCAUGGUGAUUUCUUUUUCUACUUUUUGGUCAGGAUAACAACUUGAUACAUCGAACGCUCUUCAGUGUCGAGUCUGCAAUGUCCUGAGGACAACUCGAUUUUUCAGGGAUUUCAAGUGGUAUCGAUCGACAACAGGAGUUUGUGUUGAUCGAUGUUUGAAGGCUGGGGUCGAUCGAUGUUACGGUUGGGAUGUCGAUCGAUGCUGAGGUUGGAGUGUCGAUAGGUUCUGAGCUCAUGUCACUAAUAUCGAUUUCUUCUAUUCUGCUCAGCUCUCCAGACACAUGUUGUUCAUCAUCUUCCACCAUAUAUUCCAUCAUAGAUCUCAUCUCAAUCUCUAGACUUGUUGCAGCAUCAUAGAGAAACUUGUUGACGAAAGCGUUUGCAAUGUCAUUCCAAGUAUUGAGAGAUCUUGAUGGUAGCUUCUUCAACCAAUGAGCUGCAUCCACAACAAAAGAGUAUGGGAAUAAUUUGCAUAAAUAGUAAUCUUCAGAGACUCCAUUGCAUUUGAUGGUUGAUGAUAGAUCUAUAAAUGUCUCCAGGUGGCUAGUGGGAUCUUCAUGAGGAAAACCAUGGAAAGAAUGCUGACCCACAAGAGAGAUAUAUGGAGGGUGCAGCUCAAGGACAAUAUUCUGAAGUGUUGAAUGACGCAAUGCAGACCCUUUAGCAUAAGCAUCCUCAGGACUGUUAUAGUCUCUAAUUGCCUUCGUUCGUCCAGUCCUAACAUACUCAGUGGUAGCAUCAGGGAUUGUAGAAGGUAUCGAUCGAUGAGAAAUAUCUGUAUCGAUCGUUUCUGAAGUGCGGAUAUCGAUCGAUUCUGAGUUACUACUGUCGAUCGAUUCUGAAGUCGGAUCUUUUAUAUCAGCUUCUUCUACUUUGCUCUGCUCUCCUGAUACAUGAUAUUCAUCAUCCUCAACUGUAUCAUGGUUGACCAGCUUUUCUCUGUUCAGUUCGUCCUUCUACUUACUCUCAUCUGCAUGGUGAACCUGAAUGUCUGGCUGCUUGACAUGAGUUGUCGGUGUUCCAAUAUCUCCAUUCUCCUCGCUGUAGAUGAAGUCAAGAAUCUGACUCAUACUAAUCAUUAUUCCUUUCUCCCAUUCUUUAAUCAUGUAAUCAAGCCUUUUACUUCGAGUUGCUACAGCCUCGCUGAAAAAUUUGCCUAUGAAAACCUCUUUGAUGUCUUCCCAACAUGUUAGAGAUCUUGGUUGCAGCUUACUGAACCAGCUAAAAGCAUCUCCGGAUAAACAAUAGGGGAAGAUCUUGCAGAAAAUGUGGUCUGCAGAUAUUUCAUCGUGCUUGUUUGCUGAGGCUAACUCCUCAAGUCUCUUGAUAAGAUCUUUGGGAUCCUCAUGAGGAAGACCGUAAAAUGGAUCCUCACUUUCCCAAUCAUACCAUUGACUUUUCAGAUUAAAGGUAUUCGUCUCAGCCACAUCAAUUACAUCAGGGAUUACACUACCCUCUGCAUUAAUUAAUUGUCCUGUGAGGCUGCAAGGACGACCUUCUUCGUCUCGCCAAAUACCUUUCUUGUCGAUCUUAAGUAUGAGCGCUUCGACCUUCUCUGUUUCUCCGUAAGUGGUGAUCGUCAUUGGAGGAACAGUGGCGCGAUGAAUAGUGUUUCGAUGAACAGUGUUCGGAUGAACAGUAUCGUGAUGAACAGUGUUCGGAUGAACAGUGUCCGUGUGAACAGUGUCACAAUGAACAGUGUUCUGGUGAACAGUGUCGAGCGAUAGAAUAUGAACAGUGUCGAUCGAUGGAAGAUUAAUAGUGUCAACCGACACGGGCUGAACAGUGUCGAUCGACGGGAUAUGAAUAGUGUCGACCGACACGGGAUGAACAGUGUCGAUCGACAAGAUAUAAAUAGUGCCGACCGAUAUGGGAUAAACAGUGUCGAUCGACGGAAGAUGAAUCGUGUUGACCGACACGGGAUGAACAGUGUCGAUCGACGUGAUAUGAACAGUGUCCGUGUGAACAGUGUCACAAUGAACAGUGUUCUGGUGAACAGUGUCGAGCGAUAGAAUAUGAACAGUGUCGAUCGAUGGAAGAUGAAUAGUGUCAACCGACACGGGCUGAACAGUGUCGAUCGACGGGAUAUGAAUAGUGUCGACCGACACGGGAUGAACAGUGUCGAUCGACAGGAUAUAAAUAGUGCCGACCGAUAUGGGAUAAACAGUGUCGAUCGACGGAAGAUGAAUCGUGUUGACCGACACGGGAUGAACAGUGUCGAUCGACGUGAUAUGAAUAGUGUCGCGAUGAACAGUAUCGCGAUGAAUAGUAUUAGGAUGAAUAGUAUUUGGAUUAAUAGUAUUAUGAUGAACAGUACCUGGAUGAACAGUACCUGGAUGAACAGUACCUCGGUGAAUAGUAUGGCGGUGAACAGUACCCGGAUGAAAAGUAACAUGAUGAACAGUACCCGGAUGAAUAGUACCUCGAUGAAUAGUGUUUUCCGACACAUGAUGAAUAGUGUCGUUCGAUGCUUGGCUCACGCUAUCGAUCGAUGCUGCUUUGAGGGUGUCGAUCGAUACAUCCCUCGUAGCCUUAUGGAUCGUGCAUAAACCAGCAGACUCCUUCCUUGAAGGACCUAGAAAUCCUCUCUUCAUUGUUUUUUGUUACUAAGAGUUAUGCACCCGAAAUAGAAAAAAACAUUUUAUGAGUUUUUCAAACAGUAACAAAACCUAGACUAAAUCUAACUAAACAAGAUCUAAUGGCGAUCAAAGCUCCCCGGCAAAGGCGCCAAAUUUGAUAUCACUCAAAUUACCCUAAAGAGUGUUACUCUCAUCAAAAGAGGUCGAGUUAUAGUACUUAGGGAUCGAAUCCACAAGGAGCUAGGGAACCGAUUAGAUAUAAUAGUUAUAUGAUUAAGCUAGGCUAAUAGGUUUUAAAAUAGUAAAUAAAGCAAGUAAUAAAUAAAGCAAUAAACAAGAUGAACAAGGUAAUUGUUCAGCUUGGCAAGGAGUAGUUUGAUGGAGGGAUGAUUGAUAGAUCUAGGGUUUCUAUUCAGGUGUUGGAGAUUAUAAUUCAUAUAGGUACCUAUUUGUUACAUGCAUGAUAUGUUAGAGCUCAACCGUUUAACUCAGUGAUCAGCUGUCGCAUGUUUCACUGGUUAACAAGCUAGAUCUCGUGUCUCAACGGUUAGUAUGUUGACAACGAAAGAGUGUCGAUCGAUGGUCCUAUUGGGACAUCGACCGAUACACCUUUGCCUACGUCGACCGAUAGUCAGUUGAGGACACCGAUCGACGGGUUCUAGCCAGGCCUAUGCGCGAGAAUAAAAUGCCCUAUUAAGAUACUAAAUUGGCGGUUAGCCCUCUCUAGCAGUCCUAAUAUGAUAGAUAGAUGUCAGGAUGGGAUAACAAGGGUGCUUGAGUAUGCAAUCCUAUGAUCAAGUUCUAGUUAAUUACUCUAAAACAAGCAAUGAAUACAAAUCUAUCAUGAAUAUCACAACAAGGCAGAUCUAUAGUUUGGGACUAAUCCAACAAACCUAUCUGAACCCUAAACCUAACAGGUGGAUCUACUCAGAAAUGAAAACAGAAAUCAUAGAUGAAUGGAUAUAAAACUGAAAUAGAAUAGAUAAGAAAACUAAUGGAGUUCCAGGAGGACUAUGAUAGGAGUUCCUCCCUUCUCUCCUAAGAGAAACAAUGGAAAUGAAAGUGUGUAGAAAGCGUAGAAAGCGUAGCCGUCAACAAUGGCUUAAAAAUAACAUAAAUAGGGUUUCUGGUCGUCCAAGGGUAUUUUGGUAAUUUGUGGCUUCUAGGGCUUCACGCAGUCAUAAAAUAUACAAGGCCCAUGAUCUGUAAUCUCCAUCAAUCGAUGUUCAGAGUGCUGCAUCGAUCGACACGGCUUCCUCUUCUCGGCAGAUUCCUCUCGCGAGGCAGACUGACCACUCUUCAGUAAAACGGGCAUAACUUCUGCUACAGAAUGCUGAUUGACCUGAGACCGGUGGCAUUGGAAAGAUAACUCAAUUCUCUUUCUUGUUUCGAAAUAUGGGCUCAAUCUAACGGUCGGAAAGUCUCCAUCAAUAGCUAAACAUCUGACGCGUCUGUGCAACUCUGCACCUCCAAAUGCUCCAAAAGAUUCCAAAAUUACCAUAUUUCUUCUAAACGUCUCUGAACCUGUAAAUAUUCUAAAUAGAUUCCAAAACAUAAUAAUUGUAUCUUAAAACACUUUAAAACACUUAUAGACCAUGAUUAAAAAUGGAUAAAAUAUAUGGUCUAUCAAGGACCGCCUACAAAACACCGUUACGAACAACACCAUUCCACCCCCUUUAUGGCAAAUCAUGUCAUCUACCAGUCGAACUGGAACAUAAAGCAGCUUGGGCUACCAAACUUUUGGACUUUGAUAUCAUACCAGCUGCAGAAAGGAGACUCAUCCAGCUUAACGAGCUUGAUCAAAUCAGACAUAUAGCUUUCGAAAAUUCAAAAAUCUAUAAAGGACUAAAGCUUAUCACGAUAGAAAGAUCAUAUCCCGGCACUUCGAGCCAGAUGAUCAAGUCCUCCUUUAUAACUCUCGAUUGACAUUAUUUCCUGGAAAGCUAAAAUCCCGUUGGUCUGGACCCUUCACCGUAACGAACGUUCAACCCUCCGGAGCUAUCACCUUACAAAAUGAGAAAGGCCAGGAAUUUACGGUGAAUCGCCAACGAGUUAAGCAUUAUUGGGCCAAACCACCAGCGAAAGUGCCCAUGGUGCUGUAUGAACCUGAUAAUUAGUUUAAUCAGGAAGUCCAGCUAAAGACUUAAAAAAUUAAGCGCUGAAUGGGAGGCAGCCCAUUUUUAUAAAAGAAAAAAAGAAUAAUAAUAAUAAUUUAAUUUAAAAAAUCAUUAAUUAAAAUUAAUAAAUUAUAUUUACUAGUAAUUAAUAGUAAUUUCCGUAUUUCUUAAUAUUAGCAUUAUUUACAAAAUUUAGAAAUUAGAAUUUGUCUUUAAAGAGGACAUCGAUCGGCGAGGCAUUACUGCCAUCGAUCGAUGCAGGCAUAUCGACGGUUUUAACACUAACUUCACUCGAUAUCAACCCAGUUCGUCUUCCACACUCACAAACGAAACCAAAAACAAAAACCCCAUUAUCUCUCUCGAUUCUCGACGGAUUUCGUCCGUUCUUCGCCUAAAUCCACUCGAUUUUUUACUCUGUAACUGUUAAAUCCACUCCCGAAAUCAACAAUCAAGGUAUGCACUCGAAAUUUUCAAUUUUUCGAAAAAUUAGGGUUUUCGUUUUGAGUUGGAUUAGAACGCUUGAUUUAGUGCGAUUGAGAGAUGUUUUUGUAGUUCAUAUUGCUUAUCUAGAGUUCGGUUUGUGAUUUCCAUGCAUUUAGAUUCGUAUAAACGCGAUUUGGAGUUGAGUGAUUUUGCAGGUUUCGCGAUUCCACAUCGGUCGAUAUGAACUUGUUCGCAUCGACCGAUGCUCUCUUGUCCGAUUGUUCCGACACGACGAUAUCGAUCGAUGUUCAGUAUAACCCAUCGAUCGAUAAGACAUUUUAUCGACAAUGCUAACCUUCUUUUCUUCUUGGUUUCAGAUGAGCAGCUCAGAGACAAACGCACGAAACAGAGAACUCAGGUCGAAAAGGAGGUUCGACGAGACUAGCAGCUCCUCCAACCCACAGCGUCAUCCAUGGCCUCGCGCCGAAAACACACCAUUCAAUGUCCCGGGCUAUGCUGAUCCUAAGGCAGCGAUCAACAGCAACGAGUGCCGUCAGCGUCCUCUGUCCGAUGACUGGGACGACUACGACAGCCUCUUCUACAAUGCCUGGCUAGGAAUUUCUAUCGAGCCCACCAAAUUCCUCGACCGACCCAUCCUGAAGAAGCUCGGGAUCGAGGGAGAUAUUAAGGACAUGAUCACACAGCUAGGACUCGGUACCAUGCCCUCUCGCGCUUACGACCUCUACCCCGAUCUCGUCCGCCAGUUCAUGGCCACUGUCAAGGUCACCUACAGGACUUCAGCUGGGAGGGUAGCGGGAGAUGGCACUUUGACCUUCUUCGCCAGAGGGACACGCUACAGGAUCACUAUCUCCGAGCUCUGCCGCAUCUACGGUUUCGAUGAGAGCAUCGCCUCUUACACGGUCCCACCUUUCUCACACAUUGAGGGAUUCUGGGACAUCGUCGGCACAGGAGUUUGGGACACGAACAGGGCCGUGCUAUCAGACAUCCGCUACUUCCUACGGCUCGUUGCAAACACACUUGUUUGCAAGAUGGAGCCCAACAAGGCCAGGAUAAAGGAGCUCACACUACUUUUCUGCGCAGUGAACGGCGUGGUGGAUUUGGUUGAGUUGGACGAGGAUGGCGAGGUAAGCCCGCCGAACCUCGGAGCUGUCUUUGCCACGCAUUUGGUGGAGCUGAAGAAGAAGCCCUUCACCAGCAAGGGCAAGAACAAGAAGGAGACAGUUGGGAGUCUUCUGACCUCGAUUUUCCAGUGAUCAGCUGUCGCAUGUUUCACUGGUUAACAAGCUAGAUCUCGUGUCUCAACGGUUAGUAUGUUGACAACGAAAGAGUGUCGAUCGAUGGUCCUAUUGGGACAUCGACCGAUACACCUUUGCCUACGUCGACCGAUAGUCAGUUGAGGACACCGAUCGACGGGUUCUAGCCAGGCCUAUGCGCGAGAAUAAAAUGCCCUAUUAAGAUACUAAAUUGGCGGUUAGCCCUCUCUAGCAGUCCUAAUAUGAUAGAUAGAUGUCAGGAUGGGAUAACAAGGGUGCUUGAGUAUGCAAUCCUAUGAUCAAGUUCUAGUUAAUUACUCUAAAACAAGCAAUGAAUACAAAUCUAUCAUGAAUAUCACAACAAGGCAGAUCUAUAGUUUGGGGCUAAUCCAACAAACCUAUCUGAACCCUAAACCUAACAGGUGGAUCUACUCAGAAAUGAAAACAGAAAUCAUAGAUGAAUGGAUAUAAAACUGAAAUAGAAUAGAUAAGAAAACUAAUGGAGUUCCAGGAGGACUAUGAUAGGAGUUCCUCCCUUCUCUCCUAAGAGAAACAAUGGAAAUGAAAGUGUGUAGAAAGCGUAGAAAGCGUAGCCGUCAACAAUGGCUUAAAAAUAACAUAAAUAGGGUUUCUGGUCGUCCAAGGGUAUUUUGGUAAUUUGUGGCUUCUAGGGCUUCACGCAGUCAUAAAAUAUACAAGGCCCAUGAUCUGUAAUCUCCAUCAAUCGAUGUUCAGAGUGCUGCAUCGAUCGACGCGGCUUCCUCUUCUCGGCAGCUUCCUCUCGCGAGGCAGACUGACCACUCUUCAGUAAAACGGGCAUAACUUCUGCUACAGAAUGCUGAUUGACCUGAGACCGGUGGCAUUGGAAAGAUAACUCAAUUCUCUUUCUUGUUUCGAAAUAUGGGCUCAAUCUAACGGUCGGAAAGUCUCCAUCAAUAGCUAAACAUCUGACGCGUCUGUGCAACUCUGCACCUCCAAAUGCGCCAAAAGAUUCCAAAAUCACCAUAUUUCUUCUAAACGUCUCUGAACCUGUAAAUAUUCUAAAUAGAUUCCAAAACAUAAUAAUUGUAUCUUAAAACACUUUAAAACACUUAUAGACCAUGAUUAAAAAUGGAUAAAAUAUAUGGUCUAUCAAGGACCGCCUACAAAACACCGUUACGAACAACACCAUUCCACCCCCUUUAUGGCAAAUCAUGUCAUCUACCAGUCGAACUGGAACAUAAAGCAGCUUGGGCUACCAAACUUUUGGACUUUGAUAUCAUACCAGCUGCAGAAAGGAGACUCAUCCAGCUUAACGAGCUUGAUCAAAUCAGACAUAUAGCUUUCGAAAAUUCAAAAAUCUAUAAAGGACUAAAGCUUAUCACGAUAGAAAGAUCAGAUCCCGGCACUUCGAGCCAGAUGAUCAAGUCCUCCUUUAUAACUCUCGAUUGACAUUAUUUCCUGGAAAGCUAAAAUCCCGUUGGUCUGGACCCUUCACCGUAACGAACGUUCAACCCUCCGGAGCUAUCACCUUACAAAAUGAGAAAGGCCAGGAAUUUACGGUGAAUCGCCAACGAGUUAAGCAUUAUUGGGCCAAACUACCAGCGAAAGUGCCCAUGGUGCUGUAUGAACCUGAUAAUUAGUUUAAUCAGGAAGUCCAGCUAAAGACUUAAAAAUUAAGCGCUGAAUGGGAGGCAGCCCAUUUUUAUAAAAGAAAAAAAGAAUAAUAAUAAUAAUUUAAUUUAAAAAAUCAUUAAUUAAAAUUAAUAAAUUAUAUUUACUAGUAAUUAAUAGUAAUUUCCGUAUUUCUUAAUAUUAGCAUUAUUUACAAAAUUUAGAAAUUAGAAUUUGUCUUUAAAGAGGACAUCGAUCGGCGAGGCAUUACUGCCAUCGAUCGAUGCAGGCAUAUCGACGGUUUUAACACUAACUUCACUCGAUAUCAACCCAGUUCGUCUUCCACACUCACAAACGAAACCAAAAACAAAAACCCCAUUAUCUCUCUCGAUUCUCGACGGAUUUCGUCCGUUCUUCGCCUAAAUCCACUCGAUUUUUUACUCUGUAACUGUUAAAUCCACUCCCGAAAUCAACAAUCAAGGUAUGCACUCGAAAUUUUCAAUUUUUCGAAAAAUUAGGGUUUUCGUUUUGAGUUGGAUUAGAACGCUUGAUUUAGUGCGAUUGAGAGAUGUUUUUGUAGUUCAUAUUGCUUAUCUAGAGUUCGGUUUGUGAUUUCCAUGCAUUUAGAUUCGUAUAAACGCGAUUUGGAGUUGAGUGAUUUUGCAGGUUUCGCGAUUCCACAUCGGUCGAUAUGAACUUGUUCGCAUCGACCGAUGCUCUCUUGUCCGAUUGUUCCGACACGACGAUAUCGAUCGAUGUUCAGUAUAACCCAUCGAUCGAUAAGACAUUUUAUCGACAAUGCUAACCUUCUUUUCUUCUUGGUUUCAGAUGAGCAGCUCAGAGACAAACGCACGAAACAGAGAACUCAGGUCGAAAAGGAGGUUCGACGAGACUAGCAGCUCCUCCAACCCACAGCGUCAUCCAUGGCCUCGCGCCGAAAACACACCAUUCAAUGUCCCGGGCUAUGCUGAUCCUAAGGCAGCGAUCAACAGCAACGAGUGCCGUCAGCGUCCUCUGUCCGAUGACUGGGACGACUACGACAGCCUCUUCUACAAUGCCUGGCUAGGAAUUUCUAUCGAGCCCACCAAAUUCCUCGACCGACCCAUCCUGAAGAAGCUCGGGAUCGAGGGAGAUAUUAAGGACAUGAUCACACAGCUAGGACUCGGUACCAUGCCCUCUCGCGCUUACGACCUCUACCCCGAUCUCGUCCGCCAGUUCAUGGCCACUGUCAAGGUCACCUACAGGACUUCAGCUGGGAGGGUAGCGGGAGAUGGCACUUUGACCUUCUUCGCCAGAGGGACACGCUACAGGAUCACUAUCUCCGAGCUCUGCCGCAUCUACGGUUUCGAUGAGAGCAUCGCCUCUUACACGGUCCCACCUUUCUCACACAUUGAGGGAUUCUGGGACAUCGUCGGCACAGGAGUUUGGGACACGAACAGGGCCGUGCUAUCAGACAUCCGCUACUUCCUACGGCUCGUUGCAAACACACUUGUUUGCAAGAUGGAGCCCAACAAGGCCAGGAUAAAGGAGCUCACACUACUUUUCUGCGCAGUGAACGGCGUGGUGGAUUUGGUUGAGUUGGACGAGGAUGGCGAGGUAAGCCCGCCGAACCUCGGAGCUGUCUUUGCCACGCAUUUGGUGGAGCUGAAGAAGAAGCCCUUCACCAGCAAGGGCAAGAACAAGAAGGAGACAGUUGGGAGUCUUCUGACCUCGAUUUUCCAGUGAUCAGCUGUCGCAUGUUUCACUGGUUAACAAGCUAGAUCUCGUGUCUCAACGGUUAGUAUGUUGACAACGAAAGAGUGUCGAUCGAUGGUCCUAUUGGGACAUCGACCGAUACACCUUUGCCUACGUCGACCGAUAGUCAGUUGAGGACACCGAUCGACGGGUUCUAGCCAGGCCUAUGCGCGAGAAUAAAAUGCCCUAUUAAGAUACUAAAUUGGCGGUUAGCCCUCUCUAGCAGUCCUAAUAUGAUAGAUAGAUGUCAGGAUGGGAUAACAAGGGUGCUUGAGUAUGCAAUCCUAUGAUCAAGUUCUAGUUAAUUACUCUAAAACAAGCAAUGAAUACAAAUCUAUCAUGAAUAUCACAACAAGGCAGAUCUAUAGUUUGGGGCUAAUCCAACAAACCUAUCUGAACCCUAAACCUAACAGGUGGAUCUACUCAGAAAUGAAAACAGAAAUCAUAGAUGAAUGGAUAUAAAACUGAAAUAGAAUAGAUAAGAAAACUAAUGGAGUUCCAGGAGGACUAUGAUAGGAGUUCCUCCCUUCUCUCCUAAGAGAAACAAUGGAAAUGAAAGUGUGUAGAAAGCGUAGAAAGCGUAGCCGUCAACAAUGGCUUAAAAAUAACAUAAAUAGGGUUUCUGGUCGUCCAAGGGUAUUUUGGUAAUUUGUGGCUUCUAGGGCUUCACGCAGUCAUAAAAUAUACAAGGCCCAUGAUCUGUAAUCUCCAUCAAUCGAUGUUCAGAGUGCUGCAUCGAUCGACGCGGCUUCCUCUUCUCGGCAGCUUCCUCUCGCGAGGCAGACUGACCACUCUUCAGUAAAACGGGCAUAACUUCUGCUACAGAAUGCUGAUUGACCUGAGACCGGUGGCAUUGGAAAGAUAACUCAAUUCUCUUUCUUGUUUCGAAAUAUGGGCUCAAUCUAACGGUCGGAAAGUCUCCAUCAAUAGCUAAACAUCUGACGCGUCUGUGCAACUCUGCACCUCCAAAUGCUCCAAAAGAUUCCAAAAUCACCAUAUUUCUUCUAAACGUCUCUGAACCUGUAAAUAUUCUAAAUAGAUUCCAAAACAUAAUAAUUGUAUCUUAAAACACUUUAAAACACUUAUAGACCAUGAUUAAAAAUAGAUAAAAUAUAUGGUCUAUCAAGGACCGCCUACAAAACACCGUUACGAACAACACCAUUCCACCCCCUUUAUGGCAAAUCAUGUCAUCUACCAGUCGAACUGGAACAUAAAGCAGCUUGGGCUACCAAACUUUUGGACUUUGAUAUCAUACCAGCUGCAGAAAGGAGACUCAUCCAGCUUAACGAGCUUGAUCAAAACAGACAUAUAGCUUUCGAAAAUUCAAAAAUCUAUAAAGGACUAAAGCUUAUCACGAUAGAAAGAUCAUAUCCCGGCACUUCGAGCCAGAUGAUCAAGUCCUCCUUUAUAACUCUCGAUUGACAUUAUUUCCUGGAAAGCUAAAAUCCCGUUGGUCUGGACCCUUCACCGUAACGAACGUUCAACCCUCCGGAGCUAUCACCUUACAAAAUGAGAAAGGCCAGGAAUUUACGGUGAAUCGCCAACGAGUUAAGCAUUAUUGGGCCAAACCACCAGCGAAAGUGCCCAUGGUGCUGUAUGAACCUGAUAAUUAGUUUAAUCAGGAAGUCCAGCUAAAGACUUAAAAAUUAAGCGCUGAAUGGGAGGCAGCCCAUUUUUAUAAAAGAAAAAAAGAAUAAUAAUAAUAAUUUAAUUUAAAAAAUCAUUAAUUAAAAUUAAUAAAUUAUAUUUACUAGUAAUUAAUAGUAAUUUCCGUAUUUCUUAAUAUUAGCAUUAUUUACAAAAUUUAGAAAUUAGAAUUUGUCUUUAAAGAGGACAUCGAUCGGCGAGGCAUUACUGCCAUCGAUCGAUGCAGGCAUAUCGACGGUUUUAACACUAACUUCACUCGAUAUCAACCCAGUUCGUCUUCCACACUCACAAACGAAACCAAAAACAAAAACCCCAUUAUCUCUCUCGAUUCUCGACGGAUUUCGUCCGUUCUUCGCCUAAAUCCACUCGAUUUUUUACUUUGUAACUGUUAAAUCCACUCCCGAAAUCAACAAUCAAGGUAUGCACUCGAAAUUUUCAAUUUUUCGAAAAAUUAGGGUUUUCGUUUUGAGUUGGAUUAGAACGCUUGAUUUAGUGCGAUUGAGAGAUGUUUUUGUAGUUCAUAUUGCUUAUCUAGAGUUCGGUUUGUGAUUUCCAUGCAUUUAGAUUCGUAUAAACGCGAUUUGGAGUUGAGUGAUUUUGCAGGUUUCGCGAUUCCACAUCGGUCGAUAUGAACUUGUUCGCAUCGACCGAUGCUCUCUUGUCCGAUUGUUCCGACACGACGAUAUCGAUCGAUGUUCAGUAUAACCCAUCGAUCGAUAAGACAUUUUAUCGACAAUGCUAACCUUCUUUUCUUCUUGGUUUCAGAUGAGCAGCUCAGAGACAAACGCACGAAACAGAGAACUCAGGUCGAAAAGGAGGUUCGACGAGACUAGCAGCUCCUCCAACCCACAGCGUCAUCCAUGGCCUCGCGCCGAAAACACACCAUUCAAUGUCCCGGGCUAUGCUGAUCCUAAGGCAGCGAUCAACAGCAACGAGUGCCGUCAGCGUCCUCUGUCCGAUGACUGGGACGACUACGACAGCCUCUUCUACAAUGCCUGGCUAGGAAUUUCUAUCGAGCCCACCAAAUUCCUCGACCGACCCAUCCUGAAGAAGCUCGGGAUCGAGGGAGAUAUUAAGGACAUGAUCACACAGCUAGGACUCGGUACCAUGCCCUCUCGCGCUUACGACCUCUACCCCGAUCUCGUCCGCCAGUUCAUGGCCACUGUCAAGGUCACCUACAGGACUUCAGCUGGGAGGGUAGCGGGAGAUGGCACUUUGACCUUCUUCGCCAGAGGGACACGCUACAGGAUCACUAUCUCCGAGCUCUGCCGCAUCUACGGUUUCGAUGAGAGCAUCGCCUCUUACACGGUCCCACCUUUCUCACACAUUGAGGGAUUCUGGGACAUCGUCGGCACAGGAGUUUGGGACACGAACAGGGCCGUGCUAUCAGACAUCCGCUACUUCCUACGGCUCGUUGCAAACACACUUGUUUGCAAGAUGGAGCCCAACAAGGCCAGGAUAAAGGAGCUCACACUACUUUUCUGCGCAGUGAACGGCGUGGUGGAUUUGGUUGAGUUGGACGAGGAUGGCGAGGUAAGCCCGCCGAACCUCGGAGCUGUCUUUGCCACGCAUUUGGUGGAGCUGAAGAAGAAGCCCUUCACCAGCAAGGGCAAGAACAAGAAGGAGACAGUUGGGAGUCUUCUGACCUCGAUUUUCCAGUAUCUCGGCAUCCACCUUGACUCUCGCUCUGCCGACCGCGACCACGCCUUCCUCGAUGAGCAGCACUUGAUGCACUCGCUAUGGCUCGAGGAAGGGAAGCUCUGGCGCCUCAGGAUCCGCGACGAGCAUCGCCUUCUACCCCUACCAGAUAGGAGGAUCACUGACUUCUGCAACAACGUGGAGCAGCUUCGAUGCAUGCUAGACGAGGCAUUCCUCCGCAACCCGCAGAACAUGUCACGCCGACCUCCCAGCAUUCGCCGUACCAGAGCUCGGGACGCACAUGCACCUCCUCUUCCUGACUUCCCGAACAUCCCGGACAUCCCUAUGCACGACCAGGGAGACUUUCAGAGGUUCGUGGUGGACGCUCUUCAGGCCAUCUGGGCUAGAGUGUCUUGUCGGAGCAGGAGAGCCACAGGAGCGCAGGCACCAGCACCAGCAGCACGCAGGGACCCAUCCCCAGAGGCCGAUGAGGCGACUGAUGAGGACACCAAUUAGUCCUCCCAUCUCUAUCUCUUCUCCUCUUAUUAUGAACUUGUUUAUUUAUUUUCCGAACUUGUAGGAUUUAUGUUUUUAAACUUAUAUUUUAUGUUUGAGGAUGCUUAUUAUUUCUUAUGCUUGAUUGUCUAACAGAGCUAACAUUAGGCAAGGGACUUCGAGUUUGACUCCAAGCACAUGCAAAAAUGUAUGUGCUUCGCCAUCGAUCAAUUUAGAGAGGAUUACAUCGAUCGAAUCUGGGCGAGUAACAUCGAUCGAUAUGGAGAGGAUUACAUCGAUUGAUGUGUAGUACAGAUAGGUACUUCAUUCUUACUCUAACAUUCUCAAACAUCUAACUUGAUUUUAACCUACCCUUGGACACUUUGCACCGAGUCGGUGCAAUUUAAGUCUGGGGGAGGUAGUUACUAACACCAUUUUCUUGAGUUUUUGUCAAAAAUCUUUUCAAAAAUAAUUUUAUUGAGUCAAGAAGGGGAUUAUGAACUAAUGAUUUCUACUUGAAUGUCUAACCACUUUCUAGCACCAUUCUAGAUUUACUGACUGAAGAUAAUACUAUAGAUGUUAAAGUGGAUCAACCAGUCAACUAUACACACUUGCUAGCUUGUUAGAAAGAACCGAAGCUAACCUCCAACACUAACCUGACUUCACUGCUUGUUUUGGGGCUUGGUAUACAUGGGAUCAGAUUUUUCAGACAAGUCUGGAAGGUAAUGCCUGGUUUAGAUUAUUUAUCACAUUUUCUCUCUCUAAAUUUCGACCCUAGAUUAGUUAGUGAGUACACCAAAAAAAAAAAAGAUCUAUUGUUUAAUUAGGAUGAGUCUGAACAGGACUUGGUGGCUAAAACCAUUAAGGCUUGAUUCAUAAAGACUCAAAUAAAAGAGUUCAAAACAGGACUUGGAGGCGGCAAUCUUCAAAGCUCGCUUUCGCAAAGAACUCUUGGAUAUAGGUCAAAAAGAAGUGAACAGAACUUGGCGGCAACCACCAUUAAGUUUUGAUUCAUGGAAGCCUAUCCAAUCUUGGUCACUGAUCCUGCAAUGGAAGCAGACUUUGACCCAAGAAAGAAAUUUAGAGAGAGAGAAACUAGGAACUAACUUUUACCUGCAGCUCCAGAUACUUGUCUGAAAUCCUUGCAUCCUGUGAUUGAUACUCCCAAGGUAAAGCCUACACUUUUUACAUUAAGAAAUGAGGUCUGUUGAGGAGAUUGAUAAUAAGAUUAGUUAAGAUUGUUGGCUAGAUGAUUUUGGUUGCUAAGCUAGGAUAUUGCAUAAUGUAUAUCUGUAAGAAGGAACCUUAGAUGUGGAAUGCAAUAUUAUAGAGGUGAUAAUUUCAAUGUUUCAAAUUUGUGAGUCCCUGAUGUUUUCAACCCUCUUCCAGAGAGAUUGUCCAUUGGUUUAACUUGAGGACAAGUCAAAAGAUAAGUCUGGGGGAGUUGAUAUACCAUGAUUUUCACCCGUUUUUAUACAUGGCAUAUAAAGGUUUUAAGAUGUAUUAAUCAUGUUUUAGAGUCUUUUCAAAGCAAAUACAGGUUUAUUCACCUGAUGGAAGGAAAUGAUACUUUUGGGACAUUUUGGAAUGCUUUUACGCAAGGAAAAUCGAUCGACGCUUGAAGAGCAACAUCGGUCGAUCAUAAUCACUUACCAUCGAUCGACAUACAUUUAUGUGCAUCGAUCGAUACCCAGUCACACGGAUGAAAUCGCAAAUUAAAAGAUUUCAUUUCUCAGAAGAUCUAUUAUUUACAACUUAAUUCCCUAGCCGCCUGUUAGGCUAUAUGUACUAGGGUUUUGUAUCAUUUCUAGCAGACACUUGCAAAAAGACCUAGUUUUGGAGAAAGAGCAUUUUGGCUACCAUUACGAGAGCUUAGGAAUGGAGAGAUAGAUCUGAAACUGCAAAACAGAGAAGAUCUUGAACUCCUUUAUUUCUAUUACUCUAUCUAUUUGUGUUCUAUGUUUCAUUUGAGUUUAUUUCACACCAUCAUGACUUUGUCUCUCAUGAAUAUGUUUGAGUAAAUCAAUUGUUAGAUUUAGGUUUCUCACCAUGGUUGAAAUUAUGUACUGCUAAUAUGACUGUUAAAAAGGUGUUUUGAUUGUUCUUUCAUUGCUUAUGGACUUAAUGCUAAAAUUAAGAUUGAUCACCUUCAUUUUAGAUCUUAGGAUUAAUUGAGUCCAACUAACCGUUUCCCCUCAAUACCUGAACCCAUUUGCGUGAUCUAACUAACUCAGGCGCAACGACAAUUGGUCUGAGAAGGUUAGAGAACAAGUUAAACCCGUUCGCAAAGCUCGCUAGAAUAACUGUCGAUCGACGCAACUAUCGUUCUGUCGAUCGAUCGUUACAAAGGUGUAUUGGUCGAUGUACAUCAAGUCACAUCGAUCGACACUCUCUCGAGAUCAAAGUACGACAUUUGAGAUUCGAGAUCUAGUGAAGAUAACCUAUCCGGUUAAAUAAAUGUUUAGUUCAAGAACCAUUAAACCCUUUAGUCUAAACUAAGUGCAUACAUUUUAUACCUGAGAAUUGCCUGAAUCUAGCUGCUUUCCCAAUCUUGAAACCACUUCAAUUCAAUCUAUUGAAUCACUGUUGUUUUCGAUUUAUCAUUUACUGCUUUUAAAACUAUUAAAACCUUUUAGUCUAUCUUCAUUUCUAAUUAUUUAAGUCUGUUGAGUAAUCCUAGAGUCUCUGUGGAUUUGAUCCCUAAGUACUACAUCUGAACCUCUUUUGAUGAGAGUAACACUCUUUAGGGUAAUUUGAGUGAUAUCAUUUAGCAUCUUUCUUUUGCAUUAAAUAUUUGAUGGCAGCGUGAUCAGUGUGAACUACCACUCGUGAGCCAAUCAAGUACUGACGGAAUUUUUCAAAAGCGUAAACUACAGCUAAUAGUUCUUUUUCUGUUGUUGCGUAAUCAAGCGUGCGGCUGGCGUAGUAAAUGGCGUGUAGCUUUUUGUCUUUCCUUUGGCCUAAAACAGCACCAAUUGCAAAAUCGCUCGCAUCGCACAUGAUUUUGAAAGGAAGGUUCCAGUCGGGGGCUUGUACGACGAAGGCAGUGAUAAGAGAUUUCUUUAAAUCUUCAAAAGCUUUCAUGCAUUCAGGGGCAAAAUCGAAUUUAAUAUCCUUGCAUAAUAGGUUAUUUAGAGGUCUAGCGAUUUUGCCGAAGUCCAGUAUAAAUCUCUUGUAAAAUCCGACGUGUCCGAGAAAACUUCGCACAUCUUUAACAGUUUUGGGCGGAGGUAAACUGGUCAUUGCUUCAAUCUUAGCUCUAUCUACCUCUAUACCAGCGACAGAAACCUUAUGUCCUAACACUAUUCCAUCGUUAACCAUGAAAUGGCAUUUUUCCCAUUUUAGGACAAGGUUCUUUUCUUCGCAUCUUUCCAAUACUUUGCAUAAAUUAUCAAGGCAACUCUUAAAAUCUGAUCCGUAGACUGAAAAGUCAUCCAUGAAUAUUUUCAUGAAGUCCUCGAUCAUAUCCGUAAAGAUUGACAUCAUGCAACGUUGGAAAGUGGCAGGGGCGUUACAAAGACCAAAUGGCAUUCUGCGAUAUGCGAAAGUUCCAUAGGGGUAUGUAAACGUUGUAUUUUCUUGAUCAUCCGGGUGUAUAGGAAUUUGGAAAAAUCCGGAAUAUCCAUCAAGAAAACAGUAAUACUGGUGAUUAGCUAAUCUCUCCAGCAUCUGAUGAAUAAAGGAAAGGGGAAAAUGGUCUUUCCUAGUAGCGGCAUUCAAUUUCCUAUAAUCAAUACACAUCGGAUGACCAGUAACAGUACGAGUCAGAAUGAGUUCGUCCUUUUCAUUCUUCACUACAGUGAUACCUCCCUUUUUAGGUACAACAUGUACAGGGCUUACCCAUUUGCUAUCCGAAAUAGGGUAAAUAACUCCAGCAUCAAGGAGUUUUAUAAUUUCCUUUUUAACUACUUCCUUUAGAUUCGAAUUUAAUCUCCUUUUCUGCUCUAUUGAUGUUUUAGCGUCAUCUUCCAAGUUGAUUCGAUGCAUGCAAAGAUCGGGAGAGAUUACAGGAAUGUCAUCGAGAGAAUAUCUGAUCGCUUUCCUGUACUUGCGUAAUUUAUUUACUAAUAAAACAAGUUCUCCACUAGUGAGAUUGGCGUUGACGAUUGAUACCAUUCAAAUUACCCUAAGGAGUGUUACUCUCAUCAAAAGAGGUUCAGAUGUAGUACUUAGGAAUCGAAUCCACAAGGAGCUAGGGAACAAUUAAAUAUAGUGUUUAUUAAUUCUAAGAGUUGUAAAUGUUUAAAUGAAAUAGCAAUAGUAACAAGCAAAGCAAAUAGUAAAUGUUACUUGGUUGGAAAUGAUAUUAGAUGCAUGGCCACUAUUCAGGUGUUUGAGAUUAUAAUAUCUAUAGAUGCCUAUUUGUUGCAUGCAUGAUAUGUUAAAGCUCAACCGCUUAACUCAGUGAUCAGCUGUCACAUGUUUCACUGGUUAACAGGCUAGAUCUCGUGUCUCAACGGUUAGUAUGUUGACAACGAAAGAGUGUCGAUCGACGGUCCUAUUGGGACGUCGACCGACACAUCUUUGCCUAAUUCGACCGAUAGUCAGUUGAGGACAUCGAUCGACGGGUUCUAGCCAGGCCUAUGCGCGAGUAUGAUAUGCCCUAUUAAAAUACUAAAUUGGCGGUUAGCCCUCUCUAGCAGUCCUAAUAUGAUAGAUAGAUGUCAGGAUGUGAUAACAAGGGUGCAUGAGUAUGCAAUCCUAUAAUCAUGUUCUAGUUAGCAAGGCUAAAACAAGCAAUGAAUACAAAUCUAUCAUGAAUAUCACAACAAGACAGAUCUAUAGUUUGGGGCUAAUCCCACAAACCUAUCUGAACCCUGGAUCUAAUAAAUGAACUACUCAGACAUAGCAAAGCAAUUCAUAACAAUGAAGAAAUGGGAAUUCAUAGUAUAGAUGAAAAGAAAUGAAAACAACGAUCUCCAAUCACAAGUGAUCUUCUCUCAAAAACUCUCUCUCUCUCUCUCUCAAAGUAAAACUGUAAUAAAAAGCUCUCCCUGCCGUCAAAACACUUAGGCAGUAUAUAAUCUACUAGGUUAAAAACUCGUCAGGGCAUUUUCGUAAUUUGGGUUGGACUUGGGCUUCAAGUCCGCUGGAUCCAAAUGUCGCAUGUCCAAUGUUUCAACAUCGAUCGAUGGUACUUGUGUACAUUGAUCGAUAUUAAUCUUCAUUUGUCGAGGCAUCUCAUGGUGUCGAUCGACACCACUCGAGGUGCAUCGAUCGAUUGUUCUUCCUCUCGUCGACCUCUACAUGGUCAGCUCGGGUGAAAUGUCUUUUAAGCUCCAAAACACUCUAAAGUCAUAGCUUUACUCCGAAUGCAGAUGAACCUGAAAACAUACCUAGAAGAGUAGAAAACAUAGAUAUAUAUAUAUAUAUAUAUAUAUAUAUAUAUAUAUAUAUAUAUAUAUAUAUAUAUAUAUAUAUAUAUAUAUAUAUAGUAAAACACCUAUAUACCAUGGAUGAAAACGGGUCAAAUCCAAGGUAUAUCAAUCACCCUUUAAACCUAGAUUUUAGGAUUAAUUGGGAUCAAGCCAUUGCUUGACUCAAUACCUGAAAAUUAACUAGUAUGAUCUAACUGACUAGAUACAGACGAGAGUUGAUAUAGUGAGUUUGAAAAUAUAAAUUAAACCUGUCCGUAAAACUUUCUGGAAGAAGUAUCGAUCGACACAUCGAUAUCCUGUCGAUCGAUAUUUUGAAAGGUGUAUCGAUCGAUAUUUUGAAAGGUGUAUCGAUCGAUAUUCAUAAAUAAUUAUCGAUCGACAAUUUCUCGUGACUAACAUACGAGAGCUAAAAUGCGAGAUCAAGAUUAGAUAAUCAGAUUGAUUAUAUCUUAAGUUUAAAUUCAAGAAUAAUUAAUAUCAAUAAACCUCUACAAACCCAAAUUAAGUUUACUUAUCAUACCUGGGAAUAUACCUGAAUCUAGCUAUUUCUCCAAACUGUUAACAACCUCAAAACAAAUCAAUCAAGCAAUAAAAUUGCUCACCACUCCAUUUACUGCUUUAAAACUUAUAAACCAUUUAAUCUAGAUUUAUUUCAAGACCAUAAUCUAUUGUGUAAUCCUAGAGUCUCUAUGGAUUCGAUCCCUAAGUACUACAUCUGAACCUCUUAUUUGAGAGAGUAAUUCACUCCUUAGGGUAAUUUGAGUGAUAUCCGUUAGCUUCCGACUAAUAAACAUCGACAUUAAAGGUAAAUUGGUCAUAAGGUUAUGACCAGUGUACGACUAAUAUAUGAGACGUAAAUGUACGUCACCUUUACGACAAAUGUAUUUACUUUUAACUUACGACCAACUUAUUGAGCCGUAAAGCUACGUCUGAUAUAUGACUAAUUUUUCUAGACGCAAUAUUACGACCAAUGUGCCUCUAAUUAUUAAUUACGAUCAUCUUGUAACGACCAAUAGAUUUUCGAAGUUAAUUGGUCCUAAAGCCCAUAUUACGACCAACUAGCUACUAAUACUAUAGUCGUUAAGGUCCUGUUUUCUUGUAGUGAAAAGUCCCCAGAAAAUAUUUCUCGCAAUAUAAAUUCCGUAUAAUUUUUAUCCACAAUAAGAAGCAAACAUUGUUGGGGUCAAAAACGGUAAUCUCGAAAUAAACGUCCAAAACCUGUGUUUCUGUAUGAAAGCUUUCUCGACACACUCUCGACAAAAUUUCCUGAGCAAAAGACUCGAGAGAAAUGGAUCACAGAACCAAACAAGCAGUCCAACUCGUUUGUUCGUACGUUUUAAGGUGCAGAACUGCACAGACGAGUCAGAUGUUUAUCUAUGGAUGAAGACCUUCCCGUGGUAUGAUUGAGCUUUGAGUUAGCUUUCCAAUGCCACCGGUCUGAGGUCAAUCAGCAUUCUGUAUCAUAAGUUAUGUCUGUUUUAUUGAAGGGUGGACAGAGCACACCGUCCAGCUCGGUGGAUGGCCGAGCUGGAUCGACCACGCGACCAGCUCGGCCAUCCGCCGAGGUGAACCAGUCCAGCUCGGCCAUCCGCCGAGGUGAACCAGUCCAGCUCGGCGGAUGGUCGAGCUUGGUCGACAACACGACCAGCUCGUCCAUCCGCCAAGCUGAACCAGUCAAGCUCUGCGGAUGGCCGAGCUGGAUCGAACACGCGACCAGCUCGGCCAUCCGCCCAGUCCAGCUCGGCGGAUGGCCGAACUGGAUCAACACGCAACCAGUUCGGCCAUCCGCCGAGUUGGAACGAUCGUUCUGUCAUAGUCCCAUCCUCGUAGCUCCCUCCUUCGGGAUUGGAUCGAACAUGCUCUUGUUUCAUUUCGAUCAGAGUCACCGAUGGAACUUUACGAUUUAAAACUGCAGUAACUCAUUGUUGGGGAAAAAUAUUCCAUGAAGAGCAUACUCCAGCUUCCGUCUUCCAGGUCUAUCCCCCCGGGGUCCGGGUUCCUGUCUCUGGGUCCCGGGUCCCUGUCCCCGAGUCUGGGACCUUCCUCCGUCUUCCAGGCCAAGUGAUUUCUCCUGCCUUCCUCUGUCAACCGCUUAACUCAGUGAUCAGCUGUCGCAUGUUUCACUGGUUAACAAGCUAGAUCUCGUGUCUCAACGGUUUGUAUGUCGACAACGAGAGAGUGUCGAUCGAUGGUGUAAUAACCCUCAUGAGCCAAUAAAUUUUUGGUCGAGAAAAAUCCCGCUCGACCAGUUUUUAGUUGGUUUAACAAGGAUUAAUAAAAAUAAAAAUCGACCCGGUAGAUUAAUUUCUCGAAGGGACUGUCUUGUGGUUGAAAGACCUUCACUUGAUAGUUUGGUCGAGUCUUAAAUAUUUUGGUCGAAUUUUUAUUAAACUGGAAGAGAGUUUCCGAGAACAAGACGAGAGCCAAAGACAAGGAAUAUUUGGUUGAAAAAUUAUUGAAAAUUAUCAACCAACUGCUACAAGUAAUUUUGGACCAGACUCAUGUCUUCCACCAGCCGCUUGCUCAGUCUUUAGUCACAUGACUUGCACCUGCCUGCUUGCCUAGCUUCUUCAGUAACUGGCACAUGAUAAUCACAAGCUGCCUGCUUGCCUUGUUUCUUAGAUUGUCAUGUGAGAAGCACAUGAAAGGGCUGGAGUUUCUUCAGGUUAAGGAAAGGACAGCAGCUUGUGCUGAGAGUGCUGAAGCAGCUGGCCAGCUGUCCCCACUCAGCUUAGCUUUGUCCUGAGUGAAACCCUCACCUGAAGCAAGCUCACCUCACAUUUAACCCCUCUCCAGCUGCUUCCCACGUUCAGAACCCUGCAGAAAAUCUAGAGAAUUUCAGUGAGAAAGAGAGAAAGAAGAACAGAAAAAUCAGAGAGAAAAAUCAAGAAAAUAAAUCAAGAAAAAAUUGGUGGUGACCUAAUCUUCAACCUUAGCUCAGUUUCUUACCUUGGGAAAGAUCAGAAGGUGAGAUUUUUAAAUAAAACCCUAGACCUAGUUGAGUUCAGAUCAUGAUCAGACCUUGAUCUUUCUCUUUGAUCAGUCCAGCCACAAGCUUACCUUGGAGAAGAGGAUCAGCUGAGGCCAUCUAGUCCUUUGGUUCAUCUUGGUAAGCUUUGGUCUCCUUGCCUCAGUCAGUAUCUGAUCAGAACAGUUGAUGUUUAGUUUAGGUCUUGGUCGGAUCAGUUGUAUAAGUUCUGAUACAGUUCAGUUCUUGUUAAUUUCGGUUUGAAUCAACCUCUUAGAACAACCAGCUAUGAUAUUUUGAUCUGGCUUUGAGUAAACCGAUUUGAGCUCAGUCUGAUCUUGUCCUGAACUUUGGUAGACUGACUAGAACCGAGCUGAACUUGUAUAGUCUGAGCAGAACCAAGCUUGAACUGAUCUGAUCUAAGGUGUUAAGGCAUGAACCAAACUGAUCUUGUGAUCAUACCACUCUGUUUCAGGUCAGAGGUAGAGUAAAGCUUGAAGUAUCCAGUCCUGUCCAUUCAGCCUUGUUCAAGUGGAACUCAAGUCUUGUCCAAGCCAGUUUCAAGACUAAUCUUUAGGUGAGUCUAGAGAGAAGAUGAGAUAGAUCAUGAAUGUGUACAUGAUUGAGUUUAAAUUGUAGUAUCUCAAUUAGAUAGUAAAGUCUUUGAAUCCUUUAAGAAGUGUAUGGGUUUACUUAGUGUAAACACUUACACUUAAAGAUUAAUCAAAAGGUUAAAGUGAGGUUAAUCAUAAUCAUAGUACUUGUUCCCAAGUACUAAUCUUAUUAUGAAAUAAUCAUGGUUUUGAUUAAGGAUUAAUCAUGGUUUAAUUAAGGAUUAAUCUUGGUUUAAUUAAGGAUUAAUCUUGGUUUAAUUAAGGAUUAAUCUUGGUUUAAUUAAGGAUUAAUCUGAAAUUAAUUAAAGAGUAAUCAUGAUUAAUUAAGUACUAAUCUUGGAUUAAUUAAAGAUUAAUAUGAGAUUAAUUAAGGAUUAAUCUAGGAUUAAUUAAGAGUUAAUUAUGAUUAAUUAAGGAUUAAUUAUGGAUUAAUUUUGGAAUAAUUAUGGAAGUAAAAGCAUGUGAAAUCUUGUUAUAUUCACUAUCCCUAAAGCCCCCGCAUUACCGUGACUUGGUCCUGCGAAUGGAACAAGGUCAUGAAGACACGAUGAUGGGGUAGCUCCCUGGAGACCGUGUACUGCAUGACGAUGCAGUGUCGGAUUGUUCAUACCGGACAUUCGACAAUGAUGGUGAUGCUAACUCACUAGUCUCGGUUAGCCUUAGUGGUUUCUCGGGUCUAGUAUAUAUAUUGUAUUAUAUGAGUAUGGUAACGGGCGGGUGUUGUGGAAGUGAUGUUUAAAAUAAGAAUUCACAAUGAUGAUCGAUAUUAAAGUAUAGUACUAGUACUUGCAUGAUCAUGUAUAUGCAUUUGAUAAUUGCUUGAUUUAUUAUUGAUUGUGUUGUGAUUCUAGAUUCACUGAGUAAACUAGUUGCUCAUGACUCAUUUGUGUGUGCAGGUAAACCUUAGGCGGGAGACACUUAAAUCUUUUGGACGGAAGGAGCGGCCAACCAGCGGUAGUAUUUUGUUGUCCUUGCAACGUACAUUUUGAUGUAUAUUUACUUAAAACGUUGUUGGGCGAUAGGCCGUAGGGUAAACAAUAACAGUUUGUAAGAUGUUUAAAGUAAAUAAAUAAUGUAUAAAAGAUGUUUAUAAAUCACGAGUUCUCAUAUGAUAUUAGUCCUUGUCCGGGACGAACUAACUAUCGAAUAUUGCUUUAUCGGGUUGAAAAGCCUAGAGUAAUAUCCGAUAGGAGUGUCUGUGUUCUUUGGUUGUUGGUCUAAGGUGAUCGGAUUUAUUUCGAGAACCUCGGGUCGACCAUCAGGGAACAUCGACCGUGUCAUUUCCGGUUAUCUACGAUCGGGGGUGUCACAAAGGUGGUAUCAGAGCAUUGUUAUACGAUGCUAGAAUGGGACUUGUUUUAAAAAACUUUCGAGUCAGAAAAUGUGUCGCAAGGAUAAUUAGGAUAUGCUGGUUUGUUCCUUCUUUUAUAAAUAGAUAGACCUGGGUAGAAACUUACCAUGAUCUUUUGUUGCAGAUGCCACCGAGACAGGCACAUCGUGGUGGACAUUAUCUACCGAUACCUAUUUCAUCAUCUUCAGACUCCUCGCCGCCAUCUACUCCGGCACCACUUCCGACUCCUAGCUUUGAGGCUACACCUUCAGGCUCUAGCUUUGAGACUGACCCGUCUGAAGGGUCAUAUGAUCAGACACCGGAGCACAUUCCUUUGUCUCCAGACCCAUACUUUAUGGACAUCGAGGUGGAUGUGGUACACGAUAGUCCAGUGCAUGGAGAUCAUCCCGCAGCUCCUGCAUCUCCUGCCGCUGAUAUUCCACCAGCUCCUGCCGCUCAUAUUCCACCGGGCCCUGCCGCACCUAUUCCGGCAGCACAACCUCAACCAGCGCCAACCGAUCCAGCUAUGAUAGCACUUCUGGAACUGAUGGCUGAGAUGGUGAAUUUGCAAUAUCAAGCACUGAAUGCACAGCGAGAAGCACAGCGUGCUCAGCCAGCUCCAGUACCUACCACUUCUCACCCGGACUUCCUGAAGAUAGUCAUGAUUAUGAAGAACUUGGGGACGAAGCAUUACCAGGGAGGCACUGAUCCCUUUGAAGCUGAUGCAUGGCUUCACAAUCUCGAGCAGAACUUUGCUGCAACCCGUUGUCCGGAAGAAUUUAAAAAGGACGUGGCUGUUUACUAUCUAGAGAAGGACGCCAUCAGUUGGUGGUUAUGCGUAGAGAGGAACUUUGGAGACUUCAAUCUGAGUUGGGCUGACUUCCGUACAGCGUUCGUUCGAAAGUACUUCCCACCGGAAGCCCGUGAUCGAUUGGAGAUUAAAUUCAUGGAGCUAGUUCAGGGAGGAUUAUCUGUUAGGAAGUAUGAGGCAGAGUUCACCCGUCUCAGGAAGUAUGUCCACUAUGGUCGAGAGGACGAGAUGAUGAUUAUCCGUAAGUUCCUUCGAGGACUUAACCCAUAUAUCAGGAGCAGACUUGAGGCAGUAGAGUUUCAUCGGCUUGCUGAUCUUGUUGAGCGUGCUGUGAAUGUUGAGGAGGCCAUUGCUGCUGAGAGAGCUUCUUCUAGCAAUGCCACACAACCUAGACGUCCAUCUGUUCCGUUCCAGCCUCAGCCGCAUUCUGCUAUGCAGCGAGGACGAGGAGGUAGAGCUUUUCGGGGAGGUCGUUCUGGAGGUUCUAGACCUAGAACCCCGACUUGUUUCACUUGUGGCCAGCUGGGCCAUGUUAGGAGGGAUUGUCCGACCGUGGGACAGUUCCAACCGGCUGUACCAUCUCACAUCACUUGUUUCACGUGUGGAGAGCGAGGACAUUAUGCGACAUCAUGUCCACGCACUCAUCUUGCUCAGCCUGUUGUUUCGAGUGCUCGACCCGCCAGACCAGUUAACCCACCUUUACCCUUACCUCCUGCUAAGCGUCAAGCCACUGCUGGUAGGGCUUACGCUUUAGAGUUACCAGGACCAUCCGGACCACCUCAGGGUCCGAUUUCAGGUUUGUUUUCUUAUCCGAUUGAGUGUUGCAUAAAUUAUUAAAAAUAAAAAAAUAAUUGAUUUGUGAAUUAGUGAUAUAAAAAUAUUAUAAAAGUGGUUGAGUAAGUAAUUGACGGUAAAGUCAAUUAUUGUCAGGGACUUUGCUUGUGGGUGGAAUAUCCGCCCACAUCCUUUUCGAUUCAGGAGCAACACAUAGUUUUGUAGCUCCCGAAGUAGCAUCCCAAUUCGAUGGAGAAUUCACUAAGGUGAAUUUAUCCAUUCCUGUUCUAACUCCCGGAGAUCAAGUUCUUGAAACUGAAGGCUGUAUUCUAAGAGUUCCAAUCAUUAUCCAAGAUAUGGUUUUUCCGGCUGAUUUGUUAGUUCUCCCCUUAGAGAGGUAUGAGGUAAUCUUAGGGAUGGAUUGGCUGUCAAGUUACCGAGCUCACCUUGAUUGUGGUCGAGGGAAGAUUGUUUUUGAGAGAGAUACCCAACCCCCUUUAGCUUACCAUGGCAUAGUACCAAGUGAUGGAGCGUCAUUAGUGUCAGCAUUGAGAAUUGAAAACGUUUUGGAGAAGGGUGAAGAAGUAUACUUAGUGACCUUAGUUGCUGGACCAGUAGAAGACGAGAAAGAGCAGAACAUGGAAGAAAUACCAGUAGUCAGAGAAUACGAGGACGUGUUUAAGGCAUUAGAGGGAUUGCCGCCGUCUAGGAGUAACCCCUUUAGUAUAACCUUAGAACCCGGAUCAGCUGCAAUAGCAAAGGCACCAUACCGAAUGGCACCAGCAGAACUCGCCGAGUUGAAGCAGCAGUUAGCUGAUUUGUUAGACAAGGGUUUCAUACGUCCUAGUUCAUCACCAUGGGGAGCACCCUUGCUAUUUGUAAAGAAGAAAGACGGAAGCAUGCGGUUAUGUAUAGAUUAUCGUGGAUUCAAUAACGUAACCAUAAAAGACAAGUACCCACUCCCAAGAAUUGAUGAGCUGUUAGACCAGUUACAAGGCGCAAGCUGGUUUUCGAAGAUUGAUUUAGCUUCGGGUUAUCAUCAGAUUCCGAUUUCCGAAACCGAUAUCAUGAAGACCGCCUUUAGAACCCGCUAUGGACACUUUGAGUUCGUAGUAAUGCCUUUUGGUCUUACCAAUGCCCCGGCUGCAUUUAUGCGACUGAUGAAUGAAGUAUUUCGGGAUUACCUGGAUGAGUUUGUUAUCAUAUUCAUUGACGACAUCCUCAUAUAUUCCCGAAGUGCAGAAGAACACGAAAGGCAUCUACGACUAGUUUUGGAGCGUCUCCGAGAUCAAAAGCUUUUUGCUAAGCUUAGUAAAUGUCGUUUCUGGAAAAGAGAAGUUGGCUUCUUAGGACAUCGAGUGUCAGAAGAAGGAGUUGCCGUCGAUCCAGAAAAGAUAGCUGCUAUUAAGGAAUGGCCGCAUCCGACUUCUGUUACCGAGAUUCGAAGUUUUCUCGGAUUGGCCGGCUAUUACAGAAAGUUUGUCCAAGCAUUUGCAAGCGUAUCAAAGCCUUUGACUCGUCUUACCGGUAAAGGGAUUGCUUAUGAAUGGAGUAUAGAAACCGAGAAAGCAUUCGAAAAGUUAAAAGAAGCUUUGACGACUGCACCUAUCUUAGCAUUGCCUAAGCCUAACCAACCAUACAACGUGUAUACGGAUGCAUCUCAUGUUGGUUUAGGUUGUGUGCUGAUGCAAGAAGAUAAGGUAAUCGCCUAUGCAUCUAGGCAACUAAGAAAGCAUGAAGUGAAUUAUCCGACACAUGACCUAGAGAUGGCUGCAGUAGUAUUUGCCCUUCGGAUUUGGCGAUCAUACUUGUAUGGUGAGAAGAUCCAAGUGUUCACUGACCAUAAAAGCCUUAAGUAUCUUUUCACUCAACCUGAUCUGAACCUAAGGCAAAGACGAUGGAUGGAGUUUGUAGCUGAUUACGACAUGCAGAUCCUAUACCAUCCAGGAAAAGCCAACGUUGUUGCUGAUGCGUUGAGUAGAAGGAAAGUUGAUGUAGAUGUUGAAAAAGAACUCCAGAACUUGGAAGCGGAAUUCAAGAUGAUUAGUUUGGCUGCCUUAGAAGGAGAGGAAAGAGAACCUCUAGAACUACAAGCAGUAAGCCAAGCUGGUUUACUUUCUCGUAUCCGAGAAUAUCAAAUGAGAGAUGUGAACCUGAAGAAGAUACGAGAGCAGUUGAAUGAAGGAAACUUCGGAGGAUAUCAAGUUGCAAGUGAUGGAACUUUGUUACUCAAUGGUCGAGUAACUGUUCCGAAAGGAGAAGGACUUCAAGAGGAGAUUUUAAGGACUGCACACCAUUCUCUCUUAAGCAUUCAUCCCGGGAGCACAAAGAUGUAUCGAGAUAUCAGAAGAUAUUACCACUGGCCAGGGAUGAAGAGAGAUGUUGCCAUAUGGGUUUCUCAGUGUCAGAGUUGCCAGCGGAUAAAAGCUGAACACCAAGUCCCAGGUGGCUUACUUCAAAGCCUACCUAUCCCUGAAUGGAAAUGGGAUGCAGUAGCAAUGGACUUUAUUUCUGGUUUACCUCGAGCACCCGGCCGUGGGAAUGAUGCAGUUUGGGUGAUUGUCGAUCGUCUCACCAAAUCUGCUCAUUUCCUACCGAUGAAACUUACAGACAAAGUUGAGACGUUAGCAGAGCUGUAUUUGGAGGAAAUAGUAAAGCUUCAUGGGGUACCAGCAAAUAUAGUUUCAGACCGAGACCCGCGCUUUACAGCUGAAUUUUGGCGAGCCUUUCAACAAGCCUUGGGAACUGAUUUGCAUAUGAGUACAGCGUUUCAUCCAGAAACCGAUGGCCAAACCGAAAGAACCAUUAGAACUCUGGAAGAUCUGUUAAGGUUGUGUAUCUUAGACUGGAAUGGUCCGUGGGAAAAGUUUUUGCCGCUGAUAGAAUUCUCCUACAACAAUAGCUACCACUCUAGUAUUGGUAUGUCACCAUACGAAGCAUUGUAUGGUCGACCUUGUAGAACGCCAGUAUGUUGGGCAGAAGUUGGUGAGAGAAGAAUUCUUGGUCCAGAAAUAGUAGAUGAGGCUGCAGAGAAAGUAAGGAUAAUUCAAACCAAUAUGAAGAAGGCUCAAGACCGACAAAAGAAGUAUGCAGACCGCGGUAGAAGAGAAGUCAUUUUUGCAGUAAAUGAUUUAGUCUUCUUGAAAGUAGCUGCACAAAAAGGAAAGGAUCGAUUUGGAAAAAUUGGGAAGCUAGCUACUCGUUAUAUUGGGCCAUACCGAAUUGUCGCCAGAGUUGGAGAAGUAGCCUAUAGACUAGAACUUCCACACGAUAUGCCUAUGCAUCCGGUAUUUCAUGUAUCGAUGUUGCGUAAGCAUAUACCAGAUCCGAAUAUGGUCGAGCCGCAGCGACCAGAGAACUUGCAACCUAACCUCACUUAUCCUGAAGGUCCUUUCCGAAUAGGCGAGCGUCGUAUCAAGAAAUUGAAGAAUAGGGAAAUUUCGCAAGUUCAAGUAUUUUGGGGAAAGCGACAGAGAGUUGUUAUAACAUGGGAGGAUGAAGAUAAGUUCCGAGUUGACUAUCCAGAACUCUUCUCAAAUACCCCAGUCGUCCAGUAAAGGGUGUACACUUGUUUUUUUGAGAAUUCGGGGACGAAUUCUUUUAAGGGGGGAAGAGUGUAAUAACCCUCAUGAGCCAAUAAAUUUUUGGUCGAGAAAAAUCCCGCUCGACCAGUUUUUAGUUGGUUUAACAAGGAUUAAUAAAAAUAAAAAUCGACCCGGUAGAUUAAUUUCUCGAAGGGACUGUCUUGUGGUUGAAAGACCUUCACUUGAUAGUUUGGUCGAGUCUUAAAUAUUUUGGUCGAAUUUUUAUUAAACUGGAAGAGAGUUUCCGAGAACAAGACGAGAGCCAAAGACAAGGAAUAUUUGGUUGAAAAAUUAUUGAAAAUUAUCAACCAACUGCUACAAGUAAUUUUGGACCAGACUCAUGUCUUCCACCAGCCUGCUUGCUCAGUCUUUAGUCACAUGACUUGCACCUGCCUGCUUGCCUAGCUUCUUCAGUAACUGGCACAUGACAAUCACAAGCUGCCUGCUUGCCUUGUUUCUUAGAUUGUCAUGUGAGAAGCACAUGAAAGGGCUGGAGUUUCUUCAGGUUAAGGAAAGGACAGCAGCUUGUGCUGAGAGUGCUGAAGCAGCUGGCCAGCUGUCCCCACUCAGCUUAGCUUUGUCCUGAGUGAAACCCUCACCUGAAGCAAGCUCACCUCACAUUUAACCCCUCUCCAGCUGCUUCCCACGUUCAGAACCCUGCAGAAAACUAGAGAAUUUCAGUGAGAAAGAGAGAAAGAAGAACAGAAAAAUCAGAGAGAAAAAUCAAGAAAAUAAAUCAAGAAAAAAUUGGUGGUGACCUAAUCUUCAACCUUAGCUCAGUUUCUUACCUUGGGAAAGAUCAGAAGGUGAGAUUUUUAAAUAAAACCCUAGACCUAGUUGAGUUCAGAUCAUGAUCAGACCUUGAUCUUUCUCUUUGAUCAGUCCAGCCACAAGCUUACCUUGGAGAAGAGGAUCAGCUGAGGCCAUCUAGUCCUUUGGUUCAUCUUGGUAAGCUUUGGUCUCCUUGCCUCAGUCAGUAUCUGAUCAGAACAGUUGAUGUUUAGUUUAGGUCUUGGUCGGAUCAGUUGUAUAAGUUCUGAUACAGUUCAGUUCUUGUUAAUUUCGGUUUGAAUCAACCUCUUAGAACAACCAGCUAUGAUAUUUUGAUCUGGCUUUGAGUAAACCGAUUUGAGCUCAGUCUGAUCUUGUCCUGAACUUUGGUAGACUGACUAGAACCGAGCUGAACUUGUAUAGUCUGAGCAGAACCAAGCUUGAACUGAUCUGAUCUAAGGUGUUAAGGCAUGAACCAAACUGAUCUUGUGAUCAUACCACUCUGUUUCAGGUCAGAGGUAGAGUAAAGCUUGAAGUAUCCAGUCCUGUCCAUUCAGCCUUGUUCAAGUGGAACUCAAGUCUUGUCCAAGCCAGUUUCAAGACUAAUCUUUAGGUGAGUCUAGAGAGAAGAUGAGAUAGAUCAUGAAUGUGUACAUGAUUGAGUUUAAAUUGUAGUAUCUCAAUUAGAUAGUAAAGUCUUUGAAUCCUUUAAGAAGUGUAUGGGUUUACUUAGUGUAAACACUUACACUUAAAGAUUAAUCAAAAGGUUAAAGUGAGGUUAAUCAUAAUCAUAGUACUUGUUCCCAAGUACUAAUCUUUAUUAUGAAAUAAUCAUGGUUUUGAUUAAGGAUUAAUCAUGGUUUAAUUAAGGAUUAAUCUUGGUUUAAUUAAGGAUUAAUCUUGGUUUAAUUAAGGAUUAAUCUUGGUUUAAUUAAGGAUUAAUCUGAAAUUAAUUAAAGAGUAAUCAUGAUUAAUUAAGUACUAAUCUUGGAUUAAUUAAAGAUUAAUAUGAGAUUAAUUAAGGAUUAAUCUAGGAUUAAUUAAGAGUUAAUUAUGAUUAAUUAAGGAUUAAUUAUGGAUUAAUUUUGGAAUAAUUAUGGAAGUAAAAGCAUGUGAAAUCUUGUUAUAUUCACUAUCCCUAAAGCCCCCGCAUUACCGUGACUUGGUCCUGCGAAUGGAACAAGGUCAUGAAGACACGAUGAUGGGGUAGCUCCCUGGAGACCGUGUACUGCAUGACGAUGCAGUGUCGGAUUGUUCAUACCGGACAUUCGACAAUGAUGGUGAUGCUAACUCACUAGUCUCGGUUAGCCUUAGUGGUUUCUCGGGUCUAGUAUAUAUAUUGUAUUAUAUGAGUAUGGUAACGGGCGGGUGUUGUGGAAGUGAUGUUUAAAAUAAGAAUUCACAAUGAUGAUCGAUAUUAAAGUAUAGUACUAGUACUUGCAUGAUCAUGUAUAUGCAUUUGAUAAUUGCUUGAUUUAUUAUUGAUUGUGUUGUGAUUCUAGAUUCACUGAGUAAACUAGUUGCUCACGACUCAUUUGUGUGUGCAGGUAACCCUUAGGCGGGAGACACUUAAAUCUUUUGGACGGAAGGAGCGGCCAACCAGCGGUAGUAUUUUGUUGUCCUUGCAACGUACAUUUUGAUGUAUAAUUACUUAAAACGUUGUUGGGCGAUAGGCCGUAGGGUAAACUAUAACAGUUUGUAAGAUGUUUAAAGUAAAUAAAUAAUGUAUAAAAGAUGUUUAUAAAUCACGAGUUCUCAUAUGAUAUUAGUCCUUGUCCGGGACGAACUAACUAUCGAAUAUUGCUUUAUCGGGUUGAAAAGCCUAGAGUAAUAUCCGAUAGGAGAAUCUGUGUUCUUUGGUUGUUGGUCUAAGGUGAUCGGAUUUAUUUCGAGAACCUCGGGUCGACCAUCAGGGAACAUCGACCGUGUCAUUUCCGGUUAUCUACGAUCGGGGGUGUCACAGAUGGUCCUAUUGGGACGUCGACCGAUACACCUUUGCCAACGUCGAUCGAUAGUCAGUUGAGAACAUCAAUCGACGGGUUCUUGCCAGGCCUAUGCGCGAGUAUAAUAUGCUUUAUUAAGAUACUAAAUUGGCGGUUAGCCCUCUCUAGCAGUCCUAAUAUUAUAGAUAGAUUUCAGGAUGGGAUAACAAGGGUGCUUGAGUAUGCAAUCCUAUGAUCAAGUUCUAGUUAGCAAGGCUAAAACAAGCAAUGAAUACAAAUCUAUCAUGAAUAUCACAACAAGGCAAAUCUAUAGUUUGGGGCUAAUCCCACAAACCUAUCUGAACCCUGGAUCUAAUAAUUGAACUACUCAGACAUAGCAGAGCAAUUCAUAACAAUGAAGAAAUAGAAAUUCAUAGUAUAGAUGAAAAGAAAUGAGAAGAAGGAGUUCCAAUCACAAGUGAUCUUCUCUCCAAAACUCUCUCUUCUCUCUCAAAGUAAAACUGUAACAAAAAGCUCUCUUCUGCCGUCAAAACACUUAGGCAGUAUAUAAUCUACUAGGUUAAAAACUCGUCAGGGCAUUUUCGUAAUUUGGCUUGGCCUUGGGUUUUAAGUCCGCUGGAUCCAAAAUGUCGCGUGUCUAAUUUCUCGACAUCGAUCGAUGGUACUUGCGUACAUCGAUUGAUAAUAAUCUUCAUCAGUCGAGGCAUCUCUUGGUGUCGAUCGAGAGCACUGAUGCGCAUCGAUCGAUUGUUCUUCCUCUCGUCGACCUCUACAUGGUGAUACCACUCAAAUUACCCUAAGGAGUGUUACUCUCAUCAAAAGAGGUUCAGAUGUAGUUAUUAGGGAUCGAAUCCACAAGGAGCUAGGGAACAAUUAAAUCUAGUGUUUAUUAAUUCUAAAGGUUGUAAAUGUUUAAAUGGAAUAGCAAUAGUAACAAGCGAGUAAAUAUAAAUGUAACUUGGUUGGAAAUGAUAUUAGAUGCAGGGCCACUAUUCAGAUGUUGGAGAUUAUAAUACUUAUAGAUGCCUAACUGUUGCAUGCAUGAUAUAUUAGAGCUCAUUCGCUUAACUCAGUGAUCAGCUGUCGCAUGUACCACUGGUUAAUAGACUAGAUCUCGUGUCUCACCGGUUAGUAUGCAGACACAAGAGAGUGUCGAUCGAUAGUCUAUUAAGACGUCGACCGAUACACCUUUGCCAACAUCGAUCGAUUGUCAGUUGAGGACAUCGAUCGACAGGUUCUAGCCAGGCGUAUGAAAUGCUCUACUAAGAUUCUAAAUUGGCGGUUAGCCCUCUCUAGCAGUCCUAAUAUGAUAGAUAGAUGUCAGGAUGGGAUAACAAGGGUCCUUGAGUAUGCAAUCCUAUGAUCAAGUUCUAGUUAAUUACUCUAAAACAAGCAAUGAAUACAAAUCUAUCAUGAAUAUCACAACAAGGCAGAUCUAUAGUUUGGGGCUAAUCCAACAAACCUAUCUGAACCCUAAACCUAACAGGUGGAUCUACUCAGAAAUGAAAACAGAAAUCAUAGAUGAAUAGAUAUAAAACUGAAAUAGAAUAGAUAAGAAAACUAAUGGAGUUCCAGGAGGACUAUGAUAGGAGUUCCUCCCUUCUCUCCUAAGAGAAACAAUGGAAAUGAAAGUGUGUAGAAAGCGUAGAAAGCGUAGCCGUCAACAAUGGCUUAGAAAUAACAUAAAUAGGGUUUCUGGUCGUCCAAGGGUAUUUUGGUAAUUUGUGGCUUCUAGGGCUUCACGCAGUCAUAAAAUAUACAAGGCCCAUGAUCUGUAAUCUCCAUCAAUCGAUGUUCAGAGUGCUGCAUCGAUCGACGCGGCUUCCUCUUCUCGGCAGCUUCCUCUGGCGAGGCAGACUGACCACUCUUCAGUAAAACGGGCAUAACUUCUGCUACAGAAUGCUGAUUGACCUGAGACCGGUGGCAUUGGAAAGCUAACUCAAUUCUCUUUCUUGUUUCGAAAUAUGGGCUCAAUCUAACGGUCGGAAAGUCUCCAUCAAUAGCUAAACAUCUGACGCAUCUGUGCAACUCUGCACCUCCAAAUGCUCCAUAAGAUUCCAAAAUCACCAUAUUUCUUCUAAACGUCUCUGAACCUGUAAAUAUUCUAAAUAGAUUCCAAAACAUAAUAAUUGUAUCUUAAAACACUUUAAAACACUUAUAGACCAUGAUUAAAAAUUGAUAAAAUAUAUGGUCUAUCAAGGACCGCCUACAAAACACCGUUACGAACAACACCAUUCCACCCCCUUUAUGGCAAAUCAUGUCAUCUACCAGUCGAACUGGAACAUAAAGCAGCUUGGGCUACCAAACUUUUGGACUUUGAUAUCAUACCAGCUGCAGAAAGGAGACUCAUCCAGCUUAACGAGCUUGAUCAAAUCAGACAUUUAGCUUUCGAAAAUUCAAAAAUCUAUAAAGGACUAAAGCUUAUCACGAUAGAAAGAUCAUAUCCCGGCACUUCGAGCCAGAUGAUCAAGUCCUCCUUUAUAACUCUCGAUUGACAUUAUUUCCUGGAAAGCUAAAAUCCCGUUGGUCUGGACCCUUCACCGUAACGAACGUUCAACCCUCCGGAGCUAUCACCUUACAAAAUGAGAAAGGCCAGGAAUUUACGGUGAAUCGCCAACGAGUUAAGCAUUAUUGGGCCAAACCACCAGCGAAAGUGCCCAUGGUGCUGUAUGAACCUGAUAAUUAGUUUAAUCAGGAAGUCCAGCUAAAGACUUAAAAAUUAAGCGCUGAAUGGGAGGCAGCCCAUUUUUAUAAAAGAAAAAAAAAGAAUAAUAAUAAUAAUUUAAUUUAAAAAAUCAUUAAUUAAAAUUAAUAAAUUAUAUUUACUAGUAAUUAAUAGUAAUUUCCGUAUUUCUUAAUAUUAGCAUUAUUUACAAAAUUUAGAAAUUAGAAUUUGUCUUUAAAGAGGACAUCGAUCGGCGAGGCAUUACUGCCAUCGAUCGAUGCAGGCAUAUCGACGGUUUUAACACUAACUUCACUCAAUAUCAACCCAGUUCGUCUUCCACACUCACAAACGAAACCAAAAACAAAAACCCCAUUAUCUCUCUCGAUUCUCGACGGAUUUCGUCCGUUCUUCGCCUAAAUCCACUCGAUUUUUUACUCUGUAACUGUUAAAUCCACUCCCGAAAUCAACAAUCAAGGUAUGCACUCGAAAUUUUCAAUUUUUCGAAAAAUUAGGGUUUUCGUUUUGAGUUGGAUUAGAACGCUUGAUUUAGUGCGAUUGAGAGAUGUUUUUGUAGUUCAUAUUGCUUAUCUAGAGUUCGGUUUGUGAUUUCCAUGCAUUUAGAUUCGUAUAAACGCGAUUUGGAGUUGAGUGAUUUUGCAGGUUUCGCGAUUCCACAUCGGUCGAUAUGAACUUGUUCGCAUCGACCGAUGCUCUCUUGUCCGAUUGUUCCGACACGACGAUAUCGAUCGAUGUUCAGUAUAACCCAUCGAUCGAUAAGACAUUUUAUCGACAAUGCUAACCUUCUUUUCUUCUUGGUUUCAGAUGAGCAGCUCAGAGACAAACGCACGAAACAGAGAACUCAGGUCGAAAAGGAGGUUCGACGAGACUAGCAGCUCCUCCAACCCACAGCGUCAUCCAUGGCCUCGCGCCGAAAACACACCAUUCAAUGUCCCGGGCUAUGCUGAUCCUAAGGCAGCGAUCAACAGCAACGAGUGCCGUCAGCGUCCUCUGUCCGAUGACUGGGACGACUACGACAGCCUCUUCUACAAUGCCUGGCUAGGAAUUUCUAUCGAGCCCACCAAAUUCCUCGACCGACCCAUCCUGAAGAAGCUCGGGAUCGAGGGAGAUAUUAAGGACAUGAUCACACAGCUAGGACUCGGUACCAUGCCCUCUCGCGCUUAUGACCUCUACCCCGAUCUCGUCCGCCAGUUCAUGGCCACUGUCAAGGUCACCUACAGGACUUCAGCUGCGAGGGUAGCGGGAGAUGGCACUUUGACCUUCUUCGCCAGAGGGACACGCUACAGGAUCACUAUCUCCGAGCUCUGCCGCAUCUACGGUUUCGAUGAGAGCAUCGCCUCUUACACGGUCCCACCUUUCUCACACAUUGAGGGAUUCUGGGACAUCGUCGGCACAGGAGUUUGGGACACGAACAGGGCCGUGCUAUCAGACAUCCGCUACUUCCUACGGCUCGUUGCAAACACACUUGUUUGCAAGAUGGAGCCCAACAAGGCCAGGAUAAAGGAGCUCACACUACUUUUCUGCGCAGUGAACGGCGUGGUGGAUUUGGUUGAGUUGGACGAGGAUGGCGAGGUAAGCCCGCCGAACCUCGGAGCUGUCUUUGCCACGCAUUUGGUGGAGCUGAAGAAGAAGCCCUUCACCAGCAAGGGCAAGAACAAGAAGGAGACAGUUGGGAGUCUUCUGACCUCGAUUUUCCAGUAUCUCGGCAUCCACCUUGACUCUCGCUCUGCCGACCGCGACCACGCCUUCCUCGAUGAGCAGCACUUGAUGCACUCGCUAUGGCUCGAGGAAGGGAAGCUCUGGCGCCUCAGGAUCCGCGACGAGCAUCGCCUUCUACCCCUACCAGAUAGGAGGAUCACUGACUUCUGCAACAACGUGGAGCAGCUUUGAUGCAUGCCAGACGAGGCAUUCCUCCGCAACCCGCAGAACAUGUCAUGCCGACCUCCCAGCAUUCGCCGUACCAGAGCUCGGGACGCACAUGCACCUCCUCUUCCUGACUUCCCGAACAUCCCGGACAUCCCUAUGCACGACCAGGGAGACUUUCAGAGGUUCGUGGUGGACGCUCUUCAGGCCAUCUGGGCUAGAGUGUCUUGUCGGAGCAGGAGAGCCACAGGAGCGCAGGCACCAGCACCAGCAGCACGCAGGGACCCAUCCCCAGAGGCCGAUGAGGCGACUGAUGAGGACACCAAUUAGUCCUCCCAUCUCUAUCUCUUCUCCUCUUAUUAUGAACUUGUUUAUUUAUUUUCCGAACUUGUAGGAUUUAUGUUUUUAAACUUAUAUUUAUGUUUGAGGAUGCUUAUUAUUUCUUAUGCUUGAUUGUCUAACAGAGCUAACAUUAGGCAAGGGACUUCGAGUUUGACUCCAAGCACAUGCGAAAAUGUCUGUGCUUCGCCAUCGAUCAAUUUAGAGAGGAUUACAUCGAUCGAAUCUGGGCGAGUAACAUCGAUCGAUAUGGAGAGGAUUACAUCGAUUGAUGUGUAGUACAGAUAGGUACUUCAUUCUUACUCUAACAUUCUCAAACAUCUAACUUGAUUUUAACCUACCCUUGGACACUUUGCACCGAGUCGGUGCAAUUUAAGUCUGGGGGAGGUAGUUACUAACACCAUUUUCUUGAGUUUUUGUCAAAAAUCUUUUCAAAAAUAAUUUUAUUGAGUGAAGAAGGGGAUUAUGAACUAAUGAUUUCUACUUGAAUGUCUAACCACUUUCUAGCACCAUUCUAGAUUUACUGACUCCAGAUAAUACUAUAGAUGUUAAAGUGGAUCAACCAGUCAACUAUACACACUUGCUAGCUUGUUAGAAAGAACCGAAGCUAACCUCCAACACUAACCUGACUUCACUGCUUGUUUUGGGGCUUGGUAUACAUGGGAUCGGAUUUUUCAGACAAGUCUGGAAGGUAACGCCUGGUUUAGAUUAUUUAUCACAUUUUCUCUCUCUAAAUUUCGACCCUAGAUUAGUUAGUGAGUACACCCAAAAAAAAAAGAUCUAUUGUUUAAUUAGGAUGAGUCUGAACAGGACUUGGUGGCUAAAACCAUUAAGGCUUGAUUCAUAAAGACUCAAAUAAAAGAGUUCAAAACGGGACUUGGAGGCGGCAAUCUUCAAAGCUCGCUUUCGCAAAGAACUCUUGGAUAUAGGUCAAAAAGAAGUGAACAGAACUUGGUGGCAACCACCAUUAAGUUUUGAUUCAUGGAAGCCUAUCCAAUCUUGGUCACUGAUCCUGCAAUGGAAGCAGACUUUGACCCAAGAAAGAAAUUUAGAGAGAGAGAAACUAGGAACUAACUUUUACCUGCAGCUCCAGAUACUUGUCUGAAAUCCUUGCAUCCUGUGAUUGAUACUCCCAAGGUAAAGCCUACACUUUUUACAUUAAGAAAUGAGGUCUGUUGAGGAGAUUGAUAAUAAGAUUAGUUAAGAUUGUUGGCUAGAUGAUUUUGGUUGCUAAGCUAGGAUAUUGCAUAAUGUAUAUUUGUAAGAAGGAACCUUAGAUGUGGAAUGCAAUAUUAUAGAGGUGAUAAUUUCAAUGUUUCAAAUCUGUGAGUCCCUGAUGUUUUCAACCCUCUUCCAGAGAGAUUGUCCAUUGGUUUAACUUGAGGACAAGUCAAAAGAUAAGUCUGGGGGAGUUGAUAUACCAUGAUUUUCACCCGUUUUUAUACAUGGCAUAUAAAGGUUUUAAGAUGUAUUAAUCAUGUUUUAGAGUCUUUUUAAAGCAAAUACAGGUUUAUUCACUUGAUGGAAGGAAAUGAUACUUUUGGGACAUUUUGGAAUGCUUUUACGCAAGGAAAAUCGAUCGACGCUUGAAGAGCAACAUCGGUCGAUCAUAAUCACUUACCAUCGAUCGACAUACAUUUAUGUGCAUCGAUCGAUACCCAGUCACACGGAUGAAAUCGCAAAUUAAAAGAUUUCAUUUCCCAGAAGAUCUAUUAUUUACAACUUAAGUCCCUAGCCGCCUGUUAGGCUAUAUGUACUAGGGUUUUGUAUCAUUUCUAGCAGACACUUGCAAAAAGACCUAGUUUUGGAGAAAGAGCAUUUUGGCUACCAUUACGAGAGCUUAAGAAUGGAGAGAUAGAUCUGAAACUGCAAAACAGAGAAGAUCUUGAACUCCUUUAUUUCUAUUACUCUAUCUAUUUGUGUUCUAUGUUUCAUUUGAGUUUAUUUCACACCAUCAUGACUUUGUCUCUCAUGAAUAUGUUUGAGUAAAUCAAUUGUUAGAUUUAGGUUUCUCACCAUGGUUGAAAUUAUGUACUGCUAAUAUGACUGUUAAAAAGGUGUUUUGAUUGUUCUUUCAUUGCUUAUGGACUUAAUGCUAAAAUUGAGAUUGAUCACCUUCAUUUUAGAUCUUAGGAUUAAUUGAGUCCAACUAACCGUUUCCCCUCAAUACCUGAACCCAUUUGCGUGAUCUAACUAACUCAGGCGCAACGACAAUUGGUCUGAGAAGGUUAAAGAACAAGUUAAACCCGUUCGCAAAGCUCGCUAGAAUAACUGUCGAUCGACGUAACUAUCGUUCUGUCGAUCGAUCGUUACAAAGGUGUAUUGGUCGAUGUACAUCAAGUCACAUCGAUCGACACUCUCUCGAGAUCAAAGUACGACAUUUGAGAUUCGAGAUCUAGUGAAGAUAACCUAUCCGGUUAAAUCAAUGUUUAGUUCAAGAACCAUUAAACCCUUUAGUCUAAACUAAGUGCAUACAUUUUAUACCUGAGAAUUGCCUGAAUCUAGCUGCUUUCCCAAUCUUGAAACCACUUCAAUUCAAUCUAUUGAAUCACUGUUGUUUUCGAUUUAUCAUUUACUGCUUUUAAAACUAUUAAAACCUUUUAGUCUAUCUUCAUUUCUAAUUAUUUAAGUCUGUUGAGUAAUCCUAGAGUCUCUGUGGAUUCGAUCCCUAAGUACUACAUCUGAACCUCUUUUGAUGAGAGUAACACUCUUUAGGGUAAUUUGAGUGAUAUCAUUUAGCAUCUUUCUUUUGCAUUAAAUAUUUGAUGGCAGCGUGAUUAGUGUGAACUACCACUCGUGAGCCAAUCAAGUACUGACGGAAUUUUUCAAAAGCGUAAACUACAGCUAAUAGUUCUUUUUCUGUUGUUGCGUAAUCAAGCGUGCGGCUGGCGUAGUAAAUCGCGUGUAGCUUUUUGUCUUUCCUUUGGCCUAAAACAGCUCCAAUUGCGAAAUCGCUCGCAUCGCACAUGAUUUUGAAAGGAAGGUUCCAGUCGGGGGCUUGUACGACGAAGGCAGUGAUAAGAGAUUUCUUUAAAUCUUCAAAAGCUUUCAUGCAUUCAGGGGUAAAAUCGAAUUUAAUAUCCUUGCAUAAUAGGUUAUUUAGAGGUCUAGCGAUUUUGCCGAAGUCCAGUAUAAAUCUCCUGUAAAAUCCGACGUGUCCGAGAAAACUUCGCACAUCUUUAACAGUUUUGGGCGGAGGUAAACUGGUCAUUGCUUCAAUCUUAGCUCUAUCUACCUCUAUACCAGCGACAGAAACCUUAUGUCCUAACACUAUUCCAUCGUUAACCAUGAAAUGGCAUUUUUCCCAUUUUAGGACAAGGUUCUUUUCUUCGCAUCUUUCCAAUACUUUGCAUAAAUUAUCAAGGCAACUCUUAAAAUCUGAUCCGUAGACUGAAAAGUCAUCCAUGAAUAUUUUCAUGAAGUCCUCGAUCAUAUCCGUAAAGAUUGACAUCAUGCAACGUUGGAAAGUGGCAGGGGCGUUACAAAGACCAAAUGGCAUUCUGCGAUAUGCGAAAGUUCCAUAGGGGUAUGUUAACGUUGUAUUUUCUUGAUCAUCCGGGUGUAUAGGAAUUUGGAAAAAUCCGGAAUAUCCAUCAAGAAAACAGUAAUACUGGUGAUUAGCUAAUCUCUCCAGCAUCUGAUGAAUAAAGGAAAGGGGAAAAUGGUCUUUCCUAGUAGCGGCAUUCAAUUUCCUAUAAUCAAUACACAUCGGAUGACCAGUAACAGUACGAGUCAGAAUGAGUUCGUCCUUUUCAUUCUUCACUACAGUGAUACCUCCCUUUUUAGGUACAACAUGUACAGGGCUUACCCAUUUGCUAUCCGAAAUAGGGUAAAUAACUCCAGCAUCAAGGAGUUUUAUAAUUUCCUUUUUAACUACUUCCUUUAGAUUCGAAUUUAAUCUCCUUUUCUGCUCUAUUGAUGUUUUAGCGUCAUCUUCCAAGUUGAUUCGAUGCAUGCAAAGAUCGGGAGAGAUUAUAGGAAUGUCAUCGAGAGAAUAUCUGAUCGCUUUCCUGUACUUGCGCAAUUUAUUUACUAAUAAAACAAGUUCUCCACUAGUGAGAUUGGCGUUGACGAUUGAUACCAUUCAAAUUACCCUAAGGAGUGUUACUCUCAUCAAAAGAGGUUCAGAUGUAGUACUUAGGAAUCGAAUCCACAAGGAGCUAGGGAACAAUUAAAUCUAGUGUUUAUUAAUUCUAAGAGUUGUAAAUGUUUAAAUGAAAUAGCAAUAGUAACAAGCAAAGCAAAUAGUAAAUGUAACUUGGUUGGAAAUGAUAUUAGAUGCAUGGCCACUAUUCAGGUGUUUGAGAUUAUAAUAUCUAUAGAUGCCUAUUUGUUGCAUGCAUGAUAUGUUAGAGCUCAACCGCUUAACUCAGUGAUCAGCUGUCACAUGUUUCACUGGUUAACAGGCUAGAUCUCGUGUCUCAACGGUUAAUAUGUUGACAACGAAAGAGUGUCAAUCGACGGUCCUAUUGGGACGUCGACCGACACAUCUUUGCCUAAUUCGACCGAUAGUCAGUUGAGGACAUCGAUCGACGGGUUCUAGCCAGGCCUAUGCGCGAGUAUGAUAUGCCCUAUUAAAAUACUAAAUUGGCGGUUAGCCCUCUCUAGCAGUCCUAAUAUGAUAGAUAGAUGUCAGGAUGGGAUAACAAGGGUGCAUGAGUAUGCAAUCCUAUAAUCAUGUUCUAGUUAGCAAGGCUAAAACAAGCAAUGAAUACAAAUCUAUCAUGAAUAUCAUAACAAGACAUAUCUAUAGUUUGGGGCUAAUCCCACAAACGUAUCUGAACCCUGGAUCUAAUAAAUGAACUACUCAGACAUAGCAAAGCAAUUCAUAACAAUGAAGAAAUGGGAAUUCAUAGUAUAGAUGAAAAGAAAUGAAAACAACGAUCUCCAAUCACAAGUGAUCUUCUCUCAAAAACUCUCUCUCUCUCUCUCUCAAAGUAAAACUGUAACAAAAAGCUCUCCCUGCCGUCAAAACACUUAGGCAGUAUAUAAUCUACUAGGUUAAAAACUCGUCAGGGCAUUUUCGUAAUUUGGGUUGGACUUGGGCUUCAAGUCCGCUGGAUCCAAAUGUCGCAUGUCCAAUGUUUCAACAUCGAUCGAUGGUACUUGUGUACAUUGAUCGAUAUUAAUCUUCAUUUGUCGAGGCAUCUCAUGGUGUCGAUCGACACCACUGGAGGUGCAUCGAUCGAUUGUUCUUCCUCUCGUCGACCUCUACAUGGUCAGCUCGGGUGAAAUGUCUUUUAAGCUCCAAAACGCUCCAAAGUCAUAGCUUUACUCCGAAUGCAGAUGAACCUGAAAACAUACCUAGAAGAGUAGAAAACAUAGAUAUAUAUAUAUAUAUAUAUAUAUAUAUAGUAAAACACCUAUAUACCAUGGAUGAAAACGGGUCAAAUCCAAGGUAUAUCAAUCACCCUUUAAACCUAGAUUUUAAGAUUAAUUGGGAUCAAGCCAUUGCUUGACUCAAUACCUGAAAAUUAACUAGUAUGAUCUAACUGACUAGAUACAGACGAGAGUUGAUAUAGUGAGUUUGAAAAUAUAAAUUAAACCUGUCCGUAAAACUUUCUGGAAGAAGUAUCGAUCGACACAUCGAUAUCCCUGUCGAUCGAUAUUUUGAAAGGUGUAUCGAUCGAUAUUUUGAAAGGUGUAUCGAUCGAUAUUCAUAAAGAAUUAUCGAUCGACAAUUUCUCGUGUCUAACAUACGAGAGCUAAAAUGCGAGAUCAAGAUUAGAUAAUCAGAUUGAUUAUAUCUUAAGUUUAAAUUCAAGAAUAAUUAAUAUCAAUAAACCUCUACAAACCCAAAUUAAGUUUACUUAUCAUACCUGGGAAUAUACCUGAAUCUAGCUAUUUCUCCAAACUGUUAACAACCUCAAAACAAAUCAAUCAAGAAAUAAAAUUGCUCACCACUCCAUUUACUGCUUUAAAACUUAUAAACCAUUUAAUCUAGAUUUAUUUCAAGACCAUAAUCUAUUGUGUAAUCCUAGAGUCUCUAUGGAUUCGAUCCCUAAGUACUACAUCUGAACCUCUUAUUUGAGAGAGUAAUUCACUCCUUAGGGUAAUUUGAGUGAUAUCCGUUAGCUUAUGACUAAUAAACAUCGACAUUAAAGGUAAAUUGGUCAUAAGGUUAUGACCAGUGUACGACUAAUAUAUGAGACGUAAAUGUACGUCACCUUUACGACAAAUGUAUUUACUUUUAACUUACGACCAACUUAUUGAGCCGUAAAACUACGUCUGAUAUAUGACUAAUUUUUCUAGACGCAAUAUUAUGACCAAUGUGCCUCUAAUUAUUAAUUACGAUCAUCUUGUAACGACCAAUAGAUUUUCGAAGUUAAUUGGUCCUAAAGCCCAUAUUACGACCAACUAGCUACUAAUACUAUAGUCGUUAAGGUCCUGUUUUCUUGUAGUGAAAAGUCCCCAGAAAAUAUUUCUCGCAAUAUAAAUUCCGUAUAAUUUUUAUCCACAAUAAGAAGCAAACAUUGUUGGGGUCAAAAAUGUUAAUCUCGAAACAAACGUCCAAAACCUGUGUUUCUGUAUGAAAGCUUUCUCGACACACUCUCGACAAAAUUUCCUGAGCAAAAGACUCGAGAGAAAUGGAUCACAGAACCAAACAAGCAGUCCAACUCGUUUGUUCGUACGUUUUAAGGUGCAGAACUGCACAGACGAGUCAGAUGUUUAGCUAUGGAUGAAGACCUUCCCGUGGUAUGAUUGAGCUUUGAGUUAGCUUUCCAAUGCCACCGGUCUGAGGUCAAUCAGCAUUCUGUAUCAUAAGUUAUGUCUGUUUUAUUGAAGGGUGGACAGACCACACCGUCCAGCUCGGUGGAUGGCCGAGCUGGAUCGACCAUGCGACCAGCUCGGCCAUCCGCCGAGGUGAACCAGUCCAGCUCGCCAUCCGCCGAGGUGAACCAGUCCAGCUCGGCGGAUGGUCGAGCUUGGUCGACAACACGACCAGCUCGUCCAUCCGCCAAGCUGAACCAGUCAAGCUCUGCGGAUGGCUGAGCUGGAUCGAACACGCGACCAGCUCGGCCAUCUGCCGAGCUGGAUUGACAACACAACCAGCUCGGCCAUCCGCCCAGUCCAGCUCGGCGGAUGGCCGAACUGGAUCAACACACGACCAGUUCGGCCAUCCGCCGAGUUGGAACGAUCGUGCUGUCAUAGUCCCAUCCUCGUAGCUCCCACCUUCGGGAUUGGAUCGAACAUGCUCUUGUUUCAUUUCGAUCAGAGUCACCGAUGGAACUUUACGAUUUAAAACCGCAGUAACUCAUUGUUGGGGAAAAAUAUUCCAUGAAGAGCAUACUCCAGCUUCCGUCUUCCAGGUUUAUCCCCCCGGGGUCCGGGUUCCUGUCUCUGGGUCCCGGGUCCCUGUCCCCGAGUCUGGGACCUUCCUCCGUCUUCCAGGCCAAGUGAUUUCUCCUGCCUUCCUCCGUCAACCGCUUAACUCAGUGGAUCAGCUGUCGCAUGUUUCACUGGUUAACAAGCUAGAUCUCGUGUCUCAACGGUUUGUAUGUCGACAACGAGAGAGUGUCGAUCGAUGGUCCUAUUGGGACGUCGACCGAUACACCUUUGCCAACGUCGAUCGAUAGUCAGUUGAGAACAUCGAUCGACGGGUUCUUGCCAGGCCUAUGCGCGAGUAUAAUAUGCUCUAUUAAGAUACUAAAUUGGCGGUUAGCCCUCUCUAGCAGUCCUAAUAUUAUAGAUAGAUUUCAUGAUGGGAUAACAAGGGUGCUUGAGUAUGCAAUCCUAUGAUCAAGUUCUAGUUAGCAAGGCUAAAACAAGCAAUGAAUACAAAUCUUUCAUGAAUAUCACAACAAGGCAGAUCUAUAGUUUGGGGCUAGUCCCACAAACCUAUCUGAACCCUUGAUCUAAUAAUUGAACUACUCAGACAUAGCAGAGCAAUUCAUAACAAUGAAGAAAUAGAAAUUCAUAGUAUAGAUGAAAAGAAAUGAGAAGAAGGAGUUCCAAUCACAAGUGAUCUUCUCUCCAAAACUCUCUCUUCUCUCUCAAAGUAAAACUGUAACAAAAAGCUCUCUUAUGCCGUCAAAACACUUAGGCAGUAUAUAAUCUACUAGGUUAAAAACUCGUCAGGGCAUUUUCGUAAUUUGGCUUGGCCUUGGGUUUUAAGUCCGCUGGAUCCAAAAUGUCGCGUGUCUAAUGUCUCGACAUCGAUUGAUGGUACUUGCGUACAUCGAUUGAUAUUAAUCUUCAUCAGUCGAGGCAUCUCUUGGUGUCGAUCGAGAGCACUGAUGCGCAUCGAUCGAUUGUUCUUCCUCUCGUCGACCUCUACAUGGUGAUACCACUCAAAUUACCCUAAGGAGUGUUACUCUCAUCAAAAGAGGUUCAGAUGUAGUUAUUAGGGAUCGAAUCCACAAGGAGCUAGGGAACAAUUAAAUCUAGUGUUUAUUAAUUCUAAAGGUUGUAAAUGUUUAAAUGGAAUAGCAAUAGUAACAAGCGAGUAAAUAUAAAUGUAACUUGGUUGGAAAUGAUAUUAGAUGCAGGGCCACUAUUCAGAUGUUGGAGAUUAUAAUACUUAUAGAUGCCUAACUGUUACAUGCAUGAUAUAUUAGAGCUCAUUCGCUUAACUCAGUGAUCAGCUGUCGCAUGUACCACUGGUUAAUAGACUAGAUCUCGUGUCUCACCGGUUAGUAUGCAGACACAAGAGAGUGUCGAUCGAUAGUCUAUUAAGACGUCGACCGAUACACCUUUGCCAACAUCGAUCGAUUGUCAGUUGAGGACAUCGAUCGACGGGUUCUAGCCAGGCGUAUGAAAUGCUCUACUAAGAUUCUAAAUUGGCGGUUAGCCCUCUCUAGCAAUCCUAAUAUGAUAGAUAGAUGUCAGGAUGGGAUAACAAGAGUGCUUGAAUAUGCAAUCCUAUGAUCAAGUUCUAGUUAGCUAGGCUAAAACAAACAAUGAAUACAAAUCUAUCAUGAAUAUCACAACAAGGCAGAUCUAUAGUUUGGGACUAAUCCCACAAACCUAUCUGAACCCUGGAUCUAACAGUUGAACUACUCAGACAUAGCAAAGUAAUUCAUAUCAAUAGAUAAAUAGAAACUCAUAAGAAUAGAUGAAAAGAAAUAAAAAACAAGGAGUUCCAAUCACAAGUGAUCUUCUCUCCCAAAUGAAACUUGUAACAAAACUAGGUCUAGAAAAAGCUAUGUUCUUCUGCCGUCAAAAACACUAGGCAGUAUAUAUUCUACUAGGUUAAAAACUCGUCAGGGUAUUUUGGUAAUUUGGCUUGGCCUUGGUUUUUAAGUCUGCUGAAUCCAAAAUGUCGCGUCUGGUGUCUCGACAUCGAUCGAUAUUAAUCUUCAUCUGUCGAGGCAUUUCCUGAUAUCGAUCGUCAGUGCUGAUGCGCAUCGAUCGAUUAUUCUUCCUCUCGUCGACCUCUAAGUGGUCAGCUCGAGUGAAAUGUCUUUUAAGCUCCAAAAUGCUCCAAAGUCAUAGCUUUACUCCGAAAUGCACCUGAACCUGAAAACAUACCUAGAAGAGUAGAAAACAUAGAUAUAUAUAUAUAUAUAUAUAUAUAAAACACUUAUAUACCAUGGAUAAAAAUGGGUCAAAUCCAAGGUAUAUCAACUCCCCCAGACUUACCCUUUUGCUUGUCCUCAAGCAAAACAUACAGGCAGUCUCUCUGAAAGAGGUUUGAAAAUAUUUAGGAUUUAAGAUUUUAAAACAUAGAAAUCUUUCCUCAACAAUUUUGCAACCACAUUUAAAAAGUCCUAAUCACAAAAGCACACUAUGCAAUAUCCUAGCUUAGCAACCAUUUCUAACAUAACACAACUCAUCAAUUCACGUCUGACAUCCCCUCUAUGAUUUCAUUUCUUAGCAUAAAUAUAAAGUGAAUGCUUUACCUUGGGAGUAUCGAUCACAUGAUGCAAGGAUUUCAGACAGGUAUCUGGAGCAGCAGGUAAAAGUUAGUUCCUAGUUUCUCUCUCUCUAAAUUUCUCUCUUGAGUCAAAGUCUGCUUCCAUUGCAGGAUCAGUGACCAAGAUUGGACAGGCUUCCAUGAAUCAAAACUUAAUGGUGGUUGCCACCAAGUUCUGUUCACUUUUUUUUGACCUAUAUCCAAGAGUUCUUUGCAAAAGCGAGCCUUGAAGAUUGCCGCCUCCAAGUCCCGUUUCGAACUCUUUUAUUUGAGUCUUUAUGAAUCAAGCCUUAAUGGUUUUAGCCACCAAGUCCUGUUCAGACUCAUCCUAAUUAAACAUAAGAUCUUAUUUAAAUUUUUUUUUAUUAUUAUUAUUAUUAUUUUUUAAAAAAAUACUCACUAACUAAUCUAGGGUCGAAAUUUAGAGAGAGAAAAUGUGAUAAAUAAUCUAAUCCAGGCGUUACCUUCCAGACCUGUCUGAAGAAUCCGAUCCCAUGUAUACCAAGCCCCAAGACAAGCGGUUAUGUCAGGUUUAGUGUUGGAAAUCAGCUUUGGUUACUUCAUACGGUUCAAGGUAAGUGUGUAGUUGAUAGGUUGAUCCGCUUUAGCAUCUUUAUUGCUAUCUGCAAUCAGUAAAUCUAAAAUGAUGCUAAAGAUUGGUUAGAUAUUCAUGUUUAAAUCAAUAUAGGAUUAUAGUCCCUAUUUUCAAUAGCUAAGCAUAAUUUAUUUGAAAUUCUUUUUUACAUAAGAAUAAAAUAAAUUAUAUCAGUAAAUCUCCCCCCAGACUUAAAUUACACUGUCCCAGUGUAACUCAGCCGGAGUAAUGAUGAAUAGUUUAUAAUGUACGAAAUGUAACAAGUAAGGAAGAUACAUCUGACCGGAUUAGAUAUCGAUCGAUGUGUAAGUGUUACAUCGAUCGUCGUGUGGUUGCCAAUGUCGAACGAUGUCGACGUCUCGUCGUCGGUCGAUAUACUUGGGUCUCCUAAAUCUGAAAGAAAUAAAACAAAAGAAAUUAAAUGCUAGCUAAUAAAACCAAAAUACCUAAUAGUGGGUUGCCUCCCACUCAGCGCUUGGUUAUAGUCAUUUAGCUUGACUGUGGUAGUGAUUGGCUAUUGGGUGGAGAAUCAGCUGCUUGUUGGAAAGCAAGCAUCCACGUCAUCUCUGCGCAUUCUGGACCAAGAUGCAAUGAAACUUCUUGUGGCCUCAUCAUUUCUUGUCCAUUUGUCAUCCAUCUUCUCAAGUACUUUGGAGUUGUUCUGUAGCCUUUCUUGAAUGUUGUCAAUUCUGACAUGGUGCCAGCCUAUGUUGUCAUAGGCGUAUGCUGAAAGUUAUGUCAGUUCCUUUUGCAUUGACUCUACCGUCUUGUGUAUCAGCUUCUCGCCGAUUGGUGUAGACUCGGCAUCGAUCGAUGCGAUUAUGUGUUCGUUGGUCGAUCUCAGCGAGUUGCCAUCGAUCGAUUUCGCUAGCGUCCUGUCGAUCGAUGCUGAUAUCUGAUGUUGAGCCGCGUGUUGCCUCUGAAUGGAUUUGACUUCUUUCUGUAGCCAUUUUGCGUGGUUGUCUAGUCCACUGAUUUUGUUGUCGAAUGGAAAGUAGAUGUCAUCGCAGCGUUUGUCAAGUCGUUCCUCCAUGGUGUCUAGAGCAGUGUAGAUCUUGGAUGUGAUCUUGUCAACCUCUGCUGCUGUGUAAGGAAGUAACUCCACAGGUUUCUUGCCAUCGAUCCAAGGCCCUCGUAGCCUGUCGAUCGAUCCUGAUUUUGCCUGCAAAAAACUUUGAUUAGUAAUGUUCUCAAUAUCCUUUUGGGCAUGAAGUAAUUGACUAGACAGUUUGUUUAAAUAUGUCAUGAUUGGUGAUAUAAAACGGUCAUGCAUAUCCUCGUAAGUCCUCAGCCUCUCAUUCAUGGCUGAGACUUUGGCGUCGAGCGAUGUGAAGGUACACAUGUCGAUCGAUGUGGCUGGUUGUUGGUCCUUCAUGCGAAUGGUGUCCAGAUCUUGCUGUAGUAGCUCGAUUUUAGUGCUUAGCCAGUCCACGUUGUUGUUGAGAGGGCAAUAAACGUCGUUUAUCCUUGUGUCGAUGUAUGAGACUUCCUAUUCAUCCUUGUGUUGUGUUGAACAUUGCGGUUCUGCAGGGAUCUGAGCUGUAGGAAGACUGACGUCGAUCGAUGUUGCACGUGGUGCGUCGAUCGAUGCUGAGGUCGUAGCUUCCUUCUCAAGUUGCUGACGUAAACUCUCAAUUUAUGUCCUCAUUUCUGCCAUACAUCUGAAAAGCUCAUUGUAGCCUCGAUCCAAAGGCUGAUGUGUGUCUUCUACCAAUGUUUUGAGCUCCUCUCCCAGUUUCUCAUGAGCUCCACAAAUACCAAACACCAUCUCAUCGAUUUCAUCUUUGGUGUAGAGUUCUGGUGCCAGUCUUAUGAGUGUGAAGGAAGUGGCAUGUUCUGGAAGACAGAUGUGGCUCUCUUCAAAAAGAGAUGCUCUUUCCAGUAUUUUCCUGAUGUUGUCCUUUGUGGCAGGUAUCAUCUCACCAGCUACGCCUCGUGCGUGUCCACGCUCAUCUCUGUAGACUCCAUACUCGUCCCUUUGUUCCCAAGUGAACUUUCUGGCUCCGUUCAUGUCGAAAGCGCGGUUCCCACAUUAAUAUCGUCUGUCGAUCGACGUCGGUUCAUCCCUAUCGAUCGACGUUGGUGUUACCCUGUCGAUCGAUGUCCCCGUUGUACCGUCGAUCGAUACUUGCCCUUUUGGUUGGUGUGAUAGAUCGGGUUGAUCUCUGUUGUGGUGACUCCUGCAUGGUUGUUAGGAUUUGUUUGAAUGACGACUGGAGUGCCACGUUGCUGUGAGAAUAGGUUGUCAGGUCCAUUGGCCACUUGAAGGAUGUCUGCGAUGUCCUCUCUGGACACUUGUAAAAUCCUUCCAUCCAUUGCACGUGUGUUGCCAUCUGGGUCCCUGAAAAUACCAAAUUCAUCAGGUGUUAGAAAACCGUAACCAAUGUUUGCAUAAUCAUUCAAUUUAGAAAUAGAAAGAUUAGGGUUUAGAGUAGUAUCGAUCGAUGUAGAUACAGUUACAUCGAUCGAUGGCAGUGUAAUUUCUGCAGAACUUGUGUUCUUGAGAUGAUUGCUCUUCAUGGAUUUUUCUGUUGAUGUAGAAGGAAGAGUGUUCAUCUUUUUUGCUUGUGUGUUUGCUCUGAUGUGUGUAGGUGGUUUCGGAGGUGCAAAACGAUUUAUAUAGGUAUCUAUAAACCUAGUUGGGGAGGGAAUAUUCUCCUGCUCCUGGAUUUUCGCUGCGGCGCGAAUAUCGAUCGAUGUUCCUUUACGGGUUUCGAUCGAUGUGAGCGGUUGUUUUGCUGGACGAGGGUGGGUAUCGACCGAUGUGGAGUGCACAGCGGCGAAGGAUGUUGGAAACAUGUUGGUGAACUUAUGUGUUUCAAGUCUUUCAUCCUACAAAGACAUUUCUACUGCACGUUCUUUCCAAUAAUCCUCAUCGUAUUCCUCGGUAUGUUCCUCAUUAGGUGAAGUAAUUACAGUGUCAACUGCAAAACUUUCAUGGAAACCACUGUCUGCCCAACCGCCUAUGGAAUAAUCAUCAUGUCCUCUCUUUCUUGGAGGUUGGAAGGCAAAAUGUUGGUAACAAUGUUUUGGUGAAGCGAAAUGGUCAAGUGGGUGCAUUACUUCGAGUGACGUGUUGUUGCGGUCAUCGGUCACCAUUGACACAUUGGAAUCGAUCGAUGAAAAUGUUAGGGUGUCGAUCGAUUCUGAGUACUCCGUUUCGUACUCCGAUUCAUACUCUGCUCCACAAUGGCAUACGCCAAUGAAGCCGAGUUCUUUCCCAUAAUCCACAGAAUUAAUGACCUUUCUCUUAGGUCGGAUGGGGUCGUAGUGGAUGUUUGGGUCUAUGAGCGUUAGACACAAUUUGUUCUUGUUCAUGUCACAUACGGCUCCUACUGUAGCUAGGAAAGAUCUUCCAAGCAGAAGUGAAGAGUUCCAGUUAAGCUCGAUGUCUAGGAUAGGAAAGUCUACAGGGACAAGGGCAUUACCAAUCUGUACCUCCAGAUCUCUUAUGAUACCUCCUGAUCGUUUCUCUAAAAGAUCCACGAAGGUGAAGGAUUCUGUUGAGGGUUCGAUGGUCAAACCAAGCUGGUCUGCCAUGAUCCUAGGGAGGAUACUAACUGAUGCUUCUGUGUCAAACAUUGAAUGGGGAUUUUCAACACCCUUGACUACGCAUGGUAUUGCAAACUUCCCAGGAUCACUCUUCUUCGUCAAUGUGAUCCUGUGUUUCAUCUUCUCUCUGACUUGAUGAAACAUUCUCUUAAUGUCCUCCUCGGUUACCUUUGUUUCUCUGAAGAACAUCCACAACCGGUGUGUGAAGUAAGCUUCAUCAAAAGGUUUUUCGAUUGGGAUUCUGAGGACUCGUUUAGUGAAACCAUCCAUCUCCUUAUCGUUAGCUUCCCUCUUAAGGUUUUUAGGAAUUUUCUCCUUUCUUUUCCUUAACCUUCACCCUUCAGAUUCUUGUUCUUCUUGAACAGAUUCUGGUGAAUUAUUUAAAGGGCUGGGUUUUGGUUCGGGUGGAUUUGCUAAUGGUUUAGGUGGUGGUCUGAGUGCGUUGAUGUAAUUAUUAUCGAUUGAGGGUAACCGCACUCGGUAUGUCACAGGUGCCUGUCGAUCGAUGGGAGGUGUGUUGUGACGAUCGACGUCGGACUCACUCUGUCGAUCGAUGGUUGGCUUAACCGACCGAUCGAUUUUAUCAUAGAAAGGGGAGGGUGGGUGAGGAUGCUUAGAUGCGAAUUCUUCAUGAGUUAGAAUUCGAACCGCAUUGCAUUCAGUCGAUUUGGCAGACGACGUCGAUCGAUGACUGGAGUAAUCCGUCCAUCGAUCUUCAUCAUGAUCUGUCGAUCGAUGCGAGUUCAUCGACAUCGGUCGACACCAUUGGGAUCCGCCGAGACUCAUGGAGCUUUCGAUUUCGAAAUCUCCUUCCUCAAGCUUUUCAUUUCUCACCACUUGCCAGAAAUCAUCAUCUAUGAUGGCAUUUACGUGGUGUUUUCCUUUGUCGGCUCCUGCCUCUCUAGCGAAAGCUUCUUGCCUCUUUAUAGUCUCGCCCGUCUGAAUUACUUGGGUUUCAAGUUUUCUCACCUGAGUCCCUAAGGUCUCGAUUUUGGUGUUCAGAUUGUUGUAGGCAGAGUCUAUCUUACCGUUGAAAUCCACAGUGAUUUGUUGUUGUCCCAACAGUACUCGAUCAAGCAUCUCUUCGAUCUUGCUUUCCUGAGUCUGGGAUGGUGGAUUUUGGUAGUAAGAGUUCGAGUAGCUCUUGCUGUUGUUGAAGGGUUUUUGAAAUUGUGAAUUUUGGUUACUUAUUUGGCCAUUUCCAAAGAAGUUUCUGUUUCCGCCCUGGUUUCCAAAUUUCUGGAAUCCGGUACCUCCGAUGUAAUUCACAUUUUCUUCUCCUUCGGUAUCUGCUACUUCUCCUUCAGCUGAACAGACUUGCUUCCUAAGAAGCUCGUGCACGACAUCUAACUUAGCUCUUACUUCGUCCAUCUGUUCCUUCCCGAUAGAGGCUACAGACUUCUUCCGUUCAGAGUCAGUGUUUUUGGUGCUGCUGCUGUUAGCAAGGUUUUCGAUAAGUCUCACAGCUUCCAACGGAUUCCGAGUAGUGAAGUUUCCUUCACUCGCAGUAUCAAGGGCCAUUUGAUACUGUAAGGCGAGACCUCGGAAGAAAGUGCUUAGCAGCUGCACUUCGUUAAAUCCAUGGUGUGGACAGUCUCGCUGGAAGAACCUAAAUCUAAUCCACCCAUCUUUGAAGGAGUCUCCAGCCUUCUGCGAGAAUGUGGAAAUUUUGUUCCGAAGUUCUUCAGCGCGCGCCUCAUCGAAGAAGUUUCGUAAGAAAGCAUUCUUGAUGUCGCUCCAGGAUGUUAAAGAUCCUGUGGGUUGCUGCCUAAGCCAGUGCAUCGCUUCUCCAUUCAGCGUGUAUCUGAGAAGAUUGCACAGCAGGUAAUCUUCAGGAACUCCUUCCAUCCGAAUAACAGCGAUUAGAUCCUCGAACCGUUCCAAAUGGUCCAUAGGAUGCUCGUGCGGUAACCCAGAGUAGGGUAUCUGCGACACGAGAGUGUAGUAUUGAGGCUUCAGCUCGAAAUUCUGCUUCUGGAUCUCCAGAAGUCGAAUAGCUGAUUUGUUGGAAUAGUACUCAUCUGGGCGAUGUAGUCGGCCAGUGGUUUCGAUCGAGCGUCCUCAUCUACAGGUUAAGCAGCUCCUGUAGCACCAGCAUUAGGGAUUACAGUUCCCUGAGCAUCUAUUUUCUGACGUGUUGCAUUACGCAGAUGACCGGCCUGGUCAUACAGGUUUCCGUUCUCGUCCUGAGUUAGAAUAAUAAUGUUUACCAUUUUUGACGACACGGUAUCGAUCGACGUACGCGGUGUAGUAUCGAUCGUUGUCAAACGAUUGGGAUUGAUCGACGAUAAUGGUCUUGUGUCGGUCGACGGUUGGUUGUGCGUAUCGAUCGACGACGAAGUGGUUGCGUCGAGCGAUGUGGAACGUUGACCUCUACGGAUGAUGCGUUCCAAAUGAGCAGGAUCGUCUGAGAACAGCAAGUCGGAAUGAGUUCGUCUUUUUCAUUCUUCACUACAGUGAUACCUCCCUUUUUGGGUACAACAUGUACGGGGCUUACCCAUUUGCUAUCCGAAAUAGGGUAAAUAACUCCAACAUCAAGGAGUUUUAUAAUUUCCUUUUUUACUACUUUCUUUAGAUUCGGAUUUAAUCUCCUUUGCUGCUCUAUUGACGUUUUAGCGUCAUCUUCCAAGAUGAUUCGAUGCAUGCAAAGAUCGGGAGAGAUUCCAGGGAUGUCAUCGAGAGAAUAUCCGAUCGCGUUCCUGUACUUGUGCAAUUUAUUUAGCAAUAAAGCAAGUUCUCCACUAGUGAGAUUGGCGUUGACGAUAACAGGGUAGGACUGGUCAUAAAGGUAAGCGUACUUAUGACAGCUGGGUAGAGGUUUUAAUUCUACCUUUGGUGCUUUAUCCUUAGACCAAUUUGAUUGCGAGGGAGGUUGUCGAUCGAUGGUAUCUUGUAGGUAUUGAUCGAUGACAACUUCUGAGUCGUCAUUUUCUUCUACGUUUGCAACUUCGAUACUAGCGUCCAUUAGUCGCAUGUAAUCGUCUGUCCUAUCUGAUAUGCUGAAAAUUUCAUUUUCCACGUGGUUAAGGGUGUCUUCUAAGGGGUUGUCUGAAAACAUGUUUAUGAAAGAGUCUUUUUCAUCCUCAGAAACUUUUUCGACGUAGAAGGCCUGGUCAUCUAUUAGGGGUCGCUUAAUCAGUUUUUCCAUAUCAAAAGUCAUCGAGAUAUCCCCUAUGUUCAAAUUAAUUCAUCCUUCUUUGACGUCAAUGAUUGCUUAGCUAUGAAUGGCCAACCCAGAAUGAGGGGGUCUUUGGGUUCUUGUCUGUAUUUUAACACAACAAAAUCCGUAGGCACGAUGCAAUCAUUAAUCUUUAUGGGAACAUCUUCGAGAAUUCUUUCGGGUACCCUGAUAGAUCUAUCAGCUAAAACCAGGGUGAUCGGAGUUGGCAUAAACUCUUUAUAUCCUAAAGUUACUGCAACAGAGUAAGGCAUAAGGUUCACGCUAGAGCCGAGGUCACAUAAUGAUCUAGGAAAACGCGUGUUUUCUAUUUUACAAUCUAGGACGAAACUACCAGGAUCUGGUCUUUUUGUUGGAGUUUCUCCUCUAAUCAUAGCGCUUACUUCUUCUGAAAUCAUCAUCACGCUAUGUUCUGAAAUUGGGUAGUUUGGAGAUGUCAUGUCCUUUAUAUACUUCUUAAUCGAAGGUGCUAUCUUUAUAGCAUCACUAAGGGACAUCUCAACAGAAAUCUUAUCUAAGGCUUUCUUGCAGAUCGCGUUUUCUAAUGAUUUCUUAGUUUGCUUUUUAGGAGGAAAAGGGGGAAAAGUUCUAUAGACUCUUUCAAUUAUGGGUUCGGGUUGAGUAGACCGUCGAUCGACUGGUUUUUCGUCCUCAAUCUUCGUAUCUUCUUCAAAUUCUAAAUCUAUUGCCUUUUCCUUAGCCUUUUCAGCGGUGGUUUUCCGAUUCUCUUGAGAUGGAUUUGGAUCAAGAUCGUUAAAAAGAAUAGGAUGAGAAUUGCUUUUGCCGGUUUUGUCAGUGUUGUCAGGUUUUCCAACAUCUGUGUUAUUCCUCGUAUCUGCUGCGAGGUUUUUCCCAAUGCGCAAUAUUACGGCACUGACUUGACGUCUCGGGUUUAAAUUAGUUCUCCCGGGAAGACAUCCUGCAUCUCUUUUUAUGGCAAGUGCAAUCUCAGCUACUUGACCUUCUAAUUUUUGGAUUAGUUCUCCCAAAGAAUCUGCUUUCUCCAUUAAUUCUCCGUAAACCAUAUUUAUUUUCCCGUAAAACUCCGAUUUUGUCUUACGGUUGCCAGUAAGAGCUUGUCUGAUAUUGAAUCUCUCUCUUUCGGUACGUGAUUUUACAGCAGUGUCAUAAUCUUGGGUAAAGCUAUCGACAUUAAGCACAUAGUAGGGAUCAGAACAGUUCGUUCCUUCAUCCAAAUAAUCAUUGGUGUCAGACAAAGCGUCGUCGUCGAUCUGGGCUAUAUCAGAUCGGUGUUUGUUUUGAAAAAAGGAAUGAAGGGACUUAAGGGAAUUCUUAAUUUCUAUCAAAUCAGAAUUGUCUUUUGGACUUGUGGAAUUUUCUAUCUCUUCAUCCAUCCUUUCAUUGGAUCUUCUCGUUGUCAUAUUCUUGAUAAGGCGUCUAGCUUCUUCGGGAUUCCUAGUGAUGAAAUUUCCAUCACUCGCUGUAUCGAGUGUGUUUUUUUAGCUCAAGUUAACACCUCCAUAAAAGAUGUUAAGAAGUUGUGGUUCUGAAUAACCAUGAUGGGGACAUUCAAGUUCAUAGGCUCUGAAUCUUCCCCAGGUGUUUUUAAACGAUUCGCGUGGACCUUGGCGAAAUGUAGAAAUUUGCUUUCUUACUUCCCAGUAGCGUUCAUCAGUGAAAAAUUCUCUAAGGAAGGCACUUCUAAUCUCUUCCCAACAAGUGAGUGAUCCUGCUGCUAAACAGUUUAACCACCUGAGGGCUUCUCCUUCUAGGGAGAAUGAGAAUAGUUUGCAACGGUCAUAUUCAUCUAGUAUUAAUUCUUCCAAAGUUUCAAUGUGAUCUUGUGGGUGCUCUGGGAGGGAUCCACGUAAUGGGUUUUGACGAACCAUACGGAAGUAAUAUGCGUUAAACUUAGAUUUCUUGGUAUCGUCUCCUGGUAUUUUGAGAGCGGACCUAUUGGAAUAGGUCCUACCAGGAUCAAGGUAGUCUUGCAUGGACAAAUUUAUAUCUUCACCUUCAGUUAAGGUGGAAUUUUCCUUAACAGGGAUUUCAGUCUCCUGUUCAGUUUGGCUAGCUUCAUUGCUCGUUUGACCAUUUAGUUCAGUUUGGACUACUUUCUCAUUAGCGGGCUUGGUAAGAUAAAACUUACCUGCUUCCGGCUGGGUGGUAUUGAUCGAUGUUGGCAGCUCCGUAUCGGUCGAUUUUUCUGACUCAAUGUCGCUCGAUGGAAACAUGUCUCCGUCGAUCGAUGGUUGGUCGCGCUCUGUGUUCUCCAUUCUUUGUGUCUGCGUAACAGAUUAAGAAAGAAAACUUUAGCAAGUUUUUCGUAACAAGUCUAUACUAAAUUCUAAAUUAAAUCUAAUGGUAAUAAGAAAGAGUCCCCGGCAACGGCACCAAAUUUGAUAUCACUCAAAUUACCAUAAAGAGUGUUACUCUCAUCAAAAGAGGUUCAGAUGUAGUACUUAGGGAUCAAAUCCACAGAGACUCUAGGAUUACUCAACAGACUUAAAUAAUUAGAAAAGAAAAUAGACUGAGAGGUUUUAGUAGUUUUAAAAGCAGUAAAUGAUAAAUACAAAACAAUAGUGAAACGAUAGAUUGAAUUGAAGUGGUUUCAAGAAUGGGAAAGCAGCUAGAUUCAGGUAAAUCUCAGGUAUGAAAUGCAUGCACUUAGUUUAGACUAAAGGGUUUGAUGGUUUUUGAACUAAACAAUGAUUUAACCGGAUAGGUUAUCUUCGCUAGAUCUCGGAUCUCAACUGUCGUAUUUUAAUCUCGAGAGAGUGUCGAUCAUUGUGACUUGAUGUAAAUCGACCGUUACACCUUUGUAACGAUCGACCGACAGAACGAUAGUUGCGUCGAUCGAUGGUUAUUCUAGCGAGCUUUGCGAACGGGUUUAACUUGUUCUCUAACCUUCUCAGACCAACUGUCGUUGCGUCUAAGUUAGUUAGAUCACGCAAGUGGGUUCAGGUAUUGAGGGGAAACGGUUAGUUGGACUCAAUUAAUCCUAAGAUCUAAAAUGAAGGUGAUCAAUCUCAAUUUUAGCAUUAAGUUCACAAGCAAUGAAAGAUCAAUCAAAACACAUUUUUAAAUAGUCAUAUUAGCAGUACAUAAUUUCAACCAUGGCAAGAAACCUAAAUCUAACAGUUGGUUUACUCAAACAUAUUCAUGAGAGACAAAGUCAUGAUGAUGUGAAAUAAACUCAAAUGAAACAUAGAACACAAAUAGAUAGAGUAAUAGAAGUAAAGGAGUUCAAGAUCUUCUCUAUUUUGCAGUCUCAGAUCUAUCUCUCCAAUCCUAAGCUCUUCUAAUGGUAGCCAAAAUGCUCAUUCUCCAAACUAGGUCUUUUUGCAAGUGUCUCCUAAAAUGAUACAAAACCCUAGUACAUAUAGCCUAACAGGCGGCUUGGGACUUAAGUUGCAAAUAAUAGAUCUUUUGGGAAAUGAAAUCUUUUAAUUCGCGAUCACACUUGUGUGACUGGGCAUCGAUCAAUGCACAUGUGUGUUUGUCGAUCGAUGAUAUGUGAUUAUGAUCGACCGAUGUUGCUCUUCAAGCGUCGAUCGAUUCUCCUUACAUAAAAGCAUUCCAAAAUGUCCCAAAAGUAUCAUUUCUUUCCAUCAGGUGAAUAAACCUGCAAUUGCUUUGAAAAGACUCUAAAACAUGAUUAAUACAUCUUAAAACUCUUAUAUACCAUGUAUAAAAACGGGUGAAAAUCAUGGUAUAUCAGCCACCAACGGCCAGUCCCAAUAAACACAAACGCGGCCAUCUUGGCCCACACAAAUUUCAAACACACAAUAAAGGCCAUACUCGGCCGAGAAUAUAUAAUAAUGGCCAGACACGGCCAGAACAUAAGAUAAGGGGAAACCCGUUCCCAUCAGACACCACUUACACCUUCAAGGAUCGAGAACGCAGUUUCCAGACAUGGAGGCUCCAAACGUGCUUAUUGGUCGAUCCUGUAAGAUCCGAUCCUGGAUUCGUCAAUCCAACCAGACCGCAGCUUACUUAAUCAUUUCAUUCAGUUAGAUCACUUUACUUCCGAUUCCAUAUGUAAUAUUUUUCUAAGUAUUUUUCAGAGUUCUGAGGUUCAUUCAAUCAUAAUUAGACAAUCAGAUUCAAGUAAAGCAAAUUCUUAUUUUAUAGAUACUUAAACAAGAUCCAUACAACAUCCAUUCAUUCUUAAUACAUAAGUUGCAUACUAGGCUAUCAUAAGAUCACAAGCACAAUAGGUUAUCAGUAUUUCACAUCUAUCAACAAGCACCCAAUCACCACACAUCUUCCCACGACUGGAGUCCUCACAGUUCCUUUCCUUUACCACGGUCCAAGUCUGUACCUGAAACCACAAACACAACACACAACACAAGGAUCUAUCAUUGCAUGGCUGGUUCCUUAACUAAUCAUCAAACUACACUUCAGGCCCCAAUCUGGCCGAUUUUUAAAGUGAUCUAAAAAUUAAUUAAAAUUCACUAAAGCUCAUGAUAAAUCCCAACUAAGAGAUUUCCAUAAUCAGAAUCCAAGGAAUCGACCAUCAGGACGGCUCGGUAAACACUCGGACCCGGCCACACUGGUCUGGACCGGAACACUCCGCCAAGCUGAAGUGAGCUGAUCACCAGCUGUCCCCAGCUGAGUGAGCUAGUCCAUCAGCUCCCAUGAGCUGAACAAAACUGAGUGAGCUGACACUACACUCUAUUGAGCUGGUUUCAUACUCUAUUGAGCAGAUUAAGCUUGACCCGGGCCUUUCCCAGCUACCGGAUCACUCGCCCAGCUCUAUUUAACUUGUCUCCAUCGUAUCCAGGUUAAGUCUCAGCUGUCUGACGUCCUUAACCAUCUAUUCGGGCCAUGGUACGCUUGUCUCAAGGUCAGAUGACCUGUUCAGCACAUUGCCUCGCACCACAGCCCGUCUGGAUGAUCCUAUCUAGGAUCGGGGACAUGACAGAUCCACCUCUUCAUCCUCGCCCGCAACAUCAAUCACAACCUCCUCCAUAUCAGGCGAGACCGGGACUGGAUCCCAGAAUCCUCAGAUCCUUGCCUUGAUUAGAGGGAUCAGGUUCUCAUCAUGAGCAUAGUCGUUCAUACCACCAUUCAUGGUGGACAUCUCGUCAUCAAAGUCGAAGUCAUCCCUUUGCGCCUUCCACAACGACCCGACAGAACCUCGACACUCACGAAAAUCGAGUGCGCCUACUAGAGACGGCCAUACUCAACCGCAAAUUGAGAAGCACGGUUCCCCAUCACAGCAGCAACCUCUCUCCUGCCCCGUCUCUCCGCUCUGCGAAUAGCCUUGGAGUGGUCGUGACCAGCCUUCAGCUCUCGUUCCACGGCCUCGCUCUGCACCCGGGCGAGGGUCUUCCCCGCCUUCUCCGCUUUGAAACGGUAAACCAUCGCCUCAUGAGUCCUUGCCUUAAGGGCCGAGCUGAUCAUGUUCACUCCCUAAAAAAAACCAUCAAUAAGAGUCUCGAAAAUAAAAUAGUCCAGAUUCAAGAUAGUCAAAAACAAAGGAAACUAACCCAUUAAUUAAGCGUGAUCCUUCUGAAACGACUUUUGAUCUCUCGGGUAUGUCCUACAGGUGCAGGUAAGUCAAAAUUCGAAGGAAGCCCGUCAAGGAACGCAUCGAAAUUCCUGUGUGGAAAGGGGACCUCACUUGUGCCGCUCCCAUCACCAUAAGGAAGGUUCGGAACCCAUCUAGGCAGCAUGAAAUCAUCCACGGGAAAGUCAAAAUCUUCGAGAUCAAUGCCUUUGUCCUUUGACUGCUUAGUUGUUCCCCUUUUCGUGGGAACGCUGCGAGGAACAGAAUCAUCCGAAUCCGUGCUGGGUUCUUCGGCCACUUGGACACCAGGGCCAGCAUGAUGACACCUCAACGCGCUGCAAACCCUUUGCGGCGUGAAGAACUUCCAGUAAAAUGGACUGUUCCGCAGAAGGUCCCGCAUGAUAACCGUGUCACUAGGAAACGUGAUGCUUCCGGCUGGGUGGUAUUGAUCGAUGUUGGCAGCUCCGUAUCGGUCGAUUUUUCUGACUCAAUGUCGCUCGAUGGAAACAUGUCUCCGUCGAUCGAUGGUUGGUCGCGCUCUGUGUUCUCCAUUCUUUGUGUCUGCGUAACAGAUUAAGAAAGAAAACUUUAGCAAGUUUUUCGUAACAAGUCUAUACUAAAUUCUAAAUUAAAUCUAAUGGUAAUAAGAAAGAGUCCCCGGCAACGGCACCAAAUUUGAUAUCACUCAAAUUACCAUAAAGAGUGUUACUCUCAUCAAAAGAGGUUCAGAUGUAGUACUUAGGGAUCAAAUCCACAGAGACUCUAGGAUUACUCAACAGACUUAAAUAAUUAGAAAAGAAAAUAGACUAAGAGGUUUUAGUAGUUUUAAAAGCAGUAAAUGAUAAAUACAAAACAAUAGUGAAACGAUAGAUUGAAUUGAAGUGGUUUCAAGAAUGGGAAAGCAGCUAGAUUCAGGUAAAUCUCAGGUAUGAAAUGCAUGCACUUAGUUUAGACUAAAGGGUUUGAUGGUUUUUGAACUAAACAAUGAUUUAACCGGAUAGGUUAUCUUCGCUAGAUCUCAGAUCUCAACUGUCGUAUUUUAAUCUCGAGAGAGUGUCGAUCAAUGUGACUUGAUGUACAUCAACCGUUACACCUUUGUAACGAUCGACCGACAGAACGAUAGUUGCGUCGAUCGAUGGUUAUUCUAGCGAGCUUUGCGAACGGGUUUAACUUGUUCUCUAACCUUCUCAGACCAACUGUCGUUGCGCCUAAGUUAGUUAGAUCACGCAAGUGGGUUCAGGUAUUGAGGGGAAACGGUUAGUUGGACUCAAUUAAUCCUAAGAUCUAAAAUGAAGGUGAUCAAUCUCAAUUUUAGCAUUAAGUUCACAAGCAAUGAAAGAUCAAUCAAAACACAUUUUUAAAUAGUCAUAUUAGCAGUACAUAAUUUCAACCAUGGCAAGAAACCUAAAUCUAACAGUUGGUUUACUCAAACAUAUUCAUGAGAGACAAAGUCAUGAUGAUGUGAAAUAAACUCAAAUGAAACAUAGAACACAAAUAGAUAGAGUAAUAGAAGUAAAGGAGUUCAAGAUCUUCUCUAUUUUGCAGUCUCAGAUCUAUCUCUCCAAUCCUAAGCUCUUCUAAUGGUAGCCAAAAUGCUCAUUCUCCAAACUAGGUCUUUUUGCAAGUGUCUCCUAAAAUGAUACAAAACCCUAGUACAUAUAGCCUAACAGGCGGCUUGGGACUUAAGUUGCAAAUAAUAGAUCUUUUGGGAAAUGAAAUCUUUUAAUUCGCGAUCACACUUGUGUGACUGGGCAUCGAUCAAUGCACAUGUGUGUUUGUCGAUCGAUGAUAUGUGAUUAUGAUCGACCGAUGUUGCUCUUCAAGCGUCGAUCGAUUCUCCUUACAUAAAAGCAUUCCAAAAUGUCCCAAAAGUAUCAUUUCUUUCCAUCAGGUGAAUAAACCUGCAAUUGCUUUGAAAAGACUCUAAAACAUGAUUAAUACAUCUUAAAACUCUUAUAUACCAUGUAUAAAAACGGGUGAAAAUCAUGGUAUAUCAGCCACCAACGGCCAGUCCCAAUAAACACAAACGCGGCCAUCUUGGCCCACACAAAUUUCAAACACACAAUAAAGGCCAUACUCGGCCGAGAAUAUAUAAUAAUGGCCAGACACGGCCAGAACAUAAGAUAAGGGGAAACCCGUUCCCAUCAGACACCACUUACACCUUCAAGGAUCGAGAACGCAGUUUCCAGACAUGGAGGCUCCAAACGUGCUUAUUGGUCGAUCCUGUAAGAUCCGAUCCUGGAUUCGUCAAUCCAACCAGACCGCAGCUUACUUAAUCAUUUCAUUCAGUUAGAUCACUUUACUUCCGAUUCCAUAUGUAAUAUUUUUCUAAGUAUUUUUCAGAGUUCUGAGGUUCAUUCAAUCAUAAUUAGACAAUCAGAUUCAAGUAAAGCAAAUUCUUAUUUUAUAGAUACUUAAACAAGAUCCAUACAACAUCCAUUCGUUCUUAAUACAUAAGUUGCAUACUAGGCUAUCAUAAGAUCACAAGCACAAUAGGUUAUCAGUAUUUCACAUCUAUCAACAAGCACCCAAUCACCACACAUCUUCCCACGACUGGAGUCCUCACAGUUCCUUUCCUUUACCACGGUCCAAGUCUGUACCUGAAACCACAAACACAACACACAACACAAGGAUCUAUCAUUGCAUGGCUGGUUCCUUAACUAAUCAUCAAACUACACUUCAGGCCCCAAUCUGGCCGAUUUUUAAAGUGAUCUAAAAAUUAAUUAAAAUUCACUAAAGCUCAUGAUAAAUCCCAACUAAGAGAUUUCCAUAAUCAGAAUCCAAGGAAUCGACCAUCAGGACGGCUCGGUAACCACUCGGACCCGGCCACACUGGUCUGGACCGGAACACUCCGCCAAGCUGAAGUGAGCUGAUCACCAGCUGUCCCCAGCUGAGUGAGCUAGUCCAUCAGCUCCCAUGAGCUGAACAAAACUGAGUGAGCUGACACUACACUCUAUUGAGCUGGUUCCAUACUCUAUUGAGCAGAUUAAGCUUGACCCGGGCCUUUCCCAGCUACCGGAUCACUCGCCCAGCUCUAUUUAACUUGUCUCCAUCGUAUCCAGGUUAAGUCUCAGCUGUCUGACGUCCUUAACCAUCUAUUCGGGCCAUGGUACGCUUGUCUCAAGGUCAGAUGACCUGUUCAGCACAUUGCCUCGCACCACAGCCCGUCUGGAUGAUCCUAUCUAGGAUCGGGGACAUGACAGAUCCACCUCUUCAUCCUCGCCCGCAACAUCAAUCACAACCUCCUCCAUAUCAGGCGAGACCGGGACUGGAUCCCAGAAUCCUCAGAUCCUUGCCUUGAUUAGAGGGAUCAGGUUCUCAUCAUGAGCAUAGUCGUUCAUACCACCAUUCAUGGUGGACAUCUCGUCAUCAAAGUCGAAGUCAUCCCUUUGCGCCUUCCACAACGACCCGACAGAACCUCGACACUCACGAAAAUCGAGUGCGCCUACUAGAGACGGCCAUACUCAACCGCAAAUUGAGAAGCACGGUUCCCCAUCACAGCAGCAACCUCUCUCCUGCCCCGUCUCUCCGCUCUGCGAAUAGCCUUGGAGUGGUCGUGACCAGCCUUCAGCUCUCGUUCCACGGCCUCGCUCUGCACCCGGGCGAGGGUCUUCCCCGCCUUCUCCGCUUUGAAACGGUAAACCAUCGCCUCAUGAGUCCUUGCCUUAAGGGCCGAGCUGAUCAUGUUCACUCCCUAAAAAAAACCAUCAAUAAGAGUCUCGAAAAUAAAAUAGUCCAGAUUCAAGAUAGUCAAAAACAAAGGAAACUAACCCAUUAAUUAAGCGUGAUCCUUCUGAAACGACUUUUGAUCUCUCGGGUAUGUCCUACAGGUGCAGGUAAGUCAAAAUUCGAAGAAUGGGAAAGCAGCUAGAUUCAGGUAAAUCUCAGGUAUGAAAUGCAUGCACUUAGUUUAGACUAAAGGGUUUGAUGGUUUUUGAACUAAACAAUGAUUUAACCGGAUAGGUUAUCUUCGCUAGAUCUCAGAUCUCAACUGUCGUAUUUUAAUCUCGAGAGAGUGUCGAUCAAUGUGACUUGAUGUACAUCAACCGUUACACCUUUGUAACGAUCGACCGACAGAACGAUAGUUGCGUCGAUCGAUGGUUAUUCUAGCGAGCUUUGCGAACGGGUUUAACUUGUUCUCUAACCUUCUCAGACCAACUGUCGUUGCGCCUAAGUUAGUUAGAUCACGCAAGUGGGUUCAGGUAUUGAGGGGAAACGGUUAGUUGGACUCAAUUAAUCCUAAGAUCUAAAAUGAAGGUGAUCAAUCUCAAUUUUAGCAUUAAGUUCACAAGCAAUGAAAGAUCAAUCAAAACACAUUUUUAAAUAGUCAUAUUAGCAGUACAUAAUUUCAACCAUGGCAAGAAACCUAAAUCUAACAGUUGGUUUACUCAAACAUAUUCAUGAGAGACAAAGUCAUGAUGAUGUGAAAUAAACUCAAAUGAAACAUAGAACACAAAUAGAUAGAGUAAUAGAAGUAAAGGAGUUCAAGAUCUUCUCUAUUUUGCAGUCUCAGAUCUAUCUCUCCAAUCCUAAGCUCUUCUAAUGGUAGCCAAAAUGCUCAUUCUCCAAACUAGGUCUUUUUGCAAGUGUCUCCUAAAAUGAUACAAAACCCUAGUACAUAUAGCCUAACAGGCGGCUUGGGACUUAAGUUGCAAAUAAUAGAUCUUUUGGGAAAUGAAAUCUUUUAAUUCGCGAUCACACUUGUGUGACUGGGCAUCGAUCAAUGCACAUGUGUGUUUGUCGAUCGAUGAUAUGUGAUUAUGAUCGACCGAUGUUGCUCUUCAAGCGUCGAUCGAUUCUCCUUACAUAAAAGCAUUCCAAAAUGUCCCAAAAGUAUCAUUUCUUUCCAUCAGGUGAAUAAACCUGCAAUUGCUUUGAAAAGACUCUAAAACAUGAUUAAUACAUCUUAAAACUCUUAUAUACCAUGUAUAAAAACGGGUGAAAAUCAUGGUAUAUCAGCCACCAACGGCCAGUCCCAAUAAACACAAACGCGGCCAUCUUGGCCCACACAAAUUUCAAACACACAAUAAAGGCCAUACUCGGCCGAGAAUAUAUAAUAAUGGCCAGACACGGCCAGAACAUAAGAUAAGGGGAAACCCGUUCCCAUCAGACACCACUUACACCUUCAAGGAUCGAGAACGCAGUUUCCAGACAUGGAGGCUCCAAACGUGCUUAUUGGUCGAUCCUGUAAGAUCCGAUCCUGGAUUCGUCAAUCCAACCAGACCGCAGCUUACUUAAUCAUUUCAUUCAGUUAGAUCACUUUACUUCCGAUUCCAUAUGUAAUAUUUUUCUAAGUAUUUUUCAGAGUUCUGAGGUUCAUUCAAUCAUAAUUAGACAAUCAGAUUCAAGUAAAGCAAAUUCUUAUUUUAUAGAUACUUAAACAAGAUCCAUACAACAUCCAUUCGUUCUUAAUACAUAAGUUGCAUACUAGGCUAUCAUAAGAUCACAAGCACAAUAGGUUAUCAGUAUUUCACAUCUAUCAACAAGCACCCAAUCACCACACAUCUUCCCACGACUGGAGUCCUCACAGUUCCUUUCCUUUACCACGGUCCAAGUCUGUACCUGAAACCACAAACACAACACACAACACAAGGAUCUAUCAUUGCAUGGCUGGUUCCUUAACUAAUCAUCAAACUACACUUCAGGCCCCAAUCUGGCCGAUUUUUAAAGUGAUCUAAAAAUUAAUUAAAAUUCACUAAAGCUCAUGAUAAAUCCCAACUAAGAGAUUUCCAUAAUCAGAAUCCAAGGAAUCGACCAUCAGGACGGCUCGGUAACCACUCGGACCCGGCCACACUGGUCUGGACCGGAACACUCCGCCAAGCUGAAGUGAGCUGAUCACCAGCUGUCCCCAGCUGAGUGAGCUAGUCCAUCAGCUCCCAUGAGCUGAACAAAACUGAGUGAGCUGACACUACACUCUAUUGAGCUGGUUCCAUACUCUAUUGAGCAGAUUAAGCUUGACCCGGGCCUUUCCCAGCUACCGGAUCACUCGCCCAGCUCUAUUUAACUUGUCUCCAUCGUAUCCAGGUUAAGUCUCAGCUGUCUGACGUCCUUAACCAUCUAUUCGGGCCAUGGUACGCUUGUCUCAAGGUCAGAUGACCUGUUCAGCACAUUGCCUCGCACCACAGCCCGUCUGGAUGAUCCUAUCUAGGAUCGGGGACAUGACAGAUCCACCUCUUCAUCCUCGCCCGCAACAUCAAUCACAACCUCCUCCAUAUCAGGCGAGACCGGGACUGGAUCCCAGAAUCCUCAGAUCCUUGCCUUGAUUAGAGGGAUCAGGUUCUCAUCAUGAGCAUAGUCGUUCAUACCACCAUUCAUGGUGGACAUCUCGUCAUCAAAGUCGAAGUCAUCCCUUUGCGCCUUCCACAACGACCCGACAGAACCUCGACACUCACGAAAAUCGAGUGCGCCUACUAGAGACGGCCAUACUCAACCGCAAAUUGAGAAGCACGGUUCCCCAUCACAGCAGCAACCUCUCUCCUGCCCCGUCUCUCCGCUCUGCGAAUAGCCUUGGAGUGGUCGUGACCAGCCUUCAGCUCUCGUUCCACGGCCUCGCUCUGCACCCGGGCGAGGGUCUUCCCCGCCUUCUCCGCUUUGAAACGGUAAACCAUCGCCUCAUGAGUCCUUGCCUUAAGGGCCGAGCUGAUCAUGUUCACUCCCUAAAAAAAACCAUCAAUAAGAGUCUCGAAAAUAAAAUAGUCCAGAUUCAAGAUAGUCAAAAACAAAGGAAACUAACCCAUUAAUUAAGCGUGAUCCUUCUGAAACGACUUUUGAUCUCUCGGGUAUGUCCUACAGGUGCAGGUAAGUCAAAAUUCGAAGGAAGCCCGUCAAGGAACGCAUCGAAAUUCCUGUGUGGAAAGGGGACCUCACUUGUGCCGCUCCCAUCACCAUAAGGAAGGUUCGGAACCCAUCUAGGCAGCAUGAAAUCAUCCACGGGAAAGUCAAAAUCUUCGAGAUCAAUGCCUUUGUCCUUUGACUGCUUAGUUGUUCCCCUUUUCGUGGGAACGCUGCGAGGAACAGAAUCAUCCGAAUCCGAGCUGGGUUCUUCGGCCACUUGGACACCAGGGCCAGCAUGAUGACACCUCAACGCGCUGCAAACCCUUUGCGGCGUGAAGAACGUCCAGUAAAAUGGACUGUUCCGCAGAAGGUCCCGCAUGAUAACCGUGUCACUAAGAAACGUGAUGCUUCCGGCUGGGUGGUAUUGAUCGAUGUUGGCAGCUCCGUAUCGGUCGAUUUUUCUGACUCAAUGUCGCUCGAUGGAAACAUGUCUCCGUCGAUCGAUGGUUAGACCACCAAUUUAGUAGUAUUAUGAAAUUUUACUAAAUUAAUUGACAAAAAAAUAUAACGAUGCCCAUGUUCCAUGAAAGAGAGUUUAAUAUACAUUAAUACAAAUGUAGAAUGUGUUUAGAAAUUUUAAAUCAACACUAAAGAUCAUAAGCUUCAGUAUAUAGAACAUUUACCGAAAAACUCGUAGGGGUUGUUAACUCAUAGAUUUUGAGAAAAAUUCAAAAAUAUGAAAAUUCUGUUUAAAUGCAUAGUUGCAUCCUUCACUAACAUAUGAUGAAGGUCAAAGAGGUAUGGAACUUUUUUUUUUGUCUCCUUUACUCUAGAGAAUAGCGAUUUAUAGUGGUUAGUCCACCAAUUUAGGGAGUAUUAUGAAGUUUUACUAAAUUAAUUGUCAAAAUAUUAUAGCGAUGCCCAUGUAACAUGAAAGAGAGUUUAAUAUACAUUAAUACAAAUGUAGAAUUUUUUUAUAAAUUUUAAAACAACACUAAAGAUCAUAGGCUUCAGUAUAUAGAACAUUUACCGAAAAACUCAACAUUUUCGUAGGGGUUAACUCAUCGAUUUUGAGAAAAAUUGAAAAAUAUGAAAAUUCUUUUUUUUAUUGCAUAGUUGCAUCUUUUACUAACAUAUGAUGAAGGUCAAAGAGGUUUGGAACUUUUUUUUGUCUCCUUUGCUCUAGAGAAUAGCGAUUUUAUAGUAGUUAGUCCCUCAAUUUAGGGAGUAUUAUGAAGUUUUACUAAAUUAAUUGAGAAAAAAUUAUAGCGAUGCCCAUGUACCAUGAAAGAGAGUUUAAUAUACAUUAAAAUAAAAAUGUAGAAUGUGUUUAGAAAUUUAAAAACAACACUAAAGAUCAUAGGCUUCAGUAUAUAGAACAUUUACCGAAAAACUCAAUAUUUUCGUAGGGGUUAACUCAUAGAUUUUAAGAAUAAUUCAAAAAUAUGAAAAUUCUGUUUUAAUACAUAGUUACAUCCUUCACUAAUAUAUGAUGAAGGUCAAAGAGCUUUGGAACUUUUUUUUGUCUCCUUUGCUCUAGAGAAUAACGAUUUUAUAGUGGUUAGUCCACCAAUUUAGGGAGUAUUAUGAAGUUUUACUAAAUUAAUUGACACAAAAUUAAAAUGAUGCCCAUCUACCAUAAAAUAUAAAUUGAUAUACAUUAAUACAAAUGUAGAUUGUGUUUAGAAAUUUUAAAUCAACACUAAAGAUCAUAAGCUUCAGUAUAUAGAACAUUUACCGAAAAACUCAAUAUUUUCGUAGGGGUUGUUAACUCAUAGAUUUUGAGAAAAAUUCAAAAAUAUGAAAAUUAUGUUUUAAUGCAUAGUUGCAUCCUUUACUAACAUAUGAUGAAGGUCAAAGAGGUUUGAAACUUUUUUUGUCUCCGUUGCUGUAGAGAAUAACAAUUUUAUAGUGGUUAGUCCACCAAUUUAGUAAUAUUAUGAAAUUUUACUAAAUUAAUUGUCAAAAAAUUAUAACGAUGCCCAUGUACCAUGAAAGAGAGUUUAAUAUACAUUAAUACAAAUGUAGAAUGUGUUUAGAAAUUUUAAAACAACACUAAAGAUCAUAGGUUUCAGUAUAUAGAACAUUUACCGAAAAACUCAACAUUUUCGUAGGGGUUAACUCAUCGAUUUUGAGAAAAAUUGAAAAAUAUGAAAUUUUUUUUUUUAUUGCAUAGUUGCAUCCUUCACAAACAUAUGAUGAAGGUCAAAGAGGUUUGGAACUUUUGUUGUCUCCUUUGCUCUAGAGAAUAGCGAUUUUGUAGUGGUUAGUCCACCAAUUUAUGGAGUAUUAAGAAGUUUUACUAAAUUAAUUAUCAAAAUAUUAUAGCCAUGCCCAUGUAACAUGAAAGAGAGUUUAAUAUACAUUAAUACAAAUGUAGUAUUUUUUAUAAAUUUUAAAACAACACUAAAGAUCAUAGGCUUCAGUAUAUAGAACAUUUACCGAAAACCUCAAUAUUUUCGUAGGGGUUGUUAACUCAUAGAUUUUGAGAAAAAUUCAAAAAUAUGAAAAUUAUGUUUUAAUACAUAGUUGCAUCCUUUACUAACAUAUGAUGAAGGUCAAAGAGGUUUGAAACUUUUUUUGUCUCUGUUGCUGUAGAGAAUAACAAUUUUAUAGUGGUUAGUCCACCAAUUUAGUAGUAUUAUGAAAUUUUACUAAAUUAAUUGACAAAAAAUUAUAACGAUGCCCAUGUACCAUGAAAGAGAGUUUAAUAUACAUUAAUACAAAUGUAGAAUGUGUUUAGAAAUUUUAAAACAACACUAAAGAUCAUAGGCUUCAGUAUAUAGAACAUUUACCGAAAAACUCAAUAUUUUUGUAGGGGUUGUUAACUCAUAGAUUUUGAGAAAAAUUCAAAAAUGUGAAAAUUCUGCUUUAAUGCAUAGUUGCAUCCUUCACUAACAUACGAUGUUUGGAACUUUUUUUGUCUCCGUUGCUCUAGGGAAUAGCGAUUUUAUAGUGGUUAGUCCACAAAUUUAGUAGUAUUAUGAAAUUUUACUAAAUUAAUUGACAAAAUAUUAAAAUGAUGCCCAUCUACCAUGAAAGAGAGUUUAAUAUACAUUAAUAAAAAUUUAAAAUGUGUUUAGCAAUUUUAAAACAACACUAAAGAUCAUAAGCUUCAGUAUAUAGACCAUUUACCGAAAAACUCAAUAUUUUCAUAUGGGUGUUAACUCAUAGAUUUUAAGAAAAAUUCAAAAAUCUGAAAAUUCUGUUUUAAUGCAUAGUUGCAUCCUUCACUAACAUAUGAUGAAGGUCAAAGAGGUUUGGAGCUUUUUUUUGUCUCCUUUGCUCUAGAGAAUAGCAAUUUUAUAGUGGUUAGUCCCCCAAUUUAGGGAGUAUUAUGAUGUUUUACUAAAUUAAUUGACAAAAUAUUAUAGAGAUGCCCAUGUACCAUGAAAGAGAGUUUAAUAUACAUUAAUACAAAUGUAGAAUGUGUUUAGAAAUUUAAAAACAACACUAAAGUUCAUAGGCUUCAGUAUAUAGAACAUUUACAGAAAAACUCAAUAUUUUCAUAGGGUUAACUCAUAAAUUUUGAGAAAAAUUCAAAAAUAAGAAAAUUCUGUUUUAAUGAAUAGUUUCAUCUUUCACUAACAUAUGAUGAAGGUCAAAGAGGUUUGAAACUUUUGUUGUCUCCGUGGCUCUAGAGAACAGCAAUUUUAUAGUGAUUAGUCCACCAAUGAAGUAGUACUAUGGAAUUUUACAAAAUUAAUUGACAAAAUAUUAAAACAAUGUCCAUAUACCAUGAAAGAGAGUUUAAUAUACAUUAAUACAAAUGUAGAAUGUGUUUAAUUUUUUUUAAAGAAAAAUGAAAGAUCAUAAGCUUCAGUAUAUAGAUCAUUUACCGAAAAACUCAAUCUUUUCACAGAUUUUGAGAAAAAUUCAAAAUUAUCAAAAUUCUGUUUUAAUGCAUAGUUGUAUCCUUCACUAACAUAUGAUGAAGGUCAAAGAGUUUUGGAACUUUUUUUGGUCUCCGUUGCUGUAGAGAAUAGCAAUUUUAUAAUGGUUAGUCCACCAAUUUUGUAGUAUUAUGAAAUUUUACUAAAUUAAUUGACAAAAAAUUAUAACGAUGCCCAUGUACCAUGAAAGAGAGUUUAAUAUACAUUAAUACAAAUGUAGAAUGUGUUUAGAAAUUUUUAAAUCAACACUAAAGAUUAUAAGCUUCAGUAUAUAGAACAUUUACCGAAAAACUCAAUAUUUUCGUAGGGAUUGUUACCUCAUAGAUUUUGAGAAAAAUUCAAAAAUAUGAAAAUUAUGUUUUAAUGCAUAGUUGCAUCAUUUACUAACAUAUGAUGAAGGUCAAAGAGGUUUGGAACUUUUUUUUGUCUUCUUUGCUCUAGAGAAUAGCGAUUUUAUAGUGGUUAGUCCCCUAAUUUAGGGAGUAUUAUGAAGUUUUACUAAAUUAAUAAACAAAACAUUAUAGCGAUGCCCAUGUACUAUGAAAGAGAGUUUAAUAUACAUUAAUACAAAUGUAGAAUGCGUUUAGAAAUUUUAAAUCAACACUAAAGAUCAUAAGCUUCAGUAUAUAGAAUAUUUACCGAAAAACUCAAUAUUUUCGUAGUGGUUGUUAACUCAUAGAUCUUGAGAAAAAUUCAAAAAUAUGAAAAUUCAGUUUUAAUGUAUAGUUGCAUCAUUUACUAACAUAUGAUGAAGGACAAAGAGGUUUGAAACUCUUUUUGUCUCCUUUGCUCUAGAGAAUAGCGAUUUUAUAGUGGUUAGUCCACCAAUUUAGGGAGUAUUAUGAAGUUUUACUAAAUUAAUUUUCAAAACAUUAUAGCGAUGCCCAUGUACCAUGAAAGAGAGUUUAAUAUACAUUAAUACAAAUGUAGAAUGUGUUUAGAAAUUUUAAAACAACACUAAAGAUCAUAGGCUUCAGUAUAUAGAACAUUUACUGAAAAACUCAAUAUUUUCGUAGGGGUUAACUCAUAGAUUUUGAGAAAAAUUGAAAAAUAUGAAAAUUCUUUUUUUAAUGCAUAGUUGCGUCCUUUACGAACAUAUGAUGAAGGUCAGAGAGGUAUGGAACUUUUGUUGUCUCCGUUUCUCUAGAGAUUAGCGAUGUUUUAGUGGUUAGUCCACCAAUGAAGUAGUAUUAUUGAAUUUUACAAAAUUAAUUGACAAAAAAUAAAACAAUUCCCAUCUACCAUGAAAGAUAGUUUAAUAUACAUUAAUACAAAUAUAGAGUGUGUUUAAAAUUUUUUAAAAAACACUAAAGAUCAUAAGCUUCAUUAUAUUGAACAUUUACCGAAAAACUCAAUAUUUUCGUAGGGGUUAACUCAUAGAUUUUAAGAAUAAUUCAAAAAUAUGAAAAUUCUGUUUUAAUGCAUAGUUGCAUCCUUCACUAAUAUAUAAUGAAGUUCAAAGAGGUUUGGAAAUUUUUUUUUGUUUCCUUUGCUCUAGAGAAUAAUGUUUUUAUAGUGGUUAGUCCACCAAUUUAGGAAGUAUUAUGAAGUUUUACUAAAUUAAUUGACAAAAAAUGAAAAUGAUGCCCAUCUACCAUAAACUAUAAUUUGAUAUACAUUAAUACAAAUGUAGAAUGUGUUUAGAAAUUUGAAAACAACACUAACGAUCAUAAGCUUCAGUAUAUAGAACAUUUACCGAAAAACUCAAUAUUUUCGUAGGGGUUAACUUUUAGAUUUUGAGAAAAAAUCAAAAAUAUGAAAAUUCUGUUUUAAUGCAUAGUUGCAUCCUUCACUAACAUAUGAUGAAGGUCAGAGAGGUUUGGAACUUUUUUUGGUCUCCGUUGCUGUAGAGAAUAGCAAUUUUAUAGUGGUUAGUCCACCAAUUUAGUAGUAUUAUGAAAUUUUACUAAAUUAAUUGACAAACAAAUAUAACGAUGCCCAUGUUCCAUGAAAGAGAGUUUAAUAUACAUUAAUACAAAUGUAGAAUGUGUUUAAAAAUUUUAAAUCAACAGUAAAGAUCAUAAUUUUCAGUAUAUAGAACAUUUACCGAAAAACUCAAUAUUUUCGUAUGGGUUAACUCAUAGAUUUUGAGAAAAAUUCAAAAAUAUGAAAAUUCUGUUUAAAUGCAUAGUUGCAUCCUUCACUAAUAUAUGAUGAAGGUCAAAGAGGUAUGAAAUUUUUUUUUUUGUCUCCUUUGCUCUAGAGNNNNNNNNNNNNNNNNNNNNNNNNNNNNNNNNNNNNNNNNNNNNNNNNNNNNNNNNNNNNNNNNNNNNNNNNNNNNNNNNNNNNNNNNNNNNNNNNNNNNAAGCUUGAUUUGGAUCAUAAAGUGGUGGAGAAUCACCAGGAAGUUGAAUAUAUCUCAUAGGAGUUGGGAUGAAGAAGUUAUCCCACUUUCAAAUCAGGUGAUUCCAGUUUCCAGUUUGGGAAUAGGGCAGCUUCUUCGUCGUUCCAAUCAAAGCAGGAUGAAUCACUUUGUAAGAAGCUUGAUUUGGAUACAUAAAGUGGUGUAGAAUCACUCGGAAGUUGAAUAAAUUUCAUAGGAGCUGGGAUGAAGAAGUUAUCCCACUUUCAAAUCAGGUGAUUCCAGUUUCGCAGUUUGGGAAUAGGACAGCUUCUUCGUCGUUCCAAUCAAACCAGGAUGAAUCACUUUGUAAGAAUCUUGAUUUGGAUACAUAAAGUGGUGGAGAACCACCAGGAAGUUGAAUAAAUCACAUAGGAGCUGGGAUGAAGAAGUUAUCCCACUUUCAAAUCAGGUAUUUCCAGUUUCGCAGUUUGGGAAUAGGACAGCUUCUUAGUCGUUGCAAUCAAACCAGGAUGAAUAAGUUUGUAAGAAGCUUGAUUUGGAUACAUAAAGUGUUGGAGAAUUACCAGGAAGUUGAAUAAACCGCAUAGGAGUUGGGAUGAAGAAGUUAUCCCACUUUCAAAUCAGGUGAUUCCAGUUUUCUUUAAUUUGGGAAUAGGACAGCUUCUUCGUCGUUCCAAUCAAAGCAGGAUGAUCACUUUGUAAGAAGCUUGAUUUGGAUACAUAAAGUGUUGGAGAAUCACCAGAAGUUGAAUAAAUCUCAUAGGAGUUGGAUGAAGAAGUUAUCCCACUUUCAAAUCAGGUGAUUCCAGUUCCCAGUUUGGGAAUAGGCAGCUUCUUCGUCGUUCCAAUCAAACCAGGAUAAAUCACUUUUGUAAGAAGCUUGAUUUGGAUACAUAAAAAGUGUGGAGAAUCACCAGGAAGUUGAAAAAAUCUCAUAGGAGUUGGGAUGAAGAAGUUAUCCCACUUUCAAUUCAGGUGAUUCCAGAUUCCCUGUUUGGGAAUAGGACAGCUUCUUCGUCGUUCCAAUCAAACCAGGAUGAAUCACUUUGUAAGAAGCUUAAUUUGGAUACAUAAAGGGGUUGAGAAUCACAACGAAGUUGAAUAAAUCUCAUAGGAAUUGGGAUGAAGAAGUUUUCCCACUUUCAAUUCAGGUGAUUCCAGUUUCCGAGUUAGGGAAUAGGACAGCUUCUUCGUCGUUCCAAUCAAAGCAGGAUGAAUCACUUUGUAAGAAGCUUGAUUUGGAUACAUAAAGUGGUGGAGAAUCACCAGGAAGUUGAAUAAAUCUCAUAGGAGUUGGGAUGAAGAAGUUAUCCCACUUUCAAAUCAGGUGAUUCCAGUUUCCCAGUUAGGGAAUAGGACAGCUUCUUCGUCGUUCCAAUCAAACCAGGUUGAAUCACUUUGUAAGAAGUUUGAUUUGGAUACAUAAAGUGGUGUAAAAUCACCAAGAAGUUGAAUAAAUCUCAUAGGAGUUGGGAUGAAGAAGUUAUCCGACUUUUAAAUCAGGUGAUUCCAGUUUGCAGUUCGAAUAGGACAGCUUCUUCGUCGUUCCAAUCAAAGCAGGAUGAAUCACUUUUAAGAAGCUUGAUUUGGAUACAUAAAGUGGUGGAGAAUCACCAGGAAUUUAUAUAAAUCUUAUAGGAGUUGGGAUGAAUAAGUUAUCCCACUUUCAAAUCAGGUGAUUCCAGUUUCCCAGUUUGGGAAAUAGGACAGCUUCUUCGUCGUUCCAAUCAAAGCAGGAUGAAGCACUUUGUAAGAAGCUUGAUUUGGAUCAUAAAGUGGUGGAGAAUCACCAGGAAGUUGAAUAUAUCUCAUAGGAGUUGGGAUGAAGAAGUUAUCCACUUUUAAAUCAGGUGAUUCCAGUUUCCCAAUUAGGAAUAGGAAAGCUUCUUCGUCGUUCCAAUCAAAGCAGGAUGAAUCACUUGUAAGAAGCUUGAUUUGGAUACAUAAAGUGGUGGAGAAUCACCAGGAAGUUGAAUAAAUCUCAUAAGAGUUGGGAUGAAGAAGUUAUCCCACUUUCAAUCAGGUGAUUCCAGUUUCCCUGUUAGGGAAUAGGACAGCUUCUUGUCGUUCCAAUCAAACCAGGAUGAAACACUUUUGUAAGAAGCUUGAUUUGGAUACAUAAAGUGGUGUAGAAUCACCAGUAAGUUGAAUAAAUCUCAUAGGAGUUGGGAUGAAGAAGUUAUCCCACUUUUAAAUCAGGUGAUUCCAGUUUCGCAGUUCGGAAUAGGACAGCUUCUUCGUCGUUCCAAUCAAAGCAGGAUGAGUCACUUUUUAAGAAGUUUGAUUUGAAUACAUAAAGUGGUGGAAAAUCACCAAGAAGUUGAAUAAAUCUCAUAGGAGUUGGGAUGAAGAAGUUAUCCGACUUUUAAAUCAGGUGAUUCCAGUUUCCCAGUUAGGGAAUAGGAAAGCUUCUUCGUCGUUCCAAUCAAAGAAGGAUGAAGCACUUUGUAAGAAGCUUGAUUUGGAUACAUAAAGUUGUGGAGAAUCACCAGGAAGUUGAAUAUAUCUCAUAGGAGGUUGGAUGAAGAAGUUAUCCGACUUUUAAAUCAGGUGAUUCCAGUUUCCCAGUUAGGGAAUAGGAAAGCUUCUUCGUCGUUCCAAUCAAAGCAGGAUGAAUCACUUUGUGAGAAGCUUGAUUUGGAUACAUAAAGUGGUGGAGAAUCACCAGGAAGUUGAAUAAAUCUCAUAAGAGUUGGGAUGAAGAAGUUAUCCCACUUUCAAUUCAGGUGAUUCCAGUUUCCCAGUUAGGGAAUAGGACAGCUUCUUCGUCGUUCCAAUCAAACCAGGAUGAAUCACUUUGUAAGAAGCUUGAUUUGGAUACAUAAAGUGUUGUAGAAUCACCAGUAAGUUGAAUAAAUCUCAUAGGAGUUGGGAUGAAGAAGUUAUCCCGCUUUUAAAUCAGGUGAUUCCAGUUUUGCAGUUUGGGAAUAGGACAGCUUCUUCGUCGUUCCAAUCAAAGCAGGAUGAAUCACUUUGUAAGAAGCUUGAUUUGGAUACAUAAAGUGUUUGAGAAUCACCAGGACGUUGAAUAAAUCUCAUAGAAGUUGGGAUGAAUAAGUUGUCCCACUUUCAAAUCAGGUGAUUCCAGUUUCCCAGUUUGGGAAUAGGGCAGCUUCUUCGUCGUUCCAAUCAAAGCAGGAUGAAGGACUUUGUAAGAAUCUUUAUUUGGAUACAUAAAGUGUUGAGAAUCACCAGGAAGUUGAAUAAAUCUCAUAGGAGGUUGGAUGAAAAGUUAUCCCACUUUCAAAUCAGGUGAUUCCAGUUUCCCAGUUUGGGAAUAGGACAGCUUCUUCGUCGUCCAAUCAAACCAGGAUGAAUCACUUUGUAAGAAGCUUGAUUUGGAUACAUAAAGUGUUGAGAAUCACCAGGAAGUUGAAUAAAUCUCAUAGGAGUUGGGAUGAAGAAGUUAUCCCACUUUCAAAUUAGGUGAUUCCAGUUUCCCAGUGGGAAUAGGACAGCUUCUUCGUCGUUCCAAUCAAACCAGGAUGAAUCACUUUGUAAGAAGCUUGAUUUGGAUACAUAACGUGGUGAGAAUCACCAGGAAGUUAAUAAAUCUCAUAAGAGUUGGGAUGAAGAAGUUAUCCCACUUUCAAAUCAGUGAUUCAAGUUUCCCUGUUAGGGAAUAGGACAGCUUCUUCGUCGUUCCAAACAAAGAAGGAUGAAGACUUUGUAAGAAGCUUGAUUUGGAUACAUAAAGUGGUGGAGAAUCACCAGAAGUUGAAUAAAUCUCAUAGGAGUUAGGAUGAAGAAGUUAUCCCACUUUUAAAUCAGGUGAUUCCAGUUUCCCAGUUAGGGAAUAGGACAGCUUCUUCGUCGUUCCAUUCAAACCAGGAUGAAUCACUUUGUAAGAAGCUUGAUUUGGAUACAUAAAGUGUGUGUAGAAUCACAGUAAGUUAAAUAAAUCUCAUAGGAGUGGAAUGAAGAAGUUAUCCCACUUUUAAAUCAGGUGAUUCCAGUUUUGCCCAGUUUGGAAUAGGACAGCUUCUUCGUCGUUCCAAUCAAAGCAGGAUGAAUCACUUUUUAAGAAGCUUGAUUUGGAUACAUAAAGUGGUGGAGAAUCACCCAGAAUUUAUAUAAAUCUUAUAGGAGUUGGGAUGAAUAAGUUACCCACUUUCAAAUCAGGUGAUUCCGGUUUCCCAAUUUGGGAAUAGGACAGCUUCUUCGUCGUUCCAAUCAAAGCAGGAUGAAGCACUUUGUAAGAAGCUUGAUUUAGAUUCAUAAAGUGGUGGAGAAUCACCAGGAAGUUGAAUAUAUCUCAUAGGAGUUGGGAUGAAGAAGUUAUCCCACUUUUAAAUCAGGUGAUUCCAGUUUCCCAAUUAGAGAAUAGGAAAGCUUCUUCGUCGUUCCAAUCAAAGCAGGAUGAAUCACUUUGUGAGAAGCUUGAUUUGGAUACAUAAAGUGGUGGAGAAUCAACAGGAAGUUGAAUAAAUCUCAUAAGAGUUGGGAUGAAGAAGUUAUCUCACUUUCAAUUCAGGUGACUCCAGUUUCCCUGUUAGGGAAUAUGACAGCUUCUUUGUCGUUCCAAUCAAACCAGGAUGAAACACUUUGUAAGAAGCUUGAUUUGGAUACAUAAAGUGGUGUAGAAUCACCAGUAAGUUUAAUAAAUCUCAUAGGAGUUGGGAUGAAGAAGUUAUCCCACUUUUAAAUCAGGUGAUUCCAGUUUCGCAGUUUCGGAAUAGGACAGCUUCUUCCUCGUUCCAAUCAAAGCAGGAUGAGUCACUUUUUAAGAAGCUUGAUUUGGAUACAUAAAGUGGUGGAGAAUCACCAGGAAUUUAUAUAAAUCUUAUAGGAGUUGGGAUGAAUAAAUUAUCCCACUUUCAAAUCAGGUGAUUCCAGUUUCCCAGUUUGGGAAUAGGACAACUUCUUCGUCGUUCCAAUCAAAGCAGGAUGAAGCACUUUGUAAGAAGCUUGAUUUGGAUUCAUAAAGUGGUGGAGAAUCACCAGGAAGUUGAAUAUAUCUCAUAGGAGUUGGGAUGAAGAAGUUAUCCCUCUUUUAAAUCAGGUGAUUCCAGUUUCCCAGUUAGGGAAUAGGGAAGCUUCUUCGUCGUUCCUAUCAAACCAGGAUGAAUCACUUUGUGAGAAGCUUGAUUUGGAUACAUAAAAUGGUGGAGAAUCACCAGGAAGUUGAAUAAAUCUCAUAAGAGUUGGGAUGAAGAAGUUAUCCCACUUUCAAUUCAUGUGAUUCCAGUUUCCCUGUUAGGGAAUAGGACAGCUUCUUUGUCGUUCCAAUCAAACCAGGAUGAAUCACUUUGUAAGAAGCUUGAUUUGGAUGCAUAAAGUGGUGUAGAAUCACCAGUAAGUUGAAUAAAUCUCAUAGGAGUUGGGAUGAAGAAGUUAUCCCACUUUUAAAUCAGGUAAUUCCAGUUUCGCAGUUUCGGAAUAGGAUAUCUUCUUCGUCGUUCCAAUCAAGGCAGGAUGAAUUACUUUCUAAGAAGCUUGAUUUGGAUACAUAAAGUGUUUGAGAAUCACCAGGACGUUGAAUAAAUCUCAUAGGAGGUUGGAUGAAGAAGUUUUCCCACUUUCAAAUCAGGUGGGUUUUCCGGUUUGGGAAUAGGGCAGCUUCUUCGUCGUUCCAAUCAAAGCAGGAUGAAGGACUUUGUAAGAAGCUUGAUUUGGAUACAUAGAGUGUUGUAGAAUCACCAAGAAGUUGAAUAAAUCUCAUAGGAGAUUGGAUGAAAAAGUUAUCCCACUUCCAAAUCAGGUGAUUCCAGUUCCCAGUUUGGGAAUAGGACAGCUUCUUCGUCGUCCAAUCAAACCAGGAUAAAUCAAUUUGUAAGAAGCUUGAUUUGGAUACAUAAAGUGUUCGAGAAUCACCAGGAAGUUGAAUAAAUCUCAUAGGAGUUGGGAUGAAGAAGUUAUCCCACUUUCAAAUUAGGUGAUUCCAGUUUCCCAGUUAAGGAAUAGGACAGCUUCUUCGUCGUUCCAAUCAAACCAGGAUGAAUCACUUUGUAAGAAGCUUGAUUUGGAUACAUAACGUGGUGGAGAAUCACCAGGAAGUUAAAUAAACCUCAUAGGAGUUAGGAUGAAGAAGUUAUCCCACUUUCCAUCAGGUGAUUCAAGUUUCCCUGUUAGGGAAUAGGACAGCUUCUUCGUCGUUCCAAACAAAGAAGGAUGAAGCACUUUGUAAGAAGCUUGAUUUGGAUACAUAAAGUGGUGGAGAAUCACCAGUAAGUUGAAUAAAUCUCAUAGGAGUUAGGAUGAAGAAGUUAUCCCACUUUUAAAUCAGGUGAUUCCAGUUUCACAGUUACGGAAUAGGACAGCUUCUUCGUCGUUCCAUUCAAACCAGGAUGGAUCACUUUGUAAGAAGCUUGAUUUGGAUACAUAAAGUGGUGUAGAAUCACCAGUAAGUUAAAUAAAUCUCAUAGGAGUUGGAAUGAAGAAGUUAUCCCACUUUUAAAUCAGGUGAUUCCAGUUUUGCAGUUUCGGAAUAGGACAGCUUCUUCGUCGUUCCAAUCAAAGCAGGAUGAAUCACUUUUUAAGAAGCUUGAUUUGGAUACAUAAAGUGGUGGAGAAUCACCCGGAAUUUAUAUAAAUCUUAUAGGAGUUGGGAUGAAUAAGUUAUCCCACUUUCAAAUCAGGUGAUUCCGGUUUCCCAAUUUGGGAAUAGGACAGCUUCUUCGUCGUUCCAAUCAAAGCAGGAUGAAGAACUUUGUAAGAAGCUUGGUUUAGAUUCAUAAAGUGGUGGAGAAUCACCAGGAAGUUGAAUAUAUCUCAUAGGAGUUGGGAUGAAGAAGUUAUCCCACUUUUAAAUCAGGUGAUUCCAGUUUCCCAAUUAAGGAAUAGGAAAGCUUCUUCGUCGUUCCAAUCAAAGCAGGAUGAAUCACUUUGUGAGAAGCUUGAUUUGGAUACAUAAAGUGGUGGAGAAUCAACAGGAAGUUGAAUAAAUCUCAUAAGAGUUGGGAUGAAGAAGUUAUCCCACUUUCAAUUCAGGUGAUUUCAGUUUCCCUGUUAGGGAAUAGGACAGCUUCUUUGUCGUUCCAAUCAAACCAGGAUGAAACACUUUGUAAGAAGCUUGAUUUGGAUACAUAAAGUGGUGUAGAAUCACCAGUAAGUUGAAUAAAUCUCAUAGGAGUUGGGAUGAAGAAGUUAUCCCACUUUUAAAUCAGGUGAUUCCAGUUUCGCAGUUUCGGAAUAGGACACUUCUUCGUCGUUCCAAUCAAAGCAGGAUGAGUCACUUUUUAAGAAGCUUGAUUUGGAUACAUAAAGUGGUGGAGAAUCACCAGAAAUUUAUAUAAAUCUUAUAGGAGUUGGGAUGAAUAAAUUAUCCCAUUUUCAAAUCAGGUGAUUCCAGUUUCCCAGUUUGGGAAUAGGACAGCUUCUUCGUCGUUCCAAUCAAAGCAGGAUGAAGCACUUUGUAAGAAGCUUGAUUUGGAUUCAUAAAGUGGUGGAGAAUCACCAGGAAGUUGAAUAUAUCUCAUAGGAGUUGGGAUGAAGAAGUUAUCCCUCUCUUAAAUCAGGUGAUUCCAGUUUCCUAGUUAGGGAAUAGGAAAGCUUCUUCGUCGUUCCUAUCAAACCAGGAUGAAUCACUUUGUUAGAAGCUUGAUUUGGAUACAUAAAAUGGUGGAGAAUCACCAAGAAGUUGAAUAAAUCUCAUAAGAGUUGGGAUGAAGAAGUUAUCCCACUUUCAAUUCAGGUUAUUCCAGUUUCCCUGUUAGGGAAUAGGACAGCUUCUUUGUCGUUCCAAUCAAACCAGGAUGAAUCACUUUGUAAGAAGCUUGAUUUGGAUGCAUAAAGUGGUGUAGAAUCACCAGUAAGUUGAAUAAAUAUCAUAGGAGUUGGGAUGAAGAAGUUAUCCCACUUUUAAAUCAGGUAAUUCCAGUUUCGCAGUUUCGGAAUAGGAUAUCUUCUUCGUCGUUCCAAUCAAGGCAGGAUGAAUUACUUUCUAAGAAGCUUGAUUUGGAUACAUAAAGUGUUUGAGAAUCACCAGGACGUUGAAUAAAUCUCAUAGGAGGUUGGAUGAAGAAGUUUUCCCACUUUCAAAUCAGGUGGGUUUUCCGGUUUGGGAAUAGGGCAGCUUCUUCGUCGUUCCAAUCAAAGCAGGAUGAAGGACUUUGUAAGAAGCUUGAUUUGGAUACAUAGAGUGUUGUAGAAUCACCAGGAAGUUGAAUAAAUCUCAUAGGAGGUUGGAUGAAAAAGUUAUCCCACUUCCAAAUCAGGUGAUUCCAGUUCCCAGUUUGGGAAUAGGACAGCUUUUUCGUCGUCCAAUCAAACCAGGAUAAAUCAAUUUGUAAGAAGCUUGAUUUGGAUACAUAAAGUGUUCGAGAAUCACCAGGAAGUUGAAUAAAUCUCAUAGGAGUUGGGCUGAAGAAGUUAUCCGACUUUCAAAUUAGGUGAUUCCAGUUUCCCAGAUAAGGAAUAGGACAUCUUCUUCUUCGUUCCAAUCAAACCAGGAUGAAUCACUUUGUAAGAAGCUUGAUUUGGAUACAUAACGUGGUGGAGAAUAUACCAGGAAGUUAAAUAAAUCUCAUAAGAGUUGGGAUGAAGAAGUUAUCCCACUUUCAAUUCAGGUGAUUCAAGUUUCCCUGUUAGGGAAUAGGACAGCUUCUUCGUCGUUCCAAACAAAGAAGGAUGAAGCACUUUGUAAGAAGCUUGAUUUGGAUACAUAAAGUGGUGGAGAAUCACCAGUAAGUUAAUAAAUCUCAUAGGAGUUAGGAUGAAGAAGUUAUCCCACUUUUAAAUCAGGUGAUUCCAGUUUCACAGUUAGGGAAUAGGACAGCUUCUUCGUCGUUCCAUUCAAACCAGGAUGAAUCACUUUGUAAGAAGCUUGAUUUGGAUACAUAAAGUGGUGUAGAAUCACCAGUAAGUUAAAUAAAUCUCAUAGGAGUUGGAAUGAAGAAGUUAUCCCACUUUUAAAUCAGGUGAUUCCAGUUUUGCAGUUUCGGAAUAGGACAGCUUCUUCGUCGUUCCAAUCAAAGCAGGAUGAAUCACUUUUUAAGAAGCUUGAUUUGGAUACAUAAAGUGGUGGAGAAUCACCCGGAAUUUAUAUAAAUCUUAUAGGAGUUGGGAUGAAUAAGUUAUCCCACUUUCAAAUCAGGUGAUUCCGGUUUCCCAAUUUGGGAAUAGGACAGCUUCUUCGUCGUUCCAAUCAAAGCAGGAUGAAGAACUUUGUAAGAAGCUUGGUUUAGAUUCAUAAAGUGGUGGAGAAUCACCAGGAAGUUGAAUAUAUCUCAUAGGAGUUGGGAUGAAGAAGUUAUCCCACUUUUAAAUCAGGUGAUUCCAGUUUCCCAAUUAAGGAAUAGGAAAGCUUCUUCGUCGUUCCAAUCAAAGCAGGAUGAAUCACUUUGUGAGAAGCUUGAUUUGGAUACAUAAAGUGGUGGAGAAUCAACAGGAAGUUGAAUAAAUCUCAUAAGAGUUGGGAUGAAGAAGUUAUCCCACUUUCAAUUCAGGUGAUUUCAGUUUCCCUGUUAGGGAAUAGGACAGCUUCUUUGUCGUUCCAAUCAAACCAGGAUGAAACACUUUGUAAGAAGCUUGAUUUGGAUACAUAAAGUGGUGUAGAAUCACCAGUAAGUUGAAUAAAUCUCAUAGGAGUUGGGAUGAAGAAGUUAUCCCACUUUUAAAUCAGGUGAUUCCAGUUUCGCAGUUUCGGAAUAGGACAACUUCUUCGUCGUUCCAAUCAAAGCAGGAUGAGUCACUUUUUAAGAAGCUUGAUUUGGAUACAUAAAGUGGUGGAGAAUCACCAGAAAUUUAUAUAAAUCUUAUAGGAGUUGGGAUGAAUAAAUUAUCCCAUUUUCAAAUCAGGUGAUUCCAGUUUCCCAGUUUGGGAAUAGGACAGCUUCUUCGUCGUUCCAAUCAAAGCAGGAUGAAGCACUUUGUAAGAAGCUUGAUUUGGAUUCAUAAAGUGGUGGAGAAUCACCAGGAAGUUGAAUAUAUCUCAUAGGAGUUGGGAUGAAGAAGUUAUCCCUCUCUUAAAUCAGGUGAUUCCAGUUUCCUAGUUAGGGAAUAGGAAAGCUUCUUCGUCGUUCCUAUCAAACCAGGAUGAAUCACUUUGUUAGAAGCUUGAUUUGGAUACAUAAAAUGGUGGAGAAUCACCAAGAAGUUGAAUAAAUCUCAUAAGAGUUGGGAUGAAGAAGUUAUCCCACUUUCAAUUCAGGUUAUUCCAGUUUCCCUGUUAGGGAAUAGGACAGCUUCUUUGUCGUUCCAAUCAAACCAGGAUGAAUCACUUUGUAAGAAGCUUGAUUUGGAUGCAUAAAGUGGUGUAGAAUCACCAGUAAGUUGAAUAAAUAUCAUAGGAGUUGGGAUGAAGAAGUUAUCCCACUUUUAAAUCAGGUAAUUCCAGUUUCGCAGUUUCGGAAUAGGAUAUCUUCUUCGUCGUUCCAAUCAAGGCAGGAUGAAUUACUUUCUAAGAAGCUUGAUUUGGAUACAUAAAGUGUUUGAGAAUCACCAGGACGUUGAAUAAAUCUCAUAGGAGGUUGGAUGAAGAAGUUUUCCCACUUUCAAAUCAGGUGGGUUUUCCGGUUUGGGAAUAGGGCAGCUUCUUCGUCGUUCCAAUCAAAGCAGGAUGAAGGACUUUGUAAGAAGCUUGAUUUGGAUACAUAGAGUGUUGUAGAAUCACCAGGAAGUUGAAUAAAUCUCAUAGGAGGUUGGAUGAAAAAGUUAUCCCACUUCCAAAUCAGGUGAUUCCAGUUCCCAGUUUGGGAAUAGGACAGCUUUUUCGUCGUCCAAUCAAACCAGGAUAAAUCAAUUUGUAAGAAGCUUGAUUUGGAUACAUAAAGUGUUCGAGAAUCACCAGGAAGUUGAAUAAAUCUCAUAGGAGUUGGGCUGAAGAAGUUAUCCGACUUUCAAAUUAGGUGAUUCCAGUUUCCCAGAUAAGGAAUAGGACAUCUUCUUCUUCGUUCCAAUCAAACCAGGAUGAAUCACUUUGUAAGAAGCUUGAUUUGGAUACAUAACGUGGUGGAGAAUAUACCAGGAAGUUAAAUAAAUCUCAUAAGAGUUGGGAUGAAGAAGUUAUCCCACUUUCAAUUCAGGUGAUUCAAGUUUCCCUGUUAGGGAAUAGGACAGCUUCUUCGUCGUUCCAAACAAAGAAGGAUGAAGCACUUUGUAAGAAGCUUGAUUUGGAUACAUAAAGUGGUGGAGAAUCACCAGUAAGUUUAAUAAAUCUCAUAGGAGUUAGGAUGAAGAAGUUAUCCCACUUUUAAAUCAGGUGAUUCCAGUUUCACAGUUAGGGAAUAGGACAGCUUCUUCGUCGUUCCAUUCAAACCAGGAUGAAUCACUUUGUAAGAAGCUUGAUUUGGAUACAUAAAGUGGUGUAGAAUCACCAGUAAGUUAAAUAAAUCUCAUAGGAGUUGGAAUGAAGAAGUUAUCCCACUUUUAAAUCAGGUGAUUCCAGUUUUGCAGUUUCGGAAUAGGACAGCUUCUUCGUCGUUCCAAUCAAAGCAGGAUGAAUCACUUUUUAAGAAGCUUGAUUUGGAUACAUAAAGUGGUGGAGAAUCACCCAGAAUUUAUAUAAAUCUUAUAGGAGUUGGGAUGAAUAAGUUAUCCCACUUUCAAAUCAGGUGAUUCCGGUUUCCCAAUUUGGGAAUAGGACAGCUUCUUCGUCGUUCCAAUCAAAGCAGGAUGAAGCACUUUGUAAGAAGCUUGAUUUGGAUUCAUAAAGUGGUGGAGAAUCACCAGGAAGUUGAAUAUAUCUCAUAGGAGUUGGGAUGAAGAAGUUAUCCCUCUUUUAAAUCAGGUGAUUCCAGUUUCCCAGUUAGGGAAUAGGAAAGUUUCUUCGUCGUUCCUAUCAAACCAGGAUGAAUCACUUUGUGAGAAGCUUGAUUUGGAUACAUAAAAUGGUGGAGAAUCACCAGGAAGUUGAAUAAAUCUCAUAAGAGUUGGGAUGAAGAAGUUAUCCCACUUUCAAUUCAUGUGAUUCCAGUUUCCCUGUUAGGGAAUAGGACAGCUUCUUUGUCGUUCCAAUCAAACCAGGAUGAAUCACUUUGUAAGAAGCUUGAUUUGGAUGCAUAAAGUGGUGUAGAAUCACCAGUAAGUUGAAUAAAUCUCAUAGGAGUUGGGAUGAAGAAGUUAUCCCACUUUUAAAUCAGGUAAUUCCAGUUUCGCAGUUUCGGAAUAGGAUAUCUUCUUCGUCGUUCCAAUCAAGGCAGGAUGAAUUACUUUCUAAGAAGCUUGAUUUGGAUACAUAAAGUGUUUGAGAAUCACCAGGACGUUGAAUAAAUCUCAUAGGAGGUUGGAUGAAGAAGUUUUCCCACUUUCAAAUCAGGUGGGUUUUCCGGUUUGGGAAUAGGGCAGCUUCUUCGUCGUUCCAAUCAAAGCAGGAUGAAGGACUUUGUAAGAAGCUUGAUUUGGAUACAUAGAGUGUUGUAGAAUCACCAAGAAGUUGAAUAAAUCUCAUAGGAGAUUGGAUGAAAAAGUUAUCCCACUUCCAAAUCAGGUGAUUCCAGUUCCCAGUUUGGGAAUAGGACAGCUUCUUCGUCGUCCAAUCAAACCAGGAUAAAUCAAUUUGUAAGAAGCUUGAUUUGGAUACAUAAAGUGUUCGAGAAUCACCAGGAAGUUGAAUAAAUCUCAUAGGAGUUGGGAUGAAGAAGUUAUCCCACUUUCAAAUUAGGUGAUUCCAGUUUCCCAGUUAAGGAAUAGGACAGCUUCUUCGUCGUUCCAAUCAAACCAGGAUGAAUCACUUUGUAAGAAGCUUGAUUUGGAUACAUAACGUGGUGGAGAAUCACCAGGAAGUUAAAUAAACCUCAUAGGAGUUAGGAUGAAGAAGUUAUCCCACUUUCCAUCAGGUGAUUCAAGUUUCCCUGUUAGGGAAUAGGACAGCUUCUUCGUCGUUCCAAACAAAGAAGGAUGAAGCACUUUGUAAGAAGCUUGAUUUGGAUACAUAAAGUGGUGGAGAAUCACCAGUAAGUUGAAUAAAUCUCAUAGGAGUUAGGAUGAAGAAGUUAUCCUACUUUUAAAUCAGGUGAUUCCAGUUUCACAGUUACGGAAUAGGACAGCUUCUUCGUCGUUCCAUUCAAACCAGGAUGGAUCACUUUGUAAGAAGCUUGAUUUGGAUACAUAAAGUGGUGUAGAAUCACCAGUAAGUUAAAUAAAUCUCAUAGGAGUUGGAAUGAAGAAGUUAUCCCACUUUUAAAUCAGGUGAUUCCAGUUUUGCAGUUUCGGAAUAGGACAGCUUCUUCGUCGUUCCAAUCAAAGCAGGAUGAAUCACUUUUUAAGAAGCUUGAUUUGGAUACAUAAAGUGGUGGAGAAUCACCCGGAAUUUAUAUAAAUCUUAUAGGAGUUGGGAUGAAUAAGUUAUCCCACUUUCAAAUCAGGUGAUUCCGGUUUCCCAAUUUGGGAAUAGGACAGCUUCUUCAUCGUUCCAAUCAAAGCAGGAUGAAGAACUUUGUAAGAAGCUUGGUUUAGAUUCAUAAAGUGGUGGAGAAUCACCAGGAAGUUGAAUAUAUCUCAUAGGAGUUGGGAUGAAGAAGUUAUCCCACUUUUAAAUCAGGUGAUUCCAGUUUCCCAAUUAAGGAAUAGGAAAGCUUCUUCUUCGUUCCAAUCAAAGCAGGAUGAAUCACUUUGUGAGAAGCUUGAUUUGGAUACAUAAAGUGGUGGAGAAUCAACAGGAAGUUGAAUAAAUCUCAUAAGAGUUGGGAUGAAGAAGUUAUCCCACUUUCAAUUCAGGUGAUUCCAGUUUCCCUGUUAGGGAAUAGGACAGCUUCUUUGUCGUUCCAAUCAAACCAGGAUGAAACACUUUGUAAGAAGCUUGAUUUGGAUACAUAAAGUGGUGUAGAAUCACCAGUAAGUUGAAUAAAUCUCAUAGGAGUUGGGAUGAAGAAGUUAUCCCACUUUUAAAUCAGGUGAUUCCAGUUUCGCAGUUUCGGAAUAGGACAACUUCUUCGUCGUUCCAAUCAAAGCAGGAUGAGUCACUUUUUAAGAAGCUUGAUUUGGAUACAUAAAGUGGUGGAGAAUCACCAGAAAUUUAUAUAAAUCUUAUAGGAGUUGGGAUGAAUAAAUUAUCCCAUUUUCAAAUCAGGUGAUUCCAGUUUCCCAGUUUGGGAAUAGGACAGCUUCUUCGUCGUUCCAAUCAAAGCAGGAUGAAGCACUUUGUAAGAAGCUUGAUUUGGAUUCAUAAAGUGGUGGAGAAUCACCAGGAAGUUGAAUAUAUCUCAUAGGAGUUGGGAUGAAGAAGUUAUCCCUCUCUUAAAUCAGGUGAUUCCAGUUUCCUAGUUAGGGAAUAGGAAAGCUUCUUCGUCGUUCCUAUCAAACCAGGAUGAAUCACUUUGUUAGAAGCUUGAUUUGGAUACAUAAAAUGGUGGAGAAUCACCAAGAAGUUGAAUAAAUCUCAUAAGAGUUGGGAUGAAGAAGUUAUCCCACUUUCAAUUCAGGUUAUUCCAGUUUCCCUGUUAGGGAAUAGGACAGCUUCUUUGUCGUUCCAAUCAAACCAGGAUGAAUCACUUUGUAAGAAGCUUGAUUUGGAUGCAUAAAGUGGUGUAGAAUAACCAGUAAGUUGAAUAAAUAUCAUAGGAGUUGGGAUGAAGAAGUUAUCCCACUUUUAAAUCAGGUAAUUCCAGUUUCGCAGUUUCGGAAUAGGAUAUCUUCUUCGUCGUUCCAAUCAAGGCAGGAUGAAUUACUUUCUAAGAAGCUUGAUUUGGAUACAUAAAGUGUUUGAGAAUCACCAGGACGUUGAAUAAAUCUCAUAGGAGGUUGGAUGAAGAAGUUUUCCCACUUUCAAAUCAGGUGGGUUUUCCGGUUUGGGAAUAGGGCAGCUUCUUCGUCGUUCCAAUCAAAGCAGGAUGAAGGACUUUGUAAGAAGCUUGAUUUGGAUACAUAGAGUGUUGUAGAAUCACCAGGAAGUUGAAUAAAUCUCAUAGGAGGUUGGAUGAAAAAGUUAUCCCACUUCCAAAUCAGGUGAUUCCAGUUCCCAGUUUGGGAAUAGGACAGCUUUUUCGUCGUCCAAUCAAACCAGGAUAAAUCAAUUUGUAAGAAGCUUGAUUUGGAUACAUAAAGUGUUCGAGAAUCACCAGGAAGUUGAAUAAAUCUCAUAGGAGUUGGGCUGAAGAAGUUAUCCGACUUUCAAAUUAGGUGAUUCCAGUUUCCCAGAUAAGGAAUAUGACAUCUUCUUCGUCGUUCCAAUCAAACCAGGAUGAAUCACUUUGUAAGAAGCUUGAUUUGGAUACAUAACGUGGUGGAGAAUAUACCAGGAAGUUAAAUAAAUCUCAUAAGAGUUGGGAUGAAGAAGUUAUCCCACUUUCAAUUCAGGUGAUUCAAGUUUCCCUGUUAGGGAAUAGGACAGCUUCUUCGUCGUUCCAAACAAAGAAGGAUGAAGCACUUUGUAAGAAGCUUGAUUUGGAUACAUAAAGUGGUGGAGAAUCACCAGUAAGUUGAAUAAAUCUCAUAGGAGUUAGGAUGAAGAAGUUAUCCCACUUUUAAAUCAGGUGAUUCCAGUUUCACAGUUAGGGAAUAGGACAGCUUCUUCGUCGUUCCAUUCAAACCAGGAUGAAUCACUUUGUAAGAAGCUUGAUUUGGAUACAUAAAGUGGUGGAGAAUCACCAGUAAGUUGAAUAAAUCUCAUAGGAGUUAGGAUGAAGAAGUUAUCCCACUUUUAAAUCAGGUGAUUCCAGUUUCACAGUUAGGGAAUAUGACAGCUUCUUCGUCGUUCCAUUCAAACCAGGAUGAAUCACUUUGUAAGAAGCUUGAUUUGGAUACAUAAAGUGGUGUAGAAUCACCAGGAAGUUGAAUAUAUCUCAUAGGAGUUGGGAUGAAGAAGUUAUCCCACUUUUAAAUCAGGUGAUUCCAGUUUCCCAAUUAGGGAAUAGGAAAGCUUCUUCGUCGUUCCAAUCAAAGCAGGAUGAAUCACUUUGUGAGAAGCUUGAUUUGGAUACAUAAAGUGGUGGAGAAUCAACAGGAAGUUGAAUAAAUUUUAUAAGAGUUGGGAUGAAGAAGUUAUCCCACUUUCAAUUCAGGUGAUUCAAGUUUCCCUGUUAGGGAAUAGGACAACUUCUUUGUCGUUCCAAUCAAACCAGGAUGAAACACUUUGUAAGAAGCUUUAUUUGGAUACAUAAAGUGGUGUAGAAUCACCAGUAAGUUGAAUAAAUCUCAUAGGAGUUGGGAUGAAGAAGUUAUCCCACUUUUAAAUCAGGUGAUUCCAGUUUCGCAGUUUCGGAAUAGGACAGCUUCUUCGUCGUUCCAAUCAAAGCAGGAUGAGUCACUUUUUAAGAAGCUUGAUUUGGAUACAUAAAGUGGUGGAGAAUCACCAGGAAUUUAUAUAAAUCUUAUAGGAGUUGGGAUGAAUAAAUUAUCCCACUUUCAAAUCAGGUGAUUCCAGUUUCCCAGUUUGGGAAUAGGACAGCUUCUUCGUCGUUCCAAUCAAAGCAGGAUGAAGCACUUUGUAAGAAGCUUGAUUUGGAUUCAUAAAGUGGUGGAGAAUCACCAGGAAGUUGAAUAUAUCUCAUAGGAGUUGGGAUGAAGAAGUUAUCCCUCUUUUAAAUCAGGUGAUUCCAGUUUCCCAGUUAGGGAAUAGGAAAGCUUCUUCGUCGUUCCUAUCAAACCAGGAUGAAUCACUUUGUGAGAAGCUUGAUUUGGAUACAUAAAAUGGUGGAGAAUCACCAGGAAGUUGAAUAAAUCUCAUAAGAGUUGGGAUGAAGAAGUUAUCCCACUUUCAAUUCAUGUGAUUCCAGUUUCCCUGUUAGGGAAUAGGACAGCUUCUUUGUCGUUCCAAUCAAACCAGGAUGAAUCACUUUGUAAGAAGCUUGAUUUGGAUGCAUAAAGUGGUGUAGAAUCACCAGUAAGUUGAAUAAAUCUCAUAGGAGUUGGGAUGAAGAAGUUAUCCCACUUUUAAAUCAGGUAAUUCCAGUUUCGCAGUUUCGGAAUAGGAUAUCUUCUUCGUCGUUCCAAUCAAGGCAGGAUGAAUUACUUUCUAAGAAGCUUGAUUUGGAUACAUAAAGUGUUUGAGAAUCACCAGGACGUUGAAUAAAUCUCAUAGGAGGUUGGAUGAAGAAGUUUUCCCACUUUCAAAUCAGGUGGGUUUUCCGGUUUGGGAAUAGGGCUGCUUCUUCGUCGUUCCAAUCAAAGCAGGAUGAAGGACUUUGUAAGAAGCUUGAUUUGGAUACAUAGAGUGUUGUAGAAUCACCAAGAAGUUGAAUAAAUCUCAUAGGAGAUUGGAUGAAAAAGUUAUCCCACUUCCAAAUCAGGUGAUUCCAGUUCCCAGUUUGGGAAUAGGACAGCUUCUUCGUCGUCCAAUCAAACCAGGAUAAAUCAAUUUGUAAGAAGCUUGAUUUGGAUACAUAAAGUGUUCGAGAAUCAGCAGGAAGUUGAAUAAAUCUCAUAGGAGUUGGGAUGAAGAAGUUAUCCCACUUUCAAAUUAGGUGAUUCCAGUUUCCCAGUUAAGGAAUAGGACAGCUUCUUCGUCGUUCCAAUCAAACCAGGAUGAAUCACUUUGUAAGAAGCUUGAUUUGGAUACAUAACGUGGUGGAGAAUCACCAGGAAGUUAAAUAAACCUCAUAGGAGUUAGGAUGAAGAAGUUAUCCCACUUUCCAUCAGGUGAUUCAAGUUUCCCUGUUAGGGAAUAGGACAGCUUCUUCGUCGUUCCAAACAAAGAAGGAUGAAGCACUUUGUAAGAAGCUUGAUUUGGAUACAUAAAGUGGUGUAGAAUCACCUGUAAGUUGAAUAAAUCUCAUAGGAGUUGGGAUGAAGAAGUUAUCCCACUUUCAAAUCAGGUGAUUCCAGUUUCCCAGUUUCGGAAUAGGACAGCUUCUUCGUCGUUCCAAUCAAAGCAGGAUGAAUCACUUUGUCAGAAGCUUGAUUUGGAUACAUAAAGUUGUGAAGAAUCACCAGGAAUUUGAAUAAAUCUCAUAGGAGGUUGGAUGAAGAAGUUAUCCCACUUUCAAAUCAGGUGAUUCCACUUUCCCAGUUAGGGAAUAGGAUAGCUUCUUCGUCGUUCCAAUCAAACCAAGAUCAAUCACUUUGUAAGAAGCUUGAUUUGGAUAGAUAAAGUGGUGUAGAAUCACCAGGAUGUUGAAUAAAUCUCAUAGGAGUUGGGAUGAAGAAGUUAUCCCACUUUUAAGUCAGGUGAUUCCAGUUUUGCAGUUUCAGAAUAGGACAGCUUCUUCGUUGUUCCAAUCAAACCAAGUAAAAAUCUUCAUAGUACCGAAUAUGGAAGACUUCCAUCUACUCUAACCGACAAGAACCGACAUAUAGACGACUAUAUAAAGGGAACCGAAACCCUAGAUUAAGGGAUUAACACUUUUAGACUUAGAGAUUAUACUUAGACGGCUAGGGUUAGGGUUCAUACCAAAAAUACUUGUAAUCCUUGCUUGUCCUUGCUUGUCUACUCAAUAAAGAUCUCUUCAAGUCUCUUACUCUCUAAUCUCUCAUAAAUGAUAUCACUCAAAUUACCCUAAGGAGUGAAUUACUCUCUCAAAUAAGAGGUUCAGAUGUAGAACUUAGGAAUCAGAUCCACAAAGACUCUAGGAUUACCCUAAUUGAUCUGUUUUGAGGUUGUUAACAUUUGGGAGAAAUAGUUAGAUUCAUGUAUAUUCUUAGGUAUGAUAAGUAAUACUUAAGUUGGGUGUUUAGGGGUUUAUUAAUAUUAAUUGUUCUUGAAUUCAAACUAAGAUAUAGUCUAUUUGAUUGUCUAAUCUGGAUUUCGGAUUUCAACUUUCGUAUGUUAAUCACGAGAAAGUUUCGAUAGAUAAUUCUUUAUGAAUAUCGAUCGAUAUACCUUUUAAAGUAUCGAUCGACAGGGCUAUCACUGCGUCGAUUGAUACUUCUUCCAGAAAGCUUUACGUACAGGUUUGAUUUAUAUUCUCUAACUUACUAGAUCAACUCUCGUCUGUAUCUAGUCAGUUAGAUCAUACUAGUUAAUUUUCAGGUAUUGAGUCAAGCAAUGACUUGAUCUCAAUUAAUCCUAAGAUCUAAGAUUUAUGGUUUAUCAACUCUAAGCUUAGUAAUAAGAACAACUAGAUGAAGAACUAAUUAAAUCACCCUAACAGAAAUUUAAGCUAGCAAUACAUAUAUCAACCUAUAUGAGAAACUUAAAUCUAACAGUGAGAUUACUCAGACAUAUUCAGAAAAGGCAUGGUUAUGAUGGUCUGAAUAAUAUUGCAAUAGAUAAAUAAACAUAAUAGAGUAAAGAAACAAAGGGGGUUCAAUAUUUUCUCUCUCUCCAAUCCUACGCUCUCUCUCUAGAAUAGUAUGAAGCAUUGCCAUCAACAAUGCCUUAGAAAACAGUAAAAUAGGGUUUCUGGUCAUCCAGGGGUAUUUUGGUAACUUAGUGUGGCUUCUGGGCUUCAAAAGGUCUUGAAAUAUGCUUGGCCCACGUUCUGGCAUCCAUAUCGAUCGAUGUCAAGAGUUCCGCAUCGAUCGACAUACGUUCCUCUUCUCGACAUUUUCCUCUCGCAAGGCAGACUGACCACUCUUCAGUACAAUGGGCAUAACUUCUGCUACAAGAUGCUGAUUUACCUGACACCGGUGGCAUUGGAAAGAUAACUCAAAUAUCUAUCUUUUGUCCAAAGAUGAACUCAAUAUAACGGUGGGAAAGUCUCCAUCCAUAGCUAAACAUCUGAUGCAUAUGUGCAGUUCUGCACUCAAAAUGCUCCAAAAUCACCAUAUUUCUCCAUAAUGUACCUGAACCUGAAAAUACUCUAAAUAGACUCUAUAUAUUAGUAAAUAUAUAUUAAAACACUUAUAUACCAUGGCUGAAAGUGGGUAAAAUCCAUGUUAUAUCUACUCCCCCAGACAUACUCUUUUGUUUGUCCUCAAACAAAACAUACUAGAGCAGUCUCUCUGAAAGAGGUUUGAAAACAGCAGGGAUUCUCAUGAUUUAAAACUUAGAAUCAUCACCUCUACAAUAUUACAAUCCACAUCUAAGAAGUCCUACUCAGAAAAGCACAUUAUAUCAUAUCCUAGUUUAGCAACCAAAUUCACCUAGCCAACAACUUAGCAAAUCAUGUUUUACAUUCCCGUCUACCAACCUCAUUUCUUAACAUAAAUAAAAGUGCAAGCUUUACCUUGGGAGUAUCAAUCACAGGAUGCAAUGAUUUUCAAACAAGUAUCUGAAUCUGCAGGUAAAAGUUAGUUCGUAUCUUUUUUCUCUACUAAUUUCUCUCUUUAGUCAAAGUCUGCUUAUAUUGCAAGAUCAAUGACAAAGAUUGGACAGGCUUCCAUGAAUCAAAACUUAAUGGUGGUUGCCACCAAGUCAUGUUCACUUCUUUUUGACCUAUAUCCAAGAAUUCAUAUGAAUCGAACCUUGAUGAUUGCCGCCACCAAGUCCCGUUCGAAUUAUUUUUGUAGGAAUCCUUAUGAAGCAAGCCUUAAUGGUUGUAGCCACCAAGUCAUGUUCGGAUUCCACUUAACUAACACAUGUAUAUAUAUAUAAUUUCUAUUUUUCUUUCUUUUUCUUUUUUUUUUCUUUUUCGUUUUUUUUUUUUUUGAAAUAAAUAUCUCUACCAAUAAAUCUAGGGUCGAAAUAGAGAAAGAAAAGGUGAUAAAUCUACACAAGGUUUUACCUUCUAGACUUGUUUAAAGAAUCCGUUCCCAUGUAGACCAAGCUCCAAGACAAGCAGUUGUGUCAGGUUUAGUGUUGGAGGUCAGUUUUGGUUCCUUCAAACAAUCUUAACAAAUGUGAUUAGUUGACAGGUUGAUCCACUUUAGUAUCUUUAGUACUAUCUGCAAUCAAUAAUUCUAGAAUGGUGCUAGAGAGUGGUUAGAUAACAAGUAAAAGUCUAAUAAGUUCAUUAUCCCCUUCUUGACUCAAUAAAACUCUUUUGAAAACAUUUUGAUAAGACUCAUGAACACACUAAUAUCAGUAAACAUCCCCCAUACUUAAAUUACACUGUCCCUAGUGUAUAUCUAGUUGGAGUUAUGGUGAGAAAUAAUCAUAAGUACACAAUUUAACAAGUUAUAACAAUAUACCUGACCAAGUAAGUGUCGAUCGAUGGAAAGGAGUUGCCAUCGGUCGGUGCAGGUGAUGUACGGUCGAUCGAUAUCGACAUGCUCUCAUCGGUCGAUUUUAUAAUUGUCUACUCGGAUUUUUUUAUUUAUUUAAACUAAAUCCUAAAUAUCCUAAAACUAGAAAUGGGUUGCCUCCCAUUCAGCGCUUAUUUUGAGUCUUGAGCUCGACUCGAGGUCUGAAUGUCUAAUUAUCAUGAAGAAGGCCUAAGUGUAAAGGCCUGCUAAUUGGCGGUUUAGCCCAAAAGUGUUUCACUCGUUGUCCAUUCACUGUAAAUUCUUCUCCUUUAUCGUUUAUAAGUGUGAUGGCUCCAUAAUGUUUGACAUCCACAACAGUGAAAGGACCUGACCAACGAGAUCGGAGUUUUCCAAGAAACAGCGUAAGUCGAGAGUUAUAUAACAGCACUUGAUCAUUUGGUUCGAAGUUCCUGGAGAUGUUCUUUUUAUCAUGAUAUGCUUUCGUUUUCUCUUUAUAGAUCUUUGAACUCUCAUAGGCUAAUUGUCUUAUUUCUUCCAGCUCGUUAAGCUUAAUUACUCUCCUUUCGGCAGCUGGUUUGAUGUCGAAAUUUAAUAAUUUUAUAGCCCAUGCUGCCUUAUGUUCUAGCUCAACCGGUAAGUGACAAGAUUUUCAAUAGAGUAGGUGAAAUGGGGUUGUUCCUAGUGGGGUUUUGUAUACAGUUUGGUAGGCCCAAAGUGCAUUGUCCAGUUUUCUAGACCAAUCUUUCCUAGAAGUUCCUACGGUCUUUUCUAAGAUUUCUUUGAUCUGUCGAUUUGAGACUUCUACUUGUCCACUUGUUUGCGGAUGGUAGGGUGUAGCAACUCUAUGGUGAACUCCGUUCUUCCGGAGCAAUCCGUCAAAAUCUUUGUUAAUAAAAUGGAAGCCACCGUCGCUUAUGACUAUUCUAGGAACUCCAAAUCUUGGAAAAAUAAUGCUCUUGAAAAGCUUGAUAACUACAGAUGCGUCAUUUUUUGGGGAGGCUACUGCUUCGACCCAUUUUGAUACAGAAUCAACAGCGACUAGUAUGUAUUUGUUCCCAUACGAAGAAGGGAAAGGACCCACGAAAUCUAUUCCCCAACAAUCAAAGACUUCUACCUCUACAAUAGAUUUCUGUUCCAUUUCAUGUCUUUUACUGAUUUUCCCCCUUCGUUGGCAUCUGUCGCAUUGUGCUAUGAAUGCAUGAGCAUCGGGAAACUUGGUCGGCGACCAGAAUCCUGCCUGAAGACUUUUAGAUACCGUUUUAAAGGUUGCAAAAUGUCCAGCGUAGUCGGAUCCAUGGCAUUAGAAUAAAAUAUCAGGGAUUUCAGUUUCGGCGACGCAACGUCUAUAUAUCCCGUCAGAGAAAUGUUUGUAGAGAUAUGGUUCGUCCCAGUGAUAUCUCCUAACUUCUCUUAAAAAUUUCUUCCUUGUAUAACCUCUUAGCUCUUCGGGUUCCACGUCAGCAGCUAGAUAGUUUACGAUAUCAGCGUACCAAGGUCUAUUCUUUAAACCUUUUUCGACUGCGUGCACUUCCCGAUGCAGACUUUGAUCUACGGGGGAAUCAUGGUGAGCAUGCAGCUCUUUGUACGCGACAUUAACUAUUAUAACGAAGGUUUUGGGAUUUGUGUCUUUGUUUAGAUCAUUUGAAGUGUCGAUCGACAUACUAUCACCGUCAUAAAUUGUCAUGGUACUGCCGUAAUCGAUCGACAUAGCAUUAUUGUCGUCGAUCAACAGGUCCUCGGAAGUGAGACAUACAUUCCCGAUGAACGAAUCCGUUCGGUAAACGCUUUCAGUUGGUAAGAAGUCAUCGAUAGGGAAGUCGUUUUCUAUUCUUAUCCGGGAAAGAUGAUAUGCAACUCCGUUUUCUACUCCUAUUUUUUCUUUAAUCUCAAUGUCGAAUUCUUGAAGUAAAAGGAUACAUCGCAUGAGACGUGGUUUCACAUCUUUCUUUUGCAUCAAAUAUUUAAUAGCAGCAUGGUCAGUAUGGACAAUGACUCGCAAACCGACCAGGUAUUGGCGGAACUUUUCGAAUGCAUAAACCACGGCGAGCAGUUCUUUUUCUGUUGUUGCGUAAUUCCUUUGUGCCUCGUCGAGCGUUCUACUGGUAUAGUAAACUGCAUGUAGCUUUUUGUCUUUUCUUUGGCCUAGAACUGCUCCUACAGAGAAAUAACUCGCAUCGCACAUGAUUUCGAAAGGAAGAUUCCAGUCAGGUGCUUGUACGAUGGGGGCAGUUAUCAAAGCUUUCUUUAUUUCCUCAAAAGACUUUACGCAUUCUGGUGAGAAGACGAAUUUAACUUCUUUAGAGAAAAGAGAGGUGAGAGGUCUAGCAAUUUUGCUAAAAUCAUGUAUGAACAUUGAUAUACCUUGGAUUUGACCCAUUUUUAUCCAUGGUAUAUAAGUAUUUUACUAUAUAUAUAUAUAUCUAUGUUUUCUACUCUUCUAGGUAUGUUUUCAGGUUCAGGUGCAUUUCGGAGUAAAGCUAUGACUUUGGAGCAUUUUGGAGCUUAAAAGACAUUUCACCCGAGCUGACCACUUAGAGGUCGACGAGAGGAAGAAUAAUCGAUCGACGCGCAUCAGUGCUGACGAUCGAUAUCAGGAAAUGCGUCGACAGAUGAAGAUUAAUAUCGAUCGAUGUACACAACUACCAUCAAUCGAUGUCGAGACACCAUACGCGACAUUUUGGAUUCAGCAGACUUAAAAACCAAGGCCAAGCCAAAUUACCAAAAUGCCCUGACGAGUUUUUAACCUAGUAGAAUAUAUACUGCCUAGUGUUUUUGACGGCAGGAGUACAAAGUUUUUCUAGACCUAGUUUUGUUACAAGUUUCAUUUGGGAGAGAAGAUCACUUGUGAUUGGAACUCCUUGUUUCUAUUUCUUUUCAUCUAUUCUAUGAGUUUCUAUUUAUCUAUUGAUAUGAAUUGCUUUGCUAUGUCUGAGUAGUUCAACUGUUAGAUCCAGGGUUCAGAUAGUUUGUGGGAUUAGCCCCAAACUAUAGAUCUGCCUUGUUGUGAUGUUCAUGAUAGAUUUGUAUUCAUUGCUUGUUUUAGCCUUGCUAACUAGAACUUGAUCAUAGGAUUGCAUAUUCAAGCACCCUUGUUAUCCCAUCCUGACAUCUAUAUAUCAUAUUAGGAUUGCUAGAGAGGGCUAACCGCCAAUUUAGAAUCUUAGUAGGGCAUUUCAUACUCGCGCAUAGGCCUGGCUAGAACCCGUCGAUCGAUGUCCUCAACUGACAAUCGAUCGAUGUUGGCAAAGGUGUACCGGUCGACGUCUUAAUAGACUAUUGAUCAACACUCUCUCGUGUCUGCAUACUAACCUGUGAGACACGAGAUCUAGUCUGUUAACUAGUGGUACAUGCGACAGCUGAUCACUGAGUUAAGCGAAUGAGCUCUAAUAUAUCAUGCAUGCAACAGUUAGGCAUCUAUAGGUAUUAUAAUCUCCAACACCUGAAUAGUGGCCCUGCAUCUAAUAUCAUUUCCAACCAAGUUACAUUUAUAUUUACUCGCUUGUUACUAUUGCUAUUCCAUUUAAACAUUUACAACCUUUAGAAUUAAUAAACACUAUAUUUAAUUUUUCUCUAGCUCCUUGUGGAUUCGAUCCCUAACUACUACAUCUGAACCUCUUUUGAUGAGAGUAACACUCCUUAGGGUAAUUUGAGUGGUAUCAAAUAUCCUGUAGAAUCCGGCAUGCCCGAGAAAACUUCUCACGUCUUUUACGUUCGUGGGUGCAGGCAAACCGGUCAUUACUUUAAUUUUUGCUUGAUCUACUUCUAUACCAGCAGCGGACACUUUAUGAUAGGACGAUUCCAUCAUUAACCAUGAAGUGGCAUUUUUCCCAAUUUAGAAUGAGGUUCUUUUCUUCACAUCUUGCCAAAACCUUACAUAGGUUAUCGAGACAGUUUUUGAAACUGGAUCCAUAUGCAGAGAAAUCGUCCAUGAAGACUUCCAUGAAAUCUUCUAUCAUAUCAGUAAACAUUGACAUCAUGCAUCGUUGGAAAGUGGUAGGGGCAUUACAAAGACCGAAUGGCAUUCUGCGGUAUGCGAAUGUUCCGUACGGGCAUGUAAAGGUGGUCUUUUCUUGAUCGUCAGGAUGUAUAGGGAUUUGGAAAAAUCCAGAGUAUCCGUCAAGAAAACAGUAGUAUUGGUGAUUUGCCAAUCUUUCCAACAUUUGAUCAAUGAACAGUAAGGGAAAGUGAUCUUUUCUGGUGGCAGCGUUUAGCUUCCUAUAAUCGAUACACAUUCGUUGUCCAGUGACAGUUUGCGUGGGAAUGAGUUUGUUUUUAUCGUUCUUAACCACUGUAAUUCCGCCUUUCUUAGGUACAACAUGCACGAAGCUCACCCAGUUGCUAUCAGAAAUUGGAUAGAUGAUUCCAGCAUCUAGAAGUUUGAUAAUUUCCUACUUGACAACUUCUUUGAAGUUUGGGUUUAGCCUUCUUUGAUAUUCCACUGACGAUUUGGAAUCGUCUUCUAAGUGAAUUCGGUGCAUGCACAGAUUUGGAAUCGUCUUCUAUGGGGGUUUUCUGCAGAAGUGAUUUCUACAGUGCUUGGAGAAAGGCGUUUUCCGCUUCUUAGUAACACAGUACAAACUUGGCGGCUUGGGUUGGUAUCAGUUUUUUCAGGAAGGAAUCCUUCAUCUCUUCUGACAAACCCAAUGUUAUGCGCAACUUGGCUAUCUAAUUUAUUGACAUGUUUACUCAAAGUUUCAAACUUAUCAUGUAAAUCAGAAUAUACGGAAUCCAAUCUUUCAUCAAAAAGCGCACUCAUUUUCUGCUGGCUUUUUAGAACUUGACCAAUCAUAGAUUCCAGCUUGCACCUAUGAGUCUGUCCUGCCUCGUAGGUCCUUAUGAAGCUCAUGUUUCGCUGCUGAUCGGCAAGUCUUUGUUUGCGAAAGCCAGUUUCAUCGAUCAGGUAUACAUGCUGUUCUGCAUCUCCUUCACGUAGCAAGGCCUGACUCUCUUCGGUAAACCAAACUUGCUCAUCUCCAAUCACAAAGGCAUGAGCUAAAUAUAACGUUUCUUUCCCCUCAGAUAUCGGAUCUCCAUUCGAAUUCUCGGCCAUCUUCCUCCUCUCUAGAUCAGUCUUCUUGGCACUAGUGCUAGAAGCAACCUUUACAAUGAGCCUUAUAGCUUCUUCAUGUGUCUUAUUUUUGAAGUUCCCUUGAAUCGCAACGUCCAAAGUCGCUUGGUAUGUCAGGUGGAGACCUCUGAAGAAAAUAUUAAAUAGCUGGAUUUCGGGAAAACCAUGGUGUGGGCAGUCUCACUGGUAGGCUUUGAAUCUCAACCAAGAAUCAUUAAAAGCUUCAGUAGUGCCUUAAGAAAAAUUAUAGAUCUUAUUCCUAAAUUCCUCGGUUCGUGCAUCAUCGAAGAAGUUGUUGAGGAAGGCGCUUUUGAUAUAACUCCAGCAAGUGAAAGAUCCUGGCUGCAAUUGUUUCAGCCAGUGCCUCACAUCUCAAGCAAGGGAGUGCGUGAAGAGUUUGCAAAAUAGGUAGUCUUCAGAGACUCCAUGCACCUUGAUGUUAGAUACAAAGUCCUCAAGUGUUUCGAUAUGGUCUAUGGGAAUUUCAUUAGGAAGACCACGAAAGGGGUGCUGACAUACUAGAGAGAAAUAUUUGGGUUUUAGUUCAAAGUCUUUUCUUUGAAUUGCUGGAGGACGGAUCGCAGACCUGUUAGUGUAGAACCGAUCAGGUCUGAUGUAAUCUCCGAGCGUUUGGUGAUGCUCCGGUCAAGCAUCCAAAACAACAGCUACUCCAAUAGGAAUUGGAGCCCUAUGUCUAUAAUUAAUUUGGUUUGAUGCAUGGCAUACUCGACCUUUUUGAUUUCCUAGAACCACUUUUUCUUUAUUGAAACAUGUAAGAACAUACUUACUUGCUUCUGGCAGGAUGGCGUCGAUCGAUAUUGGUAGCGGAGUGUCGAUCGAUUUUUGUGUUGACCCAUCGCUCGAUGUUAUUGUCUGAGCGUCGAUUGAUUUUGGGCCAAAAUUCAUGUCUUCCAUCUUAAGUACCUGUGUCAGCAGGGAAAGAGGGAAAACUUUAGCUGAUUCAGUAACAAAAUCUAGACUAUAUUCUAAACUUAAUCUAAUGGUAAUAAGAAAACGUUCCCGGCAACGGCGCCAAAUUUGAUAUCACUCAAGUUAUCCUAAGGAGUGAAUUACUCUCUCAAAUAAGAGGUUCAGAUGUAGUACUUAGGGAUGGAAUCCACAGAGACUCUAGGAUUACACAGUAGAUUAUGGUCUUGAAAUAAAUCUAGAUUGAAUGGUUUAUAAGUUUUAAAGCAGUAAAUGGAGUGGUGAGCAACUUUAUUGCUCGAUUGAUUUGUUUUGAGGUUGUUAACAGUUGGGAGAAAUAGCUAGAUUCAGGUAUAUUCUCAGGUAUGAUAAGUAAAACCUAAUCUGGAUUUCAGAUUUCAACUUUUGUAUGUUAAUCACGAGAAAGUGUCGAUCGAUAAUUCUUUAUGAAUAUCGAUCUAUAUACCUUUCAAAAUAUCGAUCGACAAGGCUAUCGCUGCGUCGAUCGAUACUUCUUCCAUAAAGCUUUACGAACAGGUUUGAUUUAUAUUCUCUAACUCACUAGAUCAACUAUCGUAUGUAUCAAGUUAGUUAGAUAAUACUAGUUUAUUUUCAGGUAUUGGGUCAAGCAAUAACUUGAUCCCAAUUAAUCCUAAGAUCUAAGUCUUAGGGCUUAUCAACCUUCAGCUUAGUAGUAAGAACAACUAGAUGGAGAACUAAUUAAAUCCCCCUAACAUCAAUUCAAACUAGCAAUACAUGUAUCAACCUAUGAGAAACCUAAAUCUAACAGUGAGAUUACUCAAACAUAUUCAUAAAAGACAUGGUUAGGAUGGUCUGAAUAAUAUUGCAAUUGAUAAAUAAACGAAAUGGAGUAAAAAAACAAAGGGAGUUCAAGAUCUUCUCUCUCUCAAGGUGUACAUAUCGCUCUCUCCAAUCCUAAGCUCUCUCUCUCUCUAAAAUAGGGUUUCUGAUCGUCCAGGGGUAUUUUGGUAACUUCGUGUGGCUUCUGGGUUUUAAAAGGUCUUGAAAUAUGCUUGGCCCACAUUCUGGCAUCCAUAUCGAUCGAUGUUUACGUAGACAGGUGAUACCACUCAAAUUACCCUAAGGAGUGUUACUCUCAUCAAAAGCGGUUCAGAUGUAGUACUUAGGGAUCGAAUCCACAAGAAGCUAGGGAACAAUUAAAUCUAGUGUUUAUUAAUUCUAAAGGUUGUAAUGUUUUAAAUAAAAUAGCAAUAGUAACUAGCGAGUAAAUGAUAAAUGUAACUUAGGUUGGAAAUGAUAUUAGAUGCAGGGCCACUAUUCAGGUGUUGGAGAUUAUAAUUCCUAUAGAUACCUAACUGUUGCAUGCAUGAUAUAUUAGAGCUCAUUCGCUUAACUCAGUGAUCAGCUGUCGCAUGUACCACUGGUUAACAGACUAGAUCUUGUGUUUCACCGGUUAGAUGCUGACACAAGAGAGUGCCGAUCGAUAGUCUAUUACAACGUCGACGGAUACACUUUUGCCAACAUCGAUCGAUUGUCAGUUGAGGACAUCGAUCGACGGGUUCUAGCCAGGCCUAUGCGCGAGUAUGAAAUGCUCUACUAAGAUUCUAAAUUGGCGGUUAGCCCUCUCUAGCAAUCCUAAUAUGAUAGAUAGAUGUCAGGAUGGGAUAACAAGGGUGCUUGAAUAUGCAAUCCUAUGAUCAAGUUCUAGUUAGCUAGGCUAAAACAAGCAAUGAAUACAAAUCUAUCAUGAAUAUCACAACAAGGCAGAUCUAUAGUUUGCGGCUAAUCCCACAAACCUAUCUGAACCCUAGAUCUAACAAUUGAACUACUCAGACAUAGCAAAGCAAUUCAUAUCAAUAGAUAAAUGGAAACUCAUAGAAUAGAUGAUAAGAAAAUGAAACAAGGAGUUCCAAUCACAAGUGAUCUUCUCUCCAAAUGAAACUUGUAACAAAACUAGGUCUAGAAAAGAAAAGCUCUCUCUGCCGUCAAAACUUAGGCAGUAUAUAUUCUACUAGGUUAAAAACUCGUCAGGGCAUUUUGGUAAUUUGGCUUGGCCUUGGUCUUUAAGUCUGCUGAAUCCAAAAUGUCACGUCUGGUGUCUCGACAUCGAUCAAUGGUACUUGUGUACAUCGAUCGAUAUUAAUCUUCAUCUGUCGGGGCAUUUCCUGAUAUCGAUCAUCAGCACUGAUACUCAUCGAUCGAUUAUUCUUCCUCUCAUCGACCUCUAAGUGGUCAGCUCGGGUGAAAUGUCCUUUAUGCUCCAAAAUGCUCCAAAGUCAUAGCUUUACUCCGAAAUGCACCUGAACCUGAAAACAUACCUAGAAGAGUAGAAAAAUAGAUAUAUAUAUAUAUAUAUAUAGUAAAAUAAUAAUAUACCAUGAAUAAAAAUGGGUCAAAUCCAAGGUAUAUCAACUCCCCCAGACUUACCCUUUUGCUUGUCCUCAAGCAAAACAUAUAGGCAGUCUCUCUGAAAGAGGUUUGAAAAUAUUUGGGAACUUAAGAUUUUAAAAACAUAGAAAUCUUUCCUCAACAAUUUUGCAACCAAAUUUAAAAGUCCUAAUCACAAAAGCACACUAUGCAAUAUCCUAGCUUAGCAACCAUUUCUAACAAAACACAACUCAUCAAUUCACGUCUGACAUCCCCUCUAUUGAUUUCAUUUCUUAGCAUAAAUAUAAAGUGAAUGCUUUACCUUGGGAGUAUCGAUCACAUGAUGCAAGGAUUUCAGACAGGUAUCUGGAGCUGCAGGUAAAAGUUAGUUCCUAGUUUCUCUCUCUCUAAAUUUCUCUCUUGAGUCAAAGUCUGCUUCCUUUGCAGGAUCAGUGACCAAGAUUGGACAGGCUUCCAUGAAUCAAAACUUAUUUGUGGUUGCCACCAGGUUCUGUUCACUUCUUUUUUGACCUAUGUCCAAGAGUUCUUUGCGAAAUCGAGCCUUGAAGAUUGCCGCCUCCAAGUCCCGUUUCAAACUCUUUUAUUUGAGUCUUUAUGAAUCAAGCCUUAGUGGUUUUAGCCACCAAGUCCUGUUCAGACUCAUCCUAAUUAAACAAUAGAUCUUACUUAUUAUUAUUUUUUUAUUAUUAUUUUUUUUAAUACUCUAUAUCUAAUCUAGGGUCGAAAUCUAGAGAGAGAAAAUGUGAUAAAUAAUCUAAACCAGGCGUUACCUUCCAGACCUAUCUGAAGAAUCUGAUCCCAUGUAUACCAAGCCCCAAGACAAGCGGUUAUCUCAGGUUUAGUGUUGGAAAUCAUCUUUGGUUACUUCAUACGGUUCAAGGCAAGUGUGUUGUUGAUAGGUUGAUCUGCUUUAGCAUCUUUAGUGCUAUCUGCAAUCAGUAAAUCUAAAAUGGUGCUAAAGAUUGGUUAGAUAUUCAUGUUUAAAUCAAUAUAAGAUUAUAGUCCCUAUUUUCGAUAGCUAAGCAUAAUUUAUUUGAAAUUCUUUUUUACGUAAGAAUAAAAUAAAUUAUAUCAGUAAAUCUCCCCCCCCCCAGACUUAAAUUACACUGUCCAAGUGUAACUCAGCCGGAGUUAUGAUGAAAUGUGUAUGAUGUACGAAAUGUAACAAGUAGGUAAGAUACAUCUGACCGGAUUAAAUAUCGAUCGAUGGGUAAGUGUUACAUCGAUCGUCGUGUGGUUGCCUUUGUCAAACGAUGUUGACCUCUCGUUGUCGGUCGAUAUUCAAGUCCUCCUUCUUGGUUCUCCUAAAUCUGAAAGAGAUAAAACGAAAGAAAUUAAGUGCUAGCUAGAAAACCGAAGUAAAAUACCUAAUAGUGGGUUGCCUCCCACUCAGCGCUUGGUUAUAGUCAUUUAGCUUGACUGUGGUAGUGAUUGGCUAUUGGGUGGAGAAGCAUCUGCUUGUUGGAAAGCAAGCAUUCGCGUCAUCUCUGCGCAUUCUGGACCAAGAUGCAAUGAAACUUCUUGUGGCCUCAUCAUUUCUUGUCCAUUUGUCAUCCAUCUUCCCAAGUACAUUGGAGAUGUUAUGUAGCCUUUCUUGAAUGUUUCAAUGCUGACCUGGUGCCAGCCUAUGUUGUCAUAGGCGUAUGCUGAAAGAUCUGCCAGUUCCUUUUGCAUUGACUCUACUGUCUUGUGUAUCAGCUGCUCGUCGAUUGGUAUAGAAUCGGCGUCGAUCGAUGCGAUUACGUGUUUGUUGGUUGAUCUCGGUGAGUUGCCGUCGAUCGAUUUUGCUUUUGUCUUGUCGAUCGAUGCAGAUAUCUGAUGUUGAGCUGCGAGUUGCCUCUGAAUGGUUUUGACUUCUUUCUGUAGCCAUUCUGCGUGGUUGUCUAGUCCACUGAUUUUGUUGUCGAAUGGAAAGUAGAUAUCAUCGUAGCGUUUGUCAAGUCGUUCCUCCAUGGUGUCUAGAGCAGUGUUGAUCUUGGAUGUGAUCUUGUCAACCUCUGCUGCUGUGUAAGGAAGUAACUCCACAGGUUUCUUGCCAUCGAUCCAGGAUCCUCUUAGCCUGUCCAUCGAUGCUGAUUUUUCCUGCAAAAAACUUUGAUUUGUAAUGUUCUCAAUAUCCUUUUGGGCAUCAAGUAAUUGACUAGACAAUUUGUUUAAAUCUAUCAUGACUGGUGAUAUAAAACGGUCAUGCAUAUCCUCGUAAGUCCUCAGCCUCUCAUUCAUUGCUGAGACUUUGGCGUCGAGCGAUGUGAAGGUGCACAUGUCGAUCGAUGUGGCUGGAUGUUGGUCCUUCUUGCGAAUGGUGUCCGGAUCUUGCUGUAGUAGCUCGAUUUUAGUGCUUAGCCAGUCCACGUUGUUGUUGAGAGGGCAGUAAACGUCGUUUAUCCUCGUGUCGAUGUAUGAGACUUCCCAUUCAUCCCUGUGUUGUGUUGAACAUCGCGGUUCUGCAAGGAUCUUAGCUGUAGGAAGACUAACGUCGAUCGAUGUUGCACGUGGUGCGUCGAUCGAUGCUGAGGUCGUAGCUUCCUUCUCAAGUUGCUGACGUACACUUUCAAUUUUUGUCCUCAUUUCUGCCAUACAUCUGAAAAGCUCAUUGUAGCCUCUAUCCAAAGGCUGAUGUGUUUCAUCUACCAAUGUUUUGAGCUCCUCUCCCAGUUUCUCAUGAGCUCCACAAAUACCAAACACCAUUUCAUCGAUUUCUUCUUUGGUGUAGAGUUCUGGUGCCAGUCUUGUGAGUGUGAAGGAAGUGGCAUGUUCUGGAAGACAGAUGUGGCUCUCUUCAAAAAGAGAUGCUCUUUCCAGUAUUUUCCUGAUGUUGUCCUUUGUGACAGGUAUCAUCUCACCAGCUGCGCUUCGUGCGUGUCCACGCUCAUCUCUAUAGACUCCAUAUUCGUCCCUUUGUUCCCAAGUGAACUUUCUGGCUCCAUACAUGUCGAAAGCGCGGCUCCCAAAUUCAUAGCGUCUGUCGAUCAACGUCGGAUCAUCCAUAUCGAUCGACGUCGGAUCAUCCAUAUCGAUCGACGUUGGUGUUACCAUGGCGAUCGAUGUCUCCGUUGUACCGUCGAUCGAUGCUUGCUCUUUUGGUUGGCGUGAUAGAUCUGUGUUGAUCUCUGUUGUGGCGACUCCUGCGUGGUUGUUAGGAUUUGUUAGAAUGACGUCUGGAGUGCCACGUUGCUGUGAGAACAGGUUGUCAGGUCCAUUGGCUACUUGAAGGAUGUGUGCUAUGUCCUCUCUGGACACUUGUAAAAUCCUUCCAUCCAUUGCACGUGCGUUGCCAUCUGGAUCCCUGAAAAUACCAAAUUCAUCAGGUGUUAGAAAACCGUAAUCAAUGUUUGCAUAAUUAUUCAUUUUAGAAAUAGAGAGAUUAGGGUUUAGAGUAGUAUCGAUCGAUGUAGAUACAGUUACAUCGAUCGUUGGCAGAGUAAUUUCUGCAGAACUUGUGUUCUUGAGAUGAUUGCUCUUCAUGGACUUUUCUGUUGAUGUAGAAGGAAGAGUGUUCAUCUUAUUUGCUUGUGUGUUUGCUCUUAUGUGUGUAGGUGGUUUCGGAGGUGCAAAACGAUUUAUAUAGGUAUUUGUAAACCUGGUUAGGGAGAGAAUAUUCUCCUGCUCCUGAAUUUUCGCUGCGGCGCCAAUAUCGAUUGAUUUUCCUUUCGGUGGGUCGAUCGAUGUGAGCGGUUGUUUUGCUGGACGACGGUGGGUAUCGACUGAUGUGGAGUGCACAGCGUCGAACGAUGUUGGAAACGUGUUGGUGAACUUGUGUAUUUCAAGUCUUUCAUCCUGCAAAGACAUUUCUAUUGCACGUUCUUUCCAGUAAUCCUCAUCGUAUUCCUCGGUAUGUUCCUCAUGAGGUGAAGUAAUUACAGUGUCAACUGCCAGCAAAACUUUCAUGGAAACCACUGUCUACCCAACUGCUUAUGGAAUAAUCAUCAUGUCCUCUCCUGGUUGGAGGUUGGAAGGAAAAAUGUUGGUAACAAUGAUUAGGUGAAGCGAAAUGGUCAAGUGGGUGCAUUACGUCGAGUGACGUGUUGUUGUGGUCAUCGGUCACCAUUGACACAUUGGAAUCAAUCGAUGGAAAGGUUGGGGUGUCGAUCGAUUCCGAGUACUCUGUUUCGUACUCGGAUUCAUACUCUGCUCCACAAUGGCAUGCGCCAAUGAAGCCAAGUUCUUUCCCAUAAUCCACAAGAUUAAUUACCUUUCUCUUAGGUCGGAUGAGAUCGUAGUGGAUGUUUGGGUCUAUGAGCGUUAGACACAAUUUGUUUUUGUUCAUGUCACAUACAGCUCCUACUGUAGCUAGGAAAGAUCUUCCAAGCAGAAGUGAAGAGUUCCAAUUAAGCUCGAUGUCUAAGAUGAAAAUCUACAGGGACAAGGGCAUUACCAAUCAGUACCUCCAGAUCUCUUAUGAUGCCUCCGGAUCGUUUCUCUAAAAGAUCCACGAAGGUGAAGGAUUCUGUUGAGGGUUCGAUGGUCAAACCAAGCUGGUCUGCCAUAAUCCUAGGGAGGAUACUAACCGAUGCUCCUGUGUCACACAUUGAAUGGGGAAAUUCAACACCCUUGACUAUGCAUGGUAUUGUAAACUUCCCAGGAUCACUCUUCUUCGUCAAUGUGAUCCUGUGUUUCAUCUUUCCUCUGACUUGAUGAAACAUUCUCCUAAUGUCCUCCUCAAUUACCUUUGUUUCUCUGAAGAACAUCCACAAUUGGUGUGUGAAGUAAGCUUCAUCAAAAGGUUUUUCGAUUGGGAUUUUGAGGACUCGUUUAGUAAAACCAUCCAUCUCCUUAUCGUUAGCUUCGCUCUUAAGGUUUUUAGGAAUCUUCUCCUUUCUUUUCCUUAACCUUCUCCCUUCAGAUUCUUGUUCUUCUUGAACAGAUUCUGUUCAACUAGUUAAAGGGUUGGGUUUUGGUUCGGGUGGGUUUGCUAAUGGUUUAGGUGGUGGUCUGAGUGCAUUGAUGUAAUCAUUAUCGAUUGAGGGUAACCGCAUUUGGUAUGUCAGAGGUGCCUGUCGAUCGAUGGGAGGUGUGUUGUGACGAUCGACGUCGGACUCACUCUGUCGAUCGAUGGUUGAGUUAACCGAUCGAUCGAUUUUUUCAUAGAAAGGGGAGGGUGGGUGAGGAUGCUUAGCUGCGAAUUCUUCAUGAGUUAGAAUUCGAACCGCAUUGCAUUCAGUCGAAUUGGCAGACGACGUCGAUCGAUGACUGGAGUAAUCCGUCCAUCGAUCUUCAUCAUGGUCUGUCGAUCGAUGCGAGUUCAUCGACAUCGGUCGAAACCAUUGGGAUCCGCCGAGACUCAUGGAGCUUUCGAUUUCGAAAUAUCCUUCCUCAAGGUUUUCAUUUCUCACCACUUGCCAGAAUUCGUCAUCUAUGAUGGCAUUUACGUGGUGUUUCCCUUUGUCGGCUCCUGCCUCACUAGCGAAAGCUUCUUGCCUCUUAAUAGUCUCGCCCGUCUAAAUUACUUGGGUUUCAAGUUUUCUCACCUGAGUCCCUAAGGUCUCGAUUUUGGUGUUCAGAUUGUUGUAGGCAAAGUCUAUUUUACCGUUGAAAUCCACGAUGAUUUGUUGUUUUCCCAACAGUACUCGAUCAAGUAUUUCUUCGAUCUUGCUUUCGUGAGUCUGGGGUGGUGGAUUUUGAUAGUAAGAGUUCGAGUAGCUCUUGCUGUUGUUGAAGGGUUUUUGAAAUUGUGAACUUUGGUUACUUCUUUGGCCAUUUCCAAAGAAGUUUCUGUUUCCGUCCUGGUUUCCAAAUUUCUAGAAUCCGGUACCUCCGAUGUAGUUCACACCUUCUUCUCCUUCUGUAUCUGCUACUUCUCCUUCAGCUGAACAGACUUGCUUCCUAAGAAGCUUGUGCACCAUAUCUAACUUAGCUCUUACUUCGUCCAUCUGUUCCUUCCCGAUAGAGCACUACAAGAAAUAUGUAUAUUCUUAGCGCGGAAAAUAUGCUAUAGUAGACCUUUUAUAGCGAAUUCAUAAAUGCUAUGUCAUCGGCAGCCAUCGUAGGGUACCCUUCUAUGAUAGCGUUUUAUCUUGAUGCUACGAAAUGUGUGGAUAUGGUAACAAUAACUGGGUGAUAUUAUUAACUCCACUAUAGCACGCUUAUUUUUGUUAUAAUAUAUUUACGAUUCAUUUUCCGUGCUAUGAUAGGUCCUUCAUCAAUAGCAAUUUCCAACUGCUAUUAUAUUUUGUGCUAUUAUAUGUAUGUAUAGUACAAUAGCUGUUUGUAAUUGUUGUACUAAAAUUUUUUAUAGCUCCCACAAAUCGAUAGUAAUGUAAUUCGUAGGUUUAUUUUAAUGCUAUGAUAGUUGAUUAUAACAGUUUAUUUUUUGCUAUUGUUGACUUGUUCCAGAGCUAUGGUUUGGUUCUCGAAAAUGGUUUUCAAUCUGAAAUCUUAUAAUAAAACUUAAUCGUUUUUAAAACUUAACCAUUCAUAAACGUCAUACAUAUGUCUUAAGAAAAUAAAGAUCACACAUUCAGUUUCAGAACAGAAAGACAUAAGCGAACAUAAUAAGCAACAUAAGCUGAUUACCAAACAUAAGUUUAAAACUAGCAACUUCUGGACCAAACUUCUUCAUUCCCCCUGCAGGCUGCAAAAUAUCAAUACCUCUCAUCAGUUAAGCAAUACUCAUCAGUUAAGCAAUUACCAUUUACAGUUUAAAAACGCAAAGCACAACACUUACAUCAGACUAAAAGAUGACCAAUUUAUCAAUUGGCCAUGCAAUUGACGAACCAUGUGCAUCUUUCACAGACUCAAUUUCAUCUGAUUUCCUCCAAACUUCUGCAUCAUGUACCUUCACAACAUCUACCCACACUCUAGCUGCAUUAGGACCCAAGCGUGCAAAAUGGACCAUUUGAUCUGGGUCUGUUGAAUGCACACGACCUUCAGCAACAACUCGUUUCCUCUCACCAAUGUCCAUCAAUUUGCACUUCUGAUUCACUGUCAUAGCUCCAUGAUUAAGCUGACAAGUUUACAAUAGAAACCAUCUAAAACUCAUACAUCUCAAAGAAUAUAACAAGAUUAUAUCACAAGAUGAUUUCGAAGAGGCAAAAUAUUACCUGAAUUGUGGAUUGAGACUUUUCAUUCAGAGUUUUAGAAGUUGUUGCUCCUGAUUUUUCAGUAGGAAACUUAGAACCUACACCUGCAGCUCUUGCUUUUCCUACAGAUGCUUGUUGUCUUGGUGCUUCUGGUGGGUUUUGAAAGACCACUUUUCGAGCAGGCCAUGAAAUAAAAGAGGAUAAGCAGUCGUCAAGAUAUGCCUCAUCCAUCGUCGGCCUCCAUAAAUAUGUACCACUUUCAUGUACCACAUCAAGAAACACUUUCACUGCUUUCGGUCCGAGAGGAAGUCCAUUCACCAAUGCAUUCGGUUCUUGUGUCUGCCAACGUCCUUCACCAACAACUAAAUUAUCAUCAGAUAAAUCCAGUAAUUUGCAUUUGUUGAGAGAGUUAGAUCUCGAGCCCUGUGAAAGACAUUGUGAAAAAAUUUCAUCAAAGACCAAAUCAUUACCUUAACUACUAUGAGAAUGCUACAAAAACCCUUACCAGUGGUGCAAUGUCUUCUGGUUGGAGCCCCUGACCUAGUUCAACACAUUUAUUCUUAGGCCAUGCAAUAACGUGUCCUACAGCUUCCUUAAUUGUGCACAUAUUACUCGAAGGUCUCCACAGGAAAGCUUCAGGUUCCGUAGCAGCAUCAACCAAGACUUUAGCAUCCAUAGGGCCUAAUCUACUUUCAUUCACUAUAUCAUCUGGGUCUGAAGAAACAAUACGACCCUCAGCAACAUUCCCAUCUUCAUCAGCCCAAUCAAUAAGAAGACACCUCUUUUGUGAUUUUGUGUUCACACUCUGUUACAUGUUCAGUUGAAAAUAUGUGAGUGAAACAUAAGAACUAAAUCAUUGAUCUGUUACAUACAAUUGAUGACUUACUCUUGCAGCCGAGUUUUCACCCAUUUCAUUGUCUUCUCUCUGUAAGCAAACAUUAUUAUUAGGUCCUUUCACAAUCAUAAAUCUUAAACGUUUGUAAGGGACUAACCUGUUUUUUAACUUUCGCAAGUUCAGCUUGUAACUCAUUAACCUUUGCCUGGAGAUGAAUCUGAUUCUCUUGCAUUUCAGAAAUAGACUUGUGCUUCACUUGGAAGCAAGCUAAUCUGGUCUUACUCAUAUUCCUGCCCAUUGCUCUCAUACGACCAGGAUUAUCAGGUCCUAACAGUUGGUUGAGUUCAUCUUCAUCUUGAUUUGUGCCAGAUGAUUGAUUAGUACCUUGCACAAUCUCAGCUGCCUUUCGCUGUGCAUCAGAAAACAAACCAAAAAAAUUAGAAGACAACAUCAGUAAAAGAGAUCAUCAUGUUUGUAACUCACAAUCUUCUCAGCGGCAUUCGUGUUAAUCGGAGUCCCAUCUUUUCUGGUACGUGACUUCACCCAGACUUUAAGCCUCGACACUUCAGAUGGGUUGGCAGAACCUUUUUUCUAUGGAAAUAUUAUAUAUCAGUAGCCUUAUAUCAUCAGUUAUAAUGAAAGAACAUUUAGCAUGUAGGCUUACCAUCUCUUCUGCUAGUCUCACCAUACCCUUGCGACUACAUGUGUGAGGUAUCUGGUUGCGUCUUCUCUCCUUGUAGCUAUCACUCAGAGCCUAUAAUAUGAUAUGUUAAUAUGUGAUCUACUUAGCAUAUAAAGAUCUUACUCAAUUCUAAAUGUAUACCUUGAAUUCAGUGCUAGUUUUCAGCUUAACGAAUUUGCGCCACUCAACAGGGGGAACGUUCUUCGGUCUGAGAUUCAUCCUUUGUUGGUUAUUGUCAGCUGCAUUAAUCUGAGUAACUAAGCGUGACUUGGAUGACCUCCAUAAUCCUCCCAUCUGCUUAAGCACUGCAGUUCUUUGAUAUUCCUCAUCAACUUCAAACCUUGCCUGCAUUCACAUAGUAAACAAAUCAGUAGUAUAUAUCGUUAACUUAUUUAAUUUGCAUAUACCAUAGUAUUGAAAUUGUACCUGAACCGAUUUCCAGAGCACUGUCUUCACAUCUUCGGUGAUUUUUUUCCAACAUUCAAUUGUGACAGGAACAUGUUCCCUUACCAAUGGUCCUAAAUAUGAAGACAAUUUCACAGAACCAGGACCGUAAGGUUCUCCCAUGAAAGUGAAAUCUACAUGCACUCUGCUGUUUGGAUCUUUAGCUAUGUCUUUCAUCAUUGUUGGUCCACGCUUUCUUUUACGGGAGUUUGAAUCUUCUGGCUCUGGAACUGUAGUCUGUCCGAUCUCACCGUCAGGCUCACUAUCAUCUCGUUGUGUCUCAGGUUGCUCAUCUUCAUCUUGUGGUUGUGUCUCAGGUUGCUCAUCUUCAUCUUGUGGUUGUGUCUCAGGUUGCUCAUCUUCAUCUUGUGGUUGUGUCUCAGGUUGCUCAUCUUCAUCUUGCGGUUCUGCCAAAUGCUGCUCACCUGUAUCUGCUUCUAUCUCAUGUUGCUGACCUGGUACCAAAGUACACACGAACUCAACAUCAUCAUCUGCUUGUUUUGCUUUAUUUUUUGGCUUCCUUCCUCUUUUGUUUUUCUUUGGACCGGCCAUAUCAAUUUACCUGAAAAAAAUUAUGAAAGGAAGAAUUAAUUCCAAGCUAACACACUGAUAAAUCCAAUCAAACAGACCAAGACCAACCAAUCAAACAAUCAACAAGCAGACAGACAAUGACCAAGCCAAACAAACAUACAGACAAUGAAAAUAAUAAAAAAGGAUACGAUUCACACAUAUAUGCCUUCACAAUCAGUUCUGACGUUCUCUGCCUCAUCAAUGUCAACUUCCAUGUCGAUAUUUGAAGGCAAUGGCCCAAUGUCUGCAGUCCCCUCUUGAAUAUCUUCCUUACUGUAUCUUCUCGAAGGACCUCUCAUAACAGUAUACCAGUGUGAUGACUCAUCUUCCCGAGAGUAAAAGACUUGCUUUGCUUGAGAUGCUAGAAUGUAAGGAUCACUUGCAAAGGAUGCUUGACUAUGAUGGAGGUUAACAAGGGUGAAACCAUCUUCAAUCUUCACUCCAUUACCCUUUACUGCCCAUUCACACCGGAACAGAGGGACAUAGAAGACAUUAUAAUCAAUCAAAAUGAUGUCAGUUACUCUGCCGUAAUAAGAAACCAGAUCGACGACCUGUGAUGUAUCUCUAGCACUAGAUCUACAGACUGCUCUAGCCUCAUAAUAAACCCCACUAUUCUGACUUCUUCUAUCAAUUGACGUUGUGUGAAACCUCUGCCCAUUAACUAUGAAUCCUGUAUAAGACCUUGCAGAACAACGUGGACCAUAAGCUAUCCACUUAAGUGUUUCUUCAUGCUCGGUAGAAUCAAGAGGCACCUAACAAAGUAAAAUCAAGUCAAAAACAUGUCCACUUAACUAUGAAUUAUAAAAACAAGUCAGUAACCUGUUCUUUUAGCCAAGUUGCGAAAUGCUUUGUGUGCAUACUCCAUAAGGUUGAUGCAUCUCGAUGACAUUUUGCAUAUGUGUCUUGUAAAUACUGUAGAUGCUCACUUGUAAGAAAAUUAAAGCACAAGAAAUGGAUCAGUUGGUUAAUCAGAAAACAAAUAAAAACAAGUGAGUUUAGAUACUUACUCUACGUAUGGUUCGACGAUAGCCAUGUUUUGGAUGAUAGCAAGAUGUGCUAUUUUCUUUUCCAUUUCAGUCAGAGUAAUUGAAGUGCUCUUGGAUAUUGGACGACCUUCUAAGAUGGAGUUGUUCUCAUACUCUGUGUUUCUGUCUGUUUUUUCUUCAACGUUUGUUGUCUUCUUCAAAAAUUCACUGCAAAAUCUGAUACAUUCUUCAGCUAAAUACGACUCAGCAAUGCAUCCCUCAGGUCUUGCAGGAUUUCUCACAAAGUCUUUGAGGACUUUCAUGUACCUGAGAGGAAAGCAAGUGUAGAUUGAUUAGUGAAAGUGAGUAUAGCCAAAAUUUAAAACAGUCAUAUAAAUAAUACCUCUCAAAUGGGUACAUCCAUCUAAAUUGGACAGGUCCACCAAGGCGGGCUUCUCUUCCUAGGUGCACAGUCAAAUGGACCAUGAUAUCAAAGAAGCUUGGAGGGAAAAAUCUUUCAAACAAGCAUAGAGUCUCAACAAUCUCAGCUUCCAUAACCAACAGCUUCUCCCUAUCAAUCACUCUCUGACACAACAUAUUGAAGAAUGCGCACAACCUCAAAAUGGCUAGCCUAGGUCCUUUAGGUAACAAUCCUUUAAGCGCGAUCGGAAGAAGUUGCUGCAUCAAAACAUGAUAGUCAUGAGAUUUCAAACCUGAUACUUUACAGUCAUCUAGUGAAACACCUCUUGAAAUGUUUGAGCAAUAUCCAUCUGGCCCUUUGAAGUCAAAUAGUCGUCUGCAAAAGAUCUUCUUCUCGGCCUUAGACAAAGACCACGGUGCUGGAGGAAGAUAUGUUCGUUUUCCUUGGAUUUUAGGGUGCAACUCCGGCCUAAUACCAAGAUCCUCCAGAUCUUUGCGAGCAGCAAGACCAUCCUUAGAUUUCCCACAGUGCAACAAUGUGGAAACUAAACUCGCAGCCACAUUUCUCUCCACAUGCAUGACAUCCAAGUUGUGUCUCACAGGAAGUUCCUACGUAAAACAGAAAAAACAUAAAAAAAUCAGUACUCAACAUCUGAGCUUAAAUCAGAGAAAAAAAAUCAUAAACAGAAACAGAAAAAUUCAUCAACAGAAACAGAAAAAUUAAUACCUCCCAGUAUGGUAGUCUGAAGAAGAUUGAUCUCUUCUUCCACCGAGAUAUCUCAUCUUCAUCUACUUGAACAUUUUCCUCUUCCUCUUCCUCUUCCUCUGAUUCACUGGAUAAAGCCUCAACAUCAGAGCUUACUUCAGUACUCUGAAUCCUUUUCCUCUUACUUGCAGAUCUUUUAAAAUUUCCAAAGUCAUUGUUGAAGUUUCUCAGAUUUUGAGAAAUUUCACGACCUGUCAGUAUUCUACCCCUUCUUCCUUGUUCGGAUUUUCCAUCAAACCACCUUUUCUUUCCCCUAAAACUAUGAGCUGGUGGCAGACCCUUUCUGUGGCACAUGUAGACAUGUUUCCUGCUGAACUUUAGCCACAUACUAUCUGUCUUCUUUCCACAUAACGGACACCCCAUUUUCCCCUUAACUUUACAGCCUGCAAGAUUCCCAUAAGCUGGGAAAUCACUGAUCGUCCAAAGCAGCAUUGCCUUAAGAUUAAAAGUACUACGACUUACAGCGUCGUAGGUUACCUCUCCACUGCUCCACAGAUGGUUUAGAUCGUCGAUGAGGGGUUCUAAGUACACAUCGAUGCUAUUACCAGGCUGUUGUGGACCAGGAAUCAACAAGGAAAGCAUGAUGUUCUCCUUCUUCAUGCAUAGGUCAGGCGGCAAGUUGUAGUUCACUAGCAAAACAGGCCAGCAACUGUACAUCGAAUUCUUCAUAUUGAAGGGAUUAAAUCCGUCAGUUGAAAGACCAAGCCUCAGGUUCCUUUCUUCUGCUGCAAAGGCCGGGUGUUUUGCAUUCAUCUGAUCCCAUGUGACUGAAUCAACCGGGUGUCGAAGUUUUCCGUCAGUGCUUUUGUUGGUGAAGUGCCACCUCAAAUCUUUUGCCAUUUGCUCAGACCUGAACAUCCUCUUCAGUCUUGGUAUGAUGGGAAAGUAACGUAAUACUUUCUGUGGGACGCCUUUCUUCUUCUCGCCAGUGUGCAUAUUGGUCUUCCAUCUUGAAGCCUUGCAUUUUGGACACUUUUCAAGCUUCUUGUACCUCUUUCUGAAUAGACAGCAGUCAUUGACGCAUGCAUGAAUCUUCUCGUAGCCCAUAUCAAAGGAUUUCAGAAAUUUCUUUACCUCAUACAACGAAGUGUGGAGCACAUUAUCCUCUGGUAACAUCUCCGGUAAGGUCUCAAGCAGAUCGUUGAAGCUCUUGUCAGACCACCCAUUCUGUGUCUUCAGUCUGAAUAAAGAAACAAUGGCGGAUAGCUUGCUGUGUGAUGCACAACUCGGAUACAACGGAGUCUCUGCUUCAGCUAUCUUUGCCAAGAAUUCAUCUUCUUUCUUGUCGUCUCCCUCUGCCAUCUCAGAUAACUCUCCAGUACCAGCUAACUCUUCAUCAAAACACUCAGCGGCUCUGUAUAACCCGAAGAUCUCAUCAUUCCACUGACUUGUGCUGCUUUCAGAUACAACUCUAGACUCCAAUUCUCCAUGAAGAUACCAAUCAGACCGCUUCUUGUAAGACUCAUCCAUUCCCCUAGUAACUAGAUGAUCAACUACCACAGCUCCUGAGUGACGAUCAAUAUUACGGCAGUCAAUGCAGGGACAAACAAUCAUAUCAGUUCCUCCCUGACCUCCAGCCACAUCUCGUACAAAAUUUGAAGCCCCUCUCUCAUACGCAGGAUCAACUCUGCAAUGGAGCAUGAAAAGCAAAACAAAAAUAAACAGAGUUAAGUCUCUCAACACAUACUGAAACAUAUCAAAUAAUAACAAAAAUAAACGAAUUAAGUACCUGCUAAGAUGAACCCAUGCCUUAUCCACCAUUAUAUUGCUAAACUGAAACUGAAACUUCACUAACAAUUUUUUGACAAAUUGUCAUCAGAGUCAUCAGUAUAAUCACUCAGAAUACUCAGAACUUGUCCUCGAUUUCAUAGUAAAAGCAGUCAAAGUCAUCAGUAUAAUCACUCAGAAUACUAUAAUACCACACAACGCAACGAUUCUGAACAAAUCUACUACGAUUCUAAGCAAAAACGAAAACUGAUUCACACAACACAAUGACAAUCAAGCUAACUAUCAACACAGAGAUGAGAUGAAAUCAAAUCAGGAAAGAGCUGAGCUAACUAACAACACGGAUUUGAGCUAACUAUCGACACAGAGAUGGCGUAAUGGCGACCUUCGAUACCUUCAGGGACGGAAAUGGUAUCGGAAUGGUGGAUGACGGAGCUUUAAUUGGCGGAUGGGAGAGGCGGAACUCGAUUAGAGGUCUAAUGGAAAGAGGGGAAAAUUAGGAUUAUGUGAGAAAGAGGGAAAAAUUAGGGAAGAUAGAGGGAAAACACGAUUAGAGAGAGGGAAAGUGAGAUGAUUAAUGAUUUUUUACUAAGUGUGUACGCGGAAUAGCUAAUUUUGGGUUCCCGCUUAAUGAAAAACUAUCAUAGCAAUUAUAUAGCGCUAUUAAACUAAAUUUUUUUUCUUAGAGUUCUUACAAUAGCAAUUCGGUAAAACGAGCUAUCGUACUGUGCUAUCAAUGUGGACUUUUUUUGUAGUGGAGGCUACAGACUUCUUCCGUUCAAAGUCAGUGUUUUUGGUGCUGCUGCUGUUAGCAAGGUUUUCGAUAAGUCUCACAGCUUCCAACGGAUUCCGAGUAGUGAAGUUUCCUUCACUCGCCGUAUCAAGAGCCAUUUGAUACUGUAAGGCGAGACUUCGAAAGAAAGUGCUUAGCAGCUGCACUUCAUUAAAUCCGUGGUGUGGACAGUCUCGCUGGAAAAACCUAAAUCUAAUCCACGCAUCUUUGAAAGACUCUCCAGCCUUCUGCGAGAAUGUGGAAAUUUUGUUCCGAAGUUCUUCAGCGCGCGCCUCAUCGAAGAAGUUUCGUAAGAAAGCAUUCUUGAUGUCUCUCCAGGAUGUUAAAGAUCCUGUUGGUUGCUGCCUAAGCCAAUGCAUCGCUUCUCCAUUCAGCGUGUAUCUGAAGAGCUUGCACAGCAGGUAAUAUUUGGGGACUCCUUCCAUCCGAAUGGCAGCGAUUAGAUCCUCGAACCGUUCCAAAUGGUCCAUAGGAUGCUCGUGCGGUAACCCAGAGUAGGGUAUCUGCGACACGAGAGUGUAGUAUUGAGGCUUCAGCUUGAAAUUCUGCUUCUGGAUCUCCGGAAGUCGAAUCGCUGAUCUGUUGGAAUAGUACUCAUCUGGGUGAUUGUAGUCGGCCAGUGGUUUCGAUCGAGCGUCCUCAUCUACAGGUUGAGCAGCUCCUGUAGCAUCAGCAUCAGGGAUUACAGUUCCCUGAGCAUCUAUUUUCUGACAUGUUGCAUUACGCAGAUGACCAGCCUGGUCAUACAGGUUUCCGUUCUCAUCCUGAGUUAGAAUAAUAAUGUUUACCAUUUUUGACGACACGGUAACGAUCGACGUACGCGGUGUAGUAUCGAUCGUUGUCAAACGAUUGGGAUCGAUCGACGAUGACGGUCUGGUGUCGGUCGACGGUUUGUUGUGUGUAUCGAUCGACAACAAAGUGGUUGCGUUGAGCGAUGUGGAACGUUGACCUCUACGGAUGGUGCGUUCCAAAUGAGCAGGAUCGUCUGAGAACAGCAAGUCUUUCUCCUUGUUGUUUCUGGUACCGCUGGGCAUGCACCUGAAAAGACAAGAAAAAGAAAGAUUGUUAGAAAAGGGGAUAAAGAAAAGAAUAAGAAUUAAUAAAACUAAAUCUAAUGGCGAUCAAAGCUCCCCGACAACGGCGCCAAAUUUGAUACCACUCAAAUUACCCUAAGGAGUGUUACUCUCAUCAAAAGAGGUUCAGAUGUAGUACUUAGGGAUCAAAUCCACAAGGAGCUAGGGAACAAUUAAAUCUAGUGCUUAUUAAUUCUAAAGGUUGUAAUGUUUUAAAUAAAAUAGCAAUAGUAACUAGCGAGUAAAUGAUAAAUGUAACUUAAGUUGGAAAUGAUAUUAGAUGCAGGGCCACUAUUCAGGUGUUGGAGAUUAUAAUUCCUAUAGAUGCCUAACUGUUGCAUGCAUGAUAUAUUAGAGCUCAUUCGCUUAACUCAGUGAUCAGCUGUCGCAUGUACCACUGGUUAACAGACUAGAUCUUGUGUCUCACUGGUUAGAUGUAGACACAAGAGAGUGUCGAUCGAUAGUCUAUUAAGACGUCGACCGAUACACUUUUGCCAACAUCGAUCGAUUGUCAGUUGAGGACAUCGAUCGACGGGUUCUAGCCAGGCCUAUGCGCGAGUAUGAAAUGCUCUACUAAGAUUCUAAAUUGGCGGUUAGCCCUCUCUAGCAAUCCUAAUAUGAUAGAUAGAUGUCAGGAUGGGAUAACAAGUGUGCUUGAAUAUGCAAUUCUAUGAUCAAGUUCUAGUUAGCUAGGCUAAAACAAGCAAUGAAUACAAAUCUAUCAUGAAUAUCACAACAAGCCAGAUCUAUAGUUUGGGGCUAAUCCCACAAACCUAUCUGAACCCUGGAUCUAACAAUUGAACUACUCAGACAUAGCAAAGCAAUUUAUAUCAAUAGAUAAAUAGACACUCAUAGAAUAGAUGAUAAAAAAAUGAAACAAGGAGUUCCAAUCACAAGUGAUCUUCUCUCCAAAUGAAACUUGUAACAAAAAUAGGUCUAAAAAAGAAAAGCUCUCUCUGCCGUCAAAACUUAGGCAGUAUAUAUUCUACUAUGUUAAAAACUCGUCAGGGCAUUUUGGUAAUUUGGCUUAGCCUUGGUCUUUAAGUCUGCUGAAUCCAAAAUGUCGCGUCUGGUGUCUCGACAUCGAUCGAUGGUACUUGUGUACAUCGAUCGAUAUUAAUCUUCAUCUGUCGAGGCAUUUCCUGAUAUCGAUCGUCAGCACUGAUGCGCAUCGAUCGAUUAUUCUUCCUCUAGUCGACCUCUAAGUGGUCAGCUCGGGUGAAAUGUCCUUUAUGCUCCAAAAUGCUCCAAAGUCAUAGCUUUACUCCGAAAUGCACCUGAACCUGAAAACAUACCUAGAAGAGUAGAAAGUAUAGAUAUAUAUAUAUAUAUAUAUAUAUAUAUAUAUAUAUAUUGUAAUAUAAUAAUAUACCAUGGAUAAAAAUGGGUCAAAUCCAAGGUAUAUCAAUAGGGCUGGGCGGAUGUGGGUGUUUUGCUGCGAAUUCCUCACAAGUCAUGAUCCUCACAGCUUUGCAAGAUGCGAUGUAUUCCGUAGGUGUUGUCGAGCGAUGUCCAGGAGAGGACGUCGAUCGAUUUUGGAUGACACAUGUCGAUCGAUGUUCGUGGCUUGGCGUCGAUCGACACCAAUGUGAUCCGCGGAAACUCAUCAGACUUUCUACUUCGAAAUCUCCUUCUUGCAGCUUCUCUUCCUUCACCACUUGCUAUAAAUCAUCCCCAAGGAUGGCUUUCACGUGGUGUCUCAUAACAUCAUCUUCUAUCCUUUUUGUUAAGGUUCCUGCCUCUUAACAGCUUCUCAUGUCCGAACAACCUGCAUCUCUAGCUUCUUCACAUGAGUGCUCAAACUUUUUGUUGAGGAAAAAAUUCCAUGAAGAGAUUACUCCAGGUUCCAGGUUCCUUCCCCCGGGUUCCAGGUUCCCGACUCCAGCUUCCAGGGUCCUGCCCCCUGGUCAGGGUCCCGCCUCCGGGUUCCGACUUCUGGCUUCCAAGUUGAAUGGUUUCUCCUACCUUAGACACGAAGAGAUCCUCUUAAAUCCAAGAGAAAAAGGAAGUAUUCCAACAUAUAGGCCGUUCUUAAGAAAAUUGGAAAUAUUCUAUUAUCUAAGGAUACAUUGAAUAUUUCCAAACCCUAGGAGGGGGCACGACCUCCACUAUAAAUAUAGGUUUCUAAACCUAAGGAGGAAGGGGGGGGGGGGAAGACGUCCAUAAACAGACCUCACAAGUUCUACAGCCGCCAAGGCAAUAUUCUAACCCUAGAAGACCUUUUCCUUCGACAUGCCUAUGAUAGGCUGAUCCCGAUGAUUGUUCCCGACAAGAUGAAGUCAUACAUGUGGGAGGGGGCCCAAACUAGCGCCAAACUGUGGGAACCAAAAUUCGCACUGUCGAUUUAUGUUUAAAUUAGGAAAGGGAGUACCCUAGUUUCCCAGAGGUCCCGAAUAUCUAUUAGAACCACAUGCCAAGCAAUCAGAACACGAAACGAAAACAAUAAUAAAACAAGAAAUCGUAAAAAAAGCAAAAAAUGUCUUAUUCCGAAUUCGCAUAUGAGCGUUACAACAAGGUAGAAGCCUAGGCUAUGAAAGCUGUCGGCGAGAUCCCUAGUUCUAACAACCUAAGACUGCAAAAUCUAGUUGAGUCGCAGCUCGAAAUAACAAAUACGAAAAGUUGCCUAAUUGUUCUAAGUGAUAAGUUUGCUGUGUAAAAGUUCUCUUUUCUGCCUCUCACCUAGGACUCCUUAUAUACUCGCUCCUAGGUCGGUUUACGCUUUUCCCGUUCUGCCCUUAAGCCGUCAUAGCUUAAAAAUGGAGAUAUUCCGUCUUUUCCAAUCUUCGUGAUUAUCUUCGGAAACUUCAGAUUUAUCCGCGGAAACUUGACAUUUAUCCUUUUCUUACGAACCAAGCAUAAACCAUCAUAUGGCUUAUGGGCUUUUGGUUAAGAAAUCAUAAGUGGGCUUCGAGCUGCGUUUUAGCCCUCAUUGGGCCGUCUUUGACUCGAGACGUUUAUUACGGUUUCUUCGAUAAAAACAAACUUCCUGCGGUUUUUAUCAUAAAGUUCGAUUGAUGACUCCGAGUGACGAAAAACAUGAAAUGGUUUUGCUAUGGUUUUUGGGAGAUAGCAUUAAAGAGUAGACGAGAAUGCAUGGAUUCGUGUUGUGUCGAUGUUUUAAGAGAGCUCGGUCGCUACGUAGAGACCGAGCCGUGUACGUGCUCGGUCACUACGUAGCGACCGAGCUUGGCCCGAGCUUGGUUGCUACGUAGCUCUCUACUUAAGGAGAAGAAGGCCAGGAAGGCCAAGUCUUCGGAGGUGUGUCGACUUCAACGUCAGAUCGAGAAUGACGUAGGAUCGACGACCGAAGGGAUCGAAGAGGCCAAGGAUGCGCUCCGAGCUGAGUUCCAGGCGCAUUUGGCGAAGAUCUCUGCCUUUAUUGGCUCCCUCGAGUGCAUCCGCAGUAGAGAUUUGGCCUUGGUGACUGUCGAGGGCGGGAUGGCUAUAGUUUGCGCACUCCAGAGGGAGACUCCUCCGUCCUUAAAGGCCGAAGAGACCAGGUUGUCCGAUUGUAAGGGAGAUUCGGCGGCCGUAGAUGGGGAUUUUGAUCUCGUCCUGGCUGACCUGAAAUCCGCGUGCUUCCUCCCGACGUGUUCAAAAGACCCAGAGGGGAAAGAUCCCAUGGUCGGGGAAAAUGGAGGCGACGCGGCCCCGAGCAUGGACGAGGUGAUGGGCGAAGAGGAGGCUUGACUUCAGAAGAUGGCCAUGGUAACGAUCUCUCGUGAGAGAUUUUUUUUUUGUUUAUGUUUAUGUUUUGGCCUUGUAUCGCCUUGUUUUAUAUUUCGGGACUGGCCGUUUGUGGCUUUGAUUCCCUGCCGCUCUGCGGCUUUUGUUAUUUUUUUUUAUGAAUGGAUAAUCAGUUUGCGUUUACGUGAGUAAGUGUAUGGAAGGCGGAUUAUGAGUUGUCGUCUCAUAUCUCUUUCCGAUGUGAAAUGCUUUAUUCGCGAUCUGUUUCGAGCGUUUUCCGCGAAAUCCUAAUUUUGCGGGAUAUCUGAAGACGUCAAAUGUAAGCAUCGAGACAUGUUUUAGGAUCUCAUGUCUUCUUUUCGAUAUCAUGCCUUGAGAUGUUAAGACCAGUGCGAUGGGUUUAGGGUAAGACCUAGGUUUACUUUCGGUUUUAAGAUUUAUGCGGUGACUGGCCGACUAUUGAUUUUCUUGCUGUGAUUUUAACCUGACUCGUAACGAUUUAAAGUCCGCGAUAUGUUCUCGGCUUAUACGACUUGUCUGAUACAAAUCGAGCAUCUCUCCAGAGACGACUUUUAAGCCAACUGGAAGUGCUUGACCAAAAUUUCGGAUUUCUUUUGUAGCGAUAUUAUCCUUGUGUCGGAUGUACGAGGGUCAUCUUCGUGAGAUGCUGUUUCUGUUUAGGACGUUUAAGAGUUCGAUGUGAUCAGCAACGAACUUGUGGUAGAUAUUACCAUUUGGGUCUUCGCGAAGAAUAUGUGUUUUGCGGAGAUGUUAGUGCGUAUAUCAUUUUUCAAUAGUUUCGUUUUGUCGGAUGGGAAACAACUUCUUAGCGAUUUUUGCAAUGUCUAACAGCGCCGGAGGUUGAUUUGUCCCUAAUGACUGGUUUACUUGCGAGUUUUUUCAGGACUCGGAUAUAAUUUGUUGGAUGAAGAUGAUUUGCUCGGUUUUGAAGGGUAUAAGUUUCAGAAAUAUCGAGGGCGUGGUGGGAUAUUUUGAACUUUGGAGUAUGCGAGUAUACGUACCCACUCCCCCCCCCCCUUUUAGAUAGGGGGGACAGCUGAAUUCGUCUUUCGACAAACUGCCUACGUACCCCUUAUGGAGAUCAAGCCGUCUCGUAGUUUGGUUGUUGCGAAGUGGUUUAUUUAGUGAUAGUAUUUUUUGAGAUGCAUUGCGUUCCAGGUUCUCGGGAUUUUUACGCCUUGCAUGUUGGCUAUCUCGUAGGAGCCUGGUCGAACGACUUUUACGAUCUUGUAGGGUCCUUCCCAGUUCGUUCCAAGUUUUCCCGCGUUUUGUUCAGCGGUGUUUUGGAAUAAUUUGCGAAGAACCAACUCUCCUUCGUUGAAUCUGCGAUUCCGUACGUUGGAAUGAUAAUAUUUUGCGGCUGCGUGUUGGUAAUUCUGCAUUCAGACGAGCGCUCGAUCCCGGCGCUUGUUAACGAGGUCAAGAUCGUCUAGAAGCAUAGCGUUAUUGGGCUCUUCUCAUUCGGGCAAUAAUCUCCUUCACACACCAGGGAACUCGACUUUUGCGGGAAUCAUGCAUUAUGUCCCGUAGACGAGGGCAAAAGGUGUUUCUCCUGUUGCUCGUCUUUGGGUUGUGGGAUGUGUCCAGAGGACUCCCUCGAGUUCGUCUACCCACCUGCAUUUUUUGGCGUCUAGACGGUUCUUAAGUCCGUCUAGAAGGGUCUUAUUGAUCGUCUCGGCUUGUCCGUUUUAUUGCGGGUAUCUGGGAGUCGACUUGUUUAGUCGUAUCUUCCAUUUUUCACAAAACGCUUCGAAUCGGGUGGAGAUGAACUGAGAUCCUUUCUCAGUUACGAUUUCGUAAGGAAUUCCAUGUCUACAAAUAAUGUUUUUCCAUACGAAAUUUUCAACUUGAACAUCUUUGAUACUUGCGUACGAGUCUGCCUCUACCCACUUUGCGAAGAAAUCUGUGAGGACUAAGAGGAAACGCUUUUGCUUUGAAUUGAGAAGGGGUCCGACGAUAUCCAUGGACCAGCACAUGAAAGGAUACGGCGACGUGAUGAAAAAAAAUAACUUCUGCUGGUUUUCGGAUGGUCGGAGCAUGCUUUUGGUAUUUUCUGCACUUUCGUGCGAAUUUCUCACAAUCCUCCGAUCAUCGUUGGCCAGUAGUAUCUGUGGCGUUUGAUUUUUACUGCUAGUGACCUUCCACCGGAAUGGUUUCCGCAGGACCCAGAAUGGACUUCUUCCAUGACGUUUCUCGCUUUUUGUCCUUCCAAACACGUCAUGAGUGGUCUGGAAAGUUUCCAUUUGUAAAUUUCACCGUCGACCGUUACGUAACGCGCGGCCUGCGUUCAGAUUUUACGGGCCGCCCAUUUUUUGGGAGGUAACUUUCCAUCGGUGAUGUAGGCUCGAAUCGUUUCCAGCCAUGGCGUAUUGUAGCCGUAGUUGGAUUGUUCUGAUUUCUCCUCCGGCUGUCCUGCGACCUCUUCUACAUCGUCGUCUUGAUCCCCGAUGAGGUUGAUGAUGAUUGGUGGUGCGAUACUCGGGUGUUCGAUGAAUUUGACCGGAAUCACUCUUUUAAGACCUGGGUCGGAACUCGAUGCCAGGGCUGCGAGAGCAUCGGCUUGGACGUUCUCAGAACGGGGGAUUCGCGUAAGAGCGAAGCAAUCAAAUUCUUUGGCUAGAUUCUGGACCAGUUUGAGAUACGCAUCCAUUCUUUCGUCCCUCGCUUCGUAUUCUCCGCUAUAUUGACUUGCAACUAGCUGAGAAUCACAGUAGGCAUGGAUGUUACGUAUCCUCAAUCGGUGAGCUAAACGUAGCCCUGAAAUGAGUGCUUCGUACUCGGCCUCGUUGUUGGAUGCGUGAAAUUCCAAUCUGAAUGAUUGUUCUAAGAUUUCACUGGUUGGUGAAGUGAGGCGGAUUCCGAUGCCCAAUCCUUGCUUAGAUGAGGAUCCGUCCACGUGAAGAAACCAGGUUGAAUUUGGUUCCUUGUUGGUCACGGUCCCCGUUGGUCACGGUCCCCGUUGGUCACGGUCUCUGUUGGUCACGGUCCCAGUUGGUCACGGUCCCCGUUGGUCACGGUCCCUGUUGGUAGUUCGACUAAAAAAUCUGCGAGUACCUGGGAUUUCGCGCUUGUACUCGGUCGAUAUUCGAUAUCGUACUCGGUCAACUUGACUGCCCAUUUGGCUAGUCGGCCCGACUGACUGGGCUGUGCAGAAUCGUCCGUAGGGAGAAAGUCGUGAGGAUGACGAUUGUGUGUGAUUGGAAAUAUGGUCUUAGCUUUCGCGCCGAAGUUACAACUGCGUAUGCUAGUUUUUCCAUCAACAGAUACCUUGACUCAGCAUCUAGCAAUGUGUUGCUUAUAUAAAAAAUAGGUUGAUGUUCGCCGCGCUCUUCCCUGAUUAGACGCCGCUCACAGCCGUUGCUGAUACUGCGAUAUAUAAGAACAAGGGUUCUCUUUCGACAGGUUUUGCGAGAAUUGGAGGAGUGGCCAAGUAUCGUUUCAACUGUUGAAAAGCAUUUUCGCACUCUUCUGACCAUUCAAAUUUUUUAUUCCCCCGCAAGAUAUCGUAGAAAGGUAGGCACUUGUCUGUCGACCUGAGAUGAAUCGGUUAAGUGUUGCGACUCUACCGGUCAAUCUCUGGACUUCCCGUUUAUUCUUGGGUGAAUCCAUCUCGAUAAAUGCAUUGAUCUGUUUUGGAUUAGCUUCGAAACCACGGGAUUUGACUAGGUAUCCGAGGAAUUCUCCCAAUGCUACGGCGAAUCUGCAUUUUACCGGGUUGAGCUUCAUGUUAUGGGAAUUCAGUUGUGCGAAACAUUCCUCAAGUUGAGAUAAGUGAUCUCUUGCCUGGGUAGAGCUCGUGUGUUGUAUAGCAGAUAGGAGCUAUCCCGAUGGUGUGCAGCGUUUCGAACACGUCCUCGUCGAUCCCAAGAUCAGCCAAAGUCUCCGCGUGGCAGAAACGAGUGGGUAACAUGUCAACCCGGAGGAUGGCGUUGUAGCGCGCUGCUGUCCCCUUAUCCCACCCCUCGCAGUUGAAAUCCAAGAGCAAUGGGCUGUCGAGAUCAAUUGGUUCACCCUCUUGUUCCCGGGGCCAUGGGUAGGUCGCAGAGGUUUGUUGAUGUGCUUGAGGGGGUGGCGUGUUGCAUGUAGCUUUCUUUCACUUGGCGGAUUGCUUAGUUUUGGCCAUCGAGUUUUUGCGAUUUGGAUGGGGACUGUCGAGCCUCGUACCUGUAGAAACUGGUGAAGUGAACUGCAAAGACAGAGAGAACUCGAAAUUCCAAACGAGUGAGAAGCCAAAACCACUUAAAACGGUUGAGAAUCAAAGAUUUUGUGGUUGCUUAAAAAUCGCAGGGGGAAGGGUCACUGUGCGGCACAGUGAAAGGGGAAAGUGGAAGGGUGAAGCCUUAAAUAGGAAAAACCCUAACUACCCCCGAAUUUUUUUAUUUAUUUAUUUUUUUUUUGGUUCGGAACACUUACAUGGAAUAGUCAAUGGGUUGUUCUACCAGAAGAACAGUUCUUUGGUUGUUCUGACUGAAGAGUCCAACUUUUUUUUCUUAUUUUUGACCUACAAAAUAAAUCUGAAAAGAAAUAUAAUAAACUAUGGAAAUCAAUGUACAUACUAACCAGUGGGUUGCCUCCCACCAAGCGCUUGGUUAAAGUCAUUAGCUUGACUUGGAUCAGCCUAAUGGGGGAUCGCUUAGGACUCUUCUCCCUCUGCGAUGGUGGAGUCAGCAAGGUAAUGCCUGACGCGCUGUCCGUUCACUACGAACUCGUCUCCUUUUCUGUCCAGUAACACAACGGCUCCGUAGGGUCGAACUUCCUUAACAGUGAAGGGCCCCGACCACCUAGACUUUAACUUGCCUGGGAACAAUCUCAGCCUCGAAUUGAAAAGCAAGACCUUAUCGUUGGGUUCGAAAUGUCUCGCAAUAAUUCGCUUGACAUAGUAGGCCUUGGUCUUCUCCUUGUAAAUUUUGGAUCUUUCAUAGGCGAGGUGCCUUAUCUCCUCCAGCUCAAGAUUAGAAUCAUGCGUCUCUCGGUUGCUGGCUUGAUGUCAAAAUUCAGUAGCUUGACUGCCCAUGCAGCCUUGUAUUCGAGCUCGACAGGGAGGUGACAUGCCUUACCAUAUACCAGGUGAUAGGGGGUCGUCCCUAGCGACAUUUUGUUGGCUGUUCUGUAGGCCCAUAGUGCAUCGUCCAGCUUAAGUGACAAGUCCUUUCGUGACGUGUUGACAGUUUUCUGGAGGAUGCUUUUGAUCUCCCUAUUGGAAACCUUAACCUGUCCACUCGUCUGUGGAUGAUAUGUGGUUGCCACCUUGUGCUUUACUCCAUUCUUCGUCAGGAGGCCCUGAAAUGCCUUGUUGAUGCAGUGUGUUCCACCAUCGCUAAUUUCCACCCGAGGCACUCCAAAUCUCGGAAAGAUGAUGGCUGUUCUGUAGGCCCAUAGGGCUCGCCAUCGCUUCUACCCACUUAGAUACAUAAUCUACGGCGACGAGGAUGUACUCAUUCUUGAAGGACGGAGGAAAUGGUCCCAUGAAAUCGACUCCCCAAUCGUCGAAUACUUCAACCUCUAGAAUGUAAUUCUGAGGCAUCUCAUUCCUCUUGCUGAUUUUCUCAAGUCGCUGGCAUGCAUCGCACCUGGCUAUGUAGGCGUGAGCAUCCCUGAACAUUGUUGGCCACCAGAAUCCUGCUUGAAGGAUUUUGGAAACCGUUCUGAAUGUAGCGAAGUGGCCUGCGUAAGAUGAACCAUGGCAGUGAUGUAGGAUUCCGGGAAUAUCUGCCUCUGGAACACACCUUCUGAAUAAGCCAUCCUUUCCAUGUCUGUACAAGAACGGUUCAUCCCAAACAUAAUGCCUCGCCUCCCUUAAAAUUUUCCUCUUGUCGUUUCCGGUGAAAUUAAGAGGUUGCUUUUCAGCAGCUAGAAAAUUCACAAUUUCAGCAAACCACGGGAGGUUAGAGUACUGCUUUUGGAUCACUUUGACCGGAUAUUCCGCGAUGUGAGAACAAUCGGGUCUCCUUCCCAGAGGUUGUUCUGCGAUGCUGGAACAGUCUGAUGUGAUUCCCAGAGGUUGUUCCGCGAAACGCAGACCAACCACGUUGAUGUGUUCCACUGGGUGUUCUUCAUCAAGAGUUGUGUCGUCCUCAAUAUUCCUUCUGGACAGGUGGUCUGCAACCCCAUUCUCGCCGUGAUUUUGUCUAAGCGAUUGUUGAAGAAUGCCAGCCUUGGGAGACUCCUCUCUUAUCCUUUAUCUCAAGAUCGAAUUCUUGGAGGAGAAGAAUCCACCUUAACAACCUCGGUUUCGCAUCUUUCUUUGUGAGCAGAUACUUAAGAGCAGCAUGGUCUGUGUGCACAAUCACCUUAGAUCCCACCAGGUAGGAUCUGAACUUCUCGAAUGCAAAAACAAUAGCCAGAAGUUCUUUCUCUGUCGUAGCGUAUCUGCACUGAGCUUCAUCCAUAGUUUUGCUUGCGUAAUAGAUCACAUGAAGUUUCUUAUCCUUGCGCUGCCCAAGUACUGCUCAAACUGCAAAGUCGCUUGCAUCAGUCAUGAUUUCAAAGAGGAGAUCCCAGUCUGGCGGUUGCACAACAGGUGCGCUGACUAGAGCUCCUUUGAUGGUGUGGAACGCAGCUAGACACUCACUGUCGAAAUCGAACUUGAUCUCCUUGCAGAGCAGUCUGGUGAGUGGUCUCGCUAUCCUUGAGAAAUCCUGGAUAAAAUGUCUGUAAAACCCAGCGUGACCCAUGAAACUCCUGAUGGCUUUCACAUUUGUUGGUGGUUGCAAACUCCUCAUCACCUAGAUCUUUGCCUUAUCCACCUCAAUGCCUUUCUCGGAGAUCUUGUGCCCCAGAACAAUCCCAUCUGUGACCAUGAAGUGGCACUUCUCCCAAUUGAGCACCAGAUGUUUCUCCUCACACCUUUUUAGUACUCUGCACAAUUUUGACAAACAGACACUAAAGGAGCUUCCAUAGACACUGAAAUCAUCCAUAAAAACUUCCAUAAUGUCUUCAAUCAGGUCAGUAAAGAUUGACAUCAUGCAGCGCUGAAAUGUUGCUGGCGCAUUGCACAAGCCGAAUGGCAUUCUCCUGGAAGCAUACGUUCCGUAGGGGCACGUGAACGUCGUCUUUUCCUGAUCAUCUAGAUGGAUAGGGAUCUGUAAGAAACCUGAAUAACCAUCUAAAAAGCAAUAAUAUUGGUGGUUAGCCAAUCUCUCAAGCAUUUGAUCAAUAAAAGGGAGUGGAAAGUGAUCCUUUCUAGUUGCUGCAUUUAGUUUCCUGAAAUCAAUGCACAUGCGAUGUCAUGUCACUAUCCUAGUAGGGAUCAAUUCAUUCUUUUCAUUCGUGAUAACAGUGAUCCCACCUUUCUUAGGUACUACAUGAAGAGGGCUAACCCAUUUACUAUGAGAUAUGGCAUAGAUCACACCUGCUUCAAGAAGUUUCAUAAUCUCUUUCUUAGCAACAUCUUUUAGAUUCGGGUUUAACCUCCUCUGAUGUUCGACAGAAGUCAUUGAUUCAUCUUCUAGUUGUAUUCUAUGCAUGCAUAAAUCAGGUGAAAUGCCAGGUAUGUCAGCUAGUGAAUAUCCUAAUGCCUUACGUUAUUUCCUAAGCUCACACAAAAGCAAUGCAGUUUCCACAUUAUUUAGUUCAGCAUUCACAAUGACAGGAUAGGUGGAAUUUGGACCUAAGAAAGCGUACCUGAGCCCCUUAGGAAGGGGUUUUAGCUCAACCUUGGGAGCUUUAAGCUCGCUCCAGGGGUCCUUUGGUUGGUUCGACAGAACAGGCGAGUUUGGUGUAGGGGUCGCUCCAGCUGGGGUGGUGUCGUCCCUGUUGCUCUCCUCCCCCAGCUUAGACUCGCUACCAUUCUUCCCAUACUCCUUGUGGAGUCAAGCAUCUUGGCAUACCCAUGUGCAUCAAUGUUUACGACACUCUGCUCGGCCUCAGCUCUUACUAAUGCAAGCUCCAGUGGGUCUUCGGUAAGAAUCUCCUCGAUCAUUCCUUCGCGAGGUUGGAGCGGAUUAAUCCCUUCAUCAACCUCAAAGGUCUGCCCAUCCAACAUCGGCUUCUUUAGCAACUCAUCUAUCUCGAAUUGCAUAACUAUGUCCCCAAGAUUCAGAUCAAUCUUCCCCUGUCGCACAUCAAUGAUGGCUCCAACAAUACAUAAGAAUGGUCUUCCCAAGAUGAGAGGAUCUUUAGACUCUUCUUCCAGCUCCAGAACAACGAAGUCUGCUGGAACAGAGGUGUUUCCAACUUUUACUUGGAGAUCCUCUAGAAUACCGACCGGAGAUUUGACUGAUCUAUCUGCGAACACCAAGGACAUCUUAGUUGGUUUGAAAUGCGUGUAUCCUAGACGUCGAGCUACAGAGUAGGGCAUGCAGUUCUACAGAGUAGAAUUGCAUUGCACUCCUUAGGAUUUUUGUCUGUUUUACCAGGUAGAACACCAAGGACAUCUUAGUUGGUUCACGCUGGAUCCAAGAUCAACCAAGGAGCAUGCAAAAACUGUUUUCCCAAUCUGGAUAGGGAUGACGAACUUGCUGGGGUCUCCUCGCUUCUUUAUCUAUCUGUUAUGAAGCACUGCACUGCACUCCUUAGAAACUGUCAUGAAUUCGCUCUCCUCUGAUAUUUUUCCUGAGAUCAAUCCUUUCAUAAAGCUGCGCAUGGAGGGCAUCAUUUGGAUCACAUCCAUCAGGGGGAGUCGGACGAUUAGAUCCUCCAGCAUCUUCCUGCACUUCAUCUCCUCUAUGUCCUUACGAGUACCCUUUGCUGGAACAGGGUAAGGGACUUUAGGAAUGUAUUCGCGAGGAGGAACAACCUCUGGGAUUGGGCGAACAGCUUCAGCUGGUUGUUCUGGCCCUGGUGAACUUGUUUCAACUGCUGGUUCUGUAUUCCCCUCUACUGCCAGGGUAUCGGCUGGUAGUUGUUCCGACUCUUUCUGCUUCCCUUUCUCAGCCGUGGUGAACCUCCUCUUCUCCGGCUUGGAAAGUUGCUUCCCGCUCCUUAGCUGAACUGCAUUGCACUCCUUAGGAUUUUUGUCUGUUUUACCAGGUAGAGUACCUUGCUGCCUCUUGACACUCUCAACAGUCUGAGCUAUCUGAAUGUCCAUGUGUCUCAUAUGGCUCGCGACAUUAUCAUACUUGGUGCUCAAAUCUCCAAACAUAUGGUUCAUUUUGGUAUUAAUCUCGGUAGUAACCUGGUUUAGAGCUUUCCCUUGGAGCUGUUGUCCUUGGUGUAGCUGCUGCAACAUAGUUUUGUUUCAUCUUGCGGAACCGCGACAGAGGCGGAAGUAGCAGGCUGAGUGUUCUGGUGCUUCUGCAUCUGAGGUUGAUUGUUCUAUGGUUGGCUUAGAAAAUAGGUUCGGGGUUGGUAGUUCUUUUGAUACCCCGCAUACUGACCUUGACUGCUCUGUGCCGGAUCAACCGGUUUCUCCUGCUUAGGCCAGAAAAGUUGUGGAUUGUUCCUUACGUUAGGGUUUGGGUGGUAGUUCUUUAGCUGCCACCCUUGCCCAUUUACGUAGCUCACUUCCUGCUGAUCUUCUCCUGCUUGUUCAGCUUCAAACGCCUUGUCGCCUGCACUCUUCUUAGGAGUUGCUUCUUCCAUUAUGAAAACUUGGCUCUGGUUUCCCUUAAGCAGUUGGUCCACCUUCGCCGCAAGAUCAUCUAUAUUGUUCACACUUUUGGAGCGAUCGUGCUCCUUGUUCUUGUUGAGUGAACUUGAAGCCAUGUUCUCAAUCAACGCGAACGCACUAGGUGUGGUUUGAGUCAUGAGGUCUCCGUUACUAGAAGAAUCAAGGGUGUUUCGGAACACAUAGCUCACUCCAUCAUAGAACACCUCCAAUAUGUAAUCAUCAUCAGACCCAUAGUGUGGGCACUCUCUCUGGUACUCCUUGUACCUUUCCCAAGCUUCAUGAAAGGUUUAUCAGAUUUCUGCUUGAAAUUGGAGAUUCUAUGCCUUAGAGCCGUGGUUUUGGACUUUGUGUAGAAGUGGCUUAGGAAUGCUGAUCGAACCUGGUCCCAUGAGGUGAGAGAACCGGUUGGGAGAGAUUGCAGCCAGCGAGAAGCUUUCCCUUCAAGAGAGAAUGGGAACAGCGAGCAUUUGACAUAAUCUGGUGGCACUCCAUUAGAGCAAGAGAAAUUGCAGAUCCUCUCAAAGGCCUCUAUGUGGUCCAUUGGAAUGUCUGAAGUGAGGCCGCUGAACGUGCUCUUCUGUACCAGACCUACCAGUGCAGGUUUGAUCUCAUAAUCUUGUAGAGUACAGGGUGGAGAGCUGAUGGGGGAGAAGUUAGUAGCGAAGUUUGGCGGAAGGUUUCGCUCCCUAAUAAGAGCACCACGCUCUUCUCGUGUGGCGUUCUCGGCUGCUUGGUCCUCAGCAGUUUGUUGCUGAUUUUGGAUGGUUUGCUGCAUCUGCAACAUCUGUUGUUGCUGAGUCUGUAUUUGUUGUUGAAUGAGUGCCAAUGCAGCAGUGAGGUCAUCCAUGUUGACGUGAUCACCCAUGUUGGUGUUGGUUGUUCUUGGCUGUUGACGGUUCUGUCUUUCUAAUCUUGUGAGUUCUUUGUUGGUCAGUUGAUGUAGUGGUCCUUGUGCUUUGCUCCGAGUAUGUCUACUGGUCAUGCACUUGGAUCAUCUGUUCCAACAAAGAAAUAAAGCAAGUUAGAUAUCUCACACUAAAUAUUAAACCGAAAAAGAAAGGUAAAGCUUAGUCCCCGUCGCAACGGCGCCAAAACUUGGUACACUAAAAAUGAAUCCUUGCUACUGUCAAGUUAACAGUGGUAAUUGUAAUAUUUGAGAUUCAAUCCUGAGGACCAGUUUACUUUUUACUCUUAUGAGUUCAAUAAUAAGCUGAGAAACAAGUGGGGUUUUGGGAAUUCAUUGUGACGCAAGUAACUAGAAUACCUAGAUGGUUCAAAUUUGAUUUAAAUGAAGCCGGCUUAGGGUUAUUAAUCGGAUGUCAAUGCAGAACUGAACAACUAUUCAAGUGCAAUGAGGUGCACUCUAGAAUUCAGAUCACUCGGCUAGAACAAUCCACUAUCGUGGUCUUGCUCCCUUUGCAUAUCGGUCUUGAAUCCUAAGUUCUCACUUGGAACAAGACACGAUAACAAGCCUUAGAGACAAGAUCUGAUUAGUUCACGUAAUACCCUAAUAUCUACUCUCGCUGAUUAGGGAUACAAAGCUCAUUCAAUAUAUGUCAAUUUAUCUCCUAAGCGGUUAGCUAGGUGAUUAAAUCAGAGAUCGACAGUUCAUGCGGCUAACACCCUACAACCCUAAGCAAGCUUAGCCUACUACUCAAUCAUAAAGCAGGAUGACACAAACAUGGUUUCUGAAUAAUACUGCAUAUAAAAUAAAGUAGAAAGACAAGGGUUCAGGAUGAUCUUCUCGUGAGAAUGAGAGAUGAAGCCUUCUCCCUUACAAGUUGCUUAAUCCAAAGAAAAUAGUUAUAGGUCUCUUGCAAAAACUAGCGUCCGAAAAAGAAAUGAUAGCAUAGGCCUUUUUAUAUGGAGGCGCUGGUGGUAAAGAGAUAAGAGAGAGUGGAAUCUAGGGCAAACUUCCAGAAUUGGAACUUUCCUUAAUGAUCGGGAACAGUCAAACGCUUGUUCUCUUCGGGAACAACCUUCGGGUUGUUCUAGAUGACUGUUCCGCAUCGAAUCCUUCAAAACGGCAUCCGACUUCCAGAAUCUCUCUUCUUUACUCUUUCACCUGCUCCAAACCUGGAAUGAUAUCAAUUAAACACGAAUUAGGACUUAGAAUUAGCUCAAAGCACACAUAUAAUGGUACUAAAAACACCAUAUAUCAUGGUUCGGGUGGUUUGGUUGGGAUCCAUAGUCGCGCUUAGGAAACUUAGAUCGGUUUCUUAGCAAAGAUGUUUUUCAUUUAUCUUUCCACAGUCGGUGCCAAAAUGUAGAACCUAAAAUCUACACUAAGUAUUUGAAAGUGAUCGGGAGUUUGAUCUAGGGAAGAUAAAAGAUGUAGGCAACAAUAUCUUUAGAAAACAACGAUGUUAAUAGUUUCCAGUAGGCAAAAAUGGACUUUAUUGAUGAAUAGGACCGAAUACAAUAAGUUGAACUAGAUUGAAUUACACAAGUGAGAUCGUUAAAGAAAAGGAUCUAAGAACAGGAGAAAACAAAGUCGAUGUAUGUGUGUAGCUCUCUCUCUAGGGUUUUCAACGUGUUCUUCUUCAUGUCCCUUCUCAUUUCUUUAUAGCGAGUCGACUUCGCGAUCUCUGUAGCUGUUCUGCGACCUUUGUAACUGCUCCGCGAUCUUAGUAACCGCUCCGCGAUCUCUGGGGGCCUCGACUUCUUUGCUUUUGAGCUCGGUUGCUUGCUACGGGUUUUGAUCCUUACAGCACAUCACUUUGAUCGUGGCCCGUUAAGGUAUUACCCAAAAUUGGGUCCAACAUCUGGGAUGUAACGAACUUCACUCAAUGUGACCGAUGAUCCAUCUUUGUUGUCUAUGGUUAUUUUUCCCAUUCCUCAAACUAUGCACAAUGAGUUGUGACCCAUCAUCACUUUAUUCCCGUCAUAUUCCACAAACUCUGAUAGAAGAUCCCUUUGUUGCGUGAUAUGAAAAGUGCAACCUGAUUCCAACACCCACUCUUCAUUUGAUACCAUCAGACUGUCUGUCAGGGCUAUUAACCCUGGAAGAUUCUUUGCCACGUUUGCUGAGUUUUCUAAAUUUGAGGAGUGAGAUGUUUUUUGUGUUCUGGACAGUCUCGUUUCCAGUGUCCAUCGCUUCCACAUAUCCAACAAGUUUUAUCUUGUUUUACAUUCUACUUUCCUAUUGACCUGAAUCUGCUCUUUCGUUUGCUGUUCCAUUGCUUGUUAUUUCUUGAGUCAUUUCUGGUCGAUGUUCUUCCCCUUGACUCACUGUAAAGACCCUUUGAGUGUAUGCCUCUUGUUGUCAACCCCUUCUGCUUUAUCUCUGCCUCUUUUGAGUAUGCCAUAGUGAUGACUUUGUUGACUGUCAGCAUGUCUUUCCGGUUCCAUAUUGUAUGGUAUGUACCAAUGGCUCACAGGCUGUAGUCAGCCCAGAGAGUAGUUGAAUGGCUUGAUCCUCGUCUGAGAUGUCGAUCUUGAUACUUGCCAAAUCAGCUAGAAGCUUUAGGAAAGAGUCAAAGUUCUCUUCCAUUGGUUUAUUUUCUUCCAUCCUGAAGCAAGAAAACUUCUUCUUGAGAUAUAUUCAGUUUGGCAAAGACUUUGUUUGGUAGUCUCUCUCAAAUUCUUUCCCCAUUCUAAGAGAUAUAGUCUCAUUCAUAAUCUUCAUCAAGAUCAAAUCACUGGGACAAGUGGUGAAUAGACUCCUAGCUCUUAGAUAUCUUUCUGCCUUCUUUAGGUCUUUCUUUACUUCGACACCUUCCUCUAGCUUUGCUAUAUCAAAUUCAAAAGUGGUUUCUUUCUAAAGUACUGAUACCAGGCCUUGAAUCGCUAACUGUGUCAUCAUCUUAAAUUUCCAAAGUCCAAAGUCACCGUUCCUAUCGAACUUCUCGAUCUCGAACCUCCCUGGCGUCGGAUCCAUCCUCUUUGAUGUGUGAUUCCUCGCUUCUUGUCACUUGCAGAUAACCAAGAAAACAAUCCCACAACAACUAGAUGCACAACCAAAGAUUCAAGAUCAGAUCGAUUUAGUAUAAGAGUAGAAUUGAACUUCCUUUAUAAUCCCAAUCAACCUCUUCUCGUUGAUUGGUGCUCCUCGAUCUUUACUCCUCGUAGAACCAGAUCGUUCUUCUGAAUCCGGACCUCGAUCAUGUCUUCUGAAUCCUUUGAAUGCUCUAGCCUAGCUCUGAUACCACUUGUAGAAUAAUCUGAUACACACUUGUAUUGUAUCUCAAUGAUCUCUCUUGACUAUCGAACGCUUUGAUUCUAUCGAUCUCUCACGUCUCUCGUAGUUUGAAGAUCGCGACUCCACUCACACACUCGAAAACCCAGAACGCAACACGAAAGAAAACAAUUGACAAGAAAACACCCAAAGUUUUAGAGUUCCCCAGAUUUUGGGUACAUCUCCUUCAGGAUCGGUACCUGGAAUUCGUUAUCUCUUUGGAGUGUUACACGAGAUUCUUUACAACAAUGGCAGAAUCAUCUGCUUCGGUACCUGGAUAACAUGAGAAGAAGACGAGGCUGUUAGGUUGUUAUGAGGUGUUAUCCUCUGCUUCUCAUCCUUCUCCUUUUAUAUGCACAUGUAACUUCAGCUCCUGGGUUUCACUCUUUCACCAGAGGCCGAGCAUAAUCUUUAUCGCUCUUCUUUAUUAUUGACGUCCAGGCCCAGUUGUCAACGACAGGCCCAGUCCAGAUCAACUCAGUCACUUGCCAAUCUCACAUAGAAUAUUUUUGGAAUAUAACUUUUUUAUAUGUUUUAAAAAUUAUGUAUUGCCAUUUUUGAUCUACAUUAAAUAUGUAUUGUCAUUUUUUUUUGUCAGCAAACAAAGCAGACUCAUGUAGACUCUGCGAACCACCCCGAUAGCUCUGCAUCCAUAUGGACGACAAAUGACGGUUGCUUUCUUGCACUGCGUGCGAGACUGUCCGCCUUUGAGUUUUGUGUCUGUGGUAUAUGAAUGAUCUCUGAGCUGUUAAAACUCCUCUUUAAAACUUUUAUGUCUUCCAAAUAGCUUGCAAAGGCUGGCCACUCUUCUGGUUCCGACACCAUCUUCACCAAUUGAGCACUAUCUGUUGCAAAAGUAACCCAUGCUUGUCUAAGAUUCCUCAUACAUUCCAUUGCCCAUAUAAGGGCCUCUAUCUCUGAGUGUAGUGGCGACUGACUCGCUCUCGUGUUCCUUGCUCCCAUUAGUCCAUCGUAGCCUUCCAGGGUACUAUACCAUCCUUGCCCUGAAAAGCUAUCCUCAUUUUUCCAAGAUCCGUCUGUAAAACACCAUCUACCUGGUAUACUCGUUAUUAUCGAAGAUACAUGAAUUUGGGUGCGUUCCAUGUCUUGAGUCUGAGAAUUUUGUGCUUCCACCCAAAGUAACGAUUCCAUUUCUGCCAGUUUAAGAGUAUCUCUCGGGUCCAUAUCCAAAUUGCUAAAAACUUUAUUGUUUCUACCUUUCCAUAUAUACCAGAGAAUCCAAGCAAAUGAAUGAUCCUCCAUUUCAGGAGAAAGUCUCCAAAAUAAAUGAUCCAUAUUGGUAAACAAAGAUUGAGUGGGAAAAAUAUUUGGAUUCAUCGGGAUCCGUGAAAGUGCCCAGACCUGAACCGCCGGUGGACAUUCAAAAAACACGUGAUUAGCUGAUUCCUCGGGAGCACCACAUCGGUCACAAACAGUAUCUCCUUGCAUUCCUCUUGACCUCAAAUUUUUCUUAACCACUAUACAUCCCGUCAAUAGUUGCCAUAAACAAUGUUUCAACUUGGGUGGGCAGCGUAACUUCCAACAGAACGUCUUCAAAGGUGUUAUCGAAGGGCCAAACUGGGGUGGCAUUAUUUCUCUAUCCGGAUAUACUCGUUCCACUUCAUAUCCAGAUUUAACCCUAUAUUUUCCAUUCUUUGUAAAAUGCCAUCCAUUCCGGUCUUCUAGAUGAGAUCUACUGAUAGGAAUACUUUGAAUAAUUUUCACAUCUUGCGGAUCCACCAGAGCCCGAAUAACCUGUAGGUUCCAUGAUCGUGACGUUCCAUCGAUAAGAGCAUCCACUGUUAGGUCCGGGUAAAGAUUGUGUUGAUUUUUAUUUGCUGGUCUCGGGCGAGUGGAUGGAAGCCAAGGGUCAUUCCAUACUGAUAUAGAUGAUCAUGUUCCCACCCUUUGAUUAGUCCUAUGCUAACCAGAGAUCUAGCAGAGACAAUACUACCCCAACCAUAAGAUGACAAGUAUGAUCUAAUGGGUUCCAGGGGUGAAGCAUUCCUGAAAUAUCUCCCUUUGAAUACACGAGAAAAUAAAGUAUUCGGUUUGUCCAUUAAUCUCCAAAAUUGUUUCCUAAGCAUAGCUGUAUUAAAAUCUGUGAGAUCUUUGAAUCCCAAACCUCCAUCGUCCUUAGAGCUACACAGUUUGUCCCAUGAUUUCUAAUGCAUACCUCUCUUGUUACCCCCUGGACUCCACCAGAACUGUGCUACAGCACUAACUAAUUUCUUCAUUGUUUAGCAAGGCUAUAACCACAGAUUUUAUAAUCACUUCCUUACCCCCUCUGGUGAAAAACUUAAAAGUCCAACCAUUUACUCUGCUAUUUAGACGCUCCUGAACAAAUCCAAAAACUUGCACCUUUGAUCCUCCCAUAUUUUCUGGGAUGCCCAAAUAAGACCCCAUUCCUCCUAAAUUAUGUAUACCUAAGAUAUCUCGAACUUCCUGUCGUGUAGCUUCUGCAAUCUUGUGUCCAAAUUGAAUCGAAGAUUUUUCAAAAUUUAUUUGUUGUCCUGAAGCCCCUUCAUAUUCUUUGAGAAUCCUAAGAAUUGUCUGACAUUCUUCCUUCUGAGCUUUGCAAAAGAAAAGGCUAUCGUAUGCAAAUAAUAAAUGGGAAAUUGGGGGGCAGGCCCUAGCAACCUUUAGACCCGUUAGUUGCUUAUUUCGUUCUGCCUUUUUAAUAUUUGCGACCAAUGCUUCCGUACACAUAAUAAACAGAUAAGGGGAUAGAAGGUCCCCCUGACGUAAUCCCCUAUGUGGUAUUAUAUGUCCUUUUGGCUGUCCAUUCAAUAAAACCUUAUACUGAACCGAGGAAAUGCAUUACAUCAUUAAUUGGAUCCAAUGCUGGCCGAAUCCCACCUUGGUUAGUAGUUCUUGGAUAAAGAUCCAUUUAACUUUGUCAUAAGCUUUGCUCAUAUCCGUUUUUAUUGCCAAAAAUUUAUCCUGACACGAUUUAUUAGUUCGCAAACCAUAGAACAUCUCCUGAGCUAUAAGAAUAUUAUCUGAUAUUAAUCAUCCAGCAAAAAAAGCCGAUUGCGUCUACGAGAUCAGUGAUGGAAGACAGACCUUUAAUCUUUGACAUAAUACCUUAGAUAUAAUCUUGUAUCCUACAUUACAUAAGCUGAUAGGUAUGAGUUCAGUCAUCCUUGUGGGUCUCUCCGUUUUAGGAAUCAGACAAAUAUUUGUAGUGUUUAACCUUGUGUCCAAAUUUCCCGAUGCCAAAAAACUAUUGACCAUUUCCAAUAGAUCAUUUUUUAUUAUAUGCCAUGAGUGUUGAAAAAAGAGAGCCGUCAUUCCAUCCGGCCCAGGAGCUUUCUCCGGAUGCAUCAUGAAUAAGCAUGUCGAACUUCCUCCUCAGUUGCCAACCGAACAAGCCGUUGAUUCAUUUGUGGUGUAAUUGAGGGUGUAAUCUCAUCUAAAAAACCAUCAAAACCAGUAGGAGUUGUUGUCUGAAACAGAUCUUCAAAAUAAUCCACUGCCACCUUUUCUACCCCCUGCUCCUCAAUUAUCCAGUUUCUAUCAGAAUCAUAUAGACCCACAAUUCUAUUACGAGCACGACGUUGUUUUGUUAGAGCAUGAUAGAAUUUUGUAUUGAGAACCCCAGAAGUGUGCCACAUAUUACGACUCUUUUGUUGCCAGUACUCUUCAUCAUCCUUAUAAGCUUCCUGUAACUUCCUUGAGACCUCUAGAAUAUCUUCUUGGGUUCUAGUAUUAUCCGUUUGGACUUCAAGUGCUUUCUGGAGUUCUCCAAUUUUCUCUUUCCCAUAAGGUGGAUUAUUCUUCCGCCAUGUAGAGAUCUCAUGAUGGCAGUUUGUAAUUUUUGAAACGAAAUCCCCCGGAUUCGCCUCUGAGAAUUCACCCCACCCUCUUGCAAUCGAGUCCAAUAAGCCUUCUUGUCCAAUCCAUCUCUUGUCAAACCGAAAUUUUCCCCUCCGUCUUGUUAUUUUAUUGUCCAGAAAAGCCACCACCGGUCGAUGAUCGGACCCCACCAUUCUCAAAUAUUCUGUGUAAGAGCAUGGAAAAAGUGUAUCCCAAUCUUCAUUCGCUAAAGCUCGAUCCAACCGGCACCGAACCAUAACUUUUUUCUUUUUUCCUUGUUUCCUUCUUCCUUGCCAGGACAUCUGAUUUCCUCGGACUGGGAACUCCAAAAGUUCAGUAUUCCUAAUCAUGUCAUUAAACGGUACAAAAGAUCCUGCACUGCGUAUGCCCCCCCCCCCCAUCUUUUUCAUGAUUCCCAGUUAUCUCAUUCAAAUCUCCAAUAAUAAACCACGGCUCUGACCUUGCUAGGCCAUACCUUGUUAACCGUUCCCAAACUUGAUCCCGUAACUGUUGAACCGGCUCUCCAUAAACAAAGGUCAUAUAAACUUUUUUUCCAAGGGCCAAAGUUUCAACAUCAAUCAUACGAUUACUAGUAUAUAGAAUAUCAACCUGGUAUUCAUUAUUGUAAAACAAUGCCAAACCUCCACUCGCACCAACCGGGUCCACUGUAACUAAAUUAUCAUAACCAAAAUGAGACUGAAGACCCUGAAGGUAAACUAAAUCUUGUUUUGUCUCGGAGAGAAACCAAAAAUCCGGUCUAUGUUUAUGCCAUAUUUCCCGUAAAUAACUAAUUGUCCAGUGACUUCCCGCACCUCUACAAUUCCAACUCAAUACUAUCAUAAAAACCUUUUAGAAAAAACUCAUUAGAGCUAGAUUAUCGGGUGUGAAGAAACUCUGGGUAACCAGACUCCACUCGACAGAAAACUGAUAUUUCAUUAUGUAUUGUCAUAUACAUGUAUAUAUAUAUAUAUAUAUAUGAAUUAUGGUUCAUCUAUUUAGUUUCCAUUAUUUUCUGUUUUAAAAUAAAUUUAUUAAAUAAAUAAAUGUAUUUUAAGUGGUAAUAUUUUGUAUUAUUUGUUGUUUUCAUAGUAAGUAAUAUUUUUUUAUUAAAUUUCUAUUUGAACUUCAAACAAGAAUAAUUAAUAAUAUAUAGUAAAAUUAUAAAACAAAGUAUAUAUAACUUAUAUUUAAACAUAGAAUUAAAAUUUUAAGUUUACGUUUAAACAUAAAAUUAUAUUUGUUUUUGCUGUUUUUUAAAUAGGCUUAUGUGUGUUUUGGUAAUGAUAUUAUAUUUUAUUAUAUCACAAUAAAUAUUUUACUAUUGAUAAUAUUUUCAUUUCAUUAUUUUAUAAGCAAAAACCAAAAAAAAAAUUAACCAAAAUAUAAAAUCAUAAUUCAUGGUUUUCAAAAAUUUAAAAUAUAAUGCAAAAUUAAAAAAAAAAUCCAAAUCUAAAAUAAAAAAAACCAACAACUAAAAACAAAAUUAAAAAUUAAAAAUCUAGAAACCAAACAAACAAUCAUCUCCAUAAAUGGAUCUUGAUUAGAUUGGUAGUCUGGAUCUAAUUGUUUUAGGUUCGGUUAAUAAUUAGUUAGAAAGGUAGUGUCAAAUUGUUUUUGUUAUAAUUUCUAUUUAAAAAAUAAUAAUUUAAAUAAAUAAAAGAGGAAAGUCUCCAAACAAGAAUUUUUUUCAGCCAUUUUAUAUCUUUUUUGGUAAAAAAUUCCCAACAUAAACUACAAACGAUUUUAUUUUUGCAAAGAGUACAUAUUAUAACUCGAACAUAGAUACAUUACAUUACGAAAGUUUAUUCACCUAAUUUCUUUUAUUUGACUUAAGUAACUUUUACAAACUCACCAUGGUUUUACUUAUAGUCAUAUACACAUACAUGUCACAGUUGUAUACAGGACUGUGUGUAUACAUAGAUGAAAUCAUCCAUGGUGGUUAAAGUAUUGAUAGAUUUAGUUGCCAGGCUGAGUCUGAACAGCUUCUGGACCGUGUCCACCGUGGCCUCCUCUUCCUCCGUGUCCCCCGUGGCCUCCUCUUCCUCCCUUGUAUCCUCCACCUCUUCCUCCGUUGUAUCCUCCACCGCCGUUGUAUCCUCCUCCCCCGUUAUAUCCUCCACCUCCCUUGUAUCCUCCACCUCCGUUGUGUCCUCCUCUGUUAUAUCCUCCUCGUCCGUUGUAACCUUCAUUUCCGCCAUGGCCACCACCAUAUCGAUCAGGUUGCACAGUUUCCUCACUCUCUGUUUUCACCGUACAUAUCCAAAACAAAGCACCUCAAUAUUAUUUCAAAGAUAUCUUUUAGCACGUGCAUAUGUGCAUUCCACUCCCCGAUUUUUGAAAUAAAUUUCGAUUAAAACUAUUCAAAUAUAUAUAAUUUCGGAUCUCGGUCAAAAAAGAUAAAUCGCAUCAUUAUAUACCUUCAAUAUAAAAUUUAGACCGAACAUCUAAAUGAUUUGAGAUGGCCUGAUACGUAUAAAAGGUUUCAAUAUCAUACAUAUCGUCUUCUUUUUUUCUUUUUUAAUAAAACUGGGCUAAUCUCCUGGAGAGCCUACCAGGAAAAGACAAACCCGGUUCCUCUACGGAGGAGUUAGAUAUUCACACCGCCUAGCUACACAUAUCGUUUUUUUUACUAGACAAAUAUUCCCUGCCUUUUUAAUAUAAGUCAGUUUUAGAAUUAUGCACACAGAUAAAAAAAUUAUUAUUUUUUAUAUUUUCUAACAAAAAUAUCAUUAAUUAUUUAUCUAACCACGAAUCAGUCAAUAAUAAAAUAGAAAGUAUAUUAUCAUUAGUUAUAUAAAACUAAGUGUUAAUAAAUUUUACAUAGAAAAUCGAAAAAAUCAUAUAAUUUAGAACAUAAAAAUUUCUAAAACGACUUAUAUUAAAAAACGGAAGGAGUAGAUAACAACAUCAUACUUAAAUGUGUUUUGACUUAGCAAGUCCAAAUAAUUAACCAGCAUUAAUUCAAACAAACUUUCUGGACUUAAAACGGACGAAAUGGUAUGAUGAAAUUUUGAAAUAGUACUUUAGCACCACAGCCUUUGGAACUACUUUUAUUUUUAUAUAGAAUAAUAAUUUUACGUACCCGACUUCUGUGCAGAUGCUGCGGCCAUUUCUGACACAACGAGAAGAAUUGCAAAGACACCCAGCAUAAUCAAAGUCUUUGAAGCCAUUUUUUUUUUUUUGCUAAAUUGUAAAUAUCAUAUAAUGAAAGGUUUAGGGUUUUACAAGCCUAAAUUGUGAUACCUUGGCAAAAAGAAAGAAAAAACAAGGCAGUCACAAAAAGUUAGAGUAGAAACAUUUAGUUAUCUAAUCCAAAGUUGCAUAAGAGAUUUGAAGCUUCUCCUAUGUCUUCGCGCACUUAUCGUGUUGCGAACCUCCCUGUCGAUGGAGCUGAAGGUCGUCUGGGUUGGGCAGAAUCCUGAGAGAUGCACCGCUGAAUUACAUUGCCUCCAGACGUUGUAGAGGAGAGAUUGUGUGGCCAGCUUCUUGAGCGUUGUUGGUGCUGAGGCAGAGGGGGCUCGUACCCAGGACAGAAGCUCUUCCCAAGACAGAAAAGCCCUACGAAGAGGAUCCAAUCGCGCAAAAAUGAAGCUCCAAAUGGCAUUGCUGUAGUUGCAGGAGAGGAAAAGAUGCUCUCUGGUUUCUUCAUGGUUGUUACAGAAGCAGCACGCCGUUUGAAUAUUGAGACCCCACGAGGCAAGCCUGACCUUCGUUGGUAAACGGUUGAGGUUCGCUAGCCACAUGAUGAACGCCUGUCUUGGAAUGGCUCCACUGAACCAGACUGCGUUGGCCCAAGUCUUUUUUGGUGAUCUUGGUCUCAGGACCUCCCAUGUCUUGGAAGAGGAGAAGCCCUUGCAGUCUUUGGAGUCGACUACCCAUUCGAACACGUCUGAUUCUGUCUGGUGUAGCGGAAGCUGGAUGGUCGUUAAGUGGAUAUGGAGAGCGAGAGCGUUGUCUGAUCUAGGCUGAGGAAGCUUCCAUGUCGUUUCAUUUGUAGCGUCUCUAACGGAGGCUGAGAUAGGUACUCUACAGACCCUAGGACCCGAAUCACCUAAGAAUUUGAUUAGCUGGCCAAAGGGAGUCCAACUAUCGAACCAGAACUUUGAGUUUGCUCCAUUGUGAACUCUGCACUUUAAGAACUGCUCUGCCAGUGGUCUGAGGGAGAGGAUCGAGUUCCAAGAUGCCGAGUCCGAUCUCUUGCUUUCUAAUGCCCAGAAGCUAUCAUUCUGUAGAUGGUGGUGGGUGUGCCAUUGCACCCAUAGGGAGUUAGUGCCCGAGAAUAAUAGCCAAAUAAACCGCAGGCACAACACCUUGUUCCAGUCAUUGAAACUCCUUAAGCCAAGGCCUCCUUCUGUUUUCGGUAGACAGACUGUUUUCCAAGCCACUUUUGCUGAGACUCUAUUCUCAAUAUUUCCAGCCCAUAGGAAACGUGAGCAGAAGGAUUCUAUCUUUUUCAGACAGCCCUUGGGUAAUAUGAACGUUGUCAUCCAAAAAUUUACAGUUCCAUUUAUGACAGAAGACAAUAGCUGGAGUCUCCCUGCAUAACUCAACAUUUUAACAGCCCAUGACCUGAAUGUACCAACUAGGUUCUGUAUCAAAGGGUCAUACUCCGAUAUCCUAAGCUUUCUAUGCAUCAGCGGUAAACCGAGAUAGCGAAUAGGGAGCUUACCAAUUGGGAACUCGUAUCUAGCGACUUCCGCAGUUUCCAAGGGGUUGAGACCAGCAACGAAGAGCUCUGACUUGUCUCUGUUAACUUGCAGCCCUGACCAGCUGGCAAAAUCAUCUAAGGUUUCUGCGAUUUCGUGCAGAGAAUUAGAGCCCCCAUCAAAGAAGAUCAUCACAUCAUCAGCAAACAUCAAGUGAGAGAUAUUAACAUCAGCGGUUCUAGGAUGGUAUGAGAUGUAACCCAAGUCAAAUCUAGCAGAUAAAAGUCUGGAGAAGACUUCCAUUGCUAGCACGAAUAGGUAAGGCGACAGCGGGUCCCCCUGCCUAAGACCUUUCGAGCUCUUGAAAAACCCAUCAGAAAUGCCAUUUACUGAAACAGAGAAUGUUGGAGUCGUGAUACACUCCUGAAUCCAGCCAAUGAAGAUCUCAGGAAAGUUGAUGGCUCUGAGGGUAGAGAUAAUGAAGUCCCAUCUGAUUGAGUCGAAGGCCUUCCGCAAGUCAACCUUGAGCAUACCCCUCUUUGAGAUGUUUUUCCUGUUGUAACCAUGGACAAUCUCCGUUGCUAGAAGAACAUUUUCAGACAACAACCUGCCUUUGAUAAACGCAGACUGCGACGGUGAGAUGACAUUGUAGAGUAUCUCUUGAAGGCGGUUUGUUAGCAGUCUGGAUAUCACUUUGUAUAGAGUAUUGACGCAGGAUAUUGGUCGAAAAUCCUUAGUCCUAUCAGCAUUAGAAGACUUGGGGAUGAGGAUCAGAGAGGUUGCAUUCCAUUGCUUUAAGAGUUUGCCCGAUCUGAAGAACUCCAGAAUAGCUUCUGUUGCCUCAACGCCCACAAUACUCCAAGCCCCUAUGAAGAACUCUGCUGGGUAACCAUCUGGACCACUAGUUUUGUUCGAGGGCAGAGCAAAAAACGCUUCUCUAAUUUCUUGCCUAGUGAACUCCCUAAUAAGAUCCUCCUUCUGUACCUCAGUGCAUCGGUAGGGCAAAAGCAGAGAGAGAUCUUGAGGGUCUAAAGAAGAGGGGUCAUGCUCUGCGCCUAGCAAGUCUGAAAAGUAAUUCAGGCAGAGGCUUUGGAUCGCAGCCUGUCCCUCCACUCUCGUGUUUUGAUCAUCUAAGAGAUAAUGAAUAUGAUUAGAUGCCCUUCUCGUUGCGAUAAGUCUGUGGAAAUACGCUGAGUUGCAGUCGCCACCUUUAAUUGAGUUUAUGUGAGAUCUUUGAAAUAAGAAUCUCUCCUCGGCUUUGGAAAGGGUUACCCAUCUGUCCAUCUCCACUCUCUCUGCUACCGCAUUUGCAUCAGUUGGUCUUAGGAGGAGGAUUUGCUGCGCAGCUAGUAGCUUCUCGUGAGCCUCCUUUACUCUCUUUUCCAGGUUUGAAUAGUUCUCCUUGCUGAAGGUUCGAAUACCCGCCUUUAUCAUUUUCAACUUCCUAGCGAUGGUGAGCAUCGCUGAUCCAGUGACAUUUGUAGAGUACCAAAGAUCUGUAAGGUAAUCAAGAAACUGCUCGUUGUGAAGCAAGAAGUUGUAGAAGCGGAAUGGUCUCUUUUCUCUAGUCGAUGCCGCCUUCAAGAGAACAGUAGCCACUGCGUGGUCCGAGAAGUCUGGUUCCCCAAAGAUAGCAAUAGAGUCCGGGUUGCUGGAGAGCCAGUUAUCGUUGACAAGUACUCUAUCAAGUUUCUUGGCGAUGACAUUAGUCUUGCUUUUAUUUGUCCAAGUGAAGGUCGGCCCCUUGAAUGACAGAUCAGCCAAAUCAGCUUCCAAUAGAGUCUCCCUGAACAACCUUGUUUUAGUGUCAACGUUUAGAGAUGUCGGUCUGGAGUGUUCUUGGGGGUGAAGCGUUUGGUUGAAAUCUCCUAAGACCAUCCAAGGCCUGUUUUUGAUUCUCGGAUCAUCACUCAAACUGAUAAUCUCCUUCCAAAGUUCCCGUCUCUGCUCCUCCUCAUUUGAGGCAUAUAUAACGGUGAUAAUAUAAGCAGAAGGCUGGUUAGGAAGUUGGACCUCUGAAGUAAUCGAUUGUAGGGAUUUGUGUAACACUGUUACCAUGACAGAAGGGUGCCACACUACCCAGAUCUUCCCAAUCUCCGAGAAACUGUAGUUCUCCACAAAUUGCCAGCCAGGUAGAAUGCCGGUUAAGAACUUCUGAAUCUUUGGCUGCUUUACAUGGGUUUCUAUAAUACCCCCAAAAAGUGGUUUAUUUAGCUUCCACCAUUUUCUAAAUCCGCUGCGGUGACUAUAUACGUUGAACCCGCGCACAUUCCAGCAAAAAAAGUCUAUAUACAUUGAUGAUUAGUGUUUUGAGGGAAGAGCCCCUCGGUUUUUCUUCUUACUUCUCCUGGAUAACACCCUGAUGAAGUUCUCAUGGUCGUCGUGGUAGCCAUCUGAUUCACCAGAGUAGGUGUCAGAGGAGUCAUGCUCUAGGUCAGAUGAUUUCUCUUCCUCAGUGCCUUCGCUAAGCUUGACUCUUUCGUUUCCCGGGGGGGUUUUUUCAGCAGGGGUAAGGCCACUACUAUCACCUUUAUCCUGAACUAUCGUCGGAGGUAAUGUGACAAUUGGUUCCUGAACACGUUUCCCAUUAUCACGAACUUGCCACUGCAGCUGUGGAGCCUUAUCUUUGAAGCCAUUUUCUUUAACCGAAUUUAAGUUAUAACACUCUCUUUGUCGAAAAACAAAUGAUGAAUAAAAUGUCAGUCUGCAUGAUCUCUAUUUAAAGAGAAAGAGGAGCAGCGGAUGAGAAAAGCCAAAUAACAAAAAUUCAAUAAAAAUAAUUUAAUUUUUUAAUUAAAAGAAAAAGAGGCAGAAUUUAUCACAACAUUGGAUUUGGAACUUUAUAGAAUUUGAACACCUACUAAGUUCCAGAAAAUCUAAAAUUAAGAUAAAAUGUUGAAAAAUUAUUACAGUUUCUUUAAAAAGAUUUAAAUCAAUUUUAUAAUAUUUAAAAAAAUAUUUAAACCUUUGAAUUUUAUUUUAAUGAAAAUUUAUGUUCUUUAAAAUUUUAUUUUUAUUACUUAUUAAUUUAUAUAAAAUAUAUAAAUAUACAAAAUAAUAUUUCUAAAUAAACUUUAUUUAUCUGAUUUCAUUUUUUUAUUUUUAUGUAAAAGUGAAAAAUAAAGAAGAAUUUAUUUUGUAAGAAAUUUCAAAUAACAUCAUCAUAGGAAGUGAUAUUUUUAUUCAUUAACUUUUAACCAUAUAAGUUAUUUUUAUAAUUCCACCACUUCUUAUUUGAUAGAUUUUAAUGACUAAAUCUAUAUUUCCAAUAAGUUAGAAUUUCGAAGAACUAAUACAAAUUAUGAACUCAAUAACUUUGGAUUUCAAAUUAUUUCUGUAAAUGUUAAAUACAAUAUAACUGAUGAUUUUGGGGGAAAAUGAAAUCCUAUAAACUUACUAAUCGGUUAAUUCAAUAAUUACUCUAAAAUAUUUUCUAGAGAGACUUCUUGGAUGAGGAGUUUGAAAAGUAAUUAAGUAGAAAGUGAAAAGAAGUUAUUUUGUUAAAUAUUUAAGAUGGGUUUACUUAAUUCAUUUAACUGUUAUGAAAAAUGUGUUCUCAAUAUAUUCUAUUUAGGUUAUUUCCUACUUUUCAGUUUUAGAUCUUGUUAAGCUUGAAUGUACCAUGCGUAAGAAGAAUAUAAUGACCCACAUUCUGGUCCAAUGAAUUCAGAUCGAGGCCCAAACCCAUCCCCAUAAGCCCAUGAUAUUUUCUAUAAAAACUCAGCACUCUACUUUGUUUUCUUCACCAAAAAUCAUCAAGAAAAGUUUAGAGAGAAGAAGUUAAUGGGAGAAAUGAGGAAUUGUUACAGAACCUGAGCCACCACUGGGUUCGUCGGAGCCUUCUCACGCCGUGACUGUGUCGAGCACGCCACCACCGUUAACCGCCCAAGGUAACACGGAAACCACAUGCAUUAGCUUCAAUUUCGGGUCUGUUUAGUAAAUCGCCCAUUACUUCCUAACCAUUAGCUUCAUAACUUCCGUUUAGCUUCAGCUGCAUGCAAGACCAACAUUGUGUUCCUCUUGUGGAGACGAAGCCAUAGACACCAACCACACCGUGAUCGGAGCCCGGACGAAGCCGCUAGAGCUUCCCGAAGUUUCGCUACGAUCGGAGUCCGCCGGAGCCGCCACGCAUUCCGGCCACUUGCCACCGUCUCCGACCAUCGUUCGCCGGAGCCGUCGUGCCCGGCCACCGUCCGUCCGCCGCCGAGAAGCUGCCACCGUAUCGCCGCCUCUCCGCUGCCGUCGGCGAUUUCCCGGUAAACCGCCGCCACCCUCCGCCGUCGCCGCCGUCACCACCGGUGACCGUCGCCGGUAACUCGGCCAAGUCCGGUGAGACAACUCGGUGACUCAGUCAACUGGUGGUUUGACUGGUUUAAUUGGUUUAAAUCGAUUUUGGGUUGGUUAGGUUAAACCGGUUGGUUAUUGGAAAUUGAUUUUGGAUAGAAGUAAACCGGUUUGCAAUUAAUUAGGAUCUGGUUCAAUUAAAAAUCAAAAUCGGCUGAGUUAAACCGGUCGGUUCAGUUUGAUUUCAAUUUGGUUAAGGGUUGACCGGCUUGGGUCAGAGUUGACCAGGUUGACCUUUGACCUGCGGAUUGACUUUUUGGUAAACUUUAACCAGACCCGUUUUAAACCGUUCGAAAGCCGUUCUGACUCAGAAUUUUGCCCUGAUUUCAGAUUAAGAGUCUAUUUGAGCAGCUGGAGUUCAUAGAUACCACAUUUCCCUAUUGCUCAGGUGAGGGUCUAUUCUCGAACUUCUCGUAUACGGCUUAGGACCUCGAAUAAGUAUAACUUAUUUCUAAUAUGUUCUAUCUGCUUGAAAUCGAGUCAGUCAUUGCUUGUUUAGUUAUUAGGUUCUUUGCUUAAAUCGAAAUUAGGUGGUUAGAGGAUUCAACAUCGAUUGUUUCACUUAAUGUAAAUGCUUAGCUAGGAUUGUUUUUGUGUGGAGACGGAUACAGAGACAGACUUAUGUAUGCCGGAUCGUAUGAGGUUAUGGCCAACUAUAGUCGACCGGUUGAGCUGUAGCCUGGAAGGAUCGAUAAAUCGUCCAUGGGCGGUGUCCGAGCACUAUCUCGAGCUGUGUUAUGUUUUUGGCCUUUUAGUGGGCAGCGAGUGCGCGCCUCGCUAGAACAAUUUUUUGUUGUUUGGAUACUUUAGGUGCCGUGUUUGACAUGUAUUAGAAUUAAAUUAUAUUUAUUUGGAGUGCUAUGUCCGGGUCCAUGGACUUUAGGGUAGCAUCUCAUACCUCAUUGGGUGAUUACCCUGUCGCUCACCCCUCACUCUGACCGAUGAGCAGGGGUGAUUAUCGGACUGGUGCUAUUGGGCUUUUGGGCUUCUAUCGCUUUUAUCGCUUUUACCGUUAUCGGGCUUUUAGGCCUUUGGACUUGGUGGCAACCACCAUUAAGUUUUGAUUCAUGGAAGCCUGUCCAAUUUUGGUCAAUGAACUUGCAAUAGAAGCAGACUUUGACUUAAGAGAGAAAUUAAUAGAGAGAAAAGAUAGGAACUAACUUUUACCUACAGAUCCAGAUACUUGUUUGAAAAUCCUUGCAUCCUGUGAUCGGUACUCCCAAGGUAAAGCUUGCACUUUUAUUUAUGUUAAGAAAUGAGGGUGGUAGAGGGGAAUGUCAGACAUGAUUUGCUAAGUUGUUGGCUAGGUGAAUUUGGUUGGUAAGCUAGGAUAUGGUAUAAUGUGCUUUUGUGGUUAGGACUUCCGAGAUGUGGAUUGAAAAAUUGUAGAGGUGAUGAUUCUAAGUUGUACAUCAUGUGAGUCCCUACUGUUUUGAGAGACUGCAUGUUUGUUUUGCUUGAGGACAAGCAAAAUGUUAAGUCUGUGGGAGUUGAUAGACCAUUGAUUUUACCCACUUUCAGCCAUGGUCUAUAAGUGUUUUAAUAUAUAUUUACUACUAAAUAGAGUCUAAUAGAGUCUAUUUAGAGUAUUUACAGGUUCAAGUACGUUCUAGAAAAAUAUGGUGAUUUUGGAGUCUUUUGAGGUGCAGAACUGCACAGGCGCGUCAGAUGUCUAGCUAUGGAUGGAUAUCUUCCCACCGUUAGAUUGAGCCCAUCUUUUGACACAAAAUAGUGAUUUGAGUUAGAUUUCCAAUUCCACCAGUUUGAGGUCAAUCAGCAUCCUGUAGCAGAGGUUACAAUCGUUUUACUGAAGAGCGGUCAGUCUGCCUCGCAAUAGGAAGCUGUCAAGGAGAUAAAAGAUUGUCGAUCGAUGACACAACAUUGGUGACAGUGAUGCCAGAAUAUGGGCUGAGCAUAUUUUAUGACCGCUGAAGCCCAGAAGCAACCUCAAAUUACCAGAAUACCUUUGGACGACCAUAAACCCUAUUCAUGUUAUUCAUAAGCCUUUGUUGACGGCUACACGCUCUUUAAGAUUUCUUGGAUUCUUGUUCUAGGUUAGGAGAGAAAGGAGAAACUCCUUCAGAGUCCUCCUGGAACUCCAUUCGUUUUGGUUUUAUAUUAUUUAUGCUUUUCAUCUAUGAUUUCUAUGACAAACUUCAUGCCUGAAUAGAUCCACCUGUUAGGUUUAGGGUUCACAUAGAUUAUGAAGGAUUAGCCCAAAAUAUAGAACUGCUAAGUAGUGAUAUUCAUCAUAGGAUUGUUCUUACUACUUGUGUUCUAGAGUCAUGAACUAUAACCCUGAUCUUAGAAUCAUUAGGCACAAUUGCGAACGCUUGGUCUUUUCUCUGAACUGAAUUCUAUUGAGAUAGGAUUGCUAGAAACAUACGAGAGUUGAUUUUGGAACCCUAGGGAACACAUAUUCAACCCGAUCGUAAAGCUUGCUAGAAGCAAUAUCGAUCGAUGAUCCAAUAGAUUAAUCGAUCGAUAUUGUGAAAGGUGUAUUGAUCGAUAUUCUUAUAGAAUAAUCGAUCCACACUUUCUUAUGAUCAGUAAACGAGAGUUGAGAUCUAAGAUCUGGAUAGUAGACUGCAUAUACAAUGGAAUUUGUUAGAUUUGUACUCCCAGUUGAGUUCUAUAAUAUCUUGCAACCAACAAUUAGCCUCUAUAUCAUUAAAAUCCUCAUUACCUGAAUAGAAACCCUAGAUCUAGUAACCAUCCUCCCAUCAAACAACUCUUUGCCAAGCUGAACAAUUGUCUUGUUCAACAUGUUUACUGCUUUAUUUACUGCUUUGCUAUAUUUAUUUACCGAUGUAUAAACUAUUAGCCUAGCUUAAUCAUAUAACUAUUAGAUCUAAUUUGUUCCUUAGCUCCAUGUGAAUUCGAUCACUAUGUACUACAACUCGACCUCUUAUUUGAGAGAGUAUAAAUCACUCGUUAGGGUAAUUUGAGUGAUAUCACAUUUUUCUCUCUCUAUUUCGACCCUAGAUUUAUAGGUAGAGAUAUUUAUUUAAAAGAAAAAGAAAAGGAAAAGGAAAGAAAAAAAAUAAAAAUAAUAAUAGGUAUUAGUUAGGUGGAAUCCAAACAGGAUUUGGUGGCUACAACCAUUAAGGCUUGCUUCAUAAGGGUUCCAACAAAAAGAAUUCCAACGGGACUUGGGGGCGGCAAUCAUCAAGGUUCGAUUCACAUGAAUUCUUGGAUAUAUGUCAAAAAGAAGUGAACAUGACUUGGUGACAACCACCAUUAAGUUUUGAUUCAUGGAAGUCUGUCCAAUCUUAGUCAAUGAUCUUGCAAUACAAGCAUACUUUGACUUAAGAGAGAAAUUAGUUGAGAGCACUUUUAUUUAUGUUAAGAAAUGAGGUUAUAGAGGAGAAUGUCAGACAGGAUUUGCUAAGCUGUUGGCUAGGUGAAUUUGGUUGCUAAGCUAAGAUAUGGUAUAAUGUGCUUUUGUGAUUAGGACUUCUUAGAUAUGGAUUGCAAUAUUGUAGAGGUGAUGAUUCUAAGUUUUAAAUCAUGUGAGUCCCUGCUGUUUUCAAACCUCUUUCAGAGAGACUGUCCGUGUGUUUUGCUUGAGGACAAGCAAAAAGGUAAGUCUGAGGAGUUUGAUAGACCAUGGAUUUUACCCACUUUCAGUUAUAGUCUAUAAGUGUUUUAAUAUAUAUUUACUACUAUAUGGAGUCUAUUUAGAGUACUUACAGGUUCAUGUACGUUCUAGAUAAAUAUGGUGAUUUUAGAGCGUUUUGAGGUGUAGAACUGCACAGGCGCGUCAGAUGUCUAGCUAUGGUUGGAGACCUUUCAACUGUUAGAUUUAACCCAUAUUUUGACACAAUAUAGAGUUUUGAGUAAGAUUUCCAAUUCCCACUGGUUUGAGGUCCAUCAGCAUCCUGUAGCAGAAGUUAUGAUCGUUUUACUGAACAGCGGUCAGUCUGCCUCGCAAGAAGAAGCUGUCGAGGAGAUGAAGGAAUGUCAAUUGAUAACACAGCAUUGGUGUCGAUUGACAGUGAUUCCAGCAUAUGGGCUGAGCAUAUUUUAUGACCAUUGAAGCCCAGAAACAACCCCAAAUUACCAGAAUACCCUUGGCCGACCAGAAAUCCUAUUUAUGUUAUUUAUAAGCAAUUGUUGACGGCUACACGCUCUUUAAGCUUUCUUUGAUUCUUGGUAUAGGUUAAGAGUGAAAGGAGGAACUCCUUCUGAGUCCUCCAGGAACUACAUUGGUUUUUGUUUUAUAUUAUUUAUGCUUUUCAUCUAUUCAUCUAUGAUUUCUGUGACAAACUUCAUGUCUGAAUAGAUCUUCCUGUUAGGUUUAGGGUUCAAAUAGGUUAUGAAGGAUUAGUCCAAAAUAUAGAACUGCUAAGUUAUGAUAUUCAUCAUAGGAUUGUUCUUACUGCUUGUGUUCUAGAUUCAUGAACUAGAACCCUGAUCUUAGAAUCUUUAGGCACAAUUGCGAAUGCUUGUUCUUUUCUCUGAACUGAAUUCUAUUGAGCUAGGAUUGCUAGAAAUAUAGGAGAGUUGAUUUAGGAACCCUAGUGAACACAUAUUCAACCCGAUCGCAAAGCUUGCUAGAAGCGAAAUCGAUCGAUAAUCCAAUAGAUUAAUCGAUCGAUAUUUUGAAAGGUGUAUCGAUCGAUAAUCCUAUAGAAUAAUCGAUCGACACUUUCUUGUGAUUAGUAAACGAGAGUUGAGAUCCAAGAUCUGGAUAUUAGACUGUCUAUACAAUGGAAGUUGUUAGAUUUGUACUCCUAGUUGAGUUCUAUAAUAUCUUGCAAGCAUAAUUAGCCUCUAUAUCAUUAUAAUCCUCAUUACCUGAAUAGAAACCCUAGAUCUAGCAACCAUCCUUCCAUGAAACAACUCUUUGCCAAGCUGAACAAUUGUCUUGUUCAACUUGUUUACUGCUUUAUUUACUGCUUUGCUAUAUUUAUUUACUGUUUUAUAAACUAUUAGCCUAGCUUAAUCAUAUAACUUUUAGAUCUAGUUGGUUCCCUAGCUUCCUGUGAAUUCAAUCUCUAAGUACUACAACUCGACCUCUUAUUUGAGAAAGUAUAAAUCACUCCUUAGGGUAAUUUGAGUGAUAUCACGUCUUCUCAGCUCCCAUGAGAUGAAUCAAACUUUGAACAACGGUAUUCGAAGAAUCACUCAUAGAAAAACCUGCAACAAUAUGAAUGCUAGUUAAUUUACCUGAGGACACCAAAGGAAAACUAAACAAAAAGCGCUGCAUAACUAUCGACGAAUAUGACCCAUUCGAAAGGGAUGAGCCUAAAGUUAAAGCUCCCAACUAAGGCAUUGUUAACUUCAAAUAAAAAGUACUUCUCACGAGAAACGCCGCAAUUCAGCAAUCCGCCAAAGCAAUACUUUUCCAUAGGUAUGAGAGAGAUGGUCCCUUCUGAUCCUCUUUUUUUCUCAAAGAUCGAUAGAAGGUUCCCGGUGUUCAGGGGGAGCAGCUGAUCUUUGGACCUUACGGAGAGCACAUUUGCUAUUCAAUCAUAGUUUGCCGACAUAUGACGAAAACGUGAAUCCCAACUGGGCCAGAACCUUAAGAACAAACAUAACGAUCGGGAAAGACAGCUCAUAUACAUCGAAAUAUGACAUGUGGGAACAACAAAACUAUGGUUUAACUGUUCCAAACCGGUGUUCUCCGGCAAGAGAAUUUUUAUUGGAGAUGAUUGCAUGUGUCUUUGUCUGAAUAAAACCAAAUACCCUUCGGUCAUGAGGGAUUUAGGAUGAGGACGAACAUACUAUUUUUUUGCCGACGACAAUCUCUUAAAAGAAAAAUAGGAGCGAUGCAUUCUCGUCGAUACGACACCAAUCCAUGCAUUCUCGUCUAUCCUUCGACACUAUUUCCCAAAGACCGUGGCGAACUCAGCUCAUGUUUUCCGAUCAUUCUAAAUCAUCGAUCAAACUUUGCGGAAAAAACCGCGGGAAGUCCAUUCUUUAUCAAAAGAAGUCGCGAUAAACGUUUCGAGUCGGAAGACGGUCCUAAGGGACCUAAGACACGACUCGAGGCCCAUCUCAAGGUUUCUUAACCAAAAGCCCGUAAACCGUAGGACGGUUUACCCUUGGUUCGCAAGGGAAGAUAAAUGUCAAGUUUCCGUGGAUAUAUACGGAAUUUUGAGGAUAAUUACGAAGAUCGAAAAAAAUGAAAUAUCUCCAUUUUUUGCUAUGACGGCUUAAGGGCAGAAGAGUAAAAGCGUAAACCGAUCUUGGAGCGAGUAUAUAAGGAGUCCUAGGCGAGAGGCAUGGGGGGGGGGGGGAACUCUUUUAGACUAAGAAUUCUCUGCACUUAGAAACUUUAGGCUUUAUUCUCGACAAGUUAGGUUUCUAUGAUUGGCAUUCAAUUACUAGACGAACUCGCCCAGGCAGUUCGAUCUCUUGUCCUGCUCUAUCAAUUGAAAUACGUUCGGCUUGAUCUUCGAAAGGGGUACGUAGGCAGCCUUUAAAAAGGUUCAGUCCGAAAUCAAUCAAAAACCUUUUAUGUAUCUUUUUUGUUUUUUGUUAUCGAACUGCGACUCAACUAGGUUUGAGCUUUUAGGCCGCUAGAACUAAGUAACUCGCUGACAGCCUUUGCGGCCAAAGCUUUUAUGAUCUCUUGUCAUGAUCACAACGCUCUUACGCGGACUCGAAAUAAGAUCUACUGUUAUCUCUAAACUUGUUUAUUAUCUUUUCAUGAUUUCCGCAUAUAUUUGGUCACUUGUCAUUGGCUCUCGCAGAGAUCCGGAACCUCUGGAAAAUUAGGGUUUCCCUAGUUUUCUAAUUUAAACGGAAAUCGACAGUGCGAAUUUCGGUUCUCACACGAAUUUUCGACUUUUCUUAUCCCUAUAAACUAUGUCUGUCCCGUGUUAAAAAUACAUAUUUUUUAGAAAUCAAAUUUUGUAAGAAAUAAUAUGCUAUAUUUUUACAGAUAUAUUAAUCAAUAUUACUUGUUAUGUUGAAUAACCAUUGUUUAUCCAAGAAGUUUUUUCCUUUUCUUGCAGUCUACCUAAUCCAGUCAAACAUUAAAGUAAAUAAGGAGAUUAUGAAAGUAUGAAUAUAUUGGUCCUCAUAUGGUGGGUUGGAUUCAUUUGUGAAUAUAUUUCAAAAUCUAUUAAUGGCAACCCCACCAGUUUUUUAGAUUGUUUAUUACCAAUGUCUUAAACACAGCGCAGUCACACACGUAUAGAUAUAGGAUUUCAUUUUUUGGUUAUAAUUGUUUUAUUAUUAGAAACUGUUAUCAUCAUUGGAUCCUCUUGGAAAAGUCCUUGCCGACAGAUUUUAAACAGCCGUAUACAGACAAAUAUAUUCAGUGAAAGUAAAGCAUAGAGUAGCAUCGCAACACGUAGUAACUACCAACGAAGGUGCAAAAUUUGCUUGGCUAUCUCUAAUCAUAAUACGAAUAUUCUAAUGGAUUUCAUUUGAUUAGAUUAACGCUUGGCUAUAGUUAGUUUACGACGAGUCGAUGAAAAUAUCCAUCCAAAUCACCUUAACAAAGCAGAACAAAGAAUAAAAUCACGCAGCUCUUAGAUUUAAAUAAAAAUAUAAUUAAGAAUAAAAAUGGAUUAGUAACCAUUACCACUAACUACUUUAGAAAGAUCUUUGAAUUAUCUAAGCCAAAAAAUAUUGAAGAGGCACUAGCUUAAGAGGCACUCGCUAGCUUCUCAAUCAUGCAGAGAGACAAGGAAAGAUAACGGGGAUGCGCGUCAUUCGCACGUGUCCUUAGAUAUUUCAUCUUCUCUUUGCUGAUGAUAGUUUUUUUUCUGUAAGACGGGAUCCCGUGAGUGUGAAAAAAUAAUGAAAGUAGUCAGGAAGUAUAGUAAAGCAUCAGGUCAAUGUAUCAACUUUUAUAAAUCGUCCUUACUCUUUAGUAAGUGGACUAAUACAAAUAUUAGACAAGAGAUUAAAGAUGCACUUGGAAUACAAAACGAAGGAAGAAUGGUUCCAAGUGCAAACUUUUUGCAAUUCUCAAGGAUACGUUGAUGCAUAGAGUGAAUGGAUAAACAAGUAGAUGGCUCUCAAAAGAAGGGAAGAAAGUGUUAAUUAAAUCCAUUCUGCCAGCUCUUCCGACUUACGUUAUGUCUACUUUCCUGCUCCCUUUGAAGAUAUGUGAUAACCUAGGAAGUGUCAUUGCUCAAUUGUGUUGGGCUUCAAAUCCACCAAAAAGAGGAAUACAAUGGGCGAAAUGGGAAAAAGUCUGCUUACCAAGAGAGGAGGGAGAUAUUAGUUUUCGUAUGAUCCAUGAUUCAAUCUGGCGCUAAUGGCAAAACAGUUAUGGAGUCUAGUUCAGUUUCCUCACUCUGACUCUUUGGUUGCCCGGGUCUUGAGGGGAAGAUAUUAUAGAUUGAGUUCACCACUCAGAGUAAACUCUGCUAGCAGUCCAUUGUUAUUACUGAGAAUCAGACAUAAGAUACAUUCAGGUUAUGAAGUCAAGGUGUGGGAGGAUACGUGAAUCCCAACGACCCCUGCGAGAUCAGCUAUCCAUGUAGCGCCAGUUAUGCAUCCUAAUCCGAGAGUUAGCGAUUUCAUUAAUCAAGUAUCAAAGGAUUGGGAUGUUGGUCUAUUGGAGAACUAUAUCAAUCUUGAUGACAUACCGCUUAUUAGGAGUUUGGCCAUAAGCUCAACUCAUCGUCGUGAUACAUUCUGCUGGAACUAUACAAGGAGUGGCCAAUACACGGUUAAAUCUGAAUAUUGGGUGGCUCAUAAUUUAUUAAAGGCAGAGGAGGAGAAGGAGGUCUUGGAGCCGAGUAUCACUAAGCUUCAAGCCUUUGCUUGGAAGUUAAAGGCGCCUAAAAAGAUAUGUCAUCUUAUAUGGCAAUUGUUAACUGGUCAUGUGGCAGUAACGAGGAACUUAGCAAGAGGCAAUAUGAGGUAUGAUAACUACUGCCCAAGAUGUGGUGAACUAGAAGUAUUUGUAACCCAAGCCAUAUUCGAAUGUCCACCAGCUCUACAAGUUUGGUCCUUAUCAUCAACUCCAAUAAGCCCAUAUAUAUAUCCACUACCAAGCGACCACACAAAUAUGGAUUACCUAUUCUGGAGGAAAAAAACAUUAUCGAACCAGAACAAGACAUGAAUCCUUAUCCCUGGAUAAUCUGGUAUAUUUGGAAGGCUAGGAAUGACAAAAUUUUGAGGGGGAUAGACAGAGAUCCUUUGGAGCUAGUUCGACAUGCAGAAAGUGAAUGUCAAGCCUGGUUUGAUGCGAACGAAGUGGUACAACCAGUGGUACAAGAUAACAAUACUGAGGAACCCCAAGUCAUAAGCUUGGGUAAUAUUUGCUUGUUAGAUGGAUCUUGGACAGCCUCUGCUCACUUUAGUGGAUGUGGAUGGGUCUGGAUGGACAGUGGCGGAAACAUUCAACUUAUGGGGACAAGAAACUUCACUCGACGCGAAUCAGCAUUGCAUUCAGAAGUAGAAGCACUGCGGUUGUCAAUUGAGAACAUGCUUCAACAUUCAACAUGCCAGAGUUUUGGGACAGAUUGUAAGGACCUGACUGCAAUGAUAAAGGAGCCUCAUGUCUGGCCAAGAUUUGCGAUGGAAUUGGAAAGCAUAGAGACGUUACAGAUAUGCUUCCCGGAUUUUAACAUCAUUCAUGUUCCACGAACGCGCAAUCAGAUUUCAGAUUUUUUAGCUAAAACUGCUAGAUCUUUCUGCAGAGAGUUACAUUUUAUUGGUUGUUUUAUUCCGGUCUGGUUACCCAGACCACCUCAAGCUUAAGUAAUAAAAUGACCUUUUGACAUCAGAAAAGAAAAACGUAAAGGAAGCUUGAGAAAUCAGAAAUGCGUGGAUGAGAUGAGCACUAACAACGGUUAUCGAGUGUAGACAUGUAUAUUUUUUUUGCAACAUGUACAUUCUAAGUAUCAAAUCACGUAGUAGCGAUCGAAGGCGGAUAAAGAAUGGUUGGGUAUUAGAAUACCUAUUUGAAGCAUAUGUUAAAGAAAUGAAAAAAUAAUUCGGGAAUAGGAUAUUGCAAUAACAUAUUUAACAGAUGAAAAUUAUAAACACGACGUACUGCCAUUACCCAUGAUAGUACUUCAAUUUUAUUAAUCUAGGAUAUUCAGACUUUUGUAUAAGUUUAGAGUAAUUUUCAAAAUAGAUGCACCCCAUGGAUAGUAUCUCUCUCUACAUAAUCAUAAUCAAGUGGACUGUCCAUAUUCAUGUAAAUCCCCAUGAUAACGUGAUCUAGUUUCGCCGCAGUAAGUGGAUCGAAUCUAAAAUGUGUUGGCGUGCCAAUUUGUCUCUUUAACUCGGUCAUAAGGAUCCUGACAAUGAUAAUAAUUAUAUAGUUGAUAAUAUAUCAGAUUUUGCCAAACUUAAAUGACAUUUUGGAGGAAAAAGGAUUCAGGUUCGGAAUACAUUUUUAGGAAAGCUAAACAUAAUUGUUUAUUUAAUUGUUUUAGUCAUUAUAACAUCAAAAUGUUAUUCUAUUAUUCAAAUCGAUGUGGACUGAGAAUCCAAACCGAAAUAAAAUAACCAACAUAAACUAGACUUCUAUGAAAAUUUUGUGCACUCCUGAAAUGUUAAAAGAUUGGUGACAACUCAUCAUGUAGGAGUGUUGUUAAAAGAUGAGGUCUUGGGUUCGAGUAACGCCAAACGAACAAAUAACCUACCGGUGGAUGUGGAGGUGUUUCCUCCCACGGUGAGGGGUUAGGAUCGGUGCCCAGCAAGGCUGUGAGCCGGGUUCCGAGUCAGCGGGACGGGUUGUCAGAUAAAAAGUCAACUUUUUGUGACAACCCGUCCACUCACUAGGACCCCAGGCUCACAGCCUGACAGGACACCAACCUUAACCCCUCCAUUAUGAGUUCUCUCUCACUCCAUAAUUAGGUUGUUGGUGCGCUCGACAUUCCUCGAACUCAAGACCUCACCAUUUAACAAAACUCCCACAUGACGAGAUAUCUCCAAUUGAUCAUAUCAAUAACCUACCGGUGGAUGUAGAGGUGUUUCCUCCCACGGUGAGGAGUUAGGGUCGGUGCCCUGCAGGGCUGUGAGCUUGGGAUCCUACUGAGUGGGACGGGUUGUCACAUUAAAAGUCGACUUUUUAUGUGACAGCCCAUCCCGCUCACUCGGAAUCCGGCUUACUCGGGAGUUAUAUGCUUAUAGCACCCCGACCCCAUGGUUAAUGGGUCAUCCACGCCCGCUCUCUCGGCAUGUGGGCCCCAUCUCGUUCCAACAGUUGGUUCAUAAUUUUUUUUAAAAGGCUCAAAAUCAUUGUUUACUGACCUUGCAAUCACCUGACCUUUCAAUGUACUUUGGUCUCACUCACACGGUACCGCGAAUCACUUCCCGAUAGGUCACCCAUCAUUUCACUACUCCAGCCCAAGUAUGUUUAACCCAGGAGUUCUAAACGGAUGUGUUACGGAAAAGGUAAGUCACCUCUGGUAACAUGGGUAGCCAAAUCAAUUCUCUUAAGCCUUUCCAUAUAUCACAACUAGGGAUGUUACAAUUAUGCAACGUCCUCGUUGCGUCCCACGACAGGUCUCAAGACGCCUCUCAGGUCAGAACCGAGAUGGCUAACCAGCUCUGAUACCACUUGUAAUUCCCCGACCACCCAUGGCUAAUGGGUCACCCACGCCUGCUCACUUGGCCCGUGGACCCCGUCCCGUUUCAAUAGUCAGUUUGUAAUUUUUUUCAAAGCCUCGAAAUCAUUGUUUACUGACCCUGGAAUCACCACCUGAAUUUUUCCGUGCUUUGGCCUCACUCACAUGGUUUCGCAAAUCACUUCCCGAUAGGUCACCUAUCCUUUCUGUCACAUCCCGGGCCCGAGCCCAAUUUUUAGUGACAAUGCCCGUGAUGAUUUGGCCCAUGUAGAGAAAACCCUAGGGUUUUUCCCUUCUUCUUCUAUAAAAAGGAGGCAGCCCCUAAGAUUUUCUCCAGAGACUCAAAACCUAGCAAAGCCCUGCCCAGUUGGAGAGAGAGCAGCCGCCGGCUACCAAACCACCACCAGAGCCACCGCGAGUCACCGUAGCACUGCCGGCGACCGUGUAAUCUCACCGAAGAGGAGAUCUCGCCGUGUUUCGAUUCCUUCUCGUCGUUUCCUUGAGUCUUCUACUCUUUUUCUUCUAGAUCCAGCAACUAGUGAGGGUAAAGAAACCCUAAACACUCUCUUUUAGAUCUCUCCUAUCUCUUUCUUCUUCUUGAUCUAUGAUCUAGGGUUUGGGUGGAAACCAACCCUUGUUCUUGUAGAUCUGGUUAGUAAGGACCCGUAGAACUCAGAUCUACAUCAACUCUCUCAUCUCGCAGAUCUAGGCUAAGGUGAGGGCUUGUUGCAAUCUCUGUCUCCUUCUAUCAUUAUCUCAUCAUGGUAGAAAUGUCUAGGUUGAUCAUUCAUCCAUACUUGUUACUUUCUAUAGAUCUACUAAUAUAAAUAAAUAUACAUAUGAUAAAUAUAAAUAUCUUGAUGCUUGAUGUGUGAAAAACAUAGAUCUAUUGCUAAGGUUGUUAAAAUAUGGUUGAAUGAUGUUUGAGGAUUGAAUGUGAUGAUUGUAUUGAUUGGGGUUAUUGUAUAAGAGUAUGAUAUCUAUAUAAUUGGGAGAUGUAAACGAGUUAGAGAAAGGCGUAAGGCCUAUGUGUGCCGGUGUAACGUGGUGGAAUGACAUAUAUGUAUGUCUCGGGCGUUACAUCGUUUCUUGUUGGGUCAUGUGGCAAUCGUUUGAGUUGGCAUGAUUCAUCGCCAGAGCGGACAUGCGCCGUGCCUGUAUGUGAAGUAAAGAUGUAGUAACACGGAUCACGUGGAGACAGCGUGAUGUGGCGUGACCGUGUGAAUGUGGUGGCCCGGAUCACGUGGAGACAGCGUGAUGUGGCGUGAUCGCGUGAAGGUGUGGAACUCACGGAGACAGUGUGAUGUGGCAAGUUCUCACACGACAACAUGAGAGGCGUGGAGACAGCGUGAUGUGGCGUUAGUCUCAUGUUGGCACCGUCGGGGUUUAUCCUCGUUUCUUGUUGAUUGCUUUCGAUUUACUGAAUGUUUAAGUUAGAUGCUUAAGCUAUGUUGUGUGAUGAUUGUUGGUGAUUGAUUUCGGGGCUCCUAGAGCUUCCCUCACUGAGUAUUUGUCGAAAUACUCAGCCCUCCUUUCUUUUUCAGGUGAGUUCGAGGAAGUGCAGGAGUGGUCAUCUCGGUGUGAUGCUGGUUUUCGGGUUGUUUGGUUUUAUUUAAGUUAUUUCAUUUUAAGACUUGGUGAUUUGGUUUUAAGCGUUUCCUAUUCGUUUUAGUACGAUUUUGUAAGACAUUUGGAUUCGAUCCUUGGGAAUGAGAUUUGCAUUGGCCUUUUGAGUGUUUCUUGUUGAUGAAGGCAAUGUGAAUUCAUGCCGUCUCGGUUAAGCAAGAUAUGGGUGUGAUACUUUCACUACUCCAGCCCAAUCAUGCUUGAAUUUCCCCGUGAUUUGGCCUCACUCACAAGUAACGCCAAGCGCACCAAUAACCUACCGUUGGAUGUGGAGGCAUUUUUUCCCACGGUGAGGGGUUAAGUUCGGUGCCCUGCAGGGCUGUGAGCUGGGUUUUGAGUGAGCGGGACGGGUUGUCACAAAAAAAAAUCGCUUAACAACACUCCUCUAGGAUGAGUUUUCACCAAAAAUCGCUUAACAACACUCCUCUAGGAUGAGUUUUCACCAAUUGAUCUGCAGAUCAAUUGGUGACAACUCAUCCUAGAGGAGUGUUGUUAAAGGGUGAAGUCUUGGGAUCGAGUAACGCCAAGCGCACAAAUAACCUUCCGGUGGAUGUGGAUGCGUUUCCUCCCAUGAUGAGUGGUUAGGGUCGGUGCCAUGCAAGGCUGUGAGCUGGGUUCCGAGUGAGCGGGAUGGGUUGUCACACUUUUCAAUUCUUCGGUGUUAUCUUCUAGUGAGUUCAUUAACUGAUCUGCACAGUGCAUUCAUGUGUCUUCUUUGUGUGUUCUCCGUGUCUGCAAUCUGUUUUGUAAUUUGUGGUUUUUUUUGGGCGAUUGUAAAAAUUCUCUCUAGUUUUUAUAAAGCGCCAGAAUGUGCUAGGUGCAAGGGUCUUUGAAGUGUUUCUUCCUCUCUCUCUCUCUCUCUGCGACGGUCCCAAUACUUGGAUUGUUUGAUCAAUCUGAACAGGAUGGUUCCUCCUCAUUACAUGCAGGUACUGAGUCCAAAAGGCAAAUUAUUUCCAUUUCAACCAAUCUUUCUUGUGAAGAAGGUUUGCUCUGGUAAAGGAGUUCCUCAGGCUAGGAUCUUCUUCACUUUACCUAUCCUUCCUUUCAAGCGCUUCAUAGUCUACAGUAAAUCGUUAUUGGAUGGCGAAUGUGAUCUUUAAUUGUUACUUACUCGGAUUAACUAAACAAGUAGGAAAGAUUAGUAAGAUCCGGAAUUUCUUACAAUUUGUUUGCGUAAUCCGAAUUUCAAAUCUGCUUAUGAUAGUUGUAUGGGGUUUAUUCAUUUCCAUCAGAGUCGUGCGAGCUUUUAUAGCUGCCCGAAACAAAAAAUAAAAAAAUAAAAUCAUUUUUCAAAAAUACAUCAAAAUUAUUAAAUAAUAUUAUUAUUGACAAAAAAACAGCAUCAUUACAUUACAAACAACUAAUAAUUAAAUAAGCAAAAAAAUAGUUCUAAACUAUAACAAAUUUCUAUUUAUGCUAGGAAAAAGUAUAAACAAAUUUGAAAAUAAGAAAAAAAUAUUUUAAAAUUUCCAUUGUUAUUAUUUUGCAUAGAUAAAAUAAUUAAGUAACUCAAUAUUUUUAAUUGAUUUUCAAACGAAGAUAAAAGCAUUACUAUACAAACUUAAAAUAUUUAUAGACUAAACACAAAUUUGAGAUAAAUAUUGAGAAAGAAUAAUAUUACACUCAGAAGUGAUAACCACCGAAAUAUGAAUAAAGUAACUUGUAAACUUCUAAUUAUGUAAAGCAUUAUUAUUUUUAAUUAUUUAUUAUUUGUCUCAGUUAAAACAAAUAGAUUUAAAACAAAAGUAUAUAAUAGUUUAACCGUAUGAGUUAUUACUAGAGGUGGCCAAUGUAAAUGCAAGAACUAACCCACAAAGUAAAGCAGAGAGUACACCAGAAAAUAUCUUUACAAAGAUAUGUGUUAUUACUAGUAUUCUUUUAAAGUGAACUUACAAGUCUCUCUUUAAACAGAACCCGAACAAGAUCAAGACCCUUCUUGACUUGCUCCCCUAGCCUCACACGUCCUAAGAUUGAAUACAAGAUCUCUAGAACCUCUACCCCUUAGCCCUUAGUGUUAUUCACUCGCUUACAAGCUUAGUGAACUCCACUCUUAUGCUAAGAAUACAAUUCUCCCUAAUCCACAUGUCGAGUAUGACUAUAUAUACAAUACAGCCAAGUCGGCUAUCCACGCCUAUCUAUCCAAUAUUCACUAUCUACCCAAAUAAGGCAACCCUAAAACCUGUCCAAAGUCUUUAAGAAACUUCCCAUCGUGAGAUCUCCCUUCUCCAAGGUGAAUCUCUUUAAGCUUGCUCCCCAAGAUGUCUUCGUAUUAACUUCGCCUUGGUCCGCAUUCCAUUCUUCAAGUCGCAAUCUUCAUCUUGACUUGUUCAUCCGCACGUACACUUCUCUGUUACAGACUCUGCUCUAUUCACUGAUGUACUUGCGUCUGUAUCAGAACAUCUAUCUGAUCUUUGCAUCUACAAUCUCCCCCUUUUAGUUUGGAUGCCUCUCAAGUACCUGCACAGAUCCACUCAAACAACCACACACAUUCGAACACAUAUAUCCUGAAUAAUAUGUGCAUUAAACUGAAAUGAAGGUUCAAAAUAUGAAAGUUCAAGAGUUAGAGAUAAACAUAAAACCAAAACCACAAAAACCAGGAACAUUGUUUUAUCUCUCACUCCCCCAUAAUUAAAUAAACCGAGAAAAAUUAAAAUUUUCUCCCCCAUAAUCUAGUUUUCCCAUAUUGUAAACUGUUGUCGUUUAACAUGAGUUUAAGUUCUUUUCAACAUUGUCUCAAACAAGUCUGAGUUACAAAGUUGUGCCUUUAUCUGUUCGUAAUAUAUUCUUUCACCGGUGAGCUCUUCAUGUCCACAUCUUAAAUCAUUUGAUCAUAAAUGUUCCUGAUUUGUAGCCCCUCUGUAAACCCCAUAUAUAUGAUUCUCAUCUUUGAUGAUCCAAUCUGCAUAUGCACAAAACUCAUUGAUUCCUCUUAGAUUUAACCAUCUUCUAGAAAAUGUUUCUCUCUGCCUCUCCAGUUCGUCAAACCGGCGUUCCGGCGUCCGUCACGCAACCUUCGAGUAUCUCCGUCUUGGUCGUAGUAGUCAGAGCAUAGCCUCUGGCUUCCUCGCUUCUGGGAUUCCAUGAACUUCAAGAAAGACAGGGAGUUUGUCGGAAUCACGGUUCUCUUCCUUGAUGAAAACGUAAGUUAAUCUUCGAUCUAUCACACUUAUUUAACAUAUCUGUUUUAAUUGAUUUCCUGACUCUUUGUUGAAUAAUAUUAUUUACAGAUUCCGUGAUUCAUGGGUUUACUCCCGUCGCACGUGCUAAUCCUUACAUGUCAUCUUUUGAAAGCAGGUUCCAUUGUGAAAGUCGAUCGUUUUGAGGUUGCUAGGUGCUCAAGCAUGUACAAGAUAACUGAUCAUCCAUUCCUAAUUUGUUUUAUCUCACUAACCAUUAUUGUUGAAGUCAUCACAGGUGCUCCGGAGAUCUAUCUCCAGUCAAGAUUCGACUGUUCGACAAUCUCCAAGUGAUUGCGAACAAAAACCUAGAACUCCCAGGUAUAUUAUCAUGUUGCAUCUGGGUUUAUAUUAUGUUUUGAUAUCAUAACUGAUAUUUAAACUCGCAGAUGUGGUUGGGCAAAUAUGUUAUGUCCAGGGCACUAACCUCACCAAAGAAACAACUCGAGUCGUUAUUCGUCUCUUCAUUGAUCCGUAAGAAAAAAUAAACACAUAAUUUCCUUUAUAUUAUUGUCUAUAUUGUGCUAACAUCAAUAAUAAAAAAUAUUUCAUACCCAAGAUUUGUGGUCGUCUAUUUAUCUCCCUUACUUAUCAAUCUAAUUUUACAUAAAUCUUUAUUUUACAGCUUAAAAGAAAUCACAAUAACCCAAACAAUCAAAACACCAAAAACUAGAAUCUCAAAAAAGAUGCAUCAUUAAUGAUCACCUCUCUUUUUGUCUAGUCUUACAAAUAAACUUCAAAAUAAGUAUACCAAACCAAUCAAACUCAACAAAAACUCAAUGACACAUAAAUUGAGCCAACUAAACAAAUACAAACUACACGGCCAGCUAUUUAACAAUUUACAAACUACCAAGAUCAGUAAAAUUACUUAAACAAAAAAGCAGAUUAAGUUACAAACUCUGAUAAAUACAAAUAACAAUGAUUUUUGUUUACAUAUUACCCAUCAAACAAAAGAGAAACAAACACAGUCACACCAGGAGAUACAAGACACAAUCCCAACAGACACAAAGGAGGCAAGAACAUCUCCACUUGCUCACUCCUCUUAUCUUAUGAAAAUAGCUUACAUGCUCAAUGUCAACAGACCAAAGCUAUUGUCUUCUUAUGAAAAAUACAUAUAUUCGUUUAAAAGCCAUUAUGGCCCAAAUACUAAUUGUCACUCAUUUUAUAGUUAUUUCUACAAGUCUUCAUGUAUUUGUUUUAAAGGUCCGAUAAAAGAAACAAGUUUAAAAUUAAAAAAAGCAUAUAAUCAACAUAAUAAGAAUAAAAUAAUAUUACUUAAUAUACACAACUUACACAACUAGACUGGAGAAAAAAUAUUCAGAAACAAAAGUACUCUCGAUAACGUUAAUAUAAUUUAUGUAAUCUCAACAGUACAAGUAACAAAUUAAAAACAAACAAACAAUAAGUCUCCAACACCACAAACUAUAUCAAUCACAUUAUUAACACAGUUUAGUCUUUCAUGAGUGAAGAACAUUGCAUACACAGUUCAUCAUCACAACUCUAACCCUAUAACAAUAAAAUACUUAAAAAAUAAUGAUCAACCCAAAACGCAAAAUUCAGAACUACAAUAACUCUAACAAAUAUUAAGACGAAUCAAGAACUAUAUCCACAACUCCGCGCCAAGAGCUUGGAGGCAAUGCCCUAGUUUAUUUAAAUACACCAGCAUAUAAAAAUGAAUAGUAUGAAUACUUAACCGUGGCCAAUAACACAACUAAAGACUUUAUUCGAUGCAUUAUGAAAAAAUGAUGCCCUAAGCGAAAAUUUCUUUUCCUAUAAGGCACGCACGGCACGGCACGGUACGGCACUGAUUUCCAUGUAUGAUUUGGUUGUAUAAUUUUGUAUUGUAUGUUUUAGGAUGAAAUAAAUAAAAUUAUAUAUUAAAAAAAGGUAUUGUCAAUAACAUUGAACGUUGUUGGAUACGUGGAGUCUCGGGUGUAUUGUUUCGCUAAACUCUUUUACUGAUGUUAUGGAACUAAAUGAUUUUUCAAAUUUCUUUUUUUUUUCUUUUUCUUUGUGAAACGGGAAAUUGUCAAAAGACAUCAUUGCCGUGAGCGUUCGGGUGCGCAUACGUUUUCUGUUUUUUUUUUCUUUUUUGGCAACAAACGGCUAUUCUAUUACUCAAAUUUGAAGUGGUUUGGAUAACCAGACCGGAAUAUAAAUACCAACAAAACACAACGAUCUAUGAAAAGAACGGGUAACAAGUCAGCAAUUCCAUUUUGCACCCUUGGGAAGUAUUGAAUUUUGAAGUUCGGAAAAUGCAUCUUGAGAAUUUGAAUGGCCUCCAGCUCAGCUGAGAAGUUUGGCCAUGCUUGUGGAUCAUUCAUUAUUGCAAUCAGGUCCUUGCAAUCCGUUCCAAAUUUCUGACAUGUCGAGUGCUGUAGCAUGCUCUACAUUGCCCAUCUUAAUGCUUCCAGUUCAGAGUGGAGUGACGUUUCGCGCCUCCUUAAGUUCCUUGUUCCCAUUAGUUGCAUCUUCCCUCUGUCAUCCUUCCAUACCCAUCCAAGUCCACUGAAUUGAUCUGUAGAGGUCCAUGAACCAUCAACCAUACAGAUGUUUCCAAGCUUAAGGCAUGUGUUUCUUCAACCAUUUGUGUCUGUGGAGGAGCAGGUAUAGAUUCCUUUGCACUAUACUAUGCAUGACACUCACUCUCUGCGUAUCUGACUAACUCCAAGGGGUCCCUAUCUAUACCUCUGAACAGCUUAUCGUUCCUUGCUUUCCAUAUGUACCAAAUUAUCCAAGGAUAUGGGUCUCUAUAAUUUUGUGCUUCCAUAAUACUAUUCUUCCUCCAAAAGAGAUAAUCCAUGUUAGUGUAGAUACUCUCAGUAGGGAAAGUCUGAGAGCUAGACGGUGUUGAUGACAGUUCCCAUGCUUGUAUUGCCGGUGGGCAUUCAAAGAUCGCAUGAGUAGCCGUCUCUUCCGGCUCUCCACAUCUUGGGUAGUAGUUAUCACAUCGCAUAUUGCGACAUACCAGAUUCCUUGUGACAGCUACCUGCCCAGCAAUAAACUGUCAUAUAAGAUGACAAAUCAUUUGUGGUGCAUUGACUUUCCAAGAAAAGGCUUGAAGUUUGCUUAUGUUGGGCUCAACAACUUCUUUUUCCUCCACAUCUCUCAGAAUAUUUGUAGCUACCCAAUAUCCUGAUUUUACAGUAUAUUGUCCAUUUUUGGUGUAGCUCCAACAAAAAGUAUCGCGUCGAUGAGUAGGGCUUAUGGCCAGACUCUAAAUAAUAGAUAUAUCCUCUCGUUCUACAUAUUGAUCUAGUAUCCGAGUAUCCCACUCCUUUGAUUCAAAAUCGAUAAGAUUACUGACUAACAUCUUUGGAUUAAAUAAUGGGGCUCUGGGGCGCGCCGGUCUUGCUGGAAUCGAAUGAAUCCAUGGAUCUUGCCAAACAUUAAUUUGGGUGCACUUUACUCAUGAUGCCCAAGAGUAAAAGUUUUCUUGCCGGUAUGAAACUCAUCCACACAUACGAUGGACUAUCCACUGCACCGAUUCGCAAAGGCAAACUCAAUCGAUAGUAUCUUCCCCGAAGAACUCUCGCCACUAGUGAAUCUGGGAAUAGUACAAGACGCCAAAGCUGUUUCGCCAGAAGGGCAAGGUUAAAUUCGUGGAUCAUGCGAAAACCAAUACCUCCCUCCUCUCUAGGGGCACACAUCUUCUCCCAUUUAGCCCAGUGGAUCCCAUGCUUUGGUGAAUUUGAACUCCACCAGAAUUGUGCGAUGGCAUUCGCAAGGUUUUCACAUAUCUCCAAAGGGAGUAGGAAACUGGACAUGACAUAUGUCGGAAGAGCUAACAGGAUAGAUUUUAUUAGAACUUCUUUUCCACCUUUUGAUAGCCAUAUCUACCCGUCCAUCCAUUCACUCUGUGUAGUAGUUUUUCUUUCAAGAACACAAAUAGCCUACACUUGGAUCCACUAAUAUCCUCUGGAAUUCCUAAGUAGGAUCCCAUCCCCCCUUCAUUAUGGAUACACAAGUGUAUCUUUAGUCAGCUGUCGAUCAUUAGCAGGAAUCCUCUUACCAAAGAGUAAUGAGGAUUUAUGAAAGUUAAUACAUUGUCAUGAUGCUUUCCCAUAUUUUGUGACUACUUUCAUAACUUCUUCACAUUCACGGGGUUCUGCCUUACAAAAGAAAAGGCUAAUCAGCAAAGAGAAGGUGUGAUACCGAGGGGCAAGCGCAUGCGACUCGUGUCUCUGUUAUCUUCCCUUGAUUCUCUACAUGAUUAAGAAGGCUAACGAGCGCUUCCGUGAAUAGAAUAAAUAUGAAAGGAGACAGAGGAUCUCCUUGACGUAAACCUCUACCUGGAACAAUAUUUUCCCUUGCCUCUCCAUUCAUGAGUACUUUGUACUUGACCGAGGUAAUACACUCAUAAUCAAGCCAAUCCAUAUUUCUGAAAAACCCAUCUUCCGCAUGACAGCGUCAAUGAAUAACCAAUCAAUCAUAUCAUAUGCUUUACUCAUAUCCGUCUUUAUGCCCAUUCUCUUGACUCGUCUACCUUGUUUGGUUCUUAGAGCGUGAAACAUCUGCAGAGCUAUCAUGAUAUUAUCUGUGAUCUGUCUCCCUGCAACAAAAGCUGACUGGGUUUCUGAUAUCCGUUGUGGGAGGACCUUCUUCAAUCUUUGGCAUAAGACCUUAGAUAUUAUUUUAUAACUGACAUUGCACAGGCUGAUAUGUCUAAAUUUUGUCAUCUCUUUCGGCUUAUCCGUCUGUGGAAUUAGGCAGAUAUUAGUAUCAUUUAAUCCAUGCACCAUUGUUCCUUCGAAAAGAAACUGAUUAACCAUAAGACUUAAUUCCUCUUUGACAAUAUCCCAAAACUUCUGAUAGAAAAGAGCCGUCAUUCCAUCUGGCCCAGGGGCUUUUUCUGGGUGCAUUGCGAAAAGAGACAGUUUUACCUCCCAUUCAGUUACUGGUCUUGUGAGGUCCUCAUUUACUGCCCCAGUAAUCGAUGUUGAUACCUCUGUCAAAGCAUCGUCUAUAUCCUCCGGGUUUGAAGACUCAAAAAUUUGCCUGAAAUAGCUAGUAGCAUUGGCUACUAAUCCUUCCUCAUCCUCCACCAUGUUUCCAUUCUCGUCUAGAAGUUGUGUGAUCCUAUUCCUCGCUCUUUUCUGCUUCACCAGCGCAUGAAAAUAUUUAGAGUUCUUAUCACCUUCCCUUAACCAGAGAACCGUACUCUUCUGUCUCCAAAACAUCUCUUCUGCCUUAAGAGCAGUAGUUAGUUCCUUAAGCGCGUCAGCUAUUUCCUCAGAGGUAGCAUCAUCAUUUCAAUAUAGAUCGUCCACCUUUUCUUUAAGCUCCUCCACUUGCUUUUCUGUAUUCACAAUGUUUUGUCUCCUCCAUUGACUCAAUGCCUUCCUACAACUGGCAAUAUGAUCUAUUAUAUUAGCUUCUGGUGGCAAAUCCUCUGACUUCCAACCUUCCAAAAUGACUUGCCUUAGUUCUUAAUUAUCCAACCAGCGUUUAUCAAAUUUAAAUUUUUUUUUCUUUCUCACUGGUUUUGUUUAUAGUUAAAAAAAGAAUUAUUUUAUACAGUUUAUAAUUAUCGUACAUUAUUUUUGUUUGUGUUUCUUUUCAUUUAUAUAAUACUGAUUCCUUUAUUUUUCUCUAGGAGUUACUCACUUUCACUUGUUCUUUUUUUCUUAACUUAUAUAAGACUAACUUUAUAUGUUUCAUGUGAAUUUACUAUACAUAGUAAUUAUGGAUGCUGCAAUAUAUGUUAAUUGGGUGUUAUUUUGUAUUGUAAUUCUUUGUUGUGUGUGUUUCCAGAAAUAUGUUGUGUCGGGAACUUAAUUUAAUAAUAGUACGAAAGUGUUAAAUACUAUUAUGUUAUUUUAUAUUCCCAUAACUUGUAAACAUUAUUGUGAGUGCUUAAUAAGUUCUUCUUAUAUUCUUUCUCGACUUGCAGCUGCCACUCCUCUUCGCUUUAGCUCGUUCCAGCUCUCCGCGGUCGGUGCUCCUCACCUCUGUCUGGAGUGGGCUGUUCUGCUUUCUUUUGUUCGGUUAUGCUUCUCUGCUUAUUCAGUUUUCAGCAGGGAAGUUGAGGAGUCGCUACUUUGGGAAAGAUUAUCUGGUGGUUGAGGUGACAGAUCUAUUCAUUGUAAUUGUGUGGCGUUUGGCGGUUCAUCGGCGAUCUGUCUACCUCUUCUUGUCUCGUCUUAAGUGAUCUUUCGAUCAAAAUGGUGUUUUGGCCUCUCUCUGGUUCGUCUGCUCUUUCUCAAUGGCAGGGAUUUGAGUACUGUCCCUGCUUCAGUCAAGUGCGGUGGUCAGGGUGCGACGUCUCAUCUCAGAUUAGUGGCAUCUCUUUUCGGCGUGUGCAUAUUCUCCUUUCCUGAGGUUAUGCCUAGGCGGAUGUCUUGGGUCUGUUAGCUCUGGCGUGAGCACCUCUUCGGUGAUGGCUGGGGGUGGUGCUUCAAUGUGGUGGAGUUCAGAGUUUCCCCUUUGUUUGCUCUUCGGAUCUAUCUAGAUCUGUUAUGGUUUCCAGCGUGGCUUCGCUUCAAAGGUUAUGGACAUGUGAUUAUUCAAUUGAGUUUUGGUCCGCUGCAGUGUUGGUGGUGAUUAGGUGUUGAAUAGAGGCAUCGGUCUGACUUUGGCGGCUCUGUUGCAAUCUUGGGAGAUGAUUCUUCAGGAUUUUAUAGCUUGAGAAUGCUGGCCGGAGGCAACUUUUCUGACUGCUAGUAGAAGCUCCUAUGCCGCCGGGUGUAGCUUGAUCUUCUGAAGUUGGUUCGUUUUUGCAUAGUUCUUGGAGAAGCUAUAGGCUCUUCUCACUUGUGAGGUUUGAGGGCAGGUCUCGGAAGGAGGAGCUCGUGGCAACAAAGAUGAGGAUUCCAGUUCUUUGGAUCUGCGGCAACUUUGCAAAUGUUUGAGUUCUAUACUCGGAAUUGGUGCUUUAUCAUCCAUGAUCCCCUUAAUUUAUUUUGAGGUGUUUUUUUUUUGUUGUUUUUGCUUGUUUUCCU
Molecule: long non-coding RNA, 452247 nt
Filed under: Brassica rapa (field mustard)
Lineage: Eukaryota; Viridiplantae; Streptophyta; Magnoliopsida; Brassicales; Brassicaceae
Description: long non-coding RNA (BRAP_LNC004971)
Rfam family: Plant small nucleolar RNA R71 (bases 53976-54082)
Source: RNAcentral